RNAcentral lists this long non-coding RNA (392633 nucleotides) under Triticum aestivum (bread wheat). RNAcentral's name for it is "long non-coding RNA (TAES_LNC027782)". The stretch from base 357501 to 357569 matches the Rfam family "tRNA". The record is from RNAcentral. Lineage: Eukaryota; Viridiplantae; Streptophyta; Magnoliopsida; Poales; Poaceae.
CCGCCGCCCCUCGUCAUGCACAACAAGGACCAGGAGGCAGCGCUGGCUGCUGUCCUCUAGGAGAGCGAGGAGGACGAAUGGCACAAGGAGGAGGAGGAGGAGGCUUACCAGGUGCGCAUGGCGAAGGCCAUGGCGCUCUCCAUGGCCGGCGACUGCGUCAUGCCGCCGUUGGCCCUGCCGUCCCCGCCAAGGCCGAGCCGGAGCCGCCCCCACCAAGCCGGUCGAGCGCUCCUCCUGGACCGGUGUGGUGCGCGAGUGGGUCAGCGCGCCGUCCAUCUUGUUAGGGGCGACGCUGGAGCAGGAGCAGGCGUACCUCGAGCAUUGGCGCCAACAACGGCUGGUCGAGGAGCAUCGCGAGGGCGAGUACCUUGAAAUGCUCAAGCGCGACGCCGAGGAGUAGCACUGCGACGCGGAGGAGGAGUGUUGUGCCCGCUCUGGCCCAUCCCAGUCGGCGGUGAACGACAUCGCUAGGGCUUGGUCGACGGCGUUCCCGUGGGCUGGCCCUGCGCCUAUGCUCAUCGACCUCACCGGCCCCGACGACGACGCCUAGGGCAGCACCGACACUCCUAGUAGUUUGUAGUUUUAUUUACUGUUUUAGAGCAACUCCAACGGGGCGACCCAUACGAAUGGCGCUUUUGUCCGCAUUUUGUCCGUUUGGGUCGGCCGCCUGCCCGGUGUCCGCCCUGUUUUAGAUUUGGGUCGCCAAUUCACCCAACGCACCGACCCAUAUGUGCCGGCGUGGCCGGCUGGCCGCCCUAUUUCAACAAAUAGAUCAUUUUUGCAUUGUUUCACACACAACGUUUGCAUUCAAACAGAUAGUCAAAUAGCAUAGUUUCAACCGAAUAAAAUAUCAUAGUUUUACAAGCCGAAUAAAAGUAAGUUUUGCAAGCCAAAUAAAGAAGAUACAUCUAUUGGUUGCCGACAUGAGCCCACAUAUGCUCAACCAAAUCAUUUUGUAGUUGCAUGUGAGUUUCCCAAUCACGCAUGUCAUGAUGAAAUUGGGUGAACUGUUCAAACGUUGUCGCUCCUCCAAUGCUCAAGCACAACAUUCUCACCUUGAAACUAAAACCCUUGAUCAUACAGACGUUCCGGGCGCUCAUCUUCUACGAUCAUAUUAUGCAUGAUCGCACAAGCAGUCAUCACCUCCCAUAGUUUCUGCAUGCUCCAAGUAUUAGCAGGAUAACGAACGAUGCCCCAUCGAGAUUGAGAAACACCAAAGGCACGCUCGAUGUCCUUCCUAGCACUCUCUUGCUCUUGGGAAAAUCUUUUCCUCUUCUCUUCGACGCAGUUGGGGAUUGUCUUCAAUAGUGGUCUACUGAGGAUAGAUACCGUCACCCAGGUGGUAUACUUUGUCAUAGUUGUGGCCGUUGAUAGUAAAGCUCACCGGUUGGAUGUUGCCUUCGGUAAGCCUUGCAAACACCGAUGAUCACUGAAGCACGUUGAUAUCAUUGUGUGAUCCAGCCAUGCCAAAGAAAGAGUGCCAGAUCCAAAGAUCUUGAGACGCCACGACCUCUAGUAUGACAGUGCAAGCCCUGACAUGGACCUUAUACUGCCCUUGCCAAGCAGAAGGGCAAUUCUUCCACUCCCAAUGCAUGCAGUCUAUGCUGCCAAGCAUCCUUGGGAAGCCCCUGCUGGCAUUCAUCACCAACAAAUGGGAUGUAUCUUUAGGAGUCGGCUCUCUCAAGUACUCAGGGCCAAACAGAACAAUAAUAGCCUUGCAGAACUUAUACAGGGAGUCUAGGCAUGUAGACUCGCUCAUACGGACAUACUCGUCAAUGAGAUCACCGGGCACUCUGUAUGCCAACAUUCGGAUGGCGGACAGUGCAUUUCUGAUAAGAGGAUAAACCAAUCUUUCCAACGACAUCCUCUUUGCACUCGAAAUAGUCAUCAUAGCCGACCACCCCCUCUCUAAACGGUUAAAAAGAUGCCUACUCAUAUAGAAACGGCGGCGGAAUUUCUGAUGUCUGAACAAUGGAUUUGUUGUAUCAAAGUAGUGCUUCCAAAGAAGGAAAUGCCCGCUCUCUCGGUUGUGAUUCAACGUCGUAAGGUGGCCCGGAAUGGAGCCACAGAACGUCGGGCACUGGCUAUUGAGGUGGUGAUGGACUAACAUGGCAGCCAAUAUCUCUUCCUCGUCAUCCAACGACGAAUCGCCGGAGUCGCAAAGGAAAUUGUGAAAAAAGAACUCGUCGGCGGUGUCCAUUUUGUACCUUGGCAAACUGUCGAACAUCUUGCGGGCGUUGACGAAGGAGAUGGCCCACGAAGGGAGUCGCAGAGCGCACGGACCAGCUAGCUGCCCUGUUGGUGUCCGACGAGUGUGCUGGUGAGGAUCUGGCCGGGGUGGCUGUCGGUGUCAAAAACCGGCGGAUCUUGGGUAAGGGGUCCCGAACUGUGCGUCUAAGUUUAAUGGUAACAGGAGACUGGGGACAUGAUGUUUACCCAGGUUCGAACCCUCUCGAUGGAGGUAAUACCCUACUUCCUGCUUGAUUGAUCUUGAUGAUAUGAGUAUUACAAGAGUUGAUCUACCACGAGAUCAGAGAGGCUAAAGCCUAGAAGCUAGCCUAUGGUAUGAUUGUUGUUCUGUCCUACGGACUAAACCCUCCAGUUUAUAUAGACACGGGAGGGGGCUAGGGUUACACAGAGUUGGUUACAGAGAAGGAGAUCUAUAAUCCAGAUCGCCAAGCUUGCCUUCCACGCCAAGGAGAGUCCCAUCCGAACACGGGACGAAGUCUUCAAUCUUGUAUCUUCAUAGUCCAACAGUCCGGCCAAAGUAUAUAGUCCGGCUGUCCGGAUACCCCCUUAUCCAGGACUCCCUCAGUAGCCCCUGAACCAGGCUUCAAUGACGACGAGUCCAGCGCGUAGAUUGUCUUCGGCAUUGUGAGGCGGUUUCCAUCUCCGAAUACUCCAAGAUAAAUUCCGAACACAAGGACCGUGUCCGGCUCUGCAAGAUAAAUUCCAUACACCACCGUAGAGAGAAUAAUAGACCAUGAAUCCAAUCUGCUGACAACUCUUCGUAGCGUGACAUCACGCCAUGGCCCGGUCAUUAUUCGAACCGUUUUCUACAACCUGCUUCCGCACAUAUCGUGAGGUGGUUUCCUUGGUACGUCUUGUCAAAGCAGAGAUCGUGUCCCCUUAUCACGGGAUCUCCAUCAAUACGGGUAUGGGUAACCCCAACCAGUGCCAUCAAUUGAGGCGCUUGGAAAAUAAUUGAUUUUGAGAGGCAAGUGGUGAGGCGCACAUUCUGCAUCGCCUUUAUAAAGGGACAAGGAUCUCCCGUUUUCACCCACGCCUUCUUCCUCCUUUGCUCAUCCGUUCUCGCACCCUCGAGCUCCAGCGCCCAAGUUCUCACCUUAUCCAUAGGACCGCAGCAUGUCCGGAGCGGGAGGCAAGUGGAUGGCCUCCUCUAUCAUAGAGGAGGACAUUACCCAGCUUUGGAAGGCCGGAUACCUGGCCGAGAGCAUCACGCACAGGCUUCCGACAGAGGGACAGAUUACCCCCACCCCAAAGUCUCGGGAGAGAGUAGUAUUUCUCCCUCAUUUCGUCCGUGGACUAGGAUUUCCACUCCACCCAUUUGUCCGCGGGCUCAUGUAUUACUACGGGCUAGAUUUUCAUGACCUAGCCCCGAAUUUCGUCCUCAACAUCUCGACGUUCAUCGUCGUGUGCGAGGCCUUCCUCCGCAUCAAGCCCCACUUCGGCCUGUGGUUGAAAAUCUUCUGCGUGAAGCCGAAGAUCAUGAGCGGCCAACAGGCGGAGUGCGGAGGUGCCAUGGUGGGCAGAAUGCCCAACAUUACAUGGCUUGACGGCUCCUUCAUGGAGAUCGUGAAAGGAUGGCAAUCAGGGUGGUUCUACAUCACCGAGCCGCGCGAUGCCAACUGGGUGGCGGCCCCCAAAUUCAGAUCCGGAAUCCCCAUGCGGCUCACUUCUUGGGAAAAGAAGGGCCUAGCUUGGGGCGAACCCACGGAGCUGACCGGACUCGAAACCUGCAUCAGAAGUAUGAGGGACAAGAAGAUCAAACUUGUCAACAUGGUCCAGGUCAUGCUAGUUUGCCGGAUUCUCCCGUGUCAAAGGCGGGCAUUCGGUAUGUGGGAGUUCGAUCCGGCCGAACACCAGAUGCUGCAAGAACUCUUCGACACGGCGCACAAAGACGUCUGGAAGGUACUGUUCAAGGCCAGCGAAGCUCCUCCUCCUCUUUCCAAGGACCGUGGGCUCAGCGCAAAGUGCCUCGCCAAUCCGGUAAGUCCUAUGACUAUUACAAGAUGUUCCUUUCCUAGUAUAUUCAUGGGAGGAUUUUUAAGUCACCAUGCUGGCCAAACAGGAUUGGGUGGAGAUGGCGGAGCGGAUAGACUGUCCGGCUUCGUUGCCUGAGGAUCCAAUAGACGCACUCCUAGCAGAGAUGCUGGUUCCGGCGCCUUACAAGGUGCCGGAGAAAAAGGCCGAAAAGAAGGCCACGGGGACCCGGAAGGGUCUCCGGCGCGAGGCCGCGCCAGACACCUCACCAGAAGAUGAAGAGGCGCACUCCUCCCACGAAGGGGAGAAGAGAAAGAGGAAGGCCGCCUCAACUGAGGGGGUCGAAGGGUCCAAGAAGGCGACCGCGGGGACCAGAAAAGGUCUCCGGCGCAGGGCUGUGAUAGAGUCGUCAUCUGAAGAUGACGAGGAAGAUUCCCCCCCCCUGAAGAUGGGGGGAAGCAUAAAGAAAUGCCCCCUCCCCGUACUGGGGAGGAGAAGUAAAGGAAGGCCGCCGCAUUGGAGGAGGCCGGGACACCGAAGAAGGGAAAGGCGUCCCUUCUAGACCACUCCUCAACCGCUGCUUAUAGCGACGAGGAGUGGCUGCCCAGGGGCAAGCCCCAGGCGAGGUCGUAAUCCGCAUUCUGUAAUAUUUUUUCAUGCGGCUUUGACCUUAUGGCUUGCAAUAACGCCGAACAUGUAUAUGCAGUCCGGCCGGGUCCAAUCUCGGGGUGUCCUCUUUGGAGGAGUCUCUGGGCGAGUCGGAGAUGAAUUCACUCCCGACGGCCACCUCCCCGCGACCUGCGGAUGACAACGAGGUGUUGUCCCGAAGGAUACCAGAGCAGGAGGCAACGGCUCCGACGCCGGGUGCAUGGGGGGUAAGACCCCCAUGGAUUAUGCUGACGGGAGCCACAACAAGUCUGACUCCUAGCCGGUUACUGUGCUGGAGCCUCCAAAUGCUCCGGAUUCCAGAAGGCAGCCCCUCGCGAAGGAGAGCGAGCCGGCCGUGCCGAUGACCUCCGCCUAGCCGGAGGCAUCGGAUAAUUUGUUGGAAGUGCUUUGAGGCACUUCCAUCGAUGAUGAGCACCGUACUCUUAUGAGUACGGUGAUUGAAAGGUUCGGUUCGCCAAGAGUGGAUUGACCGAAGCCUGCACCAACCUACUAACAGGCUUUGAGGUAAGUAACGAAAAAGUGUGAGGAAAUAUCACCCAAUAGACAGUAGCCCCUAAUACUCUGGUUGGUGUUCGGGAGAAAAACCCAAACGGAGGGUCAACUAAAAAACCACAGGAAGCUAAUAGUACUUGUCUAUGUGAACAAACAGGCAUUGGUGCUGACCACCGCUGCGUGCACGGCUGAGGUUGCCGUACUCAAGCGCGAAUUGGGGCAGGCUAAAGAAGAGCUCGUCCUCGUGAAUAAGCGGCUCGAGGAGAACAAAGGUAAGUGAAACCCCGUCCGUGUGGUCGUAUAGAGGAGAAAAAGUUGAUGAUGCUAACAAAAAGCAUCAUGGCUUUUGAUAGGAAUCGCGACCGAGGUGGCGGCCCUGAAGAAAGUGUUAUCCGUAGCCGAAGCCAAGGCGGCUACAGAGCGCACCGAGCAAAAGAAGCAAGAUGCUCGGGUGGGAGAGGUACAGCAAGAGCUCCAGGAGCUCGGCAAGAAGUUCGAGUCCUUGGAGCAUGACUUCAAGACGCAAGAGUCCGAGCUUGCGAAGGCCCUCCAAAGUGCGAUAGACGCCAAGGCCGAAGCCCAAAAGGCCCUCCAGGAGAUCCAGGUGGCCAAGAAGAUAGCAGAGGGUAAGGCAUUCUUUAUGCAAAGCAAGCAUGUGGAGGAGUCAUUUCUUUUACUUACACGACUUCGGAGCUCUCCAGGGGCAUUCGCAGAUCUGCCGAAGCAUUUCGGAUGUCGCGGAGUUCUAUCAUGCUGAAGAGGGGAGCUCAACAGAGAAGUUGUUUUGGUCCCAAUACAAUGGAACCGAGCACCUGAUGCCUCUAAGUGACCAACUGAAGCAAUUGGUCGAACUCCACAAUGCGGUCAAACUGGCCAUGAAGGACCUCAUAGUCUGGAUGUGGCCUGGCGAGCCCCUGCCCGACAGCUACUUUGUCCUGAUAAAGCGGAUGGUGCAUGCUUGUCCAAGGCUAGAAGUUAUCAAGCAGUCCGUUUGUAUUGAGGGUGCCCGACGGGCCAUUGCCCGCGCGAAGAUGCAUUGGGCCAAACUGGAUGCUGAGAAGCUCGUGAAGGAUGGACCCCCGGAGGGUAAGGAGCAUCGCUACCCUGAAAAAUAUUAUGAUGGCGUUAUGAAAGGCACUCGGCUUGUGGCAAAUGAAUGUCCUAAGAACAUAAUUUUUGAGUGAAUGUACUCAUGUCAUCUUUCUAAUAUGAGAACGAGUUUGUUUGCGCUAUAUAACGCUUUGUUUGAUUUAAAAUAUUACCUUCUCUGCGGCCGUUUAUCAAAAUCUGAAAGUAGGCCAGUCGUUGGCUUCCACCCCCUUGUAACUAGUACUGGGGUGUUCGUGGAAAACCCAAACACUCUUUAUCCAAAUUCUUGGUCCUUUAAGGAGGUGUUUUAGCGCAGCGAACAAGGCAAUCGGACUAUUCGGCUUUAUAACUCUCACUUGGCCAUAGAAGUCUAUAAUUUUAAAUUUCGGCGAAGCCCCUAGUAUUCGGAAGGCCGAACUGGGGCGCUAUACACGCCUAAAUCGGGCAAGUCUGAUUCCUCGCCUUAAGCGAAAAAAAUCUUUAAGGAUUUAGUACUUCGCGAACAGCGACCAGCUCUCGCCGCAUCAUGACGGUCAGUUUUCGGCUUUCUCUACUAAGGUGCUCGUCCGGAAGAACCGGGACACAAUCGCAGUAGUUCUCCCUGUGCUACCUUAGCUGAUAUAACGGAACGUAAGGUACCAAAACAAGGGAGCCGGGCUAACCCAACUAUUGACCCAAGACAUGAUUUGGAGCUGAUGCAUAUAAUGCUAUAAGUUCGGGGUGCCGCACUGUCGAAAGUGUUCGGACUUUUCUUGCCAUAUUAUGGGGCUCGAUAAGAAGCCCCUGGCAAACUGAGCGUACCAAAAUGUACGGAUGUGAUAUUAAAUAAAUAUUCAAGGGAAAAUAUGAAGAUAUUAGUAAGAAGCUGACGAUGUUAUACCGUUUCCCAUUGUUAUUUGUAUAAUACGUCAAGGCGUAUGUUUACAAUUAAUGCAUUAAGUGAAAACAAAUAGGACCAUUUGAUAUGUCCUAUCCAAGGGCAGGCUGUAUGCAGGUAUGUAAAACAGGUAUAACGAUCAUUAACAAAUACCACCUGGGUACUCCCUUGUGUGCAAAGACUCUUGCCUCCUUGGUGUUCCCUCCUGUAAUGAGUCCAGUUAUCCGAUCUCUCUGAAGGGGCUGCCCGAAAGUAGGGUCCUGAAAGAAAGAAAGAAAAAUGGUAUGCGGACCUCAUGGCGGCCGAACCGCACUGCAUGCCACAUUGUCGUCUCGCUUCCACCUAUGCCCAUGGUAUUUUAAGCGCGUAUUUGUGUACGCAUGGCACGAACGCCGCCUAAAUGGGGCUGGGGUGGAGGCCGGAUUGCUAAUCGAGCUCCUGGCGUGCCUGACGGUCCUGUUGCGGGGUGCUCCGGACUCGCUUGACGGUGUUCGGGGUUGUCGUUGCCGAAUUGGUUGUUUGUCAAAGGUGGCUGCUUUGUACUUCUGCCGCGAGGGUCGCAGUGUGCUCUUUCAUAUGGAGGGAGCGGUCUGUGUUCCCAUUGACUGUUAUAACCCCGCGAGGUCCUGACAUUUUGAGCUUGAGGUAUGCAUAGUGUGGUACCAUUGAAUCGAGCAAAUGCGGUUCGUCCAAGUAGUGCAUGAUAGCCACUACGGAAAGGGACGAUAUCGAAGAUUAACUCCUUGCUUUGGAAGUUAUCCGGAGAUCCGAAGACCACUUCCAGUGUUAUUGAGCCCGUACAACGGGCCUCUACCCCUGGAAUUACACCCUUGAAGGUGGUUUUGGUGGGUUUGAUCCAUGACGGAUCGAUGCCCAUUUUGCACACUGUGUCCUGAUAAAGCAGGUUCAGGCUGCUGCCACCGUACAUGAGGACUCGCGUGAGGUGGAAUCCGUCGAUGAUUGGGUCAAGGACCAAUGCGGCUGAGCCGCCGUGACGGAUGCUGGUGGGAUGGUCCCUACGAUCAAAGGUGAUCGGACAGGAUGACCAUUGGUUGAACUUUAGGGCAAUGGGCUCCAUCGCAUAGAUGUCCCUAAGUGCACGCUUUCGCUCCCGUUUGGGGAUGUGAGUGGCAUAGAUCAUGUUCACCGUUUUCACCUAGGGGGGGGAUUUCUUCUGUCCCCCAGUAUUCGGACGUCGGGGCUCCUCGUUAUCGUUGCUGUGCAGCCCCUUGUCCUUGUUCUCGGCAUUUAUCUUGCCGGACUGUUUGAACACCCAGCAAUCUCUGUUAGUGUGAUUGGCUGGUUUAUCGGGGGUGUCGUGAAUCUGGCACGAGCGGUCGAGUAUGCGGUCCAGACUGGACGAUCCCGGGUUGUUUCUUUUAAACAGCUUCUUCCGCUGACCGGAUCUAGAGUUGCUGAAUCUGGCAUUGACAGUCGUAUCUUCAACAUUGUCGCCAUUGUUCCGACGCUUGUGUCUAUUGCGCCGUGGCUUUUCAUUACUGUCACGGAUAUCUGAAGUGCCAGAGUUUCCUGGCGCGGUGUUACUGCAAGCCAGCCAGCUGUCCUCACCCGCGCAAAAGCGGGUCAUUAGUGCCGUGAGGGCCGCCAUGGACUUCGGUUUUUCUUGGCCGAGGUGUCGGGCAAGCCACUCGUCGUGGAUAUUAUGCUUAAAGGCUGCUAGGGCCUCGGUGCUCGGACAGUCGACAAUUUGGUUCUUUUUAGUUAGGAACCGAGUCCAGAAUUUCCUGGCUGACUCUCCAGGCUGUUGGGUGAUGUGACUUAAGUCAUCGGCAUCCGGUGGUCGCACAUAGGUGCCCUGGAAGUUAUCGAGGAAUGCAUCCUCAAGAUUUUCCCAACUGCCAAUGGAGUUUGCUGGCACGCUAUUCAGCCAAUGUCUGGCUGGCCCUUUAGGCUUGAGUGGGAGAUACUUGAUGGCAUGUAGGUCAUCACCGCGAGCCAUGUGAAUGUGGAGAAGAAAAUCUUCGAUCCACACCGCGGGGUCUGUUGUGCCAUCGAAUGACUCGAUGUUGAUGGGUUUAAACCCUUCUGGGAAUUCAUGUUCCAUUACUUCAUCAGUGAAGUAGAGGGGGGUGCGGUGCCUCUGUGCUGGGCUAUGUCGCGACGCAGUCCAAUUAGGUCUGGUCGGUUAUGUUCGGCCUGGCCGGAUUUAUUAGUAUUGUAUCCGAUAUGACGAUCAGCGUCAUGAGCUGUGGUGCGCCCCCGUGAUCCGUAGAUCGAUCUUGGUUGUCCUGCGUUGUUUUCCAAUAUGUCUCGCAGGUCCUGUGUAUUGCCCUAGGCCGUAGUGAACCGGCGUGGGGGUGCGGGCUGGUAUCCAGCCUGAUAUGUCGUUUUAUCCCGGCCACGGGGUGGCCGGUCAGCCUCAUCCUGUGCUGGAAGUUCAGGCUCUUCGGCCUCUUCUUCUAGCGAUUUGUGCUUUUGGUAUCCCCUGAUGGGGGGCUUGAGUCCGUAUUCCUCGGCCGCCAGGACUUCGAUCCAUCUGUCUGCGAGCAGAUCUUGAUCAGCUUGGAACUGUUGCUGCUUCUUUUUCAGGCUUCUUGCAGUGGCUAUAAGUCGGCGCUUGAAGCGCUCCUCCUCUAUGGGAUCCUCUGGUACGCCGAAUUCGUUGUCACCAAGGCUCACCUCGUCUUUGGAGGGAGGCAUAUAGUUAUCAUCCUCCAAGUAUCCGUCCGUCGCCUAUUCGUCUGGGCCGACCUGCCCGUGUUCCUGUUCGGCUUGCUUGAAGGUGGAUUGAUCAGGAUUGUAUUCCUCUUCGGCACCAUCUGGAUUUUCUUCUCAAGUGCCGGUGUCGCUGUGGCGGGGCUUGGAGCGGCGCCGGUGACGCCCAUGCUUUGAUUUCUUCCCUGAGGGUUAUCUCCUUUUGCCUCAUCGCCAUUGUUUUCUUUGGGAGUAUCCACCAUAUAUAUAUAUAUCAUAUGAAGAGGUGGCAGUCCAGCACCCUAUGGGAGGUGGUUCCUGUUCUUCUCCCGCAUCAUCGUCUAUACCGUCGAUGUCUUCGGAGUCAAAGUUAAGCACGUCGGUCAAGUCAUCGACCAUGACUAUGAAGUGGGUGGUGGGUGGGUGAUGAAUUUCUUCGUCGCCUGCUUCCCACGCGAGCCGAACAUAGUUCGUCCAGGAAUCUCCUGAUAGAGAGAGAGACCUUAAUGAAUUUAGCACAUCGCCGAAGGGGGACUGCUGGAAGAUAUCCGCGGCGGUGAAUUCCAUUAUUGGAGCCCAAUCAGAUUUGAUGGGCAUGGAUGCACGCGGUCCGGGACCUACGACCGAAGGUAAGUCCGGGGGUCCGGAGACACAGAUCUCCUUAGGAGCGGAGUCUGUGUUCGGCUCCAACACCGAUGAGUGUGCGGCCUCCGGGGCGGGGUCCAUCCACCCGUCCUCGGAAGGCACGACCUGCUCUGGAACGAAGUCCGGAGCCGUAGUAGGUGCGAUGUUCCGAAUACUAUCCGGCUGCAGAUCUAGGUCAUGCACGUCGUGAUUGUUCGACGCUCCUGACAUGGGCCCGAAUCCAUCGAAGAUCAAGUCUCCACGGAUGUCGGCAGUGUAGUUUAUGUUUCCAAACCUGACCUGAUGGCCAGGGGCGUAGCCAUCGAUCUGCUCCAGAUGGCCCAGUGAGUUGGCCCGCAGUGCGAAGCCGCCGAACACAAAAAUCUGUCCGGGGAGAAAAGUCUCACCCUGGACGGAGUUGUUGAAGGUGGGAGAAGCCAUCAAGCCUUACAGCGACGACACAGACGAACUCUCAAUGAAAGCACCAAUGUCGGUGUCAAAACCGGCGGAUCUCGGGUAGGGGGUCCCGAACUGUGCGUCUAAGGCUAAUGGUAACAGGAGACUGGGGACACGAUGUUUACCCAGGUUCGGGCCCUCUCGAUGGAGGUAAUACCCUACUUCCUUCUUGAUUGAUCUUGAUGAUAUGAGUAUUACAAGAGUUGAUCUACCACGAGAUCAGAGAGGCUAAACCCUAGAAGCUAGCCUAUGGUAUGAUUGUUGUUCUGUCCUACGGACUAAACCCUCAGGUUUAUAUAGACACCGGAGGGGGCUAGGGUUACACAGAGUCGGUUACAGAGAAGGAGAUCUAUAAUCCCGAUCGCCAAGCUUGCCUUCCAUGCCAAGGAGAGUCCCAUCCGGACACAGGAUGAAGUCUUCAAUCUUUUAUCUUCAUAGUCCAACAGUCCGGCCAAAGUAUAUAGUCCGGCUGUCCGGAUACACCCUUAUCCAGGACUCCCUCAGCGGCGAGUCAGCUUCUUGAUGUCUACUACGCAACCUUCUUCUUGUAGACGUUGUUGGGCCUCCAAAUGUAGAGGUUUGUAGGACAGUAGCAAAUUUCCCUCAAGUGGAUGACCUAAGGUUUAUCAAUCUGUGGGAGGCAUAGGAUGAAGAUGGUCUCUCUCAAACAACCCUGCAACCAAAUAACAAAGAGUCUUUUGUGUCCCGAACACACCCAAUACAAUGGUAAAUUGUAUUGGUGCACUAGUUCGGCAAGAGAUGGUGAUACAAGUGCAAUAUGGAUGAUAGAUAUAGGUUUUAGUAAUCUGAAAAUAUAAAAACAGCAAGGUAGCAAGUGGUAAAAGUGAGCAAAAACAGUAUUGCAAUGCUUCGAAACAAGGCCUAGGGUUCAUGCUUUCACUAGCGCAAGUUUUCUCAAUAAUGAUAACAUAAUUAGAUCAUAUAACGAUCCCUCAACGUGCAACAAAGAGUCACUCCAAAGUCACUAAUAGUGGAGAACAAACGAAAAGAUUAUUGUAGGGUACGAAACCACCUCAAAGUUAUUCUUUCCGAUCAAUCCAUUGGGCUAUUCCUAUAAGUGUCACAAACAACCCUAGAGUUCAUAGUAAAAUAACACUUUAAGACACACAUCAACCAAAACCCUAAUGUCACCUAGAUAUUCCAAUGUCACCACAAGUACCCGCGAGUUUGAUUAUACGAUAUGCAUCACACAAUCUCAGAUUCAUCUAUUCAAACCAACACAAAGAACUUCAAAGAGUGCCCCAAAGUUUCCACCGGAGAGUCAAGACGAAAACAUGUGCCACCCCUAUGCAUAAGUUCACAAGGUCACAGAAUCCGCAAGUUGAUCACCAAAACGUACAUCAAGUGGAUCAGGUGAAUAUCCCAUUGUCACCACAGAUAAGCACAUACAAGACAUAUAUUAAGUGUUCUCAAAUCUUUAAAGACUCAAUCCGAUAAGAUAACUUCAAAGGGAAAACCCAAUCCAUUACAAGAAGGUAGAGGGGGAGAAAAAUCAUAUGAUCCAACUAUAAUAGCAAAGCUCGCGAUACAUCAAGAUCGUGCCAUAUCAAGAACACGAGAGAGAGAGAGAUCAAACACAUUGCUACUGGUACAUACCCUCAGCCCCGAGGGUGAACUACUCCAUCCUCGUCAUGGAGAGCGCCGGGAUGAUGAAGAUGGCCACCGGUGAGGAAUCCCCCCUCCGGUAGGGUGCCGGAAUAGGGUCCCGAUUGGUUUUUCGUGUCUAUAGAGGUUUGCGGCAGCGGAACUCCCGAUUUAGGUUUCUUUUGGGGGGUUUCUGUAUUUAUAGGAAUUUCUAGCAUCGGUUUCACGUCAGGGGGGUCCCCGAGUCAGCCACGAGGUAGGGGGCGCGCCCUGCGCCCUCCACCCUCGUGGAUGACUCGGGACUCUUCUGGCCCAGCUAUUUUGCUUCAGGGGCUUCUUCUGGUCCAUAAAAAAUCUCCGCCAAUUUUCAGGUCAAUUGGACUCCGUUUGAUAUUGCUUUUCUGCGAAACCAAAAAACAAGAAUAAAACAGAAACUGACACUGGGCUCUAGGUUAAUAGGUUAGUCCCAAAAAUCAUAUAAAAAACAUAUAAAUGCAUAUAAAACAUCCAAGAUAGAUAAUAUAAUAGCAUGGAACAAUCAAAAAUUAUAGAUACAUCAGGGACGUAUCAUUUCUUGGUCGCGGUUGCGACUGUGUCGGGGGGGGAGCGAGGGGGGGGGGAGCUCUCGGUUCCCCGGCGGCAAGACGACAGUGGCGGCGUUGCAGAGCGGAUGUUGCGGCGCCCGCAGCUGGCAGAGUCACCUGAAAAAAUAGAUGGCGGCGUCGGUGACGAAGGAGGCGGGUGAGCAUUUGCUGCUGGAUGGGGAGAGGCCAAUGUGCCACCGGCCAGCGGGCCCGGGGAAGGAGAAGGCGAGCGCGCACGUCCGUCUUGUGUCUGCGCCGACGCAAAUCCGGCUCAAAAAUGGGCUGGGAAUGAGUCGCCCGCAGAUGAAAAGCGGACGCGCGUCCGUUUGGCUCGGCACAUUGGGCCGACUUUUGUGUCCGCGCCAACCCAAACAGAUGCCCGUGGACGAAAUGGGUCGCCCCGUUGGAGUUGCUCUUAUUUAACGUGAUAGUGGACUAUCGCCGGCCUUUCUAGCCAGCAUUAAUGUUUAAUUAACACAUUUUAAAAAUGUGCGCUAGAAUGUUUUUUGCCGCGCCGGUUAAAAACUGGGUCGGGCUAGCGUUGGAUGCAAUCGCCGACCCAAAUGCAAAAGCGGACAUAGGUGUUCAUCAGACCGACCCAAACGAAUAAAAUGCGAACAAAAACGUUGUCCGUUCCGUUCGACGUAUUGGAGUUGCUUUUAGCGACCGGGACGGACGUUCGAGACGGAUUUGGGCGCGCGGAACACCCCCACCCCGUGUCGCUUUUGCCGGUCCAAGGCGGCACCGAAAAAGCAGUGGACGGGCACAUGAAUGCGGUGGUAGGAGGUGGAACGGAAGAAAGGCUCCCCUGCAAAAAGAAAAAAAGAAGGAAUGGAAGAAAGGCUAUCUGCCGGAUGCCCGUUGUUGGACGGAGAGGAGGGAACCGUGGGCGACCGCACGUCCGUCCGUACGUGCACGCCUCAAGCGGUGGGAGGAAGGAGCCGGAAAAGGACGCUUCCGAAAGCGCACGGACCCGAACCCAGAAGCGGCGGCAAAGCCCAAAACGGGACGCCGAAAACUGGCAGAGGCCGUCCAGGUUUAGGCGCCGGCCUCCGGAAACCGCUUGCGUCCGACGGUUUUCCUUUUCCGUUUCCCGACGCCGUCAGUCACAUCGGCCCUGGCCGCGCGGCGCGGGUCCGCGACGCGACGAAGCCGCUGCAUCUGCAUGGCUUUGCUGGCUGGCUGCCGAGCGGGUGGCCCCGCGGGGUCCUCGCUCGUUGACAGGGCAAGGCGCGCUGGGGCGUCUCGUCGCGUCCCGUUUGGGUGGGGGCCGGCACGGGCGUGGGUUGGUGGUGAGGCAAAACCCGUGACUGGUGGCGGCCGCGGUCGGGUUCGGGCGAGGCCCGCUGGAAGGGGGUUUUCCCUUUUCGCGUGCGCACCCCCGGGAAAAGUAAAAAUACACGCCGAUGUUUCCGAGGAGCGUGGGGGACCUAUUUUUCUCUCCUUUUUUUUUCUUGGAACUGAACCUGACCCUUCGAGCAAGCAAAACUAUACGCGCGAGUAGUAUUGUUUAUUAUAGCAGCACUUCGAAAAACGAAACGCACCAUGGAGUUGAUGCUAGUUUAAAUUGCGAGGGCAUGUGCUUUACGUAAUGGAGUAGGUAGGAGUAAAUUUGAACGGGCCAUGGUCCUCCAUGUGCAGAUACGCAAAGACAGGCACUGCCCACUACCGUUUUUUGAAUCGGCCCAACAUGUUGUUUUACCCAAUCAUCUGAAAAGGUGAACGUUGGUUGGUUUAUGCACAGUGUACAAAAGGCCACUUUGGAUUUUAAUAGCAGUUGCCUAAUUUGAUUAGUAGAUAUCUACCUUUCUAUUUUCCUAAUAAAGUACAAUGGCCAAUCAAAAAAGAAAUGCUCCCAGCCGUUUAGAGUUUUCUUGUCUGCCGACGGCGCCGCCCCCAAUCUGCCUCGUCUUAUGUGGCUUUAGGGUCAGGCGCGGUUGAUCCCGACCUUUGCCGCCGAGAGGGCUCAUACUUUGUUUUUACGUGUUUUUUAUGAGUCUGUUCAAAGUUUGUGUCCUGCUGAGGAAGGCGAUGCGGCGACAACUCCUUGAAGAUGGAAUAAAGUUCUCUCCGCCUAGCCCCCGUUCUGGCGGGGCGUCUCACGUCGUCAGAGGGCUCGUAGAGGUGUGUCUCCGACGUAUCUCACGGGAUUUGGUUGGUGUUUGUCUUCGGUGAUUGGGUCCGGUCUUCAUCCAUCUGCAUUUAUAUGUCUGCAGGUUGGAUCCUUUCGAUCUACAUCUCCUUUUAUCAGAAAUGGUUGGUGUUAGUACGAUGACUUCUCGGUUGUCUAGUACAACAAGGUUUACCCGAUUGCGAUGAGGGAGGAACGAUGACGGUGACGCGCCCUUGACUCGCUCCAGUGCUUGCAGUCGUUGGUAGGUGGCAUUGGCGGAGCUAUGUCUAUUGCUGCAGGGGCCAUGGCCCCCCGACCCAUGAACUUUUUCUGAAGAAACUCUAUUUUGGGUGGCACAAAUUCAGAGAAAUACAAUUUUUGGCCCCUCUAGAAAAUUGUAUUUCUUCAUUUGCCCCCUCAGUUGUUCUUCGCUAGCUCCGCACUGCUAGGUGGUCUAUGGAUAUAGAUGCAAUUUUUUGUUACUUCUCGUGUUCUUAGUAGUGCCAUGAUAUGGGAUGAAUAGAUCGAAAUAUUUCAUGCAAAAAAGUACAAGAGCCUAAUUUUCUAUUGCUAACACCAACAAUAAGUCCAUAAUAACAUCAUAAGAGAACUUCUUUUUGUGAAAUUGUAACAACAAAAUUGUUUGAUGAAAUUAAUGUGAAAACAAAGAAAAAGAUAAAUCAUAACUACACUUCCACUUCAUUCGUGGUUGCCUCAUGGAUGAGAUGCAUAUACGGGGUGUGCCAACCAUUUGCCCUUCAAUAACCAUCCGAUUAUAUCAAUCCAUGCGGAGCAAUUUUUUACACACAUUGAAAAAUGGUAAAAAUGUGGAUCUUUUUUAGAUUGAAUGUGGAAUUGUCUGUUAUGGGAAAUGUGGAAUGUUAAGAUUAUUAAAGCUCGUGAGAUUGAUAGAUCACUUUACUCUUCUCUGGUGAAGGAGAUAAAGUACCUCUCGAGUCUUCGUAGAACUAGUGUUACUCAUAUUAGUCGGUCUCGGAAUAAAGUCAGUAACUCUUUGUUGGAAAUAUGCCCUAGAGGCAAUAAUAAAAUGGUUAUUAUUAUAUUUCCUUAUUCAUGAUAAUUGUCUAUCAUUCAUGCUAUAAUUGUAUUAACCGAAAACCGUAAUACAUGUGUGAAUACAUAGACCACGACAUGUCCCUAGUGAGCCUCUAGUUGACUAGCUCGUUGAUCAACAGAUGGUUAUGAUUUCCUGACUAUGGGCAUAGGAUGUCAUUGAUAACGGGAUCACAUCAUUAGAAGAAUGAUGUGAUGGACAAGACCCAAUCACAAGCAUAGCACAAGAUCGUGUAGUUCGUUUGCUAAAGCUUUUCUAAUGUCAAGUAUCAUUUCCUUAGACCAUGAGAUUGUGCAACUCCCGGAUACCGUAGGAAUGCUUUGGGUGUACAAAACGUCACAACGUAACUGGGUGGCUAUAAAUGUGCACUACAGGUAUCUCUAAAAGUGUCUGUUGGGUUGGCACGAAUUGAGACUGGGAUUUGUCACUCCGUAUGACGGAGAGGUAUCUCUAGGCCCACUCGGUAAUGCAUCAUCGUAAUGAGCUCAAUGUGACUAAGUAGUUGGUCACAGGAUCAUGCAUUACGGAAUGAAUAAAGUGACUUUCCGAUAACGAGAUUGAACGAGGUAUUGGGAUACCGAUGAUCGAAUCUCGGGCAAGUAACGUACCGAUUGACAAAGGGAAUUGUAUACGGGAUUGCUUGAAUCCUCGACAUCAUGGUUCAUCCAAUGAGAUCAUCGUGGAACAUGUGGGAGCCAACAUGGGUAUCCAGAUCCCGCUGUUGGUUAUUGGCCGGAGAGCUGUCUCGGUCAUGUCUGCAUGAUUCCCGAACCCGUAGGGUCUACACACUUAAGGUUCGAUGACACUAGGGUUAUAGGGAAGGUUUGUACGUGGUUGCCGAAUGUUGUUUGGAGUCCCGGAUGAGAUCACAGACGUCACGAGGAGUUCCGGAAUAGUUCGGAGGUGAAGAUUUAUAUAUGGGAAGUCAUCAUACUGUCACCAGAAGUAUUCGGGGGCUUAUCGGUAUUGUACCGGGACCACCGAAGGGGUUCCGGGGGUCCACCGGGAGGGUCACGGCUCCGGAGGGCCCUUAUGGGCUGUAUGUGGAAGGGAACCAGCCCCAAGUGGGCUGGGCGCCAUCCUCCCUAGGGCCCAUGCACAGGGUUGGGGGGGGGAACCCUAAAGGGGGCGCCUCCUUGUCUUGGGGGGCAAGCCCCCUUCCCUUGGCCGCCGCCCCCCUCUAGAUCUCANNNNNNNNNNNNNNNNNNNNNNNNNNNNNNNNNNNNNNNNNNNNNNNNNNNNNNNNNNNNNNNNNNNNNNNNNNNNNNNNNNNNNNNNNNNNNNNNNNNNNNNNNNNNNNNNNNNNNNNNNNNNNNNNNNNNNNNNNNNNNNNNNNNNNNNNNNNNNNNNNNNNNNNNNNNNNNNNNNNNNNNNNNNNNNNNNNNNNNNNNNNNNNNNNNNNNNNNNNNNNNNNNNNNNNNNNNNNNNNNNNNNNNNNNNNNNNNNNNNNNNNNNNNNNNNNNNNNNNNNNNNNNNNNNNNNNNNNNNNNNNNNNNNNNNNNNNNNNNNNNNNNNNNNNNNNNNNNNNNNNNNNNNNNNNNNNNNNNNNNNNNNNNNNNNNNNNNNNNNNNNNNNNNNNNNNNNNNNNNNNNNNNNNNNNNNAAACCUUCCGAAGAACCGCUGCUCCACCACCACCACGCCAUCGUGCUGUUGCUGGAGCUGUCUUCCUCAACCUCUCCCUCCUCCUUGCUGGAUCAAGGCGCGGGAGACGUCAUUGGGUUGCACGUGUGUUGAACGCGAAGGUGCCGUUGUUCGGCGCUUAGAUCGGAAUCCACCGCGAUCUGAAUCGCUACGAGUACGACUCCUUCAUCCGCGUUCUUGUAACGCUUCCGUGUUGCGAUCUUCAGGGUAUGAAGAUGCACUCCCCUCUCUCUCUCGUUGCUAGUUUCUGUUGGGGAACGUAGCAGAAAUUCAAAAUUUUCCUACGCGUCACCAAGAUCUAUCUAUGGAGAAACCAGCUACGAGUAGAAGGAGAGUGCAUCUACAUACCCUUGUAGAUUGCUAAGCGGAAGCGUUCAAGUGAACGGGGUUGAUGGAGUCGUACUCGCCGUGAUUCAAAUCACCGAUGAUCUAGUGCCGAACGGACAGCACCUCCGCGUUCAACACACGUACAGCUCGACGAUGUCUCCCACGCCUUGAUCCAGCAAGGAGAGAGGGAGAGGUUGAGGAAGACUCCAUCCAGCAACAGCACAACGGCGUGGUGGUGAUGGAGGAGCGUGGCAAUCCUGCAGGGCUUCGCCAAGCACCUACGGGAGAGGAGGAGGUGUCACGGGAGGGAGGGAGGCGCCAAGGGCUCAGGUAUGGAUGCCUCCCUCCCCUCCACUAUAUAUAGGGGCAGGGGAGAGGGGGGAGGCGCAGCCUUGCCCCUUCCUCCAAGGAAGGGGUGUGGCUAAGAAGGGGGGAGGAGUCCAUCCUCCCCAAGGCACCUCGGAGGUGCCUUCCCCCUUUAGGACUCUCCCCUUUUUCCUAUAUCUUGGCGCAUGGGCCUCUAGGGGCUGGUGCCCUUGGCCCAUGUAGGCCAAGGCGCACCCCCUACAGCCCAUGUGGCCCCCCGGGGCAGGUGGCCCCACCCGGUGGGCCCCCGGGACCCUUUCGGUGGUCUCGGUACAAUACCGAUUACCCCGAAACUUGUCCCGAUGGUCGAAACAGGACUUCCUAUAUAUAAAUCUUUACCUCCCGACCAUUCCGGAACUCCUCGUGACGUCCGGGAUCUCAUCCGGGACUCCGAACAACAUUCGGUAACCACAUACAAACUUCCUUUAUAACCCUAGCGUCAUCGAACCUUAAGUGUGUAGACCCUACGGGUUCGGGAGACAUGUAGUCAUGACCGAGAUGUUCUCCGGUCAAUAACCAACAGCGGGAUCUGGAUACCCAUGUUGGCUCCCACAUGUUCCACGAUGAUCUCAUCGGAUGAACCACGAUGUCAAGGACUCAAUCAAUCCCGUAUACAAUUCCCUUUGUCUAGCGGUAUGGUACUUGCCCGAGAUUCGAUCGUCGGUAUACCGAUACCUUGUUCAAUCUCGUUACUGGCAAGUCUCUUUACUCGUUCCGUAACACAUCAUCCUGUGAUCAACCCCUUGGUCACAUUGUGCACAUUAUGAUGAUGUCCUACCAAGUGGGCCCAGAGAUACCUCUCCGUUUACACGGAGUGACAAAUCCCAAUCUCGAUUCGUGCCAACCCAACAGACACUUUCAGAGAUACCCGUAGUGUACCUUUAUAGCCACCCAGUUACGUUGUGACGUUUGGCACACCCAAAGCACUCCUACGGUAUCCGGGAGUUGCACAAUCUCAUGGUCUAAGGAAAUGAUACUUGACAUUAGAAAAGCUUUAGCAUACGAACUACAUGAUCUUGUGCUAGGCUUAGGAUUGGGUCUUGUCCAUCACAUCAUUCUCCUAAUGAUGUGAUCCCAUUAUCAACGACAUCCAAUGUCCAUGGUCAGGAAACCGUAACCAUCUAUUGAUUAACGAGCUAGUCAACUAGAGGCUUACCAGGGACAUGGUGUUGUUUAUGUAUCCACACAUGUAUCUGAGUUUCCUAUCAAUACAAUUCUAGCAUGGAUAAUAAACGAUUAUCAUGAACAAGGAAAUAUAAUAAUAAUCAAUUUAUUAUUGCCUCUAGGGCAUAUUUCCAACAGUCUCCCACUUGCACUAGAGUCAAUAAUCUAGUUCACAUCCCCAUGUGAUUAACACUCACAGGUCACAUCGCCAUGUGACUAACACCCAAGAGUUUACUACAGUCAGUAGUCUAGCUCACAUCACUAUGUGAUUAACACUCAAUGAGUUCUUGGUUUGAUCAUGUUAUGCUUGUGAGAGAGGUUAUAGUCAACGGGUCUGAACCUUUCAGAUCCGUGUGUGCUUUACAAAUCUCUAUGUCAUCUCCUAGAUGCAGCUACCACGUUCUAUUUGGAGCUAUUCCAAAUAACUGUUCUACUUGGAGCUAUUCUAAAUUGUUGCUCCAUUAUACAUAUCCGGUAUCUCUACUCAGAGCUAUCCGGAUAGGUGUUAAGCUUGCAUCGACGUAACCCUUUACGACGAACUCUUUUACCACCUCCAUAAUUGAGAAAAUUCCUUAGUCCACUAGUUACUAAGGAUAACUUUGACCGCUGUCCUGUGAUCCAUUCUUGGAUCACUCUUGUACCCCUUGACUGACUCAUGGUAAAGCACACUUCAGGUGCGGUACACAGCAUAGCAUACUGUAGAGCCUAUGUCUUAAGCAUAGGGGACGACCUUCGUUCCUUUCUCUCUAUUCUGCCAUGGUCGAGCUUUAAGUCUUAACUUCAUACCUUACAACUCAGGCAAGAACUCCUUCUUUGACUGAUCCAUCUUGAACACCUUCAAGAUCACGUCAAGGUAUGUGCUCAUUUGAAAGUACCAUUAAGCGUUUUAAUCUAUCCUUAUAGAUCUUGAUGCUCAAUGCUCAAGCAGCUUAAUCCAGGCUUUUCCAUUGAAAAAUACUUUCCAAAUAACCCUUUAUGCUUUCCAGAAAUUCUACGUCAUUUCUGAUCAUUAAUAUGUCAACAACAUAUACUCAUCAGAAAUUCUAUAGUGCUCCCACUCACUUCUUUGGAAAUACAAGUUUCUCAUAAACUUUGUAUACACCCAAAAUCUUUGAUCAUCAUCAAAGCAUACAUUCCAACUCCGAGAUGCUCACUCCAGUCCUCAGAAGGAUUGCUGGAGCUUUGCAUACUUAUUAGCAUAUUUCAGGAUAGACAAAACCUUCCGGUUGUAUCACAUACAACCUUUCCUCAAGAAUCGUCGAGGAAACAAUGUUUUGACAUCCUAUCUGCAAGAUUUCAUAAAUAAUGUAGUAAUUGCUAAUAUAAUUCCAACAGACUCUUAGCAUCGCUACGAGUGAGAAAGUCUCAUCGUAGUCAACUCCUUGAACUUGUCGAAAAACAUCUUAACGACAAGUCGAGCUUUCUCAAUGGUGACACUUACCAUCAUUGUCUGUCUUCCUUUCAAAAUCCAUAUGUACCUAACAGCCUUACGACCAUCAAGUAGUUCUUCCAAAGUCUACACUUUGUUUUCAUACAUGGAUCCUCUCUCGGGUUUUAUGGCCUUGAGCCAUUUAUCGGAAUCCGGGCCCACCAUCGCUUCUCCAUAGCUCGUAGGUUCAUUGUUGUCUAGCAACAUGACUUCCAAGACAGGAUUACGUACCACUCUGAAGUAGUACGCAUCCUUGUCAUCCCACGAGGUUUGGUAGUGACUCGAUCCGAAGUUUCAUGAUCACUAUCAUAAGCUUCCACUUCAGUUGGUGUACGUGCCACAGGAACAACUUCCUGUGCCCUGCUACACACUUGUUGAAGUGAUGGUUCAAUAACCUCAUCAAGUCUCCACCAUCCUCCCACUCAACUUUUCGAGAGAAACUUUUCCUCGAGAAAGGACCCGAUUCAAGAAACAAUCCCUAUUGCUUUCGGAUCUGAGACAGGAGGUAUGCCCAACUGUUUUGGGUGUCCUAUGAAGAUGCAUUUUGUCCGCUUUGGGUUCGAGCUUAUCAAGCUGAAACUUUUUCACAUAAGCGUCGCAGCCCCCAAACCUUUAAGAAACGACAACUUAGGUUUCUCUAAACCAUAAUUCAUACGGUGUCAUCUCAACGGAAUUACGUGGUGCCCUAUUUAAAGUGAAUGUGGUUGUCUCUAAUGCCUAACCCAUGGACAAUAGUGGUAAUUCGAUAAGAGACAUCAUGGUAUGCAUCAUAUCCAAUAGGGUGCAGUUAUGAUGUUCGGACACACCAUCACAUUAUGGUGUUCCAGGCUGUAUUAGUUGUGAAACUAUUUCCACAAUGUCUUAAUUCUGUGCCAAACUCAUAAUUCAGAUAUUCAUCUCUAUGAUCAUAUCAUAGAUAUUUUAUCCUCUUGUUACGACGAUCUUUCAACUUCACCCUGAAAUUACUUGAACCUUUCAAUAAUUCAGACUCAUGAUUCAUCAAGUAAAUGUACUCAACAUCCACUCAAAUUAUCUGUGAAGUAAGAACAUAACAAUAUCCACUACAUGCCUCAGCACUCAUUGGACUGUACACAUCAAAAUGUAUUACUUCCAACAAGUUGCUAUCUUGUUCCAUCUUACUGAAAACGAGGCUUUUCAGUCAUCUUGCCCAUGUGGUAUGAUUUGCAUGUCCCAAGUGAUUCAAAAUCAAGUGAGUCAAAACGGUCCAUCUGCAUGGAGUUUCUUCAUGCGUAUAUACCAAUAGACAUGGUUCGCAUGUCUCAAACUUUUCAAAAACGAGUGAGUCCAAAGAUCCAUCAACAUGGAGCUUCUUCAUGCGUUUUAUACCGAUAUGACUUACGUGGCAGUGCCACACAUAGGUGGUACUAUCAUUACUAUCUUUUGGCAUGAACAUGUGUAUCACUACGAUCGAGAUUUCAAUGAACCAUUCAUUUUAGGUGCAAGACCAUUGAAGGUAUUAUUCAAAUAAAUAGAGUAACCAUUAUUCUCUUUAAAUGAAUAACCGUAUUGCGAUAGACAUAAUACAAUCAUGUCUAUGCUCAACGCAAACACCAAAUCUCGAUGGUAGAGGGAACGUGCGAUGCUUGAUCAUAUCAACGUUGGAAAUACUUCCAACACAUAUCGUCAUCUCAUGUUUAGCUAGUCUCCGUUUAUGUUGUAGCUUUUAUUUCGAGUUACUAACACUUAGCAACCGAACCGGUAUCCAAUACCCUGGUGCUACUAGGAGUACUAGUAAAGUACACAUUAACAUAAUGUAUAUCCAAUAUACUUCUAUCGACCUUGCCAGCCUUCUCAUCUACCAAGUAUCUAGGGUAAUUCUGCUCUAGUGACUAUUCCCCUUAUCACAGAAGCACUUAGUCUCGGGUUUGGGUUCAACCUUGGGUUUCUUCAUUGGAGCAGCAGCUGAUUUGCCGUUUCAUGAAGUAUCCAUUCUUGCCCUUGCCCUUCUUGAAACUAGUGGUUUCACCAACCAUCAACAAUUGAUGCUCCUUCUUGAUUUCUACUUUCGCGGUGUCAAACAUCAUGAAUAUUUCAAGGAUCAUCAUAUCUAUCCCUGAUAUGUUAUAGUUCAUCACGAAGCUCUAGCAGCUUGGUGGCAAUGACUUUGGAGAAACAUCACUAUCUCAUUUGGAAGAUCAACUCCCACUCGAUUCAAGUGAUUGUUGCACUCAGACAAUCUGAGCACAAGCUCAACAAUUGAGCUUUUCUCCCUUAGUUUGCAGGCUAAGAAAAUCGUCGGAGGUCUUAUACCUCUUGACGUGGGCACGAGCCUGAAAUCCUAAUUUCAGCCCUCGAAACAUCUCAUAUGUUCCGCGACAUUUCGAAAACGUCUUUGGUGCCUCUACUUAAACCAUUUAACUGAACUAUCACGUAGUUAUCAAAACGUGUAUGUUCGAUGUUCAUAACAUCCACAAACGACGUUUGGGGUUCAGCACACUGAGCGGUGCAUUAAGGACAUAAGCUUUCUACUGUCCGCAUAAUCGCUACUGUCAACUUUCAACUAUAUUUUCUCUAGGAACAUAUCUAAACAGUGGAACUAUAGCGCGAGUUACGACAUAAUUUGCAAAAGGUCUUUUGACUAUGUUCAGGAUAAUUAAGUUCAUCUUAUGAACUCCCACUCAGAUAGACAUCCCUCUGGUCAUCUAAGUGAUUACAUGAUCCGAGUCAACUAGGCCGUGUCCGAUCAUCACGUGAGACGGACUAGUCAUCAUCGGUGAACAUCUUCAUGUUGAUCAUAUCUACUAUACGACUCAUGCUCGACCUUUCGGUCUCCGUGUUCCGAGGCCAUGUCUGCACAUGCUAGGCUCGUCAAGUUAACCCUAAGUGUUUUCGCUGUGUAAAACUGUCUUACACCCGUUGUAUGUGAACGUAAGAAUCCAUCACACCCGAUCAUCACGUGGUGCUUAGAAGCGACGAACUGUAGCAACGGUGCACGGUUAGGGGAGAACACUUCUUGAAAUUUUGUAAGGGAUCAUCUUAUUUACUACCGUCGUCCUAAGUAAACAAGAUGCAUAAACAUGAUAAACAUCACAUGCAAUCAAAUAGUGACAUGAUAUGGCCAAUAUCAUUUUGCUCCUUUUGAUCUUCAUCUUCGGGGCUCCAUGAUCAUCAUCGUCACCGGCAUGACACCAUGAUCUCCAUCAUCAUGAUCUCCAUCAUCGUGUCUACAUGAAGUUGUCACGCCAACGACUACUUCUACUUCUAUGGCUAACGUGUUUAGCAAUAAAGUAAAGUAAGUUACAUGGCGUUCUUCAAUGACACGCAGGUCAUACAAAAAAUAAAGACAACUCCUAUGGCUCCUGCCGGUUGUCAUACUCAUCGACAUGCAAGUCGUGAAUCCUAUUACAAGAACAUGAUCAAUCUCAUACAUCACAUAUCAUUCAUCACAUUCUUCUUGGCCAUAUCACAUCACAUAGCAUACCCUGCAAAAACAAGUUAGACGUCCUCUAAUUGUUGUUGCAUGUUUUACGUGGCUGCUAUGGGUUUCUAGCAAGAACGUUUCUUACCUACGCAAGACCACAACGUGAUAUGCCAAUUGCUAUUUACCCUUCAUAAGGACCCUUUUCAUCGAAUCCGUUCCGACUAAAGUGGGAGAGACUGGCACCCGCUAGCCACCUUAUGCACCAAGUGCAUGUCAAUCGGUGGAACCUGUCUCACGUAAGAGUACGUGUAAGGUCGGUCCGGGCCGCUUCAUCCCACAAUACCGUCGAAACAAGAUUGGACUAGUAACGGUAAGCAUAUUGAACAACAUCAACGCCCACAACUACUUUGUGUUCUACUCGUGCAAAGAAUCUACGCAAUAGACCUAGCUCAUGAUGCCACUUUUGGGGAACGUAGCAGAAAUUCAAAAUUUUCCUACGUAACACCAAGAUCUAUCUAUGGAGAGACCAGCAACGAGUAGAAAGGGGAGUGCAUCUACAUACCCUUGUAGAUCGCUAAGCGGAAGCGUUCAAGUGAACGGGGUUGAUGGAGUCGUACUCGUCGUGAUUCAGAUCACCGAUGAUCCUAGUGCCGAACGGACGGCACCUCCGCGUUCAACACACGUACAGCUCGACGAUGUCUCCCACGCCUUGAUCCAGCAAGGAGAGAGGGAGAGGUUGAGGAAGACUCCAUCCAGCAGCAGCACAACGGCGUGGUGGUGAUGGAGGAGCGUGGCAAUCCUGCAGGGCUUCGCCAAGCACCUACGGGAGAGGAGGAGGUGUCACGGGAGGGAGGGAGGCGCCAAGGGCUCAGGUAUGGAUGCCCUUAACUUCGUACCUUACAACUCAGGCAAGAACUCCUUUUUUGACUGAUCCAUCUUGAACACCUUCAAGAUCACGUCAAGGCAUGUGCUCAUUUGAAAGUACCAUUAAGCGUUUUGAUCUAUCCUUAUAGAUCUUGAUGCUCAAUGUUCAAGUAGCUUAAUCCAGGUUUUCCAUUGAAAACACUUUCCAAAUAACCCUAUAUGCUUUCCAGAAAUUCUACGUCAUUUCUGAUCAUUAAUAUGUCAACAACAUAUACUCAUCAGAAAUUCUAUAGUGCUCCCACUCACUUCUUUGGAAAUACAAGUUUCUCAUAAACUUUGUAUACACCCAAAAUCUUUGAUCAUCAUCAAGCAUACAUUCCAACUCCGAGAUGCUCACUCCAGUCCUCAGAAGGAUUGCUGGAGCUUUGCAUACUUAUUAGCAUAUUUCAGGAUAGACAAAACCUUCCGGUUGUAUCACAUACAACCUUUCCUCAAGAAUCAUCGAGGAAACAAUGUUUUGACAUCCUAUCUGCAAGAUUUCAUAAAUAAUGCAGUAAUUGCUAAUAUAAUUCCAACAGACUCUUAGCAUCGCUACGAGUGAGAAAGUCUCAUCGUAGUCAACUCCUUGAACUUGUCGAAAAACAUCUUAACGACAAGUCGAGCUUUCUCAAUGGUGACACUUACCAUCAUUGUCUGUCUUCCUUUCAAAAUCCAUAUGUACCUAACAGCCUUACGACCAUCAAGUAGUUCUUCCAAAGUCUACACUUUGUUUUCAUACAUGGAUCCUCUCUCGGGUUUUAUGGCCUUGAGCCAUUUAUCGGAAUCCGGGCCCACCAUCGCUUCUCCAUAGCUCAUAGGUUCAUUGUUGUCUAGCAACAUGACUUCCAAGACAGGAUUACGUACCACUCUGAAGUAGUACGCAUCCUUGUCAUCCCACGAGGUUUGGUAGUGACUUGAUCCGAAGUUUCAUGAUCACUAUCAUAAGCUUCCACUUCUGUUGGUGUACGUGCCACAGGAACAACUUCCUGUGCCCUGCUACACACUUGUUGAAGUGACGGUUCAAUAACCUCAUCAAGUCUCCACCAUCCUCCCACUCAACUUUUCGAGAGAAACCUUUCCUCGAAAAAGGACCCGAUUCAAGAAACAAUCCCUAUUGCUUUCGGAUCUGAAUUAGGAGGUAUACCCAACUAUUUUUGGGUGUCCUAUGAAGAUGCAUUUUAUCUGCUUUGGGUUCGAGCUUAUCAACCUGAAACCUUUUCACAUAAGCGUCGCAGCCCCAAACCUUUAAGAAACGACAACUUAGGUUUCUCUAAACGGUGUCGUCUCAACGGAAUUACGUGGUGCCCUAUUUAAAGUGAAUGUGGUUGUCUCUAAUGCCUAACCCAUAAACUAUAGUGGUACUUCGAUAAGAGACAUCAUGGUAUGCAUCAUAUCCAAUAGGGUGCAACUAUGAUGUUCGGACUCACCAUCACACUAUGGUGUUCCAGGCUGUAUUAGUUGUGAAACUAUUUCCACAAUGUCUUAAUUCUGUGCCAAACUCGUAAUUCAGAUAUUCAUCUCUAUGAUCAUAUCAUAGAUAUUUUAUCCUCUUGUCACGACGAUCUUUCAACUUCACCCUGAAAUUACUUGAACCUUUCAAUAAUUCAGACUCGUGAUUCAUCAAGUAAAUAUACUCAACAUCUACUCAAAUUAUCUGUGAAGUAAGAACAUAACAAUAUCCACUACAUGCCUCAGCACUCAUUGGACUGUACACAUCAAAAUGUAUUACUUCCAACAAGUUGCUAUCUUGUUCCAUCUUACUGAAAACGAGGCUUUUCAGUCAUCUUGCCCGUGUGGUAUGAUUUGCAUGUCCCAAGUGAUUCAAAAUCAAGUGAGUCAAAAUGGUCCAUUUGCAUGGAGUUUCUUCAUGCAUAUACACCAAUAGACAUGGUUCGCAUGUCUCAAACUUUUCAAAAACGAGUGAGCCCAAAGAUCCAUCAUUAUGGAGCUUCUUCAUGCGUUUUAUACCGAUAUGACUUACGUGGCAGUGCCACAAGUAGGUGGUACUAUCAUUACUAUCUUAUAUCUUUUGGCAUGAAAAUGUGUAUCCCUACGAUCAAAAUUCAAUAAACCAUUCCUUUAGGUGCAAGAGCACUUAUUCAGGUUUAAUACUAAUCUUGAUGGUAGAGGGAGCGUGCGAUGUUAGAUCACAUCAAACUUGGAAACACUUCCAACACAUAUCGUCAGCUCACCUUUAGCUAGUCUCCGUUUUAUUCCGUAGCCUUUUGUUUCGAGUUACUAACACUUAGCAACCGAACCGGUAUCUAAUACCCUGGUGCUACUAGGAGUACUAGUAAAGUACACAUUAACAUAAUGUAUAUCCAAUAUACUUCUAUCGACCUUGCCAGCCUUCUUAUCUACCAAGUAUCUAGGGUAAUUCUGCUCUAGUGGUUGUUCCCCUUAUUACAGAAGCACUUAGUCUUGGGUUUGGGUUUUACCUUGGGUUUCUUCACUAGAGCAGCAGCUGAUUUGCCGUUUCAUGAAGUAUCCCUUCUUGCCCUUGCCCUUCUUGAAACUAGUGGUUUCACCAACCAUCAACAAUUGAUGCUCCUUCUUGAUUUCUACUUUCGCGGUGUCAAACAUUGCGAAUACCUCAAGGAUCAUCAUAUCUAUCCCUGAUAUGUUAUAGUUCAUCACGAAGCUCUAACAGCUUGGUGGCAAUGACUUUGGAGAACCAUCACUGUCUUAUCUGGAAGAUCAACUCCCACUCGAUUCAAGCGAUUGUUGUACUCAGACAAUCUGAGCACAAGCACAACAAUUGAGCUUUUCUCCUUAGUUUGCAGGUUAAGAAAGUCAUCGGAGGUCCUAUACCUCUUGACAUGGGCACGAGCCUGAAAUCCCAAUUUCAGCCCUCAAAACAUCUCAUAUGUUUCGCGAUGUUUCAAAAACGUCUUUGGUGCCUCAACUCUAAACCGUUUAACUGAACUAUCACGUAGUUAUCAAAACGUGUAUGUCAGAUGUUCGCAACAACCACAGACAACGUUCGAGGUUCAGCACACUGAGCGGUGCAUUAAGGACAUAAGCCUUCUAUGAAGCAAUGAGGACAAUCCUCAGUUUACGGACCUAGUCCGCAUAAUUGCUACUAUCAACUUUCAACUAAUUUUUCUCUAGGAACAUAUCUAAACAGUAGAACUAUAGCGUGAGCUACGACAUAAUUUGCAAAAACCUUUUGAUUAUGUUCAGGAUAAUUAAGUUCAUCUUAUGAACUCCCACUCAGAUAGACAUCCCUCUAGUCAUCUAAGUGAUUACAUGAUCCGAGUCAAACUAGGCCGUGUCCGAUCAUCACGUGAGACGGACUAGUCAUCAUCGGUGAACAUCUUCAUGUUGAUCGUAUCUUCUAUACGACUCAUGUUCGACCUUUCGGUCUCCGUGUUCCGAGGCCAUGUCUGUACAUGCUAGGCUCGUCAAGUUAACCCUAAGUGUUUCGCGUGUGUAAAUCUGUCUUACACCCGUUGUAUGUGAACGUUAGAAUCUAACACCCGAUCAUCACGUGGUGCUUCGAAACACGAACUGUCGCAACGGUGCAUAGUUAGGGGAGAACACUUCUUGAAAUUGUUGUAAGGGAUCAUCUUAUUUACUACCGUCGUUCUAAGCAAAUAAGAUGUAUAAACAUGAUAAACAUCACAUGCAAUCAAAUAGUGACAUGAUAUGGCCAUCAUCACUUUGCUCCUUUUGAUCUCCAUCUUCGGGGCUCCAUGAUCAUCAUCGUCACCGGCAUGACACCAUGAUCUCCAUCAUCAUGAUCUCCAUCAUCGUGUCUUCAUGAAGUUGUCACGCCAACGACUACUUCUACUUCUAUGACUAACGCGUUUAGCAAUAAAGUAAAGUAGUUUACAUGGCGUUCUUCAAUGACACGCAGGUCAUACAAUAAAUAAAGACAACUCCUAUGGCUCCUGUCGGUUGUCAUACUCAUCGACAUGCAAGUCGUGAAUCCUAUUACAAGAACAUGAUCAAUCUCAUACAUCACAUAUCAUUCAUCACAUUCUUCUUGGCCAUAUCACAUCACAAAGCAUACCCUGCAAAAACAAGUUAGACGUCCUCUAAUUGUUGUUUGCAUGUUUUACGUGGCUGCUAUGGGUUUCUAGCAAGAACGUUUCUUACCUACGCAAAACCACAAUGUGAUAUGCCAAUUGCUAUUUACCCUUCAUAAGGACCCUUUUCAUCGAAUCCGUUCCGACUAAAGUGGGAGAGACUGGCACCCGCUAGCCACCUUAUGCACCAAGUGCAUGUCAAUCGGUGGAACCUGUCUCACGUAAGAGUACGUGUAAGGUCGGUCCGGGCCGCUUCAUCCCACAAUACCGUCGAAACAAGAUUGGACUAGUAACAGUAAGCAUAUUGAACAACAUCAACGCCCACAACUACUUUGUGUUCUACUCGUGCAAAGAAUCUACGCAAUAGACCUAGCUCAUGAUGCCACUGUUGGGGAACGUAGCAGAAAUUCAAAAUUUUCCUACGCGUCACCAAGAUCUAUCUAUGGAGAAACCAGCUACGAGUAGAAGGAGAGUGCAUCUACAUACCCUUGUAGAUCGCUAAGCGGAAGCGUUCAAGUGAACGGGGUUGAUGGAGUCGUACUCGCCGUGAUUCAAAUCACCGAUGAUCUAGUGCCGAACGGACAGCACCUCCGCGUUCAACACACGUACAGCUCGACAAUGUCUCCCACACCUUGAUCCAGCAAGGAGAGAGGGAGAGGUUGAGGAAGACUCCAUCCAGCAGCAGCACAACGGCGUGGUGGUGAUGGAGGAGCGUGGCAAUCCUGCAGGGCUUCGCCAAGCACCUACGGGAGAGGAGGAGGUGUCACGGGAGGGAGGGAGGCGCCAAGGGCUCAGGUAUGGAUGCCCUCCCUCCCCUCCACUAUAUAUAGGGGCAGGGGAGAGGGGGGAGGCGCAGCCUUGCCCCUUCCUCCAAGGAAGGGGUGCGGCUAAGAAGGGGGGAGGAGUCCAUCCUCCCCAAGGCACCUCGGAGGUGCCUUCCCCCUUUAGGACUCUCCCCUUUUUCCUAUAUCUUGGCGCAUGGGCCUCUAGGGGCUGGUGCCCUUGGCCCAUGUAGGCCAAGGCGCACCCCCUACAGCCCAUGUGGCCCCCCGGGGCAGGUGGCCCCACCCGGUGGGCCCCCGGGACCCUUCCGGUGGUCCCGGUACAAUACCGAUUACCCCGAAACUUGUCCCGAUGGCCGAAACAGGACUUCCUAUAUAUAAAUCUUUACCUCCCGACCAUUCCGGAACUCCUCGUGACGUCCGGGAUCUCAUCCGGGACUCCGAACAACAUUCGGUAACCACAUACAAACUUCCUUUAUAACCCUAGCGUCAUCGAAUCUUAAGUGUGUAGACCCUACGGGUUCGGGAGACAUGUAGUCAUGACCGAGAUGUUCUCCGGUCAAUAACCAACAACGGGAUCUGGAUACCCAUGUUGGCUCCCACAUGUUCCACGAUGAUCUCAUCGGAUGAACCACGAUGUCAAGGACUCAAUCAAUCCCGUAUACAAUUCCCUUUGUCUAGCGGUAUGGUACUUGCCCGAGAUUCGAUCGUCGGUAUACCGAUACCUUGUUCAAUCUCGUUACCGGCAAGUCUCUUUACUCGUUCCGUAACACAUCAUCCCGUGAUCAACAACUUGGUCACAUUGUGCACAUUAUGAUGAUGUCCUACCGAGUGGGCCCAGAGAUACCUCUCCGUUUACACGGAGUGACAAAUCCCAAUCUCGAUUCGUGCCAACCCAACAGACACUUUCAGAGAUACCCGUAGUGUACCUUUAUAGCCACCCAGUUACGUUGUGACGUUUGGCACACCCAAAGCACUCCUACGGUAUCCGGGAGUUGCACAAUCUCAUGGUCUAAGGAAAUGAUACUUGACAUUAGAAAGCUUUAGCAUACGAACUACAUGAUCUUGUGCUAGGCUUAGGAUUGGGUCUUGUCCAUCACAUCAAUCUCCUAAUGAUGUGAUCCCAUUAUCAACGACAUCCAAUGUCCAUGGUCAGGAAACCGUAACCAUCUAUUGAUUAACGAGCUAGUCAACUAGAGGCUUACCAGGGACAUGGUGUUGUCUAUGUAUCCACACAUGUAUCUGAGUUUCCUAUCAAUACAAUUCUAGCAUGGAUAAUAAACGAUUAUCAUGAACAAGGAAAUAUAAUAAUAAUCAAUUUAUUAUUGCCUCUAGGGCAUAUUUCCAACAGUUUCUCCAUAGAUUGAUCUUGGUGAUGCGUAGAGAAUUUUAAUUUCUACAACGAUCCUCAACACUCUUUGGCAAAGUUUGCUCGUUUAAAAGGUAGGACUAUGACCUGGUUGGGCUUUGGGCCGCCUGAAGACAUUGAGUUGAACAAGAUUUAUUGUAAUCCUGUGUGAUGUGAAUCAUACCAGUCUUACCCGCAAAAAAAUAGAAAUAAAAAAUAGACCAUACACCUAUAUGUUAUAUCAAAUAUAUCAAACAAAAUCAUGAAAAUGGCGAUGAAAUAACUGGGAAUACCAUGUGCAACACAUAUUUAUGUCUGUCUUAGGUUUUUUAGGUGAAUGCUUUUCGUAGUUGGUGCAUAGCCUAAUACUUUAUUUAGGAGAACUUAUUAUGAAGCUUCAAUUUUUUUCUUCCAAAUCUAAAUAAAGAAAUUCCUGGUUUCCUCUAUUUUCAGAAAACCCGCACCUCCCAAAUAAAGCCACCGCCGAGGGCCUGGAUAAAAAUAACACAGGAAACCAGGGGCGGUGGGAGAGACAGCCCAACGUUCCUACGGAGGCGCACCCAGAUCGGAUCCCCCUUCCUUUCCCCUCGUCCAAGCCUUGGCCUCUUUAUAACCCCCACCCUCUAAUCAUCCCCGUCCACCAAAGCCUUCAGCCUCCCUCCCUCCCUCCCCUGCCAACCCCAAAUCUCCCCUCGCCCGUCGCAGCUCUCGAAUCCCCCCCGAGCAUCGACCAUGUCGGCCUACUGCGGAAAGUACAAGGGUAUGAUCCGUCCUCUUCCUCCUGCCCCCUCCCCCCUUGCUCGUCGUUCUCUCGAUAUGCCUGCCUUCUUCGGGUGUCGAUAGAUCUGUUACCCGUUUUGCUCUUCUGCGUGCUUAGAUCUGCCGAUGCUCGCGAUUCCGUGCCAUGGUUUGUUAGAUCCGCACUCGCGGGUUAGAUCCGUACGCGCUGUGUUUGGUUCUAGCUCGUUCGAGGCGCUGGCAGUUGGAUCGGGUGCCCAGGGGAUCGUCGGUUGCGUCCGAUGAUGCGUUGCAUGCUGAUAAUUCUGUAGUUUGCUGCUGCUGUUAGGCGCAUGCUGGUGAUUAUUUUGUGCGAAUGAUUAUACUGGCGUUCCUUCCUUUUCUAGUAGUUUGUGGUUAGGUUGAUUUACACAUCUGCACAUGUUUCUGUUGGGUUCGUGGUAGUGGUAAUUAAUUCUGGUUUUAGUUAUUGAAGGUUGCAUCUGUAAAUCUAGAUCUGUAUAGGUCCUAGGGGCAUAUUUUUCUAAGGAAUAUACCGUUCUUAUAAAUAUAGUCAAGCUGUAUGUUUUGCUCUCCUGUAAUGUUGAUUAUUAGUUGCACUUGCCCUUAUGUUUACCACCUUCCUGUUGCGCAUGUGCAAUGUUUUAGAAAAUUGUUGAAAUUUUGUACUCAAUUGUCAGAAUUAUGUUAGUAAAUUUGAUUUGCAUUUGCUGUUAUGCUUGCUAAACAUUGUGAAUGGUUGCACCAACUUGCAGCUCUGUAGAUUUGAGCACAAUUUAUAAUAUAUUUACAGUUAUGGCAAUUGAUUGUAAUACUCUUGGUUGAUUAUCUUGCAGAUGAGCUCAUCAAGAACGCUGCCUACAUCGGCACCCCUGGCAAGGGUAUCCUCGCUGCUGAUGAGUCCACCGGCACCAUCGGCAAGCGCUUUGCCAGCAUCAAUGUUGAGAACGUUGAGGACAACCGUCGUGCCCUCCGUGAGCUCCUCUUCUGCACCCCUGGUGCCCUCCAGUACCUCAGCGGCGUGAUCCUGUUUGAGGAGACCCUGUACCAGAGCACCAAGGGUGGCAAGCCCUUCGUCGACAUCCUCAAGGCGGGCAAUGUCCUCCCUGGCAUCAAGGUGGACAAGGGUACCAUUGAGCUUGCUGGAACCAACGGUGAGACCACCACCCAGGGCUUUGAUGACCUUGGCAAGCGCUGCGCCAAGUACUAUGAGGCUGGUGCCCGCUUCGCCAAGUGGCGUGCAGUCCUCAAGAUCGGCGCCACUGAGCCAUCGCAGCUCUCCAUCGACCAGAACGCUCAGGGUCUGGCUCGCUAUGCCAUCAUCUGCCAGGAGAAUGGUCUGGUGCCCAUUGUGGAGCCUGAGAUCCUUGUUGAUGGACCUCAUGACAUUGACCGCUGUGCUUACGUCACCGAGAUCGUCCUUGCUGCCUGCUACAAGGCCCUCAACGACCAGCAUGUCCUCCUCGAGGGCACUCUCCUGAAGCCCAACAUGGUCACCCCUGGUUCUGACUCCAAGAAGGUGGCCCCUGAGGUGAUUGCUGAGUACACCGUCCGCACCCUCCAGAGGACCGUCCCUGCUGCCGUCCCCGCCAUUGUCUUCCUCUCUGGUGGACAGAGCGAGGAGGAGGCGACCCUGAACCUGAACGCCAUGAACAAGCUCCAGACCAAGAAGCCCUGGAACCUGUCCUUCUCCUUCGGGCGUGCCCUCCAGCAGAGCACCCUCAAGGCCUGGUCCGGCAAGACGGAGAACGAGGAGAAGGCCAGGGCGGCGUUCCUGGUGAGGUGCAAGGCCAACUCCGAGGCCACCCUCGGCACCUACAAGGGCGACGCCACCCUCGCUGAGGGCGCCUCCGAGAGCCUCCACGUCAAGGACUACAAGUACUGAUUGAUCUGCCUUCGGUGCUGUGGCCCGUUUGGGCGUCCCGCUUACCAGUAUCAUUGUCAUUGUUUGGUUUCCUGAGUCCUGAUAUAUCCUCGGAUAUCGAACAUCGUUUUUAAUAAUAUGGAACUUGUGUUUUCAUAAUACCGUAGUAGUUUCUUUUUGGAGUUGAAGUACCCUGAAAAUCGGGUGCUGCGUAUCGUAAAUUGGAGCAGGUUUUUGUUCCAUGGUCCUGUAAUUUACCUGCUCAUACAAUGUUAAAACCUGUCAUAUGCUGAGUACACAUGUGUUCCGUCACUUUUUUCUUGCUUGGCUAUCGUUAAGUUUCAUUCAUGAAACGUGAUUGCGCUGAGGCGUCUGGAUUUUCCUUCGUCAGUUUGAUGCACGACUUUCAAGAUUUUGAUAAUGAAGGCAAAAAUACUGCCACUUCCUUCCUUGAUGUCAUGUACUCCCUCAGUUCCUAAAUGCAGUAUAAGUCUAGACAUUCCACUUAUAUUUAGGAACAGAUUUGAAGGCACAUAGCAGCAGAUUCCAAUCGACGUCCUCAUCCAGCAAAUCCAUCGACCAGUUCCUGAAAGAUCUCAAACCUGUAAAUUACACAUCUACAGGUUUGACAGUGCCAUUGAAGUAAUAAACGCAAUUCAAAUCUAUGUACAUGAACCACCUGCCUUUUGGAUAGUAAGCUGUAAGCCCUUGGGCACAAGACACUGUAUUCCAUCGCCCCGCAGCUUUGUACCAAAGACAAAUUAGAGACGAAUGGAAAGUUGCUCAAUAACACUAAAUUAAAGGCUAGCAGAUGAUACAAGACCCCAUGUAAGAAUAUUUUGUCAGUACAUAACUCAAACACGAACAUCUUACUGAAAGCACAAGUUCUUCGAAUCAUCUUGCUCAAUGACUUAUAAUAGAAUUGGGACAGGGACACCACCAAUAGUCCAAUACUAAUGCAAACAAAGAUCUCUUUCUCUAUCCUAACAACACCACGAGAGGAAACGCCUUCAUCCGAUCAUCUAAAAAACAGAGCACCCGAGCCUAUAACAUAGGAAUCACAUGCAUGAAAGGAAAAGACUGAACCAAUCAACCCCCAAACAAAAUAGUAAGCUCACCACAAUCAUAUACUAGUAUAUACAUGUACCUUUUCAUCCGCAAGGGAACAUAAACCUACCUACGAAUUCCUCCUAAAACCAUCUUGAUCCAACUAAAAAAUUUCACAGGAGAAAACUUCAAACCGGUAUGACCUUUCCAGAAAGAAAAAUAAAUACUCAAUAAGCAAGAUGGAUGUUUUGCACAAAAACAACAAUAGAACAAAAAAGUACUCCCUCCGUCCUAAAAUAAGUGUCUCAACUACAACGGAGGGAGUAACUGAAUGACUUUAGAUCACAGGACUAUGCUUUUACGCCAUGAACAAAUAGGAGAAAAGGAUGAAUAGGCUAAUAAAUAUACACACCUUUGCAUCAACACUAUGUCUGGUUGAGAUAACAUUCAAAGACAACAACAGUGGCAUAAAAAGCCCAACUUCACACUCAUAAAUUAUUAGAUCCAGUUAGGGCACACAAUGUUUUUGAAAUGAGCACCUCUCAACCCCAACCUAGCGGCUGCACCGCAGCGGCGGCAGCCACUGCGGCCCCGUCGCACACCACCCCACCGGCCACCUGAUGGUGUCCUGGACUAGGGGGUGCUUGACACGUCUACUCCCGACCAUAUGGGAUGGCGUUCCUGGUGAGGUGCAAGGCCAACUCUGAGGCCACCCUCGGCACCUACAAGGGCGACGCCACCCUCGGCGAGGGCGCCUCCGAGAGCCUCCACGUCAAGGACUACAAGUACUGAUCUAUCUGCCUUCGGUGCUGUGGCCCGUUUUGGCAUCCCACUUUUCAUUGUUUGGUUUUCGGAUAUCGAACAUCGUUUUUAAUAAUAUGGAACUUGUGUUUUCAUAAUACCGUAGUAGCUUAUUUUUGGAGUUGAAUUACCCUGUAAAUUGGGUACUACGUAUCGUAAAUUGGAGCAGGUUUUUGUUCCAUGGUCCUGUAAUUUACCUGCUCAUACAAUGGUAAAACCUGUUAUAUGCUGAGUACACAUCUGUUCCAUCGUUUUUUCUGAUUUUAAAGGCGCCUGAACUAUUUUGGGCGUCACUCCUUCCGCUUCGCGCGAGUGGAGCGCUGGCAAGCCGUGAGCGGAAUCAAUCCUAACACUUGGCCCGAUUUUUUUUCUUUCUAUUUUGUUUUAUGGUCUUUUACAUUUAGUUGAAGAUUUUAGUGAUGCUGAAAAUUAAAGGGACAUUGCUGAGUAGCACUACGCAUUUCGUACACAACAGGAACUACGUACAGUACUUCUUGAAAGAAAAACAGUGCAUUUUCUUCCUGCAAAUAAGUGUUCCCUCCGUAAACUAGUAUAAAAGCGUUUAGAUCCCAAAAUGCUCUUGUGAGCUUGAUCUCACAUGCACCCUUUGUUACAGUAAAAUUGAAAAAAUAUUUUAAAAGUUAAAAAAUCUAUUUUUUUUACAACAAACAUUGAUGUCAUUUUCACGUGCGUGCAAAAUUUCAAUGACAAAAUGACAUUCAUGCAAAUCUCGGUAAAAAUAAUCAAUGCUUCAAAAACAGUUUUUUCAAUCUUUUUUGCCGAGGCCUCCACAAUGUUAUUUUAUCACGAAAAUUGGCACGCAUGUGAAACACACAUCAAUGUUUGUUGCCAAAAAAAUUCAGUUUUUUUUCAAUUUUACUGUAGCAAAGGAUGAACUCACAUACUCCAUGUCCCGUUUAGAUCACUCUAAACUCUUUUAUAUUAGUUUACAGAAGGAGUAAUUAUCAGCAUCAAUCACUACUCCGAUUCUCACCUGCUGUCUCUCCCGAAUCGCCUAUGGCUUUGUUUGUUUCAGCUAUACGUAGCAAAAAUCAGAAGUUGAAAAACAACUGAAUCGGAACAUUCGGAUGUAAAGACCAUGUCCGCCCGUGUUGACAUUUCAGGUCCUGUUUUACGUGUAAUCACAGUGACUCGGGGUGUUUUUCUUUUCUUCUAAAACCCCUCACAUAACUUAUUUUGAGAUGAAGGAAGUAUUAAUUAAAUAAAAUCAUCCAUUAUAGUUUUCACCACACAUGACAGAACACUAUUAACACAUCAUCACAUCUAUUAACAAAGCUAACCCCCUCGCAUAUACUCUCUCCGUUUCAAAAAUAAUUUUUACAUCAACAGUCAAACUUAUCAUUUCCAAAAAAGGAAAUCCCCAAAACACAUUCAGUUUCCAAAAUAAUAGGCUUGUGGAGAUUGAUACUGAUGUAAAGACCAACGAAUUUGAUGAUGCCUUCUCAUGGAUGGAGGUUAAAAGUCAGAGGUCUAAAAAGUGUCAAGCUAAAAUUUCCACUAGAUUUAGAUGAUAGGUCUAUUUUGGAAUGUGAGAGGGCUUAAUGGCCCUCACAAGAUCACAAAGGUGCAGGAGCUCAUUAGAUCUCACUGCCCUGACUUUGUUUGCUUAUCUGAAACAAAGAAAACUGAGUUUAGUAUUACUCAGCUAGAGGCUAUAGACUCUAGAAAUGGUUUUAUUUGGAAUUGGUUGCCUGCUAAUAACACUACUGGAGGCUUAUUAGUGGGGGUCAAGGAAGAUAAAUUUGAGAUUAUAGCUUGUAAUGUAUUCACUUACAGUAUCUCCCGUUUGAUGAAGAACAAGUGUAAUAACACUGUUUGGAGGCUUAUCUCUGUUUAUGGUUAUGCUUAUGAUGAAUUUAAGCUUGAUUUUAUUAAUGAGCUCCAUAACCUCCUAAAUAACUGGACUGGGCCCACUAUUAUGGGUGGAGACUUUAAUUUGGUUAGAGCUGCUGAGGACAAGAACACUGGGCUAGUCAUCCAGCAUUGGGCUGAUCUUUUCAAUGACUGGAUUAAUAAAUUUGGCCUCAUUGAGAUUAAGAAUGCUGGUAGGAAGUUUACUUGGGCCAAUAACCAAGACAAUCUAGUCAUGGCUGCUUUAGAUAGGAUUUUUGUCUCUGCUGACUGGGAAAGACUUUUUCCUGCUAGCCAGGUUAAAACUCUUCCUAGAAUUGGGAGUGAUGAAACUUCCCUCAUUUUCAACUCUGAUGCUAUUUCCAUUCCUAAGAAUAAAGUUUAUAGAUUUGAAAAGUGGUGGCUAGAAGUUCCUGGCUUUGAUGAGAUUGUUCACAAAGCUUGGAGUGUUGAUUGUAAGUACUCCUCUGCUAUUGAUAUUUGGCAGUUCAAGAUCAGGAAUACUAGGAAAGCCACCAAGGGGUGGAGUCUCAAUUAUGAGGCUUCCCAAAACAGGACUAAGCAAGCUUUAGUUGCUGAAUAUAAUUGUAUAGACAUUCUUGUAGAAACUCAGCCUCUGUCCCCUAAUUCUAAAGCUAGAAUUAAAGUGAUUGCAGGUGAUUUAAAUGAGAUUUGGAAGAAAGAGGAAAUCAAGGCCAGGCAGAGAGCUAGGGAGAGAGACAUUAGGGAGGGGGAUCUAAACUCUGACUACUUUCAAGCCCUAGACAAUCAGAAGAGAAGGAAGAAGCAUAUUGCUGUGCUCGAAACUGCUGCUGGCCCAGUUGAAGACACUGAAGGUAUUAUUGCUAAUGUAGUAGAUUAUUAUAAAAAUCUCUUUGGCUACUCUCCUGCUAUAAAUCUUAAACUUGUUGAUGAUUUUUGGGAUCAGUCUAGCAUGGCUACUGCUGAUCAUAUUGAGUUCUUGGAAAAACCUUUUACUGAAGAAGAAAUUAAGAAUGCAGUUUUUGGCUCAUAUGCUGAAGGUGCUCCUGGACCUGAUGGUUUUCCAUUUUUAUUUUAUCAACAUUUCUGGGAUCUCAUUAAAAGUGACUUGUUUGCACUUUUUAGAGAUUGGGAGAAGGGGGAGAUGGACUUGUACAAGCUCAACUUCUCCCUUCUGACCCUUGUCCCAAAGGAACCAAAUGCUGUUUCUUUGGACAGGUUCAGACCCCUUUCCAUGAUUAAUUGUAGUUUCAAGAUCUUUGCAAAAUGUGCUGCUAAUAAGCUAGGCCUAGUUUGCAAUGAUUUAAUCUCUCCUAAUCAAACUGCUUUUAUCAAAGGCAGGUUUAUAUUGGAGAGUAUUGUUUCAGCCCAUGAGGUGGUUCAUGCUGUAGCAGCAACCACCUCCAGGGAUUUUGUUUUAAGCUUGCUUAUGAAAAAGCUUAUGACAUGGUGAAUAUAGAUUUCCUUUUGGACAUACUUAGGAGAAGAGGCUUUGGCCCUAAAUGGAUGUACAAAUUAGGCUCCCUACUUCACAAUGGGUCUGUUGGGGUCAGGAUUAAUGACACCAAUAGUGAGUUUUUUAUUGCAGGCAAAUGUGUGAGGCAGGGUGAUCCUGCCUCACCCUUGCUUUUAAUCUUGCUGCUGAUGUGUUCACUAGAAUACUAGCCAAAGCUGCUAAUCAGAACAUGAUUGCCGGGGUUUUUCCUCCUUCUAACCCAGCUGGGGUCAUAAGCAUGCAAUAUGCUGAUGAUACCCUCCUGUUUUUAGAUAAGAAUUUAGAGCACGCUAGGAAUUUAAAGUGGCUCCUUUCUUGUUUUGAGCAACUUUCUGGGAUGAGGAUCAACUUUCAUAAAUGUGAUCUGGUUCCUAUUAAUAUUGAUAGGGAUGAGGCUACUAGUUUUGCUCAGUCUUUGGGUUGUAAACUAAGUUCUUUCCCCAUUAAAUAUCUGGGUGCUCCCCUCCACUACUCUAAAAUUAGAAGAGAGGACCUCCAGCCUUUGGUUGACACUAUUAUUAAAAGAGCAGCUGGCUGGAGGGGGAGGCUGUUAUCCUUUGGUAAGAGGUUGAUUCUGGUCCAAGCUUGCCUAGCCAGCAUCCCUUCUUAUCUUAUGGGAUAUAUUAAAUUCCCCAAGUGGGCUAUUAAGCUUAUUAACUCUCAACUGGCACAUUGCUUUUGGGAUGAUUAUGAAGGUCAUCACAAAUAUCACCUAGCUAGUUGGGGGUCGCUUACUAUGAAAAAGAUGUAUGGUGGGUUAGGGAUUACUGAUCUCUCUUAUAUGAACUUAUGUUUGCUUGCUUCUUGGGUCAGCAGAUAUAAUAGAGAUGAGGGUAAGAUCUGGAAAAGCAUAAUAGGUGCUAAGUAUGAUACCCAGUCCCCCAACAUUUUUACUUGCCCUUAUGCUGGUGCUUCACCUUUCUGGAAAGGUGUUCUUUGGGCUGCCCAAGCUACUAAGUUUGGCUACUCCUGGAAUGUUGGCAAUGGUAAGAAAGUCUGGUUUUGGGAGGAUCACUGGUUUGGGUCGCCCCCCUAGCUACUCUAUACUGAGACUUAUAUAACAUUGCCAAUGAGCACGACUGUACCUUAGACCAAGUUUGGGAUGGCUCUAACCUUAAGAUUACUUUUAUGAGAUGUUUUUCUAGUGAGCUUCUCUUUUUGUGGUUUGAGCUAGUAGAGAUUGCUAAAUCCAUCCUCUUUUCUUCGGAUGAGGACUCGCUUAUUUGGGACCUUAAUCCCAGCGGGGUUUACUCUAUAAAAUCUUUGUAUAAUGUAGUUAAUUUUAGGGGUGUGCUUCCUAAAAACACUCCUGCUAUGUGGAAAAUCAAGAUCCCUGCCAGGAUUCAUAUUUUUCUAUGGCUGGUGGUUGACAACAAGAUUUUGACCAGGGAUAACUUGGGUAAAAGACAGAAUGUUCCUGACUUAUCUUGUGCAUUCUGUUCGUGUGAUGAAUCUUGUCACCAUUUAUUUUUUGGCUGCGAGGUUGCGACUGAAUUCUGGAGAAACAUCUCUAGAAUCACUGGAUACAGAGGGACAACCAACAUGCUUUCCUUCUCGGACUGUUGGUCUAGAGGAAGUAAUAUGAGUGCUACAAAUAUUGUGCAUGCAGCCGGCCUCCGGGCCAUCUGGAAUACCAGGAAUGACUUAAUUUUUAACCGCGCCAAAUGGCUUAAUACACAGGUGCUGUGGCGCAAGACGGCCUCAUAUGCUGCACGGUGGGAACCUCUAUCUGUAGACCCUGUUAAAAAGCAAAUUCAAAACAUGGUGCGGGAGCUAGAGAUUCUGAUCAAAGCUCCAUUACCGCUGAUGUGGCCGGAUCCAGGCUGAGGAGCUGGGUGCAGUUUUUGUUUUUAGCUGUUAAAAUGAGCUUGUGGCUCUGAAGUUAGACAGGGGAGGUGGCUAGUUUUCAUUGCCCUUAAUUUGUGGCCGUCUUCCUUGUAAUAGCUGGCUGCUAGCUUAUAUUUUCCCUUUGCUUUAGUGUGCGAUAGUGUUACAUUUGUAGUUUCUUUGAUGUACUGGACUGUUGUGAUUUCUUUGCUUGGCAAUGGAAUCGGGGCUGGGCCCUCUUCUUCUAAAAAAAAUAAAGACCAACGAGGAUGCCUCUUAGUUUCGCUUCAUUGACCCUAUGGCAUGCCCCAAUAUAAUCCCAAGAGGAAAAGAUAAUUUCUCCAUUAUGGUUCCUGGCAAUCACCCCACACUCGCAGCAUCCAUGACCUCCACAAAACUUGCGUCGACAUUAAUCUUAGUGAACUCCGAAGUGGGAGGCUGCCAAGCAACUAAUUAUUGCCUUUCUUUCAAUAUGGAGAAGUACAAAAAUACGAAGUAUAAUUGCUUCCACUCCAUUUAAAUUGAAAAGCCCAUCUUUAAUGUCGCUUCAACACCUUCAUAUGCCAUGUAAACCACAUCCUCCCUCCGUCCACAAAUAUAAGAUAUUUUGGAUAUUUUAAUAUAGACUAUAUAUACACUGAAAUGAGCGAACAAAUACACUAAAGCAUGUGUGUAUACACUCGAUUCAGAAAAGAGUUAGAACAUCUUAUAUUUGUGAGCGGAGGGAGUAUAACAUUGUUUAGUUAAUACAAGUGAAACACCUAAAAUAAAAUGUGGAAUAAUUCGGGCGAUUAUAUUAGUCAGGGCUCUAGCCAAUCCCUGUCCCCACUCACAACAGCUGGGUCUGACUCAGAGCUUCGGCCUGACUCAUGGUUUGUGUACAACUCAGUGAGGUGGCUCGUUGGACUUGCUUGCAGCGUGUGAGAAGUAACGUGAGCUAUCUAACUUUACCAGCACAUCCAGUGAAAUGCGCUUCUCAUAGGAGUGUGCCAUUGCAUACGACAUCAAAAGCGAUAUUCAUAUACCAGGGUAUAUCAGUACACCCUUGUAACAUUUUUAAUCUAUUCAAAUAGCCAUGCCCAUGUUUAUGGACGUCUUGCUAAUUUUGUACUUAAUCAUAGAAGAACUUCAACAAGUAAUUAAUAAAACUUGCCAAAUGUAUGAGUGCCUUGGGGAUUCUUCUUUGGGUGAUGCGAAGGGGGAUGCAAGGCAACUUUAUGUUUGCGGACAGGUUAGGUGGAUACAUUACAUGACUUUUAUAUGUUUACUUACCUCAUAUAUGGUCUCUUAACUUAUCUCAUCUCUGAUAGACGCAAGUUGUAGCAUGGCUCUGUAGAAUGCUCGUGCUUGCUGCUGCUCAAACCAUAUAGCCCUAAUUUUGAUAAUGUUGCAUACUUAGUAUAGAUCUGAUGUAAGUCUUGUGGAGUAUGUCAUGUACGCGCCCUUGCUAUUCAAUAAACUUGUAGCUUUUAGGACAUGUAUGGUGAAGGGCGCCGUUAGCUAUGGUUAUCCUAGGCAGUGGUCUGGAAAGGGGUAUGACUACCAUUUGAUUUUUCUUUAAGGCCUUCUUAAGCCUUACACACCUCCAGAUGCUAUAUUCUAAACAUCGUUUUAAAGAAAAAUGCUUGAAAUAGCCCAAAAUUAAAGGAUUUCAACAAGACUAAAUGAUAUAGUUCAAUAACAAAGGACUAGACAAUUUUAAGGUAGCUUGACAUUAAUAAGCCAUGGGGCAACAACACAACAAAAAUUACGUAUUAAGAAUUAGGUGCCACCGGAAUCUCCAUUAAUAGACAAUCACUUAUCCCUGCCCACCGCGGAAGUACUCAAGGUAGCAAGCUAGUUAGGCUAGUCAUAGUGGGGAGUAACUUAGACUAGUAACAUGCAUAUGUUACUAGUCUAUGUUACUACCUCCAUAGUGGGUAGUGUUAUAGAUGUGGUAACAUAGAGUGCUUCAUUUAUUACUUUGUAGACUCAUUUUACAUUGAAAAUCGCUAUGUGAUGGUAACAUAUUAUGUUACUCCAUUUGCAUCUCUCCUCAUUAAUUACUUGCCACAUCAUAUUUUUUGCCUAUGUGGCAUGCAUGUUACUACCUAUGUUACUCCCACUAUGAGCAGCCUUAAAAAAUGAUGAUCAAUCACCUGCCAGGAGUUAAUGUGGAUAACUUAUAGGUUGCAAGUUUGCAACACAUCGGUACCAAACACACUAACACAUUCGGAUCCAACACGCACAUCAGAGAUCUGCAAGCACAAAGAACUCGCCUAGUGCCUCACUUGCCGGCGACGCAGCUGACCGCGUUAUCAUGCCGCCACAUACUGGGGAAGACCAGCGGGGAAUGGAAGACGACUAGUCGAGCUAGAGGAAGCAGCAGUAGCCGCCGCCGUCGUCGUCGUACAUAAGAGUGUGGUCGGGUGGAUAAUGGAGAAAUGGAGUUUUGGGGAGUGGGAGCUCUUGGUGGGGUGGAAGAUUCGGUACUUUUCCAAUUUUGGCUUGGUCACACUCGAUUCAUUGGGUUGAUGGGCUCCAAAAAAUAGUCUGCUACAUGCUAUCCCCUUUUAGCGCAAUAUAGCGUGCUAUUUUGCGAAUAGUGCCAUAGUGUUGGUGUCCUGGAUUAGGGGGUGCUUGCCAUGCCGGCCAGCUAGUUAUGUGCCGGGCCGAGGACCCACCGAAGACUAAUGAAUGGGCCAUGCUGGCCCUGGCCCUCGACGCAGCCAAGACGAAGAUCUCCUGGAGGCUUGACGCACACUUCAAGCAUAUUUGAAUGAUCAGCAUGCUUAUCUGUAAAUUGUAGCCGACCAUGUGUAAACCCUAGGUACCACUGGCAUUUAUAUAAGCCGUGGGGUUUAGUCUGUAGAGACGCAUACGUAGUUUUAGAGCUUAGAACAUCUUCAUAUGAUCUCGAGGUAGAUCAUCUUGUACCUUGUACCUAUUACAAUCAAUAUAUAAGAAGCAUGAUAUAGGGUUUUACCUCAUCAAGAGUGCCCGAACCUUGGUAAAACACCAUGUCCCUACUUCUCCUAUUACCAUUUAGCUCAGGUCGCCAAGCUUGGGACCCCCUACCCGAGAUUUGCUAGUUUUAGCACCGACACAUAGCGAGCAAAAGGGUUCUCCCCAUAUGCUAUAGAGUGCUAAUUUUUCUGUAUCCUCCUAGCCUUGAAGGCCAAGGAAGGAGUCGUGUACACCACAGUUAGCAGUCGAGUGACGAACGUCCCAAAAUCCAGCAUGGACCCCGUGGAGAAGAUGGACAAAGGGCUAUCAAGGUGCUUCUCAGCCAUGGUGAUCGCCUUGAGUAGAAUGAAGUAGAAGGUUGGUGACUCGGCCAUGCUGAGCAACCGGGUCUUCAUGAAGGCUGACUCAUUAGUGGGGGACGCCAAGGGUGAGGAACCCGGAGGAGAGUGGGGUCAUCGGGAGGUAGUAGGAGAGUUGCCUCUCGUACAUCAUGACUUCACACCGCCACAACACCCGAGGAGGUCGUCGAGCCUAGGUACAAGUCUUCGGAGUGGUUGCAGCCAAGUGAUACGUCUCCAACGUAUCUAUAAUUUUUGAUUGCUCUAUGCUACUUUAUCUACUGUUUUGGACUAUAUUGGGCUUUAUUUUCCACUUUUAUAUUAUUUUUGGGACUAACCUAUUAACCGGAGGCCCAGCCCAGAAUUGCUGUUUUUUGCCUUAUUCAGUAUUUCGAAGAAACAGAAUAUCAAACGAAGUCCAAAUGGAAUGAAACCUUCGGGAUCGUGAUUUUCCAAACGAACGUGAUCCAGGAGACUUGGACCCUACUCCAAGAAGCUUCCGAGGAGGUCACGAGGGUGGAGGGCGCCCCCCUGGGCGCGCCCCCUACCUCGUGGGCCCCUCGGAGCUCCACCGACAUACUCCUUCCUCCUAUAUAUACCUGCGUACCCCCGAACGAUCAGAACAGGAGCCAAAAACCUAAUUCCACCGCCGCAACCUUCUGUACCCAUGAGAUCCCAUCUUGGGGCCUGUUCCGGAGCUCCGCCGGAGGGGGCAUCCACCAUGGAGGGCUUCUACAUCAUCACCAUAGCCCCUCCUAUGAAGUGUGAGUAGUUUACUUCAGACCUUCGGGUCCAUAGCUAGGAGCUAGAUGGCUUCUUCUCUCUUUUUGGAUCUCAAUACAAUGUUCUCCUCCUCUCUCGUGGAGAUCUAUUCGAUGUAAUCUUCUUUUUGCGGUGUGUUUGUUGAGACCGAUGAAUUGUGGGUUUAUGAUCCAGUAUUAUCUAUGGAAAAUAUUUGAUUCUUCUCUGAAUUCUUUUAUGUAUGAUUGAGUUAUCUUUGCAAGUCUCUUCGAAUUAUCUUUUUGGUUUGGCCAACUAGAUUGGUAGUUCUUGCAAUGGGAGAAGUGCUUAGCUUUGGGUUCAAUCUUGCGGUGUCCUUACUCAGUGACAGAAAGGGUUGCAAUGCACGUAUUGUAUUGUUGCCAUCGAGGAUAACAAGAUGGUUUUUUUUAUCAUAUUGCAUGAAUUUAUCCCUCUACAUCAUGUCAUCUUGCUUACGGCGUUACUCUGUUUUACUUAAUACUCUAGAUGCAUGCUGGAUAGCGGUCGAUGAGUGGAGUAAUAGUAGUAGAUGCAGAAUCGUUUCGAUCUACUUGUUUUGGACGUGAUGCCUAUAUACAUGAUCAUUGCCUACUCAUAACUAUGCUCAAUUCUGUGAAUUGCUCAACAGUAAUUUGUUCACCCACCGUAGAAUACUUAUGCUCUUGAGAGAAUCCACUAGUGAAACCUAUGGCCCCUGGGUAUGUUCUCAUCAUAUCAAUCUAUAUCACUUUAUUUACUUGCUUUGUUUUUACUUUGCUUUUACUUUUACUUUGCAUCUAUCUAUCAAAAAUACCAAAAAUAUUAUCUCUAUCAGAUCUCACUCUCGUAAGUGAUCGUGAAGGGAUUGACAACCCCUAAGCGUUGGUUGCGAGUUGCUAUCGUUUUGUGUAGGUACGAGGGACUUGUGCGUGGUCUCCUACUGGAUUGAUACCUUGGUUCUCAAAAACUGAGGGAAAUACUUACGCUACUUUACUGCAUCAUCCUCUCCUCUUCGGGGAAAUCCAACGCAGUGCUCAAGAGGUAGCAAGAAGAAUUUCUGGCGCCGUUGCCGGGGAGGCUCACACAAGCAAGUCAACCAUGCCAAGUACCCAUCGCAAUCCCUAUCUCUCGCAUUACAUUAUUUGCCAUUUGCCUCUCGUUUUCCUCUCCCCCACUUCACCCUUGUCGUUUUAUUUGCCCUCUCUUUCCCAAUCUCCUCCUCUCUUUUCGUUUGCCUUUUCCCGUUGCCUUUCUGUUGAUCUUGUGUUAGUUUGCUUGCCAUCAUGACUAGUUUCAUAUCGUCUCCGUUAUCUCCCGAGAAUGAGGUCUUAAAUUUUAAACAAAGAGAGGGAGAAAAUCUAAAAGAUGCUUGGUAUAGAAUUUGCAAUGCUCAAAAUAAAUCUACCAGGAAGCAAUCUACCUCAGUUCUUCUUCGCAAUUUUUACGUAGGUGCUAAUCCUUGGUAUAGAUAUAUCCUUGAUACCAUUACCGGAGGGAAUUUUUUGGGUAGCCAUACUUUUGAUUCUUAUAAUGCUUUAAUAGAUAUAUUUGGUUCACCGCCCCUUUUGAUUAAUGGAACUACGUUAACUUUGGAGCAUGUUAUGCAAAGGCUUGAAGCUAUUGAAAAUAAAGUUGCUACCAUUGAAUCAAUUGAAAAUCUUGAUAAAAAGAUCCACAAUCAAAUUACCCAAUAUGGAUCUAAGGUAGGAAUGACUUUGAAAAAUAUUAAAGAAAAAGAACCCCUUGUUAAUGAAAAAAUAAAUCUAGAUUCCACAAGAAUCGAUAAACUUGAGGGUAUCAUUACCAACUUGGGAACCGCUUUUUCUUCCGUUCAAAACACUCCAAGUUCUUCUACUAAAAAUAUUAAGCUUAUUUAUGUUCCUAAGAAUAAGGGUGAAUCAUCUAGUAAGGAAACUGCGGAUCUUAAAUCUAUAAGUGUUCAUCCCAAUCUUUUUUCUACCAUUAAGGAACAAUUUGCUAUAGAUGAGUUCUUUGAUCUUUUGCCCGAAAAUUUGUCAAUUACUAGGAAUAAAGAAAACUCUAAAGGAGGUAAUUGCCUUAUUGAAGAAUUGCCUACCAAAGAUGGCAAUACCUAGAUCUAUCCUUGCUUUUAUGCCUAGCUAAGGGCGUUAAACGAUAGUGAUUUUUGGGAGGCAACCCAAUUUUAUUUUGUGUUUCUUGUUUUUGGUUCUGUUUAGGAAUAAAUAAUCCAUCUACCUUCUGUUUGGAUGUGGUUUUAUGUUUUAAUUAGUGUUUGUGCCAAGUAGGACCUAUAGGAUAACCUACGAUGAUAGUUGAUUUGAUUCUGCUGAAAAACAGAAACUUUGCGCGCACGAAUUUAGUUAUGAUAAAUCACAGGAACGUGAUUUUGCGUUGAUUCUUUUUUCUGCUGAUCAAUAAACAUAUUUUCCAGGACUUCCUAUUUUUGUAGAAUUUUUAGAGUUCUAGAAGUUUGCGUUAGUUACAGAUUGCUACAGACUGUUCUGUUUUUGACAGAUUCUGUUUUUCGUGUGUUGUUUGCUUAUUUCAAUGCAUCUAUGGCUAGUAAUUCAGUCUAUGAACCAUAGGGAAGUCGGAAUACAUUAGGUUUAACACCAAUAUAAAUAAAUAAUGAGUUCAUUACAGUACCUUGAAGUAGUCUUUUUUUUUCUUUCUCUAACGGAGCUCACGACAUUUCUGUUGAGUUUUGUGUUGUGAAGUUUUCAAGUUUUGGGUGAAUUCUUUUGAUGGAUUAUGGAACAAGGAGUGGCAAGAGCCUAAGCUUGGGGAUGCCCAUGGCACCCCCAAGAUAAUCCAAGGACACCAAAAAGUCAAAGCUUGGGGAUGCCCCGGAUGGCAUCCCCUCUUUCAUCCACUUCCAUCGGUAAUUUACUUGGAGCUAUAUUUUUAUUCACCAACAUGAUAUGUGUUUUGCUUGGAGCGUCUUGUAUUAUUUGUGCCUUUGCUUGUUAGUAUACCACAAUCAUCCUUGAUGUACACAUCUUUUGAGAGAGCCAUAUAUAUUGGAAUUUGUUAGAAUACUCUAUGUGCUUCACUUAUAUCUUUUGAGCUUGAUAGUUUUGCUCAUAGUGCUUCACUUAUAUCUUUUGAGCGUGAUAAUUUUUGCUCUAGUACUUCACUUAGAUCUUUUAGAGCACGGUGGUGGAUUUGUUUUAAAGAAACUAUUUUGAUCUCUCAUGCUUCACUUAGAUUAUUUUGAGAGUCUUUAAUUGCAUGGUAAUUUGCUUAAUGUUAAUAUACUUGGUGUUCAAGAUAUGUGAAACUUUCUUUUGAGUGAAUUGAAUACUAAGAUAAGUUUGAUGCUUGAUAAUUGUUUUGAGAUAUGGAGGUGAUAAUAUCAAAGUCGUGCUAGUUGGAUGAUUAUGAAUUUGAUAAAUACUUGUGUUGAAGUUUGCAAGUCCCGUAGCAUGCACGUAUGGUUAAAGUUGUGUAACAAAUUUGAAACAUGAAGUGUACCUGGCUUGUGCAUCCUUAUGAGAGGCGGUCGGGGACGAGCGAUGGUCUUUUCCUACCAAUCUAUCCCCCUAGGAGCAUGCGCAUAGUACUUGAAUUUUUGAUGACUUCUAAAUUUUUGCAAUAAAUAUAUGAGUUCUUUUGACUAAUGUUGAGUCCAUGGAUUAUACGCACUCUCACCUUUCCGCCUUUGCUAGCCUCUUUGGUACCGUGCAUUGCCCUUUCUCACCUUGAGAGUUGGCGCAAACUUCGUCGGUGCAUCCAAACCCCGUGAUACGAUAUGCUCUAGCACACAUAAACCUCCUUAUAUCUUCCUCAAAACAGUCACCAUACCUACCUAUCAUGGCAUUUCCAUAGCCAUUCCGAGAUAUAUUGCCAUGCAACUUCCACCACCAUCAUCAUGACAUGCAUUACUUUUGUCAUAUUGCCAUUGCAUGAUCUUGUAGUUGACAUCGUAUUUGUGGCAAAGCCACCAUGAAUUAUUUUCCAUACAUGUCACUCUUGAUUCAUUGCACCAUCCCGGUACACCGUCGGAGGCAUUCAUAUAGAGUCAUAUCUUGUUCUAUGUUUCGAGUUGUAAUCCUUGUGUUGUAAUCAAUAGAAGUGUGAUGAUCAUCAUUAUUAGAGCAUUGCCCAAAAAAAGAAAAAAAGAAGAGAAAGGCCAAAAAGAAAAAAAAGAAAGGCCCAAAAAAGGGGCAAUGCUACUAUAUCUUUUUCCACACUUGUGCUUCAAAGUAGCACCUUGUUCUUCAUGUAGUGAGUCUCAUAUAUUGUGCUUCAAAGUAGCACCUUGUUCCUCAUGUAGUGAGUCUCAUAAGUUGUCUUUUUCAUACUAGUGGGAAUUUUUCAUAGAACUUGGCUUGUAUAUUCCUAUGAUGGGCUUCCUCAAAUGCCCUAGGUCUUCAUGAGCAAGCAAGUUGGAUGCACACCCACUAGUUUUCUUUUGUUGAGCAUUCAUAGCUCUAGUGCAUCCGUUGCAUGGCAAUCCCUACUCACUCACAUCGAUAUCUAUUGAUGGGCAUCUCAAUAGCCCAUUGAUACGCCUAGUUGAUGUGAGACUUUCUCCUUUUUUGUCUUCUCCACACAAUCCCCAUCAUCAUAUUCUAUUCCACCCAUAGUGCUAUAUCCAUGGCUCACGCUCAUGUAUUGCAUGAAGGUUGAAAAAGUUUGAGAUUAUUUAAGUAUGAAACAAUUGCUUGGCUUGUCAUCGGGGGUAUAGAAGUUGGGAACAUCUUUGUGUGACGAAAAUGAAGCAUAGCCUAACUAUAUGAUUUUGUAGGGAUGAACUUUCUUUUGCCAUGUUAUUUUGAGAAGACAUGAUUGCUUUGAUUAGUAUGCUUGAAGUAUUAUUAUUUUUGUGUUAAUAUGAACUUUUGUCUUGAAUCUUUCGGAUCUGAAUAUUCAUAUCACAAUUGAGAAGAUUUACAUUGAAAUUAUGCCAAAGUAUCACUCCGCAUCAAAAAUUCUUUUUUAUCAUUUACCUACUCGAGGACGAGCAGGAAUUAAGCUUGGGGAUGCUUGAUAGGUCUCCAACGUAUCUAUAAUUUUGGAUUGCUCCAUGCUACUUUAUCUACUGUUUUGGACUAUAUUGGGCUUUAUUUUCUACUUUUAUAUUAUUUUUGGGACUAACCUAUUAACCGGAGGCCCAGCCCAGAAUUGCUAUUUUUUGCCUUUUUUAGUAUUUCGAAGAAACAUAAUAUCAAACGGAGUCCAAACGGAAUGAAACCUUCGGGAUCGUGAUUUUCCAACCGAACGUGAUCCAGGAGACUUGGACCCUACUCCAAGAAGCUUCUGAGGAGGUAACGAGGGUGGAGGGCGCGCCCCUACCUCGUGGGCCCCUCGGAGCUCCACUGACGUACUCGUUCCUCCUAUAUAUACCUACGUACCCCCGAACGAUCAGAACAGGAGCAAAAAACCUAAUUCCAUCGCCGCUACCUUCUGUAUCCACGAGAUCCCACCUUGGGGCCUGUUCUGGAGCUCCGCCGGAGGGGGCAUCCACCAUGGAGGGCUUCUACAUCAUCACCAUAGCCCCUCCGAUGAAGUGUGAGUAGUUUACUUCAGACCUUCGGGUCCAUAGCUAGUAGCUAGAUGGCUUCUUCUCUCUUUUUGGAUCUCAAUACAAUGUUCUCCCCCUCUCUCGUGGAUAUCUAUUCGAUGUAAUCUUCUUUUUGCGGUGUGUUUGUUGAGACCGAUGAAUUGUGGGUUCAUGAUCCAGUAUUAUCUAUGGAAAAUAUUUGAUUCUUCUCUGAAUUCUUUUAUGUAUGAUUGAGUUAUCUUUGCAAGUCUCUUCGAAUUAUCUUUUUGGUUUGGCCAACUAGAUUGGUAGUUCUUGCAAUGGGAUAAGUGCUUAGCUUUGGGUUCAAUCUUGCGGUGUCCUUACUCAGUGACAGAAAGAGUUGCAAGGAACGUAUUGUAUUGUUGCCAUCGAGGAUAACAAGAUGGGCUUUUUAUCAUAUUGCAUGAAUUUAUCCCUCUACAUCAUCUCAUCUUGCUUAUGACGUUACUCUGUUCUUACUUAAUACUCUAGAUGCAUGCUGGAUAGCGGUCGAUGAGUGGAGUAAUAGUAGUAGAUGCAGAAUCGUUUUGAUCUACUUAUUUUGGACGUGAUGCCUAUAUACAUGAUCAUUGCCUAGAUAUACUCAUAACUAUGCUCAAUUCUGUCAAUUGCUCAACAGUAAUUUGUUCACCCACCGUAGAAUACUUAUGCUCUUGAGAGAAGCCACUAGUGAAACCUAUGGCCCCCGGGUCUAUUCUCAUCAUAUCAAUCUAUAUCACUUUAUUUACUUGCUUUGUUUUUACUUUGCUUUUACUUUUACUUUGCAUCUAUCUAUCAAAAAUACCAAAAAUAUUAUCUCUAUCAGAUCUCACUCUCGUAAGUGACUGUGAAGGGAUUGACAACCCCUAAGCGUUGGUUGCGAGUUGCUAUCGUUUUGUGUAGGUAUGAGGGACUUGUGCGUGGUCUCCUUUUGGAUUGAUACCUUGGUUCUCAAAAACUGAGGGAAAUACUUACGCUACUUUACUGCAUCAUCCUCUCCUCUUCGGGGAAAUCCAACGCAAUGCUCAAGAGGUAGCACCAAGCUGGAAGCUUGUGAUGGCUUCCAAGCCGGUUAGCACCAGGGUGUCGAAGACAUACUUCCCCGUGGUGUAGGAGCCAUCCAGGUAGCUGAGGGCGUACUGGCACUCGCCGUGAGAACAACCGUUCCACUGCCUACCAAGCCGUGUGUAGACCGUGGAGGUGCAGGAUACCCUAACCCUAAACCCUAGAGAGGGAAGCUAUAUAGAACAGUACAAAAUUAAUCAAGCCACACACACAACUUUUUAUCAUACAUAUGUGCUUGAAGAUUACACCAUGUAUAUGUGCUUACAUGAUGUAAUUUUAAUUAGCAAAUAAAGUCCUAAUACACCACACACAUGUGAUUACGUGAUGUAAAUAAUUUUUAUAAGAUGCAUGUACUCAACUAUAAGUAACUGCUAAAUAAAUACAACAUACUUGGGGGGGUGCCCCCUGUCCACCCAAUAAUAGUGUUGAUGUUAUCUGUGAAUCAUAUUUUUUGUAAUUUAUUUAUAUAUAUAGGAGAAAACUUGGACAUGGUAAACAUGUGCAUCUAAGCAACUUCUUCCUCGCUUUGAACCGACCCACAUAAAAGAGCAGAUGUCCCAUCAUUUGGACGAUGGACCGAAAUGGAAACAAUGCUUUGCAAUAAUGAUCUGUCCAGGUGCUUUACCAUGGCCGAGUUCAUGCUAGCUAUCGUCCUGCUCUCUCCUCUCUCGAUCUUUGGUUCGUUUUGAUAUUGUGUCUCCGUCCGUGCGCUCUUUCAUUCACCCUCGUGGGUCGGUCAUCUUCUCAUCUAGUGUAAUCACCAUGAGUGGUAAUUAAGGGUUUUGAUUGGUCUUACUUUCCUAGCUAGCUAGAUCCUGACCGCUCCACCAUUGGCAUAGAGAAAGCUAAGUAGCCACCGACAGGAGGAGGAGGACGCGCAACACGUGUGGGAUGCGGCCACAACGUCUGUCCCUCUCUACGUUGAUCUAUCAGUACUAUCCCGCUCUCUCCUUUCUCGAUCUUUCAAAUUGGAAGGGAGGCCCUCUUUUAUCAUUUCAAGUGAUUUAGGGCAUUUAGAUCUUUGGUUUCAUUUAGUUUUCGGUCUACCCUCUAAAACCAAAACCACUCCCUCCAUCGAUGUUGAUAUUACACACGGGUUUGGCAGCCUAGAGUUGUAGCAUUCCUACCUUGUGGAGUUGGACAUGUUCAUGCUAGUUGUCGUCCAAUCCUGGAACAUGUUGGACCAUGCUAGUGGAGGAUUGGUAAUGUUACAACAUUGAGAUCUUCUUGUUACAAACCAGUGUAAUUGCAACGCUCAUGGAAGUUUUUGCUUCGGGAAUUAUGCUGGAAGGGGUAAACUCUACCUCCAUUGGUAUUAUUCCUAAAAUUCCCAACUCUACCAGUUUGUCCCAUUAUAUGCUAAUUAGUCUUUGUAAUGUUAUAUACAAGGUCAUUUCCAUGUGCAUGGUGAACCUCCAGAUAAAGUGCCUUUAUUCUGGGGCGUAUGAUCACUGAUAAUGCUCUGGUGGCCUUUGAGUGUAUUCACCACAUCAAACAUGAGAAGACUCAACAAAAGGUUUUGUGCAUAUAAGCUUGAUAUCUCAAAGGCAUAUGACAGGGUGGAUUGGAAGUUCUUGAAGCAGGUGAUGCAAAAGUUGGUUUCCUCUCAAUGAUUGGUGGACUGGAUAAUGUCUUGUGUUACAUCAGUGAGAUAUUAUGUCAAACUUAAUUGUACCCCCUUGGAUUCAUUUGCACUAUUGCGUGGUUUUCGGCAGGGUGAUCAUCUACCCCUCACUGUUCCUUUUUGUGGCUAAUGGACUAUCUGCAAUUAUGAAGCAUUAUGUGUCUAGUGGUGAUAUCUCUCUGCUAAAGGUGUGCAGAAGAGCCCUAGGUAUCCCACACCUUUAGUUUGUUGAUGACACUGCUAUUUUUUGAGGCAAAUAAUGCUCAGGACAAAGUAGUUAGUUUGCAUUGGAUCAAUAUGGAAAGGCAACAUGUCAAUGUCCAAAUUUUGAUAAGCGUUAUAUUCUUUUUGGUGCAACAUGCCCUUAUGUCAACCAGGGGGAAGUCAGAGGGGUUCUCAGUGUUACUAGUUUGGUUUUUGAGGAGAAGUACCUUGGCCGCGCUACGCCUCAUGUCCGCAUGUCCAAGGGAAGGUUUCAUAAUCUCUAGAUGAGCUUAACUAAAAGGUUGAUCCAGUGGGGAGAUGGUCACCUUGCCCAACCCAGUAGGGAGACACUCAUUAAAUCUAUUGAUUAGACCCUACCCACUUCUAUGAUGAGGUUUUUCAAAUUACCCUUCUCUGUGUGCGAUGAACUUACUAGGAUGGUAAUAGCCUUUUAUUGGAAGCUGAGAAGGGCAAAAGGAAAGUAAAUUCAUGGGCAUGGGAUGAUUUAAUGAAACCAAAGAGUAAAGGUGGUGCUGUUUUAGAUAUUUUAGAAUUUUUAACCAAUAUUUAUUAGCUAGGAAAGCAAGGAGAUUGAUCUCUAAGCCCGACAAUUUGUGUGCACAAGUGUUAAAAGCUAGAUACUAUACGAAUGGUAAACUUGAGGAUACUAUUUUCUUUGGCAAUCAUCUUCUUCAUGGCGAGCUAUUAGCUAUGGACUCGAGCUCCUGGAGAAGGUUUCGACUUUGAGAGUGAGGAACUGGAGAAAUAUAUGUGUGUGGCGUGAUAAGUGGAUUCCUAGGCCCUUCUCCUAUAAACCCUUCACAUUGCAAGGAAAGUGCAGAAUACAUUUUGUCUUAGAUUUUCUCAGUGAGAAUGGCUCAUGGUGUUGGAAAUAUGCACUAGAGGCAAUAAUAUUUAUAUUAUUUAUUUCCAAUUUUAUAAUUAACGUGUAUAUUCUAUGAUAUACCUUUUGUGGUUCUUGAAUAUGAAAUUCAGAGGAAAACUCAUAAGCAUGUGUGGAAGUAUAAAUGGCAAAACCACAUUCCUAGUCUUUCCUGUAGGACUAGCUCAAGUGUUAUAUUGAUGGUUCCAUUUUCCUGAUUAUGGGCAUAUGCCAAUAACAUUUGAGAGCACGAUGUUGGUAGAACUAUCAUGUUGAAUUGACCCAAGUUAUUCCUUAUAUCGUUGAUGUCUACUACACAACCUUCUUCUUGUAGACGUUGUUGGGCCUGCAAGUGCACAGGUUUGUAGGACAGUAGCAAAUUUCCCUCAAGUGGAUGACCUAAGGUUUAUCAAUCCGUAGGAGGCGUAGGAUGAAGAUGGUCUCUCUCAAACAACCCUGCAACCAAAUAACAAAAAGUCUCUUGUGUCCCCAACACACCCAAUACAAUGGUAAAUUGUAUAGGUGCACUAGUUCGGCAAAGAGAUGGUGAUACAAGUGCAAUAUGGAUGGUAGAUAUAGGUUUUUGUAAUCUGAAAAUAUAAAAACAGCAAGGUAACAAGUGGUAAAAGUGAGCGUAAACGGUAUUGCAAUGAUAGGAAACAAGGCCAAGGGUUCAUACUUUCACUAGUGCAAGUUCUCUCAACAAUAAUAACGUAGAAAGAUCAUAUAACAAGCCCUCAACAUGCAAAAAAGAGUCACUCCGAAGCCACUAAUAGCGGAGAACAAACGUAGAGAUUAUGGUAGGGUACUAAACCACCUCAAAGUUAUUCUUUCGGAUCAAUCUAUAAAAGAGUUCGUACUAGAAUAACACCUUAAGACACAAAUCAACCAAAACCCUAAUGUCACCUAGAUACUCCAUUGUCACCUCAAGUAUCCGUGGGCAUGAUUAUACGAUAUGCAUCACACAAUCUCAGAUUCAUCCAACCAACAUAAAAGUACUUCAAAGAGUGCCCCAAAGUUUCUACCGGAGAGUCAAGAACGUGUGCCAACCCCUAUGCAUAGGUUCCCAAUGUCACGAAACCCGCAAGUUGAUCACCAAAACAUACAUCAAGUGGCACAUGAUAUCCCAUUGUCACCAUAGAUAAUCACGGCAAGACAUACAUCAAGUGUUCUCAUAAAAACUCAAUCCGAUAAGAUAACUUCAAAGGGGAAACUCAAUUCAUCACAAGAGAGUAGAGGGGGAGAAACAUCAUAAGAUCCAACUAUAAUAGCAAAGCUCGGGAUACAUCAAGAUCGUGCCAUAGAGGAACACGAGAGAGAACACGAGAGAGAGAUCAAACACAUAGCUACUGGUACAUACCCUCAGCCCCGAGGGUGAACUACUCCCUCCUCGUCAUGGAUAGCGCCGGGAUGAUGAAGAUGGCCACCGGUGAUGGGAUCCCCCUCCGGCAGGGUGCCGGAACAGGGUCCCGAUUGGUUUUUGGUGGCUACAGAGGCUUGCGGCGGCGGAACUCUCGAUCUAUUUUCUGUUCUGGAAGUUUUAGGGUAUAUUGGUAUAUAUAGGAGGAAGAAACACGUCAGGGNNNNNNNNNNNNNNNNNNNNNNNNNNNNNNNNNNNNNNNNNNNNNNNNNNNNNNNNNNNNNNNNNNNNNNNNNNNNNNNNNNNNNNNNNNNNNNNNNNNNNNNNNNNNNNNNNNNNNNNNNNNNNNNNNNNNNNNNNNNNNNNNNNNNNNNNNNNNNNNNNNNNNNNNNNNNNNNNNNNNNNNNNNNNNNNNNNNNNNNNNNNNNNNNNNNNNNNNNNNNNNNNNNNNNNNNNNNNNNNCCCCUACCUCGUGCCUUCCUCGUUUCUUUCUUGACGUAGACUCCAAGUCUCCCGGGUUGCUUUCCUUCCAAAAAUAACUUCUCCAGUUGAUUCCGUUCCGUUUUGACUCCGUUUGAUAUUCCUUUUCCUCGAAAUACUGAAAUAGGCAUAAAACAACAAAUCUGGGCUGGGCCUCCGGUUAAUAGGUUGGUCCAAAAAAUAAUAUAAAAGUGGAUAAUAAAGCCCAGUAUUGCCUAAAACAGUAGAUAAAGUAGCAUGGAGCAAUAAAAAAUUAUAGAUACGUUGGAGACGUAUCAAGCAUCCCCAAGCUUAAUUCCUGCUCGUCCUCGAGUAGGUAAAUGAUAAAAAAGAAUUUUUGAUGCGGAGUGCUACUUGGCAUAAUUUCAAUGUAAUUCUUCUUACUUGUGAUAUGAAUAUUCAGAUCCGAAAGAUUCAAGACAAAAGGUCAUAUUGACACAAAAAUAAUAAUACUUCAAGCAUACUAAUCAAAGCAAUCAUGUCUUCUCAAAAUAACAUGGCAAAAGAAAGUUCAUCCCUACAAAAUCAUAUAGUUAGGCUAUGCUUCAUUUUCAUCACACAAAGAUGUUCCCAACUUCUAUACCCCCGAUGACAAGCCAAGCAAUUGUUUCAUACUUAAAUAAUCUCAAAAAAUUUCAACCUUCACGCAAUACAUGAGCGCGAGCCAUGGAUAUAGCACUAUGGGUGGAAUAGAAUAUGAUGAUGGGAAUUGUGUGGAGAAGACAAAAAAAGGAGAAAGUCUCACAUUGACGAGGAUAAUCAACGGGCUAUGGAGAUGCCCAUUAAUUGAUGUCAACAUGAGGAGUAGGGAUUGCCAUGCAACGGAUGCACUAGAGCUAUGAAUGCUCAACAAAAGAAAACUAGUGGGUGUGCAUCCAACUUGCUUGCUCAUGAAGACCUAGGGCAUUUGAGGAAGCCCAUCGUAGGAAUAUACAAGCCAAGUUCUAUAAUGAAAAAUUCCCACUAGUAUAAAAAGGACAACUUUAUGAGACUCACUACAUGAAGAACAAGGUGCUACUUUGAAGCACAAUAUAUGAGACUCACUACAUGAAGAAUAAGGUGCUACUUUGAAGCACAAGUGUGGAAAAGAGAUAGUAGCAUUGCCCUUUUUAUUUUUUAUUUAUUUGUUUGGCCCUUUUCUUUCUUUUGGCCUUCCCCUUUUUUUGGGCCUUUCUUUUUUUAUUUGGGCAAUGCUCUAAUAAUGAUGAUCAUCACACUUUCAUUACAACAUAUGAAUUACGACUCGAAACUAGAACAAGAUAUGACUCUAUAUGAAUGCCUCCGGCGGUGUACCGGGAUGGUGCAAUGAAUCAAGAGUGACAUGUAUGAAAAAUAAUGCAUGGUGGCUUUGCCACAAAUACGAUGUCAACUACAUGAUCAUGCAAUGGCAAUAUGACAAAAGUAAAGUAUGUCAUGACGAUGAUGAUGGAAGUUGCAUGGCAAUAUAUCUCGGAAUGGCUAUGGAAAUGCCAUGAUAGGUAGGUAUGGUGGCUGUUUUGAGGAAGAUAUAAGGAGGUUUAUGUGUGAUAGAGCGUAUCGUAUCACGGGGUUUGGAUGCACCGGUGAAGUUUGCACCAACUCUCAAGGUGAGAAAGGGCAAUGCACGGUACCGAAGAGGCUAGCAAAGGCGGAAAGGUGAGAGUGCGUAUAAUCCAUGGACUCAACAUUAGUCAAAAGAACUCAUAUACUUAUUGCAAAAAUUUAGAAGUCAUCAAAAAUCAAGUACUACGUGCAUGCUCCUAGGGGGAUAGAUUGGUAGGAAAAGACCAUCGCUCGUCCCCGACCACUACUCAUAAGGAUGCACAAGCCAGGUACACUUCCCGUUUCAAAUUUGUUACACAACUUUAACCAUACGUGCAUGCCACGGGACUUGCAAACUUCAACACAAGCAUUUCUCAAAUUCACAAUUACUCAACUAGCACGACUUUGAUAUUAUCACCUCCAUAUCUCAAAACAAUUAUCAAGCAUCAAACUUAUCUUAGUAUUCAACACACUCAUAAGAAAGUUUCACAUAUCUUGAAUACCACAUAUAUUAACAUUAAGCAAAUUACCAUGCUAUUAACGACUCUCAAAAUAAUCUAAGUGAAGCAUUAGAGUUCAUCUAUUUCUUCAAAAUAAAACUACCACCAUGCUCUAAAAGAUAUAAGUGAAGCACUAGAGCAAAUGACAAACUACUCCGAAAGAUAUAAGUGAAGAUCAAUGAGUAGUCGAAUAAUUAUACAACUAUGUGAAGACUCUCCCAUUUAAUAAUUUCAGAUCUUGAUACUUUAUUCAAACAGCAAGCAAAGCUAAAGAAAACUACAUUGCAAGGAUAGCACAACUCAUGUGAAGAAGCAAAAACUUAGGCUCAACCGAUACUAACCGAUAGUUGUUGAAGAAGAAAGGUGGGAUGCCUACCGGGCAUCCCCAAGCUUAGAUGCUUGAGACUUCUUGAAAUAUUAUCUUGGGGUGCCUUGGGCAUCCCCAAGCUUGAGCUUUUGUGUCUCCUUAAUUCCUCUCGUAUCAUGGUUUCUCUUUUUAUCAAAAGCUUCAUUCACAACAAACUCAACAGGAACUCGUGAGAUAGGUUAGUAUAAACCAAUGCAAAACCUUAUCAUUUUCUACUGUAACAAAUCACUAAAAUAAUUAUUCAACAUUUCAUACCAAAUGCCUCUGUAUAUUUAAUACUCCUAUCCUCAAAUAGAAUCAUUAAUCAAGCAAACAUAUGCAAACAAUGCAACCGUAGCAGCAAUCUGCCAAAACAGUACAGUCUGUAUAGAAUGCAAGAGUAUCAAUACUUCCCUAACUCCAAAAAUUAUGAACUAAAAUUACCACUGUAAUAAAUUUACCAGAGCUCAAUAUGCAAAAAGAUUCAACAUUAUACCACUCUCUGACUUUUCUAGGGAAUUUUUGCAACAGCGGUAAACUUUCUGUUUUCAAACAGCAACAUGCAAACUAGCAGAAUAAGCAUGGCAAAGGCUAUCCUUGACCUUUUUAUUGAACCUAAAGAUGAAAAACAUUAUUAUAACUAACAGCAAGCAAAAACUAAAAAAAGAAAAUGACGCUCCAAGCAAAACACAUAUCAUGUGGUGAAUAAAAAUAUAGCUCCAAGUAAAGUUACCGAUGAACGAAGACGAAAGAGGGGAUGCCUUCCGGGGCAUCCCCAAGCUUAGGCUCUUGGUUGUCCUUGAAUAUUACCUUGGGGUGCCUUGGGCAUCCCCAAGCUUAGUCUCUUGCCACUCCUUAUUCCAUAGUCCAUCGAAUCUUUACUCAAAACUUGAAAACUCCACAACACAAAACUCAAUAGAAAACUCGUAAGCUCCGUUAGUAUAAGAAAAUAAAACAACCACUUGGGUACUGUAAUGAACUCAUUAUAAAUUCAUAUUGGUGUAAUAUCUACUGUACUCAAACUUAAUCUAUGGUUCAUACCCUCCGACACUACUCAUAGAUUCAUCAAAAUAAGCAAACAACACAUAGAAAACAGAAUCUGUCAAAAACAGAACAAUCUGUAGUAAUCUGUAUCAAACGUAUACUUCUGAAACCCGAAAAAUUCUACCAAAUUAGGAAGUCCUAAGAAAUUUGUGUACCAAUCCAGAGCAAACAGAAUCAGAUCAGAAGCACGUUUCUGUGAAUUAACAAAACUAAUUGACAGGGUGCAAAAGUUUCUGAUUUUCAGCAGGAUCAACACAACUAUCACCGUAAGCUAUCCUAAAGGUCUUACUUGACACUUUAUUGAAACAAAAGCUAUAAAACAUGAUUACUACAGUAGCAUAAUCAUGUGGACACACAAGAACAGUAAGGAUAAAUAUUGGGUUGUCUCCCAACAAGCGCUUUUCUUUAAUGCCUUUCUAGCUAGGCAUGAUGAUGACAAUGAUGCUCACAUAAAAGAUAAGAAUUGAAACAUAACAGGAGCAUCAUGAAGCAUAUGACUAGCACAUUUAAGUCUAACCCACUUCCUAUGCAUAGGGAUUUUGUGAGAAAAAAACUUAUGGGAACAAUAAUCAACUUGCAUAGGAAGGUAAAACAAGCAUAGCUUCAAAAUUUUAAGCACACAGAGAGGAAACUUGACAUUAUUGAAAUUUCUACAAGCAUAUGUUCCUCCCUCAUAAUAAUUUUCAGUAGCAUCAUGAAUAAAUUCAACAAUAUAACCAGCACCUAAAGCAUUAUUUUCAUGAUGUACUAGCAUAGAAAAUUUACUACUCUCCACAUAAGCAAAAUUCUUCUUUAUGGCAUACGUAUCAUCACAAUAAUCAUCAUAGAUAGGAGGCAUGCUUUCAUCAUAGUAAAUUUGCUCAUCAAAGCUUGGGGGACAAAAAAUAUCAUCUUUAUCAAACAUAGCUUCCCCAAGCUUGUGGCUUUGCAUAUCAUUAGCAUCAUGGAUAUUCAAGGAAUUCAUACUAACAACAUUGCAAUCAUGCUCAUCAUUCACAUAUUUUAUGCCAAGAAUUCUAUGUAAUUCUUCUUCUAGUACUUGAGCACAAUUUUCCUUUCCAUCAUACUCACGAAAGAUAUUAAAAAGGUGAAGCGUAUGAGACAAACUCAAUUCCAUUUUUUGUAAUUUUCUUUUAUAAACUAAACUAGUGCUAAAACAAGAAACAAAAAGAUUCGAUUGCAAGAUCUAAAGAUAUACCUUCAAGCGCUAAUCUCCCCGGCAACGGCGCCAGAAAAGAGCUUGAUGUCUACUACACAACCUUCUUCUUGUAGACGUUGUUGGGCCUGCAAGUGCACAGGUUUGUAGGACAGUAGCAAAUUUCCCUCAAGUGGAUGACCUAAGGUUUAUCAAUCCGUAAGAGGCGUAGGAUGAAGAUGGUCUCUCUCAAACAACCGUGCAACCAAAUAACAAAAAGUCUCUUGUGUCCCCAACACACCCAAUACAAUGGUAAAUUGUAUAGGUGCACUAGUUCGGCGAAGAGAUGGUGAUACAAGUGCAAUAUGGAUGGUAGAUAUAGGUUUUUGUAAUCUGAAAAUAUAAAAACAGCAAGGUAACAAGUGGUAAAAGUGAGCAUAAACGGUAUUGCAAUGAUAGGAAACAAGGCCUAGGGUUCAUACUUUCACUAGUGCAAGUUCUCUCAACAAUAAUAACAUAGAAAGAUCAUAUAACAAGCCCUCAACAUGCAACAAAGAGUCACUCCGAAGCCACUAAUAGCGGAGAACAAACAUAGAGAUUAUGGUAGGGUACGAAACCACCUCAAAGUUAUUCUUUCGGAUCAAUCUAUAAAAGAGUUCGUACUAGAAUAACACCUUAAGACACAAAUCAACCAAAACCCUAAUGUCACCUAGAUACUCCAUUGUCACCUCAAGUAUCCAUGGGCAUGAUUAUACGAUAUGCAUCACACAAUCUCAUAUUCAUCCAACCAACAUAAAAGUACUUCAAAGAGUGCCCCAAAGUUUCUACCAGAGAGUCAAGAACAUGUGCCAACCCCUAUGCAUAGGUUCCCAAUGUCACGAAACCUGCAAGUUGAUCACCGAAACAUACAUCAAGUGGCACAUGAUAUCCCAUUGUCACCAUAGAUAAUCACGGCAAGACAUACAUCAAGUGUUCUCAUAAAAACUCAAUCCGAUAAGAUAACUUCAAAGGGGAAACUCAAUUCAUCACAAGAGAGUAGAGGGGGAGAAACAUCAUAAGAUCCAACUACAAUAACAAAGCUCGGGAUACAUCAAGAUCAUGCCAUAGAGGAACACGAGAGAGAACACGAGAGAGAGAGAGAUCAAACACAUAGCUACUGGUACAUACCCUCAGCCCCGAGGGUGAACUACUCCCUCCUCGUCAUGGAUAGCACCGGGAUGAUGAGGAUGGCCACUGGUGAUGGGAUCCCCCUCCGGCAGGGUGCCGGAACAGGGUCCCGAUUGGUUUUUGGUGGCUACAGAGGCUUGCGGCGGCAGACUCCCGAUCUAUUUUCUGUUCUGGAAGUUUUAGGGUAUAUUGGUAUAUAUAGGAGGAAGAAACAUGUCAGGGGAGCCACGGGGGCCCCACGAGGGUGGAGGGCGCGCCCCGGGGUGGGGGGGUGGGUGGGCGCGCUCCCCUACCUCGUGCCUUCCUCGUUUCUUUCUUGACGUGGACUCCAAGUCUCCCGGGUUGCUUUCCUUCCAAAAAUAACUUUUCCAGUUGAUUCCGUUCCAUUUUGACUCAGUCUGAUAUUCCUUUUCCUCGAAAUACUGAAAUAGGCAUAAAACAGCAAAUCUGGGCCGGGCCUCCGGUUAAUAGGUUAGUCCCAAAAAUAAUAUAAAAGUGGAUAAUAAAGCCCAAUAUUGCCUAAAAUAGUAGAUAAAGUAGCAUGGAGCAAUCAAAAAUUAUAGAUACGUUGGAGACGUAUCAAUCGUCUGAAGUCUUUAGUUCAUAACACAUGAGUUAACAUAUGAUUGACUCCCUAGACCAUGAGAGUAUCAAGUCAAUCCAUACCAGAUGUUGCUCUUUGGAGUUGUUCCAACGUUAUCCAUAAUAGGGUGAUCAUACCAGGCACUUACGGGUUCGCCAGAAACGUAUGAUGAGGAACUAGAUAGGUCGAGACUAGGUAUUUCUUCGUCCGACGAUGGACAAUUAUUCUUAGGGCCCUCUCGGUGUGAUGACAUCCAUCAUCGUCAUGCCGGAACACGACAACAAGAAAGAAGAACAAAACCGGUAACGAGGAGACAAGUAUAGUGAGCAUGUGUAUGACCCACGGGAUACAUAUAUAUCUCACCUCGGGUUUGUAUUGUAUCACAAAGCAAACAGAACUAUAUAUGUUAAUCAACAAUUCACUUGAAUAUCAUUCGUGUAAAUAUUGGUGUCAGUGCUAAAACCGGUAGAUCUCUGAUAGGGGGUUCUGAGCAGGUGAUCUCGACACAAUGGUUAACAAGAAGUAAAGGGGACACGAAUUUACCUAGGUUCGGGAUCUCUCUAAGAGGUAUACCCUACUCCUCCUGUUUAUAUUGUGUGGAUGGGUGCUACUUAUAUAGUUUGUUGGGAUUUUCCUCAAGCAGAAGGGUGAUGUAGCACAAUACCGAAGUCUUUCCCUCAGUUAAGAACCAAGGUUUAUCAAACCAAUAGGAGACUCCACGAGAAACAGAAUAGCGGUACCUACACACACAAAGCAAAUACUUGUACCCAACAAAGGCAAGAGGGUACAAAGGCAAGGGGGUCGUCAAUCCCCUCAUUCUUGUCGGUUACAAGGGUCAAAUUUGAUAGUGAUAGAUGGAUAAUAUAAAAGAAAAUAAAAAAUAAAAAUUACAACAAUUUAUUAGGGUUUGAGUAAAUAUAAAGUGAAUGGACCCGGGGGCCAUAACAUCAUUAGAGGCAUCUCUCUCAUAAUUAAGCAUAAUAACAUGAUGGGUAGACAAAUAACUAUUGGGAAAUUGAUAGAAAAGUGCAUAGUUAUGAUGUUAUUCAUGGCAUGAUCAGUACAUAGGCCUUACGCUUGUGACAAGUAGACCGAAAUAAUUCUGCAUCUACUACUAUUACUCCACUUCAAGAGCGCUUCUAUGCUUGCCUCUCUAGGUAUUAAGUUCAUAACAAAUAGAGUAAUGCUUUAAGCACUAUGACAUGAUGUAGACAAAAUAAGACCAACCAAUAUGAUCAAAUACUACUAGGGAAAACCUUAUACACAGAACCUUAGCAGUAGCGCUGGACAAGAAGGGGUGCUACUGCUAAGUAGCAGUAGCGUGUGUCAUAAAGAGGCGCUACUGCUACAGUCUUAGCAGUAGUGCGGCUCGGUAGAACAACACUACUACUAAAAUUACCCGUCCGUUCCUGCCACACUAGGUUUAGCAGUAGCGCGCCCCCUAUAACCGAGAUACUACUACUUUAAUAGCAGUAGCGUGCUUUUUGUGCGUGGCGCUACUGCUAAUUUUGAACCUGGCCACAUGGCAGACCCCGCUUAGCAGUAGCGUCGCCCAUAGAAGCGCGCUACUGCUAUCUUAUUAGCACCAACGCGUUUUACACCCGGCACUACUGCUAAACCACAGCCAUCACCUAUUUCCUCCCCCUCCCCCUCCCCCAUCCUCUCUUCCUUCACUUUCCCCUAGGUCCCACCUCCUCUCUCCCUCACUUUGCUUCUUCCUCACUACUUCUCCCCCCAUUACUCUCCUUCUUCUACCUAUCUUUCUCUCUCUUUAUUGCUCCUAGCUAACUACACCACCUCCAUUAAUGCAUCUCCUUUCUCUUUUUUCCUUCCCCCUCCACUAGAAGAACUUAUCUCCUUCCCAAACUAGCUAGGUAGAUCUAGCAUUUAGUGAAGUGACCUAUGUACCUCCCUAACUAGAUCUAGCCUUGUCAAGAAGAGCUUUGUCACUUUUGAUCAUUCCAUAGGUGUGUGUGGUGACACCGAUCAACAUCAUCAUCACCGUGCUCGAUCUCAAGAUAGGUGAUUAAAAAUUUGUGCUUUUGCAAGAAUGGAAAUAUGUGUAUGUGUGCGAUAUGACAUAAUCAGGCGAUAUGAUGAAAAUUGUGUGUGUGGCAUGAGUUGUCGCCGAAUUGUGCUUGUGAGUUGCCUAUGUUUUGCCGAAAUGUCCAUUUAUUUCCAUUUUGGCGAAUUCUGGGCAAACUCUAUAUGUCCUAUUUUUAGGGAAGGUCAUGCCGAAUUUUUGUAUGACUUUGAUGCAUGCAUGCAUUUUUAUAAUCAAUUUGUUUGUUAUUACCGUGUAGACGUUCAUGAUGGUCAGUGGAACAAUGGUGGACAUGUGGUUGCGGUCGGCGGUGCAGGACAUGAAAGAAAAUAACCGUUCAAAGAUUUUAUGUUCGUGUCGAAGAUGCAAAGGAGGAGUUUGGCUCGACCCCUAUGAUGAUGGUCGUGUGACGACGCACCUGCUCAUGACUGGUUUCAUGGAUGCCUAUACUCGGGGGAUAAUUGAAGAUGAGGAUGAUGAGGACGCCGAUGGGGCAGGCAAUAACGACACGGGGCAAGACGAAGAGAUGACCGAUAAUGGCGGCAGAGAAGGGGCCAGACAUGGCGGCCGAGAAGGGGCCGGACAUGAUGGCAGAGAAAACAUGGACUCCACGCCGCAUACUUCAUCGGUACUAAGAUCAAUCGUGUGGGACCCUCAUGUUCAAGCACUGCUUUGCAAGGAAACGAGUACUGACAUAGCUGCUUCUAGAGAGGAGGCCAAGCUGCAGCAACUAGUGAUAGACUCGAACACUCCAUUAUAUGAUGGUUGCGAUCUCGAGGUGACCCACUUGAGUUUCGCGCUCAAACUUCUGAAGACAAAGUCUAAAAACAAAUGGACCGACACUACCCUCGAUGAGCUUCUAAAGUACCUAAAGGAUGUUCUUCCUGCGGGGAAUCUAUAUCCUAAUAGUGUGGAUGAGGCCAAGAAGAUUGUGUGCCCUCUUGAUCUGCCGCAUGUUAGAUACCAUGCAUGCAUCAACGAUUGCAUAAUUUAUCAGAAGGAGCACGCGGAAAAAACCAGCUGUCCAGUGUGCAAUGCUUCUCGAUACAAGAAGGCCGGGAAGAAAUCUCCCUAGAAAGUUUUUUGGUACUUUCUGAUCACUCUUCGAAUUCAAUGUUAUUUUUUAGAUCCCAAGGAAGCAAAGCUCAUGCAUUGGCACACGGAGAGGACAAAGCCCGAUGAUGGAAGUGAUCCAAAGCUAAGACACCUCGUGGAUGGAAGCCAGUGGAGAGCGUUCAACAUCGAAUAUCGAUAUUUCACAUGUGAUGCAAGGAACAUCGUGCUCGAUGUGUGUACCGAUGGCAUAAAUCCGUUUGGCAACUAGAACACCAACCAUAGCACAUGGCCCGUGUUUGUAUGGAUGUACAACCUCCUCCCUGGUUGUGCAUGAAGUCGAAGUACAUACACAUGAGCAUGCUGAUUCAAGGGCCGAAGCAACUGGGAAAUAAUAUUAAUCUUUAUCUGGGGCUACUUCAAGAGGAGUUAGACACCUUAUGGAAAACACCGGCCAAGACGUGGGACUCCAGCAAAGGCGAGUAUUUCUAUAUGAGAGCCGCGCUGAUCACGACGGUGCACGACUAUCUCGGUUACGGAUAUGUCACAGGCUAGGUGUGCCAUGGAUAUUGCGGAUGCACGCGGUGCAUGGAUGAUACAACGUCUCAGCAGCUAACAUCAAGGAAAGAUGGCGGGUCUGGAAAAAUCGUGUACAUGGGGCAUCGAAGAUGGCUCGAGAAGUACGACCCAUGGAGAAACCGUGGAGAUCUAUUCAAUGGUGAGGCUGAGCAUCGAGGACCUCCACGUAAGCAGAGCGACACCAAAAUCGAUGAGCUAUUGAAAAACUAGGAACAGGGCCCCGUAUCAGGAAAGACGAUGAAAAAGGCGUCGGAGCCGCUGCUGAAGGUAUGGAAGAUGAGGUCUAUUUUCUAGGACUUGGCGUACUGGCACAAUCUCGACACACCUCAUUGCCUUGAUCAAAUGCAUAUAUGUAAGAAUGUCCUCGAGAGCUUGCUUGCGACACUGAUGAACAUGUCGGAUAAGACCAACGAUGGGCCGAAGGCAAGAAAAGACUUGCAAGAUUUGAAUAUUAGGGAAGAUCUGCACAUGCCGCCCCGUAAAAAGUCAGAGGAGACAUAGACGGAGACAGAGGCAUGGGAGAAGAAGGGAAAAAAGUAAAGGAAGAGGAUUAUUUCCCCCCUUCUUGCUUCACCUUAAGUCCGGCUGAGAUCGAUCAAUUCUUCAAGUGCCUUACCGGAAUCAAAGUUAGUUCCGGUUACUGUGGGAAGAUAAGCAGAUUUCUAGACACGAAGAAGAAAAGGUUCAUAGGGAUGAAGUCCCAUGACUGUGAUGAUGACGUAGAUACUACCUCUUGCCCUUAGAGAGAUAAUGGACAAGCACGUCCGUGACACACUUAUUGGUCUCUGCAACUUUUUCGAUGUUAUCUCUCGAAAGUCGAUCAGUGUGAAGCAGCUCCGAAGGCUACAUGAAGAGAUCGUUGUGAUACUAAAUGAGCUUGAGAUGUACUUCCCACCCACAUUCUUUGACGUCAUGGUGCAUCUGUGUGUUCAUAUUGUGGACGACAUAAUAGACCUGGGGCCGUCAUUCCUGCAUAACAUGAUGCCAUUCAAGAGGAUGAAUGGGAUCAUCAAAGGAUUCGUUCGUAACAUGUCCCGUCCGGAUGGAAGCAUCGUCCAGGGCUAUCCGACUCAAGAGUGCAUAUCUUUCCGCGAGAAUUUUCUAUAUGGCGCAGACCGGCCGCCUGGUGUUGGUUUGCCCAUUAAGAAGCACGUUGGAAGACUCGAAGGAGAAGGUCACUCCAACGGUCACAGGGAACUGCAUGUGGCCUACUCAGAUUGAUGCAACGACUUUGACAGAGAAAACUUGGUAGUGCUACAACACCUAGACCAGGUAGAUCCUUUCGUGACACUACACAAAGAAACUAUCGCAAAGAAGUAUCAUGAUCACGGGGUAUGCAGGACGGACACCAAAGUUACUAGAGAGCAUAACUCCACUUUCCUGCAUUAGUUCAAGGAGCAUAUUCUUGUCCCCCGGAAGAGUCUCUAAGGACGGAUUGCUCAUAUACACCUUAGCACAUGGCCCCUCGCCCAACCUCAUCACCUAUUAGGCAUACGAUGUCAACGGAUACACGUUCUACACGGAGGCCAAAGAUAUGAACAGUGAUUUUCAGAACUAAGGGGUGAGGAUGGAAUGCAUGACCGACAACGACAUCGGCGCAACUAAGAGAUUUUAUGGAAGGGUCGAGGAGAUCUGGGAGCUUGACUACUCUGGAUUGCACAGCGCGAGGAUGUUCCAUGUCAGAUGGGCUAAGAAUGUCGAAAGAGAAAACCGGUAUUUCACUACCAUGACUAUACCCAACGCCAAGAGUGUUACCGUGAACGCCAUCGCAAAAGACGAGCCAUGGGUACACGCUAAGCACGUGACACAAUGUUUCUUCAUAACUGACCCAAGAAAUCCGAGCUAUGUUGUCGCGAGGAGAGGCAAAAUGAACAUCAUUGGAAUGGAUGGAGUCGCCAACGAGGAAGACUACGACCAGUAUGGCAACCCAAUGAGUGAAGAUGAUGAUGACGAUGAAGUAUACGUCAAAAGAAGAAUCAAUACUACAUUACCUAAGAAGGAUCGUACUCCAUGGAAAAGGAAAAGGAAAAGUCACAAAGAGGGGCUCAAUUAUUCGUCAACAAACAAGGAGGGAAAGAAGCUCACUCAAAAACAAAAAUGUCGACGCGGAGAAACCGUUAUCGGUCAAAUGAUGUAAUAUAUAUGUUCCUAUUUUGUGUACACACUUAACCAUUUUGCAUGGUGUCGGGGAUAUACCCCGCGGUGUAACCCGCCGGAUGUAUGACCCGGCUGGAGUUUGGCGACUCAUUGGUGAUCCACCUGAGACUAGUAAAUCACUGGUGACCCGGAGGACGGGUUAGAUGAAUAACAAGGCCCAAGGCCCAGAAGGAGGCUUAUGAUAAGACCGACUCAAGGUGCGUGUCCAGUGGGCCGGCUUAAGAGGAAAGCAUAAGGAAUAUUCCCUUACAAAGGAAUCAAGACUAGGACUCUACUUGUAAUAGAGUAAUCCUAAUCCUACUAGGACUAGUCAUGUAACCCGUCCCUUCAACUUAUAUAAGGAGGGGCAGGGCACCCCAAGAGGGGGCGAAAUAAUCUCGAGGGCUAGAUACAACUAGAGGAGAGCCGGCUUAUACAUCAACUCCCUCAUGAGCAUAUUGAAUAAGACCUAGCCACAAACAACAUGUAGGGUUAUUACCGGAUGAUGUUUCCCGGGGCCCGAAGCUGUCUAAACCUUGUCUCGUGUGCUAAUUCGCUUAGACAAUGUACACACAUCUCUCGUCCCGAUCAACCCCUCUCAAGCUACUACCUAGUUGUGUUGGCCUCACGACAAGUCCUUACACUAGGACAUAUGCCGUGACAAAUCCACGACAUUUGGCACCCACCGUGGGGCUCGCACACGGUGGUGAUGAGUUCUUGGAGGGAUCUUUCCUAAGGAUCGAGAGGCUCAUGAUUGACCAGAUGAAGAAAAGCCAGUCAGAAGAAUCUACAUCGACUCCGUGUUCAGUCAUCAAAGAUCAAAUCAAUUCUCAUCUUAAGAUCAAGGACAAAAUAAAAUUUGGCAACGGCGCCUGCACACGGCAACUCCUGUCAGUUCGAUUCUCUCCUCUGCAACGGCUAACGAGAUUGUCUAAAGAAAACAAAAAGUACAACAGCGACAUCCACGCACGAGGAUCGAGGAGUUCAUCUGGUUUGACCAGUUCUAAGUACUGCUAUCCACGUGAGGGUCAUUGUCUGGGAGUACUAGUUGUUCCACAGCCGGCCAUGAUGUAGGAAAGGAUACAUAUCUAGUUAAAAAAAUGAAAACACUAACGCCCACACGUGUGGCAACAUUGCAACUCGCCCACACGCCUGGAUCACCGUCCAGUUAAAUUUGCACGAAUCUUGACACACCGAGAUAGUUUUCGCGUGCCACGUAGGACAAGGCCGGUGUGUGGGCGUUGGAGAGGUCGCCCACAUGCCCCACAGCACGCGGUUGCUAGCUGCGCUAUGUGGGCGAACUAGUUUCUGCCCACACAUCCACCACCUAGUCCACGCGCGUGUGGGCAAACUGCUUUUCACCCACACGACAGUCGUACGUUGUUGGAUGGCAACUGCAGUUGUGCAUACAUGGCAACUAGAUAAACACGCAUGGCAACUGUGAUUCGUUUGCUAGAUGGAAAUUGCAGUUGCACAUACAUGGCAAUCAGGUAAACAUACAUGGCAACUGUGAUUAACCACACGUGGCAACUAGGUAAACACACAUCUAUUGUUUGACCAUAUGUGGCAAAUAGUUAAUCACACACGACAAUUAUGGUUUGAUUACAUGCGGCAAUUACCAUAAAUUAGACAUGGAAACUAUAGUUGAGCAAAACAGAGAGAGUUGCCAUGCUUUUUCAACCAUAUUUGCCAUCUCGGAUAACUACGUCUGCCAUCCCGGAUGGCAACUAAAUCGUCAUCCCGCGGGUACCUAAUGUAGCUGCGCCAGGAUGUGUGGGCAUAUUUGCUUCGUGCCACAUGCGCGGGGUGGGGAUGAGUAGGACUUGUUUGGCGUGUGGCACGAAGUAGCUGCGCCCACAUGUGUGGGCAAUUCUACUAUUCACCCACACACAAUCCGUGUGGACUGCCCCCUGCUCAUGCCACACAUGGUGUGUGGGGGGAUGCCUAUUAUGCCACACAUGUGGUGGAUAUCGGCGUCCAAAAAUGAAAACACUAAUGCCCACACGUGUGGCAACAUUGCAACUCGCCUGGGGUUAAGCCGCCGAGCCAAUUACGACCCGGACUCUGCGGCUGCAACCGCACUUCCCAUCGCUGGUCUGCUUCCGCUCGAACCGGCCUCGGCCUCCGCUGGUGAGCCGCCGCUUCGUCCUCGAACUGGCCUCCGCUGCACUGGCCUCUGCUAAAGUACCUCGCCUACCUCUGUUCUACUCCGUGUGCACGCAUGUGUGCACACAGCCAUUCGGAUCGCAUCUGCUGCUAACUGCUCUGAGCCGCCACAGCUACUGCUCGCACCCCUGCCGGCUCACGCCGCCUCCGCUGGCUCACCGACCACCAGUUCUCGGCCAUGGCCGAGUUAUUGGCACGGCCUCGUCGACUUGACGCCUCUACUACCGCAUCAAGACGCCGCACCGCCUGCGCCAACGCGGCCACGGCUGGAGCCGCCCAAAUCCACCGCUGCUACGGCCAAUAUAGUGCGCCUCGCCGGCUUGCCACUUCACUGUCGGAGCGUGCCUCGAGCCGCCACCCUAAGAAGCCACCCCGGCCUUGUGCCUUGUCUGAGCCGCCCUCGCCGCCAUGCAUAAACUGCCGCUGUGGCCCGCCUCGGCCUCAAUCAUCUGACGUGGCUGCGCCGAGCCACCCCGGACGAGCGGCCUCACCUCUGCUCUGAGCCGCCAUGCUACCACGAGCCGCCGCUUUGUCGACCCACCUUCAUCGUGGCUCACCUCACUGGCUUGCCACCUCAUUGCCGGAGUGCUGAAUAAUGUUGGUGGUUCUUGGGAAGAAUCAUGGAAAGGUUGUGUUAAUGAUGACAAUAGAGCACUUUUGUGGGUUAUCAAGUUUGCCUCACCAACAUCUGUUGGAGCUGACUGAAUUGACCCUGAUUGCAGCUGGGUUGAACAAUGGGUGCAUCGGGCAAGCCCAUGUACACAUAUAUAUUUUUUGAAUCUCAAUGGAAAUGGGACUCAUGCUCGAGUUAAUGCGAUACAUGCCGAGUACCAGAAGAGAAAACUUGGAAUUAGCACAAAGAGCCACCAAGUCUGCAUAUAUUGAGGCACAUUCUGAAUUUCAUAAGUGGAGUUGAUGGGAAGAAGCGGUGGAUUUAUCACAAUGCAUGCUUCCCUGUCAAGCGAGCGAGUUGACAUUUGCCUGAGACCAAGGGGUUUGUUCUCAUGUUUACACUUGAUGGAGUACAACAUUGUCAGGUUAUCCAUGGAUGCUACAUACGGAUCAUCUGUUGUCCAGACAAAUCAGGUGAAUUAUGUCCAAUUAAUUUUUAUUGAUGUGUUUUUAUUCUUUAAAAGAACAAGUGCUCUGGCUUGCGAUAUUUUUUGAUGCAGGAUAAUUGUUCACUGCAAGAGUGAUGGUCACGUCAUGGAUAUAAAACUUGCACCAUCAUUAUCAUGCGCUAGUAUCUGACCGUGCUAUAAUGCUCAGCGAAUGUAUGUGCAAGCCGAGGCCCCUGUGACCCGGUCUACAUCAACACGACAUGAUUGACUUGCCGUCCGCAUGGCUUACCACACCUGCAAUUGACUCGCCUGUCCGUGCACCGAUGGUGGUAACUCGCCCAUCCGCACCGGCUUACAAUGCCAUGGUUGACUAAUCUGUCCGUGCCACCUCUGAUGCUGCGGUUGUCUUUACCGCCCAACUCGCGGUCAGGUCUACAUCAACUCAUACGGGAUCAUUUAUAACAUGCCGAGCUUCAACAUAUUACAAUGUUUCGCUGUUCAUACUGCCGUUUUAUAUCACAGUCAAGGAUGGAGAAUCUCAAGACAACUCCUUGAGUCGUCUUAAGACUCGGGGGCUACAAUGACAUGACUCGGCAGAAUUGGCCGAUUUCAGUGAAUUCAAGAACUCCGGUUCAUUGGAGGGAAAAAUAACCCGGCCCCUCGGAGGCUGCUGCGGCCAAUAUAGUGCGCCUCGCCGGCUUAAAAUGAAGGAUUCCGGUUUAAAAUCCGGUUCAAGGGAAAUCUAUCUCUCCAAAAGCUUUGAAGCUCUCAAUAUCCGGUUUAAAAUUCUGGUUCAAAAAAAAAUCCAUCUCUCGCAAGUUCGAGUUCUCAGGAAAAACUAAAGGUUGCCAAAGUGAACUUGCGGCCAUAAUGCGCGGUUCAAACAUGGGUAUCCUGCCUUAUUGGCUUAUCAUAUCAUUGGUCACUUGGGGGCUUCCGACUCACUGAGCAUAGUUGUGCUUACCCUCUUGAUCCGGCUUACACGCCUUGUUACAAAUUACUUGGGGGCUUCCUGCACUACAAAAAAAAGACACAUCCAUGACAUUUUAGGCCGAACGAAUUUUUUUCUGUCAUACUUAUGACACUUCUAUGACGAUAAUUGUGACAAAACCCGGUAUCAUCAUAGAUGUGGUGGGCUCCUACUUCUAUGACAAAAAUUCAUGAUAGAAAAUGGGCUUUUCAUCCUGGGCGGGCCGGAGACGCAACUGCAUGACAUUAUUUGGGCCGUCCAUGACGGAAAAAACCAUGGUAGAAGCGAGGGCGUGGAAAAUAUCGGGGACUUCCCAGUACAGUGGGUGGUAGGGGGCCAAGCGAUGCACGUUUCUCUCGUACACAUACACGCGUGGGUGCGAGGCAUUGGGCUGUAACUAAACCUGUCGUGGUUUUGUCACGGCAGAUGUCCUUUGUGUCAGGACUUAGUCGUGAGGCCAACGCAUCUAUGUGGUAGCUUGAGAGGGGUUGAGUGGGACGAGAGACGCAGGGCGAAUCAACACACAGGACAAAGAUUUAGACAGCUUCAGGCCCCGGGAAACAUCAUCCGGUAAUAGCCCUACAUGUCGUUUGAGGCUAGAUCUCAUUAUCAUCACGAGGGAGUCGCUGUAAACUGGCUCUCCUCUAGUUGUGUCUAGCCCUAGAGAUUGUUUCUUGCUCCUCUCUCUUUGGAAGCCCUGCCCCUCCUUAUAUAUGUUGAAGGGGCGGGUUACAUGACUAGUCCUAGUAAGAUUAGGAUUACUAUAUUACAAGUGGAGUCCUAGUCUUGCUUCCUUUGUAGAAAAAUAUUCCUUGUCCUUUCCUCAUAAACCGGCCCACCAUAGCGUGAUCCGGCCUUCCAUAAACCACCCGUUGGGCCACCGGGUCUUGUCGCUCCUCUGACCCUCCUGCCGGAUUACUAAUGAAUCUUAAACCGCCAGGUCCAAGUGGGUCGCCGGUGACUCGCCAAACUCUAGUCGGGUCAUACAUCCGGCGGUUUAUACCGCGGGGUAUAUCCCCGACAUUAGCCCCCAGUUUAAUUUGGAUUCAUCCAUGUUAAACUGAUCUGCAACAUAAACACAAGAACAAAUUUGUCGAGUUGUGCUCCGGUUUAAAUAUUCCUGUAAACCGACACUUGAUCAUCCUUAAAUCCUUGUCAUUUCUUCCUUCUAAAAAAUCCGAGUUAAUAGACCAGUUUCAUAAUCGAUUUGCUUGCAGAAGAUAUUUUGUAAAUAAAGAAUCCAUUUGAAUUGUCCUUCAAUGCUCUGACUUGACAAAAAUAUUAGUCUUUGAAAUAUUCAACUGAUAUCCAGCUGGCUUGAAGAUGUAAAACUUGCCGGUUUAUGAUUACCACCAUUGUCGGGUUAUAAAAACUGAUAAUUCCGGGUCAUGAUUGUUGCCAACGCCGGUUCAUGAUUGUUGCCAACGCCGGUUCAUGAUUAUUGAUGACGCCGGGUUGCAGACUACAGGGUCGUAAUGAUUGGUGACGCCGGGUCAAUCCGGUUUGAAAAUAUAAAACUUGUCGAUCUCGGCAACUUGUGGAAAAUAGACAUGUCUCAGCCUUACUUCUCUUGAAUUUUAAAUCUCAGACUAACAAUCUGGCCGAUGAACUCAACUGAUGUACAUCCUUUCAGACUAAUCCCCCCGUCCCUGCGCUCGUCUUGGUCGUUGUUGGUUUGACUAUCCCCGAUCCGUGUCUGCCAGGUCAUGGGCUCGUGGCCCCUCUUUUUUUGGCAUGAAUAACUCGACAGAUCACGCAUAUGCUUUGGCAAUAACUCUGACAGUUGGACAACAAAAUAACAGGAGCGGCAAGACGUCUAGCGGUGGUUAGCCGCUCAUGCCAGGCAAUAGCAUGACCGGACCGUUGUAGGAAACCAACUAGACUUUAAUUUUUAAUCCAUCUUGGGGUCAGCGUGUGAGCUGGCUAUUAAAUCCUUCCUUGAAUUUCAUACGUGUACAGUGGCUGUACUAGUUGAUGUCUCUUGACGUGCACGAGCUAGGGAAUCCAUCAAGCUUUUUUUUGUGUUGAUCAGCACUUGGACCCUUGAUUCCUGUGCGUGUGCUAGGUCAAUCCAGAAACUUCACGGGGCUGAAGCAACUGACUUGGUCGCCGCUGUACCAACAGAUGAUGCUCAUGACGUGUGUUUAGCUAUCUUUGAUCACCUCGGCCUUGGACGGCGGUACGUAGAGCAGCCAAAGCAACCCGGCGGACCGGAUAGGGCGGCUUAGAUUUGACAGCGGCGCAGUACAAGUUCGAACUGGCCUUGGUGUACUGUUGCAGUAUGAUCGCCGCAGCGGAAAACCCAAUCGGUCACAGCGACCGGUGGCGGUGCUCGGCGGAAGCAGACGGAGAGGCCGCGGCAGUUACUCAAGGCACAGCGAUGCGAGAGCCAAUCCUUAUCAACGACCGGUCGGGGGCAGAGGCGCGAAGAGAAAACCGGCAAGGCGCAGCGACAGAGUCCGUGCCCAUGAUCCUAUCCACUUCCGGGUCAUGGUUGACCUCGGAUCUUGUUUCCAUCCCACUCACGCGCGCGUUGAUACGGAUUGGUACAACGUGGCAUACAACGGGUGUAGUUGAAUUCUUAUCUGACUCAGCGACGCGUAGUAGCAACACCAACAGCAGAUCCAAACAAAACCUUGUCUAGGUCUCGCCGUAGAAUUUUCCAUCUGUAGUAAUGAACCUGGAAAGACAACUUUAUUGCUGUUGCUGGAUUUUUUCUUCUUUUCAAUCUUGUCUGAUGAACUCAAAGUUGAUCCUAUGCUGACUCUUCUUCAUCACAAUGAUCGCGAGCUUCUCGAAACCCUAGGAAAGAUCCCUCCAAGAACUCAAAACCACCAUGUGUGGGCCCCACGGUGGGUGCCAACUGUCGUGGUUUUGCUCAAAACAAAGAAUUUGAAAAUAGUUCUUUGAUAAUAAUAUAAUACCUAUCCCAAGCCUACUGAACCCGAGUGAUUGCACUGCAAGCUACGCAUUACUAAACCCGAGCGAUCGAUCGAUGGCCGUUAGCUGAACCCAAUCGACCGAUUUCUUCGUUCACUACUGCUGCUAACUAAAGCCGAUCGAACCUGCUGCCUCCUUCCCUUGAUGAACAGUGAGCGUUGUUGGGGUGUUUGGAUGAACAGUUCCCGGUGGGGGGUUGGAUGAACAGGACCCCGUGGUGCUGCCGCUGGAUGAACAGGACCCCGAUCGAUCGAGCCGGUUGGGCGUGGAUGAACAGGACCCCGUGGAGGGCUGGAUGAACAGGACCCCGUGCAUGGAAGGUUGAACAGUAGCCGGUGGAGGGCUGGUUGAACAGUAGCCGGUGGAGGGAUGGAUGAAUAGUAACCCAUGGAGGGGUGGUUGAACAGGACCCCGUGGAGAGGGCUGGUUGAACAGUAGCCGGUGGAGGAGCACGCGGUGGAGGCUGGAUGAACAGGAGCCCGUGGAUGAAUAGUCACAGGUGGAGGCUGGAGGAGGUCGACGGUGGAUGAACAGUAGCCCGUGGAGGCUGGAGGAGGUCGACGGUGGAGAUGAACAGUAUCUCGUGGAGUCCCGUUUUGCGAUACGCCACACCCCUCCCGAUGAACAGGACCCCCGUGAUACGUCUCCAUCGUAUCUAUAAUUUUUGAUUGUUCCAUGCCAAUAUUAUUCAACUUUCAUAUACUUUUGGAAACUUUUUAUAUUAUUUUUGGGACUAACAUAUUGAUCCAGUGCCCAGUGCCAGUUCCUGUUUGUUGCAUGUUUUAUGUUUCGCAGAAACCUAGUAUCAAACGGAAUCCAAACGGGAUAAAAAUGGAUAGAGAAUUAUUUUGGAAUAUUUGGGAUUUUCCGGAGGAAGAAUCUACGCGAAACGGUGUCCGAGGUGGCCACGAGACAGGGGGGCGUGCCCUCCCCCCUGGGCGUGCCUGGCACUCUCGUGGGCCACCCGUAAGGAGGUUGAUGCGCUUAUUUUGCCACAAGAAAGCUAAUUUUAUGAGAAAAAUCUGGGCGAAAGAUUCACCCCAAUCGGAGUUACGGAUCUUCGGAUAUAAAAGAAACGGUGAAGGGGCAGAAUAUGAGAACGCAGAAAUAGAGAAAUAGAUCCAAUCUCGGAGGGGCUCUCGCCCCUCCCACGCCAUGGGAGCCAAGGACCAGAGGGGAAACCCUUCUCCCAUCUAGGGAGGAGGUCAAGGAAGAAGCAUAAGAAGGGGGCCUCUCUCCCCCUUGCUUCCGGUGGCGCCGGAACGCUGCCGGGGGCCAUCAUCACCACCGCGAUCUUCACCAACACCGCCAUUAUCUUCACCAACAUCUCCAUCACCUUCCCCAUCUAUAUCCAGCGGUCCACUCACCCGCAACCCACUGUACCCUCUACUUGAACAUGGUGCUUUAUGCUUCAUAUUAUUUUCCAAUGAUUUGUUGCCAUCCUAUGAUGUCUGAGUAGAUUUUCGUUGUCCUAUCGGUGAUUGAUGAAUAGCUAUGAUUGGUUUGAGUUGCAUGUUUUAUUAUUGGUGCUGUCCUAUUGUGCCCUCCGUGUUGCGCAAGCGUGAGGGAUUCCCGCUGUAGGGUUUGCAAUAUGUUUAUGAUUUGCUUAUGGUGGGUGGCGUGAGUGACAGAAGCACAAACCCGAGUAAGUAGGUCGUUUGCGUAUGGGAUAAAGGGGACUUGAUACUUUAAUGCUAUGGUUGGGUUUUACCUUAAUGAAUCUUUAGUAUUUGCGGAUGCUUGCUAGAGUUCCAAUCAUAAGUGCAUAUGAUCCAAGUAGAGAAAGUAUGUUAGCUUAUGCCUCUCCCUAAAAUAGAAUUGCAAUAGUGAUUACCGAUCUAGUAACGUAGUCAAUUGCUUAGGGACAAUUUCACAACUCCUACCACCACUUUUCCACACUCGCUAUAUUUACUUUAUUGCAUCUUUAUCUAAACAGCCCCUACUUUUUAUUUACUUGUUCUUUAUUAUCUUGCAAUCCUUUCCUAUCACACCUACAAAGUACUUCUAGUUUCAUACUUGUUCUAGGUAAAGCGAACGUCAAGCGUGCGUAGAGUCGUAUCAAUGGACGAUAGGACUUGAGAGAGUAUUUGUUCUACCUUUAGCUCCUCAUUGGGUUCGACACUCUUACUUAUCGAAAGAGGCUGCAACUACCCCAUAUACUUGCGGGUCAUCAAGACCUUUUCCUGGCGCCGUUGCCGGGGAGUCAUAGCGUGGGGUGAAUAUUCUCGUGUGUGCUUGUUUGCUUUAUCACUAAGUAAUUUUUAUUCUCUGUUCUUAGUUGUUCUUUAUCUUUAGUCAUGGAUAUGGAACACAAAAUACCAAAAAAAUUAGGUGUACUUGCUGCUCAUGGAGAUGGGGAACCUCCUAAAACCCUCGAUGCUCGUUAUGUUAAACAUAUUAUGUACCACUUUGAUAAUCCUGAGAAAACACCACUCAAUUAUGUUAUGGGACACACGUUGGAUCAACGUGAAUACUUUAGGGAUUAUUGCUUGACACAAAAAGGGAAACUAUUAUGGGAUCAAAUUCAUUUAUUGAAGUGGUAUGCUAGGCAAGUAUGCGUGAGAUAUGAUUAUACUUGCUGCUCUAGGAUGAAGGCUCCACACCUUCCCUUUUCAUGCAGAUUUAAUGAUGAUAAAACCUUGGCAUCUUAUGCUAAUGGUAUCUAUGAUUACUACGAUGCGGAACAAAUAGAAGAAUUCGUUGCUUUUAUGGGUGCUUAUGAAAUUGAAUCUAUGUUCAAAGAGUUUGAAAAUCUUUAUGAUGGUGGUGAUAGAUCUGAGAAUUUUGCUAUACUUAAAUAUUGUUAUCAGAAUUAUGAAUACAAUUACAAUAUUGAUGCAUUUAUUGAGAAAGUCUCUGCUGUCCAAGAAGAGACUAAUAUUUUGCAGGAAGCUAUGCAAGAAGAAAUUGAUGAAACUGUGAGCUCAUUGGAUGAAAAAGAUGAUGAGGAGAGCGAAGAUCAAAAGGAGGAAGAGCGGAUUGAUCACCCAUGCCCACCUUCUAAUGAGAGUAACUCUUCAACUCAUACAUUGUUUAAUUCCCCUUCGUGCUUACCGAAGGAUGAUUGCUAUGAUGAUUGCUAUGAUCCCGUUGAUUCUCUUGAAAUAUCCCUUUUUGAUGAAGCUUGCUAUGCUUGCGGCCAAGAUGCCAAUAUGAAUUAUGCUUAUGGAGAUGAACUUGCUAUAGUUCCUUAUGUUAAACAUGAAAUUGUUGCUAUUGCACCCACACAUGAUAGUCAUAUUAUCUUUUUGAAUUCUCCCAACUACACUAUAUCGGAGAAGUAUGUGCUUAUUAAGGAUUAUAUUGAUGGGUUGCCUUUUACCAUUGCAUAUGAUGAUUUUGAUGAAUGUAAUAUGCAUGUGCUUGCUGCUCCUACUUGCAAUUAUUAUGAGAGAGGUAUUAUAUCUCCACCUCUCUAUGUUUCCAACACGAUAGAAUUGCAAGAAUCUGCUUAUACUAUGCAUUGGCCUUUACUAUGUGUGCAUGAAUUGUUCUUUUAUGACAUGACAAUGCAUAGGAAGAGAGUUAGACUUCGUUGUUGCAUGAUAUAUGUUACUUUGUGCUCACUACUAAAUCACAAAUCUUUGUUAAUUAAAAUUGGCUUUGAUAUACCUUGGGAUCCGGGUGGAUCCAUUACUUGAGCACUAAAUGCCUAGCUUAAUGGCUUUAAAGAAAGCGCUGCCAGGGAGACAACCCGGAAGUUUUAGAGAGUCAUUUAUUUCUUUUGAGUGCUUUCAUAUAGUUUAAAAACAAAAAAAUAAAUAAAGAGGGUAACCUAAAACUUUUCAAAAAGGAAAGUGAAAGUGAGAAAGACAAGCAUUGUUGAAGUGGGAGCUAGCCUUGAACUUUGUUCAUGCUCACGGAAACUUUGCGAAUCUUGAUUACAAAAACUUUUCAUCAAAAAUAAUUACCCCCUUGUACAAUUUCAUUGUAUUAUAAAAAUAAUGUGCCAAGGUUUGCCUUUAGGAUGUUUACAAUGCUUGUUGGUUUGUACGGUGCAGGACAGAAACUUUGGCUGUAGUGUGCGAUUUUACAUUUUGAACUGGAACAUCAAAUGGUUCUGAUUCCUUUUGCACUGUGUUUAUGUACAAAUUUUUUAUGCUUCCUAAUUUUGGUAGAAUGUUUGGGGUAACAUAAGUAUGGUGAAUGUUCAGAUUGCUACAGACUGUUCUGUUUUUGACAGAUUCUGUUUUUGAUGCAUAGUUUGCUUGUUUUGAUGAAACUAUCAAUUUAUAUUAGUGGAUUAAGCCAUGGAAAAGUUAUACUACAGUAGACACAAUGCGAAAACAAAAUAUGAAUUGGUUUGCAACAGUACUUAGAGUGGUGAUUUUCUUUAUUAUACUAACGGAUCUUACCGAGUUUUCUGUUGAAGUUUUGUGUGGAUGAAGUGUCUAAACGAGGAGGUCUCGAUAUGAAGAAAAGGAAGAGAGGCAAGAGCUCAAACUUGGGGAUGCCCGAGGCACCCCAAGUAAAUUUCAAGGAGACUCAAGCGUCUAAGCUUGGGGAUGCCCCGGAAGGCAUCCCCUCUUUCUUCAACAAGUAUCAGUAUGUUUUUGUAUUCGUUUCGUUUAUGCAUUAUGUGCAAGUCUUGGAGCGUCUUUUGCAUUUAGUUUUCAUUUUUCUUUUAUGCACCAUGCUGGUAUGAGAUAGUCCUUGUUUGAUUUAUAGAAUGUUCAUUGCACUUCACUUAAAUCUUUUGAGUGUGGCUUUAUAGAAUGCUUCAUGUGCUUCACUUAUACAUUUGAAGUUGGAUUGCCUGUUUCUCUUCACAUAGAAAACUGCCAUUUGUAGAAUGCUCUUUUUCUUCACUUAUAUUUGUUAGACCGUGGGCAUAUCUUUUGUAAAAAGAAUUAAACUCUCUUGCUUCACUUAGAUCUAUUUAGAGAGAUGACAGGAAUUGGUCAUUCACAUGGUUAGUCAUAAAAUCCUACAUAAACUUGUAGACCACUGAAUAUGAUAUGUUUGAUUCCUUGCAAUAGUUUUGCGAUAUAGAGGUGAUAAUAUGUGGGAGGUACUAGUAGAUGGUUGUGUUUAGUAAGGAUGUUGGUGUAAGGUUUGUGAUUCCCGAAGCAUGCACGUUUGGUCUACUAACUAUGUAACCAAAUUGGCGCACAAUGUAUUUUGAUUGUUUAUCUUUGUGUGAAGGUCGGGGGCGCAUGAUGGUUAACUCCUGCCAACCUCCCCCCUAGGAGUAUGCGUGUAGUACUUUGUUUCAAGGGCUAAUAAAUUUUUGCAAUAAGUAUGUGAGUUCUUUAUGACUAAUGUUGAGUCCAUGGAUUAUACGCACUUUUACCUUUCCAUCAUUGCUAGCCUCUUCGGUACCGUGCAUUGCCCUUUCUCACCUUGAGAGUUGGUGCAAACUUCGCCGGUGCAUCCAAACCCUGUGAUAUGAUACGCUCUAUCACACAUAAGCCUCCCUAUAUCUUCCUCAAAACACCCACCAUACCUACAUAUCAUGGCAUUUCCACAGCCAUUCCGAGAUAUAUUGCCAUGCAACUUCCAUCAUCAUCAUAUACAUGACUUGAGCAUUCAUUGUCAUAUUGCUUUGCAUGAUCAUAAGAUAGCUAGCAUGAUGUUUUCAUGGCUUGUCCGUUUUUGAUGUCAUUGCUAUGCUAGAUCAUUGCACAUCCCGGUACACCGCUGGAAGCAUUCAUAUAGAGUCAUAUCUUUGUUCUAGUAUCGAGUUGUAAGUUAAUAAAAGUGUGAUGAUCAUCAUUAUAGAGCAUUGCCCCAUGAAAAAAAGAAAAAAAAAAGAAAAAGAGGAAAGGCCAAAGAAGCCUAAAUAAAAAAGGGGGCCAAAGAAGCCCACCCAAAAAGAAAAAAAAGAAAAAGAAAAGGGGCAAUGUUACUAUCCUUUUUCCACACUUGUGCUUCAAAGUAGCACCGUGUUCUUCAUAUAGAGAGUCUCUUAUGUUGUCACUUUCAUAUACUAGUGGGAAUUUUUCAUUAUAGAACUUGGCUUGUAUAUUCCAACGACGGGCUUCCUCAAAUGCCCUAGGUCUUCUUGAGCAAGCAAGUUGGAGGCACACCCACUUAGUUUCUUUUGUUGAGCUUUCAUACACUUAUAGCUCUUAGUGCAUCCGUUGCAUGGCAAUCCCUACUCCUCGCAUUGACAUCAAUUGAUGGGUAUCUCCAUAGCCCGUUGAUUAGCCGCUUCAAUGUGAGACUUUCUCCCUUUUUGUCUUCUCCACAUAACGCCCACCAUCAUAUUCUAUUCCACCUAUAGUGCUAUAUCCAUGGCUCAUGCUCAUGUAUUGCGUGAAGGUUGAAAAUGUUUGAGAAUACUAAAGUAUGAAACAAUUGCUUGGCUGACACCGGGAUAGGCAUGAGGGUACCUUGUGUUAAGAAAAGGGAGCAUACAACACUAUAUGAUUUUGUAGGGAUAACUUUCUGAAGUAUUGAUAUUUUGAAAGACAUGAUUGUUUGUUGGGAUGCCCUAAGUAUUAUUGUUUUUAUGUCAAAUGAUAGACUAUUGCUUUGAAUCACUCGUGUCUUAAUAUUCAUCCCAUGAUUAGACUUAUGAUCAAGAUUAUGCUAGGUAGAAUUCCACAUCAAAAAUUAUUCUUUUGCAUCAUUUACCUACUCGAGGACGAGCAGGAAUUAAGCUUGGGGAUGCUGAUACGUCUCCGCCGUAUCUAUAAUUUUUGAUUGUUCCAUGCCAAUAUUAUUCAACUUGCAUAUACUUUUGGCAACUUUUUAUAUUAUUUUUGGGACUAACAUAUUGAUCCAGUGCCCAGUGCCACUUCCUGUUUGUUGCAUGUUUUAUGUUUCGCAGAAACCCAAUAUCAAACGGAAUCCAAGCGGGAUAAAAACGAACGGAGAAUUAUUUUGGAAUAUUUGGGAUUUUCCGAAGGAAGAAUCAGUGGCCGAGGUGGCCACGAGACAGGGGGGCGCGCCCUCCCCCCUGGGCACGCCUGGCACUCUCGUGGCCCACCCCUAAGGCGGUUGAUGCCCUUCUUUUGCUGCAAGAAAGCUAAUUUUAUGAGAAAAAUCUGGGUGAAAGAUUCACCCCAAUUGGAGUUACAGAUCUCCGGAUAUAAAAGAAACGGUGAAGGGGCAGAAUCUGAGAACCCAGAAACAGAGAGAUAGAUCCAAUCUCGGAGGGGCUCUCACCCCUCCCACACCAUGGGAGCCAAGGACCAGAGGGGAAACCCUUCUCCCAUGUAGGGAGGAGGUCAAGGAAGAAGAAGAAGAAGGGGGGCUCUCCCCUUGCUUCCAGUGGCGCAGGAACGCCGCCGGGGGCCAUCAUCACCACCACGAUCUUCACCAACACCGCCGUCAUCUUCACCAACAUCUCCAUCACCUUACCUCAUCUAUAUCCAGCGGCCCACUCUCCCGCAAUCCGCUGUACCCUCUACUUUAACAUGGUUCUUUAUGCUUCAUAUUAUUUUCCAAUGAUGCAUUGCCAUCCUAUGAUGUCUGAGUAGAUUUUCGUUAUCCUAUCGGUGAUUGAUGAAUUGCUAUGAUUGGUUUGAGUUGAAUGUUUUAUUAUUGGUGCUGUCCUAUUGUGCCCUCCGUGUCGCGCAAGCGUGAGGGAUUCUCGCUGUAGGGUUUGCAAUAUGUUUAUGAUUUGCUUAUGGUGGGUGGCGUGAGUGACAGAAGCACAGACCCGAGUAAGUAGGUUGUUUGCGUAUGGGAUAAAGGGGACUUGAUACUUUAAUGCUAUGGUUGGGUUUUACCUUAAUGAAUUUUUAGUAUUUGCGGAUGCUUGAUAGAGUUCCAAUCAUAAGUGCAUAUGAUCCAAGUAGAGAAAGUAUGUUAGCUUACGCCUCUCCCUCAAAUAGAAUUGCAAUAGUGAUUACUGGUCUAGUAACGUAGUUAAUUGCUUAGGGACAAUUUCACAACUCCUACCACCACUUCUCCACACUCGCUAUAUUUACUUUAUUGCAUCUUUAUCUAAACAGCCCAUACUUUUUAUUUACUUGUUCUUCAUUAUCUUGCAAUUCUUUCCUAUCACACCUACAAAGUACUUCUAGUUUCAUACUUGUUCUAGGUAAAGCGAACGUCAAGCGUGCGUAGAGUCGUAUCAGUGGCCGAUAGGACUUGAGAGAGUAUUUGUUCUACCUUUAGCUCCUCGUUGGAUUCGACACUCUUACUUAUCGAAAGAGACUGCAACUAUCCCGUAUACUUGCGGGUCAUCACCCCGUUUCGACCGUAGCGCUCCAACACAAGUUUGUUUCCUCUAUUUUGUGGUACGCCACACCCCUCCCGAUCAACAGGAUCCCGUUUCGACCGUAGGAGGUCCAUUUCCUCCGUUUUGCGGUACGCCAGACCCCUCCUGAUAGGAUCCCAUUUCGACCGUGGCCGGUCGAACACAAGGCCGUUUCCUCCGUUCUGCGGUACGCCAUGCCUCGUUUCCAUCGGCUAUUCUGUCCAAGCCGGUUGGCUCUCGAUGAACACGACGCAUUCCGUUCCGACCCAGCUGGUUGGCUCCCCAUGAACACGACGACGACACAAUUUCUCUGUUCCAACCCAGCCAUGUACAUGAGUCCUGGCCGUACGUAUGCGUGAGUAGGCAUUCGAGACCCCGCCCGUAUGUACCUACGUGGCCGUAUUUUCUUUCUUGCACCCUGGCCGCUGUACGUACAUGUACAUGCUACGUGCGCGCCUCUACUACGACACGUGCACGCGUCUACUAUGACAUGUGCGUGCCUCUACUACGACACGUGCCCUUCCUUACACGGCCACGGUUCAUCGCUGCAGCCUGCAGACAGACCGAUCGUAUGUACGUACACGUUCGUGACCAGAAUGACAACGCUACGUACGCUUCGACCAGGUGGGUCCCGACUGUCAGGUACUUCCUUGCAUGCAAAGACGUAGCUGGCGGGUCCCACCAUUCAGGGGGCAAAUCAUUGUUUUGUCCGUAAUAUGGACGCACUUCCUUGCAUGCUAAGAUGUAGCUGGUGGGUCCCAGCAGUCAGGGGGGGGAACGUUUUUUCGCAAAAUAUGGUGGCCCGUCCGGUGGGUCCCUGCUGUCAGGUGGAGGAAUAAUUAUUUUGUGUGUAAUAAGGAGGCACUUCCUUGGUGUGGCCGUGAACUCAGCUGUCAGCCUCUCCACGUACAGUACUCUUCCGAUGGAAGUCGUUCCUUGACGACGUUGACCACGCCACGCCGAGAGCACCAGGGCGGUGGACGACGGCGAGUCCUAGGAAGGGGACGACGCGGAGCCGGGGAAGACACGGUAGUGGAAGCCCAUGCGGAGAGGAGUACGAGGGUUCACUGGUUCGGCUACGGUGUGAGGUUGCCGAUGCCGCAAAAUAACAUGGGGUGUGGGUGAGUAGAGGCAGAUGGCCUGGCCAGCGGUGGGAGUAGUAGGGGGCAGUGAGGCCUCCACGGUAUCACAGUCGGCCACGGUAGGCAGGAGAACGCGGCACGACCGGCACUGCUUUGGGCGGCUGGAGUAAGAAGACCAGAGGUUGAAGAAGCACUACGGCCGUUGGAUGGACAUCGUACGGUCACUGCAGCUAGAAUCGUUUAUAUUGACUAAGUUGACAAAUCCCUUGGUACCGUCAACUUAGUAGGCCCAUAGGUCAGCCUCCGAAACAGUGCGCCCCAGAUGUCAGGGGGAGGAAUCAUUUUUUGGGCGGCUAAAGCAAGAAUAUCCGAGAUUGAAGAAGAAGCACGACAUCCGUUGGAUGGACAUCUAACGGACACUCCUGUAGAACUGUGUGUUGACUAUAAUUUGACAAAGCCUUGCAUACGCGUCAACUUAGUUUUUUAGGGGACGCGUCAACUUAGAAGGCCCACAAGUGUGUGACAGAGAACAUAUAGCCCAUUUGCGAUUCGUAAGAAUGUACAACCCAUUUUUGAAUUCUAAUGGAAUUUACUACAUCCCAUUUACAAUUUGUUAAAAGCACAACCAAUUUCCUAGCUAGGACAAUGAUUAAUAAUUUCAACAAACCGCUCAAAACAGAAUUCAAAAAAAAUUCCCACAUUUUGAUGGGAUCCGAAAUAUUUUUAUCCCGGAAUUUCUAGGCAGAUUAAAUACAGUUUCAAUAUAAAUUUGUAUUACAUAAAAAUCCAAUGAAACAUUGCGCGCGCAACAAUUAAUGAAAUUAAAAUUUUCAAAAUCCAAAAAUAAUAUUUUAUAAACUAAUUACGUGUUUGGUGCAUUUUUUAUAGUUACUACCCAGUUUUUAUAAUUACAUCCCAUUUAUUAUUUCUUAAAGCCCAUUUUCCUGUUAAGCCUAAUGCAUCCCUCCUAGGAAAGAUUUGUAGCCCAGCGGGGCGGAGAAUAACAAGUUGACCUUGCCUGGGUAUUCCUCAAAAAAAAGUAUAGCUGGGCUAGCCAUUUUCAGCUUGAAAAAAAUUAACAUCUGGGCUGGAUAUCUGGGGGCUAGACGGGCACAGCCCGCCAGUUAAUACCUUGCUCUCCUCUGAACAACAAUGAAAACAUCGCUCAAGAAAAACUUUGAAGUGCUCACACCUCAAAAACACAAAUACUGCUCGAGCUGCUUGGUCCCAGCUGUCGGCCGGUCCUUGUGCAAUUCUCUCGUUUAUUGACUACAUAGGUUGACAAUGGUGUGGGACCGUGAUGUCAGGAAACCAAGAGGAAGAAAAAAAAUAGUUGUACAUAAUAAGGAGGCACUUGCGUACGUACGACUAUGGCCCUAGUGGGUCCCUACUGUCAUCCAAUCAAAAUAAAGUCAUCUCCUGAAUCCUCAUGUUCGUUGACCAUGUUGACAAUGCUCGGCACCACGACGAGCGCAACAACUCAAAGGACGAUGAAGAGGGCCUCGCGGGCCCUAUGGGUGGUGUGAUGCAGCGCCCGCUGCUCAUUCAGGAAGCCAGGAUCAUCGGACACCUAUGAGCACCUCCGAGAGACUAAGAUGGCAUGAAACAGUAAGGCCGCACUUGGGAGCUCUGGUUUAUUUUACACCUGUAUUAAGAUACAAGUGUAAUUUACUCGUCAUCAGAAACAACAUGUAAAAUACAGGCGUAAUGAAACCGAGGGCCCGAGGUCUAUAACGAAAACCGGUGAGUUACACGUGUAAUUUGAGAGACCAGUGUAUGUUUUACUUGUUGAAAUCGACCAACCAAGCACUUCGCCCGAGACCAUCUGCUUUUAUUUACAAGCGUCAGUUUUACAAGUGGUUUUGGUUGGAAAACGAUGAUCCAAUCACCGCCUAAGAUGAUGAGUUGGUUGGAAGAUCAUAUGGUUUCACCUCUAACCUACCCGAGUUGUCGUAUAGGCUAUGAAAGAAACAUAAGACAAUGAACUUCUUAAGCACAGAAACAACAGAAGAGGAUGAUUUUCUUAACAUGCAAAUCAUAGGCAUUAGCUCAACAUGCAAAACAAUAGGAAGCAUUAUUCGCAGGAGGCAUGGUGAACAACUCGUGAUGCUGCAUGCCACAUCAUUCCAAGCUCAACUUUGCAAUCAAACUCACAAGGCCUGGCAUUACAUAGACAACAUUCAGAACAAACUCUUCAAAUACCUUAAUAAGUCAACAUUCAUGUGACUAUGCAUCUCAGCAGAGUAAAUAUGUACUUCUGAACUAAGGGCGUCAAUAGGAAAAAACGAUCGACAUUGCUCACAGCAAAGGGCGUCCCACUCAAAAAUAUCAAAUGCAUGUCUUCUGGCUAACAUCAAUGAGCAAAAUUUGACAAGGUUUUCCAAUUGCAAUAUAUUAAACUAAUAUCUUCUAGCUAACAUCAAUGAUUAAACUUUCACAAGCUUUUCCCAUUCAAAAUAUGUAAUGCCUAUGAUUGUGGAACAGGCAGGGUUUGUCAUCUGAUAGUCCGGUGGUUCAAGGUGACGACGAAUGAUUAGAGAACCAUUCGAUGUAUUGUGCAUUAUGAAGUAUUAUGGAGGACAAGAACCAUCUGAACAUUUUUUGCAGUUCCACUAAAAUCAAGCUGAGCAUCCCUGUGGAUUUCGUAUUUAUAUGCUGCAAGAAACAAAGACACAUUAGCACACACAUGAAUAUUGGCCCCAGUGUCAACCCACCAAUCGAUGGACUAACAAACUGAAAGUACAGUAAACAGAUUACCAUACCCAGAUGCCCCAUCAUUGUUGCUUAGAAUGACACUGACAGACUUGGAGUCCUAUCAUGGCUUCUUGUACUUGUUUGGGCACUUUUUGCCCAGUGCACUCCACGUGUUGUAGAGUUGCCUAUGCUCUCUGCAGACUAGUCAUGUCACCAACGUCUACUAAUACUCUGUAAAGCUUCUCGACCAUUCCUUCUGUAAUGUAGCGCAAACAGUGACUGCUUCUUUAUGCAAAGUGGUAAAACCAACUGGACCCACUAAUGUAGCAGUUUGCCUUAGACACAUUGGCUCCUUUUGUGCAGUUCAACUAAAGAACGACAAAGCAGAAAAGUAUCAUUCCUAAAACAAUGCGACUGAUUCAUUUUAACAGAGACAUUAUCUUAACAAUACCUUGGUUAAACAUGUAGAAAGAACUAUAAAGUAGGAUAGUACCAUUUGUAAAACAAUGUAACUGAUAUAUAAUAACAGAGACAUUAUCUGAACAAUACAUUUCUUAAACAUGUACUCCGGCCGAUUCCUAACAGAAACGGUACUCCCGCCGAUCCCUAACAAUUGUUGCAGUUUUGAACUAAGAUUCAAUAGUUAAUUCUGAGAGUGGCAUUGCUUAAUUUUACCAGCGGCAUUAGAUUAACAAAAAGCAUAAACAGUUCCAGGGGAGAGUGGGUGCAACAACAACAUGUGCUUCCAUCUACUUAUAAAAGGGGUGAUGCAGAGUUUGUUGUAACAAAGCAACAAGCAUCAUGUCUGGGUUGGUCCCAUUUUUGUUCACUACUUAAUGGGAAAAGACAGCAAUACAAUAGCUUCAAUUUAACACUUAUUUAAAGCGGUACCCAUACAAGUAGCACAACAUCUCAAAGCACAAUGCACGAUCAUGUGGAUGAAGGCAAGUACCAACCUGUCAUGACGCGCACAAGAUCACGUACGAAUCUUCCAACAUAAAUAGGAAAUCCAAUCUCGUUUUGUGCAGUUGCACUGAAAUCAAGCAAAGUCGCCGGUGUGACAUUUAAGUUUGCUAUAGCAACAAGUUGAAUAGAUAUCCCUGUUUUAACAGAGGCAAAAAGGAAACAAUUACUGGCCAAUAAAGGAGGAUGAAACAAACGGCGACAAAAAGAAGCAUCUAACUUAUCUUGAUGGAAAACAAAGUAGGAUAGUAGCAUUUCUAAAAUGGUUGCAUUGAUUCAUAUUAACAGAGACAUUCUCUUAAAACAACAUUCGUUAAAAAUGUAAUUUAUUUUAACAGUGGCAUUGCUUCAAUUUUCCAGCGGCAUUCUUAGAUUAACAACAGCAAAAUAGUUGUAUGGGGCAUGGGACACGGGACAUGCCAGCACCAUGAACAUCCACACGUAUAAAUGGGUGAUGCAGAGUAUGUAGCCAAGCAACAUAUCUCUGUUGGUCCCAUAUUUGUUCUCUUUGAACCAUUUUCCUAUGUGAGGGCAGCAAAUCUUGUCCUGCACAAACUACCUGACCCCUCAGUUACUUUCCCUUUUCAACAAAGAGAUCGGUUGCUUACAGAUGUGUGUACUGGGUUACCCCCUUUUUCCCUUUUCGACCAACAAAGCGGCUGGAUAGCUAGUCUAUACUACUUUCCCUCCCUCCUUUCCUCAUUGAACCACGUCCUAGAUUCAUGCUCCACCCCACCUCACCCUUCUUUCCUCUUUGAACCAAGACCUAGAUUCGACUAUAGAAUCGAAAAAGAUCCGCAUGCAGCUAGAGCAAUGACGGUUUCAAAGAAACUUAUACCUUAGGGUCGUUGGGAUGUGACAAGGCGUGUGGCAGGAGGCCGGAUCUGCACACACCACGUACGACAGCAAGGAAGAAGGGGUCGGUGGCCCUCCUGCACAGGCGUUGGGUGAAAGAGAAUAGCGCAUCCGGUAGUGGAUUGCCUCCCUCGCCAAAGGCGAUGGAGUGAACACUGCACCUCCUCCCCUUCCCGGUGCGACGGGAUCCGGAAGCCUCCUUCACCAACUAUGAGGGGGGAGAGAGAGACAGAGGCCGACACAGUCUUGUUUAGAUCUGGUGAAGAGGGUGAGAGAUUGUGAACAUAGGAAACCCUAGCAAAGGAACGCUGAGCCUCCAACAUGUAUAUAUAUAUAUGUGUGUGUGUGUGUGUGUGUGUAGUGUGGCAAGAGUGGGAGAGUGCAAACCCUAGCGAACAAGCGCUGAGGCUCUAGCUUAUAUAGUACUACACAUAUACUGUAGUACAGACUGAGCUCCGAUGCCAUAACUGCACCCGCUUUUGGCUGUAUGACAGGUGGGCCAGCCACAUUUUGGGUCCACUUGUCAUAAACCCAAAGGCAGGUGCACUAAGUCAAUGAAGCUGCGUCCAUAUAGUACUCGUGUAUACUACUAAUAUAUAAUGGAGUGGUUUUCUUAUUCUCUCCAUAAGAAUCGUUUUAAAUUGUGUAAGUACGAAAUGAAACUCUUUAUUUAACGUACCAGUGAAGAAAACUACUACUUCCGAUGAACUAAUGAUCCACGCGUCCUGGUUGCACUUCCUGUCCUUCACGUGCUAUACACUACCCUCCCUUAAGUGAACAACCACACAUGCGCCAAAUUAUCGGAAACAUGUGAGAGUCUGUACAAAUAAAGAAUUUUAAUUUCAAUCAUCGAAAUGGUUUGAGAGUAUGUACAGUUUGCCCUCUCUAAAUAAUUGUGGUUUGUUGUGUUCAACCUAAACUUGGUCAAACUUUACAAAGUUUGACUUCAGUCAAAUCUAAUAUGUAGAGUAAAUAAAAAUGGAGGGCUACUAUGUCCAUCCAGGUUUUUAGUCCACACCAUUUUUUAAUCAAAGUUAAUAGCUGGACAAAUAAAAUUACAGGGGAGCUGAAGAAAAGUUGUGAGAAGGCUUAGAAAUCAAUACAAAACUUAUGCUCUUAGUACCAACGUCGAUCCUUCUUCGAGGAAACAUUUUGUUCAUAGCCAAUUGUGUGAUAAAAUUUCACCAACAUGAAAGACGACUGCGUCUCCAACGCAACCAAGGUGAACUGAUGAAGGAUAUCGUCUUUGUGGGUAACAAGCAAAGAGCACUGAUGGAAGACAACUAGUUUUCAUGGAAAAUCGAUCAGCUUCACCAGCCGACGCAACCAUGAGGUGCACCAUGAGCAUCGAUAGGUCAUCGUGGUGAUGCAUCAUCCAUUUGACAUGAAGUUUGAGUGAGGCACCUAUGAAGUUUGACAAAUCCUCACUGUGGUAUGUUUCUUCUCAUCAAUCAAGCUCGAGGAAGGAAGAACCACGUGGCAGAGGACAGUGAGGCGGAACAACAAUGGCCAUCCAAUUUUGUGCAGUUCCAUGAAAAUUGAGGGAGACAUGCCCGGGUAUGGAGAUACGCAUCACUGUUUGCAAAAAUAUAAAAAAGGGAUAUAGUGUUGUUACUUUGUUUUGGCAGUGGUACAAGAUUAACAACAACAUCUCAAUUGUCAAUAAGAAUUAAUGAAAAGUACACCAACAAACAAAAGCAUCAUGAUUAUCUUGAUGGGAACUAAACCAGGAUACCCGAGAAAAAAAUCAUUUCUUCAUUUAACCAGUGAUAGUAUUAGAUUAGCAGCAACAAUAGGAGCAUAUGGACAAUGACCGCACAACCACCAUGUAGUUUUUGUCGAAACAACAUGUAUACUUCCACCAACACUUAAAUUAGGACAACUUUUCGAGUGGUAUUUCCUCUAUAAUAGUAGGUGAUGUUGGACCAGCCGACGAACCCUAGCUACUAUACAUGGGGAGCUGGGGAGUAGUCGCAUAGAAGAAAACCCGCAUGCAGCGACCUGGGGAGCUGGACCAGUACAAGAAUUUAUACCUCAGGUGGGCAAGAUGUCGCUUAGGCGGGCGGGCGGGACCUGCCCACACGACUGCAACGAACAAGGGCGCGGAGGACCUUCGUCCGCGCCAGCGCCGACUCCAAGAGGACAGUGCGCAUCGGCUUCCUCCAUCGCCAACAUCGACAACGUCAAUGCUGCACCUGCUCAUCUCCCGGAGCGGACAGGAUUCGGCCGGAUCUGUGACCGCCGAUGAGGAGAGAGAUAGAGUGGACACUGUCAUCUUGUUUUGAUAUGGAGAGGGUGAGAGAGCGAGACGCGAGAAACCCUAUCAAACAAGAGGCUAUAUAUAUACAAUGGAGUAAAAAAAUCUCUCCAUAGCAGUGGUUUUAAAUAGAAUAUACGCGUUCUCGGAAAAAAGAAACAAAAACUGGCGGACAAUUUUUUAACGUAUCAAGAAAGAAAACUUGUUCAAAAACACGCCCCCGCUUCCAGGUCGCGAGAGUCGUUGCGCACACACACAUAGACAUAGACAUGCAUCUGAGGAUGGCUGGGUAAAACUGAAUACAGAUGGUUCCUUCUUGCCAGAGAACAGAACUGCUGGUACAGGCAUGAUACUAAGGGAUCAAGGGGGUGCUAUAAUUUUCUCUUCAUGUAGAAGCUUGUGUUAUUGUGCGGACGCACUGGAAGCAGAAUUGUUGGCCAUCAAAGAGGGUUUGUCGCUCGCAUUGCAGUGGACUAAUCUUUUUUUUGACCCACACACCAUAGAACAAUCGUUCUACGGUAAAUUAUGUUAAUGUAAUAAAGUACAUGGGGAGUCUAAGCUCCAAAUAUCAAUAUCGAGACCGACUGCCUUGAAGCUACAAAUAUGGUGAGGAAUGAAGAUCUUGAUAGACCUCGGUUUGGUUUUUUAGUGCAUGAGAUUAGAUCGCUCAUGGCACUCCGAAAUACUUGUAUUGCUCAUGUUCAACGAAACAACAACAUUGUCAGUCAUACUUUAGCUCAUUAUGGUAGGACUCGUGGCCGUAUCGCUGUUUGGCUAGGUUCAGGCCUUGAUGGCAUUGUUGAACUUUGUAACUCUGAGUGUAGCCUGGCUACAUAUGAGUAAUACAAGUUUGUUCCCGCAAAAAAAAGACAUAGACAUGCAUAUCCGUGUUUACAUAAAAUUCCAUCUCCACCUCCAUCUCCAAUCAUAUUUGUCCAACUGGCACAUUAUUUACGUUGUUAAUUAUAUACGCAGCAAUAUUAACGUACACCAUCUCUUGUUUGCGGGCGUCCGGACCGCUGCCACGCCCGCUCCUGACCAACCCAAACCCUCUUCAUCACCCGCGUGUGCUUCCCACCCGAAACGGUCAGUGCCGCAUUCAUGCCCAUCCAGAGCGGACGCGACCUCUCACUGGCGCCGACAUUGAAGCGGCGCGUUGGCCGAGAGAGCAUCGCCCGUGCCGCUUCCCAGUGCACGCGACUGCUCCACGUUCAAAGGUCACAAUAGCCGGCCACAGCAUGCAUGUAAAAAUUUCUUGGGAGUCCAUGCUACAACUAGUUGUCCUCCCCCAACUUGUCAAUCUCUUCCAGUAGUGCUAGUACUCCAUGGCGUGAUCCAUCGACAAGCAGGCGGGAAAGUUAUCGUAUACUCGGUUUGUGGUGAGUGGCAUGCCGAGCGACCGUGUGGGGUCUAGCCGUGGAGGAGGGUGAGACACGAACCCGACAGACGUGAUUUAAACAUUGGUUUUGCUCGAUGGCGCGAUCCAACGAAACGAAACACUGGUUUCUCUCCGUUUCCAUUUUUUCUCCGAAAAAACGGAAACUUUCCACUCCUUUUCAUUCCUACUCCAAGGUUGCCCCAUUACAACAUUCCAUAAAAUACAAAGGAAAACUAACACGCAUGCUGAUGCAUCUCAAUGAUUCACAGAUCAUAGCCAAUAUUUACUUCACAACUAAAGACAAAAGUUGUGAGCGCAUGUACAAAAGAAAAACUACUGAUGGGGUCACUAUGACUUAAACCCUAAACCCUAAACAUGAUUUAAUUUCUUGGCUAGGUAGAACCUGUCGAAGGAAAGACGGCUGGCACCCUUGAAUCAUACGAUGCUUUUGUGCAGUUCCACUAAAAUCGAGCUGAGCAUCCGUGAUGGCAAAUAUAUUGAAGAAGUGUGAUUAGAAUAAUAGUACUGGCACUAGUUCAUGAGACAUAAACUCAUCAUGAAUAGAAGCCGGUAGAAGUAGAAAAAGAUCGACAUGGAGAUGGAGCUACGUGGGGAGCUGCGGCAGUGGAGCAAGCCGGCUCCAAAAGGAAGAUGUACUACCUGGGACGUCGGGCUGUAGCUAGAAGGGCGGUUGGGACGCGACAUCAGCCCAUACAACAGGGACCCCCGAUUGGGACGCACCGACCGUGGGUUUUCUCCCUCGCCGAUGUCGACCGCGUCUACGCAGAACAUUGUUCCCUUCCCCCAGCAGCGGGAUCAGGACGGAUAUGUGACCAGCGGUGCAGCCACCUUCAUUCUAUGCUUGUGAAGAGAGAAACCCAAGCAAGCAGGCUUGUAGCUUAGGCUCCUGCUAGUGUAUAUAUAGUGGUUUUCUUUUUCUCUCCAUAUCAACCAUUUUAUAUUGCGUAUGUGUCAUUGAAGAGUGAAAUGAUGGUUGCUUCUUCCGACUAACUUACUGUGUGAUUUGGCUGCUCCUUAGUGGCCCCUACACAUACCCCCCUACGUGUAUGACUUUUCCUAAGUCUCACUCAUACUUAUCUCUAUUUUCUUGCAUGACACGUAUACAGGAUGCGCAUAGAGGAAUUUUGUUACUGCACGUUGUUACGUAGUACUGUACUACUAGUACCUCCUCCCUCCUUCUGGUUCACUAUUGGUACUCCCUCCGUCCUGGCUUAUUGGUCCCCUUUGUACUCAAUUCAUGGGCUCAUUUUCCUCUAGAAAUUGUCUUUACCAACGUAUUAAUAUCAGGAAUGCAUGCGUGAACAACGAAUGAUUAAACCUUGCAUUCAACGUUUUGACAAAGCAUUGACUUAUGAACAUGUGAAUGUAAGGGACUACAACCUCGUGCAUGCAUGCAACACUCACAUGUACACAUGGACACAAAAACGUGCGCGACGCCCUAAUGCAUGCAUGUCCGAGCACACGACAGAACACACACGGUCACGCUCAAGUUCUCAACCUACACGUGCAUGCACACACAUACUCAGCCAGGGGUGAGCUAGUGAUCGUAUAAACACCGGAAAAUAUAUAUAUUGAGCGCAAUGAGCGUAUUAUGAAGUCCACUGACCGUAUUUUUACAAAUAUACAGUGACAGACAAUGUAUUUAUCUUGUUUGAAAUUAAGCCAUAUUAACCGGAAAGGAGGCAGUAUGGACUAGCAUUACCUUGUUGUGUCCCGUCAACUUGCCGAACAAGGAGAAGCUUGCAGGACGGGAGAAGCUUGCGCGCGGUGGCUCGCAGGACAAGGAGAAACUUUCGACUAAUGCAAGCUCUCCCUCGCUCAGGCGGUGGACGUGCAACAGUUAAUUCAGUGUCAGAUUGCGAGAAGCAUACACUAUACUAGUACUAUUAUUGUUCGACUUCUCGAAGAGGCAAACUACUACUAUAGAGGUAUGUACUAUACUAUACUAGGAACCGGAUGGAGGAGCAUCUGCACUCUUAUUAUAUUUUAAAAAUAUGAUAAAGCAAUCUUCAACACAUUUGGUUCUCUUCGAGGGUUCUCGCAUGUGAUAAUGGAAGUUGAUUGCAUGGAACACUCGCCACAAUUCUCGCUUAAUUCUGGCUCAUAUCCUGUUACAAAUAGGAGCACUCGGUAAUAUUUCCUCUUUUUUUGUUAUUCAGCAUGUAAACAGGUCAGCAAACCUUGCGGCGCAUCUUUGUGCGAACCGUGCUUGCUGCACUUUGAAUGUGGCCGAGAGCUGGCUUGAUGAAACACCUCGCUUCCUUCUUCUUUUUUUUUGCGGGGUACCUCACUUCCUAGUGACCAGUCUCUUGGCUGAUUGUCCUAAGAAUGCUUAUAUAUGAAUAAAGCUCUCUCAUUUACCCGCAAAAAAGAUUAAGCCAUAUUAACCAGAAAGGAGGGAGUAUGGACUAGCACUACUUUUUGGUGGGUCCCAUCAACUCGCAGAACAAGGAGAAGCUUGCAGGACUAGGUGAAGCUCGCUUACGCUUUUUGACUAAUGCAACCUACCCUCGCCCAGGCGGUGGGCAUGCAACAGUUCAUUUGGUGUCAGAUUUCCACAGGCAUACACUAUAGUACCCAACAUGCGUAGUAUCAUCAUUGUUUGACUUCACGAAGGGGCGAAGAGCCAAGCGCAAGGUUUAGUUGUACGAGUAGUACUACUACUAGAACCACAUGGUGGAGCGUCUGUACACUUAUUUUAUUUUAAUCUCUGAUAAAGUACACAUUUAUUUAGGAGAAGGGCGGAAAACAGCAGCCCAAUGGUAGUGUUAAAAAACAUCGAACAUGUAAUGAUGAUAUCGAUCAACCAUGCUCGAAUAUAUCUUGGCUUCCAUGCGAGCCCGUUUGUGUGUUCUUGAUGACCCACAAGUGUAGGGGAUCUAUCGUAGUCCUUUCAAUAAGUAAGAGUGCCGAACCCAACCAGGAGCAAAAGGAAAUGACAAGCGGUUUUCAGGAAGGUAUUCUCUACAAGCACUGAAAUUAUCAGUAACAGAUAGUUUUGUGAUAAGAUAAUUGGUAACAAGGAACAAGUAACAAAAGUAAAUAAGGUGCAGCAAGUUCACCUAAUCCUUUCUGUAGCAAAGGACAAGACUGGACCAAUUAUUAUACAAAGUAAAAUGCUCCCGGGGACACAUGCGAAUUAUCAUCAAGCUAGUUUUCAUCACGCUCAUACGAUUCACGUUCGUUACUUUGAUAAUUUGGUAUGUGGGUGGACCGGUGCUUGGGUUCUGACCUUCCUUGGACAAGCAUCCCACUUAUGAUUAACUCCUAUUGCAAACAUCCGCAACUAAAAAAGAAGUAUCUGUCGGCGUUCUGGGAACGGGGGUCCCCAGACUUUCCUGCCUGCGGCCUGCAGCGUGGCUCAAAGGGGGCCCAGCACAGCCCAUCUUCAUCAACACAGGCUCAAGACCCUCGCGAGGGGCCAAGCCUCGUGGGGCGGAUGACAAGGAGCUUCCUCAGGCACGACCUCAUCAGGCUGGCUCACGAGGAGGCGGAGAGUUCAAGGCGGGGUACCUCGCGAGGUGCCCAUGACGCAAGCCAUGACGACCAAGGGCGCCAGUCGGGCGCCAGCCCGUGUAGUGUCCUCCUUUCCUCUUUGGUGCAAAGGGAGCAAGCGCAGGCGAGAGUAUCAAGCAAAGGCGUCCAUUUCGGUGCAACAAGACCAAGACCAGUCCGACAGCAGGAUGGAGGUAACCGUGGAGCCCAAGCCGGCGUCACCACCAGAGCCUUUGACAGGCGAGGACCAACUUUAGCCAGGAUAAGUGUACCCGCUGUUCCCCUUCAAAAUGGCCAAUUGUUGGCGCCCUUCCCGCUCAAUAUUUGGGAAGAGGCCCAGGGCCUUUGCCUAUAAAUAGGACUAGCCACCCCCAGGGUAGAGGCAUCGAGAUCAUCAGCAGGUAGCUGGCAUACAUCUAGGAUAGAAAGAGAGAGAUAAAGCGACCGAACUCCUCCUAGCAGUUCAUCGCACCAGCCAAGAACAGACCCUCGCGAGGCUGUUCUUCCUUGUAUUGUUCAUCAUCAGCCCAAGAGGCAAUCCACCACACCACACACUGGAGUAGGGUAUUACACCUCAAUGGUGGCCUGAACCAGUAUAAACCUUGUGUCUCUUGUGUUGAUCUUUUCGUAGUUUAGAUCCUAGCGAUUUGGUGAGGAGCAUGUAGGCAGAUGGCGUAAUCUCCGCGCGCACCCCAGUGUUCGAACCUCAAGGGUCUGCCGGAACCCGAAAUACGACAUUUGGCGCGCCAGGUAGGGGUGCGCCGAAAUUCGUCUCCCGUCGCCCUGUUCUUCUCCGACCAUCGCGUCCAUGUCAGACGCUCGUCGGGCCCGCGCCGAGCGCCGGGCCGCCCUCGCUUCCCGUGUUGCCCAGACGGCCCCCGUCGGCGGGCGCCCCCGUCGUUCCCCAUCACCUGCCGUCAACGCCGCCACCGGCCCGGCGGGGAACAAGCAGCAAGCAUCGUCCCAGCACCCGUCCAUGAGGCGAGACGGCCGCACUGCUACACCCUCGCUCACCCCUGCUGGUUCUUCGUCUCGCGCGCCCCGCCGGCCAUGGAGGCUCGAGCUAUGCUCAUCGCGGCAAACGAGCUCCUACGCUACCGCCCAAUCGACGACCCCUACGAGGAGUGGCUCAACCGAGUCGCCGAGCUCGUCCGCGCCACUGGGGGCUCCCCCGCACCGUCCUUCUCGUCGCACCGCGCCCCGCCCUGCGCAGGCAACGAAGCUCCUGGGGCGCCUCAGCCGCCUCCCCCUCAAGAAGGCGCCCUGGCUCCAAGCGCGCGGCCCCUGAGCGGAACCCGCUCCGUCAGGCGCCAGCGCGGCAGGAGCAGAGCUGCCAAGAAGUCCCACGCCCCCGAGAAGCUGCUCGAGCACUCCUUGCUCCGGCUCGUCCCGACCACGCUCCUGCUCCAGCACGUCAAGACCCCGCGCUGCUCCCACCUGCAGUGCAUGGGGACCCGCAGGACCAAGCUCUUCGUCAUCCAAGGCCUCUCGUGGCCACAGCGGGCUGCAGCGCCUUCACCCCCGAGCUACGCAGCGUCGCGUGGCCCGGCAAGUUCAAGCCGGACCUGCCUCCCCGCUACGACGGCACGGCUGACCCUGCAGAGUUCCUCCAGCUCUACGAGUUGGGCAUCGAGGCCGCCAAUGGAGACGAGAAGGUCAUGGCGAACUGGUUUCCCAUGGCGCUCAAGGACGGGGCCCGCACCUGGCUCCUGAACCUGGCACCAGGAACGAUCUCCUCCUGGGAAGAGAUGCGCACCUGCUUCAUCGCCAACUUCCAGGGUACUCGCGACCGGCCACCCGCCGUGAGCGACAUGCGCCGUAUCAAGCAGCAGCCAGGGGAAACCCUGCAGAAGUAUAUCCAGCGCUUCAACAACGCGCGCUUCAAGAUCCCCAAGGUGACCGAGGAGGCCAUCAUCUCAGCCUUCUCCGACGGCGUGCGCGACGUCAAGAUGAAGGAGGAGCUGGCCAUGCAUGAAGACCUAUGCACCUCCUUGGAGCUAUUCAACUUGGCGACCAAGUGCACCAGGGCUGAGGAGGGGCGCCUCUCCCUCCUCGAGCUGCCUGCCGCAGACCCAGAAGAGAAGAAGCCCAAGGCCAAGGACGUGAAGUGCAAGGGGGCUGCCGUGCUCGCGGCAGAGCCAGACACCAAGCGGGGCAGAGAUCAGCCCGAACCCUCCAAGGGCAGUCGGUACUGCGUGUACCUCGACCUCCACACCCAUAACCCAAUGAAUGCCAAGAGCUCCGGGCCGUGCGUGAAGGAAGGGUCGGCCGACGUCCCGACUGCAACGAUCGGGGUUACGGCCGGGGAGGAGGAAGGAACGCAGGACGCUGGGAAGACCGCGGCCCACGCCAGGGGUGGCGCGACCAACCUCGCGAGGAUCGCUGGCAGGACCCGCCUCGCCAGGGAGGCUGGAGGGAUCAACCUCGCGAGGAUCGCCCGCAAGGGAACGCAGGCCUCCCUCUGCUGCCGCCGCAGCCAAGAAGAAACAAGGACCGUCAUCAGGACGAGGGGGCUGGGGGCUUCCAGGAGCCACGCGCGAUCGCCUGCAUCCUGGGCGGAGCUCAACCCCAGCCUCUCAGCGCAUCUUCAAGCAGUUCGCCUGCGAAGUAAAUGCAGCCCUUUCCAAGCUCGAGGCCACACGCCCUCUCAGGUGGUCGGCAUGCGCCAUCACGUUCAGCUCUGCGGAUCAGCUCAAGUGCGCGGCUACAGUCGGAGUCCUCCCGAUGCUUUGUUCCCCAAUCAUCAGCAACGUGCUAGUCACCAAGACCCUCAUCGAUGGCGGAGCAGGACUCAACGUCCUGUCUGUGGAAACGUUCAACAAUUUCCAAGUGCCCUACAAUCAGCUUCAGCCAACCAAGCCUUUCUCCGGAGUCACCGACGGCUCCACGGUCCCGAUCGGGCAGGUUCGCCUCCCUGUCACCUUCGGGGCACGCGAUGUCGCCCACAUUCGCCUACCGUACAACGCCAUCCUCGGGUACCCAGCGCUGGCCAAGUUCAUGGCCGUGACCCACCACGGCUACAACGUCCUCAAGAUGCCUGGAAGUGGCGGAGUCAUCACGGUGCCCUACGAAGAGAGAGACGCAGUGUGCUCCCUGGAGCGAGCCUUUCAGGCCGCGUCACUGGAAGACCCGGACCGAGGAAGCAGGAGGCUUCCCGAGGCCGCCCCCCAAGAAGAAGAAGACAUCAUCCGGCCCGGCCCCUCAGGAGGCAAGCCCCUCAGGGCCCGCGCCUGCUCAGGGGAACCUCCGUCUAUCGCAUAGGGAGGCGCGCCCAGCGCCCCCCUCAGGCAGGGCUCGGGGGCUCUCCCCUGGAGGGCCGCCGACCUUGCCAAGGUCACGAGGGAGGCGCUUGGCCACCACGUGGAUGCGUGUUUCGAAGAACGUUUCUCUCAAGAAGGAGCAAGGCAAGGAGGGUGAAACCCUUAGGAGUUCAUCAGCAAGGCCGUUCAGGAGCUACAGGAGUCAAGAGUCAUGAGAGGCGGCCGCUGCCUACCCGCUGUGGCCCCCCAUCCAGGCGAGGAUGGUGGGCUGCGCGCCUGCAUCGACAUACCAGGGCUCAACCAAGCCGCGUCUCAGGAGCGCCUCUAGCCUUCGCAAGUGGGGCGCUGCGAGGGUCCGCCCCACAGCUACGUUCGCAUGCCUUAUGGCUUGCCGAAUGCGGCUGCCGCAUACCAGCGCCUCAUGACGGCCAUCCUGGAGGCUCAAGAGGUCAGGCGUUCCGCAGCCCUGGUGGAGAUGGAGAUGGUCCGCGAGGAGCCACCAGCGCCUCCGGAGCCUCCCGAGGCCCCAGGGCCUGGGGGCUCGUGAGGAUCGGCUCCCGCAGCCCACCGAGUCUGCUACAUCAACACCCCUCCGUCUUCAGCAUCAUCAGGUGACAUCUUUAAAUUUCAUUUCCAGCUGGGAGCACCCUCACGGCCGCAUUAUUCCCACGCCGCAUGGGCCCGUCCCUGCGGCGUGUAUCCCUUUUAUUUCAUGUUCUUAGCUUACUCUGCUGGGGGCGCCCCUCGGGCUGCAUUAUCCCCAAGCCGCUCGGGUCAGACCCAGUGGCAUGUACCCCUUUUGCAUUUAUCUUAGGGCCAUGCUUUCGACCCAUCAUGCUUGUUAUUUGGUGCCUGUUCACGGUACCUUUUCUUCUUGGAUGUCGAAAGCUUGCACGUUAAAGGGGGGGGGGUGCCUGAGCAUCGCGACUCAGGGCUCCUACCGACUCUCCGGCCCUCACCCUCUGGUCUUGUCCACGGCAUCGCAACCUAGCAUACCAGCGACGGCUGAGACCAGCCCGAGAGCCGGCCCGAGGACGUAGAGUUUCGACAUCUAACCCAGCUUGCGCGUUAAAGGGGGGGUGCCUGAGCAUCGCGACUCAGGGCUCCUACCAGCUCUCCGGCCCUCACCCUCUGGUCUUGUCCAUGACAUCGCCACCUGGCAUACCAGCGACGGCUGAGACCAGCCCGAGAGCCGGGACCCGAGGACGUAGAGCACCGACAUCUAGCCAAAUUUGCAGGAACACACUCCAAGAUAAGGCGCAGAGCCAGGCGCAACCCACCUUGAGGUAGGGCCCCAUGAGUCCCACGCUGGCUCACGGGUGCCCAGAUACACCUUGUCAAGCCCUACCGUGCCGGCCACGCGUCAGGGCGGGGCUGUAUACGCCCCGGGGGCUCCUCCCGGAGGGGAGCCCCCUCCCACGCACUAGUGGAGGCACCAUGCUCCGCGCUGGCUGACGACACUGUCAAGGAGCGGCUAUGCCCGUACACAUACGGAAGCGCUAUGCUCCGCGCUGGUGAUAAACAACUAAGGCUGGCCCCCGGGCUGCAUCAACCUCAGGGAGCCCAGAGCUCAGUGUCUAGCCUCAUCGCAACGCCUCCCCUCGGGAGUGCCGCGCGAGGGGGCUGGGCACGGGGGCUACGCCUGGGUCACGCCUAGAUGCACACCACCCAGCCAGGCCCCCCGGGCCUGGUUCGUCGCACGUCCCUCCCCGAGUGGAGCCAAGGUAUGAAGGCCGUUUGAGCGUCAAGGGGGACUCCUAAGCAUCGCGACUCAGGAGCCUAACUGGUCACGUAGCCCCUCACUCCUUAGUUCCGAAAGGCUAACGGCGGUUGAGGUAUGCGCGGGGCCGGGCUCUGCAGACGUAGAACGGUAGAUCCACCCGCAUCUCACCUCCCUAAGGAGUCACCCCCACAUCUCACCUCCCUACUUGUUGUUCGAGCGCCAAGGGGGACUCCUGAGCAUCGCGACUCAGGAGCCUAACUUGUCACGUAGCCCCUCACUCCUUGGUCCCGUCCUGGUUUCCGGUCGGGGCUAACGGCGGCUGAGGUAUGCGCGGGGCCGGGCUCUGCCGGCGUAGAACAUAAGCAAGCAGGAAGGAAAUAGCACAAAUUUCAAGGAAUUCAAAAGCAAAUAUUACAGUCCAUACUGUUAUCGCAGCACCAAAUGCAAGUUUUAACGCCUCCCCGAGGCAUGAUACAUGUGCAGGAAUUAAAAGCAGGACGGGAGCCAGACGGAGCCAUUUGCCGGCGGUGGAGCUGCGCCGAGCGGGUUCGCCUUAUGGAGCUGCAGGGCUGGCAGCGCUCCGUUUCGGCCUGGUGCCGAAGGCCCGGAACUUCCCCAGCAGAGCCUCCGCAUGACCCUUCACGGCCUCAACAGCGGCAGUGGCAUGCUUGCCGCUCGCUGGCUCCAGCAGGCUGUCGAGGUCGACGUUGGGGUCGCGAAGAUAGAUGUGGGUGAAGACCCGCGUCAGCGCCGCAGAAGACAAGAUGCAUGCCUCGGCCUCAGCCGUAGGGCCGAGGCCAAGGGUGACAUCUUCAAGAGCACGAACCAGGAAGGGAAGCAGCUUGGAGGGGUCGUCCUCCUCGCCGGCCAGUGGGCUCUCCAAGCCGCUCUCAUAAAGCGUCUUCAAUGAAGCGCGAGCCUUCUCCUCCAUCUCCGCAAAGGCCACGCGAUCCUCGGCAAGAACCCGUGCCUUGCUGUCUAGCUCAACCUUCCUCGCCUCCAGCUCCUGCUCCAGCGCGCCUAGGAGGUCACGACGCUUCUUGAGCUUGGCGUCCCGGUCCUUGACGGCCGCCUCGCGAGCCUUCAUGCCUUCCUCCUACUCUUGACGAAGGCGGGUCUCCUUGGCGAGCCGGUCCUGCAGGCCCUUCAGCUCGCUCUCCAGCACCACGCAGCAACCUCGAACAUUAGCCACCUCCCCCAAGGCGGUGUCGCGAGCAGCCUUCGCCCCAAGGACGGCUUGCUUCUCCUCGUCGCAGGCUGUCGAAGCCUGGACCAGCGCCGCCCGAAUUGAAGCAUCGGAGCGAAUCCAGCCAGAAGCUAGCUCCAAGCACCCGGCCACUAAACGAGGGUCGGCGCCCAGAAGAUCCUGCCACAGACAGUCCAGCUCGGCAACAGCAUGAUCCAGAAUAGUGGUCGGAGAAGCAGCAGUCGGAGGAGUAGGAGGAGAAGACGAGAACGUGACCACAGUAUCCUGAGGCGGAGCCUGCUGCGCCCCAACGGCUGUGGUGGCGGCAACAGGCAGGGGCACCUCGGGAGUCGCUUGGGCCAUGGGGGCUGAGCUCGCCCCAACCGGCUUAGCCAGGCCUCGCGAGGGCACCCGGGCAGGAGAGGCCAGUGCGUUAGGCUCAUCUUCUUUCACGGGCAGAGGCGCUGCCACGGAUGGAACCUCAGGAGCCCCCUUCGGCUUCUUUGCAGAGGGCGCCAGCCUAGCCGGGAGAUACGAGCGUCAAGCCUCAGCAACAAAACAAUAAACAAGACAGGAAUCAAGCACUUACAGGUCAUGGCUUGCGGGCUCGAGCAGCCUCCGGCCGUACUUGAAGCCCUAGAGCCCGCUGCAAGGGUCAGCCUCAGGGAGCCCGGGAGCAGGAGACGCGCCUGCGGAUCGCUUCGGGGCUGGGGCAGACCCGCGGGGGAUCAACCCGGUCCGGUCCUUCUUCGGGAUCGGGGGCAGGCUCCCACCGCCCUGCUCAUCAUCAUCCUCAUCGUCAUCGCUCAGGGAGAGGCGGAGGGUGCGGGACCUGCGCCGGAGGGGGGGGGGAGCCCUUGACUCUGCCUCGGAGUCAGCCCCCUCUUCCCGCUCCCUCCUUCCUUCUCUUCGCUAGAGUCGCCGGAGGACACGUCCAUUGGGUCCUCGGGAGCCUCCGUGGGCACGGUCCCGUCCCCAUUGAAGGCGGGCAUGGGCCCCACCACUUGCUCCCAGUCCUCGUGGAGGAACAGGGGCGUAGGAGCGCCCUCCAACCUCACCAUGUCGCCCCCAACCAAAGACUGGAGAACCGCAACCAGAUCCUCAUCGGCCAAGACUGCGGGGCUCGGGUGAGGCCUCCACAUCAGAAGCGAGUAUUGGCGGAGCGGAGCCAGCUGGUGCUCCAAGAACUCCCUCAACAGCGAUGCACCAGUCAGCUUCGCCGCCGCCAUGCUGGCAGGCCUCAGAUCCGCUUCCAUCUUCUCCAACACCAGCUUUGCACGAGGAUCCACAAGCUCCACUCGGGACCAGUCGUCGGAGCUCAUGGGGUGCCCCGAGGGUAGGAUCAGCCGAGGGUGGAUGCGCCCAGCAUCCACCAAGACCCACUUGCUCCUGGAGCCCUCGAUCCUUUUCCCAGGAUUCGAAAUGGCGAUGGAGCUGCCGUAUGCGACGAAGCUCGCAGACGCAGAGAUGGAACCACGAGAGGUCCGGAGGGAUAAGUAGUGGCGCAGCAAGGCCACUGAGGGCUUCACCCCUACGUGAGCCUCACAAUAAUAGGCGAAGAUUGCCAGAAGAAGGACGGAGUUGGGAUGGAGGUGCAAAGAUUGAAGGUUAUAGUGGCGGAGGACAGAGAAGAAGAACUCAGAAAAGGGAGGCACCAGACCGGCAACAAUGGCGCUCACGAAGAGCGGAUAGAAGGUGCUCCCUUGACCUUCAGGGAGGGCAGAGCCGGCCUUGAACACCUUCGCCCCGUCGAUGCCCUGCGCUGCUGCCAUCUGGCGCACCCGGGCAAGGCUCGCCUCCGACACGUUCGGCGGGUCCAAGGCGGACGAGUACCAAGCUCCGGCCGGGGCUUGGCGAGGCGCCAUGUCAAGCUAGGGCGCGCGGACGGAGUAGAUCUGAAGAUUUCAGAGGUGGGGAGGAGAAGCACAAGAAAGGGGAUCUGAGCAGCAACUGGAGAAAGAAAAGAAGGCAAGGGGCAGGUGCCGCUCCUUUAUCAACUCGCGCGGUUGCAGAGGCGCCCACAUCCAAUCAACCGCCACGCGGCGCCCAAGGCCGCAGGCUGUUAGGGCCCGCGAUGCUUCGUACUUUCCCUUUCGCCUCUCUGCUCGGCCAAGUCCGGGCGCGCCGUGGGCCCGGGGGCUACUAUCGGCGUUCUGGGAAUGGGGGUCCCCAGACUUGCCUGCCUGUGGCCUGCGGCGUGGCUCAAAGGGGGCCCAACACAUCCCAUCUUCAUCAACACAGGCUCAAGACCCUCGCGAGGGGCCAAUCCUCGCGGGGCGGACGACAAGGAGCUUCCUCAGGCACGGCCUCAUCAGGCUGUCUCAUGAGGAGGCGGAGAGUUCAAGGCGGGGUACCUCGCGAGGUGCCCAUGACGCAAGCCAUGACGACCAAGGGCGCCAGUCGGGCGCCAGCCCGCGCAGUGUCCUCCUUUCCUCUUUGGUGCAAAGGGAGCAAGCGCAGGCGAGAGUAUCAAGCAAAGGCGUCCAUUUUGGUGCAACAAGACCAAGACCAGUCCAACGGUAGGAUGGAGGUCACCGUGGAGCCCAAGCCGGCGUCACCACCAGAGCCUUUGACAGGCGAGGACCAACUUUAGUCAGGAUAAGUGUACCCGCUGUUCCCCUUCAAAAUGGCCAAUUGUUGGCGCCCUUCCCGCUCAAUAUUUGGGAAGAGGCCCAGGGCCUUUGCCUAUAAAUAGGACUAGCCACACCAGGGUUGAGGCAUCGAGAUCAUCAGCAGGUAGCUGGCAUACAUCUAGGAUAGAAAGAGAGAGAUAAAGCGACCGAACUCCUCCUAGCAGUUCAUCGCACCAGCCAAGAACAGACCCUCGCGAGGCUAUUCUUCGUUGUAUUGUUCAUCAUCAGCCCAAGAGGCAAUCCACCACACCACACACUGGAGUAGGGUAUUACACCUCAAUGGUGGCCUGAACCAGUAUAAACCUUGUGUCUCUUGUGUUGAUCUUUUCGUAGUUUAGAUCCUAGCGAUUCGGUGAGGAGCAGGUAGGCAGAGGGCGUAAUCUCCGCGUGCACCCCAGUGUUCGAACCUCAAGGGUCUGCCGGAACCCGAAAUCCGACAGUAUUAAGGUAAACCUAACCAUAGCAUGAAACAUAUGGAUCCAAAUCAGCCCCUUACGAAGCAACGCACAAACUAGGGUUUAAGCUUCUGUCACUCUAGCAACCCAUCAUCUACUUAUUACUUCCCAAUGCCUUCCUCUAGGCCCAAACAAUGGUGAAGUGUCAUGUAGUCGAUGUUCACAUAACACCACUAGAGGAAAGACAACAUACAUCUCAUCAAAAUAUCGAACGAAUACCAAAUUCACAUGACUACUUAUAGCAAGGCUUCUCCCAUGUCCUCAGGAACAAACGUAACUACUGACAAAUCAUGUUCAUGUUCAUAAUCAGAGGGGUAUAAAUAUGCAUAAUGGAUCUGAACAUAUAAUCUUCCACUGAAUAAACCAACUAGCAUCAACUACAAGGAGUAAUCAACACUACUAGCAACCUACAGGUACCAAUCUGAGGCUUUGGAACAAAUAUUGGAUACAAGAGAUGAACUAGGGUUUGAGAGGAGAUGGUGCUGGUGAAGAUUUUGAUGGAGAUUGACCCCCUCCCGAUGAGAGGAUCGAUGGUGAUGACGAUGUCGAUGAUUUCCCCCUCCCGGAGGGAAGUUUCCCCUACAGAACAGCUCUGCCGGAGCCCUAGAUUGGUUCCACCAAGGUUCCGCCUCGUGGCGGCGGUGUUUCGCCCCGCAAGCUUGCUUAUGAUUUUUUCGAGGGUAAAAGAGUUCAUAUAGCAGAAGAUGGACACCGGAGGCCUGCCAGGGGGCCCACGAGGCAGGGGGCACGCCCAGGGGGGUAGGGCGCGCCCCCACCCUCGUGGAUGGUGGAUGGCCCCCCUCUGGUACUUUCUUCGCUCAGUAUUUUUUAUAAAUUCCAAACAUGACUUCCGUGUAGUUUCAGGACUUUUGGAGUUGUGCAGAAUAGGUCUCUAAUAUUUGCUCCUUUUCCCGCCAAGAAUUCCAGCUGCCGGCAUUCUCCCUCUUCGUGUAAACCUUGUAACAUAAGAGAGAAAAGGCAUAAGUAUUGUGACAUAAUGUGUAAUAACAACCCAUAAUGCAAUAAAUAUCAAUAUCAAAGCAUGAUGCAAAAUGGAUGUAUCAACUCCCCCAAGCUUAGACCUGCUUGUCCUCAAGCGGAAGCCGAUAACGAUAAAUAUGUCCACAUGUUUAGAGAUAGAGGUGUCGAUAAAAUAAAAUACGGACAUGAGGGCAUCAUGAUCAUUCUUAUAACAACAAGAAAUAUAUAUAUUGUCAUAUGAUUCUUAUGCUAUAGUAAUAAUCUAUUCACAAUGUAAAGUAUGAAUCGGAAACUUCAUUGAGAACUAACAAACUAUGAUCUCGGUCAUUGAAGCAAUUGCAAUUUAUCAUAACAUCGGAAAGAGUCAAUAUAAAAGCUUUUCAGCAAGUCCACAUACUCAACUGUCAUUUAGUCUUUCACAAUUGCGAACACUCAUGCAAUACUUAUGGUCAUGGAGUUUUAAUCGGACAGAGAGAAAGAUAGGGGCUUAUAGUGUUGCCUCCCAACCUUUUACCUCAAGGGUAAUGUCAACAAUAAUAGUUCAUGCUAAAUUACAUCCAAUUGGAUAUAUAUAUAUAUAUAUAUAUAUAUAUAUAUAUAUAUAUAUAUAUAUAUCAGGAUCUUUCCAACAAAAUGUGCUUGCCAAAGGAUAAAAUGUAAAACGGAAGGGUGAAGAUCACCAUGACUCUUGCAUAAGGAAUAAGACAAAAGUAAAAGAUAGGCCCUUCGCAGAGGGAAGCAGAGGUUAUCAUGCACUUUCAUGGUUGGAUGCACGAAAUCUUAAUGCCAAAGAACAUCACUUUAUAUUGCCACUUGUGAUAUGCACCUUUAUUAUGCAGUCUGUCGCUUUUAUUUCUUCCACAUCACAAGAUCGUAUAAAUCUUAUUUUCUCCACACUAAUAAAUCAUACAUAUUUAGAGAGCAAUUUUUAUUGCAUGCACCGAUGACAACUUACUUGAAAGAUCUUACUCAAUCCAUAAGUAUGUAUGGUGGACUCUCAUGGAAAAACUGGUUUUAAGGAUAUUCGGAAGCACAAGUAGUAUUUCUACUUGGUGCAAAGAAUUUGUCUUGCAUGAGAGGGAAAGGCAAGCUCAACAUGUUGGAUGAUCCAUGACAAUAUACUUUAUUUCAGAUAUAAGAAAACAUAACCCAUUACAUUGUCUUCCUUGUCCAACAUCAACUCUUUAGCAUAUCAUAUUUUAAUGAGUGCUCACAAUUAUAAAAGAUGUCCAAGGUAGUAUAUUUAUAUGUGAAACCUCUCUUUCUUUAUUACUUCCUAUUAAUUGCAAUGAUGACCAAAACUAUGUUUGUCAACUCUCAACAACUUUUAAUCAUCAUACUCUUUAUAUGUGAAGUCAUUACUCUCCGUAAGAUAAAUAUGAUCUCUUUAUUUCUUUUUAUUUCUUUCUCUUUCUUUUAUUCACUCAAGAUCAUAUCAAGAUAAUCAAGCCCUUGACUCAACACUAAUCUUUAUUAUAUAUAGCUCACGGACUCGAUUACAUAGAAGGAUCAUAAAGCAAAACUCAAAACUAGAUCAUACUAAAACUUUAUUCUACUAAAUCAAGAUAUUACUAAAAGGAUCGAACUAAGAAAAACGGUAAAGAUAGGAGUGUGAUGGUGAUACAAUACCGGGGCACCUCCCCCAAGCUUGGCUGUUGCCAAGGGGAGUGCCCAUACCCGUGUGAUUAUAUCUCUUUCCUCGGAGGGGGUGAUGAUGGAGUUGUUGAUGAUGGAUAGUCGCAUAUCGAGCGUAAGAGAUCCUCCAACUUGUGAAUGAUGCCCUUGAGAGCGAUGAUAUGCUCCUUCAACAAAAACAUUUCACGUGUGAGAUACUUGUUUUGUAUACAACCUAACUCAAUCAUCUUGAAAGCUUCAAUCUCAGCCGGGGUAAAGAGAGGUGGGAGGAUGUCUUCUUUUUCUGCUGCUGGAGCUUGAUCCUUCAUGGCCUUCUUGAUCCCAUCAUCCUUGUUGAUCUCCCCAGGUUCUUCUCUCUUUAGCUCUAUCUUCAUUAGCCAAGCAUCGUUGCCCUAAUCGUUGGAGGACGGGGACGACAUGAUGCCUGGCCUUCACGACUCUGACAGAAAACAACUUGAAACAAAAACAGAGGAUAUUUGCGUGAUACUAGGGUCAAAACCUUCGGGAGAUUAUAUAAUGAAUUUUUACCGACCAAAAGAAGUAUCGUGCAAGAAAACAGAGUCCAUAGAGCGCAGGAGGUGCCCACGAGGUAGGGGGGCGCGCCCAGGGGGUAGGGUGCGCCUCCCACCCUCGUGGAUGCCUCGUGUCCUUCCUGGACUGCUUCUUAUUUUCCUAUUUUCUUAAAUAUUCCUAAACGGAGAAAAAUUGCCAUUAGAACUAUUUCAGAGUCGGUUUACUUACUGUGCCACGUACCUAUUCCUUUUCGGAGUCUGAAACAUUCUGGAAAGUGUCCCUUAUGUACUCCUCCGGGGUUACGGUUUCGAUAACAUUAGUUUCGACAUUUAUAGGAUUACCUGAGAUAUAAUGUUUGAUUCUUUGACCGUUCACCACCUUCUGAUUUGUGCCUUUGAAGUUGUUGAUUUUUAUGGCACCGGAACGAUAGACCUUCUCGAUAACGUAAGGACCUUCCCAUUUAGAGAGAAGUUUUCCUGCAAAAAAUAUUAAAUGAGAGUUGUAUAGCAACACAUAAUCACCUACAUUCAACUCACACUUUUGUAUCCUUUUGUCAUGCCAUCUUUUAACUUUUUCUUUAAUCAAUUUGGCAUUCUCAUAAGCCUGGGUUCUCCAUUCAUCCAGUGAGCUAAUGUCAAAAAGCCUCUUCUCAUCGGCAAGUUUGAAAUCAUAAUUGUUCUCUUUAAUAGCCCAAUAUGCCUUAUGUUCUAGUUCGAGAGGUAAGUGACAUGCCUUUCCAUAAACCAUUUUAUAUGGAGACAUACCCAUAGGAUUUUUAUAUGCAGUUCUAUAGGCCCAUAAUGCAUCAUCAAGUUUCUUGGACCAAUUCUUCCUAGACAUAUUAAUAGUCUUUUGCACAAUCAACUUAAACUCUCUGUUACUCAAUUCUAAUUGACCACUAGACUGUGGGUGGUAUGGAGAUGCAAUUCUAUGAUUAACGUCAUACUUAGCAAGCAUUUUACGAAAAGCACCAUGAAGAAAGUGUGAACCACCAUCAGUCAUUAAGUAUCUAGGGACUCCAAACUUCGGAAAAAUGACUUCAUUAAGCAUCUUAAUAGAAGUGUUAUGAUCAACACGACUAGUUGGAAUAGCUUCUACCCAUUUAGUAACGUAAUCAACAACAACUAAAAUAUGUGUAUACCCAUUAGAGGAAGGAAAUGGUCCCAUAUAAUCAAAUCCCCAAACAUCAAAUGGUUCAAUAGCAAGUGAAUAAUUCAUAGGCAUUUCUUGACGUCUACUAAUAUUACCAAUUCUUUGACAUUCAUCACAAGACAAGACAAACUUACCGGCAUCCUUGAAGAGAGUAGGCCAAUAAAAACCGGACUGCAAUACCUUAUGUGUAGUUCUAUCUCCAGCGUGGUGUCCUCCAUAAGCCUCGGAGUGACACUUGCAUAGGAUCUGUUCCUGUUCGUGCUCAGGUACACAAUGUCUAAUAACACCAUCUACUCCUUCUUUAUAAAGUGUGGGUCAUCCCAGAAGUAAUGUCUUAAAUCAUAGAAAAACUUUUUCUUUUGCUGGUAUGUGAAACUUGGUGGUAUAAGUUUAGCAACAAUAUAAUUAUCAUAAUUAGCAUACCAUGGAGCAGUACGAGAAGCAUUUAUGACAUACAAUUGUUCAUCAGGAAAGCUAUCAUCAAUAGGUAGUGGGUCAUCAAAAACAUUCUCUAACCUAGACAAGUUAUCUGCAAUGGGGUUCUCAGCUCCCUUUCUAUCAACAAUAUGCAAAUCAAAUUCUUGUAGUAGGAGAACCCAUCUAAUAAGUCUAGGUUUAACAUCUUUAUUUUCCAUAAGAUAUUUAAUAGCAGCAUGAUCAAUGUGAAUAGUUACUUUAGAAUCAACAAUAUAAGGUCUGAACUUAUCACAAGCAAAUACAACUGCUAAAAAUUCUUUUUCAAUAGUAGCAUAAUUUCUCUGGGUACUGUCUAGAGUUUUACUAGCAUAUUGAAUGACAUUUAAUUUCUUAUCGACUCUUUGCCCUAAAACAACACCUACAGCAUAAUCACUAGCAUCACACAUAAUUUCAAAGGGUAAAUUCCAAUCAGGAGGCUGAACAAUAUGUGCAGAAAUCAAAGCUUUCUUAAGUAUUUCAAAUGCUUCUAUACAAUCAUCAUCAAAGACUAAAGGAAUAUCUUUUUGUAAGAGAUUAUUCAGAGGCCUAGGGAUUUUUGAGAAGUCCUUAAUGAACCUCCUAUAAAAACCGGCAUGACUAAGGAAACUUCUUAUACCUUUAAUGUCCUUGGGACACGACAUCUUUUCAAUAGCAUCAACCUUAGCUUUAUCAACUUCAAUACCUCUUUCAGAAUUUUAUGCCCCAAGACAAUACCUUCAUUAACCAUAAAGUGGCACUUCUCCCAGUUCAAGACAAGAUUAGUUUCUUCACAUCUCUGCAAAACUCGAUCAAGGUUUCUCAAGCAAUCAUCAAAAGAGGAUCCAUAAACGGAGAAAUCAUCCAUGAAAACUUCACAAAUCUUUUCACAAAAAUCAGAGAAUAUAACCAUCAUGCAUCUUUGAAAGGUAGUAGGUGCAUUACAUAAACCAAAAGGCAUACAUCUAUAAGCAAAAGUACCGAAAGGGCAAGUAAAAGUGGUCUUUUCUUGAUCCUCAGCUGACACAGGCAUUUGAGAGAAACCAGAGUAACCAUCUAGAAAGAAAAAAUGGGUAUGUUUGGAUAAUAUUUCUAGCAUUUGAUUAAUAAAAGGCAAAGGGUAAUGAUCUUUUUUUAGUAGCUUUGUUUAAUUUGAGUAAAUCAAUUACCAUCCUAUAACCUGUAAUAAUUCCUUGCGGGAUCAAUUCAUCUUUAUCAUUAGGAACGACAGUGAUACCUCCCUUCUUUGGGACACAAUGGACAUGACUUACCCACUGACUAUCAGCAACGGGAUAAAUUAUACAUGCCUCAAGGAGCUUUAAUAUUUCCUUUCUUACCACUUCUUUCAUCUUAGGAUUUAACCGUCGUUGGUGAUCAAUAACUGGUUUGGCGUCUUUCUCCAAAUUUAUUUUGUGUUGACAUAGAGUGGGACUAAUGCCCUUAAGAUCAUCAAGAGUAUAUCCAAUAGCAGCACGGUGCUUCUUCAGAGUUUUCAAUAAUUUCUCUUCCUCCUUCUCUGAAAGGUUAGCACUAAUAAUAAUAGGAUAUAUCUUCUUUUGAUCAAGAUAAGCAUAUUUGAGAGUAUCAGGUAAUGGUUUAAGCUCAAACACGGGAUCACCUUUGGGUGGAGGAGGAUCCCCUAGGAUUUUAACAGGCAUGUUGUGUUUCAGAAUAGGUCCCUGUUUAAAGAAUACUUCAUCUAUUUCCCUUCUUUCAUUCAUAAACAUAUCAUUUUCAUGGCCGAGCAAAUAUUGUUCUAAAGGAUCAUUAGGAGGCACGACAACAGAAGCAAGACCAAUAAUUUCAUCCUUACUAGGCAAUUCCUCAUCACGGGGUUGUCUACGAAAUUUAGCAAAAUUAAACUCAUGAGUCAUAUACCCUAAACAAAUAGUAACAACAUCCUUUUUGCAGUCUAUCCUAGCAUUAACAGUGUUCAAGAAGGGUCUACCAAAUAUAAUGGGACAAAAGCUAUCUUGUGGAGAACCGAGAACAAGAAAAUCAGCAGGAUAUUUAACCUUGCCACACAAGACUUCAACAUCUCGAACAAUCCCAAUCGGUGAUAUAGUAUCUCUAUUGGCAAGCUUAAUUGUAACAUCAAUACCUUCUAACUCAGUGGAUGCAAUAUCAUGCAUAAUUUCUUCGUAUAAAGAAUGAGGUAUUCCACUAGCACUAGCACCCAUAUCACAUAAGCCAUGAUAACAAUGAUCUCCUAUUUUAACAGAAAUAACAGGCAUGCUAACCACAGGUCUAUGUUUAUUUUUAGUAUCAGGUCUAGCAAUUCUAGCAGCUUCAUCACAUAAGUAAAUAACAUGCCCAUCAAUAUUAUCAGCCAAGAGAUCUUUAACCAUAGAAAUAUUAGGUUCAACUUUAAUUUGCUCAGGGGGUUUAGGUAUCCUAAUAUUAAUUUUGUUGACAACAGUUGAAGCUUUAGCAUGAUCCUUUAUUCUAACAGGGAAAGGUGGUUUCUCAACAUAAGUAGUAGGAACAAUAGGAUCAUUAUAAGUGAUAGUAUUUUCUUCAACUUUAAUAGGUUCAACUACUUUUAUUUCUAUGGGAGGAUGAUAUUUAAACCACUUCUCCUUAGGGAGAUCAACAUGGGUAGCAAAUGAUUCACAGAAAGAAGCUACUAUCUCAGAGUCAAGUCCAUAUUUAGUGCUAAACUUACGGAGAACAUCGAUAUCCAUAAAAGAUUUAACACAAUCAAACUUAGGUGUUAUACCUGACUCCUUACCUUCGCCGAGAUCCCAAUCUUCAGAGUUGCAUUUAAUUCUCUCCAAUAAAUCCCAUCUGAAUUCAAUAGUCUUCAUCAUAAAAGAACCAGUACAAGAAGUAUCGAUCAUGGAGCGAUUGUUGUGAGAGAGCUGAGCAUAAAAAAAUUGAAUAAUCAUUUCUCUUGAGAGCUCAUGAUUGGGGCAUGAAUAUAACAUUGACUUAAGCCUCACCCAAGCUUGAGCGAUGCUUUCUCCUUCGCGAGGCCAAAAAUUAUAUAUAUAAUUACGAUCAUGAUGAACAAGAUGCAUAGGAUAAAACUUCUGAUGAAAUUCCAAUUUCAAUCGUUUGUAGUUCCAUGAUCCCAUAUCAUCACAUAGCCUAUACCAUGUCAAUGCCUCUCCCUUCAAAUAUAAAGGGAACACCUUCUUAUUAAUAACAUCCUCGGGCAUACCCGCAAGCUUAAAUAAUCCACAAACUUCAUCCACAUAGAUUAAGUGCAAAUCGGGAUGCAAUGUUCCAUCUCCUGUAAAGGGAUUAGCUAGUAGUUUCUCUAUCAUACCCGAAGGAAUUUCAAAGUAAACAUUUUCAGUAGGUUCAGUAGGCCGAGGAGCAACUCUUUGCUCUAUGGUCGGGGUGAAGAUACCCCGAACAAGCCCCUCAAAGGAUUACUUUCCAUAGUAACAAGUGACAGUAAAUUUCAGCACACUAUAUAAAUUUUUCCUUACCAAUUUCCACUUACCAAAGGCGCUUCACUCCCGGCAACGACGCCAGAAAAGAAUCUUGAUGACCCACAAGUGUAGGGGAUCUAUCGUAGUCCUUUCGAUAAGUAAGAGUGUCUAACCCAACGAGGAGCAGAAGGAAAUGACAAGCGAUUUUCAGUAAGGUAUUCUCUGCAAGCACUGAAAUUAUCGGUAACAGAUAGUUUUGUGAUAAGAUAAUUGGUAACGACCAACAAGUAACAAAAGUAAAUAAGGUGCAACAAGUUGGCCCAAUCCUUUUUGUAGCAAAGGACAAGCCUGGACAAAUUCUUAUAUGAAGGAAAACGCUCCCAAGGACACAUGGGAAUUAUCGUCAAGCUAGUUUUCAUCACGCUCAUAUGAUUCGCGUUCGUUACUUUGAUAAUUUGGUAUGUGGGUGGACCGGUGCUUGGGUUCUUCCCUUCCUUGGACAAGCAUCCCACUUAUGAUUAACUCCUAUUGCAAGCAUCCGCAUCUACAAAAUAAGUAUUAAGGUAAACCUAACCAUAGCAUGAAACAUAUGGAUCCAAAUCAGCCCCUUACGAAGCAACACAUAAACGAGGGUUUAAGCUUCCGUCACUCUAGCAACCCAUCAUCUACUUAUUACUUCCCAAUGCCUUCCCCUAGGCCCAAACAAUGGUGAAGUGUCAUGUAGUCGACGUUCACAUAACAUCACUAGAGGAAAGACAACAUACAUCUCAUCAAAAUAUCAAACGAAUACCAAAUUCACAUGACUACUUAUAGCAAGACUUCUCCCAUGUCCUCAGGAACAAACGUAACUACUCACAAAUCAUGUUCAUGUUCAUAAUCAUAGGGGUAUUAAUAUGCAUAAUGGAUCUGAACAUAUAAUCUUCAACCGAAUAAACCAACUAGCAUCAACUACAAGGAGUAAUCAACACUACUAGCAACCUACAGGUACCAAUCUGAGGCUUUGGAACAAAGAUUGGAUACAAGAGAUGAACUAGGGUUUGAGAGGAGAUGGUGCUGGUGAAGAUGUUGAUGGAGAUUGACCCCCUCCCGAUGAGAGGAUCGAUGGUGAUGACGAUGGCGAUGAUUUCCCCCUCACCGAGGGAAGUUUCCCAGGCAGAACAGCUCUGCCGGAGCCCUAGAUUGGUUCCGCAAAGGUUUCGCCUCGUGGCGGUGGUGUUUCGUCCCGCAAUCUUGCUUAUGAUUUUUUUCCAUGGUAAAAGACUUCAUAUAGCAGAAGAUGGACACCGGAGGCCUGACAGGGGGCCCACGAGGCAGGGGGCGCGCCCAGGGGGGUAGGGCGCGCCUCCACCCUCGUGGAUGGUGGGUGGCCCCCCUCUGGUACUUUCUUCGCUCAGUAUUUUUUAUAAAUUCUAAAAAUGACUUCUCUGGAGUUUUAGGACUUUUGGAGUUGUGCAGAAUAGGUCUCUAAUAUUUGCUCCUUUUCCAGGCUAGAAUUCCAGCUGCCGGCAUUCUCCCUCUUCGUGUAAACCUUGUAAAAUAAGAGAGAAAAGGCAUAAGUAUUGUGACAUAAUGUGUAAUAACAGCCCAUAAUGCAAUAAAUAUCAAUAUCAAAGCAUGAUGCAAAAUGGACGUAUCAGUUCUCGCUCCUCGUCUCUCUCAAGGAACGACGGGUUGGCCAUUUUGCCGUCAAUUGAGGUGAAUUUGCUCACACUCCGGUCCCACAUGUCAGUGAUAUGCCAAGAGGAAGUGCAUUGACCGACUGGCCAUACGCGUACUUGGUUUUGCACCUUCAUACUACUCCUCCCUCCGUCAUAGUUUACAGCGCUAGCUUCAUUCUGAUGCAUUUCUCUCCAUGCAUUUCCACCACCAGAGAGACUUUAGAGCGUAUUGAUGGUUGCUUCUUCCGAGCAACUUACAGUGGGAAAGGUGGGGCUUAUGAUUUGACUUCUCAUUACUACUUACUAUUAGUGUGGCGCAACAACUGGGCUGAGUCGCCCAUGCGGUUGUGCACUACUCCCUCCGUUCUUAAAUAUACUAUGGAGUAUUCGUCUUUCUUGAGAUUUCAACGAGUGACUACAUAUGAAGCAAAAUGAGUGAAUCUACACUCUAAAAUAUGUCCAUUUGAAAUUUGUAAAAAGAAAAAUAUUUAGGAACGGAGGAAGUAUAAUUUUGUGCAUGGCACAUGGACCCGGAUGCUGAAGAGGCUUCUGGUAGUGCUAUCAAGAUUCCAGCAUUUGUUUACAUAAUUGACGUACUAUACAAAUAAUUUUCUAGCGACAUGAAAUUGUACAAUGCUCUGAGCUUUCAGCUUUUGUUUCGUGUGUCUUGCCAUCGAUGCUCUUUCGGAAACAAUAAAAAAACUAACUUCCUUGCUAAUGCAUCUCAAUGAUUAGUAGAUCAGAGCUAAUAUUUACAUCAUUGUAGCGACCAGACCUCAAACAGUCUGAUCUCUUUGCAUCAGUGUCAUUCCUGGAUCAGUAAUGCUGACACACACAGUACUUGAAGGAUUUAUAACAGAGUGGCAAUCACACACUUAUUACAUCGAAUGUCUCAAAAGAGAGCUCAUUACAAUAAAUAUGGCUUAGGCCAUCUAAUAACGAUAACAGCGGAAGGCUUGGAAGAUAAGUGAGUCCAUCAACUCCAACGGCAUCACUGAGUAUAGAACCACGAUCCUAAGGCAUCUUACUCGUCGUCUGAAAAGUCUGCAACAUGAACAUUGCAGCCCGAAAACGGGCCAGCACAUGGAAUAUGCUGGCAGUGUAACACAUAGAGAGUAAUGAAAGGAAUAAGCUAUACUACAUGCAUAAUAUGGCUGGUGGAAAGCUCUAUGGUUACAGUUUUGCAUAAAGCCAAUUUUUCCCUACUUCAAAGGAAUAGAUUUUUAUUUAACUAUCAUGGUGGUUGUUAAACAUUGAGAAUGGUUGACAGCAUUCUCAAUCCAAUUAAAAAUCAUCAUUAAAAACCCAACAAUAUUAAUAAAGUAACAUGAUGAGAUUCACAUGAUAAUCCAAGUACUAGAUACUCAAAACGUCCAUAACCGGGGACACGGCUAAUCAGGAUUAGUUUAUACACUCUGCAGAGGUUUGCGCACUUUUCCCCACACGACUUGAUCUCCUCCGUUGGUUUUCUCACACUACAUGGUGUUUGAGAAACGGAUGACCGAGACAUAGUCUUUCAGAAGCGCUAGCACCUUACGAUGGGUAGACCUGUACACCUACUUUCCCCUACAUCUGCUAGUCUACCACUGUAAGAGUUCGCAUGACUUAAUCAACUAUGCUAGAGCCCAUAAUAGCAUGUGGCUGCACACGGAAGUUUCUAGCAUGAACAAUCUUAUGAUCCCUUUGAGCCUGGGUGGCGGUCCAAAACAAACAGGCAAUCCUGGAAUACCCAAGUGCCUCAAUCCACCCAGAUGUGUAUUAAAGUUGCCACCUUAAAUAAACCAUUAAUUAACAAUCUCACAUCUGUCAUGGAAAUUCACUCACCCAAUCCAGGUCUACUAGCAUAGCAUGGCAUAAUAAGCAAAUGUAGAAGUAACUCCCAAGGGUUUGAUAAUAAAACUGGUGAUAGGUACUACCUCAUCUACUUCCCAAAACCCACAUAUUAAUCAGAUCCUAAUCAUGCAAUUGUUUGAGGAUUGAUCUAAUGCAUAAAACUGGGUAGUAAAGAGGUAUGAUCAAGUGUUACUUGCCUUGCUGAUGAUCCGUGAAACCUAGGGAUUCGAAGUAGCAAGCAGCGCACUUCGGGUACUCUAUCACAAACAAACAAGCAAAAAAGCAUACAAUAAGUACUCAUCUAAUGCACAGGUAAAACUCAAAUAAGAGAUCUAACCAAAAGGUUCAACUUAAGAACUCCGGUUGGCAAAAGAAAUCAAAUCGAAUGAAGCAACGAAAAUCAAACUGCGAAAGAAACAAGCUUCAUUUACUAAUCUGGACCUAAGUCAAAUUUUAUAGAAGCAAAAACUUGUUUGAGUUGAUUAAAUGGAAAGAGGGUUUCGAGACAAAACUCUAGGCGCUUGAAUCACCUGAUUCCGAUAAACGAGCGAAAAGAUAAACUAAAACGAAAAUCGGAUCAGAAAUCACGAUCAGGAAUAAUCGCGGAAAAAUCCGAGAAAAAGAAAAUGGACGAACAGGCUAAUGAACAAACGUUUGCUGUCUGCGAAAAAAAACCUAAAAACCGUUCGUUAAAACGAACAUACGGACGGGCGUUCGCUAAAUAACUAAACCGGGAAAAAAAUAAAACUGAUCUAAUAAAAAAAAUGACCAUGGUUUUUUUUUUAAAAUCGGGCGGUUAACGGGAGAAAACCGGCGGUGGCGGCGGCUACCUNNNNNNNNNNNNNNNNNNNNNNNNNNNNNNNNNNNNNNNNNNNNNNNNNNNNNNNNNNNNNNNNNNNNNNNNNNNNNNNNNNNNNNNNNNNNNNNNNNNNNNNNNNNNNNNNNNNNNNNNNNNNNNNNNNNNNNNNNNNNNNNNNNNNNNNNNNNNNNNNNNNNNNNNNNNNNNNNNNNNNNNNNNNNNNNNNNNNNNNNNNNNNNNNNNNNNNNNNNNNNNNNNNNNNNNNNNNNNNNNNNNNNNNNNNNNNNNNNNNNNNNNNNNNNNNNNNNNNNNNNNNNNNNNNNNNNNNNNNNNNNNNNNNNNNNNNNNNNNNNNNNNNNNNNNNNNNNNNNNNNNNNNNNNNNNNNNNNNNNNNNNNNNNNNNNNNNNNNNNNNNNNNNNNNNNNNNNNNNNNNNNNNNNNNNNNNNNNNNNNNNNNNNNNNNNNNNNNNNNNNNNNNNNNNNNNNNNNNNNNNNNNNNNNNNNNNNNNGGUGGGCUCGGGGUGGCCUCCCGGCGCUUAUAAAGGCCGGUCGGGCCAAGUGUCCUAGCCGGACACGGCCCGGUUAGGUCGGUUCGCGUUUUUUAAACAUUACACGCAGAAAAUCAAUUAAAAGAAAUACUAAACGGGCUCCAAAAAUCCCGAAAUAAAUUUCCCCCGACUUCUAUAAUCAAGUCGGAUAAGAUGAACAUUUAUUUGGGGCCUAAAUGCAAUUUUGAAAAACACGCAUUUUUCCUAAAUUCAAAUAAAAUAGCAAAAACUCCAAAAUAAAAUCUUAUUUGAUUUUUUAUUAAAUCCUCAAUAUUUCUUUAUUUUGGGAAAUUCAUUUUAUUCCCUCUCUCAUAUUUUCAUAGUAGAAAUAAUUAAAGAUAAAAUAAAUAAAAUCAAAGGAUCCUAUUUUCAAAAUUUGAGAAAACUCAAAUAUGUAAAUAUAGAAAUCCCCAACUCUCUCCGGGGUCCUUGAGUUGCGUAGAAUUUCUAGGAUCGAGCUGAAAUGCAAUAGAAUAUGAUAUGCAAUGAUGAUCUAUGUAUAACAUUCCAAAUUGAAAAUUUGGGAUGUUACAAAGCUACCCCCCUUAAGAUGAAUCUCGCCCUCGAGAUUCGGGUUGGCUAGAAAAUAGGUGAGGGUGGUCCUUCAGCAGAUAUUCCUCUCGCUUCCAUGUGGCUUCAUCCUCUGUGUGGUGGCUCCACUGAACUUUGCAAAACUUGAUAACCUUGCUGCGGGUGACUCGACUGGCAUACUCAAGAAUCUUAACUGGUUUCUCCUCAUAGGUCAAAUCGUUGUCAAACUGAAUCGCCUCUAGUGGCACUGUAUCUCUCAGCGGUAUAUCAGCCAUCUCUGCGUGGCACUUCUUCAACUGGGAGACGUGGAAUACAUCAUGAACUACUGACAAACCUUCGGAUAAUUCCAACUUGUAGGCAACUUCUCCCAUACGCUCCAAAACUUUGUAUGGUCCCACAAAACAUGGCGCUAACUUUCCUUUAACACCAAAACGCCUAACUCCUCGAAGUGGAGAUACCCGAAGAUAGACUCUAUCUCUGACUUCGUAAACUGUCUCCUUGCGUUUUGAAUCUGCAUAGCUUUUUUGCCUGGACUGGGCUACUUUUUGCCUAUCGCGAAUCAAUUUCACCUUCUGUUCAGACUCCUUAAUCAAAUCUGGUCCAAACAACUGGCGAUCUCCAACUUCGUCCCACGACAACGGGGUCCUGCACCUCCUUCCGUACAAGGCUUCAAAAGAGGCCAUCUUCAAACUGGAUUGAUAACUGUUGUUGUAAGAAAACUCUGCAUAUGGCAGAUUGUCAUCCCAACUAGAUCCAUAAUCUAGCGCACAAGCUCUCAGCAUAUCCUCCAAAAUCUGAUUGACCCUCUCGGUCUGUACAUCUAUCUGCGGAUGAAAGGUUGUACUGAACUCUAGCCUGGUACCCAAAGUUUCGUGCAACUGAUUCCAGAAUUUUGAGGUAAACUGAGUUCCUCUAUAUUAUACAAUGCUCCUCGGAACUCCAUGCAGACAUACGAUCCUGGUCAUGUAUAUCUUGGCUAACUUAGCACUGGUGUAAGUGGUCUUCACUGGGAUGAAAUGAGCUACCUUCGUCAAACGAUUGACUAUAACCCAAAUCGAGUCAUAGCCUGAAUGAGUCUUGGGCAAUCCCGUAAUGAAAUCCAUGCCUAGUUUAUCACACUUCCAUUCGGGUAUUGGCAAUGGUUGUAGCAAUCCUGCUGGCUUCUGAUGCUCUGCCUUUACUCUCUGAUAUACAUCACAAACUGCUACAUACUCUGCAAUACCCUUCUUCAUUCCGGUCCACCAGAAGGUAUCCUUCAAAUCUAAAUACAUCUUGGUAUUUCCUGGGUGAAUCAAAUAUGGUGAAUCAUGGGCCUCUUGCAGAAUCAACUUCCUGAUCUCCGAGUCAUUAGGCACAUAAACGAGGUCCUCAAACCAUAAGGUAUCGUGCUCAUCCUCAUGAAAUCCUUUAGCUUUUCCUUUGCUCAUCUUCUCCUUUAUAGAGGCAAUCUCCUUGUCGGUCUUCUGAGCUUCUCUGAUCUUAUCCAUCAGGGCUGACUAAAUCUCCAAUGCUGCUACAUAGCCUCUCAGAACUAUCUCUAAACAUAGCUCACAAAGGUCCUCGGCUAACUCCUUCGGUAAGUCUCCGGUCAUGAGUGUAUUGACAUGGCUCUUACGGCUCAACGCGUCGGCUACUACGUUAGCCUUUCCCGGGUGGUAAUGCAACCUCAUAUCAUAUUCCUUGAUGAGUUCCAACCAUCUCCUUUGCCCGAGAUUCAACUCCUUCUGCGUGAAAAUGUACUUCAAACUCUUGUGAUCCGUGUACACAUCACAAUGAUUUCCGAUAAGGAAAUGUCUCCAAGUCUUCAAUGCAUGCACCACGGUUGCUAACUCCAAAUCAUGUGUGACACAAUUCAACUCAUGAGGUUUAAGCUGUCGUGAAGCAUACGAAACAACUCUCCCCUCUUGCAUAAGCACUACUCCAAGUCCUCGACGUGAAGCGUUGCAAUACACCUCGUAAUCCAUGCUCUGAUCUGGCAGAAUCAACACUGGCGAGGUAACCAAACAUUCCUUCAACUCCUGGAAACUGGCCUCACACUCCUCAGUCCAAAUGAACUUGGUAUCCUUCUUCAACAAUUCCGUCAUUGGUUUUGCAAUCUUCGAGAAAUUCUCAAUAAAUCUCCAUAGUAUCCUGCGAGUCUAAGGAAACUCCAGAUCUCUCCAACUGUUGUUGGUGCUUCCCAGUUUGUCACAGUGACAACUUUGGUAGGGUCUACUGCUGUACCUUCUCCGGAUAUAACAUGUCCGAGGAAUCCAACUUCCUUCAACCAAAAUUCACAUUUGCUGAACUUGGCGUAUAGCUUGUGUUCUCUGAGCUUCUCCAGUACCAAACGCAAAUGCUCCUUAUGCCCCUCUUCGUUCUUUGAGUAGACCAAAAUACCAUCAAUGAACACCACGACGAACUUAUCCAAAAACUCCAUAAACACCUUGUUCAUCAUGUUCAUGAAAUAGGCAGGUGCAUUAGUCAGACCAAAUGACAUAACGGUGUACUCGUACAACCCAUACCUGGUGGUAAAAGCCGUCUUAGGUAUAUCCCGCUCUCGAAUCUUCAACUGAUGGUAUCUCGAUCGCAAAUCGAUAUUGGAAAAUACCUUAGCUCCUUGCAAUCUAUCAAACAGAUCAUUGAUCAUCAGCAGUGGGUACUUGUUCUUGAUUGUUACUGCAUUCAAUCCUCAAUAAUCAACAACCAUCCUCAGUGAUCCAUCUUUCUUCUCUACUAGAAGUACUGGUGAUCCCCAAGGCGAAGAACUUGGGCAAAUAUAUCCUUUAUCCAGUAAUUCCUUAAUCUGCUUCUUAAUUUCCUCCAAAUCCUUAGCGGGCAUCCAGUACGGUCUUAGAUAUCGGCCCUGUGCCUGGCAAAAGCUCAAUCAAAAACUCGAUGUCUCUAUCCGGUGGUAUGCCUGGCAAAUCUUCCGAAAAUACAUCAGGAAAAUCCUUCACCACUGGUACUUCCUCCUGCACAACUCCUGAUAAGGAAUUUAUGUGCAUCCUCUUCGGCUCAUGUCUUGAUACAUACUUGAUCCUUCUCCCUUCUGGGGUGGUAAGCAAGAUUGACUUACUGGCGCAAUCGAUGUUUCCUCCAUACAUCGAUAGCCAAUCCAUACCCAGAAUCACAUCCAAACCUUGAGAUUCCAAAAUGAUUAAAUCUGAGGAAAGACAUGCAUGCCUAUACUCAAUGGCACUUGAAAACAUCCUCGACUGGCCAUAUACUCCGCUCCUAGUGAGCUUACUAACAUGGGUGUUCCUAGAACUUUGUUGGGAAGUUUAUACUUAUCCACAAAUCCCCUCGAUAUGUAUGAAUGCGAUGCACCAGUAUCAAAAAGAAUGAUUGCAGUAAAUGAUUUAACCAAAAACUUACCUAUUACUGCAUCUGGUUGGGCUUCAACCUCCUCCACAUUAACGUGGUUCACCUAUCCCCUGUUGAAAGGGUUCGGCUUCUUCCCCGAGCUUCCAUUGCUAUUUCCAUUCUGGCCUUCAGGACAUUCAUUGGCGUAAUGCCCAGUCUUUUGACACUUAAAGCAAGUGACUUGACUCAAAUCUUUCUUAGCUAGGGUUGAUGGGUUGGUACGGUUAUGGCCGUUGCUUCCUCCAUUCCCAUUCUUGGGGCCAUUAUGAUUAUGCGAGUUACCUCCUCCAUGGGUAUGCUGAAAAUGUCCUCCCGACUUCGGGGUAAAAUGUGGCUUCUGCUGAGCUCCAGAAUUGUACCUUCCUUGUCCAUACUUCCUCAUGCGGUUUUCAAUCUGCUAUUGCUUCCCUUCAAUCAUAAGAGCAUGGUCUACCAACUCCUGGUAGUUGUUGAAACUUGCUACCAUCAAUUGCAUGCUCAGCUCAUCAUUCAGUCCUUCCAGAAACUUCUCUUGCUUAGCUGCAUCCGUAGCAACGUCCCCUGGGGCAUAACAUGCUAGCUUACUAAAGUCAUCCACAUACUGGCCAUCGGUACGUCCUCCCUAGCGUAAGUUGCAAAACUCACACUUCUUCAUGGCCAUUGCUCCUGUUGAAACAUGGGCAGUACGGAAAGCCUGCUGAAACUGAUCCCAUGUGACAGUGUCUACUGGAUAGGUGGCUGUGAAAUUUUCCCACCAUGAUGCCGCGGGUCCCUCAAGCUAAUGUGCGGCAAAUCGCACCUUCUCCGCAUCUGUGCAUCCUGCAGUGGUCAACUCCCUGGCUAUCUUGCGAAGCCAAUCAUUUGCAACAAUCGGCUCGGUGCUACUGGAGAACACCGGCAGAUUCAGCCUAAGAAAACGGGUUAAGUGAUCAACAGGUGGUGGUGGUGGGUUGUUGUUGUUCCCCUAAUUCUGAUUCUGGACUAGCAACUGCAUCAAGGCAUUCUGCUGCUGGAUCAACUAAGUGAGCUCCGGUAGGAAAGAAAAUCCAUUUUCACAUCUCGGAGGCAUCUGAGGGUUUAGAAAAGAUGAGAAUACAGAAUAGAAUGAGGUCUAGAGGGAAAACACUACCCAUAUGUGUCGGCGUUCUGGGAACGGGGCUCCCCAGACUUGCCUGCCUGCGGCCUGCGGCGUGGCUCAAAGGGGGCCCAGCGCAGCCCAUCUCCAUCAACACAAGCUCAAGACCCUCGCGAGGGGCCAAGCCUCGCGGGGCGGACGACAAGGAGCUUCCUCAAGCACGGCCUCAUCAGGCUGGCUCGCGAGGAGGUGGAGAGUUCAAGGCAGGGUACCUCGCGAGGUGCCCAUGACACAAGCCAUGACGACCAAGGGCGCCAGUCGGGCACCAGCCCACGCAGUGUCCUCCUUUCCUCUUUGGUGCAAAGGGAGCAAGCACAGGUGAGAGCAUCAAGCAAAGGCAUCCAUUUCGGUGCAACAAGACCAAGACCAGUCCAACGGCAGGAUGGAGGUCACCAUGGAGCCCAAGCCAGCGUCACCACCAGAGCCUUUGACAGGCGAGGACCAACUUUAGUCAGGAUAAGUGUACCCGCUAUUCCCCUUCAAAAUGGCCAAUUGUUGGCGCCCUUCCCGCUCAAUAUUUGGGAAGAGGCCCAGGGCCUUUGCUUAUAAAUAGGACUAGCCACCCACAGGGUAGAGGCAUCUCGAUCAGCAUCUAGAGAGUAACCAGAGAGAGAAAGAGGCGACUGAACUCCCCCUAGUAGUUCAUCGCACCAGCCAAGAACAGACCCUCGCGAGGCUGUUCUUCCUUGUAUUGUUCAUCAUCAGCCCAAGAGGCAAUCCACCACGCCACACACUGGAGUAGGGUAUUACACCACAAUGGUGGCCUGAACCAGUAUAAACCCUGUGUCUCUUGUGUUGAUCUUUUCGUAGUUUAGAUCCUAGCGAUUCGGCGAGGAGCAGGUAGGCAGAGGGUGUAAUCUCCAUGCGCACCCCAGAGUUCGAACCUCAAGGGUCUGCCGGAACCCGAAAUCUGACAUUUGGCACGCCAGGUAGGGGGUGCGCCGGAAUUCGUCUUCUGUUGCCCUGCUGUUCUCCGACCGUCGCAUCCAUGUCUGACGCUUGUCGGGCUGCUCUCGCCGCUCGAGUCGCCCAGACGGCUCCCGUCGGCGGACGCCCACGUCGUUCCCCGUCGCCCGCCGUCAACACCGCCACCGGCUCGGCAGGGAACGAGCAGCGGGUCUCGCCCCUGCGUCCUCCCGUGGCCUCUCGGGGGAAGCCGCGCGACCUCUCUCUCACCCACCACGCCGUGCCGGCCUCCCGGGUUGUCGCGGCCCUCCUGGGCGGCUCGCAGGCGCCGCCCUCCGGUCACCAUGUCAAGGCGUUCAUCCGCCGGGUCGGCGCCGCCUCCACGCGGCAGGGGGCUCCACUGGACCGGUCGGAGCCAUAGCCCCGGCUAGCCUUCAGCUCGGAGGACCACCCCACCAACUUGGCCUGCUCGGGUGCGCUCCCCAUGCUGUGCACCCCCACCAUCUGCCAUGUGGCUGUCACCAGGACCCUCAUCAAUGGUGGCGCAGGCCUCAACAUGCUCUCAGUCGAGACCUUCGACCUCCUCCGCAUACCCCGGGAGCGGCUGCGGCCCAGCCAGUCCUUCAUGGGCGUCGGGGGCAGGUCUUCCAACUCCUUGGGGCAGAUUCGGCUCCCAGUAACUUUCGGCACCUACGACAACUUCCGCACGGAGCUGGUUGAUUUCGACAUUGCCCUCAUCGGCCUCCCCUACAACGCCAUCCUCGGCUAUCCAGCACUGGCCCAAUUCAUGGCCGCGACUCACCUGACAUAUAACCUUAUGAAGAUGCCUGGGAGUAGCGGAGUUCUCACCGUGCCCGGGGACGCCGGGAUGCGCUGCGAGCACUCAAGCUCGCCUUCAAGACGGCGGCGGCGGCGCAGUUCGCCGACGCGGGGGCCCCCGAGCCCAAGGAGGCUGCUCCAGCCAAGAAGAAAUAGUUGUUCACCCAAGACAAGGCGGAGACCAAGCAGAUACCCGUCGACAAGGACGGGUCCACUAGCGCCACUUUCACCAUAGGCGCCCACCUUGGUCCCGAGCAGGAGGAAGCCCUGGUCAAGUUCCUACGUGCAAACAAGAAGGUGUUCGCUUGGGAGCCCGAUCAGUUGGCAGGGAUCCCACGGGGCGUGAUCGAGCACCACCUCAACGUGUGCCCCAAUGUGCGCCCCGUGAAGCAGAAAGCAAGGCGGCAGUCCACUGAAAAGCAGGCCUUCAUCGUUCAGGAGACCCGCAAGCUAGAAGUCGUGGGGGUCAUCCACGAGGUCCGAUAUCCAGAUUGGUUGGCCAACCCUGUGGUUGUACCAAAGAAGGGAGGGAAGGAACGCAUGUGUGUCGACUUCACCAACCUCAACAAAGCAUGCCCGCAAGAUCCGUUCCCGCUCCCGCGCAUCAAUCAGAUCGUUGAUUCCACCGCUGAGUGUGACCUGUUAUGCUUCUUGGAUGCCUUCUCCGGGUAUCACCAGAUCAAGAUGGCGGUGGAAGACGUAGAGAAGACGGCCUUCCUGACCCCGUGUGGGGUGUACUGCUAUACAUGCAUGCCCUUUGGGCUGCGCAACGCGGGGGAAACCUUUCAGUGGCUCAUGCACAUAACCCUGGGCCCGCAACUCGGGAAGAAUGUAGAAGCUUACAUCAGCAACAUUGUAGUGAAGUCUCGCGAGGCCAAGACCCUGAUACAAGACCUGGAGGAAACCUUUGCAAACCUCAACGCAGUGAGCCUGCGGCUCAACUCGGAGAAGUGUGUGUUUGGAGUCCCCUCGGGCAAGCUCUUGGGCUUCCUCUUGUCCCACCGGGGCAUCGAGGCCAACCCAGAGAAGGUCAAGGCGGUCGAGGACAUGAGCCCGCCAAAGACCCUCAGAGAAAUGCAGAAGCUCACUGGGCGUGUGACUGUGGUGGGGCGCUUCAUCUCCAGGUUAGGGGAGCGAGCGCUGCCUUUCUUCCAGCUGAUGAAGAAAAAAGGGCCCUUUGAAUGGACUGAAGAGGCCGACAAGGCGUUCCAAGAUCUCAAGAGAUACCUAACCAGCCCUCCGGUGAUGGUGGCCCCACGCCCUCAAGAGCCCUUGGUACUCUACCUUGCCGCCACUCCUUACUCCGCCAGCGCGGCCCUGGUGGCGGUUAGGGAGGAGCGUCGGACCAAGGCCACAGCAGCUACCCGUGCCAAGGCAAAGCAGGACCAAGAAGGGCUCGCAAAGAUCACUACUAUGGCUGAGGCAGAUCAGCCGCCGCAGGGGAACGCACUGGGAGCGGGAGAAGCCCUUCCCCCAGGCAACCAGCUUCCGGAGGCCCUGAGGGAGUUCCGGACAUGGAAGGUGUCCGGAUAGCCAAACUAUCAUCAUCGGCCGGACUCCAAGACUCUGAAGAUAGAAGAUUGAAGACUCCGUCCCGUGUCCGGAUGGGACUUUCCUUGGCGUGGAAGGCAAGCUUGGCGAUACGGAUAUGUAGAUCUCCUACCAUUGUAACCGACUUUGUGUAGCCCUAGCCCUCUCCGGUGUCUAUGUAAAACAGAUGGCUUUAGUCCUUAGGACGAACAACAAUCAGAGCAUAGGCUAGCUUCUAGGGUUUAGCCUCCUUGAUCUCGUGGUAGAUCCACUCUUGUAACACACAUCAUCAAUAUUAAUCAAGUAGGACGUAGGGUUUUACCUCCAUCAAGAGGGCCCGAACCUGGGUAAAACAUCGUGUCCCUUGUCUCCUGUUACCAUUCGCCUAGAUGCACAGUUCGGGACCCCCUACCCGAGAUCCGCCGGUUUUGACACCGACAUUGGUCCUUUCAUUGAGAGUUCCUCUAUGCCAUCACCAUUAGGAAGGAUGGCUUUUCCCGUCUUUAAAGACGACACCAUCGUCAUGGGAGCUUUGGUCACUGGCCAAACUAUCCAGCUAGGCAGUUUUCUUAUGACCGCCUGUUCGGCCACCGCUCCGACAAUGACCUCUCAAGUCAUUAAAAGCGAUCUUCACGUCAGCUUGGAAUUUGCCGAGCACCUAGAUCCGCUUGAGCUCUCCUCCGUAAACGAGCUCUUGGAUCGCAUCGCCGCCCUGGGAGUCGCUACCGACUACGAUCAGAUUGGGCUUAAAACCGAUCUGAGAGAAAUCAACUCUCCCUAGGUUACCCAGCACGUUGUCGUGGUAGAGGAACAAUGCGGUGACUCUUCUUCUAUAAUAAAAACCAACUAUGUCCGGAUUCCCGAUCCCUCCAUGCCGGAUUCCCGCGGAGGGACGGAUGCUAAUCAAAUACUGAACCCAAAGUCCGGCAUCGGACCAGAUUUGUGGGAAAGCGUCCAGCAAACCAAGCUUCCGAAUCCGGAAGCUUCGUGGCCUUUGAGCCUCAGAUUGGACGGGGUUCCGAACUUGAUUCCGCUCGCCCACCCAAACAUAAGCGAUCUAUCUCAAAUACGGCAAGAGCCCGAUGAAACGGUACAUCAUUACUAGGCCAGAUUCCUCCUGGUUAUGGACAGGAUAAAGGACUGCCGUGAAGAAAGCGCGAUUUCAAUCUUCUGCAACAAUUGCACGGACAAGGGAAUCAUAAACGCCAUCAGUCGUCGCGAAGUUACACGCUUCGCCAACCUAGCGACCAUUGUACAAAAAUACUGCGCGUUGGAAAGUGCCUGGAAAACCGAAACUAGGUUUUGGGACAAUCCGGCCCUGAAUACAACCCCAGUCCGAAAUAAAAGGGUGCGUCAUACUCAAGCACCUAGGUUAAAAACCAAAAAGCAAAAACCCCAUAAAGGGUACGGAACCGUACUGGAGGGAUGGCUCAACGGACCCUGCAAAAUCCACAGUACGGAGGGCGCCACUCCAACACAUAGCCUUCAAGCAUGUUGGAUAUUACGGCAGGUGGCCAAAAGUGGCGAAGGCUUUUUAGCCCCGGGCAACCAGCCCAGCAGCACCAGUACGGUAUUAACAGUCUUCGAGACUUUCGCAUCAAAUAACAUGCGAAAACGAACAAUCCGCAGUCUUGCCAAAGUCUACCAAGUAGCAACAACAAAUCCAUGGAGCGACAUGGCUAUCACCUUCAAUGCCAGCGACGAACCUAAAUUCCGAACAGCUAGAGCACCAGCCGCAUUGGUCCUCAGUCCGAUAGUGGACGGCUUUCAUCUUACCAAGGUACUCAUGGAUGGCGGCAGCGGAUUAAACCUCAUCUACGAGGAAACCCUUCAAAAAAUGGAAAUUGACUGGAGCCGCAUUGAGCGAAGCAGCACAACCUUCAGUGGAAUAAUCCCUAGUCGAGAAGUACGCUGCACAAGAAAAAUCACACUUGAUGUAGUGUUCGGCUCGCCGGACAAUUAUAUGUCCGAAGAGGUCACGUUCCAAGUGGCCCCAUUCGGCAGCGGAUAUCACGCUUUGUUAGGGCGAGAGGCACUCACAAUCUUCCAAGCUAUACCCCAUUAUGGGUACAUGAAGCUCAAAAUGCCCGGACCCAAUGGAAUAAUCACUCUCGCCAGUGAUCCAGAUACAGCACUCCGCGCUGAAAAUAAGACGGCCGCACUGGCCCUAGAGGCAUUAUCCGAAGCCCUAGCGGCAGAGGAAUUAACUGCCCUGCGCUCCACGGUGGAUAGGGAUGAUGUGAUAGUCGACAAGAGGUCCAAGUCCACCUCUUUCAAACCAGCAGACGAAAUAGUCAAAUUUCAGGUCCAUCCAACGGACCCCACAAAGACGGCAUCCAUUGGGGCACAAUUAAAUCUUGAUGUAGAAGCCGCACUACGAGAAUUCCUCCGGGAAAAUUGGGACAUUUUUGCCUAGCACCCUUCAGACAUGCCAGGAAUCCCACGCAGGCUAGCAAAGCACAGCCUAAAUAUCCUAAAAGGAUUCAAGCCAGUCAGACAAGCUCUUCGGCGAUUUUCCGAACCCAAAAGACAGGCAAUGGGAGAGGAGCUAGCCAAGCUCUUAGAAGCCGGAUUCAUCAGAGAUAUCAAACAUCCGGACUGGCUAGCCAACCUAGUAAUGGUACCAAAAAAGGACAAAUCCUGGCGCCUCUACGUCGAUUUCAAAGACCUUAACAAGGCCUUUCCCUCUCCCUCGCAUCGACCAAAUCAUCGAUGCUACCGCAGGGCACGAUUCAUUGUGCUUCCUCGACGCAUACUCCGGAUACCAUCAAAUCAAGAUGGCGGAAAAAGACCAGGCCGCAACGGCUUUCAUUACUCCAUAUGGGCCAUUCUGCUUCAACACAAUGCCCUUCGGACUCAAAAACGCCGGCGCAACAUAUCAGCGCAUGAUUCAGACAUGUCUGGCUACCCAGAUAGGCAAAACAGUAGAGGCAUACAUAGACGAUGUGGUCGUCAAGACCAAACACGUUGAAACCCUAGUAGACGACUUGAGGGUGACAUUUGACAACCUCCGAGUGUAUGACAUUAAGCUCAAGCCGGAAAAAUGUGUCUUCGGAGUACCAGCCGGAAAGCUUUUGGGCUUCAUUGUAUCCGGUAGAGGAAUUGAAGCAAACCCAGCCAAGAUCCGAGCUCUGUCACAAUUGGAUAUCCCAAAAGACCUCAAGCAAAUACAAAAACUAAUGGGGUGCGUAGCGGCCCUAAGCCGCUUCAUCUCCCGUCUGGGAGAAAAGGCUCUGCCCCUCUAUCGCCUCCUCCGGCGCACCGAACACUUCGAAUGGACGGAUGCCGCCACGACCGGACUCGAAGAAAUCAAGGCCAUACUGGCAACAAAUCCGGUCCUGGCAGCGCCCAACCUGGGCGAACCUAUGUUAUUAUAUAUCGCAGCAACACAUCAGGUUGUCAGCGCGGUACUCAUCGUCGAACGAGAAACAAAAGGGCAUAGAUUCCCUCUUCAAAAACUAGUGUACUACGUAUCCACUGUCUUAACUCCAUGCAAGUCCCGGUACCCACAUUAUCAAAAGAUAGCGUAUGCGGUGUUCAUGGCAUCCCGGAAGCUGCGAUACUACUUUCAAGAGUGUUCCAUAACGGUGGCCUCUGAAGUACCUCUCAACGAUAUUAUAAACAAUCGGGAUGCAACGGGCAGGAUUGCAAAAUGGGCCAUUGAGCUCUUACCAUUUGACAUAACCUACAAACCACAGCGAGCUAUAAAAUCGCAAGUUCUGGCUGACUUCGUCGCCGAAUGGACCGAAGCCGAACUCCCUAAAGAGUACGGUGCGUACUCCAAUUGGAUCAUGCAUUUCGACGGAUCCAAAAUGUUGGCCGGCUUGGGGGCUGGCGUCGUCUUGACGUCCCCAACUGGAGACACAGUCCAAUAUGUACUUCAAAUAAUGUACAUGGACUCCAACAACGCAGCCGAAUACGAGGCCCUCCUGCACGGCCUCCUGAUGGCAAUCUCCAUGGGCAUUCAACGCCUAGAGGUGCGCGGGGAUUCAAACCUCGCAAUAUCCCAAGUAAAUGGAGACUUUGACGCCAAAGAUCCAAAAAUGGCAGCUUACCGCAACGCCGUCCUAAAAAUGUCAGCUCAGUUCGAAGGACUCAAAUUCCACCAUGUAGCCCGGGAUAAUAACCAGGCAUCAGACGUGUUAGCACGCAUCGGCGCAAAACGCGAUGCCGUCCCUCCAAACAUCUUCCUGGAACGGCUCUUUAAGCCAUCCGUACUAUGGGAAGAGGAGUCCGGAAAUAACAAUCCGGAGCUAGCUGCAUCACCUAACUCAGACAAUUCUGACACAAUCGGCGGCUCAGCCAAUGAAAUAACACCUUCAGCCCACAAAAUAAUGGCAGUAAUUGCCCCGUGGACGGAACCAUUCCUAGCCUAUUUAAUUAGGCAGGAACUUCCCGAAGACCAAAAUGAGGCCCGCUGCAUAGUUCGGCGAUCUAAAGCCUACAAGGUCCAUGAGGGAGAACUUUAUAAGAAAAGCACAACCGGAGUCCUUCAAAGGUGUAUCUCCGAAGAGGAGGGGCGAAAUCUCCUAGCUGAAAUUCACGCCGGACUCGGCGGGCACCACGCCGCAGCCCGGGCCCUUGUAGACUAUGAAGAUAGAAGAUUGAAGACUCCGUCCUGUGUCCGGAUGGGACUUUCCUUGGCGUGGAAGGCAAGCUUGGCGAUACGGAUAUGUAGAUCUCCUACCAUUGUAACCGACUUUGUGUAACCCUAGCCCUCUCCGGUGUCUAUAUAAACCGGAUGGCUUUAGUCCUUAGGACGAACAACAAUCAGACCAUAGGCUAGCUUCUAGGGUUUAGCCUCCUUGAUCUCGUGGUAGAUCCACUCUUGUAACACACAUCAUCAAUAUUAAUCAAGCAGGACGUAGGGUUUUACCUCCAUCAAGAGGGCCCGAACCUGGGUAAAACAUCGUGUCCCUUGUCUCUUGUUACCAUCCGCCUAGAAGCACAGUUCGGGACCCCCUACCCGAGAUCCGCCGGUUUUGACACCGACAGGCCCCAUCGCCUCAGCAAGCGCCAUGGUCUCCAGAGGGCGCCGCUGGUACCGAGGCUCCAAGCCUCUUCGAGCACCCGGUGUACUUCGUCAGCAUGGUGUUGCGGGAUGCAAGGGCACGGUACCCCAUGCCACAGAAGCUCCUCCUCGCGCUACUGGUGGCCUCGCGCAAGCUGCGGCACUACUUCUAGGGCCACCUGAUCAAGGUUGUCUCAGCAUACCCCUUGGAAAGGGUGCUUAGGAGCCCUAACUCGGCCGGAAGGGUCACCAAGUGGAACAUUGAACUGCAAGCGUUUCAGCUCGAAUUCAGCACGACCAGGGUCAUCAAGGGUGCCGCGCUAGCAGAUUUCAUGGCAGAGUGGACGGAAGCACCGGACCUCAAGACCGGCGAGGACCGAUCCCUCUCCCCGGGGAGCGAGGCGCCAGAAGGCUGGGUCAUGUACUUUGACGGGGCAUUCUCCAGGCAUGGCGCUGGGGCUGGUGUAGUGCUCAUAUCUCCCACUCAGGACAAGCUGUACUACGCCGUGCAGCUCUGCUUCCAGCAGGGUGAAAAUGUCUCCAACAACAUAGCAGAAUACGAGGGACUGAUAGCGGGGUUGAAGGCUGCCGCUGCCCUGGGAGUGAAGCACCUUACUAUCAAGGGCGAUUCGCAGCUCCUCGUCAACUUAUCCAACAAGGUAUACGAGCCACGAGAUGAGCACAUGGAGGCCUAUCUUGCGGAGGUCCGCAGGAUGGAAAAGCAGUUCUGGGGGUUGGAACUACAGCACGUGCCCUGCGGCACUAACCAAGAGGCCGACGACAUCGCCAAACGAGCAUCCAGGUGGCUACCUCAGGAGCCUGGCGUCUUCGAGGAGCGGCUCUUCAAGCCCUCUGGCAUGCCAUCGCUAUCAAACGCGACGCAGCCUCAGGAGGAGCUCCCCCAGCCACCUGCAUCGGGAGCCCCGGCUUGUGGCCCGGCCUCAGGAGCGCGCCUACUCCUGACAAUGGAACCUCAGGAGGGGUGCUGGAUCACAGAGCUCCGGAGUUACUUAACGCAAGGGACCCUGCCGGAGAAGGAAGAGGAAGCGGAGCGUGUGGCACGGCAAGCUAUGGUGUACUGCAUCAGGGAUGGGGAACUCUACCGGAGGCGACCAAAUGAUGUGUCCCUACGCUGCAUCUCCAGGGAGCAAGGGAAAGAGCUGCUGGCGGAUAUAUGCGGUGGAGACUGUGGGCACCACUCGUCAUCACGAACCCUCGUGGGAAAGGCAUUCCGCAGCGGCUUCUAUUGGCCAACUGCGCUCAGUGACGCUGUCGAGCUGGUAAAGGCUUGCGAAGCCUGUCAAUUCCAUGCAAAACAGAUCCAUCAGCCGGCGGGAGGUCUGCAGACCAUACCCCUCACAUGGCCCUUCGCAGUCUGGGGGCUUGAUAUCCUGGGCCCAUUUCCUCGGGCGCCAGGGGGCUACCGCUACCUCUACGUCGCCGUGGAUAAGUUCACCAAGUGGGCCGAGGUGGAAGCCGUCUGCACCAUCCCCGCGGGUUCAGCGGUCAAGUUCAUCAAGGGCAUCAUGAGUCGGUUUGGGGUGCCGAACCGCAUCAUCACUGACAACGGUUUGCAGUUCACCAGUAACCUCUUCAAAACAUACUGUGCUAACCUUGGAACGCAGAUAUGCUACGCUUCAGUGGCGCACCCCCGAAGCAACAGCCUGGCCGAGCGGUCCAACGCGGAGGUCCUGAGGGGCCUCAAGACCAGAACGUUCAAGAAGAAGCUGGAAGCCUGCGGCAUAGGCUGGCACGACGAACUUCAGUCCGUGUUGUGGUCCAUCCACACGACCACAACCAAGCCAACUGGUGAGACCCCGUUCUUCUUGGUCUACGGAGCCGAGGCGGUCCUCCCUCACGAGGUCAAACAUCAUUCCGCAUGGGUCCUGGCGUUCGACGAAGCGCAUUAGGACGCCAUGCUGGGGAUGGACUUCAUGCUGGGGGAGGACUGUCGCCGAGAAGCCGCGUUGCGAGCGGCGAGGUAUCAACAAGCGCUGCGGCGAUACCACUGCCGCAACAUCUGCCCCAGGACUCUUGAGGUAGGGGACCUCGUGCUCAGGCGGGUUCUCUCCAUGGAGGGACUGCAUAAGCUCUCUCCCAUGUGGGAGGGCCCAUUCAAGGUUGUUCAUGUUUCCAGGCCUGUCUCCGCGCGCUUGGAGACUCAGGAGGGGGUGCCAGUCCAGAAUGCGUGGAACAUCCAGCACCUUCGGAGGUUUUACCCCUGAAAAAGGCCCGGAGCCUGUGAAGAAGGCGAAUGCGUGUGAAGACCAUCUUUUUGGAAAAGGCCCGGAGCCUGUGAAGAAGGCGAAUGCCUGUUAAGACCAUCUUUUUGGAAAAGGCCCGGACACUGUGAAGAAGGCGAAUGCCUGUGAAGACCAUCUUUUUGGAAAAGGCCCGGAGCCUGUGAAGAAGGCGAAUGCCUGUGAAGACCAUCUUUUUGGAAAAGGCCCGGAGCCUGUGAAGAAGGCGAAUGCCUGUGACGACCAUAUUUUUGGAAAAGGCCCGGAGCCUGUGAAGAAGGCGAAUGCCUGUGAAGACCAUCUUUUUGGAAAAGGCCCAGAGCCUGCGAAGAAGGCAAAUGCCUGUGAAGAUCAUCUUUUUGGAAAAGGCCCAGAGCCUGUGAAGAAGGCGAAUGCCUGUGAAGCUGUCACGUUUUGGAAAAGGCCCGGAGCCUGAGAAGAGGGCCAAUGCCCGUGAAGCUUGCCUCCACGAAGAAAGGCCCGGAGCUUGUGAAGAAGGCCCGGUGCCUGUGAAGCUCGCCGCCCCGUGACACUCUCACAUAAUAAUGAGUGGGGAUGUACGCGCCCCAGAGUCUCAGGGGUGCCGGCCUCAGGCCCUGGGGCUCCCUCCCACACCCAGUGGCAGCACUUAGCUCCGCACUGGUCAGAAGACGUCGAAGACUAGACUAGGUGCCGGACGCGGCUUUUUCAUUUGCUUUCUGCAGUUGGCAAGUUCAUUUCUUAUUUGGAGUUUUAUCGAAACUAUCGCCGCCUUUCAACUUGUGGUUCUCUGACUUUUUUGCUCUCCUGCCUCGAUUUCUCUUGCACAAGGGCUCGCGAGGUGGAAGCCCCGGGAGCCCUCGUGAGUGUUUCCGUCCCAAUCGCUCAAGGUCUCACGGCCCGGGUCCGCUACAGGAGCACCCCUCCAGUCCAUGCCUCAUGGGCACCGUGACUCGAAUACGGGGCCUGGGUCGAUCGCCCCACGGCUGAGGCUGGGAAUUACCUACACGCGGGCAUGCGACAGAAAGGAACAAUACCGAAAUAGCAGAAACAAUACGGUAAUUGAUGAUAAUAACCCAAACGCGCCCUCACGGGGCCCCACACUGCUAUCAUCUUUUUGUUGCGCAGGAGAAAAGAAAGGAAAUAACAAAGUAGGCGAAGCUUGCCGCACGCCGGCCCUCGGGGAAGACUCGAGCCACCUCCGGAGCUCAGGCGGACUCCCUCUCGCGCUUCACCAGGACUCGACGGCGGGCAGACUCGCUGCCGCCGUCCAGGCGGGCGCGACGGCACGGGGGCUGGCCGCGGCCGCCGCUAGAAGAGUCGCUACCCGAAGAAGAGCUGGUGAAGCUUGAGGAGUCUCGGGCGCCGCCAACCACGCGCGCGCUGUCCUCUCCGUCCUCGCCGGGGCUGGGUCCCCAGCCACGGUCAUCGUCCUCAGGGCAGCACCCUGCUCGGCGACCAUCUUCCCCAAACACCCUUACAUAGUGGGUGGUGUCGCCGUCAAACUUGAAGUGUAGAGUGCACCGACGGCUCAGGCCUCGCGCGCAGGCAAACAUCUGCCAGCCACGGGUCAAGGCCAGGCUCCCGGCGGCGGAGACCUCCAGUGAAGCCCACGAGGCCCGGCUGCAGCAGCCAUCUGCCUGGAGCCAGAGGCCGCCCAAGGCGCCGGCUGGGAGGUCACCAAGGAGGAAGCGAGGGAGCUGAAGCCGGUCACUGGUUGGCUCCGCCGCCCACACAAUGAACUCCGGUAGCACCUCUGAAGUAUGGAGGCGUGGCCUCGGGGGUCGCAUGGCCGGAGCAUGCCCCCCAGCCAUGGCUAGUCGCUCAUCGCCGCGCAGAGAGCCACCUCCGCGACCGCGAGGGGCCACCAUGGAGGCCACAGGAUGCUUGCGAGGACGGCCUCGACCGCGCUUGGGCGGGGGAGAGGCAGACUCGACGUGGCGAGCCUUCCCUUUCUCUGUGGCCGAGAACUUCCUUGGUGGAGCCAUGGAGGAGAAGGAGAAGCAAGAGGAGAUAGACCGGAAGGGCGCACGCCAUUCCGUAUUUAUAGCUAGCGAAGGCCAACCGUCGACCACCACGAUCGCAGGUAAUCAUGACCCGUUUUGCAUGCAGGGACUAGUCGCAUCCAUGCAGUUGCCGAGGAAGCGUGGGGGAACGCUGCCGCCCAUGUCCAAUAAACCGCCACGCGGCGCCCAAGACCACAGGCUAUUAGGGCCCGCGACGCUUCACACUUGCCCUUUCGCCUCUCUGCUCGGCCAAGUCCGUGCGUGCCGUGGGCCCGGGGGCUACUGUCGGUGUUCUGGGAACGGGGGUCCCCAGACUUGCCUUCCUGCGGCCUGCGACGUGGCUCAAAGGGGGCCCAGCGCAGCCCAUCUCCAUCAACACAAGCUCAAGACCCUCGCGAGGGUCCAAGCUUCGCGGGUCGGACGAAAAGGAGCUUCCUCAAGCACGGCCUCAUCAGGCUGGCUCGCGAGGAGGCAGAGAGUUCAAGGCAGGGUACCUCGCGAGGUGCCCAUGACGCAAGCCAUGAUGACCAAGGGCGCCAGUCGGGCGCCAACCCACGCAGUGUCCUCCUUUCCUCUGUGGUGCAAAGGAGGCAAGCGCAGGCGAGAGCAUCAAGCAAAGGCAUCCAUUUCGGUGCAACAAGACCAAGACCAGUCCAACGGCAGGAUGGAGGUCACCGUGGAGCCCAAGCCGGCGUCACCACCAGAGCCUUUGACAAGAGAGGACCAACUUUAGUCAGGAUAAGUGUACUCGUUGUUCCCCUUCAAAAUGGCCAAUUGUUGGUGCCCUUCCCGCUCAAUAUUUGGGAAGAGGCCCAGGGCCUUUGCCUAUAAAUAGGACUAGCCACCCACAGGGUAGAGGCAUCUCGAUCAGCAUCUAGAGAGUAACCAGAGAGAGAGAAAGAGGCGACUGAACUCCACCUAGUAGUUCAUCGCACCAGCCAAGAACAGACCCUCGCGAGGCUGUUCUUCCUUGUAUUGUUCAUCAUCAGCCCAAGAGGCAAUCCACCACGCCACACACUGGAGUAGGGUAUUACACCACAAUGGUGGCCUGAACCAGUAUAAACCCUGUGUCUCUUGUGUUGAUAUUUUCGUAGUUCAGAUCCCAGCGAUUCAGCGAGGAGCAGGUAGGCAGAGGGUGUAAUCUCCGCGCGCACCCCAGAGUUCGAACCUCAAGGGUCUACCGGAACCCUGUAACGCCCCGGAUACAACUUUCCAUAUUCGUAACUCCGACUCUUGCCUUUUUCGGAGAUGCUAUAUGAUAUUUCCUUCGUAGUUGGGCUUUUGUCGUUUGUUUUGCAUUUUGUUCUUGUUAUGCAUCUCAUCUCAUAGCAUCAUGUGCAUCGCAUCCAUAUGUUUUCAGAAAACUUGCAUCCGUUCGGGCUUCCCCGGUUCUCUCCGUUGUCCGUUCUGAGCCGGACACACUUGCAUGCGCCCGCGGCACCUCCGAAAUAUUAUUUUAUAAGUGGCAUAAAAAUGUUCUCGGAAUGGGUUGCAACUUCUCGUGCGGUCUUAUUAUAGUGUAGACAAGCCAUCUGCCAAGUUUCAUCGCAUUCGGAGUCCGUUUGAUAGCCCAACCGUCAUCCGUAGCGGCACCGUUGCCGGUUUAAUCGUCGGACGUUUCAGCUUUCGAAACUACUGCCGGGCCUCUCUCUCUCUUCUCUCCACUCAGCCCAACCUCUCUUCACAGCCCACCUAGGCCUGCCAACCCCCCCUCGCGAUCAGAUCCGUCAGAUUUCGAUCGGAGGCUCCAAACCCCUCCUAACCCCCUCUAACCCUAGCCCCCUACUAUAUAUGGACCUCCUAGUCCAUUUUGGGCAGCCCCUAGCCCCCCACCUACCUCUAGCNNNNNNNNNNNNNNNNNNNNNNNNNNNNNNNNNNNNNNNNNNNNNNNNNNNNNNNNNNNNNNNNNNNNNNNNNNNNNNNNNNNNNNNNNNNNNNNNNNNNNNNNNNNNNNNNNNNNNNNNNNNNNNNNNNNNNNNNNNNNNNNNNNNNNNNNNNNNNNNNNNNNNNNNNNNNNNNNNNNNNNNNNNNNNNNNNNNNNNNNNNNNNNNNNNNNNNNNNNNNNNNNNNNNNNNNNNNNNNNNNNNNNNNNNNNNNNNNNNNNNNNNUCCUCCCGCCACUUGGUGUUGCCGCCACCAGUUCCCAGCCAACCAACGGCCGCCACAUCGCCUCCACCACCGCCACGGCCAAUCAGAGGCCUCCACACGGCCUCCCUGCGCCGCCCCGCGCCUCUCCCCACGCUGCCUGCGCCGCCAGGCCCGUCCCAGGCCCGCCAAGCCCAUCUGGGCCCGGGUCGGCCCGACCCCGUGCCGCCGCCCGCAGCGCAGGAGCGCCCCGCUCCAAGCUCCUCCCGCACGCCUCCUGUCCUCCCGCACGCCUCCUGCCAUCCCGCCCGCUGGCAGCCUCGCCGGAGUGGUGCAGCCGUCCCCGCCGGCGACCCCCAGGCCAGUCCCGCUCCCUCUCCUCCUCUCGUUUUCCCCCGAGCGCUCUCUGACCCCGACCUCCCUCUCCCUCUGCUGCAGCGCCGCCAUGGCCUCCAUGGAGCUCGCCACCGCUACGAGUCACCGGCGCCAGAGCCCCUCCAAGCUCCUCCCGCGGCCGGAUCCGGCACCACGCCGCCCCGAUCCGUCCAUUUCCCAGCCUCCCCGCCGCCUUCGGGCCUCGCCAUCGCCUCGCCGCCGUCGUCUUCUACUGCCGUCGCCGCCAUGACCUAGCUCGGGAGCGAGCAGAGGAGCCGCUCGCUCCCCUACGCGUUGACCUCGGCCCCAUGGGCCACGGCCCAACUCCCUCCAGGUCCAGCGGCCUCCAAGGCCAGCCAGCCAGCCUCCUCCAGAUCCGACCGGGCCACAGCCCAUGGGUGAGCUCCCCACAACCCCUCCUGUUCAGCCCACAGUGCACCAGAUUCGGCCCGUUCAUAUUUUUUUCAGAUUCUGCGAAUUUAGGUUUAUUCCAGGGAAUUAUAGAUUUACAGAAAAGUCCUUGCACUUCAUGCAUUUAAUAUCUCUCAAACUGUGCAUCGGAUUAAAAUAAUUUAAAUAUGUAAAAUGAUCAGAAAAUUGUGUAGUUUAAUAAUAUGUCACUUUCAUCCAUGUUUAAAAUGUUUAAAAUGCUGGUUGUAUUUAUUUUGCAUAAUGCCAUGUUAAAAUGCUUUAUUUCAUAACUAAAUAACCGUAGCUCCAUUUUAAACAAACUUUAUAUGUAAAUGGGGAGGAAAAAUGCCUAGUUUAACAUGGUGCACUUUAUUUUGCUGUUUAACAACAUUAAAAUUGUGUUUAGGGCAGAACAGUACCGAAUCCAUAAUUUGCAUAUGGGGAUUUUCCGGAAUUGUUGUUUGUUGUUUCCGGCCUCAUUUAAACUUGCCUAGAUAGGUAGUUUUCUCAUGUUUCACCUCUUGCCAUGUUUAACAACAUUUAAUAUUGUUGGGUACAUAACCGAGAUCAAACUAAAUAAUUGCAUGUGGUGUUUUGUCAAUAUGCAACUCGUUGCAUAUUGAGCUCCACUUAAUUUGUAGUAUUGUGUGUUGCAGUUUGCCAUGCCAUGCCUCUUUAAACCGGACAUGCAUCAUACUUGAUUGUGCAUAUUGCCAUGAUUAUGCUUGUGUGUUUACCAUGUUGUUUGUUUCUUUCCGGUGUUGCUUCUUAGUUCCGGUAAUGUUGCGAUUGUGAGGAUUCGUUCGACUGCUCCCGUUCGUCUUCUUCAUGGACUCGUUCUUCUUCCUAGCGGGAUUUCAGGCAAGAUGACCGCUACCCUGGAUCUCACUACUAUCAUUGCUAUGCUAGUUGCUUCGUUCUAUCGCUUUGCUGCGCUACCUAUCACCUGUUUAUCAAGCCAUCCGAAAUUGCCAUGAACCUCUAACCUUUGACACCUUUCCUAUGCAAACCAUUGAUUGGCUAUGUUACCGCUUUUGCUCAGCCCCUCUUAUAGCGUUGUUAGUUGCAGGUGAAGUUGAAGAUUUCUCCAUGGUGGACAGGAUUUUGGUUGGGAUAUCACAAUAUCUCUUAUAUUAUUAAUGCAUCUAUAAUUUGGUAAAGGGUGGAAGGCUCGGCCUUAUGCCUGGUGUUUUGUUCCACUCUUGCCGCCCUAGUUUCCGUCAUACCGGUGUUAUGUUCCCAGAUUUUGCGUUCCUUACGCGGUCGGGUGAUUUAUGGGACCCCCUCGAUAGUUCGCUUUGAAUAAAACUCCUCCAGCAAGGACCAACCUUGGUUUUACCAUUUGCCUCACCACCACCUAUAUUUCCCUUGGGAGUAAUUAACCCAAGGGUCAUCUUUAUUACAGCCCCCCCGGGCCAGUUCUUGUCUAAGUGUUGGUCCGAACUAGAGCCCUUUGCAGCGCCCCCUCAGGGAAACUUGAGGUCUGGUUUUAGUUGUACGGAUUGCUCAUCCGGUGUUGCCCCGAGAACGAGAUAUGUGCAGCUCCUAUCGGGAUUGUCGGCGCAUCGGGCGGUCUUGCUGGUCUUGUUUUACCAUUGUCGAAAUGUCUUGUAAACCGGGAUUCCGAGUCUGAUCGGGUCUUCCUGGGAGAAGGUCUAUUCCUUCGUUGAUCGCGAGAGCUUGUCAUGGGCUAAGUUGGGACACCCCUGCAGGGUAUAAUCUUUCGAAAGCCGUGCCUGCAGUUAUAGGCAGAUGGGAAUUUGUUAAUGUCCGGUUGUAGAUAACUUGACACCAGAUCCGAAUUAAAACGCAUCAACCGUGUGUGUAGCCGUGAUGGUCUCUUUUCGGCGGAGUCCGGGAAGUGAACACGGUUUCUGGGUUAUGUUUGACGUAAGUAGGAGUUCAGGAUCACUUCUUGAUCAUUGCUAGUUGACGACCGUUCCUUUGCUUCCCUUCCCGCUCUUAUUUGCGUAUGUUAGCCACCAUAUAUGCUUAGUCGCUGCUGCAACCUCACCACUUUACCCCUUCCUUUCCCAUUAAGCUUUGCUAGUCUUGAUACCCAUGGUAAUGGGAUUGCUGAGUCCUCGUGGCUCACAGAUUACUACAACAACAUUUGCAUGUACAAGUUAUGCGAUGAUCAUGACGCGAGAGCGAUGCUUGCUUGCGUUGAGUUCUUCUUCUGCUCCUUCGAUCAGGGGAUAGGUUCCAGGUCGGCAGCCUGGGCUAGUAGGGUGGAUGUCGUUUGAGUUUCUGUUUGUGAUUCAUCCGUAGACGGAUGAUGCUCUUAUGUAUUGUAAUGUUGUAUUCAUGUGGCAUUGUAUGCCUUAUGUAUCUAUCCCCAUCUAUUAUGUAAUGUUGAUGUAAUGAUAUCCACCUUGCAAAAGCGUUUCAAUAUGCGGGUCUAUCCUUGGUGGGACAUUCGAAUUCCUUUUGGAUAGGGUCGCAUAUUGGGCGUGACAAACCCGAAAUCUGACAAUAUGCACAUGAGACAAAUGCAAUCAAAACACUUCAUUCAAACAAGCAAGGGCAUACAACGGUCUAUCUAUCGUUACAAAAGUGCUCAGACUAUACUAGAUACAUGGGGAAAUACUACUACUGUUAUGGUGGUCAACUAGAAAAACUGCUCCGUUGAAGACUCCAUGAUAUCUGCUCCAGCUUCAUCAACAUAGUCAUCAUCGCUAUCGUCUGGGUCCGAGUCAGUGUCGUCGAUGAUGAUGUAGUUCUCUAGACAAGUGCAAUCUUCGUCUUCUCCAGUUGCGGGAAAUCCCAUAAACACUCUUAGCUUCUUCUUCAGAUCAUCAUUCUUCUCUACUAGCGUUGCUAUUUCCUCCUCAUAUCCAUCGUGUGUAGACUUGAGUUCUUCCUCCAGUUCCGUGAUCUUGGUCAUGGCCUUCUUCAGAUCCAUCAUGCCCGCGCACAUCUGGUUCUCCUGGCGUCGAAUUUGCUGGUUUAACUCCUGGAUGAAAGCUGCAAUUGAUCUGUCCUUCCUGGUGCUGACCAUCUCCCAUUGCUCAUCCCGGCGCCCACAAAUCUGGUAGAUUGUAUCCUUAAGCUCCUUGUGGUAAACCUCUCCAAUACGUCCCAUGGUGAUGUGGGAUGCCAUGCUCUUUCCUAGACUCCAGGUCGGUGUAUCAAAGGAAAACUCUAUGGGCUCAGUGACGGGCAUGAACAUCCUUCCUGGAACUUGAACUUGAAUCAUCCAACGCUCCUCUUCAGGUAAAGUGGCGUUGUAGGUCCCGGUGAAGCUUGGUACUCCGAUGUUCAGGUACUUGGUAACUUCCUUGAGGUGUCGUCCAAAGGUUGUUUCUUCAUCCGGUUGCGUGAACUUGUUCCUUGCAUCCGCCAUCCUAAAAGAGAGUAGAAAAGAUGAGGAGUCAGAAAUGAGAAGAGAGAUUAGUGAUCUAGGGCUUUAGCUUAGUGGUCGUGUCCUACAGUCAGCGUGUGCUCUGAUACCAUCUUGUAGCAACCAGACCUCAAACAGUCUGAUCUCUGUGCAUUAGUGUCAUCCCUGGAUCAGUAAUGCUGACACGCACAGUACUUGAAGGAUUUAUAACAGAGUGGCAAUCACACACUUAUUACAUCGAAUGUCUCAAAAGAGAGCUCAUUACAAUAAAUAUGGCUUAGGCCAUGUAAUAACGAUAACAGUGGAAGGCUUGGAAGAUAAGUGAGUCCAUCAACUCCAACGACAUCACUGAGUAUAGAACCACGAUCCUAAGGCAUCUUACUCGUCGUCUGCAAAGUCUGCAACAUGAACGUUGCAGCCCGAAAACGGGCCAGCACAUGGAAUAUGCUGGCAAUGUAACACAUAGAGAGUAAUGAAAGGAAUAAGCUAUACUACAUGCAUAAUAUGGCUGGUGGAAAGCUCUAUGUACAGUUUUGCAUAAAGCCAUUUUUUCCCUACUGCAAAGGAAUAAAUUUUUAUUUAACUAUCAUGGUGGUUGUUAAACAUUGAGAAUGGUUGACAGCAUUCUCAAUCCCAAUUAAAAAUCAUCAUUAAAAACCCAACAAUAUUAAUUAAAGUAACAUGAUGAGAUUCACAUGAUAAUCCAAGUACUAGAUACUCAAAACGUCCAUAACCGGGGACACGACUAAUCAUGAUUAGUUUAUACACUCUGCAGAGGUUUGCGCACUUUUCCCCACACGGCUCGAUCUCCUCCAUUGGUUUUCUUGCACUACAUGGUGUUUGAGAAACGGAUGACCGAGACAUAGUCUUUCAGAAGCGCUAGCACCUUACGAUGGGUAGACCUGUACACCUACUUUCCCCUACAUCUGCUAGUCUACCACUGUAAGAGUUCGCACGACUUAAUCAACUAUGCUAGAGCCCAUAAUAGCAUGUGGCUGCACAUGGAAGUUUCUAGCAUGAACAAUCUUAUGAUCCCUUUGAGCCAAUCCUGGAAUACCCAAGUGCCUCAAUCCACCCAGAUGUGUAUUAAAGUUGCCACCUUAAAUAAACCAUUAACUACAAUCUCACAUCUGUGAUGGAAAUUCACUCACCCAAUCCACGUCUACUAGCAUAGCAUGGCAUAAUACGCAAACGUAGAAGUAACUCCCAAGGGUUGAUAAUAAAACUGGUGAUAGGUACUACCUCAUCUACUUCCCAAAACCCACAUAUUAAUCAUAUCCUAAUCAUUCAAUUGUUUGAGGAUUGAUCUAAUGCAUAAAACUGGGUAGUAAAGAGGUAUGAUCAAGUGUUACUUGCCUUGCUUAUGAUCCGUGAAACCUAGGGAUUCGAAGUAGCAAGCGGCGCACUCCGGGUACUCUAUCGCAAACAAACAAGCAAACAAGCAUCCAAUAAGUACUCAUCUAAUGCACAGGUAAAACUCAAAUAAGAGAUCUAACUAGAAGGUUCAACUUAAGAACUCCGGUUGCCAAAAGAAAUCAAAUCGAAUGAAGCAACAAAAAUCAAACUGUGAAAGAAACAAGCUUCAUUUACUAAUCUGAACCUAAGUCAAAUUUUACAGAAGUAAAAACUUGUUUGAGUUGAUUAAACGGAAAGAGGGUUUCGAGACGAAACUCUAGGCGCUUGAAUCGCCUGAUUCCGAUAAACGAGCGAAAAGAUAAACUAAAACGAAAAUCGGAUCAGAAAUCGCGAUCAGAAAUAACCGCGGAAAAAUCCGAGAAAAAGAAAAAUGGACGAACAGGCUAACGAACGAGCGUUCGCUGUGUGCGAAAAAAACGAAAACCUUUUGUUAAAACGAACGUACGGACGGGCGUUCGCUAAAUUACUAAACCUGGAAAAAAAUCAAACCGAUCUAAUAAAAAAAACGACCGCAGUUUUUUUUUAAAAACCGGGCGGUUAACCGGCGAAAACCGGCGGCGGCGGCGGCUACCUCAGGGUCGGGGUCCNNNNNNNNNNNNNNNNNNNNNNNNNNNNNNNNNNNNNNNNNNNNNNNNNNNNNNNNNNNNNNNNNNNNNNNNNNNNNNNNNNNNNNNNNNNNNNNNNNNNNNNNNNNNNNNNNNNNNNNNNNNNNNNNNNNNNNNNNNNNNNNNNNNNNNNNNNNNNNNNNNNNNNNNNNNNNNNNNNNNNNNNNNNNNNNNNNNNNNNNNNNNNNNNNNNNNNNNNNNNNNNNNNNNNNNNNNNNNNNNNNNNNNNNNNNNNNNNNNNNNNNNNNNNNNNNNNNNNNNNNNNNNNNNNNNNNNNNNNNNNNNNNNNNNNNNNNNNNNNNNNNNNNNNNNNNNNNNNNNNNNNNNNNNNNNNNGCGAGCGGCGGCGGCGGCUGGCUAGGGCGGCGACGGCUAGGGUUUUGGGUGGGCUCGGGGUGGCCUCCCGGCGCUUAUAAAGGCCGGCCGAGCCAAGUGUCCUAGCCGGACACGGCCCGGUUAGGUCAGUUCGCGUUUUUUUUAAAAACAUUAUGCGCAGAAAAUCAAUUAAAAGAAAUACUGAACGGACUCCAAAAAUCCUGAAAUAAAUUUCCCCGACUUCUAAAAUCAAGCCGGUUAAGAUGAACAUUUAUUUGGGGCCUAAAUGCAAUUUUGAAAAACACGCAUUUUUCCUAAAUUCAAAUAAAAUAGCAAAAACUCCAAAAUAAAAUCUUAUUUGAUUUUUUUAUUAAAUCCUCAAUAUUUCUUUAUUUUGGGAAAGUCAUUUUAUUCCCUCUCUCAUAUUUUCAUAGUAGAAAUAAUUGAAGAUAAAAUAAGUAAAAUCAAAGGAUCCUAUUUUCAAAAUUUGAGAAAACUCAAAUAUGAAAAUAACGAAAUCCCCAACUCUCUCCAGGGUCCUUGAGUUGCGUAAAAUUUCUAGGAUCGAGCCAAAAUGCAAUAAAAUAUGAUAUGCAAUGAUGAUCUAUGUAUAACAUUCCAAAUUGAAAAUUUGGGAUUUUACAAUCACAACUGAAGACAAAGUUGUGAGAAGGUGUUAAAUUAAAAUUGAUCCAUGCUUUCAUUUGCAACAACGUCCCCUCGGCUCUGUCUAAAUCAACAAGGAAUGUUGGGAAAAAAAGUAGCUGUCUGGAGCAUGCAACAUUCCGAUCAUUUCAUGCAGUUCCACUAAAAUAGAGCUGAGCAUCCCUGUUCCAAAGAUAUUAAGUGUGAUUACGAUAAUAGAGGACUGCUGAUGAAACAAUAAACACACAAAUAGAAGCCUGUCACCUUUGUAGUCUUUCUUAAAACUAACUAGUUGGAGAAGAUUAAGCAAAUAGUUGGAGAAGAUUAGGCUCGGAGUUGGAUGAGGAGGAUAGAGCAAAACCAAUCUCCCUUUAUGCAAUCGCACUGAAAUGUAGAGACGUUGCCCGUGUGACAUUUUUGUACAACUGCACAAAACGCUCUUAAGAAAAAAGUGAUUUGUGUAGUUCACCAAAAGGUCGCAAUAGCAACGAGGUGAGAAUAGCCCUGUUUGCAAAAAAGGGGUAGAAAGGAAACAAUUACUGGCCAAUAACAGUUGAUGACACAUGCGACGACAAAAAGAAGCAUAUUCCUUGUCCUAAGGGAAGAUAACAAUCUGGUUGUGUUUGUCUAAAUCGGUGUGAGGACGAGAUUGCAAUAUGGAAAGUACGCCAGACGAGCUAUGUUUUGGGCAAAGAACUAUGGAAGAUCCACAUGCAAGAUUUUCCACAUGCAGCGACGUGGGAAGACGGGAAGUGGAGCAAGGCCGGAGGGGAUACCUGGGGGUCGUCGGGAUGUAACUAGGUGAGCAGAGGCAGGCGGGAUCUGCCCAUACUGCGAUGGCGAGCAGGUGGCGUAGGCCCUACCAUGCUGGAGGUUGGUCAGAGAGAACAACGGGUACCGCAGAUCGGGACAUGCUGCCUCGGCGUCGUCGAAGCAAGAAACGAUGCACAUCCUCCCUUUCCGCCGGCGGACGAGAUGCGGCCGGAUCAGUAACCAACGAUGAGAGAGAGAGGCCAUCGCCGCCUUGUGUGAGAUACUCUGAAGAGAGACAAACCCAGGCAGGCAGGGUCCAUUGUAUAUAGUGGAGCGGACUGCCUUUUUCUGCAUUAAAAAUCAUUUUAUAUUCUGUGUACGUGCCAUUGAGCGAUAUAACUUUAUUUCAAAAUAAUGCGCCAACGCAUCAAGUCGAACUUUGUUUCGUGCACGCAUGAUACACGACCUCCGUAGGUAAACAACCGCUACACGCGUUUAAAUUAGCACGUGGGCUGCCAUUUCAUACAGAAAUGAGCUCCACCGUGUACCCUCGCGGGUGUGGCUGGGCACGAAGCGUGAGUACAUGCACCUACUCUCUUCAUGUACGUACACCACCUACGUGGGGUUGUGUGAGAGAGAUACAAACAUAGAGAUAUAUAGUGUGUGGGUUCUUGAGUGUUUUUUUGGUGGGGGUGUCAAUAAAAAAUGUAACAUAUGCAAUGUGUGUGAAAUAGAGUCCUGGAUAUAUCAUAUAUAUGGAGGGGGCGAUCACAAGAAGAGAGUGGAGGUAUCAUCGGCUUGAGGUAUCCAUAGAAUCAAAGAGAGGGAUGAUGAUGAUGAUGAUGUGUGUGUGUGUGUGUGUGUGUGUGUGCGGGAUCGAUAAAGAGUGCCAUCGAAUUUGUGUGUGCCCACGUCAAAGAUAUAGGGUGGCUGGCCUACUGGAACGUGAGAGGGGACAUGUGCAGUUUGUCUCUGUGGCAUGGAUACCUACCUACAACUCUCGACUAUCAGUGUGUGGUGNNNNNNNNNNGGGGGGGGAGGCCUUAUUAACUAUAGAGGUACAAUGGCUGGUAUAUGUGUGGAGGAGGAGAGAGGCCUACCUUAUGUAUUAAGGGAGAUCGAUCGGCAUCCAUGCAUAUGUGUAGGAGAGGAAUAAGGUUGGGAGAGAGACAGAGCUGGAGUGUUGGAGGGGGUGGUACUGGAGUUGCUUCUAACAAAUGGUGGGAGAGGCUUGCUAGACAAACGGAGGGCACGCCUGCAAUAUCAAUAAGAGAGGGGAUGGCUGCCUGUCUGUCCACGUGCGUGUGAGAGAUGGAUUAGGAUGCAUGCACGAAUGAUGAGGGGGGACGAUAUGGCUGUGGUAAGCAGACGUAACUACAUAGGAAGAUCAAUCAUCCUCUGUCAGAGAAAGGAGAGACAUAACUUGUGAGGUAUGUCGAUCGAUGGGUGGGGGGAAAUAGUUAAAGUCGACCUAGGUAUAUGUAGGGAGAUCGAUCGACAUACAUGCAUGUAUGUGUUAGAAGCAAAUAAGGCCCGGGGAGAAGGAUAGAGAGAGAGAGAGAGGGAUGCAUCUAAGAGGUGGUGCGAGAGGCAUACUAUAUCAAGGGGGAAGGAGUGUGCGAGUACGAGAUCGAUGAAAAGAGUGGUGGGAGUGAGGCAUGGACGGUGAGAAGAGAAGAGGGAAAGCUUGUGUUUGUGGUAGGCACACCUGUCUAGAGAGGCACAUCGAUCGAUUUGUGCCGUAAAGGAGCUUGGGGGCCUACACACCAUGGGUGAACGGCCUAAAGUGAAAAGACGAAUUUGCAUGCACGAGAGAAAGUUAGCGCUAGCUACAAAGAUAAGAGGAUUGUGUGGGUGUAAAAGACGAAUAGAGAUCAUAUUUCAUUAUAAAAAGCAAAUUCAGAUAUUUGAAGAAUUUAUAAUAGUGUUUUAAACCGGUGCAUGCGUGAAUAUAUAUAACGGUGAUACACAUGGUGUGGUUAUGAACAUGUUAUACUACAUAUAAUAUAUUUUAUCUCUACUCUCAUAAAAAACGGAGUUGUUGAUGACGGUGUGCCUGCCAUCCUGCAAUAUAGGCCGUCCGAUUUAUAUCUGACGGAUAGGAAGGAAAAUAUGGCAAUUUUGAAAAAAGAUACCCACACCCCUCUCCAUAUUUGCAAAUAAGGCCUCCCCUUGAUCAUGUUGAUGUUUCAUGGAACGCAUGGGCAUCUUACUAGUACUACAUAUAAUAUAUAGAACAUUGAUUAUAAUUUGGGCUAUUGUGUGGCUUUUGUAGCUCAGGGCUAAAUACUUGUCAUAAUGUAGGGGGCGGGGCACUAUACUUUGUGUGAUAAACACGGUGUACGUAUGGAACAUGGUUUAGAUUAUGAAUAUAUAGUUAGUACAUCAAAUGUACUAUUAUUUGGAAUCAACAUCAAAUGUAUUCAAAAAAUUGAAUUCGAGUUCAUAUAGUACACAUAGUUCAUAUCUAUUUCUAUAGUAAUCAUGUGGUGUGUUGUUAAGGUAAUACACGAAUGAUGGUUGAAGUUGGCAACAAUCAUGAUUGUAGAUUCUUAUUGAAAUAGAGAAACAAAUUCAAAUUCAGUUCGAAUUGCAGCGGUAGUAUAAACAUUUGGAAUGCACUAAAAUGUUGGUAUGAGUAGGUUACAUGCCUUAUACAAUUAGCGAAAACAUUUAAUUGGACAUAACAUAGAUUCAUACUCCCUCCUUCCAUCUAUAUAAGGCCUAAUGCGUUUUUAAAGACCGCCUUUGACUAUUGACAAGAUUAAUAGUACAUGACAUGUACAAUGUGAAAACUAUAUCAUUGAAAGCUCCUUUCACACACAAAUUUAAUGGUGUCCUUUGUGUAAGUUGCAUGUCAUAUAUUAUUGCUCUAAUAUUUGGUCAAAGUUAGCCUCAAAAAUGCAUUAGGCCCUAUAUAGAUGGAAGGAGGGAGUAGCUUUGAAUAGCAUUUGUAUAGUAAAACGGGACAAGACUCUCUCUUUGUGUGGUGUGAAUAGUUUUAUUUUUUUCGUUUUUUUCCGUUGAGGGAAGUGCGAAUUGAUUUGGUACGUACUGUCGGUGUCAAAACCGGCGGAUAUCGGGUAGGGGGUCCUGAACUGUGCGUCUAAGGUCAAUGGUAACAGGAGGCGGGGGACACGAUGUUUACCCAGGUUCGGGCCCUCUUGAUGGAGGUAAUACCCUACUUCCUGCUUGAUUGAUCUUGAUGAAUAUGAGUAUUACAAGAGUUGACUGAUAUGUCUCCAACGUAUCUAUAAUUUAUGAAGCAUUCAUGCUAUUUUAUUAUCUGUUUUGAAUGAUUAUGGGCUUUAUUAUACACUUUUAUAUUACUUUUGGGACUAACCUAUUAACCGGAGGCCCAACCCAUAUUGCUGUUUUACUAGUAAACAUGCCCGUGCAUUGCAACGGGAAACAUACUAUCAUACAUUCCAUAUUCUUCAUCUCUAGCGAACCUUUGUCAUGAUCCCCACUGGCCUCUCGUGAGAAUGGUGGCAUUUUAAACCUUGGUCGUGGUUCAUGAUUCUCCUCAGCUUUGCUUCUACAUCAACGACCUCACGAAAAAUGCCCCCAUGUAAUUGAACGAUGAAUUACAUUUUCUAGUUUGAAAAUUAUAUAUAUAUAUAUAUAUAUAUGAGAAACUAUUGACCAAUCAAAACCGUGAACCAAAUUUAAAAUUAAACACCUCACUUGAAUGAGAGAGCUCCUUCAUAAAUUGUUGCCCAAGUCGAAUUUUGAAACCAAUUCCAAAAUCAACGUUCUUAAUUGAAUAUAAGAGGCCUUACCCUAGGGAAGGAGGGGGAGUAGAUUUUAUUUGUGACCACACAAAUUACAUAUCCUAUGGCCAUCAAACUACAUGCAUAAUGCCAUGGAAUGUAAAACACACAGCAGAUAGAGGAGAGCGACAAACACAUGAAACCACACCUUGUAAACUUUGCAGAAAAACCACGUCACAUCUUUCUUACACCCUAACUAAACGAAUGACCCCGACCUGAGAAAGCGGUAGCAUCAGAUAUGGCAUAUACAUGAAUUAAGCAUUUAGUGUUUUGCCAAAACAGUAUAAACAAAGACUAUCUGAACGUGCCCUUAAAUUUGAAAUAAAUCAUCAAAACAAUAGUUGUGCUGAAGUAAUAAUUAUAUGCCAUCUAGCUUUCGUUCUCAGUCGCAUUGGCCCCACCAUUGGAAUUAGGAGAAACGUAUUUUUUUUGAAUCAAAAGCUAUCGUGGCAAUUCAUCAACCAAUUGACUCUCCAUGUUUUUGAGAAAAUUCAUCCGAACGCAAAAUUGACAUCAUGUUUCCUGAUGUAUGUCUACCCAUUCAAUCUCGACCUUAAUAUUGGUUAUGUAGUUUGUAGAAAUUGUUUUCUUAUUGUAGCAGUAUAAGUUGAUUCUUUUUAUCUUGUUUCAAAACCGUAUUACUUCUCGUAGUGCACAAAUAUCAAACCCACAUAUAUAAGUUGAUCCGUUUUCAUCUUUUUCAUAUUAUUGUAGUCGCGCACAUGCUUGUGGCAUACAACUUCUGCUCUUCUUUGUAUUGGAAUCUUACCCACUGCUGCCCUUGUCAAAGUAUUGGCAUGCAGUAUAGAGGUGCUCUUCCCUGUCCCUUUUGUUCAUGUGCACCAUUGUAGCAAGACGGUGACAAACUCCUCAUAGUUAAUCAAUCCCAGACACUUCUCAUAUCGUCCAUACUAAAUUCUGACCAAAAACUCAAAGAACAGGUAAAAUUGAAAACCGAAAGAAACUUGAUCUGGGAUAACAAUUUUGCUAGAAAGCCAAUUGCAUGCUGAAAAUAUAUUUUCACUGAACAUACCCUAGUUGUUAAUUAUUCGGAAAAAUAUUGGAGGCCUUUUUCAAUCGGACGAACGUCUAAUCGACUCCUCGCAAGUGCCUCCUCGACGCUUCACAAAACAUUAUCAAAGUCAUGCCUCGAUCAGCGCGGCGUUCUUGCACGGACAGAGAGAGAUGUGGAUGGAGAAUUCCCUGGAUGGAAGCUAGACCAGAUGAGUCGAUGGACUUCCUGCGACAAAUUGUUAGACACAACUCUGUGGCUCGACUGGAACUACGCAAUCACCGAAGAGAACAACAAUAUGUUGAUCAUCUCACAUCCUGAACUGCAUGGUUGGAGGUUGUCUUCUAGGAAGAUGUAACGCAGAUUCAGAAAAACAAUGAUAUUAGUAUACGCUAUACAAAGAUCCUUUACAGGCGUUUCCUUGUAAUUCUUCUUGAGGCACUCGUGCAUAGCUGGAGGUUGUCUUCUAGGCGGAGAAGGUGCUCUGAAAAAGUUCAAUGUUCUUUCAUUAGUACAAUGAAAAUAUACACUAAAAAUUCCCUUUGUUGGUGUUCCUCUCAAGGAGAUGCUCCCCUGCUGGUGUCGCCGGGGGCUGCACACGAGAAAAAUAAAUAUGUCUGGGCCAGGGAAGGUGCUAACGGGUCACUACAAUACAUCACGAACUUGCAGGUGCAGGGUUUAAAUUUCAAAGCCGAAGGAGAACAUGCUCGUGAUCUUGUUCAUGAACCUUCAGAAUUGAGGACGUGGGAGCGACUGGGAUGUUGAUACGUCUCCAACGUAUCUAUAAUUUUUGAUUGCUCCAUGCUACUUUAUCUACUGUUUUGGACUAUAUUGGGCUUUAUUUUCCACUUUUAUAUUAUUUUUGGGACUAACCUAUUAACCGGAGGCCCAGCCCAGAAUUGCUGUUUUUUUGCCUUUUUCAGUGUUUCGAAGAAACAAAAUAUCAAACAGAGUCUAAACGGAAUGAAACCUUCGGGAACGUGAUUUUCUCAUCAGAUAAGAUCCAGGAGACUUGGAACCUCCAUCAAGAAAGCCACGAGGCAGUCACGAGGGUGGAGGGCGCGCCCCCUGGGCGCGCCCCCUACCUCGUGGGCCCCUCGAAGCUCCACCGACAUACUCCUUCCUCCUAUAUAUACCUACGUAUCCCCAGAUAAUUAGAACAUGAGCCAAAAACCUAAUUCCACCGCCGCAACCUUCUGUAUCCACGAGAUCCCAUCUUGGGGCCUGUUCUGGAGCUCCGCCAGAGGGGGCAUCCACCACGGAGGGCUUCUACAUCAACACCUUAGCCCACCCGAUGAAGUGUGAGUAGUUUACUUCAGACCUUCGGGUCCAUAGCUAGUAGCUAGAUGGCUUCUUCUCUCUUUUUGGAUCUCAAUACAAAGUUCUCCCCCUCUCUCGUGAAGAUCUAUUCGAUGUAAUCUUCUUUUUGCGGUGUGUUUGUUGAGAUCGAUGAAUUGUGGGUUUAUGAUCCAGAAUUAUCUAUGGAAAAUAUUUGAUUCUUCUCUGAAUUCUUUUAUGUAUGAUUGAGUUAUGUUUGCAAGUCUCUUUGAAUUAUCCUUUUUGGUUUGGCCAACUAGAUUGGUAGUUCUUGCAAUGGGAGAAGUGCUUAGCUUUGGGUUCAAUCUUGCGGUGUCCUUACCCAGUGACAGAAAGGGUUGCAAGGCACGUAUUGUAUUGUUGCCAUCGAAGAUAACAAGAUGUUUUUUUAUCAUAUUGCAUGAAUUUAUCCCUCUACAUCAUGUCAUCUUGCUUAAGGCGUUACUCUGUUUUUACUUAAUACUCUAGAUGCAUGUUGGAUAGCGGUCGAUGAGUGGAGUAAUAGUAGUAGAUGCAAAAUCGUUUCGAUCUACUUGUUUUGGACGUGAUGCCUAUAUACAUGAUCAUUUCCUAGAUAUACUCAUAACUAUGCUCAAUUCUGUCAAUUGCUCAACAGUAAUUUGUUUACCCACCGUAGAAUACUUAUGCUCUUGAGAGAAGCCACUAGUGAAACCUAUGUCCCCCGGGUCUAUUCUCAUCAUAUCAAUCUCUAUCACUUUAUUUACUUGCUUUGUUUUUACUUUGCCUUUUACUUUUUACUUUGCAUCUAUCUAUCAAAAAUACUAGAAAUAUUAUUUAUCAUCUCUACCAGACCUCACUAUCAUAAGUGACCGUGAAGGGAUUGACAACCCCUAAUCGCGUUGGUUGCGAGUUGCUAUCGUUUUGUGUAGGUACGAGGGACUUGUGCGUGGUCUCCUACUGGAUUGAUACCUCGGUUCUCAAAAACUGAGGGAAAUACUUACGCUACUUUGCUGCAUCAUCCUCUCCUCUUCGGGGAAAACCAACGCAGUGCUCAAGAGGUAGCAAGAAUAAUUUCUGGCGCCGUUGCCGGGGAGGCUCACGCAAGCAAGUCAACCAUACCAAGUACCCAUCACAAUCCCUAUCUCUCGCAUUACAUUAUUUGCCAUUUGCCUCUCGUUUUCCUCUCCCCCACUUCACCCUUGCCGUUUUAUUCGCCCCUCUUCCGUUCGAUCUUGUGUCCCCAUGUACCUUCUUUUUUGCUUGCAUCUUCGCUUGCUAAAAGUUUAUGGAUCCUCAUCCACUUGCUAAUCUCUUUAAGAGAUCCAAUUAUGUUGAACCUAUUGCUAGUGAGUUGAGUGCACUAGAUUAUCUUUAUGUGGUUUUGCUUGAAAUUCGUGAAUCUAAAAAUUAUGAUGAAGAAAUUUAUGAAGAGAUGCACGAUAACUCCUUGAAUAAAAAGCAUGAUUGCAAUGAUUUUCCUAUAAAUUCUCUUGAUGUCAAUUGUGCUAAUAAUAUGCAAAACCCUAAGCUUGGGAAUGCUACUUUUGCUAUGUCUACUACUUGUUUCAAUGAUCAUGAUUGGGGUGAUUCUUCUUACAACCUUGAAAAUUUAUUUAAGCCCCAUGAUGAAUAUGAGAUUGAUAAUAAUGUUUGCAAUAAUAUUGAAAGUUGGUUUGGAAGAGUGCCAACUUUGGAUCCCACAUUUUUGGAGUAUGUUCAAUCUUAUGAUAUUUUUGAUAAAAGUGGGUUCGGAAAGGUCAUGACUNNNNNNNNNNNNNNNNNNNNNNNNNNNNNNNNNNNNNNNNNNNNNNNNNNNNNNNNNNNNNNNCAAGGACACCAAAAAGUCAAAACUUGGGGAUGCCCCGGAAGGCAUCCCCUCUUUCGUCCACUUCCAUCGUAAUUUACUUGGAGCUAUAUUUUUAUUCACCACAUGAUAUGUGUUUUGCUUGGAGCGUCUUGUCUUAUUUGUGUCUUUGCUUGUUAGUUUACCACAAUCAUCCUUGCUGUACACAUCUUUUGAGAGAGCCAUACAUGAUUUGGAAUUUGUUAGAAUACUCUAUGUGCUUCACUUAUAUCUUUUGAGCUUGAUAGUUUUGCUCAUAGUGCUUCACUUAUAUCUUUUGAGCGUGAUAAUUUUUGCUCUAGUGCUUCACUUAUAUCUUUUAGAGCAUGGUGGUGGCUUUGUUUUAAAGAAACUAUUGAUCUCUCAUGCUUCACUUAGAUUAUUUGAGAGUCGUUAAAUAGCAUGGUAAUUUGCUUAAUGUUAAUAUACUUGGUGUUCAAGAUAUGUGAACCUUUCUUUUGAGUGCGUUGAAUAGUAAGAUAAGUUUGAUGCUUGAUAAUUGUUUUGAGAUAUGGAGGUGAUAAUAUCAAAGUCAUCUAGUUGGGUGAUUAUGAAUUUGAGAAAUACUUGUGUUAAAGUUUGCAAGUCCCGUAGCAUGCACGUAUGGUUAAAGUUGUGUAACAAAUUUGAAACAUGAAGUGUACCUGGCUUGUGCAUCCUUAUGAGUGGCGGUCGGGGACGAGCGAUGGUCUUUUCCUACCAAUCUAUCCCCCUAGGAGCAUGCGCGUAGUACUUGAUUUUUUAUGACUUCUAAAUUUUUGCAAUAAGUAUAUGAGUUCUUUUGACUAAAUGUUGAGUCCAUGGAUUAUAUGCACUCUCACCUUUCCGCCUUUGCUAGCCUCUUCGGUACCGUGCAUUGCCCUUUCUCACCUUGAGAGUUGGUGCAAACUUCGCGGGUGCAUCCAGACCCUGUGAUACGAUAUGCUCUAUCACCCAUAAACCUCCUUAUAUCUUCCUCAAAACAGCCACCAUACCUACCUAUCAUGGCAUUUCCAUAGCCAUUCCGAGAUAUAUUGCCAUGCAACUUCCAUCAUCAUCAUCAUGACAUACAUUACUUUUGUCAUAUUGCCGUUGCAUGAUCAUGUAGUUGACAUCGUAUUUGUGGCAAAGCCACCAUGCAUUAUGAUCAUGUAGUUGACAUCGUAUUUGUGGCAAAGCCACCAUGCAUUAUUUUCCAUACAUGUCACUCUUGAUUCAUUGCACCAUCCCGAUACACCACCGGAGGCAUUCAUAUAGAGUCAUAUCUUGUUCUAAGUUUCGAGUUGUAAUCCUUAUGUUGUAAUCAAUAUAAGUGUGAUGAUCAUUAUUAUUAGAGCAUUGCCCAAAUAAAAAAAGAAGAGAAAGGCCAAAAAAAGAAAGACCCAAAAAAGGGCAAUGCUACUAUCUCUUUUUCCACCUUGUGCUUCAAAGUAGCACCUUGUUCUUCAUGUAGUGAUUCUCAUAUAUUGUGCUUCAAAGUAGCACCUUGUUCCUCAUGUAGUGAGUCUCAUAAGUUGUAUUUUUUAUACUAGUGGGAAUUUUUCAUUAUAGAACAUGGCUUGUAUAUUCCUACGAUGGGCUUCCUCAAAUGCCCUAAGUCUUCAUGAGCAAGCAAGUUGGAUGCACACCCACUAGUUUUCUUUUGUUGAGCAUUCAUAGCUCUAGUGCAUCCUUGCAUGGCAAUCCCUCAUGUUGACAUCAAUUGAUGGGCAUCUCCAUAGCCCGUUGAUUAGCCUCGUUAACGUGAGACUUUCUCCUUUUUUUGUCUUCUCCACACAAUCCCCAUCAUCAUAUUCUAUUCCAUCCAUAGUGCUAUAUCCAUGGCUCACGCUCAUGUAUUGCGUGAAGGUUGAAAAAGUUUGAGAUUAUUUAAGUAUGAAACAAUUGCUUAGCUUGUCAUCGGGGGUAUAGAAGUUGGGAACAUCUUUGUGUGACGAAAAUGAAGCAUAGCCUAACUAUAUGAUUUUGUAGGGAUGAACUUUCUUUUNNNNNNNNNNGGGGAAAACCAACGCAGUGCUCAAGAGGUAGCAAGAAUAAUUUCUGGCGCCGUUGCCGGGGAGGCUCACGCAAGCAAGUCAACCAUACCAAGUACCCAUCACAAUCCCUAUCUCUCGCAUUACAUUAUUUGCCAUUUGCCUCUCGUUUUCCUCUCCCCCACUUCACCCUUGCCGUUUUAUUCGCCCCUCUUCCGUUCGAUCUUGUGUCCCCAUGUACCUUCUUUUUUGCUUGCAUCUUCGCUUGCUAAAAGUUUAUGGAUCCUCAUCCACUUGCUAAUCUCUUUAAGAGAUCCAAUUAUGUUGAACCUAUUGCUAGUGAGUUGAGUGCACUAGAUUAUCUUUAUGUGGUUUUGCUUGAAAUUCGUGAAUCUAAAAAUUAUGAUGAAGAAAUUUAUGAAGAGAUGCACGAUAACUCCUUGAAUAAAAAGCAUGAUUGCAAUGAUUUUCCUAUAAAUUCUCUUGAUGUCAAUUGUGCUAAUAAUAUGCAAAACCCUAAGCUUGGGAAUGCUACUUUUGCUAUGUCUACUACUUGUUUCAAUGAUCAUGAUUGGGGUGAUUCUUCUUACAACCUUGAAAAUUUAUUUAAGCCCCAUGAUGAAUAUGAGAUUGAUAAUAAUGUUUGCAAUAAUAUUGAAAGUUGGUUUGGAAGAGUGCCAACUUUGGAUCCCACAUUUUUGGAGUAUGUUCAAUCUUAUGAUAUUUUUGAUAAAAGUGGGUUCGGAAAGGUCAUGACUUUAGCUAAUGUUAAUCCCACUAUCUUGGAAGAGUGUCAACUUUGCAUGCAUGUGGAUCGUGUUGAGAAUAUGUUAUGUGAUAGCUAUUUUGUUGAAUUUUCUUAUGAUCCUACAUGUAAUUAUUAUGAUAGAGGAAAAUAUGGUUGUAGAAAUUUUCAUGUUACUAAAUUACCUCUCGUCAUGUUGAGAUUGCUAUCAUCUCUUUCUUAUUCCUUGCAUAUGCUAGUUUUUGUUUGCCUUGCAAAUUUGUUUUCUUAUAAUAUGCCUAUGCAUAGGAAGUAUGUUAGACUUAUACGUCUUUGUCACGUGUUUCAUGAUGCUCUCUUUGCGCUUCAAUUCUUGUCUUUCUUGUGAGCAUAAUUAAAAUUAUCAAUGCCUAGCUAGGGGCGUUAAACGAUAGCGCUUGUUGGGAGGCAACCCAAUUUUAUUUUGUUUUUUUGUUUUUUCUUCUGUUUAGAAAUAAAUAAUCCAUCUACCUUAUGUUUGGAUGUGGUUUUAUGUUUUAAUUAGUGUUUGUGCCAAGUAGAACCUAUAGGAUAACCUAUGAUGAUAGUUGAUUUGAUUCUGCUGAAAAACAGAAACUUUGCGCGCACGAAUUUAGUUAUGAUAAAUCACAGAAAUGUUAUUUUGCCUUUAUUCUUUUUGCUGCUGUUCAAUAAACAAAGUUUCCAGGACUUCCUAUUUUGGUAGAAUUUUUAGAGUUCCAGAAGUUUGCGUUAGUUACAGAUUGCUACAGACUGUUCUGUUUUUGAUAGAUUCUGUUUUUCGUGUGUUGUUUGCUUAUUUCAAUGCAUCUAUGACUAGUAAUUCAGUCUAUGAACCAUAGGGAAGUCGGAAUACAGUAGGUUUAACACCAAUAUAAAUAAAGAAUGAGUUCAUUACAGUACCUUGAAGUAGUCUUUUGUUUUCUUUCUCUAACGGAGCUCACGAGAUUUCUGUUGAGUUUUGUGUUGUGAAGUUUUCAAGUUUUGGGUGAAUUCUUUUGAUGGAUUAUGGAACAAGGAGUGGCAAGAGCCUAAGCUUGGGGAUGCCCAUGGCACCCCCAUGAUAAUCCAAGGACACCAAAAAGUCAAAACUUGGGGAUGCCCCGGAAGGCAUCCCCUCUUUCGUCCACUUCCAUCGUAAUUUACUUGGAGCUAUAUUUUUAUUCACCACAUGAUAUGUGUUUUGCUUGGAGCGUCUUGUCUUAUUUGUGUCUUUGCUUGUUAGUUUACCACAAUCAUCCUUGCUGUACACAUCUUUUGAGAGAGCCAUACAUGAUUUGGAAUUUGUUAGAAUACUCUAUGUGCUUCACUUAUAUCUUUUGAGCUUGAUAGUUUUGCUCAUAGUGCUUCACUUAUAUCUUUUGAGCGUGAUAAUUUUUGCUCUAGUGCUUCACUUAUAUCUUUUAGAGCAUGGUGGUGGCUUUGUUUUAAAGAAACUAUUGAUCUCUCAUGCUUCACUUAGAUUAUUUGAGAGUCGUUAAAUAGCAUGGUAAUUUGCUUAAUGUUAAUAUACUUGGUGUUCAAGAUAUGUGAACCUUUCUUUUGAGUGCGUUGAAUAGUAAGAUAAGUUUGAUGCUUGAUAAUUGUUUUGAGAUAUGGAGGUGAUAAUAUCAAAGUCAUCUAGUUGGGUGAUUAUGAAUUUGAGAAAUACUUGUGUUAAAGUUUGCAAGUCCCGUAGCAUGCACGUAUGGUUAAAGUUGUGUAACAAAUUUGAAACAUGAAGUGUACCUGGCUUGUGCAUCCUUAUGAGUGGCGGUCGGGGACGAGCGAUGGUCUUUUCCUACCAAUCUAUCCCCCUAGGAGCAUGCGCGUAGUACUUGAUUUUUUAUGACUUCUAAAUUUUUGCAAUAAGUAUAUGAGUUCUUUUGACUAAAUGUUGAGUCCAUGGAUUAUAUGCACUCUCACCUUUCCGCCUUUGCUAGCCUCUUCGGUACCGUGCAUUGCCCUUUCUCACCUUGAGAGUUGGUGCAAACUUCGCGGGUGCAUCCAGACCCUGUGAUACGAUANNNNNNNNNNNNNNNNNNNNNNNNNNNNNNNNNNNNNNNNNNNNNNNNNNNNNNNNNNNNNNNNNNNNNNNNNNNNNNNNNNNNNNNNNNNNNNNNNNNNNNNNNNNNNNNNNNNNNNNNNNNNNNNNNNNNNNNNNNNNNNNNNNNNNNNNNNNNNNNNNNNNNNNNNNNNNNNNNNNNNNNNNNNNNNNNNNNNNNNNNNNAAAAAAGGGCAAUGCUACUAUCUCUUUUUCCACCUUGUGCUUCAAAGUAGCACCUUGUUCUUCAUGUAGUGAUUCUCAUAUAUUGUGCUUCAAAGUAGCACCUUGUUCCUCAUGUAGUGAGUCUCAUAAGUUGUAUUUUUUAUACUAGUGGGAAUUUUUCAUUAUAGAACAUGGCUUGUAUAUUCCUACGAUGGGCUUCCUCAAAUGCCCUAAGUCUUCAUGAGCAAGCAAGUUGGAUGCACACCCACUAGUUUUCUUUUGUUGAGCAUUCAUAGCUCUAGUGCAUCCUUGCAUGGCAAUCCCUCAUGUUGACAUCAAUUGAUGGGCAUCUCCAUAGCCCGUUGAUUAGCCUCGUUAACGUGAGACUUUCUCCUUUUUUUGUCUUCUCCACACAAUCCCCAUCAUCAUAUUCUAUUCCAUCCAUAGUGCUAUAUCCAUGGCUCACGCUCAUGUAUUGCGUGAAGGUUGAAAAAGUUUGAGAUUAUUUAAGUAUGAAACAAUUGCUUAGCUUGUCAUCGGGGGUAUAGAAGUUGGGAACAUCUUUGUGUGACGAAAAUGAAGCAUAGCCUAACUAUAUGAUUUUGUAGGGAUGAACUUUCUUUUNNNNNNNNNNCCAUGUUAUUUUGAGAAGACAUGAUUGCUUUGAUUAGUAUGCUUGAAGUAUUAUUAUUUUUGUGUCAAUAUGAACUUUUGUCUUUAAUCUUUCGGAUCUGAAUAUUCAUAUCACAAUUAAGAAGAUUUACAUUGAAAUUAUGCCAAAGUAUCACUCCGCAUCAAAAAUUCUUUUUUUAUCAUUUACAUACUCGAGGACGAGCAGGAAUUAAGCUUGGGGAUGCCUGAUACGUCUCCAAUGUAUCUAUAAUUUUUGAUCGCUCCAUGCUACUUUAUCUACUGUUUUGGACUAUAUUGGGCUUUAUUUUCCACUUUUAUAUUAUUUUUGGGACUAACCAAUUAACCGGAGGCCCAGCCCAGAAUUGCUGUUUUUUGCCUUUUUCAGUGUUUCAAAGAAACAUAAUAUCAAACGGAGUCCAAACGGAAUGAAACCUUCGGGAACGUGAUUUUCUCAUCAGAUAAGAUCCAUGAGGCUUGGACCCUCCAUCAAGAAAUCCAUGAGGCGGUCACGAGGGUGGAGGGCGCGCCCCCUGGGCGCGCCCCCUACCUCGUGGGCCCCUCGAAGCUCCACCGACGUACUCCUUCCUCCUAUAUAUACCUACAUAUCCCCAAAUGAUCAGAACAGGAACCAAAAACCUAAUUCCACCGCCGCAACCUUUUGUAUCCACGAGAUCCCAUCUUGGGGCCUGUUCCGGAGCUCCACCGGAGGGGGCAUCCACCAUGGAGGGCUUCUACAUCAAGACCAUAGCUCCUCCGAUGAAGUGUGAGUAGUUUACUUCAGACCUUCGGGUCCAUAGCUAGUAGCUAGAUGGCUUCUUCUCUCUUUUUUGAUCUUAAUACAAAGUUCUCCCCCUCUCUCGUGCAGAUCUAUUCGAUGUAAUCUUCUUUUUGCGGUGUGUUUGUUGAGACCGAUGAAUUGUGGGUUUAUGAUCCAGUAUUAUCUAUGGAAAAUAUUUGAUUCUUCUCUGAAUUCUUUUAUGUAUGAUUGAGUUAUCUUUGCAAGUCUCUUCGAAUUAUCCUUUUUGGUUUGGCCAACUAGAUUGGUAGUUCUUGCAAUGGGAGAAGUGCUUAGCUUUGGGUUCAAUCUUGCGGUGUCCUUACCCAGUGACAGAAAGGGUUGCAAGGCAGGUAUUGUAUUUUUGCCAUCGAGGAUAACAAGAUGGGGUUUUUGUCAUAUUGCAUGAAUUUAUCCCUCUACAUCAUGUCAUCUUGCUUAAGGCGUUACUCUGUUUUUACUUAAUACUCUAGAUGCAUGCUGGAUAGCGGUCGAUGGGUGGAGUAAUAGUAGUAGAUGCAGAAUCAUUUCGAUCUACUUGUUUUGGACGUGAUGCCUAUAUACAUGAUCAUUGCCUAGAUAUACUCAUAACUAUGCUCAAUUCUGUCAAUUGGUCAACAGUAAUUUGUUCACCCACCGUAGAAUACUUAUGCUCUUGAGAGAAGCCACUAGUGAAACCGAUGGCCCCCGGGUCUAUUCUCAUCACACCAAUCUCUAUCACUUUAUUUACUUGCUUUGUUUUUCCUUUACCUUUUACUUUUUACUUUGCAUCUAUCUAUCAAAAAUACCAAAAAUAUUAUUUAUCAUCUCUACCAGAUCUCACUAUCGUAAGUGAUCGUGAAGGGAUUGACAACCCCUAAUCGCGUUGGUUGCGAGUUGCUAUCGUUUUGUGUAGGUACGAGGGACUUGUGCGUGGUCUCCUACUGGAUUGAUACCUUGGUUCUCGAAAACUGAGGGAAAUACUUACACUACUUUGCUGCAUCAUCCUCUCCUCUUCGGGGAAAACCAACGCAAUGCUCAAGAGGUAGCAGAUGUCCGGCCAGAAGAACAGCAAUAAAAUCCGAAGGAGAACAUGCUCGUGAUCUUGUUCAUCAACCUUGAGAAUCGAGGACGUGGGGCGACUGCGAUCUCCGAUGAGAAGAACAGUAAUCAAAGAAGAAGGAGAACAUGCUCGUGAUCUUGUUCAUCAACCUUGUGAAUUGAGGACGUGGGGGAGACUGGGAUGUCCGGCCAAAAGAACAACAACAUGCGGCUAAUCCUAGAGCAUGGUGUGAACCGAUCAACUUCUUAUCAACACCCAGACUGAGGAUGAAGACGUCGAUGCUGUACACGCCAAAAGUUUUGAUCCCCUUGCCUACAACUUCGAGAGGAGUCGGGACUCGGGAGCCGGCAGCAAAAACUGGGAGGACGGCGUCGAUCCCAGAUAGAUGGGAGGUCGAAAGUAGUGAUCCCCUUGUACGACCUCAAGCGGCUGCGGCUCAGUACUACUACGCUCGUCGCCGUCAGAGAUCGCUGUUGUUGAGAUUGCCGUUUAACUUAUUCUGUCGCCGUCGUUGCCUCGGUUAGGUAGCAACGACGCCGCUAGGUCUAUGGUUUCUUCCAUCUCCCACUCAUCGACAAUGAAGAAACCAGCCAUCCAUGAAAGUCCUCUUCAAAGAGAAACCCGCUGCCACUACUUCUGCAAACGCUACGGAAGCGGCAGAGGUCGAUCAUGCCAUCACUCGUCGCCCACAUCGGCAGUGGGCUAGGUCAGCGUCGAAGGAGCCUCUCUAUUAUCCGUAGAAGACGCCCUAGUAACACAUCUCUCCCACCCUCGAUAGAAUGGGCACGGCGGACGUUGCUUGGCCGAGAUUCAGUCUAGGGCUCCUUCCUCCACUCGUGGUUUGUUCCUCUCCUCUGAUGCCCGGCCUAGUUGUCGCCUCACCUGGGCCUACAACAAUAUUUGUUUGAUUCUGCUGCGCUAUUAACAGGAGACGGGACUUGCAUGGACAUGAAACAUUAUAGAUUGGAAUUAGAAAUUAUGACCCCUAAAAAAGGAAUUAGAAUUAUGGGGGAUAUCAAAACGGAUAUGAAAACACGGGAUGUUUAUGUUUUCCCGUCGCCGCGUUCGUUUUCUUCCUUUUUGGAUCGGGAUGGAAUUUUUUUUCCAGACGGUGAGUCAGACAAAAAUGGAAGCAGCCCAGCCGUACGUACAAGCCACGAUUGUAGUAGCUAUUUUGGAUGAAUAGUACCACCUCGGAUGUAGAAAAUAAUAUAGGUGAAAAAGACGGAAAGCGUAAAUUUACGGGAAGAAGCGUAUUGUGACGGUGAACCCGGAGACUCAAUCCGUGCUUUAUUAUUAGGGAGAGAUUGCCUAUUUCAGUAUUUCGAAGAAAAGGAAUAACAAACGGAGUCCAAACGGAAUGAAACCUUCGCGAGCAUGAUUUUUGGAAAGGAUAUGAUCCGGGAGACUUGGAGUUCAAGCCAGGGAAGGUUCGAGGAAGCCAGGAGAUAGGAGGGCGCGCCCCCUGUCUCCUGGGCCCCUCGAGGCUCCCCCGACCGACUUCUUUCCCCUAUAUAAGUCCACGUACCCUAGAAACAUUGAAGCAGAAGAUAGAUUGGGAGUUCUGCCACUGCAAGCCUCUCUAGCCACCAGAAACCUCUCGGGAGCCCGUUCCGGCACCCUGCCGGAGGGGGGGAUCCCUCACCGGUGGCCAUCUUCAUCAUCACGGCGCUCUCCAUGACGAGUAGGGAGUAGUUCACCCUCGGGGCUGAGGGUAUGUACUAGUAGCUAUGUGUUUGAUCUCUCUCUCUCUCUCUCUCUCUCUCUCUCUCGUGUUCUCUCUAUGGCACGAUCUUUAUGUAUCGCGAGCUUUGCUAUUAUAGUUGGAUCUUAUGAUGUUUCUCCCCCCUCUACUCUCUUGUGAUGAACUGAGUUUUCCUCUUAAAGUUAUCUUCUCGGAUUGAGUCUUUAAUGAUUUGAGAACGCUUGAUGUAUGUCUUGCCAUGUUUAUAUGUGGUGACAAUGGGAUAUCACGUGCCACUUGAUGUAUGUUUUGGUGAUCAACUUGCGGAUUCCGCCCAUGAACCUAUGCAUAGGGGUUGGCACACGUUUUCGUCUUGACUCUCCGGUAGAAACUUUGGGGCACUCUUUGAAGUACUUUGUGUUAGUUGAAUAGAUGAAUCUGAGAUUGUGUGAUGCAUAUCGUAUACUCAUGCCCAUGGAUACUUCAGGUGACAAUGGAGUAUCUAGGUGACAUUAGGGUUUUGGUUGAUUUGUGUCUUAAGGUGUUAUUCUAGUACGAACUCUUGAAUAGAUUGAUCUGAAAGAAUAACUUUGAGGUGGUUUCCUACCCUACCAUAAUCUCUUUGUUUGUUCUCCGAUAUUGGUGGAUUUGGAGUGACUCUUUGUUGCAUGUUGAGGGAUAGUUAUAUGAUCCAAUUAUGUUAUUAUUGUUGAGAGAACUUGCACUAGUGAAAGUAUGAACCCUAUGCCUUGUUUCCUAUCAUUGCAAUACCGUUUACGCUCACUUUUAUCAUUAGUUACCUUGCUGUUUUAUAAUUUCAGAUUACAAAAACCUAUAUCUACCAAUCCGUAUUGCACUUGUAUCACCAUCUCUUCGCCGAACUAGUGCACCUAUAUAAUUUGCCAUUGUAUUGGGUUUGUUGGGGACACAACAGACUCUUUGUUAUUUGGUUGCAGGGUUGCUUGAGAGAGACCAUCUUCAUCCUACGCCUCCCACGGAUUGAUAAACCUUAGGUCAUCCACUUGAGGGAAAUUUGCUACUGUCCUACAAACCUCUGCACUUGGAGUCCCAACAACGUCUACAAUAAGAAGGUUGUGUUGUAGACAUCAAGCUCUUUUCUGGCGCUAUUGCCGGGGAGGUGAGUGCUUGAAGGUAUAUCUUUAGAUCUUGCAAUCGAAUCUUUUUGUUUCUUGUUUUAUCACUAGUUUAGUUUAUAAAAGAAAACUACAAAAAAUGGAAUUAAGUUUGCCUCAUACGCUUCAUCUUUUUAAUAUCUUUCGUGAGAAUGAUGGAAAGGAAAAUUGUGCUCAAGUGCUAGAAGAAGAAUGCAUUAAAAUGUUUGGUAAUAAAUUGUAUGAUGAGCAUGAUUGCAAUGUUGUUAGUAUGAAUUCUUUGAAUAUCCAUGAUGCUAAUGAUAUGCAAAGACACAAGCUUGGGGAAGCUAUGUUUGAUGAAGAUGAUAUGUUUAGUCCCCCAAGUUUUGAUGAGCAAAUUUAUUAUGAUGAUAGCAUGCCUCCUAUUUAUGAUGGUUAUAUUGAUGAAAGUGGGUUUGGAAGAGUGUCAACUUUAGGAAUUAGUGAUCUCACUAUUUUAGAGGAUGUUGAAUUUUAUUGUGAUGAAUAUGAAAGUGGAUUUGGAGGAGUGUCAACUUUAUUUAGUAAUUCCACUAUCUUGGGAGAGGUUUCAAUCGAUUAUGAUGAGAACGAAGUUGCUAAUUAUGAUGAUUAUUGUGAUGAAACUUAUGCUAUAGAAAGUAGUGAUGAUUAUAUUUAUAAAACUUAUCAUGAUUAUGAUUAUCCUUUUUCUGUACAUUACUCUUUUAAUGUGGAACCAAUUUUUAGUGUUCAAGUCUCUUAUGAUACUCCCACUAUUCCGAAUGAGAAGAAUUUUGCUUAUGUGGAGAAUAGUAAAUUUUCUAUGCUUGUAGAUCAUGAAAAUAAUGCUUUAGGUGCUGAUUAUAUUGUUGAAUUCAUUCAUUAUGCUACUGAACAUUAUUAUGAGUGAGGAACAUAUGCUUGUAGGAGUUGCAAUAAUGUCAAGUUUCCUCUCUAUGUGCUUAAAAUCUUGAAGUUAUGCUUGUUUUGCCUUCCUAUGCUAGUUGAUUAUUGUUCCCAUAAGUUGUUUGCUCACAAAAUCCCUAUGCAUAGGAAGUGGGUUAGACUUAAAUGUGCUAUUCAUAUGCUUCAUGAUGCUCCCAUUAUGUUUCAAUUCUUAUCUUUUAGGUGAGCAUCAUUGUCAUCAUCAUGCCUAGCUAGAAAGGCAUUAAAGAAAAGAGCUUAUUGGGAGACAACCCAAUAUCUAUCCUUAUUGUUUUUGUGUGUCCGCAUGAUUAUGGUACUGUACUAAUCAUGUUUUAUAGCUUUUGUUUCAAUAAAGUGCCAAGUAAGACCUUUAGGAUAGCUUACGGUGAUAGUUGUGUUGAUCCUGCUGAAAAUCAGAAACUUUUGCACCCAGUAAAUUAGUUUUGAUAAUUCACCGAAACGUGAUUUUGAGCUGAUUCUUUUUUCUAUGGAUUGAUCCACAAAUUUCUUAGGAUUUCCUAAGUUUUUAGGAUUUUUGGAGUUCCAGAAGUAUACGUUUGAUACAGAUUACUACAAAUUGUUCUGUUUUUGACAGAUUCUGUUUUCUAUGUGGUGUUUGCUUAUUUUGAUGAAUCUAUGAGUAGUAUCAGAGGGUAUGAACCAUAGAUAAGUUGGAGUACAGUAGAUAUUACACCAAUAUGAAUUUAUAAUGAGUUCAUUACAGUACCUGACUGGUGGUUUUAUUUUCUUAUACUAACGGAGCUUACGAGUUUUCUGUUGAGUUUUGUGUUGUGGAGUUUUCAAGUUUUGGGUAAAGACUCGAUGGACCAUGGAAUAAGGAGUGGCAAGAGCCUAAUCUUUAGGAUUCCCAAGGCAUCCCAAGGUAAUAUUCAAGGACAACCAUGAUCCUAAGCUUGGGGAUGCCCCGGAAGGCAUCCCCUCUUUCGUCUUCGUUCAUCGGUAACUUUACUUGGAGCUAUAUUUUCAUUCACCACAUGAUAUGUGUUUUGCUAGGAGCGUCAUUUUCUUUUGUUAGUAUUUUCUUUCUGUUAUUUAGAAUAAUGUUUUGCAUCUAUAUUUUCAAUAAAAAUGUCAAGGAUAGCCUUUACCGUGCUUAUCUUGCUAGUAUACAUGUUGUUGUUUGAAAACAGAAAGUUUACCGCUAUUGCAAAAAUUCCCUAGAAAGUCAGAGAAUGGUAUAAUGUUGAAACUUUUUACAUAUUGAGCUCUGAUAAUUUUACUACAGUGGUAGUUUUCUCUCAUAAUUUUUGGAGUUAGGAAAGUAUGAUGAAUCUUGCAUUCUUUACAGACUAUACUGUUUUGGCAGAUUGCUGUUAUGUUUGCAUUGUUUGCGUAUGUUUGCUUGUUUAAUUAUUCUAUUUGAGGAUAGGAGUGUUAAAUAUGCAGAGACAUUUAGUAUGCAAUGUUGAAUAAUAAUUUUAGUGAUUUGUUACAGUAGAAAAUGAUAAGGUUUUGCAUUGGUUUAUACUAACCUAUCUCACGAGUUCUUGUUGAGUUUGGUGUGGAUGAAGCUUUUCAUAAAAAGAGAAACCAUGAUAUGAGAGGAAUUAAGGAGACACAAAAAUUCAAGCUUUGGGAUGCCCAUGGCACCCCAAGAUAAUAUUUCAAGAAUUCUCAAGCAUCUAAGCUUUGGGUUGCCCCGUAGGGAUUCCACCUUUCUUCUUCAACAACUAUUGGUUAGUAUCGGUUGAGCCUAAAUUUUUGCUUCUUCACAUGAGUUGUUCUAUCCUUGAAAUGUCAGUCAUUUUAUUUUGUUUUGCUUGCUGAAUACAAUACCAAGAUCUGAAAUUCUUUAAUGAGAGAGAGUCUUCACAUAGUUACAUAAUUAUUUAGCAACUCAUUGAUCUUCACUUAUAUCUUUUUGGAGUAGUUUGUCUUUUACUCAUGUGCUUCACUUAUAUCCUAUGAGUAAAUGGUUUAAUGAGUUGAAUGUCAUAAAUAUGAAAUUAUAUAUGUUUCAUUUGCUUAUCCCAUGGGGAGUAAUGACUUCACAUCUAAGAAGUAGAGGUUGUAAAUUUAUUGAAGACUAGCAAGCAUUGUAUUGGUCAUUUGAACAAUUCAUGAAAGAACAUUGAAGGAUGAGAGAUUUCAUAUAUAAAUAUACUAUCCUAGACAUCCUCCCUUUCCGCCGGCGGACGAGAUGCGGCCGGAUCAGUAACCAAUGAUUAGAGAGAGAGGCCAUCGCCGCCUUGUGUGAGAUACUCUGAAGAGAGACAAACCCAGGCAGGCAGGGUCCAUUGUAUAUAGUGGAGCGGACUGCCUUUUUCUGCAUUAAAAAUCAUUUUAUAUUCUGUGUACGUGCCAUUGAGCGAUAUAACUUUAUUUCAAAAUAAUGCGCCAACGCAUCAAGUCGAACUUUGUUUCGUGCACGCAUGAUACACGACCUCCGUAGGUAAACAACCGCUACACGCGUUUAAAUUAGCACGUGGGCUGCCAUUUCAUACAGAAAUGAGCUCCACCGUGUACCCUCGCGGGUGUGGCUGGGCACGAAGCGUGAGUACAUGCACCUACUCUCUUCAUGUACGUACACCACCUACGUGGGGUUGUGUGAGAGAGAUACAAACAUAGAGAGAUAUAGUGUGUGGGUUCUUGAGUGUUUUUUUGGUGGGGGUGUCAAUAAAAAAUGUAACAUAUGCAAUGUGUGUGAAAUAGAGUCCUGGAUAUAUCAUAUAUAUGGAGGGGGCGAUCACAAGAAGAGAGUGGAGGUAUCAUCGGCUUGAGGUAUCCAUAGAAUCAAAGAGAGGGAUGAUGAUGAUGAUGAUGUGUGUGUGUGUGUGUGUGUGUGUGUGCGGGAUCGAUAAAGAGUGCCAUCGAAUUUGUGUGUGCCCACGUCAAAGAUAUAGGGUGGCUGGCCUACUGGAACGUGAGAGGGGACAUGUGCAGUUUGUCUCUGUGGCAUGGAUACCUACCUACAACUCUCGACUAUCAGUGUGUGGUGNNNNNNNNNNNNNNNNNNNNNNNNNNNNNNNNNNNNNNNNNNNNNNNNNNNNNNNNNNNNNNNNNNNNNNNNNNNNNNNNNNNNNNNNNNNNNNNNNNNNNNNNNNNNNNNNNNNNNNNNNNNNNNNNNNNNNNNNNNNNNNNNNNNNNNNNNNNNNNNNNNNNNNNNNNNNNNNNNNNNNNNNNNNNNNNNNNNNNNNNNNNNNNNNNNNNNNNNNNNNNNNNNNNNNNNNNNNNNNNNNNNNNNNNNNNNNNNNNNNNNNNNNNNNNNNNNNNNNNNNNNNNNNNNNNNNNNNNNNNNNNNNNNNNNNNNNNNNNNNNNNNNNNNNNNNNNNNNNNNNNNNNNNNNNNNNNNNNNNNNNNNNNNNNNNNNNNNNNNNNNNNNNNNNNNNNNNNNNNNNNNNNNNNNNNNNNNNNNNNNNNNNNNNNNNNNNNNNNNNNNNNNNNNNNNNNNNNNNNNNNNNNNNNNNNNNNNNNNNNNNNNNNNNNNNNNNNNNNNNNNNNNNNNNNNNNNNNNNNNNNNNNNNNNNNNNNNNNNNNNNNNNNNNNNNNNNNNNNNNNNNNNNNNNNNNNNNNNNNNNNNNNNNNNNNNNNNNNNNNNNNNNNNNNNNNNNNNNNNNNNNNNNNNNNNNNNNNNNNNNNNNNNNNNNNNNNNNNNNNNNNNNNNNNNNNNNNNNNNNNNNNNNNNNNNNNNNNNNNNNNNNNNNNNNNNNNNNNNNNNNNNNNNNNNNNNNNNNNNNNNNNNNNNNNNNNNNNNNNNNNNNNNNNNNNNNNNNNNNNNNNNNNNNNNNNNNNNNNNNNNNNNNNNNNNNNNNNNNNNNNNNNNNNNNNNNNNNNNNNNNNNNNNNNNNNNNNNNNNNNNNNNNNNNNNNNNNNNNNNNNNNNNNNNNNNNNNNNNNNNNNNNNNNNNNNNNNNNNNNNNNNNNNNNNNNNNNNNNNNNNNNNNNGUGAAUAUAUAUAACGGUGAUACACAUGGUGUGGUUAUGAACAUGUUAUACUACAUAUAAUAUAUUUUAUCUCUACUCUCAUAAAAAACGGAGUUGUUGAUGACGGUGUGCCUGCCAUCCUGCAAUAUAGGCCGUCCGAUUUAUAUCUGACGGAUAGGAAGGAAAAUAUGGCAAUUUUGAAAAAAGAUACCCACACCCCUCUCCAUAUUUGCAAAUAAGGCCUCCCCUUGAUCAUGUUGAUGUUUCAUGGAACGCAUGGGCAUCUUACUAGUACUACAUAUAAUAUAUAGAACAUUGAUUAUAAUUUGGGCUAUUGUGUGGCUUUUGUAGCUCAGGGCUAAAUACUUGUCAUAAUGUAGGGGGCGGGGCACUAUACUUUGUGUGAUAAACACGGUGUACGUAUGGAACAUGGUUUAGAUUAUGAAUAUAUAGUUAGUACAUCAAAUGUACUAUUAUUUGGAAUCAACAUCAAAUGUAUUCAAAAAAUUGAAUUCGAGUUCAUAUAGUACACAUAGUUCAUAUCUAUUUCUAUAGUAAUCAUGUGGUGUGUUGUUAAGGUAAUACACGAAUGAUGGUUGAAGUUGGCAACAAUCAUGAUUGUAGAUUCUUAUUGAAAUAGAGAAACAAAUUCAAAUUCAGUUCGAAUUGCAGCGGUAGUAUAAACAUUUGGAAUGCACUAAAAUGUUGGUAUGAGUAGGUUACAUGCCUUAUACAAUUAGCGAAAACAUUUAAUUGGACAUAACAUGGAUUCAUACUCCCUCCUUCCAUCUAUAUAAGGCCUAAUGCGUUUUUAAGACCGCCUUUGACUAUUGACAAGAUUAAUAGUACAUGACAUGUACAAUGUGAAAACUAUAUCAUUGAAAGCUCCUUUCACACACAAAUUUAAUGGUGUCCUUUGUGUAAGUUGCAUGUCAUAUAUUAUUGCUCUAAUAUUUGGUCAAAGUUAGCCUCAAAAAUGCAUUAGGCCCUAUAUAGAUGGAAGGAGGGAGUAGUUUUGAAUAGCAUUUGUAUAGUAAAAUGGGACAAGACUCUCUCUUUGUGUGGUGUGAAUAGUUUUAUUUUUUUCGUUUUUUUCCGUUGAGUGAAGUGCGAAUUGAUUUGGUACGUACUGUCGGUGUCAAAACCGGCGGAUAUCGGGUAGGUGGUCCUGAACUGUGCGUCUAAGGUCAAUGGUAACAGGAGGCGGGGGACACGAUGUUUACCCAGGUUCGGGCCCUCUUGAUGGAGGUAAUACCCUACUUCCUGCUUGAUUGAUCUUGAUGAAUAUGAGUAUUACAAGAGUUGACUGAUAUGUCUCCAACGUAUCUAUAAUUUAUGAAGCAUUCAUGCUAUUUUAUUAUCUGUUUUGAAUGAUUAUGGGCUUUAUUAUACACUUUUAUAUUACUUUUGGGACUAACCUAUUAACCGGAGGCCCAGCCCAUAUUGCUGUUUUACUAGUAAACAUGCCCGUGCAUUGCAACGGGAAACAUACUAUCAUACAUUCCAUAUUCUUCAUCUCUAGCGAACCUUUGUCAUGAUCCCCACUGGCCUCUCGUGAGAAUGGUGGCAUUUUAAACCUUGGUCGUGGUUCAUGAUUCUCCUCAGCUUUGCUUCUACAUCAACGACCUCACGAAAAAUGCCCCCAUGUAAUUGAACGAUGAAUUACAUUUUCUAGUUUGAAAAUUAUAUAUAUAUAUAUAUAUAUAUAUAUAUAUGAGAAACUAUUGACCAAUCAAAACCGUGAACCAAAUUUAAAAUUAAACACCUCACUUGAAUGAGAGAGCUCUUUCAUAAAUUGUUGCCCAAGUCGAAUUUUGAAACCAAUUCCAAAAUCAACGUUCUUAAUUGAAUAUAAGAGGCCUUACCCUAGGGAAGGAGGGGGGAGUAGAUUUUAUUUGUGACCACACAAAUUACAUAUCCUAUGGCCAUCAAACUACAUGCAUAAUGCCAUGGAAUGUAAAACACACAGCAGAUAGAGGAGAGCGACAAACACAUGAAACCACACCUUGUAAACUUUGCAGAAAAACCACGUCACAUCUUUCUUACACCCUAACUAAACGAAUGACCCCGACCUGAGAAAGCGGUAGCAUCAGAUAUGGCAUAUACAUGAAUUAAGCAUUUAGUGUUUUGCCAAAACAGUAUAAACAAAGACUAUCUGAACGUGCCCUUAAAUUUGAAAUAAAUCAUCAAAACAAUAGUUGUGCUGAAGUAAUAAUUAUAUGCCAUCUAGCUUUCGUUCUCAGUCGCAUUGGCCCCACCAUUGGAAUUAGGAGAAACGUAUUUUUUUUGAAUCAAAAGCUAUCGUGGCAAUUCAUCAACCAAUUGACUCUCCAUGUUUUUGAGAAAAUUCAUCCGAACGCAAAAUUGACAUCAUGUUUCCUGAUGUAUGUCUACCCAUUCAAUCUCGACCUUAAUAUUGGUUAUGUAGUUUGUAGAAAUUGUUUUCUUAUUGUAGCAGUAUAAGUUGAUUCUUUUUAUCUUGUUUCAAAACCGUAUUACUUCUCGUAGUGCACAAAUAUCAAACCCACAUAUAUAAGUUGAUCCGUUUUCAUCUUUUUCAUAUUAUUGUAGUCGCGCACAUGCUUGUGGCAUACAACUUCUGCUCUUCUUUGUAUUGGAAUCUUACCCACUGCUGCCCUUGUCAAAGUAUUGGCAUGCAGUAUAGAGGUGCUCUUCCCUGUCCCUUUUGUUCAUGUGCACCAUUGUAGCAAGACGGUGACAAACUCCUCAUAGUUAAUCAAUCCCAGACACUUCUCAUAUCGUCCAUACUAAAUUCUGACCAAAAACUCAAAGAACAGGUAAAAUUGAAAACCGAAAGAAACUUGAUCUGGGAUAACAAUUUUGCUAGAAAGCCAAUUGCAUGCUGAAAAUAUAUUUUCACUGAACAUACCCUAGUUGUUAAUUAUUCGGAAAAAUAUUGGAGGCCUUUUUCAAUCGGACGAACGUCUAAUCGACUCCUCGCAAGUGCCUCCUCGACGCUUCACAAAACAUUAUCAAAGUCAUGCCUCGAUCAGCGCGGCGUUCUUGCACGGACAGAGAGAGAUGUGGAUGGAGAAUUCCCUGGAUGGAAGCUAGACCANNNNNNNNNNAUGAGUCGAUGGACUUCCUGCGACAAAUUGUUAGACACAACUCUGUGGCUCGACUGGAACUACGCAAUCACCGAAGAGAACAACAAUAUGUUGAUCAUCUCACAUCCUGAACUGCAUGGUUGGAGGUUGUCUUCUAGGAAGAUGUAACGCAGAUUCAGAAAAACAAUGAUAUUAGUAUACGCUAUACAAAGAUCCUUUACAGGCGUUUCCUUGUAAUUCUUCUUGAGGCACUCGUGCAUAGCUGGAGGUUGUCUUCUAGGCGGAGAAGGUGCUCUGAAAAAGUUCAAUGUUCUUUCAUUAGUACAAUGAAAAUAUACACUAAAAAUUCCCUUUGUUGGUGUUCCUCUCAAGGAGAUGCUCCCCUGCUGGUGUCGCCGGGGGCUGCACACGAGAAAAAUAAAUAUGUCUGGGCCAGGGAAGGUGCUAACGGGUCACUACAAUACAUCACGAACUUGCAGGUGCAGGGUUUAAAUUUCAAAGCCGAAGGAGAACAUGCUCGUGAUCUUGUUCAUGAACCUUCAGAAUUGAGGACGUGGGAGCGACUGGGAUGUUGAUACGUCUCCAACGUAUCUAUAAUUUUUGAUUGCUCCAUGCUACUUUAUCUACUGUUUUGGACUAUAUUGGGCUUUAUUUUCCACUUUUAUAUUAUUUUUGGGACUAACCUAUUAACCGGAGGCCCAGCCCAGNNNNNNNNNNNNNNNNNNNNNNNNNNNNNNNNNNNNNNNNNNNNNNNNNNNNNNNNNNNNNNNNNNNNNNNNNNNNNNNNNNNNNNNNNNNNNNNNNNNNNNNNNNNNNNNNNNNNNNNNNNNNNNNNNNNNNNNNNNNNNNNNNNNNNNNNNNNNNNNNNNNNNNNNNNNNNNNNNNNNNNNNNNNNNNNNNNNNNNNNNNNNNNNNNNNNNNNNNNNNNNNNNNNNNNNNNNNNNNNNNNNNNNNNNNNNNNNNNNNNNNNNNNNNNNNNNNNNNNNNNNNNNNNNNNNNNNNNNNNNNNNNNNNNNNNNNNNNNNNNNNNNNNNNNNNNNNNNNNNNNNNNNNNNNNNNNNNNNNNNNNNNNNNNNNNNNNNNNNNNNNNNNNNNNNNNNNNNNNNNNNNNNNNNNNNNNNNNNNNNNNNNNNNNNNNNNNNNNNNNNNNNNNNNNNNNNNNNNNNNNNNNNNNNNNNNNNNNNNNNNNNNNNNNNNNNNNNNNNNNNNNNNNNNNNNNNNNNNNNNNNNNNNNNNNNNNNNNNNNNNNNNNNNNNNNNNNNNNNNNNNNNNNNNNNNNNNNNNNNNNNNNNNNNNNNNNNNNNNNNNNNNNNNNNNNNNNNNNNNNNNNNNNNNNNNNNNNNNNNNNGGGGAAAACCAACGCAGUGCUCAAGAGGUAGCAAGAAUAAUUUCUGGCGCCGUUGCCGGGGAGGCUCACGCAAGCAAGUCAACCAUACCAAGUACCCAUCACAAUCCCUAUCUCUCGCAUUACAUUAUUUGCCAUUUGCCUCUCGUUUUCCUCUCCCCCACUUCACCCUUGCCGUUUUAUUCGCCCCUCUUCCGUUCGAUCUUGUGUCCCCAUGUACCUUCUUUUUUGCUUGCAUCUUCGCUUGCUAAAAGUUUAUGGAUCCUCAUCCACUUGCUAAUCUCUUUAAGAGAUCCAAUUAUGUUGAACCUAUUGCUAGUGAGUUGAGUGCACUAGAUUAUCUUUAUGUGGUUUUGCUUGAAAUUCGUGAAUCUAAAAAUUAUGAUGAAGAAAUUUAUGAAGAGAUGCACGAUAACUCCUUGAAUAAAAAGCAUGAUUGCAAUGAUUUUCCUAUAAAUUCUCUUGAUGUCAAUUGUGCUAAUAAUAUGCAAAACCCUAAGCUUGGGAAUGCUACUUUUGCUAUGUCUACUACUUGUUUCAAUGAUCAUGAUUGGGGUGAUUCUUCUUACAACCUUGAAAAUUUAUUUAAGCCCCAUGAUGAAUAUGAGAUUGAUAAUAAUGUUUGCAAUAAUAUUGAAAGUUGGUUUGGAAGAGUGCCAACUUUGGAUCCCACAUUUUUGGAGUAUGUUCAAUCUUAUGAUAUUUUUGAUAAAAGUGGGUUCGGAAAGGUCAUGACUNNNNNNNNNNNNNNNNNNNNNNNNNNNNNNNNNNNNNNNNNNNNNNNNNNNNNNNNNNNNNNNNNNNNNNNNNNNNNNNNNNNNNNNNNNNNNNNNNNNNNNNNNNNNNNNNNNNNNNNNNNNNNNNNNNNNNNNNNNNNNNNNNNNNNNNNNNNNNNNNNNNNNNNNNNNNNNNNNNNNNNNNNNNNNNNNNNNNNNNNNNNNNNNNNNNNNNNNNNNNNNNNNNNNNNNNNNNNNNNNNNNNNNNNNNNNNNNNNNNNNNNNNNNNNNNNNNNNNNNNNNNNNNNNNNNNNNNNNNNNNNNNNNNNNNNNNNNNNNNNNNNNNNNNNNNNNNNNNNNNNNNNNNNNNNNNNNNNNNNNNNNNNNNNNNNNNNNNNNNNNNNNNNNNNNNNNNNNNNNNNNNNNNNNNNNNNNNNNNNNNNNNNNNNNNNNNNNNNNNNNNNNNNNNNNNNNNNNNNNNNNNNNNNNNNNNNNNNNNNNNNNNNNNNNNNNNNNNNNNNNNNNNNNNNNNNNNNNNNNNNNNNNNNNNNNNNNNNNNNNNNNNNNNNNNNNNNNNNNNNNNNNNNNNNNNNNNNNNNNNNNNNNNNNNNNNNNNNNNNNNNNNNNNNNNNNNNNNNNNNNNNNNNNNNNNNNNNNNNNNNNNNNNNNNNNNNNNNNNNNNNNNNNNNNNNNNNNNNNNNNNNNNNNNNNNNNNNNNNNNNNNNNNNNNNNNNNNNNNNNNNNNNNNNNNNNNNNNNNNNNNNNNNNNNNNNNNNNNNNNNNNNNNNNNNNNNNNNNNNNNNNNNNNNNNNNNNNNNNNNNNNNNNNNNNNNNNNNNNNNNNNNNNNNNNNNNNNNNNNNNNNNNNNNNNNNNNNNNNNNNNNNNNNNNNNNNNNNNNNNNNNNNNNNNNNNNNNNNNNNNNNNNNNNNNNNNNNNNNNNNNNNNNNNNNNNNNNNNNNNNNNNNNNNNNNNNNNNNNNNNNNNNNNNNNNNNNNNNNNNNNNNNNNNNNNNNNNNNNNNNNNNNNNNNNNNNNNNNNNNNNNNNNNNNNNNNNNNNNNNNNNNNNNNNNNNNNNNNNNNNNNNNNNNNNNNNNNNNNNNNNNNNNNNNNNNNNNNNNNNNNNNNNNNNNNNNNNNNNNNNNNNNNNNNNNNNNNNNNNNNNNNNNNNNNNNNNNNNNNNNNNNNNNNNNNNNNNNNNNNNNNNNNNNNNNNNNNNNNNNNNNNNNNNNNNNNNNNNNNNNNNNNNNNNNNNNNNNNNNNNNNNNNNNNNNNNNNNNNNNNNNNNNNNNNNNNNNNNNNNNNNNNNNNNNNNNNNNNNNNNNNNNNNNNNNNNNNNNNNNNNNNNNNNNNNNNNNNNNNNNNNNNNNNNNNNNNNNNNNNNNNNNNNNNNNNNNNNNNNNNNNNNNNNNNNNNNNNNNNNNNNNNNNNNNNNNNNNNNNNNNNNNNNNNNNNNNNNNNNNNNNNNNNNNNNNNNNNNNNNNNNNNNNNNNNNNNNNNNNNNNNNNNNNNNNNNNNNNNNNNNNNNNNNNNNNNNNNNNNNNNNNNNNNNNNNNNNNNNNNNNNNNNNNNNNNNNNNNNNNNNNNNNNNNNNNNNNNNNNNNNNNNNNNNNNNNNNNNNNNNNNNNNNNNNNNNNNNNNNNNNNNNNNNNNNNNNNNNNNNNNNNNNNNNNNNNNNNNNNNNNNNNNNNNNNNNNNNNNNNNNNNNNNNNNNNNNNNNNNNNNNNNNNNNNNNNNNNNNNNNNNNNNNNNNNNNNNNNNNNNNNNNNNNNNNNNNNNNNNNNNNNNNNNNNNNNNNNNNNNNNNNNNNNNNNNNNNNNNNNNNNNNNNNNNNNNNNNNNNNNNNNNNNNNNNNNNNNNNNNNNNNNNNNNNNNNNNNNNNNNNNNNNNNNNNNNNNNNNNNNNNNNNNNNNNNNNNNNNNNNNNNNNNNNNNNNNNNNNNNNNNNNNNNNNNNNNNNNNNNNNNNNNNNNNNNNNNNNNNNNNNNNNNNNNNNNNNNNNNNNNNNNNNNNNNNNNNNNNNNNNNNNNNNNNNNNNNNNNNNNNNNNNNNNNNNNNNNNNNNNNNNNNNNNNNNNNNNNNNNNNNNNNNNNNNNNNNNNNNNNNNNNNNNNNNNNNNNNNNNNNNNCAAGGACACCAAAAAGUCAAAACUUGGGGAUGCCCCGGAAGGCAUCCCCUCUUUCGUCCACUUCCAUCGUAAUUUACUUGGAGCUAUAUUUUUAUUCACCACAUGAUAUGUGUUUUGCUUGGAGCGUCUUGUCUUAUUUGUGUCUUUGCUUGUUAGUUUACCACAAUCAUCCUUGCUGUACACAUCUUUUGAGAGAGCCAUACAUGAUUUGGAAUUUGUUAGAAUACUCUAUGUGCUUCACUUAUAUCUUUUGAGCUUGAUAGUUUUGCUCAUAGUGCUUCACUUAUAUCUUUUGAGCGUGAUAAUUUUUGCUCUAGUGCUUCACUUAUAUCUUUUAGAGCAUGGUGGUGGCUUUGUUUUAAAGAAACUAUUGAUCUCUCAUGCUUCACUUAGAUUAUUUGAGAGUCGUUAAAUAGCAUGGUAAUUUGCUUAAUGUUAAUAUACUUGGUGUUCAAGAUAUGUGAACCUUUCUUUUGAGUGCGUUGAAUAGUAAGAUAAGUUUGAUGCUUGAUAAUUGUUUUGAGAUAUGGAGGUGAUAAUAUCAAAGUCAUCUAGUUGGGUGAUUAUGAAUUUGAGAAAUACUUGUGUUAAAGUUUGCAAGUCCCGUAGCAUGCACGUAUGGUUAAAGUUGUGUAACAAAUUUGAAACAUGAAGUGUACCUGGCUUGUGCAUCCUUAUGAGUGGCGGUCGGGGACGAGCGAUGGUCUUUUCCUACCAAUCUAUCCCCCUAGGAGCAUGCGCGUAGUACUUGAUUUUUUAUGACUUCUAAAUUUUUGCAAUAAGUAUAUGAGUUCUUUUGACUAAAUGUUGAGUCCAUGGAUUAUAUGCACUCUCACCUUUCCGCCUUUGCUAGCCUCUUCGGUACCGUGCAUUGCCCUUUCUCACCUUGAGAGUUGGUGCAAACUUCGCGGGUGCAUCCAGACCCUGUGAUACGAUACGCUCUAUCACCCAUAAACCUCCUUAUAUCUUCCUCAAAACAGCCACCAUACCUACCUAUCAUGGCAUUUCCAUAGCCAUUCCGAGAUAUAUUGCCAUGCAACUUCCAUCAUCAUCAUCAUGACAUACAUUACUUUUGUCAUAUUGCCGUUGCAUGAUCAUGUAGUUGACAUCGUAUUUGUGGCAAAGCCACCAUGCAUUAUGAUCAUGUAGUUGACAUCGUAUUUGUGGCAAAGCCACCAUGCAUUAUUUUCCAUACAUGUCACUCUUGAUUCAUUGCACCAUCCCGAUACACCACCGGAGGCAUUCAUAUAGAGUCAUAUCUUGUUCUAAGUUUCGAGUUGUAAUCCUUAUGUUGUAAUCAAUAUAAGUGUGAUGAUCAUUAUUAUUAGAGCAUUGGCCAAAUAAAAAAAGAAGAGAAAGGCCAAAAAAAGAAAGACCCAAAAAAAGGGCAAUGCUACUAUCUCUUUUUCCACCUUGUGCUUCAAAGUAGCACCUUGUUCUUCAUGUAGUGAUUCUCAUAUAUUGUGCUUCAAAGUAGCACCUUGUUCCUCAUGUAGUGAGUCUCAUAAGUUGUAUUUUUUAUACUAGUGGGAAUUUUUCAUUAUAGAACAUGGCUUGUAUAUUCCUACGAUGGGCUUCCUCAAAUGCCCUAAGUCUUCAUGAGCAAGCAAGUUGGAUGCACACCCACUAGUUUUCUUUUGUUGAGCAUUCAUAGCUCUAGUGCAUCCUUGCAUGGCAAUCCCUCAUGUUGACAUCAAUUGAUGGGCAUCUCCAUAGCCCGUUGAUUAGCCUCGUUAACGUGAGACUUUCUCCUUUUUUUGUCUUCUCCACACAAUCCCCAUCAUCAUAUUCUAUUCCAUCCAUAGUGCUAUAUCCAUGGCUCACGCUCAUGUAUUGCGUGAAGGUUGAAAAAGUUUGAGAUUAUUUAAGUAUGAAACAAUUGCUUAGCUUGUCAUCGGGGGUAUAGAAGUUGGGAACAUCUUUGUGUGACGAAAAUGAAGCAUAGCCUAACUAUAUGAUUUUGUAGGGAUGAACUUUCUUUUCCCAUGUUAUUUUGAGAAGACAUGAUUGCUUUGAUUAGUAUGCUUGAAGUAUUAUUAUUUUUGUGUCAAUAUGAACUUUUGUCUUUAAUCUUUCGGAUCUGAAUAUUCAUAUCACAAUUAAGAAGAUUUACAUUGAAAUUAUGCCAAAGUAUCACUCCGCAUCAAAAAUUCUUUUUUUAUCAUUUACAUACUCGAGGACGAGCAGGAAUUAAGCUUGGGGAUGCCUGAUACGUCUCCAAUGUAUCUAUAAUUUUUGAUCGCUCCAUGCUACUUUAUCUACUGUUUUGGACUAUAUUGGGCUUUAUUUUCCACUUUUAUAUUAUUUUUGGGACUAACCAAUUAACCGGAGGCCCAGCCCAGAAUUGCUGUUUUUUGCCUUUUUCAGUGUUUCAAAGAAACAUAAUAUCAAACGGAGUCCAAACGGAAUGAAACCUUCGGGAACGUGAUUUUCUCAUCAGAUAAGAUCCAUGAGGCUUGGACCCUCCAUCAAGAAAUCCACGAGGCGGUCACGAGGGUGGAGGGCGCGCCCCCUGGGCGCGCCCCCUACCUCGUGGGCCCCUCGAAGCUCCACCGACGUACUCCUUCCUCCUAUAUAUACCUACAUAUCCCCAAACGAUCAGAACAGGAACCAAAAACCUAAUUCCACCGCCACAACCUUUUGUAUCCACGAGAUCCCAUCUUGGGGCCUGUUCCGGAGCUCCACCGGAGGGGGCAUCCACCAUGGAGGGCUUCUACAUCAAGACCAUAGCUCCUCCGAUGAAGUGUGAGUAGUUUACUUCAGACCUUCGGGUCCAUAGCUAGUAGCUAGAUGGCUUCUUCUCUCUUUUUUGAUCUUAAUACAAAGUUCUCCCCCUCUCUCGUGCAGAUCUAUUCGAUGUAAUCUUCUUUUUGCGGUGUGUUUGUUGAGACCGAUGAAUUGUGGGUUUAUGAUCCAGUAUUAUCUAUGGAAAAUAUUUGAUUCUUCUCUGAAUUCUUUUAUGUAUGAUUGAGUUAUCUUUGCAAGUCUCUUCGAAUUAUCCUUUUUGGUUUGGCCAACUAGAUUGGUAGUUCUUGCAAUGGGAGAAGUGCUUAGCUUUGGGUUCAAUCUUGCGGUGUCCUUACCCAGUGACAGAAAGGGUUGCAAGGCAGGUAUUGUAUUUUUGCCAUCGAGGAUAACAAGAUGGGGUUUUUGUCAUAUUGCAUGAAUUUAUCCCUCUACAUCAUGUCAUCUUGCUUAAGGCGUUACUCUGUUUUUACUUAAUACUCUAGAUGCAUGCUGGAUAGCGGUCGAUGGGUGGAGUAAUAGUAGUAGAUGCAGAAUCAUUUCGAUCUACUUGUUUUGGACGUGAUGCCUAUAUACAUGAUCAUUGCCUAGAUAUACUCAUAACUAUGCUCAAUUCUGUCAAUUGGUCAACAGUAAUUUGUUCACCCACCGUAGAAUACUUAUGCUCUUGAGAGAAGCCACUAGUGAAACCGAUGGCCCCCGGGUCUAUUCUCAUCACACCAAUCUCUAUCACUUUAUUUACUUGCUUUGUUUUUCCUUUACCUUUUACUUUUUACUUUGCAUCUAUCUAUCAAAAAUACCAAAAAUAUUAUUUAUCAUCUCUACCAGAUCUCACUAUCGUAAGUGAUCGUGAAGGGAUUGACAACCCCUAAUCGCGUUGGUUGCGAGUUGCUAUCGUUUUGUGUAGGUACGAGGGACUUGUGCGUGGUCUCCUACUGGAUUGAUACCUUGGUUCUCGAAAACUGAGGGAAAUACUUACACUACUUUGCUGCAUCAUCCUCUCCUCUUCGGGGAAAACCAAUGCAAUGCUCAAGAGGUAGCAGAUGUCCGGCCAGAAGAACAGCAAUAAAAUCCGAAGGAGAACAUGCUCGUGAUCUUGUUCAUCAACCUUGAGAAUCGAGGACGUGGGGCGACUGCGAUCUCCGACGAGAAGAACAGUAAUCAAAGAAGAAGGAGAACAUGCUCGUGAUCUUGUUCAUCAACCUUGUGAAUUGAGGACGUGGGGGAGACUGGGAUGUCCGGCCAAAAGAACAACAACAUGCGGCUAAUCCUAGAGCAUGGUGUGAACCGAUCAACUUCUUAUCAACACCCGGACUGAGGAUGAAGACGUCGAUGCUGUACACGCCAAAAGUUUUUAUCCCCUUGCCUACAACUUCGAGAGGAGUCGGGACUCGGGAGCCGGCAGCAAAAACUGGGAGGACGGCGUCGAUCCCAGAUAGAUGGGAGGUCGAAAGUAGUGAUCCCCUUGUACGACCUCAAGCGGCUGCGGCUCAGUACUACUACGCUCGUCGCCGUCAGAGAUCGUUGUUGUUGAGAUUGCCGUUUAACUUAUUCUAUCGCCGUCGUUGCCUCGGUUAGGUAGCAACGACGCCGCUAGGUCUAUGGUUUCUUCCAUCUCCCACUCAUCGACAAUGAAGAAACCAGCCAUCCAUGAAAGUCCUCUUCAAAGAGAAACCCGCUGCCACUACUUCUGCAAACGCUACGGAAGCAGCAGAGGUCGAUCAUGCCAUCACUCGUCGCCCACAUCGGCAGUGGGCUAGGUCGGCGUCGAAGGAGCCUCUCUAUUAUCCGUAGAAGACGCCCUAGUAACACAUCUCUCCCACCCUCGAUAGAAUGGGCACGGCGGACGUUGCUUGGCCGAGAUUCAGUCUAGGGCUCCUUCCUCCACUCGUGGUUUGUUCCUCUCCUCUGAUGCCCGGCCUAGUUGUCGCCUCACCUGGGCCUACAACAAUAUUUGUUUGAUUCUGCUGCGCUAUUAACAGGAGACGGGACUUGCAUGGACAUGAAACGUUAUAGAUUGGAAUUAGAAAUUAUGACCCCUAAAAAAGGAAUUAGAAUUAUGGGGGAUAUCAAAACGGAUAUGAAAACACGGGAUGUUUAUGUUUUCCCGUCGCCGCGUUCGUUUUCUUCCUUUUUGGAUCGGGAUGGAAUUUUUUUUUCCAGACGGUGAGUCAGACAAAAAUGGAAGCAGCCCAGCCGUACGUACAAGCCACGAUUGUAGUAGCUAUUUUGGAUGAAUAGUACCACCUCGGAUGUAGAAAAUAAUAUAGGUGAAAAAGACGGAAAGCGUAAAUUUACGGGAAGAAGCGUAUUGUGACGGUGAACCCGGAGACUCAAUCCGUGCUUUAUUAUUAGGGAGAGAUUGCCUAUUUCAGUAUUUCGAAGAAAAGGAAUAACAAACGGAGUCCAAACGGAAUGAAACCUUCGCGAGCAUGAUUUUUGGAAAGGAUAUGAUCCGGGAGACUUGGAGUUCAAGCCAGGGAAGGUUCGAGGAAGCCAGGAGAUAGGAGGGCGCGCCCCCUGUCUCCUGGGCCCCUCGAGGCUCCCCCGACCGACUUCUUUCCCCUAUAUAAGUCCACGUACCCUAGAAACAUUGAAACAGAAGAUAGAUUGGGAGUUCUGCCACUGCAAGCCUCUCUAGCCACCAGAAACCUCUCGGGAGCCCGUUCCGGCACCCUGCCGGAGGGGGGGAUCCCUCACCGGUGGCCAUCUUCAUCAUCACGGCGCUCUCCAUGACGAGUAGGGAGUAGUUCACCCUCGGGGCUGAGGGUAUGUACUAGUAGCUAUGUGUUUGAUCUCUCUCUCUCUCUCUCUCUCUCUCUCGUGUUCUCUCUAUGGCACGAUCUUUAUGUAUCGCGAGCUUUGCUAUUAUAGUUGGAUCUUAUGAUGUUUCUCCCCCCUCUACUCUCUUGUGAUGAACUGAGUUUUCCUCUUAAAGUUAUCUUCUCGGAUUGAGUCUUUAAUGAUUUGAGAACACUUGAUGUAUGUCUUGCCAUGUUUAUAUGUGGUGACAAUGGGAUAUCACGUGCCACUUGAUGUAUGUUUUGGUGAUCAACUUGCGGAUUCCGCCCAUGAACCUAUGCAUAGGGGUUGGCACACGUUUUCGUCUUGACUCUCCGGUAGAAACUUUGGGGCACUCUUUGAAGUACUUUGUGUUAGUUGAAUAGAUGAAUCUGAGAUUGUGUGAUGCAUAUCGUAUACUCAUGCCCAUGGAUACUUCAGGUGACAAUGGAGUAUCUAGGUGACAUUAGGGUUUUGGUUGAUUUGUGUCUUAAGGUGUUAUUCUAGUACGAACUCUUGAAUAGAUUGAUCUGAAAGAAUAACUUUGAGGUGGUUUCCUACCCUACCAUAAUCUCUUUGUUUGUUCUCCGAUAUUGGUGGCUUUGGAGUGACUCUUUGUUGCAUGUUGAGGGAUAGUUAUAUGAUCCAAUUAUGUUAUUAUUGUUGAGAGAACUUGCACUAGUGAAAGUAUGAACCCUAUGCCUUGUUUCCUAUCAUUGCAAUACCGUUUACGCUCACUUUUAUCAUUAGUUACCUUGCUGUUUUAUAAUUUCAGAUUACAAAAACCUAUAUCUACCAAUCCGUAUUGCACUUGUAUCACCAUCUCUUCGCCGAACUAGUGCACCUAUAUAAUUUGCCAUUGUAUUGGGUUUGUUGGGGACACAACAGACUCUUUGUUAUUUGGUUGCAGGGUUGCUUGAGAGAGACCAUCUUCAUCCUACGCCUCCCACGGAUUGAUAAACCUUAGGUCAUCCACUUGAGGGAAAUUUGCUACUGUCCUACAAACCUCUGCACUUGGAGUCCCAACAACGUCUACAAUAAGAAGGUUGUGUUGUAGACAUCAAGCUCUUUUCUGGCGCUAUUGCCGGGGAGGUGAGUGCUUGAAGGUAUAUCUUUAGAUCUUGCAAUCGAAUCUUUUUGUUUCUUGUUUUAUCACUAGUUUAGUUUAUAAAAGAAAACUACAAAAAAUGGAAUUAAGUUUGCCUCAUACGCUUCAUCUUUUUAAUAUCUUUCGUGAGAAUGAUGGAAAGGAAAAUUGUGCUCAAGUGCUAGAAGAAGAAUGCAUUAAAAUGUUUGGUAAUAAAUUGUAUGAUGAGCAUGAUUGCAAUGUUGUUAGUAUGAAUUCUUUGAAUAUCCAUGAUGCUAAUGAUAUGCAAAGACACAAGCUUGGGGAAGCUAUGUUUGAUGAAGAUGAUAUGUUUAGUCCCCCAAGUUUUGAUGAGCAAAUUUAUUAUGAUGAUAGCAUGCCUCCUAUUUAUGAUGGUUAUAUUGAUGAAAGUGGGUUUGGAAGAGUGUCAACUUUAGGAAUUAGUGAUCUCACUAUUUUAGAGGAUGUUGAAUUUUAUUGUGAUGAAUAUGUAAGUGGAUUUGGAGGAGUGUCAACUUUAUUUAGUAAUUCCACUAUCUUGGGAGAGGUUUCAAUCGAUUAUGAUGAGAACGAAGUUGCUAAUUAUGAUGAUUAUUGUGAUGAAACUUAUGCUAUAGAAAGUAGUGAUGAUUAUAUUUAUAAAACUUAUCAUGAUUAUGAUUAUCCUUUUUCUGUACAUUACUCUUUUAAUGUGGAACCAAUUUUUAGUGUUCAAGUCUCUUAUGAUACUCCCACUAUUCCGAAUGAGAAGAAUUUUGCUUAUGUGGAGAAUAGUAAAUUUUCUAUGCUUGUAGAUCAUGAAAAUAAUGCUUUAGGUGCUGAUUAUAUUGUUGAAUUCAUUCAUGAUGCUACUGAACAUUAUUAUGAGUGAGGAACAUAUGCUUGUAGGAGUUGCAAUAAUGUCAAGUUUCCUCUCUGUGUGCUUAAAAUCUUGAAGUUAUGCUUGUUUUGCCUUCCUAUGCUAGUUGAUUAUUGUUCCCAUAAGUUGUUUGCUCACAAAAUCCCUAUGCAUAGGAAGUGGGUUAGACUUAAAUAUUCUAGUCAUAUGCUUCAUGAUGCUCCCAUUAUGUUUCAAUUCUUAUCUUUUAUGUGAGCAUCAUUGCCAUCUUCAUGCCUAGCUAGAAAGGCAUUAAAGAAAAGAGCUUGUUGGGAGACAACCAAAUAUUUACCCUUACUAUUUUUAUGUGUCCACAUGAUUAUGAUACUGUAGUAAUCAUGUUUUAUAGCUUUUGUUUCAAUAAAGUGCCAAGUAAGACCUUUAGGAUGGCUUUUGGUGAUAGUUGUGUUGACCCUGCUGAAAAUCAGAAACUUUUGCACCCAGUAAAUUAGUUUUGUUAAUUCACCGAAACGUGAUUUUGAGCUGAUUCUUUUUGCUAUGGAUUGAUCCUCAAAUUUCUUAGGAUUUCCUAAGUUUUUAGGAUUUUUGGAGUUCCAGAAGUAUACGUUUGAUACAGAUUACUACAAAUUGUUCUGUUUUUGACAGAUUCUGUUUUCUAUGUGGUGUUUGCUUAUUUUGAUGAAUCUAUGAGUAGUAUCAGAGGGUAUGAACCAUAGAUAAGUUGGAGUACAGUAGAUAUUACACCAAUAUGAAUUUAUAAUGAGUUCAUUACAGUACCUGACUGGUGGUUUUAUUUUCUUAUACUAACGGAGCUUACGAGUUUUCUGUUGAGUUUUGUGUUGUGGAGUUUUCAAGUUUUGGGUAAAGACUCGAUGGACCAUGGAAUAAGGAGUGGCAAGAGCCUAAUCUUGAGGAUUCCCAAGGCAUCCCAAGGUAAUAUUCAAGGACAACCAUGAUCCUAAGCUUGGGGAUGCCCCGGAAGGCAUCCCCUCUUUCGUCUUCGUUCAUCGGUAACUUUACUUGGAGCUAUAUUUUCAUUCACCACAUGAUAUGUGUUUUGCUAGGAGCGUCAUUUUCUUUUGUUAGUAUUUUCUUUCUGUUAUUUAGAAUAAUGUUUUGCAUCUAUAUUUUCAAUAAAAAUGUCAAGGAUAGCCUUUACCGUGCUUAUCUUGCUAGUAUACAUGUUGUUGUUUCAAAACAGAAAGUUUACCGCUAUUGCAAAAAUUCCCUAGAAAGUCAGAGAAUGGUAUAAUGUUGAAACUUUUUACAUAUUGAGCUCUGAUAAUUUUACUACAGUGGUAGUUUUCUCUCAUAAUUUUUGGAGUUAGGAAAGUAUGAUGAAUCUUGCAUUCUUUACAGACUAUACUGUUUUGGCAGAUUGCUGUUAUGUUUGCAUUGUUUGCGUAUGUUUGCUUGUUUAAUUAUUCUAUUUGAGGAUAGGAGUGUUAAAUAUGCAGAGACAUUUAGUAUGCAAUGUUGAAUAAUAAUUUUAGUGAUUUGUUACAGUAGAAAAUGAUAAGGUUUUGCAUUGGUUUAUACUAACCUAUCUCACGAGUUCUUGUUGAGUUUGGUGUGGAUGAAGCUUUUCAUAAAAAGAGAAACCAUGAUAUGAGAGGAAUUAAGGAGACACAAAAAUUCAAGCUUUGGGAUGCCCAUGGCACCCCAAGAUAAUAUUUCAAGAAGUCUCAAGCAUCUAAGCUUGGGGAUGCCCCGUAGGCAUCCCACCUUUCUUCUUCAACAACUAUCGGUUAGUAUCGGUUGAGCCUAAAUUUUUGCUUCUUCACAUGAGUUGUUCUAUCCUUGAAAUGUCAGUCAUUUUAUUUUGUUUUGCUUGCUGAAUACAAUACCAAGAUCUGAAAUUCUUUAAUGAGAGAGAGUCUUCACAUAGUUACAUAAUUAUUUAGCAACUCAUUGAUCUUCACUUAUAUCUUUUUGGAGUAGUUUGUCUUUUACUCGUGUGCUUCACUUAUAUCCUAUGAGUAAAUGGUUUAAUGAGUUGAAUGUCAUAAAUAUGAAAUUAUAUAUGUUUCAUUUGCUUAUCCCAUGGGGAGUAAUGACUUCACAUCUAAGAAGUAGAGGUUGUAAAUUUAUUGAAGACUAGCAAGCAUUGUAUUGGUCAUUUGAACAAUUCAUGAAAGAACAUUGAAGGAUGAGAGAUUUCAUAUAUAAAUAUACUAUCCUAGACAUCUUUUAUAAUUGUGAGCACUCAUUAAGUAUGACAUGCUAAAGAGUUGAUGUUGGACAAGGAAUACAACGUAAUGGGUUAUGUUUUCUCACAUCUUAGUUAAAGUAUAUUGUCAUGGAUCAUUCGAACAUGUUGAGCUUGCCUUUCCCCCUCAUGCUAGCCAAAUUCCUUGCACCAAGUAGAGAUACUACUUGUGCUUCCAAAUAUCCUUAAACCCAGUUUUGCCAUGAGAGUCCACCAUACCUACCUAUGGAUUGAGUAAGAUCCUUCAAGUAAGUUGUCAUCGGUGCAAGCAAUAAAAAUUGCUCUCUAUAUAUGUAUGAUUUAUUAGUGUGGAGAAAAUAAGCUUUAUACGAUCUUGUUAUGGAAGCAAUAAAAGCGACGGACUGCAUAAUAAAGGUCCAUAUACAAGUGGCAAUAUAAAGUGACGUUCUUUUGCAUUAAGAUUUUGUGCAUCCAACCAUAAAAGCGCAUGAUAACCUCUGCUUCCCUCUGCGAAUGGCCUAUCUUUUACUUUAUGUCUUUUAUUUUAUGCAAGAGUCAAGGUGAUCUUCACCUUUCCCUUUUUUAUUUUAUCCUUUGGCAAGCACCUCGUGUUGGAAAGAUCUUGAUAUAUAUAUAUAUAUAUAUAUAUAUAUAUAUAUAUAUAUAUAUAUCCAAUUGGAUGUAAGUUAACAUGAACUAUUAUUAUUGACAUCACCCAAAGGUGAAUACGUUGGGAGGCAACACUAUAAGCCCCUAUCUUUCUCAAUGUCCGAUUAAAACUCCAUAACCAUUAGUAUUGCAUGAGUGUUAGUAAUUGUAGAAGACUAUAUGAUAGUUGAGUAUGUGGAGUUUGCUAAAUCAAAGCUCUGACAUAGACACUUCCUGAAAAUAAGAUGAAUUGUAAUUGUUUGAUGACUGAGAACAUAGUUUGCUAGUUUUCAAGAAAGUUUAUGGUCUAUGCUUUAACAUGUGAAUUGCUUGUUACUUGAUCUUGAGAAGUUUUAUGAGAUGAACUACUGUUAUGACAUAUAAUCAUGCUAGAAAAGGUGAUUAAAAUUAUCAUUGAUCAAACUUGUGCACCUGCUAGCAUUCACACUUCAUAAAUUCUUUCUUUAUCAUUUACCUACUCGAGGACGAGUAGGAAUUAAGCUUGGGGAUGCUGAUACGUCUCCAACAUAUGUAUAAUUUAUGAAGCAUUCAUGCUAUUUUAUUAUCUGUUUUGAAUGAUUACGGGCUUUAUUAUACACUUUUAUAUUACUUUUGGACUAAGCUAUUAACCGGAGGCCCAGCCCAUAUUGAUGUUUUAUUGCAUGUUUCAGUAUUUUGAAGAAAAGGAAUAUCAAACGGAGUCCAAACGGAAUGAAACCUUCGGGAGCGUGAUUUUUGGAAAGGAUAUGAUCUGGGAAAGUUGGAGUUCAAGCCAGGGAAGGUUCAAGGAAGCCAAGAGAUAGGAGGGCGCGCCCACCCCCCUAGGUGCGCCCCUGUCUCUUGGGCCCCUCGAGGCUCCCUCGACCGACUUCUUUCGCCUAUAUAAGUCCGCAUACCCUAAAAAUAUCGAAGCAGAAGAUAGAUUGGGAGUUCCGGCGCCGCAAGCCUCUAUAGCCACCAAAAACAUCUCGGGAGCCCGUUCCGGCACCCUGCCGGAGGGGGGGAUCCCUCACCGGUGGCCAUCUUCAUCAUCCCGGUGCUCUCCAUGACGAGGAGGGAGUUGUUCACCCUCGGGGCUGAGGGUAUGUACUAGUAGCUAUGUGUUUGAUCUCUCUCUCUCUCUCUCUCUCUCUCUCUCUCUCUCGUGUUCUCUUUAUUGCACGAUCUUGAUGUAUCGUGAGCUUUGCUAUUAUAGUUGGAUCUUAUGAUGUUUCUCCCCCCUCUACUCUCUUGUGAUGAAUUGAGUGUUCCUCUUGAAGUUAUCUUAUCGGAUUGAGUCUUUAAUGAUUUGAGAACACUUGAUGUAUGUCUUGCCGUGUUUAUCUGUGGUGACAAUGGGAUAUCACGUGCCACUUGAUGUAUGUUUUGGUGAUCAACUUGUGGGUUCCGCCCAUGAACCUAUGCAUAGGGGUUGGCACAUGUUUUCGUCUUGACUCUCCAGUACAAACUUUGGGGCACUCUUUGAUGUACUUUGUGUUGGUUCAAUAGAUGAAUCUUAGAUUGUGUGAUGCAUAUCGUAUAAUCAUGCCGACGGAUACUCGAGGUGACAAUGGAGUAUCUAGGUGACAUUAGGGUUUUGGUUGAUUUGUGUCUUAAGGUGUUAUUCUAGUAUGAUCUCUUGAAUAGAUUGAUCCGAAAGAAUAACUUUGAGGUGGUUUCGUACCCUACCAUAAUCUCUUCGUUUGUUCUCCGCUAUUAGUGGCUUUGGAGUGACUCUUUGUUGCAUGUUGAGGGAUAGGUAUAUGAUCCAAUUAUGUUAUUAUUGUUGAGAGGACUUGCACUAGUGAAAGUAUGAACCCUAUGCCUUGUUUCCUAUCAUUGCAAUACCGUUUACGCUCACUUUUAUCAUUAGUUACCUUGCUGUUUAUAUAAUUUCAGAUUACAAAAACCUAUAUCUACCAUCCAUAUUGCACUUGUAUCACCAUCUCUUCACCGAACUAGUGCACCUAUACAGUUUGCCAUUGUAUUGGGUGUGUUGGGGACACAAGAGACUCUUUGUUAUUUGGUUGCAGGGUUGCUUGAGAGAGACCAGCUUCAUCCUACGCCUCCAACGGAUUGAUAAACCUUAGGUUAUCCACUUGAGGGAAAUUUGCUACUGUCCUACAAACCUCUGCACUUGGAGGCCCAACAACGUCUACAAGAAGAAGGUUGUGUAGUAGACAUCAAGCUCUUUUAUGGCGCUGUUGCCGGGGAGGUGAGUGCUUGAAGGUAUAUCUUUAGAUCUUGCAAUCGAAUAUUUUUGUUUCUUGUUUUAUCACUAGUUUAGUUUGUAAAAGAAAACUACAAAAAAUGGAAUUGAGUUUGCCUCAUACGCAUCAUCUUUUUAAUAUCUUUCGUGAGAAUGAUGGAAAGGAAAAUUGUGCUCAAGUGCUAGAAGAAGAAUGCAUUAAAAUGUUUGGUAAUAAAUUUUAUGAUGAGCAUGAUUGCAAUUUUGUUAGUAUGAAUUCUUUGAAUAUCCAUGAUGCUAAUGAUAUGCAAAGCCACAAGCUUGGGGAAGCUAUGUUUGAUGAAGAUGAUAUGUUUAGUCCCCCAAGUUUUGAUGAGCAAAUUUAUUAUGAUGAUAGCAUGCCUCCUAGUUAUGAUGGUUAUAUUGAUGAAAGUGGGUUUGGAAGAGUGUCAACUUUAGGAAUUAGUGAUCCCACUAUUUUAGAGGAUUUUGAAUUUAUUGUGAUGAAUAUGAAAGUGGAUUUGGAGGAGUGUCAACUUUAUUUAGUGAUUCCACUAUCUUGGGAGAGGUUUCAAUCGAUUAUGAUGAGAACAAAGUUGCUAAUUAUGAUGAUUAUUGUGAUGAAAUUUAUGCUAUAAAAAGUAGUGAUGAUUAUAUUUAUAAAACUUGUCAUGAUUAUGAUUACCCUUUUUCUGAACAUUACUCUUUUAAUGUAGAACCAAUUUUUAGUGUUCAAGUCCCUUAUGAUACUCCCACUAUUCCGAAUGAGAAGAAUUUUGCUUAUGUGGAGAAUAGUAAAUUUUCUAUGCUUGUAGAUCAUGAAAAGAAUGCUUUGGGUGCUAGUUAUAUUGUUGAAUUCAUUCAUGAUGCUACUGAACAUUAUUAUGAGGGAGGAACAUAUGCUUGUAGGAGUUGCAAUAAUGUCAAGUUUCCUCUCUAUGUGCUUAAAAUCUUGAAGUUAUGCUUGUUUUGCCUUCCUAUGCUAGUUGAUUAUUGUUCCCAUAAGUUGUUUGCUCACAAAAUCCCUAUGCAUAGGAAGUGGGUUAGACUUAAAUGUGCUAUUCAUAUGCUUCAUGAUGCUCCCAUUAUGUUUCAAUUCUUAUCUUUUAGGUGAGCAUCAUUGUCAUCAUCAUGCCUAGCUAGAAAGGCAUUAAAGAAAAGUUCUUGUUCGGAGACAACCCAAUAUCUAUCCUUAUUGUUUUUGUGUGUCCGCAUGAUUAUGGUACUGUAGUAAUGAUGUUUUAUAGCUUUUGUUUCAAUAAAGUGCCAAGUAAGACCUUAGGAUAGCUUACGGUGAUAGUUGUGUUGAUCCUGCUGAAAAUCAGAAAUUUUUGCACCCAGUAAAUUAGUUUUGAUAAUUCACAGAAACGUGUUUUUGAUCUGAUUCUUUUUGCUCUCAAUUGAUACACAAAUUGCUUAUGACUUCCUAAGUUUGUAGGAUCUUUGGAGUUCUAGAAGUAUACGUUUUAUACAGAUUACUACAGAUUGUUCUGUUUUUGACAGAUUCUGUUUUCUAUGUGUUGUUUGCUUAUUUUGAUGAAUCUAUGAGUAGUAUCGGAGGGUAUGUACCAUAGAUAAGUUGGAGUACAGUAUAUGUUACACCAAUAUGAAUUUAUAAUGAGUUCAUUAUAGUACCUGAGUGGUGGUUUUAUUUUCUGAUACUAACGGAGCUUACGAAUUUUCUGUUGAGUUUUGUGUUGUGGAGUUUUUAAGUUUUGGGUAAAUAUUUGAUGGAGUAUGGAAUAAGGAGUGGCAAGAUCCUAAGCUUGUGGAUGCCCGAGGCACCCCAAGGUAAUAUUCAAGGACAACCAAGAGCCUAAGCUUGGGGAUGCCCCGGAAGGCAUCCCCUCUUUCGUCUUCGUUCAUCGAUAACUUUAGUUGGAGCUAUAUUUUCAUUCACCACAUGAUAUGUGUUUUGCUAGGAGCGUCAUUUUAUUUUGUUAGUAUUUGCUUGCUGUUAUUUAGAAUAAUAUUUUGCAUCUAAAUUUUCAAUAAAAAUGUCAAGGAUAGCCUUUACCGUGCUUAUUUUGCUAGUAUACAUGUUGCUGUUUGAAAACGGAAAGUUUACUGUUGUUGCAAAAAAUCCCUAGAAAAGUAAGAGAAUGGUAUAAUGUUGAAACUUUUUGCAUAUUGAGAUCUGAUAAUUUUACUACAGUGGGAAUUUUCUCUCAUAAUUUUUGGAUUUAGGGAAUUAUGAUGAAUCUUGCAUUCUUUACAGACUAUACUGUCUUGGCAGAUUGCUGUUAUGUUUGCAUUGUUUGCGUAUGUUUGCUUGUUCAAUGAUUCUAUUUGAAGAUAGGAGUGUUAAAUAUGCAGAGACAUUUAGUAUGCAAUGUUUAAUAAUAAUUUUAGUGAUUUGUUACAGUAGAAAAUGAGAAGGUUUUGCAUUGGUUUAUACUAACCUAUCUCACGAGUUCUUGUUGAGUUUGGUGUGGAUGAAGCUUUUGAUAAAAAGAGAAACCAUGAUAUGAGAGGAAUUAAGGAGACACAAAAGUUCAAGCUUGGGGAUUCCCAUGGCACCCCAAGAUAAUAUUUCAAGAAGUCUCAAGCAUCUAAGCUUGGGGAUGCCCCGUAGGCAUCCCACCUUUCUUCUUCAACAACUAUCGGUUAGUAUCGGUUGAGCCUAAGUUUUUGCUUCUUCACAUGAGUUGUGCUAUCCUUGCAAUGUCAUUUUAUUUUGUUUUGCUUGCUGAAUACAAUACCAAGAUCUGAAAUUCUUUAAUGAGAGAGAGUCCUCACAUAGUUACAUAAUUAUUUAGCUACUCAUUGAUCUUCACUUAUAUCUUUUUGAAGUAGUUUGUCUUUUACUCGUGUGCUUCACUUAUAUCCUAUUAGUAAACUAGUAGAGUGACCCGCGCAUUCGUGCGGCUAGUGUUAUGUAAGGUUUCUACUACCAUUUAGUUCUCUUUUGCUUUCUAACAUUUAUGCUAUUUCGGUCAUCCCUAAUUCACCCAAGAAAACAUGUAUGUGUCUCCCUCGAAUUUUAAAAAAAAUACUACUGUAGUCAUUUUCUUAUGACGGUAAUAAUAUUUUAUUUAGAUUUUUUAUCAACAUUGCAAAUAUUAGUUUUAAUUAAGUGAUAAUCUUGACUUUAUGGAUUUUUCUCCAAAUCAUGUAGGGAUUAUCCUUUUAAAUAGUUUCAUGAGAAAUUUUCCAUGCCACUUAUCGUUGGCAAUGGCAAGUCAUGCAUCCUGAAUUCCACACCAUUUUAAGUAUGUAUUCGUGACCCUUGUUAGGAUUCUACUAAUCAAGUACCUUAGUGAUAUAAAUUUAAGUGGUCGUUACCACCUCAUAAUGAAGCUACUACACAUACUUCUCUCAUCAUCGCCUUUGGACUUGUACCAUCCGCCAAUCCUGUGUUGCUAAAUUACUUGCAAAAUCACCUUUGAUACAUCAUCCUCUACUGCCUAGACAUUGUGUACUGACUCAUCUUAUGACCUCAGCUGCACCAUGAUCAUCACUAAUCAAUGUAUUCAUGGUCUCUACCUAAUAUUGUUAAGUUUUUCAAAUUUCAGAUUUAUGUAUCAACUUUUAUGUACAUAUACAACACCUAAUUUACUUCGAACUUAUUUUGGAAUGUAGAGAUACUUAUGUACCUAACAUAACCAUCCAAGUGUACUCUUUAUGUACCAAAUAGAAGUUUGAUUUACUUUGAAUUUGCACAAACAAUGUCAUUCGUCUUAUCCUUUGGGUGAUUGAAUUACAAUUUCCAGAUUCCAAUGGAAUAUAUUCCUUCGUCAUCCAUUCCAUAGGAAUCUCACAUGAACCAAAAUUUUAUUUUAUGUUUCCUUUUAGAUGCUCAAUGCGCAUGCACACAGUCUCUAUGUAUUGUUCACAUCAGCGCUCUAAAAUACUCAUGUUUGCCCCAGUGUCAUAUCUUCCAAACCUUGUGUGUUAUAAAAUCCUUUUGGAAUUCACAGCCCGUAGCAACAAUUCUGUGCAGUACAUAUUGCUAUAUUUUUUAAUUAUUGGUUNNNNNNNNNNNNNNNNNNNNNNNNNNNNNNNNNNNNNNNNNNNNNNNNNNNNNNNNNNNNNNNNNNNNNNNNNNNNNNNNNNNNNNNNNNNNNNNNNNNNNNNNNNNNNNNNNNNNNNNNNNNNNNNNNNNNNNNNNNNNNNNNNNNNNNNNNNNNNNNNNNNNNNNNNNNNNNNNNNNNNNNNNNNNNNNNNNNNNNNNNNNNNNNNNNNNNNNNNNNNNNNNNNNNNNNNNNNNNNNNNNNNNNNNNNNNNNNNNNNNNNNNNNNNNNNNNNNNNNNNNNNNNNNNNNNNNNNNNNNNNNNNNNNNNNNNNNNNNNNNNNNNNNNNNNNNNNNNNNNNNNNNNNNNNNNNNNNNNNNNNNNNNNNNNNNNNNNNNNNNNNNNNNNNNNNNNNNNNNNGUAAGAUCUCACAUUCUCAUUGCAAGUCAUAAUAAAACUGUACGUUUCUAGUGAAAAGAUACAUAUAUUCAAACGUAUAUUAUUAUUUUCCAUGUAGAGCAUGUACUUUUGUCUAUUUGUGCCGAACUUUUAUACUCCCUCCGUUUCAUAUUAGUUGUCGCUGAAACGUGUAUCUAGAUGUAAGAAUCAUAUAUUCAAAAGUAUAUUAUUAUUUUCCAUGCAGAGCAUAUACUUUUGUAUGUUUGUGCCGAACUUAUAUUCCCUUCGCCUCUAUUAGUUGUCACUCAAACGGAUAUAUCUAAAUGUAUUUUAGUGCUUGAUACAUCUGUUUGAGCAACAACUAAUACAGGACGGAGGGAUUAUUUGGAAAAAUAAAAAUAUUCAAACAUAUAGCCGUGUAGGUAUCUUUUUUCAUACAGCGUCUGUGUAUGUUUUUCCAGGUCCUAGCAUAUAACCUUUAAAGAUAGAAUCAAUAGUCUGGGCAAAAAAAGGGCGUAAUCCGCAUCCAUUUUAUUUUUGAAGAGAGAGAGAGAAUCCGGGAGCAUCUAAUGCAUCAUGGGUCAUCAACGUGCUCUGAAGCAUUGGCCACCGGCCGCUUGGCCUCUUGGGGUGUCCGAGUUAAGACGUACAGGGUAGGGUGUAGUCUUCUACUUUCCUGGCUGGAUGUAGACACGUGAUAGAUAAUGGCUCUUUCUUUCCUAAUUAAUGCACACGUUUUUUCUUUUCUUCGGCUGAAACGAUUGGUUGUAGGGAGUACAUGUUUGAUGAAUAUAGACGUGACAGUUCAAUAUGCUGGCACACAUAUAUUAAUAUGUUACGUAAUUUUUUUUAAAUCUCAGCCACACUUAUUCUAAUCGAACGGUGGUAAUAAUAUUAGCAUAUGUGGUUUAAUGUGAUCGCUUGUUUGACUCUUGUUUUAAUUACAUAAUAGAUGGUUGAAUGAGUUGAAUGUCAUAAAUAUGAAAUUAUAUAUGUUUCAUUUGCUUAUCCCAUGGAGAGUAAUGAAUUCACAUCUAAGAAGUAGAGGUUGUAAAUUUCUUGAAGAUUAGCAAGCAUCGUAUUGGUCAUUUGAACAAUUCAUGAAAAAAUAUUGAAGAAAGAGAGAUUUCACAUAUAAAUAUACUAUCCUAGACAUCUUUUAUAAUUGUGAGUACUCAUUAAGUAUGAUAUGCUAAAGAGUUGAUGUUGGACAAGGAAUACAACGUAAUGGGUUAUGUUUUCUCACAUCUCCGUUAAAGUAUAUUGUCAUGGAUCAUUCAAACAAGCUGAGCUUGCCUUUCCCCCUCAUGCUAGCCAAAUUCCUUGCACCAAGUAGAGAUACUACUUGUGCUUCCAAAUAUUCUUAAACCCAGUUUUGCCAUGAGAGUCCAUCAUACCCACCUAUGGAUUGAGUAAGAUCCUUCAAGUAAGUUGUCAUCGGUGCAAGCAAUAAAAAUUGCUCUCUAAAUAUGUACGAUUUAUUAGUGCGGAGAAAAUAAGCUUUUUAUGAUCUUGUUAUGGAAGCAAUAAAAGCGACGGACUACAUAAUAAAGGUCCAUAUACAAGUGGCAAUAUAAAGUGACAUUUUUUUGCAUUAAGAUUUUGUGCAUCCAACCAUAAAAGCGCAUGACAACCUCUGCUUCCCUCUGCGAAGGGUCUAUCUUUUACUUUAUGUCUUUUAUUUUAUGCAAGAGUCAAGGUGAUCUUCACCUUUCCCUUUUUUAUUUUAUCCUUUGGCAAGCACCUCGUGCUGGAAAGAUCCUGAUAUAUAUAUAUAUAUAUAUAUAUAUAUAUAUAUAUAUAUAUAUAUAUAUAUAUAUAUAUACAAUUGGAUUAAGUUAGCAUGAACUAUUAUUGUUGACAUCACCCAAAGGUGAAUACGUUGGGAGGCAACACUAUAAGCCCCUAUCUUUCUAAGUGUCCGAUUAAAACUCCAUAACCAUUAGUAUUGCGUGAGUGUUAGCAAUUUUAGAAGACUAUAUGAUAGUUGAGUAUGUGGAGUUUGCUAAAUCAAAGCUUUGACAUAGACCCUUCCUAAAAAUAAGAUGAAUUGUAAUUGUUUGAUGACUGAGAACAUAGUUUGCUAGUUUUCAAGAAAGUUUAUGGUCUAUGCUUUAACAUGUGAAUUGCUUGUUACUUGAUCUUGAGAAGUUUUAUGAGAUGAACUACUGUUAUGACAUAUAAUCAUGCUAGAAAAGGUGAUUAAAAUUAUCAUUGAUCAAACUUGUGCACCUGCUAGCAUUCACACUUCAUAAAUUCUUUCUUUAUCAUUUACCUACUCGAGGAUGAGUAGGAAUAAAGCUUGGGGAUGCUGAUACAUCUCUAACGUAUCUAUAAUUUAUGAAGCAUUCAUGCUAUUUUAUUAUCUGUUUUGAAUGAUUGCGGGCUUUAUUAUACACUUUUAUAUUACUUUUGGGACUAACCUAUUAACCGGAGGCCCAGCCCAUAUUGUUGUUUUAUUGUCUGUUUCAGUAUUUUGAAUAAAAGGAAUAUCAAACAGAGUCCAAACGGAAUGAAACCUUCGGGAGCGUGAUUUUUGGAAAGGAUAUGAUCCGGGAGACUUGGAGUUCAAGCCAGGGAAGGUUCGAGGAAGCCAGGAGAUAGGAGGGCGCGCCCACCCCCCUAGGAGCGCCCCGUGUCUCCUGGGCCCCUCGAGGCUCCCCCCGACCGACUUCUUUCGCCUAUAUAAGUCCACAUACCCUAAAAACAUCGAAGCAGAAGAUAGAUCGGGAGUUCCGCGCCGCAAGCCUUUGUAGCCACCAAAAACCUCUCGGGAGCCUGUUCCGGCACCCUACCGGAGGGGGGGAUCCCUCACUGGUGGCCAUCUUCAUCACCCCGGCGCUCUCCAUGACGAGGAGGGAGUUGUUCACCCUCGGGGCUGAGGGUAUGUACUAGUAGCUAUGUGUUUGCUCUCUCUCUCUCUCAUGUUCUCUCUAUGGCACGAUCUUGAUGUAUCGCGAGCUUUGCUAUUAUAGUUGGAUCUUAUGAUGUUUCUCCGCCUCUACUCUCUUGUGAUGAACCGAGUUUUCCUCUUGAAGUUAUCUUAUCGAAUUGAGUCUUUAAUGAUUUGAGAACACUUGAUGUAUGUCUUGUCGUGUUUAUCUGUGGUGACAAUGGGAUAUCACGUGCCACUUGAUGUAUGUUUUGGUGAUCAACUUGCGGGUUCCGCCCAUGAACCUAUGCGUAGGGGUUGGCACACGUUUUCGUCUUGACUCUCCGGUAGAAACUUUGGGGCACUCUUUGAAGUACUUUGUGUUGGUUGAAUAGAUGAAUCUGAGAUUGUGUGAUGCAUAUCGUAUAAUCAUGCCCACGGAUACUUGAGGUGACAAUGGAGUAUCUAGGUGACAUUAGGGUUUUGGUUGAUUUGUGUCUUAAGGUGUUAUUCUAGUACGAACUCUUGAAUAGAUUGAUCCGAAAGAAUAACUUUGAGGUGGUUUCGUACCCUACCAUAAUCUCUUCGUUUGUUCUUCUCUAUUCGUGGCUUUGGAGCGACUCUUUGUUGCAUGUUGAGGGAUAGUUAUAUGAUCCAAUUAUGUUAUUAUUGUUGUGAGAACUUGCACUAGUGAAAGUAUGAACCCUAUGCCUUGUUUCCUAUCAUUGCAAUACCAUUUACGCUCACUUUUAUCAUUAGUUACCUUGCUGUUUUUAUAAUUUCAUAUUACAAAAACCUAUAUCUACCAUCCAUAUUGCACUUGUAUCACCAUCUCUUCGCCGAACUAGUGCACCUAUAUGGUUUGCCAUUGUAUUGGGUGUGUUGGGGACACAAGAGACUCUUUGUUAUUUGGUUGCAGGGUUGCUUGAGAGAGACCAUCUUCAUCCUACGCCUCCCACAGAUUGAUAAACCUUAGGUCAUCCACUUGAGGGAAAUUUGCUACUGUCCUACAAACCUCUGCACUUGAAGGCCCAACAACGUCUACAAGAAGAAGGUUGUGUAGUAGACAUCAAGCUCUUUUCUGGCGCUGUUGCCGGGGAGGUGAGUGCUUGAAGGUAUAUGUUUAGAUCUUGCAAUCGAAUCUUUUUGUUUCUUGUUUUAUCAAUAGUUUAGUUUCUAAAAGAAAACUAAAAAAAUGGAAUUGAGUUUGCCUCAUACGCUUCAUCUUUUUAAUAUCUUUCAUGAGAAUGAUGGAAAGGAAAAUUGUGCUCAAGUGCUAGAAGAAGAAUGCAUUGAAAAGUUUGGUAAUAAAUUGCAUGAUGAGCAUGAUUGGAAUGUUGGUAGUAUGAAUGCUUUGAAUAUCCAUGAUGCUAAUGAUAUGCAAAGCCACAAGCUUGGGGAAGCUAUGUUUGAUGAAGAUGAUAUGUUUAGUCCCCCAAGUUUUGAUGAGCAAAUUUAUUAUGAUGAUAGCAUGCCUCCUAUUUAUGAUGGUUAUAUUGAUGAAAGUGGGUUUGGAAGAGUGUCAACUUUAGGAAUUAGUGAUCCCACUAUUUUAGAGGAUGUUGAAUUUUAUUGUGAUGAAUAUGAAAGUGGAUUUGGAGGAGUGUCAACUUUAUUUAGUGAUUCCACUAUCUUGGGAGAGGUUUCAAUCGAUUAUGAUGAGAAUGAAGUUGCUAAUUAUGAUGAAACUUAUGCUAUAAAAAGUAGUGAUGAUUAUAUUUAUAAAACUUGUCAUGAUUAUGAUUACCCUUUUUCUGAACAUUACUCUUUUAAUGUGGAACCAAUUUUUAGUGUUCAAGUCUCUUAUGAUACUCCCACUAUUCCGAAUGAGAAGAAUUUUGCUUAUGUGGAGAAUAGUAAAUUUUCUAUGCUUGUAGAUCUUGAAAAGAAUGCUUUAGGUGCUGGUUAUAUUGUUGAAUUCAUUCAUGAUGCUACUGAACAUUAUUAUGAGGGAGGAACAUAUGCUUGUAGGAGUUGCAAAAUGUCAAGUUUCCUCUCUAUGUGCUUAAAAUCUUGAAGUUAUGCUUGUUUUGCCUUCCAAUGCUAGUUGAUUAUUGUUCGCAUAAGUUGUUUGCUCACAAAAUCCCUAUGCAUGGGAAGUGGGUUAGACUUAAAUGUGCUAUUCAUAUGCUUCAUGAUGCUCCCAUUAUGUUUCAAUUCUUAUCUUUUAGGUGAGCAUCAAUGUCAUCAUCAUGCCUAGCUAGAAAGGCAUUAAAGAAAAGCGCAUGUUGGGAGACAACCCAAUAUCUAUCCUUAUUGGUGCCUCCCGGACUCCGUUUUCUUGUACGUUACGUAUUUUGGUCGGUAAAAAUUCAUUAUAUAUACUCUCGAAGGUUUUGACCACUGUAUCACGCAAAUAUCCACUGUUUUCGUUUCAAGCUGUUUUCAUUGCAGAUCUAGAGCACCAUGACUUCACCCUCCUCCAACAACGAAGACAAGGAUGCUUGGUUAUUGAAGAUAGAGUUGAAAAGAGAAGAACUAGAAGAGAUCAACAAGGAUGAAGGGAUCAAGAAGGCCAUGGCGGUGAAAGAAGAAGACAUCCCUCAACCUUUACCUAACCUCUUUACUCCAACAGAGAUUGAAGCUUUCAAGAUGAUUGAGUUAGCUCGCAUACAAAACAAGUAUCUCACAUAGGAGAAUAUCCUGUUGAAGGAUCAUAUCGUCAGACUCAAGGGCAUUAUCCGCAAGUUGGAUGAGCUUUUACGCUCGAUGUGCGAUUAUCCACCUUCAUCAUCACCACCUCCAUCACCUCCGAGGACAUAAUCACAUGGGUAUGGGCACUCCCCUUGGCAACUGCCAAGCUUGGGGGAGGUGCCCCGGUAUUGUAUCACCAUCACACUCCUAUCUUUACCUUUUAUUUAGUUCGAUCCUUUUAGUAGAAUCUUGAUCUAGUAGUUUGAAGUUUUGAUUUCAAGUAGUUUCAAGUUUUGCUUUGUGAUCUCUCUUUCUGUAAUCGAGUCCGUGAGCUAUCUAUAAUUAAGGUUAGUGUUGAGUCAAGGGCUUUGCUAUGUUGCUAUGAUCUUGAGAAAGUCGAAAGAAUAAUGGAGUUCAUAUUGAUCUUAUGGAUAGUGAUGACUUCACACAUAGAAAGUAUGAGGCAUAAAAAUUGUUGAGAGUUGAUGAACGUAGCCUUGGUCAUCGUUGCAAUUAAUAGGAAGUGAUAAGGAAAGAGGGGUUCACAUAUAAAUAUAUUAUCUUGGACAUAUUUUAUGAUUGUGAAGCACUCAUUAAGUAUGACAUGCUAAAAGAGUUGAUGUUGGACAAGGAAGACAAUGUAAUGGUUUAUGUUUUCCGAAAUCUGAGUUAAAGUAUAUUAUCAUUGACCUUCCAAACAUGUUGAGCUUGCCUUUCCCCCUCAUGCUAGCCAAAUUCCUUGCACCAAGUAGAGAUACUACUUGUGCUUCCAAAUAUCCUUAAACCCAGUUUUGCCAUGAGAGUCCACCAUACCUACCUAUGGAUUGAGUAGGAUCCUUCAAGUAAGUUGUCAUCGGUGCAAGCAAUAAAAAUUGCACUCUAAAUAUGUAUGAAUUAUUAGUGCAGAGAAAAUAAGCUUUGUACGAACUUGUUGUGGAAGUAAUAAAAGCGACGGACUGCAUAAUAAAGGUCAACAUACAAGGGGCAAUAUAAAGUGACGUUCUUUUGCAUUAAGAUUUUGUGCAACAGCCCUAAACGCACAUGACAACCUCUGCUUCCCUCUGCGAAGGGCCUAUCUUUUACUUUAUGUUUUUAGUUUAUGCUUGAGUCAAGGUGAUUCUCACCUUUCCCUUUUUCAUUUUAUCCUUUGGCAAGCUCCUCGUGUUUGAAAGAUCAUGAUAUAUAUAUCCAAAUGGAUGUAAGUUAGCAUGGGCUAUUAUUGUUGACAUCACCUAAAGGUGAAUACGUUGGGAGGCAAUAAGCCCCUAUCUUUCUCAGUGUCCGGCUCAAACUCUAUAACCACAAGUACCGCGUGAGUGUUAGCAAUUGUAGAAGACUACGAGAUAGUUGAGUAUGUGAGCUUGCUGAAAAGCUCUAUUGUUGACUCUUUCUGAUGUUACGAUAAAUUGCAAUUGCUUCAAUGACUGACAUUAUAGUUUGUUAGUUCCCAAUGAAGUUUUUGAACCAUACUUGACAUUGUGAAUUGAUUGUUACUUGAGCAUAGGAAAUCAUAUGACAAAAUCUGUAUAUGUUGCUGUUAUUAGAAUGAUCAUGAUGCCCUCAUGUCCAUAUUUUGUUUUGAUCGACACCUCUAUCUCUAAACAUGUGGACAUAUUUUUCGAUUUUGGCUUCCGCUUGAGGACAAGCAAGGUCUAAGCCUGGGGGAGUUGAUACGACCAUUUUGCAUCAUGCUUUAAUAUCAAUAUUUAUUGCAUUAUGGGCUGUUAUUACACAUUAUAUCUCAAUACUUAUGGCUAUUCUCUCUUAUUUUACAAGGUUUACCAUGAAGAGGGGGAAUGCCGGCAGCUGGAAUUCUGGCUGGAAAAGGAGCAAACGUUGGAAACCUAUUCUGCACAGCUCCAAAAGUCCUGAAACUCCACGAAACAACUUUUUGGAAUUAAUAAGAAUUUCUGAGCGAAAGAAAUAUGCCAGGGGGGCCACACCCUAUCCNNNNNNNNNNNNNNNNNNNNNNNNNNNNNNNNNNNNNNNNNNNNNNNNNNNNNNNNNNNNNNNNNNNNNNNNNNNNNNNNNNNNNNNNNNNNNNNNNNNNNNNNNNNNNNNNNNNNNNNNNNNNNNNNNNNNNNNNNNNNNNNNNNNNNNNNNNNNNNNNNNNNNNNNNNNNNNNNNNNNNNNNNNNNNNNNNNNNNNNNNNNNNNNNNNNNNNNNNNNNNNNNNNNNNNNNNNNNNNNNNNNNNNNNNNNNNNNNNNNNNNNNNNNNNNNNNNNNNNNNNNNNNNNNNNNNNNNNNNNNNNNNNNNNNNNNNNNNNNNNNNNNNNNNNNNNNNNNNNNNNNNNNNNNNNNNNNNNNNNNNNNNNNNNNNNNNNNNNNNNNNNNNNNNNNNNCCCCCCCCCCCCUAUAGGGCGCGCCCCCUAUCUCCUGGGCCCCCUGGUGGGCCUCCGGCGUCCAUCUUCUGCUAUAUCAUCACUUUUACCCUGGAAAAAAUCAUGGGCAAGCUUACGGAACGAAACUCCGCCGCCAUGAGGCGGAACCUUGGCGGAAUCAAUCUAGGGCUCCGGCGGAGCUGUUCUAUCGGGGACACUUCCCUCCGGGAGGGGGAAAUCAUCACCAACGUCAUCACCAACGAUCCUCUCAUCGGGAGGGGGUUAAUAUCCAUCAACAUCUUCACCAGCACCAUCUCCUCUCAAAACCCUAGUUCAUCUCUUGUAUCCAAUCUUGUAUCAAAACCACAAAUUGGUACCUGUGGGUUGCUAGUAGUGUUGAUUACUCCUUGUAGUUGAUGCUAAUUGGUUUACUUGGUGGAAGAUCAUAUGUUCAGAUCCUUUAUGUAUAUUAUUACUCCUCUGAUUAUGAACAUAAAUAUGCUUUGUGAGUAGUUACGUUUGUUCCUGAGGACAUGGGUGAAGUCCUGCUAUUAGUAGUCAUGUGAAUUUGGUAUUCGUUCGAUAUUUUGAUGAGAUGUAUGUUGUCUUUUCCUCUAGUGGUGUUAUGUGAACGUCGACUACAUGACACUUCACCAUUAUUUGGGCCUAGAGGAAGGCAUGGGGAAGUAAUAAGUAUAUGAUGGGUUGCUAGAGUGACAGAAGCUUAAACCCUAGUUUAUGCAUUGCUUCGUUAGGGGCUGUUAUGGAUCCAUAUGUCUAAUGUUGUGGUUAGGUUUACCUUAAUACUUCUUUUGUAGUUGCGGAUGCUUGCAAAUAGGGGUUAAUCAUAAGUGGGAUACUUGUCCAAGUUAGGGCAGUACCCAAGUACCGGUCCACCCACAUAUCAAAUUAUCAAAGUACCGAACGCGAAUCAUAUGAACGUGAUGAAAACUAGCUUGACGAUAAUUCCCAAUGUGUCCUUGGGAGCUCCUUCCUCAUUAUUAGAAAUUGUCCAGGCUUAUCCUUUGCUACAUAAAGGAUUGGGCCACCUUGAUGCACUUUAUUUACUUUAGUUACUUGUUACUCGUUACUAUUUAUCUUAUCACAAAACUAUCUAUCACCUACAAUUUCAGUGCUUGGAGAGAAAACCUUACUGAAAACCGCUUCUCAUUUCCUUCUGCCCCUCAUUGGGUUCGACACUCUUACUUAUCGAAAGGACUACGAUUGAUCCCCUACACUUGUGGGUCAUCACUCGUAAAUUCGCAUCUCAAGCCAUUCACCCAACACCAUCCGAGCCAGUGCUACCCUCUCAGCCUGUGUUGUGGCCUAGACCCAACAUCCUCACCCUCGACAAAGCUCUUUUACGGAUCCACCAGCAGCAUUUGCUUGGAUCAAUUUUAGCCACACCCCCAGUAGUCGAACCCCAACCCAUAGUGCUGUCGGACGAUGAAGAUGGAGAUUGGCUCAGUCUUCGUCCUCCGGGAGAGCCCCAGCCAGGCCAUUCCUCUGCAUGACCUCAGUCACGCAGUGAGAUGAUUCUGUGAGUAGGUUAGUCUGUCUGUUCAUCCUCGAUAGGAGGAUAGAACUACGUAUCCCAGAACGAGUAGUUUCGCGCGUAGAUUGUUCAUGCUUUGCUGUAUGCUAGUACUGUUGUAAUCCAUAUGUUGUGUUCUAUGUUUGUUUUCGUGCUUUUGUGUUCAUGCUUGUUUUUGUUUGUCUCUCUGUCAAACAGAGAUGUUUGACAAGGUUGGCAAUGUGUGCUAACAAGAUUUUAAUCAGUACGACACAUACACUAAAAACAACAUUGACUCGUCGCGAGUCUCUAAUAAAAAUGUGCGCUGGUGUAGGUAUAUGUAUACCAGGAUUACAUAUACCCACUAGCAUUAAAACACCUUAGGAUGAUUUGUCUGAUGUGUUUUUCAUUGCGUGUUUAUUGCAUCUGUCUGUUUUCUAGUUUAGAUUAUACUGCAUACUGCAUGCUACCCGGUUCACCCACGAGUACACUUAGGGCAGUACUCGGGGGAAUGCAAAGUCAGAUAUCCCUCUCUAUCUGUGCACACCCCGUGUGCCAGAUUUUCCAAACCCAGAGCCUCGAAGAGGCAUUUCCAUCUGGCCAUUUCUUGUCACUAAUUCUUUUGCGUUAGCCCCGAUUGUGUUUCCGGAGAAACGCUGUUAGUUUAUUUCACUCGAUCUAGUACAACUCCCUGGUAUAGAUUUCAACCUCGAUUCUACCUUGAUGCCUACAUUUCGUGGAGCAAUCCGCGAAAUUUAUCCAUUCCCCAGCGUGAUUCCUGAGCUAGGGCAGCCACUUCACCUGUAUCUGGACCGCACCACCACCCUCGCCUCUGCCUUGCGUGACAAUCGCAACCCCGCUCCACCGCAGCACGCGAUUACUAUGCAGGCGCAAAGUGAUGGAGGAUCAAGCGUGGCGGAGGACCACUCCGUGCACCAUCUUCUUCCGCACCUCGAGCCACCUCAGCUGGCCGUGUGUUUCCUCGAGCUCGCUCGUACUUAAUGAUCGUCCGCAGGAUGAUCGACGAGCCAAUCAGCGUGCCCAGCAGUGCAGCUAGGAACCACCGCAACGCCACCAGGAACACCGCCUCGCAAAAGAAGCUCAGCUCGAUCUCAUCCAAACCAAAUAGGUAGUAGAGCGGCAUUGUGUUUGUGCGUUGGAGGAGAGCCCCGCUGCCAUUUUUAUAGCCCAACUCCGUUGUAUGAUGAGCGAGGUCCAGGAGAACCGCUCGUCGCUCGAUCACCGGCAUCCAGGAGGCGAAUCCACGAGCAGUGCCGACAAGGUGCUGGCCCGCGACGCGAGUGCUCGCUGCACCGGCGCCGUGCACGCUGUGCACUACGGCACUAGGGUCCUCAUCGCCCUAGGAGCUAGAUGCAUGCUGCGCCAAGCCGCACGCGGAGCAGCAACAUAGAAGAAGCAGCUAGCCGGAGGUAGAAGAAGGAGGCUGCCAGUGGGCCCUAGACCCACGUGUCCGCAGGUGAAACCACUGUUCAUUGGGGUGCAUCCAGCAUUUUUCGCGAGUCUGAUCUCGAGUGCCCCUAGCCAUGGAUAUAACUGUGUUUGCCCAUAUCUCUCCCUAGGUAUACCAAUUAUCGGUGCCCCAACUCGUUUGAAUCCAACCAAAGGGUUAAAUUUAACCCAGAGGUUUUUCCCCGGAGUGACUAUCUUUUUGAUUGUGCUGUAACCCUAGGAAUCUCGAGGACGAGAUUCUUUUAAGGGGGGAAGGUUUGUAACAGCCCCAAAAUUGGGUUAUCAAUUUUUGUGCUGUUAUUCCUUCAUGGCACUCAUUUUCCAAAUUUUCUCCUGAGUUUGCUGGAUGACUCUGAGAAAUUUUAUCAUUUCCAACCUUUCAAAACUUUCUCAUGUCUUUUUAAGUGGGCAAGCCCUCUUCUGCAUCAGCUCAAAUCCUCUCAAACCCUAAUUCCAAUUUUUGGAAUUUGAAUGUGGCCUUUGUGACUACAAAGGAUCCAUCAUUUUCCUUGAUCUGUUGAUCAUCCCAUCUGUUCCCUCAGACCCUCCUAUCCUCCUAAUCCUUGGAUAUGCAAAAAUAUUGCUAAGUCCCAUGCAAUAUUUUUGAAUUAUGAUUUAUUCCUUUUCUUGCCUUUCCGAGGAAUAAAAUCCUAAGGCAUAUCUAGUCCUCUCCUAAAUUCAUGAGAAUUGGUGGAGUUGAUAUUUAUGUCUAAUCCAAGAUCUGGCAAAGAUAUUGGCCAUAAUUAAAUAUUGAAAAUUGCCUUUUCCUAUUUAAUAUCAAUAUUGCAUUUCUGCCACUUUCCAAAGGAACUACUAUUUUUAUAGUAGGGAAAAUUCUCACGUAAAUUUUGGAGCUUGUCCUUGAUAUAUAAUCACUAGUUCCAUCCUUAUCUCAUGUUCCACAGAUCAAAAAUUGGGCACAUGAUCCAAUGCAAGUUUCUGUCUUCUCUGAAAUUUUGCAAAGGAACUGAUUUAUUCCUAAUUCGUUUUGAUCUUAUAUUUUGCAGGGUGAUUUACCUUGAUAAAUCACCCAUGGAUACCAAAGAUAAGCUCAAUCCAUUCAACCUAGCUCCCUGUGCAAUUUUUCAAAGUUUCUGACCAGAAUCCAACUUUGUGAAGGAAGUACCUUCAUAGAGUUUCCAAAUGGGGUGAAACUUUGCCAUCCUCUCAAGUAUCCCAAUUAGUUAGCCUCCACCCAAAUUAAGCUCAUUUAAUUGACCUAUGUGAGCACAGGAGCAAUUCUUGUUUUCUAUCCAAAUUUUCAGUUUGUGAAGCAACUAUAUUUUAUCUUGCUCCAUUAUGGCUGAAAAUAAUUCCAAGCCUUCUGCUAUCCAUAAAACUCACCUACCCAAGAGUUUGGCGCAUUUAAUGUAGCCAAUAGUUUCCUAGAAUUUUCUCAAGUUUCUGGUCAAAAGUGAUGCUUGUGAAACAAGUACCAAUUUGGCAUGUCCAUUUGGUAUGAUCUUUUUGAAGAAUCUGCAUAUGACAAAAUCAUGAGGAAUUGCCAAGUGGUAGCUCCAUCCAACACUCCUAGUGAGUGCUUCUUCAUCAUUUGUUUUCUGGGCCAGAUUUGGCUAUUGCACUGCAACUAUGCUAAAUCUUUGUCCUAAUCCCCUCCAACUUCCCAGGACCAUAGUACCUGCAACUCUAAACCUCCCGGACAUCAAUUUAAGCCCUUAACCUCUCUGGUUUGAUCACCACGAUGUGGCCAAGUUUGCUACAGCAAACUUGUCGAGCCUCGUUCCCUCUGCGCUCUACACUUUGCUCGUAACAUCACCUUCUUCUUAAUUAUAUUUGGAAGGACUACGCUUUAGACAUCAUUUGGCACCAAUUAGACGACCAAGGCAUGCGUUGUCGGUGGUGACCACGGGCAGUGCCAGCCAAAUCGGUGGUCUGCGCACUGUUGGCCACAGUGGAGCUGCUUCGGCUGGCUCUGGUUUGUCCAAGCUUGUCAACCAGCUCAGCUUCAUCGUCGCCGUGCGCCUGGACUCCUUUCCCCCUUCGUUUGCUUCCUCGUCGAGCCGUCACCGUCGCCGAACCCAGUGAGCUCCCGUGUGCGCCGUCGUUUCCUCGCUCCUGUCCGUUUCCUCCUCUUGUCCCCGAGCUCAGCUCGACUCCGUGACCUCCUGCGCGUCGUUAGCGUCCCCCUAGUCGCGUUCUCGUCGCUUCCCAUGGCAUUUGGCCGCACAUGCGCGUUGCCGGCGCGCGGACACGUAGCCGUGCCGCGUGUCGCCUCGCCCUCUCCCCCUCGAGCCCUGACCGAGGCUAUUUAAGCACGCCCCCGAGCCCCUCGCCGUCCACAAGCCUCCCCGAACCUCUAGCUCGAGCUCGAGGACCUCUCUGAUCCCUCCCCAUCGCCAUGGCCGCCGCCUCGGGUUCCUCUUGAUUCCCAGCACCCUAGCACCCCCGAACCCCGUGAGCACCCUGUAUGGAUGCGCCGCACUCCUUCGAGCCUCCCCGUAGCCUCAGCCCCUCCAUUCCCCCACCGGAACCCCCUGUUUGCUGGAGGCCGAAGCCCUGCUCCGCCGCCCACCUUGCUGCUCCUUCCCUAGUGCCCCUCGACGGCAGCUGACCACACCACGGGAUGCGCCUCUCGUUCCUGAACCCGUGGGUAGGUCGGCCGUCGCGAGCGGUGGCCGAACGCGCCGGCUAUCGCCGUCGAGGCGAGCCCCUCCCUCUGCCCGGCGCGCGUGCGAGCGGGAGGUUGAAGACGCAGGCCAGGCGGGCCGCACCUCCGCGAGGCCCACCCGUCAGUCGCACUAGGGGUUGACCCCAGCCGCUGACGUGGAUAAAUGACCACGUAUUCCGGUAGAUGCGCUUUCCCUAAGCCGAAAGUGUAUUCCUCUUCUUCUUCGGGCAAGAAUGCGCUUUCGCCUCUGGAAAGCGUAUUUCUGAGAAAGGCACGUUCAGUUUUUCCUCCAAGGGCCUGUUUGCUGAAAAAUUCACCGAUAGGUCCCUGAGCUUCAAUCCUCCGUAUCUUUUUAACCGUAACUCCGAAUCAGGUGAUUCCAAAUCCCACGUCUUUGUUUCAUCGAGCCCGUUCUGCUGGAACAUUUUCACCAUGUUUUCACAUUAUGAAAACGACCAUUUUACCCUUGUCCGUAAACAGCCCCCUCCGAGAGAGAACUGUUUCUGGCAAAUCUUUCCACGAUCGUUCCGCACUUUUUCCGGAGUAAUCCUCGACCCCCAGGCAAGCCAACCUGUUAUCAUGAGCCCCAAACUUGCAUGUUGACUUUGCUUGUACCUCGCGUGUGUGCUUAGUUGCAGUAGUUUCUUGUCUGUUUCGUGUGCUAUUAUUUCAGUCGUGCUAAAUAGUUUUGUUAUCUUUCUUGCAUGCUUGAGUUUUCAUUAAAUAAGUUGCCAUGCUACAUUGUUACUGAUAAUAUCAGGCCUCCGUUUAGUUUCGUAUUAGUAGUAUCGAUGUUAUGAUAGUUCUGUUGCGCUGCUAAGUUUACUAGCACUUAGUAUUGCCAUGUUUCGCAUGAUAUCUCGGUCAUUUGAAAUGCUUGGUGUUUUAUUACUACAUCGGUAUGUUGCAUGUUAGUUGUUUCAUUCAUGUUAAUAAUGUCUGCAUGAUAUUGAUGAUGGAGAAGUUAAUAAUAUGACUUAAUAACAAACCUCCUCCGUCAUCACUGGGAUAUCAUAGUGCCACUCCAAUUGAGCUUUCACCAGUGCAACCACGCUUACCUAAUGGGAAGGUCCUAGCUGGGUCUAUUGUCAUGCCUCUCGCCGGUGACUCCUGCAAGGGAAGGUUAUGCGCGGGCGCUACCCUGAUUAGGUAGGACGGCAUAUGCCUUGUGUGCCCGGGUUUGGUUUUGAGCUCAUGUCCCCGUUUGGGACCAUUUUGCCACGACGGAGGUCAUUGGUACCUUUGGUAGGUACGGGGCCACCCAGGACUGAACCCAUAAGGGGUGUUGGUUGGAGUGGUCGGGAGAGUGUCAAGGCAGCAGUUCGGUUUUGUCGGAACACCGGGUCCGUACGUAUGGGAGUGCGAGGCCAGGGUUCCGUAGUGUGGGUAAAGUGCGCUACCUCUGCAGAGUGUAUUUAAUCUAUCGAUAGCCACGUCCUCGGUCAUGGGCAAAAGUUCGUAGUAAGGUCACACUAUCGGGUCUCGGGCGUAAUGGAGGAUAAACCUUAACUAACUAAGUGGAUGAAUCAUGUGAUAUAAUAAAAUGUGAUGACUUUGACUAUGAGAUCGUCGUGAGUAAUCACGAUGACGAGUUGGUAGGAUCAUCGAGACGAGGUCUCGGUAAGUGUUGAACCAAGUAUGGUUCCGUUGGUGAUCCGUGUAUGAUCAUCGUUUGGUUGCGAGGCAACCCACUGGUAAGAGAGUCUGAGGGACUCGAUGCACAAAUUUAUUUGCAUUGCAUGAGUAAUAUGUUGUUAUUUGCAUGGUAGAACAUGAGAUGAUUGCAUAGAGUUAACAUGUUAUGUUUGCAUUGGAUAUGACUGGUAGUUUACUUUCAGUAUAGUUUCAUGAUGUCAUGCCAUGUUUUGACUGAACUUAUGCCAUGCUUUGAUAUGCCAUGUUCUGAUUGAAAUGCCAUGCUACGUUUUGCUGUUGCCAUGUUAGAAGUAAGUUUGAUAUGCCAUUGCCAUGCUAGUAGAUGCCAUGAUGUUGUUUUUGAUCCAUGUCUCUAGUUAAUAUCUUGCCAUGCUUAGUUUCUGCUAUAAGGUAGGUUAUUGCAGACGCCUGGUUCUUAUUUUGUCAUCUAUUUGUUUGGAUGAUAUGUAUUUGGUUGUCUUGCAAGUACAUUCAAUGUACUGACCUGGCGUGUCAUGCCAGUUUUGUAGGUCGUUCGCGUGUUCCGUCGUGCUAGGCCGUAACCUUGCCAGUCAUGUGAGUUGUGGAGCCGAGCCAGAGUUGUAGCUGCCAAACCAAGACUUGUGCCGCCAUUUAAAUGGACUUUUGCUGCCAUUUAAAUAGCCUUAAGGCUAUGCCAGAUAGUUGUAUUCAUCAAUGAUGUAAUCAUAUACACAUGUAUUUGAUGAAUAUUAUUGUACCUGGAAUGAUGUAUCAUGGACCUGUCAUGCGUCAGGCAUAAUCCUAGGCUGAUGUGCGAAGGCCCCCUGCUCCAUGCGGAUCAGGGUGCCACAUUACCCAGGUUCGGGCCCUCUCUAUGGAGGUAAUACCCUUCUUCCUGCUUGAUUGAUCUUGAUGAAUAUGAGUAUUACAUGAGUUGAUCUACCACGAGAUCGUAAUGGCUAAACCCUAGAAGUCUAUCCUGUAUGACUAUGGUAAUGAGUAUCUCCCCUUUCCGGACUAAGUCCUCCGGUUUAUAUAGACACCGGGAGGAUCUAGGGUUACACAAGGUCGGUUACAAAGGAAAAUAAUCUACAUAUUUGGUCGCCAAGCUUGCCUUCCACGCCAAGGAGAGUCCCAUCCGGACACGGGUGCAGUCUUCGGUCUUCGUAUCUUCACAGCCCAUCAGUCUGACCCAUGGCUAAUAGGCCCAGCGUCCGAGUACCCCUUAGUCCAGGACUCCCUCAGUAGCCCCUGAACCUGGCUUCAAUAACGAGGAGUCCGGCAGGCAGAUUUGUCUUCGGCAUUGCAAGGCGGGUUCCCUUCUUUCCGAACUCCAAGAUAGGUCUCCGGACGCGAUGAUUGUAUCCAGACCUGUCACACACCACACACAACUGUAGAGGGAAUAUAAUACUCUACGAGUCCAAUCCGCUGACAACUUUUUACAACGUGACAUCACGUCUGCCCGGUCAUAAUUUCAGACCGUUCUGUUCAGCUGUUCCACAUUUCGAGAUGCGGUUGCCAUUGGUACGUCUUGUCGAAGUAGAGAUCAUGUCCCCUUAUUGCGGGAUUCUCAUCAAUACGAGCAUGGGUAACCCAACCUGUUGUUUACACAACCUUGGGAAUAGGCGAGUUUUAAGGAGAAUGAGGAGGCGCUUGAUAUUCGCGACCCUUUAUAAGGGGAUAAGAAUUCGCCCUUAUCUACUCACGCCUUCCCCUUCCUCUGUCCUUCCAUCCUUGAGCUCCAGUGCCAAGUCCCCAUCUUUCUCCAGCUCUGAAAAGCAUCCGACCAUGUUCGGAUCUGGAGGUCAAGGCAAAUGGAUGGUCUCCUCCAUCAAGGAGAAAGACAUUACCGAGCUUCGGGCGGCCGGGUAUUUGGCGUAGGAAAUCACCCACCGUCUUCCAGCCCAGGGGCAAGUCGUCCCCACACCGAAGCCCAACGAGAGGGUGGUAUUCAUCGCUCAUUUCUUCUACGGGCUAGGGUUUCCACUCCACCCUUUCGUCCGCGGGCUGAUGUAUUAUUAUGGGAUAGACUUCCAUGAUCUAUCCCCAAACUCUUUCCUCAACAUCUCGGCGUUCAUCAUCGUGUGUGAGGCCUUACCCCACAUCCAACCCCACUUCGGGUUGUGGCUCAAAGUCUUAAACAUGAAGCCGAAGGUAGUGGACGGCUAGCACGCGGAGUGCGGAGGAGCCAUGGUGAGUAAGCUGGCCAAUGUCUCCUCGCCAAAAGGCACCUUCGUGGAGACUGUAAAGGAAUGGCAAAAACAAUGGUUCUACAUCACAGAACCCCGCGACACAAACUGGGCCGCGGCUGCCGAAUUUAACUCCGGCGCUCCCAUGCGACUCACCUCCUGGGUCGAGAAGAGCCCGAACUGGUGUUCUCCAGACGAGCUGGUAGCGCUGUAGACGUGCGUUCAAAGCAUGGUGGACAAGAAUGUUAAACUUGUUGAUAUAAUCCAGGUGAUUCUAGUUCGCCGGAUUCUCCCGUGCCAAAUCCAAAGCCUCCUGCUAUGGAGGUUCAAUCUGAAGAAGCACCAUACCUUGAAGAGGCUCUUCGAGACCACUCAUGAAGAUGCCUGGAAAUUGCUCUUCAAGGGCAACGAGAUACCGGCAGCCACAUAUUCGGACCAUGGACACGACAUUAACCACCCUAACAGCGAGGUGGGUUUCCAACACGUCCUCUACUUUUCUUCUUUAAGGAAGAAAUCUGAACUUUUACCGUCAUUGCUUUUUCAGGAAUGGAUGAAGAGGGCGAAGCGGAUCCAGUGUCCGGCUCCGCUGCCUGAAGAACCAGUCAUCCCGCGUUUAGCGAAGAUGCUGGAAGGCGCCGGAGAAGAAGUCCAAGAAGAAGGCCAAGGGGGCCAAAGGUGGCCCCCGCCGUAAGGGUACUUCGGACGUAACGUCCAAGGAUGAAGAGACCCGUUCCUCCGUCCCUGAGGAGGAGGAGGAGGAGGAGGAGGAGGAGAUCCCUCCCUGUGAUGAGGGGAGGGAGAAGAGGGCAGCCUCCACAAAUCUGGAGGCGUGGACGCCCAAGAAGAGGAAGGGAUCCCUUGCGGAUAACUCCGUAUGGGAUGUCGACAGUAGUCCGAAGCGCCGCUCCCACGCUAAGCCUCAGGCCGCAUCGUAAGUACUACGAUUCAUGCAUAUACAUAUGUCCGACCUCUUUUCCUCAUUGUAUGAACAUGGUUAGUUGUGUUAUUUCAGUCUGGCCCUCGACAACUUCCAGCGAUCCUCAUCAGGAGGUUCGCUAGACUCCAAGGAGAUGGCCAGCAUGUCACCGCCGACCGCUCACUCUCCCAAGGCCAUGGACGACACCAGGUGUUGUCCCGAAGUACCGCUCCAGGCCAAGGAGAGGAUCCAAACGAUGUCAAGAGGGCGCCAGAGGGCAAAACCUCUACCGCCGAACACACAGGGGAGCAAAUCCCCAUGGAGACUGGCGAGGAGGGCCGUCAGUUCGGACCUCAGCCAUAUAUGACUGCGGAGACCCAUACGGUUCCGGAAUCCAGCGAGCGACCUCCUUUGAAAGAGGGGGGGUGCGCCCAUUCCACCGAUGGCCCCUGUUCAACCAGGGGCACCGGAUAAUCUGACGGAGGCGCCUCGAGGUGCCUCCAUUGUGGACGAGCAUCGUAUCCUUAUGGGUACGGUGAUUGAAAGGGUCUAGUCCUCCAAGAGCGGGCUGACCGAAGCCUGCAGCAACCUGCUGACAGGUUUUGAGGUAAGCGACACACAAAUCCCAAUAUAGUCAGUAGCCCCUGAGACACUGUCCGGUGUUCAGAAAGAAAAGCCGGACAGGGGGUCGAUCCUUACUUGUAGGAAAUUAACUAAAUUUGUCGAGAAUGAAUAUGCAGGCGUCGCUUCUGUCCGCGGCCUCACAUGCUACAGAAGUCUCUGAACUUAAGUGGAGGCUAGAGUAGGCCAAGGAGGAGCUCGGCCGGCUGAAGAGGCAACUCCAGGAGAAUAAAGGUAUGUAAUAACCUAAGAAGUAUUCGGAAAUAGUAGGAUGUUAUAUAUUGACCAAAGUGUCUUGACAUAAAUAGGAGCAACGACUGAGGUCGAGGCCCUGAAAAAGGCCCUGGGCGAAGCCGAGGGGAAGGCCGUCAAGGAGCAGGCUGCCCGUAAGAAGCUCAAGGCCCGGGUCAACGAGGUCCAACAAGAUCUCCAUGACGCGGUGAAGAAGUGUGAGACCUUGGAACGUGAUGUGUCGGCUAAAGAGGCCAAACUCUCCAAGGCUCGCUAGAGCACGGAGACGACCUGGAACGAGGCCCAGGGCACCCUCCAAGAGAUCCAAGAGGCGAGGAAGAUCGCGGUGGGUAAGGCAUUCAGUAUGCAAAGCAAAUAUGCAAAGAGGAAGUAUCUUUUACUAACCUGGAUUCGGAGUUCUCCAGGGGCUUUUGCUGAUCUGCUGCGAAGUGUGUCGACACCGUGGAGUCCUUUCGAGCCGAGGAAGGGAGUCCCACGGAGAAGCUAUUUCGCUCACAAUAUCUUGUGCCAGAGCAUCCCGUGCCCUUCAGCGAUCAGCUGAAACAGCUGGUGGAGCUGCGUAGGGUGGCCGAAAUAGCCAUAAAGGAUUUGAUAAUCCGGCUAUGGCCAGCUGCAACUAUGCCCAGCAGCUACUUUGGACUCAUGAGGCGGACGGUGAAUGCUUGUCCUCGGCUGGAUAUCAUCAAGCGAUCGGCCUGUAUUGAAGGUGCUCGUAUAUCCUUCGCUCGUUGCAAGAUGUGGUGGGCGAAGAUGAACACCGUCGAGCUGGCCAAGGGGCCGCCAGAGGGCAAGGAGCACCGCACACCUGAGCAUUAUUUUGCGGAUGUCCUAGAAGGGUCUCGCAUUGUGGCAACAUAGUAUGGGAAGGACAUUAUUUUCGAAUGAAUACAUUCGUGUUGUCUUUGCCUUGUAUGAUGAAACAAAGUCAGUUUGUAAUAUAAUUUUUGUUAUGUUUUAUUUUUUUCCUCCUGUGCGGCCGUGUUGUAUAGAAUCUGAGGGUUGGCCAAUCGUCGGCUUCUGCCCCCACGUAGGUAGUACGAGGGUGUUCAGGAUGGAAUCUAAACAAUCUUGAUCCAAUUUUAUGGUCCUUGAAGGAGUUGUUUAGUGCAACAAACCAGGCAAUCAGACUAUGCAGCUUAAACGCCCUCACUUAGCCAUAGGAGUUUUACAAUAAAACAUAGGUACAACCCCUAGUUUUCGAACCAGAGUGCUAUGAGCGUUUGAUCGGGAAGUACCGAUCCUUCGUGUAAUGCGGGGGAAAUCUCCAACGAUUUGUAACCUCCGAACAGCUGACCGGCUCUCGCCACAUCAUGACAGUCAGUUUUCAGCUUUCUCUAGUGAGGUGCUCCUUUGGAUAAACCAGGGCACAAUCGCAGUAGUUCUCCCUUUACUACCUUAGCUGAUAUAGCGGAACGUAAGGUAGCAAGCACAGGAGCCGGGCAACCCAACUAUUGAGCAAAGACAUGAUUCAGAGCCAAUGCAUAUAAUGCUAAAUUCGGGGUGCCGAACUAUACUAUAAAGAGUGUUCGGACUUUGUUGCCGUAUUGUGGGGCAUCUGGGAGCCCCUAGGAAAUAUGAAAUGUACCAAAGUGUAGGGGUGCUAGAAGAUAAGUUAUUAAAGGAAAAUAGAAAGAAAGCAGAGGUAAUAUCUUGGGCCCUUAAACUUGAGCCACGAACUGUUUCCAUUAUAAUUGGGUUAAUGCGUCGAAGCGCAUUGAUACAAAUGGUGUGAUAAGUAACCGGUUUUUUAACAUGUCGCGACUGAAGGCGAGCUGCGUGUGGGUCCUGACAACAGGUAGACUAGCCGUUAAUUGGACCUCUAGAACUUCCCCUGUACAUCUGUGCUUCUUGCCAUCCUGGUGUUUUUAUCCUGUGAUAGGACCAGUAGUCGGGUCGGCAAAGAAGGCCUAUGCAAAAUAAACCUGAAAUAGUGACAAUAUAUGUAUGUCCGGGAUCGGUCGAGCCGAACUGUGGAUCACAAACUAGUUGUGCCUCCGUCGAUGCCCAUGGGAUUUCUAGUGCGUAAUUAUGCACGCGUGGUACGAAUGGCACUACCUGAUCAGGGCUGGGACGGAGGCCAAUUGCUAGUCGAGCUCUUGAUGAGCCGUGUUGUCCUGGUGCAGGGUAGUCCGGACCCUCUUUACGAUGUCCAAGGGCUCGGCAACCGGAUUAUGGUUCUGCUUGAGAAGCCCGCUCUGUACUUCUCCUGCUAGGGCGGCGUUGUGCUCCUCUGUACGGAGGGAGCGUUCCAUGUUUCCGUUGACCGUUAUGACACCGCGUGGGCCGGGCAUCUUAAGCUUAAGAUAAGCAUAAUGCAGCACCACAUUGAACUGAGCGAAUGCCGUCCGUUCGAGCAGUGCGUGAUAACCACUGCGGAAUGGGACGAUGUCGAAGAUUAACUCCUCGCUUUGGAAGUUGUCGGGGGAUCCAAAGACAGCCUCUAGUGUGAUUGAGCCCAUACAGCAGGCCUCUACACCUGGUAUGACUCCUUUGAAGGUAGUCUUCGUUGGCCUGAUCCUUGAUGGAUUAAUGCCCAUUUAGCGCACUGUGUCUUGAUAGAGCAGAUUGAGGCUGCUACCACUGUCCAUGAGGACUCGCGUUAGGUGGAAUCCAUCAAUGAUUGGGUCUAGGACUAGUGCGGCUGAUCCGCCAUGCCGGAUACUAGUCGGAUGAUCCCGACGAUCAAAAGUGAUUGGGCAUGAUGACCAUGGGUUGAAUUUUGGGGCGACUGGAUCUAUAGCAUAAACGUCCCUUAGUGCAUGUUUGCGCUCCCUUUUGGGGAUGUGUGUAUCAUAUAUCACCGUUUUAACUUGAGGGGGAAACUUCUUCUGCCCCCCUGAGUUCGGCUGCUGGGGCUCUUCGUCAUCGUCCUCACUUUGCGAUCCCUUUUCCUUGUUCUCGACGUUUAACUUGGCGGCCUGUUUGAAGACCCAACAAUCCCUGUUGGUAUGAUUGGCUGGUUUGUCUAGGGUGCCAUGUAUCUGGCACGGACGAUCGAGUAUGCGGUCCAAGCUGGAUGGUCCCUAACCAUUCCUUUUAUAUGGCUUUUUCCGCUGACCGGACUUAGAGCCGCUGAAUCCGGCAUUAACUAUAGUGUCAUUAGUAUUAUCACCAUUGCUUCGGUGUUUGCGUCUGUUACGUCGGAGCUUGCCAUUGUUGUUCUUAACCUUGGAGGGGCCUGCCUCGCUAGCUGUGUUUUUGCUGCGAGCCAACCAACUAUCCUCACCCGCGCAAAAGCGGGUCAUGAGUGUCAUGAGGGCUGCCAUAGAUUUUGGCUUUUCUUGGCCGAGGUGGCGGGCCAGCCAUUCAUCAUGGAUGCCAUGUUUAAAGGCCGCUAAGGCUUCGGCAUCCGGACAAUCGAUGAUCUGGUUCUUUUUAGGUAGGAACCUAGUCCAGAACUUCCUGGCUGACUCCCCGGGCUAUUGAACUAUGUGACUUAAGUCAUCGGUGUCUGGAGGCCGAACAUAUGUACCUUGGAAGUUGUCGAGAAAAGCUUCUUCCAGGUCCUCCCAGCUGCCAAUAGAAUUCUCGGGCAGACUGUUUAGCCAGUGCCGGGCUGGCCCUUUAAGUUUUAGUGGGAGGUAUUUGAUGGCGUGAACAUCGUCCCCGCGGGCCAUGUGGAUGUGGAGAAUAAAAUCCUUGAUCCAUACCGCAGGAUCGGUUGUUCCAUCAUAUGAUUCAAUGUUUACGGGUUUAAACCCUUCUGGGAAUUCGUGGUCCAUUACUUCGUCAGUGAAGCAAAGAGGGUGUGCGACACCUCUAUAUCGGGCCGCAUCGCGACUAGCUCUGAUGGAGGCUGUCUGCGGUUUUCAGCUCGGGGGUGACUAGGUUUGUCACGCCCGAAUAGAUAGCUGUCGCCGCGCAUUAAGGCAUGUCCUCGCGAUCUAUAGAUCGAUCUUGUAUGUUCCGCUCUGCUGUCCAGGUCUUGGCGGAGGUCAUAUGUAUGGCCCCGAGCUGUCUUAUCCCUGCCUUUACGACGGGGUGGGACAGUCUGGUUUUUGGCUUGGGUUGCAGUUUUAUCCCGACCAUGCGGUGGCCAAUCAGCCGCGUUUUGUGAUGCUGGUGCGGGAUCUGGUGCCUCAUCGUAGAACUGAGGUAGCAAUCCGCGCUUCGGGUAACUUUUGACUAUGCUCUGAGGCCGUAUUCUUUGGCUACCAGGACAUCAAUCCAUCUGUCGACGAGCAGAUCUUGGUCAGCUUGAAGCUGCCGCUGUUCGUUUUUCGGGCUCCUUGCAGUGGCUAUUAGCUGGCGCUUAAAGCGCUCCUACUCUAGAUUCUCCUAUGGCACGAUGAAGUUGUCGUUGCUGAGGCUUGCCUCCUCCUUGGAGGGCGGAUGGUAACUACCAUCCUUCGAGUCUUCUUCCAUUGCCUGUUCGUCAGGGCUGACUUGCCCAUCUUCCCGAUGGUCUUGUUCGGCAGUUUGUUCAUCGGGUUCUUCUGUGUCUUCGGCACCAUCUGCAGUGUUAUCGUCUCCUGUGUCGGUGUUGUUGUCCCAACUGCGGCGGGAUUUAGAACGGUUCCACUGAUGCCGGCGCUUUGGUUUUGUCUUGGGAGGGUCUUCCUUUCUGGGGUUUUCCUUGUCAUCGCCACUAUUAAUUUUCAGCGUGUCUACCACGUAGAUGUUGUAUGAGGAAGUGGCCGUCCAUCGUCCGGUGAACAGCGGGUUUUGGGCCUCCUUGUCUCCGGCAUCGUCGUCCAUACCAUCGAUGUCUUCGGAGUCAUAGUCAAGCGCGUCGGUUAAAUCUUCGACAGUGGCUACGAAGUGGGUGGCGGGUGGGAAGCAAAAUUCCCCAUCACCAGCCCCUAGUUCGAACCGUACAUAGUUCUGCUGUGAGUCCCCCGCCAAGGACAAGUUCUUUAAUGAGUUCAGCAUAUCGACCAAGGGCAAGUGUCAGAAGAUGUCUGCGACGCUAAACUCGAAGAUCGAUAAGCGAUCAAGUUCGGUAUCUGCGGACUCACAUGGUUUGGAACUUAUACCCGGAGAAGAGUCGGAGCUCCAGUGACGUGAGUAUUGUGUGAGGUUAAGCCCAUGUGCGGCUCCAGCACCGGGGAGUCUGCGGCCUCCAUGGUGGGGUCGAGCCUCCGAUCCUUGGAUGCCACAGUGUGCUCUAGAUCUAAAGCCAGAGGGGUUGCAGGAGCUUCCUGGAUGCGGUCUGACGACGGAUUUAGGUCAUGUCCGUCAAGGUGACUAGGAGCGGUCGCCGCGGUUUCGAACCUGGCGAAGAUCAAAUCUCCACAGAUGUACACAACAUAAUUCAAGCUCCCAAAUCUAACUUGAUGGCCAGGGGCGUAGCUAUCGAUCUGCUCCAAGUGGCCAAACGAGUUGGCCCACAGUGCGAAGCCGUCGAACACGAAGAUUUGUCUAGGGAGGAAGGUUUCUCAUUGGACAACGUCAUUGUUAAUGAUUGAAGGGGACACCAAACCUUUUGGGGACGGCACAGUGGAAGUCUCAAUGAAAGCACCAAUGUUGGUGUCAAAACCGGUGGAACUUGGGUAGGGGGUCCCGAACUGUGCGUCUAAGGUCGAUGUUAACAGGAGACAGGGGACACGAUAUUUACCCAGGUUCGGGCGCUCUCUAUGGGGGUAAUACCCUACUUCCUGCUCGAUUGAUCUUGAUGAAUAUGAGUAUUACAAGAGUUGAUCUACCACGAGAUCGUAAUGGCUAAACCCUAGAAGUCUUGCUUGUAUGACUAUGGCAAUGAGUAUAUCCCCUUUCCAGACUAAGUCCUCUAGUUUAUAUAGACACCGGGAGGAUCUAGGGUUACACAAGGUCGGUUACAAAGGAAAAGAAUCUACAUAUUUGGUCACCAAGCUUGCCUUCCACGCCAAGGAGAUUCCCAUCCGGACACGGGUGCAGUAUUCGGUCUUUAUAUCUUCACAACCCAUCAGUCCGGCUCAUGGCUAACAGGCCUAACGUCCGAGGACCCCUUAGUCCAGGACUCCCUCACUGGUUUGAGCCACAAGUCCACCUGGCGAAGACUCGUGAAGGUCUCUUCUAGGUCCCGAAUCAACGUUCUCGCCUCCCGAGACUUCACCACAAUGUCAUCGACGUAAGCUUCAGCGUUCCUCCCGAGCUGCUGGCCCAUGGCGAUGUGCAUCAGUUGUUGGAAGGCCGCGCCUGUGUUGCGCAGCCCGAAUGGCAUGCAGGUGUAGCAUUAAACCCCACAAGGGGUCAGGAAGGCCGUCUUCUCCACAUCCUCUACUGCCAUCUUGAUCUGGUGAUAGCCUGAAAACGCAUCCAGAAAGCACAGCAGGUCGCACUCGGCGGUGGAGUCGAUGAUCUGGUCGAUGCGCGGGAGCGCGAACGGAUCUUGGGGACAUGCUUUGUUGAGGUUGGUGAAGUCGACACACAUGCGCUCCUUCCGCCUUUCUUUGGCACGACGACGGGGUUCGCCAGACACUCGGGGUACCGAACCUCGCGAAUGACACCUGCAGCCUCUAGCUUGCGGGUUUCUUGGAUGAUGAAGGACUGCUUCUCCAUGGACUGUCGUAGUGGCUUCUGCUUAACAGGGCGCACAUUGGGGUAGACCCUCAAGUGAUGCUCUAUCACCCCUCUUGGGACCCCCACCAGCUGUUUGGGCUCCCAGGCGAAUACUUCCUUGUUUGUGUGCAAGAACUUUAUCAAUGCUUCCUCCUGGUCUCGGUCGAGGUUGGCACCGAUGGUGAAGGUAGGUCCCGAGGACCCGUCCUCCUCGACCGGCACUUGCUUUGUUUUGGCUCGGUCUUGGGUGAGCAACUGCUUCUUUUUCGCUGGCGCAGCCCCCUUGGCCCCUGGGGUGGCGUCGGCGGCCGGGUGGGCCGCCACCGCGGCCCUUAAGGCUUGUCGGAGGGCCGUCAGGGCCUCCUUGGUGUCACCAGUCAUGGUAAGGACACCAUUGCUCCCCGGCAUCUUCAUGAGGUUGUAGGCGGGAUGGGUAGCCGCCAUGAAUUGAGCCAAGGCCGGGUACCACAUUGUACGAAAGGACGAUGCGGGCGAUGUCGAAGUCAAUCAGCUCCAUGCGGUAGUUUUUGCGGGUGCUUAAGGUCACAGGAAGGCGGAUCCACCCCAAGGAAUUGGAGGAGCCACCGCCGACCCCAUAGAAGGGCUUCCUAGGGCGGAGCCGCUCGAGCGGUACGUGAAGAAGGCUAAAAGCCUCCACAGAGAGCAUGUUGAGGCCGGCGCUAUCACAUCCCUAGCUUCUGGCAAUGCACUGGUGCUAGUCUUUGGUGAUGCAUCAUGUUUACUUUUACAGAAAGUUGAAAUGGGGAUUGUCCAAACCCUAGCAUUAAAGGAAUUCACUAGGUUCACCUGAAAUAUUUUCAGUAAGUCCAAAUGGCUUUCAAAAAUGUUCAUCAUUUAUGGGAAAUACUGUAAACAGUAGCCAGAGGUGAUGCACAUUUUUCCAUGAUAUAUUUGGGCUCUGAAAUAAAUUAUACUCUAUUUGAAUUUGGGCAUUUAAAUACUAUAAAAUAUUUAAAAUGUCCAAAUAAUCCUAAACUGAAAUGUUCCAUGUUGGAUAUAUUCCAAACAGUGGCCAUGAGCAGUUUGGUGAUUUUUGAGUGUGCCUAAGUAUUUUUAAUAAAGCCAUCAAGUUGCAGAAAAAUAGAAAACUGAAACAAAAGGAAAAGAGCUUACCUAUAACUUACCUGGACCUACUGCUGUGCAGCCCACUUGGCAGCCCAGCCAACUGGCCCAGCCCACCAGAAGCCCCACCGUCUUCAACCUCUGCCACUAGGCAGAGGCGUGUCGACGCACGCGCGCGUCGAUGCCACCUCCUGCUUCGUGCUGGAGGCUCAACCUUCUCCCUGUCCCCGCGCCUGGAGACGCCUCGACCCCCUCUGUCCUCCCCCCCCCUCUUUCCUGGCUCUCUCCCUCCCCCUCGCUUGCCCGCAGCAAUGGCCGAAUGCCACCAUCGCCACCGACGCUGUUCGCCGCGACUACAGCCACCGCCUAGCCUCCCCAACACAUCCAGGAGCUCCACCUCCGUCGUCUACGCCUCCUCGAGGACACAAGCGCCGCCGGACGCCCCCGGACGCCUACACCGCCGCCAUCUUCAAGCUUCGGCCGCUGGAGAUCGUCGACGCCGAUUCGCCGACCCCGGCGCAUCCCCGAGCUCGCUGACCACCUCAUCGCCCUCGCUUUGAGCUCAACUGCGUUUCCACUCCCUCCUUUUGCUCGCCCCCACAUCGUAGCGCCAAACCCGACCUUGGCCGAACUCCGGCCGCCGCGGAUGACCUCGCCGUUCCCAAGUCCGACCACCUCACGCCCUUCCCCUGCCACCGUUGGAUGCGCACGAGCCCCAGCUCCUCGUAGAUGGGCUCGGCCAUGGAUUUGAUCGCCGGAGCCGCCGUCCUGAUCAUCGCCGCCGCGAUCUAAGGUCGCCGAUGGUUAACUGCCGGCAUGUCUGACGUGGCAGCGUCAUUAGCAGCUAAUGGCGCCACUAAUAGAACCAACACCCACUGACAUAUGGGCCCCACUGCCUAACUAACCCUGAUUUAGUUUUGUUUAAAUUAAAUUAAACCCGCUGGUCCCAUAGGUCAGAUUGACUUGGCCACGUCACCUGUUGACCCGACCCCACCUGUCAGUGACACAAACAAUGCUGGUUCACUGACCAGUGGACCCCACUGGUCAGGUUUGACCUGGGGCAGCCCUGUUGACCGCUGACGUCACCCUGACGCAAUGCUGACGCAGUAAACAAUUUCUGUAUCUAAAAUAAUUCAGGAAUUCCAAAAAAUGUUCAAAACUUCUAAAAUUCAUAGAAAAUCAAUCGUAACUCCAAAUGAAAUAAAUUAUAUAUGAAAAAUGAUCAGAAAAAUCCAAUCUAUCCAUCUGCUCUGGUUUCAUGCAUGUUAGAACAACUUAUAGCUGCUGUUUAGCACAAAUCAUAUAAAUGGCAUUUAAACCUUCACAUAUGGAGUUUGAAUUUUAAUCUUGGGUUCAAACCAACUCCAUUUAACCUGCUGCUAGAUGCAUUAGCUCAAACCACAACAUAUUGCCAUGUCAUGAUCAUGCAUCAUAUUGUGCAUUGCAUUGAUUGUGUUUCUUCUUUGUUUGUUGGUGCUUGUCUCCUCUCAGUAGACGUGUACCGACGAUGUGACCGAUGACACCGAUGAAGAACUAUACUAUCUUCAGAAGUGCCAGGCAAGCAAAACCCCCUUGCUCAUUUCGAUACAAUCCCACUCUCUCGCUCCUGCUCUCUUUACUGCAUUAGGACAAUAACGACUAAACUGUUACAUGCUGCGAUAGAUGAACCCCUUUCCUCUGCAUGACCUGUCAUUGCCACACUAAUUAGAUGAAACCCACUACCAUGAGUAGGAGUUGUUUGAGCCCUGAUGUGCCUACUCAUUCAUGCUUGUUUGUCAUGCCUGCUACUGCUUAGAGUUGAGUCAGGUCUGAUUCAUCGGGGAUGAAUUGGAGGUGUGUGAACAUGUUCUGCUGAGUGUGGUCUAAAUGUGUGAACACGAUUUGGUAAAGGUAGCGGUGAGAGGCCAUGUAGGAGUACAUGGUGGGUUGUCUCAUUGAAACCGUCCUCAGGAACUGAGUUUUGUGUUUGUGAUCCAUGAACAGCUACUACCACUCAUUGGAAUCCUUAAUUGACCCUCUCGGCUUCUUAAUCACGCUUGUUCUCUGUCCAGGAGUUGCAACUAGUUUCUGGUGUUUGUAGGUAGUGCUAGUAGUCUACCAAGUGGCACCCAGUAUAGGUAGGCCUGGGACAGACUAGGUGCAGUUGCACGGUGUACCAAGUGGCACCCGGAUGGUGGGCUUGGGAACCUUGCUCACAUCGUUUGGGGCCGUGAGCAACACCCCGGCUGGAUCUCCUUGCGGAUGGAACCCGAAUAGGCGAUAAACCUGGACGAGAGACUUGAGUAGUUAGGUAGGUCGUGGCCGACACCCUCGCCAGUGCUUCCGCUUGAAGGUUGCCGAGAUACAUGACGUGUAUAUGGCGGUAAGUGGUGAGAGCGUGUGUGAAGAAGUACACCCCUGUAGGGUUAACAUCAUCUAUUCGAAUAGCCGUGUCCGCGGUAAAGGACUUCUGGGUUGCCUGUACAGUUCAUAGACAAGUGAAAGUGGAUACUCUAAAAUACGCAAGAUAAGCAUGAGUGCUAUGGAUGGCGUUCUCGUAGGGAGACGGGAGCGGAUGCAUAGUGGUGUAUUGGUAUGGUGAAUAUGUGGACUCGUGUGCGCCACCUCAAAAGAGUUACUUGCAGUCGUAGUUCAGGAUAGCCACCGAGUCAAAGCUGGCUUGCUGCAGUUAAACCCCACCACCCCCUUUGUUGAAAAUGAUGCAUAUGUAGUUAGUUUUGAUGUAAGUCUUGUUGGGUACAUUUGUACUCACGUUUGCCUAUUUUAUGUUUUUGCAGAGAGACUUCAGUCUCACUAGUAAUUCCGUGUGGACUUCGACGUUUAGCCUGUUACCUCAGCUAUGAUCUUGUGCCCUCAGCAGGAUCUGGUAGAUAGUGAGGCUUCUCAGCCUUUUUCAUUUGUAGAUGUCUGUACUCAGACAUGUUAAGCUUCCGCUUGUGCUUUGACUUGUAUGCUCUGAAUGGUGGGUCGAGAGACCCAUGUUUGUAAUAUCUCGCUCCUCGGAGCCUAUUGAAUAAAAUACUUGAGUUGUAGGGUCAUGUUGUGAUGCCAUGUUGUAUUUGCACAUAUCGAGCAUAUUGUGUGUAUUUUAUUGAAAUGGUUGGUAUGUGUGGGAUCUGACUAUCUAGUUGUUUAUCCUUAGUAGCCUAUCUUACCGGGAAAUGUCUCCUAGUGCUUCCACUGAGCCAUGGUAGCUUGCUACUGCUCCGGAACACUUAGGCUGGCCGGCAUGUGUCCUUCUUUGUUCAUGUGUCUGUCCCUUCGGGGAAAUGUCAUGCGGUGAAUACCAGAGUCCUGUUAGCCUGCUACAGCCCGGUUCACCAGAGUCCUGCUAGCCCAGUGCUACAGCCUGGAUUCACUCGCUGAUGACCGACACGUUCGAUGUUGGGUCAUGGAUGCCUGUCCCUGUAAGUUUGUGCCACUUUGGGUUUACGACUAGCCAUGUCAGCCCGGGCUCCUUAUCAUAUGGAUGCUAGCGACACUAUCAUAUACGUGUGCCAAAAGGCGCAAACGGUCCCGGGCAAAGGUAAGGCGACACCCGUGGGAAUACCGUGCGUGAGGCCGCAAAGUGAUAUGAGGUGUAACAUGCUAGAUCGAUGUGGCAUUGAGUCGGGGUCCUGAUAGCUUUGGUAUCAGAGCUUGACUGCCUGUAGGAUUAACAAGCCAAACUGGUCGAAGUUGAGUUUAGAAAUUCUUUAGUUAUGUAAGGGAAUUGAUUGUGGGAUGGAACGUAAGGCUCUUUUUAUUCCUUUACCUUAUGCCCUUCUGAUCUGAGUCAUCUUAUCCUUCCUAAGGGGUUAAGGAACUAGGCUUUCUCUUCUUUCUAUUAGGAUCACGUGUUACUAAUCCGUAGACUUGUAGGAUUGGUGGUUUUUUAGCCUCAGUUCAGUUCCUACUACUUCUGUGUAUUCAUAGUUGAUCCCAGAACUUUGAUAUUGUGCUUCUAAGUGGCUAUGCCACCAUUUUUGUAGCAUGUCUAAAUUCUUUUGAGCAUUUACAGCCGUUAUGCUGUCCGAGUCACCCUAGGUUUUCUAAUAGUCUGAUGCAUUUGCAAAUUCUUUUUACCGUUAUGAAGAUCCUUUGUGCCAAAUCAACCACACUGACUAGUGUGUUGAGGUAUUUCAUUGCCUCAACAUUUAUGUUGGAGCUAUUAUUAUGACCCUAGGUGUCUAGAGUAUCACCUAGUAAUUUAGCCAUACUUUGUGUUCCCAGUGUGAUGAUUUUGGCCAUCAUUCUCGAAAGCAUCCCGUGAUGCCACUUAGUAUGUACGUAUUCCACUUCUGGGUUUUGAACCCGAGAUUCACCCUACUUACUUCAUGUUGAUAGUAUUUUUUAGCUCCCUUAGGUUAUUAGUAACCUUUGCGUUAGCCCUCGAGGUUCGUGGUAUUUCCUUCUUCCAAAUACUAUGAACCGUUUAUGGCAGAAGUUCUUUGAACCAAAAGAUCACAACCAGAGUGCUCUUGACGAGUUCUCGAUUCUAUGUUGUUACUCUGCCAGUUCUACCUUUCUGCAUGGGUUAUCCGGAAGAAACCUGUUGAACUUGGUUCGACAUGCUAAUCCAUGCAUCUACAACUUAGAAAUCAUAUGUUCUUUUGAGUUGUCCCAUUUUAGUUGUAUUCUGACCCCCCAUCUAUCAAUUGAUAGUCAAGGAUAUGUGUGCAUCCGUUAAUCGGUGCCUAUUACUCUUGUGGUCUGUCAAGCCAUUCUAUUCUGGAAUGACUUGGAGAAACAAACUCCAGUACCUCAUCCAUAUCUAGGAUUGGGUCAAAGAAGGUGUAUUCCAUAGAUCGAAAUGCCAAUCCAGCUUCUGGUCUUUUCUACCUUGAAGUAUUACCUUCUUUAUGUCAGGAUUGUCAUGAGAAUUGCACCACCUCCUAUGAAUUCUUGACGCAGUAAUACUUCUUGCCAUCAUUGAUAAUUUCUCAGUUCCCGUGUUAUUGUAACCGGAAUGCCAACAAGUGAACUGUGAUGUGUGAAAUCAAUACUCCUAGCAACCUUGUUGCUUGGUAGUUAAAGGACAAUAAUUUUAUUCUUAGUGUGUUGGUUCUUGAAUCAUCAUUCUAAGAUAAAUUGUGCUACCUAGUCCUUAUUUCUGGUAGACUUUUCGAUCAAUAAGUUAGGAUUGUGUCAAUCCCUCGCUCUUUCGAUCAUAUAGUCUUGCCUGAAAAGCAAGAUUGUUCUCGAGCUUAGUAACAUAUCGGUGGUUCGUGAUUUUCCGAAUAUCUUCUCGAAGUAUCACCAGAUCGUCACCUGACCGCUAUGUUGAGUUCGUGAUCAAGUUGGUUCCUUGUAAACCACCCCUUCUCCAAGAAUCUGUGUCAGAUACCCUGAGCUAGUUGGUUAAGCUAAACAACAACUUGGAGAGUUGGAAGAUGAAAGCCUGUCCGACUUAGUUCAUUCUAAGGGAUAUCUUGUAUGUGUGUUGAAGAAAGAUGAUAUCUUCAUUGAUUGAUCUUCGCGAUCAAUUGCUGGACCUAUCGUCCUAACCAAAACUUUGGUUUGAGUGUGGGCUAUCCUCAAAUCAAAUCAGAACCAACGAUGUUCGUAAUGUUGUCUUACUCGUGGUUGAUUCCUCGAGCAUACACCAUUAUGUCUUUUGGGUCUGACCAAUACUAUCACCUUGUUCACAUAAUUAUGGAAUUCCAUUUAUAUGGAAAUCUCGAUAACUUGUUGUUGAGCCCGUUGACAACAUCCUUAUUCCCUCCAUGUUUUUGUUGAACACUAAGCUAGUGUUGGAAACUUUUGAAAGCAUUUCUUCAUGCUAGUUCAUGAAGCAUAUGUUCGGAUGAAAUAAGUGACUUCCUCUAGAUCAUGUGCAUAUAAUGCAAGUUGUCGCCGUGAAUUAGAGAAAGUCAGUGUUGCUUCCUUGGGAUCAUUCCAGAUCAGUCAUGCAUACGUGCGAAGUAUUCUGUGGUAUGGAGACUUGCAACCUUCAUUCUAUAUGUAUCCUUAGCACACCAAGCCACUGAUUGAUUUGUUCAAGGAGAAGGAGUUCCUUCAUAAGAGCUAAUCAUGACUUAUGUUAGGACUUCGUUAUCCUCGAUGAUGGUUCCCAACCUGAACUCGAUAGUGUUUUAUUAUAAGACUACUAGGUGGUCAUGCUUGUCUGGGACAACGUGUUCACAUGUUUGUAGCAGAACCAUCUCAUGUUUUGGAGCUUGCUAUCGUAGUUCAUUUCCCGAGAAUCUCGCAACGUCAUCUCGUCGGUUUGUGUUGCAAACUUCCAUUUUUCUUUCUAGACUUGAUGAGUCUGGAAUAUCAUGUUACCAACCAGAUCUGAAUCUCAGGCAGAUAUGAUGGUUGGAACCUUUCCAAGAUCUAUGAUGUAGGUCCCGACAAGGUUGAAGUUCUGGCCGACACACCUAGCCGGAAGAUCUAUCAUUGUAGUAUCUUGAUUGAGCAAGUUGACCAUCUUCUCCAUGAGGAUUUCGAAUGACUUAUUAUAGAAGUUGCUCCUUAUGGAUCCUUUGUAUUCCGAAGUCCGACCUUUACUUGAUGGCCAUGUUGAUGCUUUUAAGCAUAAUCGUGGUACCUAGAACGUCAAGGAGAACAUUAGAAGCGGAGUGCUAAAUGUCUCUCGGUCGAUCAUCUAGAUUUCGUUUCCUUGGUCUCGCUAAGGUGAAAUCUGAGAAGGUGUUAUCUUCCUUUGCAUCUGCAUCGUCCAUCAAUAUUCAUCAUGGUAGUAUGUUGUGUUGCCAGGAUCCUUGACACGAAUAUUGGUAAAACUUUGAUGAAUAUGGAAAUGCUCAAGUUCUUGAGAUCACGCACAAGGGCUAGGUGUUAUCAUCGGCACUAACCGGGAUUGCUCUCAGUUUCCUCGGUCAUGCUAUAACUUUUCAAACAGUGGACCCACUCUCUACUGUUGAGCUGCUCCCCAGUUACUAAAAUCAUCCCUUGUGUUGUUUUCAACAAGGUAAUCCACAUCAUCCAUUCUAAUCCGGGUGUCCCAUUCUACCGAACCCCUCCAAAUGAUCGCUCGAGAAUUGCCUUAGGCUGGUAUAAAGAGUUUCAAUGAUCUCUGAAUCAAAGGUAAUUCUUUUUACCACUUAAGGGGAUAUUUCUACGAGUCACCUUCCCUAAGGUGCCCGGUUAAGGUAUCAUGGCAAGUAAACUCCUCGCUACGUUGACACCCAUUCACCACCUUCUUAAGUGUGGAAUUUUUGUCUACCCAACUGAACCCUUGUCAUCUACUUCUUUCCGUUGCACCUGAUGUGUGUUUUGUGUCUCAACUUGAGAGAUGUUACUAUGUCUCAUCACGUGAGUUGAUUGUGAGUUACUCGAUCUUCGAGGAAUUUGUUUCCUGUAGAAUCUCUUUUCAUUGUCAUCGAGCUGAAUGAAGAUCUCGAGAGAGAGGAUAUUAAUAUCAACAUGAAGCAAGGAACUAACGUUCCUGUGAAGGACAAUUGGAUCGAGAAGGUUGUGUUAGCUUUGUGUCCCCUCCGUCUUAUUACCUCACGUCCUGAAUCUCGAGACGAGAUUCUUGUUUAGUGGGGGCGAGUUGUCACAUCCCUAGCUUCUGGCAAUGCACUGGUGCUAGUCUUUGGUGAUGCAUCAUGUUUACUUUUACAGAAAGUUGAAACGGGGAUUGUCCAAACCCUAGCAUUAAAGGAAUUCACUAGGUUCACCUGAAAUAUUUUCAGUAAGUCCAAAUGGCUUUCAAAAAUGUUCAUCAUUUAUGGGAAAUACUGUAAACAGUAGCCAGAGGUGAUGCACAUUUUUCCAUGAUAUAUUUGGGCUCUGAAAUAAAUCAUACUCUAUUUGAAUUUGGGCAUUUAAAUACUAUAAAAUAUUGAAAAUGUCCAAAUAAUCCUAAACUGAAAUGUUCCAUGUUGGAUAUAUUCCAAACAGUGGCCAUGAGCAGUUUGGUGAUUUUUGAGUCUGCCUAAGUAUUUUUAAUAAAGCCAUCAAGUUGCAGAAAAAUAGAAAACUGAAACAAAAGGAAAAGAGAGCUUACCUGUAACUUACUCGGACCUACUGCUGUGCAGCCCACUUGGCAGCCCAGCCAACUGGCCCAGCCCACCAGAAGCCCCGCCGUCUUCAACCUCUGCCAGUAGGCAGAGGCGUGUCGACACACACGCGCGUCGAUGCCACCUACUGCUUCGCGCUGGAGGCUCAACCUCCUCCCUGUCCCCGCGGCUGGAGACGCCUCGACCCCCUCUGUCCUCCCCCCUCUUUCCUGGCUCUCUCCCUCCCCCUCGCUUGCCCGUAGCCAUGGCCGAACGCCACCAUCGCCACCGACACUGUUCGCCGCGGCUACAGCCACCGCCUAGCCUCCCCAACACGUCCAGGAGCUCCGCCUCUGUUGUCUACGCCUCCUCGAGGACACACGCGCCGCCGGACGCCCCCAGACGCCUACACCGCCGCCAUCUUCAAGCUUCGGCUGUCGGAGAUCGUCGACGCCGAUUCGCCGACCCCGGCGCAUCCCCGAGCUCGCUGACCACCUCAUCGCCCUCGCUGUGAGCUCCACUGCGUUUCCCCUUCCUCCUUUUGCUCGCCCCCACACCGUAGCGGCAAACCCGACCUUGGCCGAAAUCUGGCCGCCGUGGAUGACCUCCCCGUGCCCAAGUCCGGCCACCUCGCGCCCUCCCCCUGCCACCGUUGGAUGCGCACGAGCCCCAGCUCCUUGUAGAUGGGCUCGGCCAUCAAUUUGAUCGCCGGAGCCGCCGUCCCGAUCAUCGCCGCCGCGAUCUGAGGUCGCCGGCGGUUAACUGCUGGCAUGUCUGACGUGGCAGCGUCAUUAGCAGCUAAUGGCGCCACUAAUAGAACCAACACCCACUGACAUAUGGGCCCCACUGCCUAACUAACCCUGAUUUAGUUUUGUUUAAAUUAAAUUAACCCCGCUGGUCCCACAGGUCAGAUUGACUUGGCCACGUCACCUGUUGACCCGACCCCACCUGUCAGUGACACAAACAACGCUGGUUCACUGACCAGUGGACCCCACUGGUCAGGUUUGACCCGGGGCAGCCCUGUUGACCACUGAUGUCACCCUGAUGCAAUGCUGAUGCAGUAAACAAUUUCUGUAUCUAAAAUAAUUCAGGAAUUCCAGAAAAUAUUCAAAACUUCUAAAAUUCAUAGAAAAUCAACCGUAACUCCAAAUGAAAUAAAUUAUAUAUGAAAAAUGAUCAGAAAAAUCCAAUCUAUCCAUAUGUUCUGGUUUCACGCAUGUUAGAACAACUUAUAGCUGCUGUUUAGCACAAAUCAUAUAAAUGGCAUUUGAACCUUCACAUAUGGAGUUUGAAUUUUAAUCUUGGGUUCAUACCAACUCCAUUUAAACUGCUGCUAGAUGCAUUAGCUCAAACCACAGCAUAUUGCCAUGUCAUGAUCAUGCAUCAUAUUGUGCAUUGCAUUGAUUGUGUUUCUUCUUUGUUUGUCGGUGCUUGUCCCCUCUCAGUAGACGUGUACCGACGAUGUGAUCGAUGACACCGAUGAAGAACUAUACUAUCUUCAGAAGUGCCAGGCAAGCAAAACCCCCUUGUUCAUUUCGAUAGAAUCCCACUCUCUCGCUCCUACUGUCUUUACUGCAUUAGGACAACAACGACUCAACUGUUACAUGUUGCGAUAGAUGAACCCCUUUCCUCUGCAUGACCUGUCAUUGCCACACUAAAUAGAUGAAACCCACUAGCAUGAGUAGGAGUUGUUUGAUCCCUGAUGUGCCUACUCAUUCAUGCUUGUUUGUCAUGCCUGCUACUGCUUAGAGUUGACUCAGGUCUGAUUCAUCAGGGAUGACUUGGAGGUGUGUGUAAAUGUUCUGCUGAGUGUGGUCUAAAUGUGUGAACACGAUUUGGUAAAGGUAGCGGUGAGAGGCCAUGUAGGAGUACAUGGUGGGUUGUCUCAUUGAAACCGUCCUCAGGAACUGAGUUCUGUGUUUGUGAUCCAUGAACAGCUACUACCACUCAUUGGGAUCCCUAAUUGACCCUCUCGGCUUCUUAAUCAUGCAAGUUCUCUGUCCAGGAGUUGCAACUAGUUUUUGGUGUUUCUAGGUAGUGCUAGUAGUCUACCAAGUGGCACCCGGUACAGGUGGGCCUGGGACAGACUAGGUGUAGUGGCACAGUGUACCAAGUGGCACCCGGAUGAUGGGCUUGGGAGCCCUGGUCACAUCGUUUGGGGCCGUGAGCGACACCCCGGCCGGAUCUCCUUGCGGAUGGAACCCGAAUAGGCGAUAAACCUGGAUGAGAGACUUGAGUGUUUAGGUAGGCCGUGGCUGACACCCUCGCCAGUGCUUCCGCUUGAAGGUUGCCGAGAUACAUGACGUGUAUAUGGCGGUAAGUGGCAAGAGCGUGUGUGAAGAAGUACACCCCUGCAGGGUUAACAUCAUCUAUUCGAAUAGCCAUGUCUGCGGUAAAGGACUUCUGGGUUGCAUGUACAGUUCAUAGACAAGUGAAAGUGGAUACUCUAAAAUACGCAAGAUAAGCGUGAGUGCUAUGGAUGGCGUUCUCGUAGGGAGACGGGAGCGGAUCAAUAGUGGUGUAUUGAUAUGGUGAAUAUGUGGACUCGUGUGCGCCACCUCAAAAGAGUUACUUGCAGUCGUAGUUCAGGAUAGCCACCGAGUCAAAGCUGGCUUGCUGCAGUUAAACCCCACCACCCCCUUUGUUGAAAAUGAUGCAUCUGUAGUUAGUUCUGAUGUAAGUCUUGCUGGGUACAUUUGUAUUCACGUUUGCCUAUUUUAUGUUUUUGCAGAGAGACUUCAGUCUCACUAGUAAUUCCGUGUGGACUUCGACGUUGAGCCUGUUACCUCAGCUACGAUCUUGUGCCCUCGGCAGGAUCUGGUAGAUAGUGAGGCUUAUCAGCCUUUUUCAUUUGUAGAUGUCUGUACUUAGACAUGUUAAGCUUCCGCUUGUGCUUUGACUUGUAUGCUCUGAAUGCUGGGUCGAGAGACCCAUGUUUGUAAUACCUCGCUCCUCGGAGCCUAUUGAAUAAAAUACUUGAGUUGUAGGGUCAUGUUGUGAUGCCAUGUUGUAUUUGCACAUAUCGAGCAUAUUGUGUGUAUGUUAUUGAAAUGCUUGGUAUGUGUGGGAUCUGACUAUCUAGUUGUUUAUCCUUAGUAGCCUAUCUUACCGGGAAAUGUCUCCUAGUGCUUCCACUGAGCCAUGGUAGCUUGCUACUGCUCCGGAACACUUAGGCUGGCCGGCAUGUGUCCCUCUUCGUUCUUGUGUCUGUCCCUUCGGGGAAAUGUCAUGCGAUGAAUACCGGAGUCCUGUUAGCCCGCUACAGCCCGGUUCACUGGAGUCCUGCUAGCCCAGUGCUACAGCCUGGAUUCACUCGCUGAUGACCGACACGUUCGAUGUUGGGUCAUGGAUGCCUGUCCCUGUAAGUUUGUGCCACUUUGUGUUUACGACUAGCCAUGUCAGCCCGGGCUCCUUAUCAUAUGGAUGCUAGCGACACUAUCAUAUACGUGUGCCAAAAGGCACAAACGGUCCCGGGCAAAGGUAAGGCGACACCCGUGGGAAUACCGUGCGUGAGGCCGCAAAGUGAUAUGAGGUGUUACAUGCUAGAUCGAUGUGGCAUUGAGUCGGGGUCCUGACAGGCGCCGCCAUCGAUAAGGGUCUUGGUGACGGCCAUGCUGCAGAUGGUGGGCGUGGAAAGCAUUGGGAGCACGCCCGAGCCGACGGUGGUGCCAGGGUGAUCUCCCGAGUCGAAGGUCAGGUCGGCCUUGGGCGACGCCCAACCCGGAGGAGCCCCUUGCUGCACGGAGGCGGCACCGAUCUGGCGAAAGAACGGCUUGGCGCGGCGGUCCGAAGGCGGCACUUGGGAGCCGCCGAGGAGGGCCACGACGACGCGGGGUGCUGGUCCCCCAAAGCGCACGACGAAGAGGUCGCACAGCUCCUCCCAGGAGGCCACAGAAGAUCCCGGCAGAUGGAGAAGCCAGGCGCGCGGCACGCCGGCGAGGGCCAUGGGGAACCAGUUGGCCAUGACCUUGUCGUCGCCCCCGACCUCCAGAACUGCCUCCUCGUACGCCAGCAGGAAGGCCGCCGGAUCCGCCGUGCCGUCAUAGCGAGGCGGCAUCUCCAGCUUGAACUUGCACGGCCACCACACCCGCCGCAGGGCGGGGGCGAGGGCCGGGAGCCCCAUGGUGCCGCUAUGUGCAUUCGUCGAUCCAGUCGGAGAAGCGGCAUCGUCCAUGAGAGUUGGUCGGAGAUGCGAAGUCAUCAGAGGAGCGGAGCAUCGGCGCACCCCUACCUGGCACGCCAAAUGUAGGAUUUUGGGUUCCGGCAAACCCUUGAGGUUCGAGCACUGGGGUGCGCACGAAGAUCUCUCUCUCCCAAGAUCGCUCUCGCAACUAUCGCAAGGCCUAGCUCGAUGAACCCUAAAAACGAGAGACACAAGAGUUUAUACUGGUUCGGGCCACCGAUGUGGUGUAAUACCCUACUCUAGUGUGGUGUGGUGGAUUGCCUCUUGGGUUGAGGAUGAAUAGUUACAAGGGAAGAACAACCUCCUGAGGAGAGGUGUUCUUGUGUUUGGUGAGCUUGUGAGUGCUAGGGUGGUCUUGAUGAUCCGUCCCCUCUCUAUGGUGGUGGCUAGUCCUAUUUAUAGAGGCCCUGGUCCCCUCCCCAAAUAUUGAGCGGGAAGGGAUCCAACAACGAUCAAAUUCGAAGGGAGACAACUAGUACAAGUUAUCCUGACCAAAGCUGGUCUUCGCCUUCCAAAGGCUCUGGUGGUGACGCCGUCUUGGGCUCCACAGUGACCUCCAUCCUGUCGUCCUACUGGUCUUGGUCUUGUUGCACCAACAUGGAAACCUUUGCUUGAUGCCCCGGGAUUCCUCGCCUGCGCCUGCCUCUCUAGCACCAAAGAGGAAACGAGGACACUGCAUGUGCUGGCACCCGCCUGGCCUUGGUCGUCAUGGCUUGCAUCACAGGAACCUCGCGGGGUGUCCCUUGCCUUGAUCACUCCGCUCCUUGCAAGCCAGCCUGGUGAGGCCGCCCCUGAGGAGGUCUUGCGUCGUCCGCCUCGCGAGGCUUGCCCCUCGCAAGGGUCUUGAGUGUGUGCUGGUGAAGAUGGGCCGUACCGGGCCGCUUGUGGAGCCACGCCGUGGGCCGCAGGCAAGCAAGUCUGGGGACCCCCAUUCCCAGGAUGCCGACAGGACUAAACCCUCCGGUUUAUAUAGAAACGUAGGGGCCUAGGGUUGUACAUAGUCAGUUUACAAAGGAAGGAAUCUUCAUAUCCGAACGCUAAGCUUGCCAUCCACACAAAGAAGAGUCCCAUCCGGACACGGGAAGAAGUCUUCUAUCUUGUAUCUUCAUGGCCCAUUAGUCCGGGCCACGUCACAUAGGUCGGACACCCAAGGACCCUUUCACCCAGGACUCCCUCAUGUACAAGUACAAUAUUACACGUUAGGCUUGUCCCUAAAAUUCAACCUGCGCCUUAUUAUAUCCCCAAAAUUCUGAUAUCGUGCUCCCAAAACUGGCACCUUCACAACUCGCGCCUUGCUAUCCCGAAAUUACAACGCGCGUGAAAACUCACGCCAGCUGCCAAAUCCCGACACGUGAAACCCCCCUUCUAACCCUGAGCCUAAAGGGCCGCUAGUUCAAAUCGGUGGGGGUACUUUUGUAACACACCCUACAUUUUGGACAAGUGCGUCCCUAAUUCAUGGUUCCCCCUCCCAUCUCCUCCUUUUCCCCAUUCGAAAUCCCAGGCCACCAUAACCUCUCCGCUCCAGCCGCGAAACCCCACCCUCCUCUGUCCGCCACCUCAUCGCUGCCCAGCCGGAGCCUCUUCCCUGUUGACGUCGUCCACCGCAACAGCUCAACGUCCCUCAUCCACCUCCCCGGAUGAGGAUCCGUCGUCCAUCUCAUCAUCUCGCCGGUUCAGCCACCCCGUCCUUCACCUCCAAGGAGCUGCUCCGACGAUCGCCUCGUCUAUCACGGCUGCUCCAUGCCCACAGUGCCGCCUUAACCUGCUCCACCGGAACCGCAGCAUCCUCACCGACUCCUCGGACGAAGACGAGGCCUACUCGGUGCCAGCAAAGAGGUUGUACACUUAUUGCAUCGCACCUUCUCCUUAACUCGACUUCCCGGCGCCGAUGGUUCCAUCCCGCACCCCCAUGGAGCGGCUACCUCGAGGCCGGCACCACGGGCGACAUCUCCAUGGCGGCUCUCCUCCUGUGCGAGGCCCCUUUGGCGGCAGCGUCUAUACUAGCUAGAUCUGCUGCUGCUGCUCCGGGUCUCGCUCGCUCGCCCAGCUGUUGCUGCUCCAGCUCUCGCUCGCUCGCGUUGCUGCUGCUGCUCCCCCCUCGCUCGUGCUUCUACUCUGCUUCAAUUUAGCUACACUUCAGUCGACUGAAUCAACUUCUGGGUCGGUCAAUUUUCAGGGGGGGGGGCUCGCCGGAGUUAAGGAAGAACCACCCACAGCAGGGAGGGGGCUCACCAGAGAGGUAACCCACUAUUUAUCUUAGGGUUCUGGGUAGGGGCGAUGCUCGCCAACGGUGGGGGCGUGGUGGUGGGGUGGUGGCGUGGGGAUCGCCGGAGAAAAAGCUUGGCACAAGGGGGAGGGCUAGAGGACUGGCCGGGGCGGCGGCGGACCGGCGCUGAGGAGUUGUUUUGGGGCGGCAAGGCGGCGGCGGACCGGCGCUGGGGAGUUGUUUCGGGGUUGUGAGGCGGCGGUGGACCGGCGAUAGGGCGUUGUUUCAGGGUGGCGAGGCGGUGCGGGGUUCGGCCGGUGGUGGCUGGCGGCUCAGGGGGGUGCAGGUUGAAGAUGAACUGCAUGCCCUCCCAAACUAUCCCAUGUGAAGUGCCUCUCUGCUAACAUUGCGUUCAGUUUCAACAGUAACAUUCAGAUUCCACAGUAAAUUUCAACUUCGACAGUUAAGUUCAGAGUCAACAGUUUUUACCUCAUCUGUUGUAGCCAGGUGGUUUUUCGUGAUGUAAAUUUUACAUCUAUCACUUUUGGGUAAUGCAUUUUACAUCAUCUAUUGGAGAUGCUAUUAUAAUCCCACUUGAGAUUAAUGAUGGCAAACCCUCCCCCCUCUUCAGAUUGUAAUCCAGAGGAAGAUAUCUGUUCUAAGGCGGAUUCAGACGCAGCUGACCACUCCUAUUUACCCCCCAAGGUGUUUGCUCUAACUUGGCAUGAUGAUGUUAGUCAUAUCAUGCAUAUGUUGCCUUGUAGUGCCUACUUUCGACAUCAUAUAUGUCAUCCGCUUAGUUUAGACAUGUUCUGUAAUGCCACCUGUUUAGUUUCAAUAUCAUAAUAUGGGAAUUAUGCAGUCUCAUGUCUUUUAGCCAGACAUAAUAUAUGUGAAAUGUGCAAUGCCAUCCUGUUUACCAGACAUCAUAUAUUUGAAUGAUAUCUAGCCCAUCCUUUUCUUCAUUAAAUUUCCAUUUGUCGACAAUGUCUGUACAUUAAACUACUCUUCCUGUGAAUCAGCCAUUUGAGUGGGUGAUGGAAAAAUCUGGAGUGAAAACAAGGCCUUCGGAGCAAACAGUGCUAACUGUCAAAGCAGAUCUCUUGCUGGGUCCUGAUAGCUCCUCGAAGAUGGAUUCAGAGACAGAUGACCAGUCCUAUUCCCCCACCGAGGUGUAUGCUCUAACUUGGCAUGGUUCUACUACUCAUAUCAUGCAUAUGGUGUCUUGCAUUUCAUAGUUUAGACAUCAUAUACACAAUAUUCAACACCAUGUUCUUAGUUCAGACAUCAUAUAUGCGAAUGCCCUCUGCUUAGCGUAUAAAUCACAUAUGUGAAUUAAAUCAUGUGAUCCUGGUUACUUAGAUAACAUGUAUGUGAAUUAUGUCAUGCGAUCCUGUUUAGUUACUCAUCAUAUCUUUGAAUUAUGUUAUGCUAUGCUAUCCAGUUUAGAUAGACAUCAUAUAUGUGAAAUUAUGUCAUGCUAUCCGUUUUAGUUAAUAAUAUACAUGUCAACUAUUUAAUGCCCUCUUUUUUCCACACUAUCUAUUGCAUCUGUCUCUCAUACAAUGUCUGUACAUUCAACUAUGUUUCCUGUUUAUCAGCCAUUUAAAUUGGAGAGGGUGAUGGCAGUAUCUAGCGGAGUAAAAACACGGUCUUCAAAUAAAACAGUGCUACCUCUUGGUGGAGAUAGCACCCCAGUUGUACAUGCACGAGAACCAGUCCUACCACACAUAACCCAGACUCUCACAGAUUUUAACCCUACUGCGAUGGACAGAGAACCAGCUUCACCCAAUCUAACCCCUACCCUAGCAGAUAGUAACCCAUUUCAUAUUGACACAACACCAUCUCCACCACAGAGGUCGCAAACAAGAGCAGUUAGUAAGGCAGCUCCAGUGCCCAAAGCGCCAAUACUACCAUGGCAAACCCCAACUCCACCAGUUAGUACACCUAUUCCUGUGGAGGAAGCACAACCAGCCAUUCAUAGUUUAGCAUCUAUCGCAUUUGAUGUUGUUAAAGCCUAUGUGCGUAUAUUCCCAUCGUGGAAAUAUUACACUGAAGAUGAAGGAAAAUGCCAGUUGCAGGUGUUUGUCUAGGAGUUAUGUGUAAGUAAUGUUAUUCAUGGCAAUUACUUUGCUUUGUCCCAUACAUUCUACCUCCAUGAUGGUUAUAAUACAUCAAAUUUUCCCAUUUUUUCUAUAGAGAAGGACCGAUUUGGAAACUCGGGAUGAGGUAACCUAUGCUAAUACCUAUGCUAAUACCUCUGCUAUCUUCAAGAAUGCUUGGUGGCAGUAUCGGAAUUACCUGAAGAAAAUGUACUUCACUGGCAAAGAAACUCAUCAAAUUCCCUUACGUUCUCCUGAUACACAUUUACUGAACGAUGACUGGGAACGCCUUGUUCUUUAGUGGUCCCGAACCAAGAAUGUGGUAAGGUCUAUGAGGUCAUUUUAUUUUAAGUACUAUAUGCUUGCGUCUUAAUGUACUUUGUUCAUGUAGAACAAGUGCUUAAACCUGAAGAACAACUGUUCUCAUUUACGAUUCCAUUGCUAUCGUGCAUACUGCUUUGCUCUUGUAUCACUGUAUUUACUCAUACAAACUUAUUUUUAAAUUGAAGGAUCCAAUGGAAACUCCAAUGGGACAACAUGUAUGUUUACGCAUGUUUCUUUAACAGGUUUCCUCUUAUAAAUAGCUCUAUUGAUUUCAAUUUCAAUUGUGUAUACAGCUGACUUCUCAUAUCAUGCACAUUACUAGCAUCAUAACAGGGCCAAUAGUGUUGUUGUACAUGUAGACCCGUGGUACCCAUCUGAAAUCUUGUUGUGCCGUGUAGUUUCCCACGCUUUGUAUUCUUUCAGUGCUGCUUUCUCUUGAACUGAUAUGAUUUGAACCGUGUCUCUAUUUUGAUUUGACAAGACAAUGCAGUGACCAUAGGACAUAGAUAUAUGUUUGUUUGAUGCUUUUAUAAUGUACUACUUGACAAUAGAAGACUUGGUAGUUUAAUCUUGUCCACCUUACUAAUGAACUGGUUCAACGAAAUGAGUAUCAUAUACUAGUACAUGCUAAACCUGUUAUGUGUCUGCUUGUUUCUUCUUUUAGAAUGCUGACAUAAUAUUGGGGAAGAGUGCCUUAUUAAGCAAUGAUAAAGGAAGUAAUGCAGAUAAGGUUCAGGAUCGUGAGAUAUCCUUGUUGGUCUCCAACAAAGCUGAUAAAACAGCUCAGGAAAACUAUCUUGAAGACGGUGAGGCAACCCGAAAGUCCUGUCUUGGUUUAGUGUUCGAGUUACUGGCCAAUACCGCUUGCACAAGCUAUUCAAACUCACUGUCUGAAUAAGUUCGAUUUCUUGAGUCUCAACUACAAACUGGAAGACAUCGAUCAGCUGUGCUGCGACAAGAAGCGGAAGGACUGCUGAAGUCCCCAGAGCAUUCAGAUGCAUACUUUCUGGUGCAACAAGAAGCAUUAGAGGAUUUUAGCGCCAACCAGGACAAAGCUAAUGAGCUUGCUAAGCUUAUUUCCAGCAUGGUGGAUACCCAGGAUAAUGUUUCUUGAGCUCUUCUGAAGUUGUUUUAGUUAUGGACUUGUUUUGCUCCCGCGUUUAUUUGCACUAGUGACCAAUUUUGACAGCCAGUGUAUGUAAUAUGCUACUUUGAUCCCUAUAUUUGCACUGGUGGUGAACUUUGAUGCCCGGUGGAUGUAAUAUGUGUAAUAGCUCUAAUAGGCUAGCAUUAGUUGUUUGCUUAUUUAUUUCCUUAUUGUCUUGUUUAGUUGUUUACUUGUAGUCACUGUAGUUCUUUUUACGCGUUCUUCUAGUGGCCACAAUAACCUAUUUUUGGUAACUAGGCCACAAUAAGCAUGGCAACACAUGGACUGUUGUAACCAUGGGCCUCCUGCGGGCCAUAGGAUCCGUGGGUGUUCUACGGGCCGUAGGAUCCAUGGGCCUUCUAUGGGCUGUAUGAUCCAUGGGCCUUCUAUGGGCCGUAGGAUCCAUUGGUCUUCUACGGACCGUAGGAUCCAUGGGCCUUCUACGGGGCGUAUAAUAAUUUCGCAAAACAUGGGUUGUACUAUUUGUGGACCAUAACGGGUCGUUAAUAGGCCAUAUUUCAUAACGCUAUGAAAACAUCCCAACUGGUUAACGGGCCACAAACAGGCCAAAUGUAACCACGGGCUGAAUUUGGCCCACAAAAGAACAUGCCAGUAACGGACCGUAACUAACCGAAUUCUAGAAAUGAGCCCAAGAAUAAAUGGGCCCUUAGAAGGCCGAAAGUUAACACGGGCUGGAAAUGGCCGAUGGAAUAAUGGGCCAUUAAUGGGUAUAAAGCGAUGCACUGUUCAUUAUGGGCCAGUUUCAUCUCGGGCCUUUAAUGGGCCGAGAGUUACAAAGGGCCUCAUAUGGGCCGAAAGACAUCAUGGGCCAUACAUGGGCCGGAAGUUACAAUGGGCUGGAAUCAUAUUGGACGGCCCAGAUGAAGCUACUGGGCUUAAUUUUGAUAGGCCGUAACGGGCCGGGACUUAGUGGGCCAUAAAUGGGCUAUAUAUGAACAGGCUGUUAAUAGGCUUUCCAUGGGCCGACCCGUUACCUUUUGACCAAGUCAAACAUGCUAGCCUUUUCACAGGAAUGGGCCACUAUUGGGCCGUGCCACGUGUCGACGUAUCAUAGGCGCCUCCUGUCCAAUGAGUGGAUGACAUCUGUCCCAACGGUGAGACAACACGUGUUUCCUAUUGCCAAUGAGAAUUUUACACGUGGAAAAUCCCCGUUGGUCCGGGCUUUUAACGGGUUAUCGGAUCAAAAAAUGGACCAGAUAGCUUAAUAGUGACCUGUUACGGUGGAUGCCACGUGUCGGUCACCCUUGAUGAAAGCACUUCUAUGACGCACGAUUUAUCGUCAUGGAGGUGGACACUUCCAUGAUGAUAAUUUUGGUAAUGUCAUGGAACACUUCUACGACAGCACAGGUAUGACUAUCUUGAUUCUAUCAUAAAAUCGUCAUGGAUGUACAUGCAUGACAGAAAACGUGACCUACUAUGAAAAACAUGUAUCAUCACGGAAGUGUAUUUUUUUUGUAGUGCUGCUCAUUGAGCAUAUCUAUGACUACCCUAUUGAUUCGGCUUAUACGUCGUUGCUACAACCCACUUGGGGGCUUGCUUCCUGGGUUAAAGGAGCCAAAGAGAGUCUGGUGCAGAGAACAGCUCAAACAUGGGCACCCUACCUUAACGGCUCAAUAUAUAUCACUUGGGGGCUCCCUGCUCAUUGAACAUAGUUUUCAUAACCCUUUUGAUUGGCUUGAAACGCCAGGUGUAAACACCAAAAAAUUUAGUUGAUCCUGCCUUGUACGUCUGCCACUCCACCCAGGUAAUCCUGGGUGGACCUGCCGAACUCUUGACAGUCGAUCUUAUUAAGACCUUGAACUUGUCAAAGUUAAAACAAUGGUUGGUCAUGUGAGGCCCUGAUUACAGGUUUCAAUGAAGGAUUAACUUCGUGGCUGUGCAGCCCAUGAAAAGCACUUGAUGUUGAGGCUUGUCCGCCUAUGGAAGCCUUGAUUUUUUGUAAUCUGUUUUUGAACUUUUGUUGGGUUCAUAUUUUUGUACCAUAUUGAUAUAUGGUUUAACAAAUUGGUUCGGGCCAUGUUGCUUUGAUCCUUAUGAUUCAUACUUGAAUUUAUCUGGAGUUUUGAUGACCUGGCCUGGCUUUGAACGAUAAGUCACCAGUGUGCUUUGAUUAUGAGCUUGGAUAUUUUCACUCUAAGUAUUUGAGAUGUUACCCUUGCUGCAUAUGCCGUUGUAAGCCGGCAGUAUGAACCGAUUUCAUAGGCCAUGUAGCCUUGAUUAUAUGGCUCAUCAUUGAUCAUCUUUGGGUUUGAUAACCCGCCCUGAUAGUAGACUUUAAGUCACCAGGAUAUUUUGCCUUGAGCAAUCAAAAUGAUGAUAUUUCAUGACUCCGGGUUGAUACUGGCCCCGGAUUAUAAUUAUCAAGGAUUCACAAUGGUAUCAAUCAACAGGUAUGUCUUUCAAGAAGGGUAUGAAUAUUUUUGGUUUGGUAAACCGGCCUGGCUAUGGACUUUAAGUCACUAGUAUAUAAUGGAUUGCGCAAUUGGGAUUAUGCGCUUAUGAAUACUUGGGUUGUCACCCUCACUAGAUGUGGUGAUAUAAGCCGACAAUUUCAGCCAAUUUUCCAGGUAUAUUUUUCAAAUUGUUGGAUGAAUAUACGAGGUUUGAUAACCCGCCCUGGCUUUGGAUGUUAAGUCGCCAGUAUAUUUUGGAUUGCGCCAUUGGAAUCAUGUGCUUAUAAAUCAUUGGAUUGUUACCCUCACUUGGUAUGGAAAUGUAAGCGAGCAGUAUAAAUCAAUCCUACAGAUAUUGCUGGGUUAUCAAGAUCCGGUCAUAUUGUUCAAUAUUGAGUUUAUUGAGGCUAUGAGCCGCCAAAGUGAUCUUGUCAAAAACUGGACAUGAUUAUGAGCCUCCAUGGAUGGGGUUAACAGUUCUUGAUUUUUACAAAGGCUAUAAGAUGCCGGGUUACGAAAAACACCGUCUUACAAUGAAUGUGCAUUAAGUCGCCAUCGGCCAAGAGCCGCCGGGUAUUUAACUCUGGAUUUACUUGUUAACUGAUAAGGUAUUCAAAUCAUUGAUAGCCAAACUUGGCUAGAUUUUCUUUAUAAUAUUGAAUGAUUGAGCUUUUCAUACCAGAUUAUAUUAUUCAAAUCUUGAAUAGCCAACAUGGCUGGAUUUUUAUUAUGGUUAUCAAUAACCAGUAUUAUGAUUGAGAUUUUUAAAGUCGCUUCAGCGCAAUGGUUAUUAUUUCUUUGUCAAUAGAUAUGAUUUGUUCUACAAUGGAAGGAAUAGUACCGAGUCGCUGCAGGCACACGACCCGACACUUGGGGGCUACAUUAUUCAAAUCAUGAUUAUAUCAAAUAUGGAAGUCCCAUGUCGCUGCAAGCAUGCACCAUGACACUUGGGGGAUAAUGCAAGGUCAUUUUUAACUUGCCUUAUUGAAGACCCGACCCGUCACAUUGUGAUGAGCCGGCCCUUGGGGGCUACUAAUGCUCCUGUCAAAGGUAACCCGAAACCUCGGAGCUACAUCAUUUGGUGUUAUUAAUUAUUUCUCAAAUCUACAUGAUCAUAUCUACAAAGUCCCUGCUCAUUAUUGCAUAAUGAACUGACCAUUGGGGGCUACACUGGUUGAAGUUUGUAUUGGCAUAAGGCAAUUACAAGUCCGAGGUUGCUGCAAGCAUGACAACCCGACAUUUGGGGGCUACAUAUGUGGAAUAUUUACUUUAUGACUAGUGAUUGAGAUGAACAAACCCGGAUUUCUUCAAGGUUGCGACAUUUAUAUUAAAGCAAGUCUUAAGCUAUUACUACGCUCCCUUCUUAAGACUUCGGGGGUACAAGUGAUAUGCAUAUAAGGGAGGUACACUUUCAAGCUUGGUGUUAGCAACAGUUAUGACCCGGUGCUAUCAAUAUUUACAAGCCAGUAGUUUUGGCAAUUAUAACUCGCCAACCUCUACAUCCUCAAGCCGGCGGAUCACCAGAUGAAUAUCUUGAGUCCAAUAUUUUUAUUAAGCUGAAGCUUUUGAAGCCGAAUCAAAUGGAUUAUUUCUUAUAUGGUUUUUUACAUCUGUGCCCUUGGUUCCUUAGCUCUACUCAUUCAUCCCCACGCUCUUAACUUUUGCUCAGUUUUCCCCACUCCCUUGCCCGAAACCGUCAGAAGAGGUCACACUAGACGUCCUCGUCGGGUCAGUGCUUUGACCGUUAACUCUGACGAGUGGGGCCGCGUUGGGCGGUGUAGCUGUUUGACUGUUGGGCCGUCCCUUGCAUUAAACGCAUGUGUGCGCCGCCAUGAUAGAAGCCUGCUACGCAUGCACCCAACAAGCCUGCCUGCAUGCGUCGAUGCACGCCGUCACGAUACGCAGACCGAGCCUGCAUGCGCUGAUGCAUGUCGGCACGAUGCAUUGACCGAACCGCUUUCGUGCACGCCAGCCGCCACGGAUGCAGCGACGGUCGCUGCCGCUGGUUCCUCUCUUCUCGCACGCUUGUCUCCUUGAUUUAGAGCAUCGGUUUUUAGGAUUAGUUGCAGCCUUUUUGAUCCACUCGCAUUUGCACCCGUUUUGCUACGACAAAUAAAUUGAACAAAUAUGUUGUGGCUGCAUGCACUAGCUAGGUGGCUACAUAUUUGUGGCUUGUGUAAAAAAAGGCUUCAUUGUGGCUGCAUGCACUAGGUGGUUACUAACAAAGCGAGCUCUCUAAGAAAACAAUCAACAAACAUGUAGAUAGGGCCAACAAGCCCAUAGCACGAUCACAUAGUUGAAACUAUGAAGAACUUCAUAAUAAAAUAGAUAGAAAACUAAAUAAUAAAACUUGAUAAAAGGGCCAACAAGCCCAUAGCAUCUCCAACAUAGUUCAAUUACAACUUAACAUAACAUAGACUCGAAAAAAGAAAAAAAAAUAGAUAGAGGGUUUAGAACCCUAGACACCGCCUUCUCCACCUCGCACCUCCUCCGGGCGCCCUUCAGUGCUCCUCCGGGGUGUUGUCGAUGGGGUACGGAAGAGUGUGCAUGCACGAUGCCAUGGGGAAGAUGUUGGUGUACUCCGUGAACAUGUUGUGGGUGGUGAAAGUGAUGAACUCGCAGCCACACUAAAAUACCCGACCGAGGAGGUAGAAGGCGUCGAAUGUGUUGGUGGAGUGGGCAAGGAGAGCAACCACCACCCCGUUUUGGAUGACCUCCUCAACACAGACAUCCUUGGAGAUCCCCGCGGGAGGUGGUGGUAGACGCGAGGAAGAACUCAGUGAAGUUCCUUGCGGUCCUCCACCUUGAUAUCGCCCACACACGUAGUGUGCGCUCAAAGUACACGCCAGGAGGGUAGAGCCUCUCCGGCACAGUGGGUGGGAAGUGGUAGGUUGGUCCGGUGUACUUCAUGGAUGAGGAUGUGCUAGAAGAAGGAGAAGUGGUCAAAGAGAAAGAAGGGCAGAUGGCAGAGUGGAUGGGAGAUGGAUGAGGGAUGGCAGAGGCAGAGGGUGGCUUAAAUAGCCAUAGUGCUACGUGUUAUUUGGUCGUGGCAAUAACGGGGUCAAAUGUGAAGUAGCCUGUUUUCAAAUUCACCGUAGCAUCGGGAGUGUACAUGCGUGGGAACCGAUGGUUUGAAAAAGAAGCUAAUUGCACGUGUGGGAAUCCGUGGUCAUAUAUAUUAUAUGAACAAAAAGAGACAAUUUUUGAAUAGUUUGUGGCCAUUUUGCAUGAUAAAAAUAAAUUUUGCCCUUAAAAAUUUGGUCAUUUUGCAUUUGUAUAGAACAAAAAGAACUAAAUAUUGCUACGCAAUGUAAAUUGAUUUCAAACAAUGCAAAAAUACAGAGCCAACAUGUUCACAAAAAAAGAGCAAACGAUGCAAAAAAAUGACGCAAUUCAACGGCCCUACCAGAGCUUGGUUUCCUUUUGGGCCCAAUAACAACGUUUUUUUGCGGAGUCAGUGGUGGGCGAGCAGCCGAGCACAACCAAUAGGAUCGCCUCUCGCGGAUCGCCCCAUGAUCCAACGAUGCAUAGCCGUCCUUGUGAUCCAACGGCGCGGAGCCUGCAUGCAGCCAGCCCACCUAAUUCCUUCUAGAAGACCAGAUCUGAGGGCUAUCACUUGGCGCGAGGGUAUGAUCAGACGGCUAAUGUUGGGAGCUAGGGAUAGGCGAAGCCCUGCGGGGUUUAGAGGGGUUUUGAGCUGGUCAACGGGGUUUUGAAGGCUUUGACUGAGCAUAACUAAUUUUAAAAAAUAAAAAAACAUAAAACCUUCGCCGUUCGUCAUUUUAUAAGACAAACUAAUGAGGAAAAAUACUAAACUUGGUCUAUGGUCAUUUUCAUGAAAAAACCCUAGCUGGCACGAUCGAGGUCAAAUGAGCACCAUUAAUUUUAAAAAAAUCAAAAAAAUAUAAAACUUGAACACAAUGGUGUCUUAUGUGACAUGUUACCAACCAGAAAUCAUAAACUUGGUCUAUGGUCAUUUUCUUGAGAAAACCUUCACACAUAUGAGCUAUCAUGUACAUGAUUUCAUAGAGUUCAAGGAGAGGAGGUAGGGUUACCUUCUGUUUUUGAAAAAUAAAAAAAAUCACCAAAGCUUUAUUUCAAAGUGAAUAAGAAGGAUCUGAAGUUAGUUUUCCAUUUUCAUAGUUCAAAUGUGUUUUUAAUAGUUUUUAUAUUAAAGCAUAUGUUUUCAACAGAAAAUGUAAACGUAUGAAGAUUAAUUCAAAAAAUAAUGAGACUUCGAAUCUACACUAUGGAAAGUGAAUAUGUGUUAAAAAACAUUUGGCUCAUUUAGAGUAGGUCCAAAAAAACUUGAUUACAAAUGGGCUAUUUACCCUAGCAUGGGAGCUCAUUUGGAGCACAUUUCUCAAAUUCAAAUUUAUUUGACGUCCUCUAAAUCACUUCAAAUUUUGCACACAUGAUCUCCUACACAAACAUAGAUAGUUUGCCAAGUUUUUACUUGUUUUUGCAUUUUCUUGAAUUUAUACUGUCCAGGUUUGCAAGGUUUACAUGAUCUCAUUCGGAGCAUGCAUUUGAUUUCCUACACAACAUGUGUGAUCAUUGCAGCACCUAAAAUCAUAGUUCACAACAUCUAAACAUAACUAACGAUAGAUUCAGGACAGACAAAUAUACCACAGGCAAAUUUAAGGACAUAAAAAUAUAGAUAGCAAUCAGAUUACUAGCAUCAACAUAGCCAACCAUAACCAAAUUCAUGAAAACUAAAUUCAGUUCAAAAAACCAUAACCAACGAGAUUCAGUUCAACAAACCAAGAGUAACCCAACAGAUACUCAAAGAUUCAGUUCACAACAUCACAUCAUCGAUCACAUCAUGCCGGAGUCUGGGCCUUCACGAGGGCGGCAUGCUGCCCCUGAUCAUCUAGUCCUCCCCGCGAAUCGCUACAUCCUCCGCAUGAGACAGAAGGUGAUCGAAGCGGCCAUCCCUUGGCUUUGGCUUGGUGGUGUAGUAGUGUCGGAUCACGGGUUCCGGAAAAACCCUUAAGGUUCGAACUCUGGGGUGCGUGCGAAGUUCUUUCCCCCCUACCGAUCCACGCCCUAGGUUUGCUAAGAUCUCGCGGACGAACUCGACGAACUCACAACACAAAAGACACAAGAUUUAUACCGGUUCGGGCCACUAUUGUGGUGUAAUACCCUACUCCAGUGUGUUGGUGGUGGAUUGCCUCUUGGGCUGAUGAUGAACAGUACAAGGGGAAGAACAACCUCUUGAGGUUGAGGUGUUCUUGUGCUUGGUGAACUUGUGGGUGUUAGGAUGGCAAGUCCCCUCGAUUAGUUCUAGAUAAGUCUUCCCUACUAUGGUGGCUCCUACUUAUAGAGGCCCCGGCCCUCUUCCCAAAUAUUGACCUGGAAGGGAUCCCACAACGGCCUAUUUCAAAGGGGACAACUAGUACAACUUAUCCUGACAAAAGCGGUCUUCGCCUGCUAAAGGCUCUGGUGGUGACGCUGCCUUGGGCUCCAUGGUGACAUCCGUCUUGCCGUCCUGCUGGUCUUGGUCUCAUUGCACCGAUAUGGAAACCUUUGCUUGACGCCUCGAUACUCUGCGCCUGCGCUCGCUCCCUUAGAACCAAAGGGGAAACAUGGACACUCCGCACGCUGGCGCCCACCUGAUCUUGAUCGUCAUGGCUCACGUCACGAGAAACCUUGUGAGGUUUGCCUUGCCUUGAUCUCUCCGCUCCUCGCGAGCUAACCUGGUGAGGCCGCUCCUGAGGAGGUGUUGCGUCAUCCGCCUCGUGAGGCUUGGCCCCUCGCGAGGGUCUUGAAUGCCUUGUUGAUGAAGAUGGGUCGUACAGGCCUGCUAGCAUAGCCACGCCGUGGGCCGCAGGCAGGAAUGUCUGGGGACCCCUGUUCCCAGAAUGCCGAGAGUAGCCCCCGGGCCCAAGGUGCGCUCGGGCUUGGCUUCGAGGUGAAGCCAAAGGUCAAGUACGGAGCACUGCGGGCCCCAAAAGCUUGUGGCCUUGGUCGACACGUGGCAGUUGAUUGGACGUGGGCGUCACCGCUUCCCCAUGCUACCUUAGAAUCCGCCUAGCAAUGCGGCCCCUACAGCCUACACAGUUAUUCUUCCAUCGCCCGCGCCAUUCUUCCCCGAUUCCUCUACUUCCCUGAGACUCUGCUCCUCCUUCCGAUCUGACUCGAGCUCUACCCCUUUAUUGCCAUGGCGCCGAAACUAGCGGACAAGGGGAAGAAGCCUCUGUGUUCGACAAGUGCGCCUCCGGCCGUCGAGUCAGCGGUUGGCCGAUCGCUGGUGCUCAACGAUCAGGCCAUGGGCAAGGUGCGUUCCAUGCUUGCUUCCAGCUUCAACGAGUGGGGGAAGACGAAGGCCUGGCUUGCAUCUCGCGCCCCGCAUUGACAGGGAGGCCACCGAGGUCCCGAUCUUCAUCAAUGCCCUUUGGUCCGGCCUGAUCCCCCCUUUCUAUGCCUUCUUCAACGCGGUGCUUGAACAUUACUAGAUCCGCAUGCUGCAUCUUGACCCCCAAUCUGUGACUCUCCUCACCGUCUUCGCCUUUGUUUGUGAGGCCAUGGUGGGCAUUGCCCCUUCCGUGGCCCUUCUCCGCCAUUUCUUCUCAUUGCAUCUGAUGGAUCCUCUGCAAAACUCGGGGUGCGUGAGCUUCCAGGCUGUGGUUGCAACGACAGGCGCAUGGAUCGACUUCGAGCUUCCUCUAUCCAUGAGCAAGUUUCGGACAUGGUGGGUAUUUGUCGACGCCAGGGUGCUCAGCCCUCUGCACCAUUCUCCGUCAGCACCUGCCGUUCCCAACUCCGGUUGGGGCCAUGUGAGGCUCGCGAACUCCUGUCUUGUCCCUGUCUGGCUCAAGCUGAAGAGGUUGAAAGACAACGGUGUGACCGUGCCCAUGGUGGUGAAGGAGUUUGUCAGGCGCUGAGUCGCUCUGCUUCAGCGCCAUUCUCGCCCGAUGUGGACCUUGCUCAAUAGUCAGGACCAUAUGAGACUUCAGGAAUCUGGGCUUCCUCUUGAGAUGCGGCAAACUGUGCUUGAUGUCUUGACGAGUGUCGCGUCGCCGGACAACAUGCCCGGGAGGAGCUGUCUGCUGUACCGCUACAGGAACAAGGCAGAAUUUGUGGAGCACAUGCCUUCCUUCGUUGAGUGGGGGCUGCGCCUGGUCGACCUAGCGGGGCCUCGCGAGAACCCCGUCAACAUGGUUUCCUUCUUCGUCAUUGGUGCCGAGCUCGUCCCAAAUGUGGAUGCAGGGGGGGCGAGCACCGCCGGAGGCUGGCAGCUCAAGUGUCGAGCUGCAGAUGCCGCCUGGGGCGCCUGAGGCGUCGUCCUCAGGAACUCAUGAUCCCUCCUCUGGGGUGUCGGUCGCUAAGAUGAUGCCGCACGUGGCUCCCAAGGCUGAAACUUCGGAGGCCUCAGGUGGUCACAGUGAGGCGGCGCCCGACUGCUCUCCGCAGCCCGGCACCCCUGAAUCUGUCCCCUCGAGCACUUCUCCGGCUGCACCACAUGUCAGCCGCCAUGUCCAGGGCUUCGGUCGGCUUUGCGUGGACUUCGAGGAGAUCCGCAAGAGGAAAGGAUCCCCGAGCAACAGCGAUAUCUUCGGGCCGUUGAAGCGACAAAAGUACAUCAUCGUUGACGAGUAAGUACUGUGCCUUAGUGAUUUCUUGAGUGCUUCUUUCCUUUCUGAUGGUGGUUCUCCAGGGUCCCUCCCACCAGGGCUGUCGCAUCUCCUAAGGAGCAGUCUCCUCUUUCCUCGACUCCCCUGCUAGCCUUGAGUGCCCCGAGCCUGCAUGCUGUCCCUAGAGUAGGGUCGGUUGGAGAGGUGUGCUUGCCUCCAUGGUGCUUUGAAUCUGCGGUCUCGUCGUCCUUCCUCCAUGGUCUGGCAUGGAGCUUGGCGAGCGUGCCCAGGGCCCCUCUUUUGGUCAUGGGCGGCAGCUGUAUGGCUUCGGUCUUCGGCUCCUCUUCAGGCGGCAGGCCCCGUCUAGCUCGGGCCCCUUGCAAGGUCCGGUUGGCGCUUGGGGCAGCACCAGCCCCCAGCCCCCUGCUGAGAGGGGGCGCACCGCCCUAGGCUUUGCCCACAGCCCUCGCGGCGGAGGACGAGAUGGGUCGUGCACUUGAGUUCGAGCACGGGCAGAGCAUUGUUCGUCAUGAGCUCUUCCAGGAGGCGAUGGACACGAUGAACCGACUCGGUGGUGAACUCGCGAACGUCGACACGCGCCUCAAGGCCGAGGGUCUUCGGCUGGCGGAGGAACAACAUAAGUUGAAGGUGGCCAUCAACCUUGGCCAUUACCAACGUGAUCUUGAUAAUGCGAAGGACGAGGCGUCCCUCAAGGUUUCCCGUGAAGCUUGCUCCUGAGCCUUGGAGGAGGCUCGCGAGGCUGACCGCCUUCGUGAGGCCGCAGGGAAGCACGCGUGGGAGCUCCAGGCCUGGAGCGCGUCCCUGGAGCAGCUGAUGGAGGCGCGCAAGGCCGCCCUUGCGUCAAUGAGGGGGGCACCCGUCGAGGAGGAAGUGAUCCGGAGGCUUAAGGAGGCGAUGGCGUUGGAAGCCAUGGAACGCAGCCUCGAGCUAGAGCAGUUGGAGAUGAGGGAUCGCCAGGUCAUCCAAGCGGAGGACAUUGUCGAUGCGCGCGAGGCCAGGGCUCGGGAGGAGGUUGAUCGCCGGGUGGCUGAGGCUCGCGCGGAUCUUGAGGGUAGGUAUGCGGGGACGGAGGAUGCGGGUAGGGCCGCCAUCCUCAGGUGCAAGCUGGCUGAAGUAGAGAGGUGCGAGGAGGCUACGGCAGCCGCCCUGGUCACAGCGCAGGCGGAGUUGGCCUCUGCCCACGCCAAGAUGCUAUCUCUUCAGAAGCGGGUUGAUGACGUCGAGUCCAUUGUGCGGCAGAAUAGGGAGGAAGUGCUUCAGUGGCGGAAUCUGGAGCGUGAGCACGCCCCCAUGCUCCAGGACCUCAAGAUCAGGGCCAACGCGGCGCUGGGCCACGUCUAUGACGAGAAUGCUCCGCACCCACACUCAAAUGACUAUGCAAGUCACUACUCUUCUUUGCCGACGUGGUGACGCACCUGGAAGCCUGGUCUGAUAGAGCUCGCCAGCUUGUGGAAGAGAGAAGCUGGGGCCUGCUCGGGCGUGCGUUCUCCCGUGUCUUUAGCCAUCUUCGGAACACCUUCCCCGACUUCAACUUCGCCGCCGCCUUUUCCCCUGUACCACAGGCCAUCCGUGGCGACCUGGCGUGGUGGUCGGAGGAUAACGUGGAUGCGCAGGUCAGAGCCUUCGCUUCUGAAGACGACGCGGUGGUGGUCUCCGUAGACGAUGGCGACGUGGUUGACGAUGGCGAUGCCAGCGUCGGUGAAGGUGGAGGCGACGCCGACGACGGUGACAGCGACGCCAGCGGUGCGUCUGCAGACGACGUGGCGGAUGCGGCGAGCAACAUAUCUGGAUGAUCCCCUGUUCCCUUAUUGUUUUACCCUAUAUGCAAAAACUUGGACGUGGCCCCUAAAGAUUGUGAGAGCAUUUUGAGAGGGGGGGGCCUCGUGUAAAAUCACAAUUUUAACUCUCCUAUGUCAAGACGAGUGCGCGCCUUCACGGAUCCAUGAGUCUGGCGGCAAGUUUCGUUGUUGCGGCUUACCUUAGCCGGGUAAGCCCCCGUGCUGGAUCGUGAGAUCAUGAGCUCCUGAGGAACUCCUGAAGGGUCUGCUGGCUCACCCGAGAGGGCUUCGCGAGGAUCUAGCGCCGACCGGCGUGCACGGUGCAUGUGCCGCGCCCAGCCCCGCUCGCGAGGGGCCCGCGAGGGGGAGGUAGCAAGCGCGAGCUUCAGAACAAGGCAAGAACCAGAUGGCAAGAAAUCGCUUGAACGAGAAAAGGAACCCCCCGCGCGCAUCGAUAAAAAUUCAAUUUCAGCUUAAAUCCAAAUCCAGAAGGCAAGGCUACAACAAGGGAUCCAAAGCAAAUGGCCACGUCCAACACCUAGUCUAGUCCUCUGGUCUUUGAGUCUUCUCGCCAGCGCGGAGCUAAGUGCUGCCACUAGGACGUGGGAGGGAGCCUCCGAGGCCCGAGGGCGGCUCUCCAGAGACUCUGGGGCGUGUACAACCCCACUCAUUAUUACGUGAGAGUGUCACGGGCGGCGAUCUUCACACGCGUGAGCCUUACUUCAUAUCGCCAGACAAGGGCCCCGCCUUGCACCUCCCUCAGCCACCAUUGGGGGCGACCGGCAACCAGGACGCCACCAAAGGGUCAAAGGGGACCAUGGGUCCUCUGCCGAGGGUAGGCUUUUCAGCACCUCCCCAGCAGAGGGCCUACCUCCGGGGGGCGCCUUGCUUCGUGCGACGCGGGGAGGGAUCUGGCUCUCGACCCCUCUCCUGCAGCCCCCAGCGCGACCCCCCUGGCGGAAGGGAGGUCGCCGAGCUGGGGUCGCCUGCUGCUGUGGUGACCUGAUCCCCCUGUGACUCAUGGUUAGCGUAAGAUUGCUAUUGAGGGAUUAGUGGUACACUAUAUCUGUUGUCGACGGUGCGGCUGGUGGGGCUCUUUGGCGGCUCCUGGAAGGCUUCAGCUCCUAACGCCUCCUCCUCCCAGCCUGGCACGAGGAACGAGCCAGGGUCGUCCUCCGGCGUGUACUCCGGGUCCAUCAUGCGGGGUACAUAGGCCUCCGGGGCCGCUGCCCCGAAGACCUCGCUGAAGUGCCCCACGCUCCAUGUUGCCCGACCCGUCAUGCUGUCCUGAGGAUGGCAGGGCGGUGCUCCGAUGGGGCCGUACGCAGCAACACUUGUGCCCGCACCCAUCUGGGGAGGUGCGGGCAUGGUAAGGCACCCUCCACCGUGGGUCAUGUUGACAUUGACGAGGCCCUCGGGCCCACCCGGGAGCACGCGGGCGUUGCGCGGCCCGCCGUGGGAUCCAGCCGGCACCUGAGGCAUGAGCUGAUAGCAGAAGGGCGGCGCUCCCAUGGCCGCCGCGUCCAGUAACUCGGCGAUGCGUUCCAGCAGCGCAUCCCGACGCUCUCCAUUAGUCGGCACCGCAGCAGCUCUUGCGCCACUAUGAGUGCGGCCCGUAUGUUCGCCUGCUCCCGCCGGGUGUGUGGCACCAUUGCUGCGGCGUGGCUUGCGGCCCUUGCGGUGGCUCGCGCUUGUCGUGGAGUGAGGGAGGACGGCACCUGGCCGCGCCGCCCGUGCCCAGCAGCGUUAGAUGGCGCCCGUGCCACCUGGAGCACGGGGUUGAGGUCUUCCUGGGUAGGCGGCACCGCCCGGGCGGGCCAGGCCGCCCAGCGGUCGGCGCCAGCCCUUGGGUCACUAGACAUCGGAACCGCAGAGCAUCGACGGAUCGACUAGUGGGGAAGAGACUGCGGCGCACCCCUACCUGGCGUGCCAAAGGUCGGAUCACGGGUUCCGGCCAAACCCUUAAGGUUCGAACUUUGGGGUGCGCGCAAAGUUCUUUCCCCCUACCGAUCCAUGCCCUAGGUUUGCUAAGAUCUCGCGGACGAACUCGACAAACUCACAACACAAAAGACACAAGAUUUAUACUGGUUCGAGCGACCGUUGUGGUGUAAUACCCUACUCCAGUGUGGUGGUGGUGGAUUGCCUCUUGGGCUGAUGAUGAAUAGUACAAGGGGAAGAACAACCUCUUGAGGUUGAGGUGUUCUUGUGCUUGGUGAACUUGUGGGUGUUAGGAUGGCAAGUCCCCUUGAUCAGUUCUAGAUGAGUCUUCCCUACUGUGGUGGCUAGUCCUACUUAUAGAGUCCCUGGUCCUCUUCCCAAAUAUUGAGCGGGAAGGGAUCCCACAAUGGCCAAUUUCGAAGGGGACAACUAGUAUAGCUUAUCCUAACAAAAGCGGUCUUCGCCUGCCAAAGGCUCUGGUGGUGACGCCGCCUUGGGCUCCAUGGUGACCUCCGUCUUGCCGUCCUGCUGGUCUUGGUCUCGUUGCACCGAUAUGGAAACCUUUGCUUGAUGCCUCGAUACUCUACGCCUGCACUCGCUCCCUUAGCACCAAAGGGGAAACAAGGACACUGCACGCACUGGCGCCCGCCUGAUCUUGAUCGUCAUGGCUCACGUCACGAGAACCUCGCGAGGUUUGCCUUGCCUUGAUCUCUUCGCUCCUCGCGAGCCAACCUGGUGAGGCCGCUCCUGAGGAUAUCUUGCAUCGUCCGCCUCGCGAGGCUUGGCCCCUCGCGAGGGUCUUGAAUGCCUUGUUGAUGAAGAUGGGCCGUACAGGCCUGCUAGCAGAGCCACGCCGUGGGCCGCAGGCAGGCAAGUCUGGGGACCCCCGUUCCCAGAACACCGACAAGUAGGGGCAGUGCCACUUCUUGGUCUUGCAAUUGUAGAAGGAAGCAACUCCCUUGGCCUUGAUCUUCACCACCUCCUUGGAUGUGAAGGAUGCGACGUUGCCCUUGAACACUUCUUCUCCAGAAUCAUACUGCACACAUGAAUGAGUUACAUUAAUACAUUAUAGAUUCAUGGAUACACUAUGUCAAGGGAACUAAAUGAACAAUCUAAAUUUGAAGUAGGCUUACCUCAUAUUCUUUAUCAUCACUUUCCUCUAGAUCAUACGGGUUGUACUGGGCUAGCUUCCUCUUUCUACCCCCAACCAUCAUCCUCCCGAACAUACAAUUACAUCCAUCACUAGUAAAUACAGAAGCCAAUUGAAAAUUUAGAUAUACACACAUGACACAUUGAUCAUAUGGCUAAUAUACUCCCAAUAUACUAUGAUCAUUGUUUUGCAUUUUCCAUUGUCAUGCACACAAAUUGAACAACAUAUUGUGGACAAAUUUAUAUACUAAUGAAUCACGGGUUACUUUUGUUAUGACACUCAAAUUUAUAUUGUGAUUCAUAUGGUAGGAUUGUGAUAACUUAUUAAUCAAUGGAUUCCAUUUGGGCAUAUGACAUUCAAAACCCCAAUCUGAGUAGCAUUCAAAAACAAAUCUAAUAGGGACCCAAUCUAAGGCAACGAAUCUGAGUAGCAUUAAAAACCCCAAUCCGUGAGCACCAAAAACAAAUCUAAUAAGCAUGCAUAUGUUCACAACAUCUACCAUUUUUGCAAUGAAUUUAUCCAAAUCUAAAAACAAAUCUAAAAACCCCAAUCAUUGCAGCACCUAAAAUCAUAGUUCACAACAUCUAGCAUUUUUGCAAUGAAUUUAUCCAACAAACCCAAGUCCAAAACCCCGCAUCCCCCCAACCCAUACAAAAAACCUGGCCCAUCCGUCAAACCAACUACUCUAACCAUCUGAACUACCAUAUGAAUCACAAUCUAACUAAUGCAACUUGGGAGCAACUAACUCUACAAGCUAAGCAAGUGCGAAUACCUGCUGCUCCAUGGCAGGCGGCGCUUCGGGGGUAUCGGGAUGGACUGCACCGCUCGACGCCGUCACCUUCUGCAGCGAUGAGGCGGAGCCCGCCACAUCCAUAGCGGUUGCGAGUUUCCACGCACCGCUGUGGACGCCCCCGACAUCCACGGUCACCGCGCCCUGACCCUGCAGCUCCACCACAUCUCCGCUCGCUGUGUCGGCGUCGCCACGAGCAUCGGUCAUCUGACAGAUGGAGGCGAUGAAGGUCAGGAAGAGGAUGUGGUGGGGGAGAGCGAGACGGUGCGGAGGCAGUGGAGGAGAGCAAGACAAUGCCGAUGGGGCAGAGGAAGAUGAUGCGGCAGGGAGGGGAUUUGGGGGGAAAUGGUAGGGGCGAUGAAGGUGGUUGCGCCUCUUUAUAUGCUGGGACAUUUCGGGCAUGUCCAUGGACACGUGCUACCCCACGACCGCGCAUGACUGCGGUCUUGCAUGCGCCCACGUAUAUGCGGCCCCACUCGUCAAAGUUAACAGUCAAAGGCAUUGACCCGACAACAAUGUCUGUUAUAACCUGUUCUAAGGGUUUCGGGCAAGGGAGUGGGGAAAAGUGAGCAAAAGUUAACAGAGUGGGGAUGAAUGAGUAGAGUUAAGGAACCAUGGGCACAGAAAUAAAAAAACCUCUUAUAAUAUUUCUCUACAAGAAACCAAUGUCAGCAAAUUGAUUAUGAAGCUGGCCUAUUGACCCGGAUUUUUCAGAAGAAGUGCUAGGAUUUUUUUGCAUUGGCAAAGUUUGAGCAUAUCUGCUAAAGGAGAUUUGCUAUGAGAUCAUGAACACGCAUCAGCAAGGAAAUGACAAGGACUUAAGGAUGAUCAGGUGGCGGUUCAGGAAAACUUUUAACCCGGGGUACAACCUAUCAAUUUUGUUCUUGUGUCUAUUUUGCAGCAUAAAUUUACCAUAGAUAAAUCCAAGCUAAACUGGGGGCUAAUGUCGGGGAUAUACCCUGCAGUGUAACCUGCCGGAUGUAUGACCCGGCUGGAGUUUGGCGACUCACUGGUGAUCCGCCUGAGACUAGUAAACCACUGGUGACCCGGAGGACGGGUUAGAUGAAUAACAAGGCCCAAGGCCUAGAAGGCGGCAUAUGAGAAGACCGGCUCAAGGUACGUGUCUGGUGGGCCGGCUUAAGAGGAAAUUAUAAGGAAUAUUCCCUUACAAAGGAAGCAAGACUAGGACUCCACUUGUAAUAGAGUAAUCCUAAUCCUACUAGGACUAGUCAUGUAACCCGCCCCUAUAAGGAGGGGCAGGGCACCCCAAGAGGGGGCAAAAUAAUCUCGAGGGCUAGAUACAACUAGAGGAGAGCCGGCUUAUACAACAACUCUCUCGUGAGCAUAUUGAAUAAGACCUAGCAACAAACAGCAUAUAGGGUUAUCACCGGAUGAUGUUUUCCGGGGCCCAAAGCUGUGUAAAGCUUGUCUCGUGUGCUAAUCCGCUUCGACGAUGUACACACAUCUCUCGUCCCGAUCAACCCCUCUCAAACUACUACCUAGUUGCGUUGGCCUCACGACAAGUCCUCAUACUAGGACAUACGCCGUGACAAAUCCACGACACAUNNNNNNNNNNNNNNNNNNNNNNNNNNNNNNNNNNNNNNNNNNNNNNNNNNNNNNNNNNNNNNNNNNNNNNNNNNNNNNNNNNNNNNNNNNNNNNNNNNNNNNNNNNNNNNNNNNNNNNNNNNNNNNNNNNNNNNNNNNNNNNNNNNNNNNNNNNNNNNNNNNNNNNNNNNNNNNNNNNNNNNNNNNNNNNNNNNNNNNNNNNNNNNNNNNNNNNNNNNNNNNNNNNNNNNNNNNNNNNNNNNNNNNNNNNNNNNNNNNNNNNNNNNNNNNNNNNNNNNNNNNNNNNNNNNNNNNNNNNNNNNNNNNNNNNNNNNNNNNNNNNNAUUUCACAAAUAUAACAAAAACUAUGGGCUCAUAUGCAACUUUUUCAUGUAACUUGCUUUGAAAUAUCUUAGAUAUAGUAUAUGAACAUAUUUAAAAUAAUAAAAUAGUAUAUAUAGUAUCACAUGGUGCUAUAUGGGACAUAUGGGGUAACUACCACCGGGUGGUAGGAUGGAUUUUUCCUAUAUAUAUAUACUACUUUAUGAUUUUAAAUAUAUACAUAUACUAUAUCUAAGAUAUUUCAAAACAAGUUACAUAAAAAAGUUGCACAUGAGCCCAUAGUUUUUGUUAUAUUUGUGAAAUACAUACAUAUUUGUACGUAAAAAAGAGCAUACUAAAAAAUGGUACAUACUACCUAAAAAUUUGUAUAUAUACUACCUAAUUAUUAUUAUAUACUACAUACUACACGUACAUACUCUCGGUUUCGACAGAUACUACAUACAACAUACAAAAUGCAAGUGGUGAUAACUACCACUGCUUGUAGGAAACAUUUGUCAUAUAUAUAUAUAUAUAUAUAUAUAUAUAUAUAUAUAUUCCUAUUUUGUAUACAUACUUAACCGUCAAAUGAUGCAAUAUAUAUCGCCUUAGUUAUAUACAUUGUAUCACCUUCCCUUCUUUCCUGCUCUCGGAAAAAAGGAAAAGAAAACAAAAAGAAGAAAAGAAAAGGAAAAGAAAAUAAAGGAAAAGAAAAUAGAAGAAACAAACAGGAAAACUUCUAUAGCUACUGGUGAUAGCAGUAGCGCCUUUCUGGAAAAGCAUUAUAGCCGAGUCAGAUAGCAGUAGUGAUGUUUGGUAAAACAAUCUAUAGAUACUGUUGAUAGCAGUAGCUCUUCUUGGAGAAACACGCUAUAGCUAAUUUAGCUAUAGUGUGUUAUGUUGAAACGCGCUACUGCUAUGUUGACUUAAACCCCACGGCCCACGGGUUCCCCGCCGUCGCUUCUUCCCCCAAAUCCUCACUCUCUCUUCUCCCCCCUUAUCACCGCUGGAGCCCAUGCCCUCACCCUCGCCCUCGCCGGAGUUGUUGUCUCCCCCAACCCACCUCGCCUUGGUGCUACGCUGUCUCCCCCGUCGUCCGAUGUCUACUACACAACCUUCUUCUUGUAGAUGUUGUUGGGCCUGCAAGUGCACAGGUUUGUAGGGCAGUAGCAAAUUUCCCUCAGUGGAUGACCUAAGGUUUAUCAAUCCGUAGGAGGCGUAGGAUGAAGAUGGUCUCUCUCAAGCAACCAUGCAACCAAAUAACAAAGAGUCUCUUGUGUCCCCAACACACGCAAUACAAUGGUAAAUUGUAUAGGUGCACUAGUUCGGCGAAGAGAUGGUGAUACAAGUGCAAUAUGGAUAGUAGAUAUAGGUUUUUGUAAUCUGAAAUAAUAAAAACAGCAAGGUAACUAAUGAUAAAAGUGAGCGUAAACGGUAUUGCAAUGAUAGGAAACAAGGCCUGGGGUUCAUCCUUUCACUAGUGCAAGUUCUCUCAACAAUAAUAACAUAGAUAGAUCAUAUAACAAUCCCUCAACAUGCAACAAAGAGUCACUCCAAAGCCACUAAUAGCGGAGAACAAACGUAGAGAUUAUGGUAGGGUACGAAACCACCUCAAAGUUAUUCUUUCGGAUCAAUCUAUUCAAGAGUUCGUACUAGAAUAACACCUUAAGACACAAAUCAACCAAAACCCUAAUGUCACCUAGAUACUCCAUUGUCACCUCAAGUAUCCGUGGGCAUGAUUAUACGAUAUGCGUCACACAAUCUCAAAUUCAUCCAACCAACACAAAGUACUUCAAAGAAAGCCCAAAAGUUUCUACCGGAGAGUCAAGAAAAUGUGUGCCAACCCCUAUGCAUAGGUUCAUGGGCGGAACCCGCAAGUUGGUCACCAAAACAUACAUCAAGUGGCACGUGAUAUCCCAUUGUCACCACAGAUAAACACGGCAAGACAUACAUCAAGUGUUCUCAAAGUAAAGACUCAAUCCGAUAAGAUAACUUCAAGAGGGAAACUGAAUUCAUCACAAGAGAGUAGAGGGGGAGAAACAUCAUAAGAUCCAACUAUAAUAGCAAAGCUCGCGAUACAUCAAGAUCGUGCCAUAGAGAGAACACGAGAGAGAGAGAGAUCAAACACAUAGCUACUGGUACAUACCCUCAGCCCCGAGAGUGAACUACUCCCUCCUCGCCAUGGAGAGUGCCAGGAUGAUGAAGAUGGCCACCGGUGAUGGAUUCCCCCUCCGGCAGGGUGCCGGAACGGGCUCCCGAGAGGUUUUUGGUGGCUACAGAAGCUUGCGGCGGCGCAACUCCCGAUCUAUCUUGAUAUUCGAUGGUUUUAGGGUACGUAGGCUUAUAUAGGCGAAAGAAGUCGGUCGGGAGGUGCUCGAGGGGUCCAUGAGACAGGGGGUCGCGCCCUGUAGGGGGGGCUAUCUCCUGGGCUGCUCGAGGGUCUUCUGACUUGAUCUCCAAGCCUCCAGGAUGAUAUUCUUCCAAAAAAUCACGAUGCCGAAGGUUUCAUUCCAUUUGGACUCCAUUUGAUAUUCCUUUUCUUCGAAAUACUGAAACAGGCAAUAAAACAGCAAUAUGGGCUGGGCCUCCGGUUAAUAGGUUAGUCCCAAAAAUGAUAUAAAUAUGUAAAAUAAAGCCCAUAAACAUCCAAAAGGGGUAAUAUAAUAGCAUGGAAAAAUCAAAAAUUAUAGAUACGUUGGAGAUGUAUCAAGCAUCCCCGAGCUUAAUUCCUGCUCGUCCUCGAGUAGGUAAAUGAUAAAAACAGAAUUUUUGAUGUGGAAUGCUACCUAGCAUAAUUCUCAAUGUAAUUUUCUUUAUUGUGGCAUGAAUGUUCAGAUCCAAAUGAUUCAAAAUAAAGGUUCAUAUUGAUAAAAGAAAUAGUAACACUUCAAGCAUACUAAUCAAAGUAAUCAUGUCUUCUCAAAAUAACAUGGCAAAAGAAAGUUCAUCCCUACAAAAUCAUAUAGUUAGGCUAUGCUUCAUUUUCGUCACACAAAGAUGUUCCCAACUUCUAUACCCCCAAUGACAAGCCAAGCAAUCGUUUCAUACUUAAAUAAUCUCAAACUUUUUCAACCUUCACGCAAUACAUGAGCGUGAGCCAUGGAUAUAGCACUAUGGGUGGAAUAGAAUAUGAUGAUGGGGAUUGUGUGGAGAAGACAAAAAAGGAGAAAGUCUCACAUUGACGAGGAUAAUCAACGGGCUAUGGAGAUGCCCAUAAAUUGAUAUCAACAUGAGGAGUAGGGAUUGCCAUGCAACGGAUGCACUAGAGCUAUAAAUGAAUGCUCAACAAAAGAAAACUAGUGGGUGUGCAUCCAACUUGCCAACUAGUGGGAGAUGCCCAUAAAUUGAGGAAGCCCAUUGUAGGAAUAUACAAGCCAAGUUCUAUAAUGAAAAAUUCCCACUAGUAUGAAAAAGACAACUUAUGAGACUCACUAUAUGAAAAACAUGGUGCUACUUUGAAGCACAAUAUAUGAGACUCACUACAUGAAGAACAAGGUGCUACUUUGAAGCACAAGUGUGGAAAAGAGAUAGUAGCAUUGCUCUUUUCAUUUAUUUUCUUCUUUUUUAUUUUUUUGUCUUUUUCCUUUUUUUGGGCCUUCCUUUUUUUUAUUUUGGCCUUUCUUCUUCAUUUUUUUUCUUUGGACAAUGCUCUAAUAAUGAUGAUCAUCACACUUUCAUUGAUUACAACAUAUGAAUUACAACUCGAAACUAGAACAAGAUAUGACUCUAUAUGAAUGCCUCCGGCGGUGUACCAGGAUGGUGCAAUGAAUCAAGAGUGACAUGUAUGAAAAAUAAUGCAUGGUGGCUUUGCCACAAAUACGAUGUCAACUACAUGAUCAUGCAAUGGCAAUAUGACAAAAGUAAAGUAUGUCAUGAUGAUGAUGAACGGAACGGUGGAAAGUUGCAUGGCAAUAUAUCUCAGAAUGGCUAUGGAAAUGCCAUAAUAGGUAGGUAUGGUGGCUGUUUUGAGUAAGAUAUAAGGAGGUUUAUGUGUGAUAGAGCGUAUCGUAUCACGGGGUUUGGAUGCACCGGCGAAGUUUGCACCAACUCUCAAGGUGAGAAAGGGCAAUGCACGGUACCGAAGAGGCUAGCAAUGGCGGAAAGGUAAGAGUGCGUAUAAUCCAUGGACUCAACAUUAGUCAAAAGAACUCAUAUACUUAUUGCAAAAAUUUAGAAGUCAUCAAAAAUCAAGUACUACGCGCAUGCUCCUAGGGGGAUAGAUUGGUAGGAAAAGACCAUCGCUCGUCCCCGACCGCCACUCAUAAGGAUGCACAAGCCAGUUACACUUCAUGUUUCAAAUUUGUUACACAACUUUAACCAUACGUGCAUGCUACGGGACUUGCUAACUUCAACAAGAAUUCUUUAAAUUCAUAAUCACCCAACUAGCAUGACUUUAAUAUCACUACCUCCAUAUCUUAAAACAAUUAUCAAGUAUCAAAUUGAUCAUAGCAUCCAAUUCACUUCCUAUGAUAGUUUUUAUUAUACCCAACUUGGAUGCUCAUCAUUCUAGGACCAACUUUGAGACCAUAGCAAAUACCAUGCUGUACUAAAAGACUCUCAAAAUAAUAUAAGUGAAGCAUGAGAGACUAGCAAUUUCUACAAAAUAUAACCACCGCCGUGCUCUAAAAGAUAUAAGUGAUGCACUGGAGCAAAUGACAAACUACUCCGAAAGAUAUAAGUGAAGAACAAUGAGUAGCUAAAUAAUUAUGUAACUAUGUGAAGACUCUCUCCCAAUAAAGAAUUUCAGAUCUUGGUAUUGUAUUCAAACAUCAAGCAAAACAAAAUAAAAUGACAAUGCAAGGAUAGCACAACUCAUGUGAAGAAGCAAAAACUUAGGCUCAACCGAUACUAACCGAUAGUUGUUGAAGAAGAAAGGUGGGAUGCCUACCGGGGCAUCCCAAAGAUUAGAUGCUUGAGACUUCUUGAAAUAUUAUCUUGGGGUGCCUUGGGCAUCCCCAAGCUUUAACUUUUGUGUCUCCUUAAUUCCUCUCAUAUCAUGGUUUCUCUUUUUAUCAAAAGCUUCAUCCACAAAAAACUCAACAAGAACUCGUGAGAUAGGUUAGUAUAAACCAAUGCAAAAUCUUAUCAUUUUCUACUGUAACAAAUCACUAAAAUUAUUAUCCAACAUUUCAUACUAAAUGCCUCUGCAUAAUUAAUACUCCUAUCCUCAAGUGGUAUCAUUAAACAAGCAAACAUAAGCAAACAAUGCAAACAUAACAGCAAUCUGCCAAAUCAGUACAAUCUGUAAAGAAUGCAAGAGUAUCAAUACUUCCCCAACUCCAAAAAUUAUGAAAUAAAAUUACCACUGUAGUAAAUUUAUCAUAGCUCAUUAUGCAAAAGGUUUCAACAUUAUAUCAUUCUCUGACUUUUCUAGGAAAUUUUUGCAACAGAGGUAAGCUUUCUGUUUUCAAACAGCAACAUGUAUACUAGCAAAAUAAGCAUGGCAAAGGCUAUCCUUGACUUUUUUAUUGAAACUAAAGAAGCAAAACAUUAUUAUAAAUAACAGCAAGCAAAUACUAACAAAAGAAAAUGACGCUCCAAGCAAAACACAUAUCAUGUGGUGAAUAAAAAUAUAGCUCCAAGUAAAGUUACCAAUGAACGAAGACGAAAGAGGGAAUGCCUUCCCGGGGCAUCCCCAAGCUUAGGCUCUUGGCCAUCCUUGAAUAUUUCCUUGGGGUUCCUUGGGCAUACCCAAGCUUAGGCUCUUUCCACUCCUUAUUCCAUAGUCCAUCGAAUCUUUACCCAAAACUUGAAAACUCCACAACACAAAACUCAACAGAAAACUCGUAAGCUUCGUUAGUAUAAGAAAAUAAAACCACCACUUAGGUACUGUAAUGAACUCAUUAUAAAUUCAUAUUGGUGUAAUAUCUACUAUACUCCAACUUAUUUAUGGUUCAUACCCUUCGAUACUACUCAUAGAUUCAUCAAAAUAAGCAAACAACACAUAGAAAACAGAAUAUGUCAAAAACAGAACAGUCUGUAGUAAUCUGUAUCAAACGUAUACUUCUGGAACUCCAAAUAUCCUACCAAAUUAGGAAGUCCUAAGAAAUUCGUGUACCAAUCCAGAUAAACAAGAAUUAGAUCAGAAGAACGUUUGUGUGAAUUAACAAAACUAAUUUACUGGGUGCAAAAGUUUCUGAUUUUCAGCAGGGUCAACACAACUAUCACCAAAAGCCAUCCUAAAGGUCUUACUUGGCACUUUAUUGAAACAAAAGCUAUAAAACAUGAUUACUACAGUAUCAUAAUCAUGUGGACACAUAAAAAUAGUAAGGGUAAAUAUUUGGUUGUCUCCCAACAAGCUCUUUUCUUUAAUGCCUUUCUAGCUAGGCAUGAAGAUGGCAAUGAUGCUCACAUAAAAGAUAAGAAUUGAAACAUAAUGGGAGCAUCAUGAAGCAUAUGACUAGAAUAUUUAAGUCUAACCCACUUCCUAUGCAUAGGGAUUUUGUGAGCAAACAACUUAUGGGAACAAUAAUCAACUAGCAUAGGAAGGUAAAACAAGCAUAGCUUCAAGAUUUUCAACACAUAGGGAGGAAACUUGACAUUAUUGCAAUUCCUACAAGCAUAUAUUCCUCCCUCAUAAUAAUUUUCAGUAGCAUCAUGAAUGAAUUCAACAAUUUAACCAGCACCUAUUGCAUUCUUUUCAUGAUCUACAAGCAUAUAAAAUUUACUACUCUCCACAUAAGCAAAAUUCUUCUCAUUCGGAAUGGUGGGAGUAUCAUAAGAGACUUGAACACUAAAAAUUGUUUCCACAUUAAAAGAGUAAUGUUCAGAAAAAGGGUAAUCAUAAUCAUGACAAGAUUUGUAAAUAUAAUCAUCACUACUUUUUAUAGCAUAAGUUUCAUCACAAUAAUCAUCAUAAGUAGCAACUUCGUUCUCAUCAUAAUCGAUUGAAACCUCUCCCAAGAUAGUGGAAUCAUCACUAAAUAAAGUUGACACUCUUCCAAAUCCACUUUCUUAAUCACAAUAAAAUUCAACAUCCUCCAAAAUAGUGGGAUCACUAUUUCCUAAAGUUGACACUCUUCCAAACCCACUUUCAUCAAUAUAACCAUCAUAAAUAGGAGGCAUGCUAUCAUCAUAACAACUUUGCAUAUCAAAACUUGGGAUGCUAAAAAUAUUAUCUUCAUUAAACAUAGCAUCCCCAAGCUUGGGAGAAACAUUAAUUUCAGAAAAUAUAUUCUCAAAUAUUUCAUCCUCAUCAAACAUAGCUUCACCAAGCUUGGGCCCUUUCAUAUCAUAAACAUAAUCACUCUCAUCAUUAAAAAUAUGGAUAGCACCAAUAGUAUAGCAAUUAUCAUCAUCACAAUGAGUAGUGGGAGCAACAUCAUUUGGGAGGGAUACCUUUUUACCUUUAUUGCUCCUUCUUUUCUUUUUCUUCUUCAUAUUAUGUGUGGGCUCAACCUUCCUCUUUGAGCUCCUUAUUGAUGAGAUUGGUUGAAUAGAAAGCUCCUCCUCGCUACCUGAUUCAUCAUGAGAAAUAAUAGGAGGAUAUUGGGAAGUCUCUUCCCUUUCAUUAGUAUUCUCAUCAUCUUCUAUUUGCUUUCGUUUCUUUAUGUAAUUGGCAAUAUAAGGACUUUCAAUGCAAUUCUCCGCACAAAACAUAUAAAUCUUUUCUAGAUCAAUAUCAAGGAAAUGCUCAAGAUUAAAUUCUGGAAUAGGCUUAGUUAAACGUUUCAACUCUUCAUAACCCAAAAGCAAACUAAGUUCAUUAUAAUGUGCAAGGGAAAUCAAAUCAUCACAAUUUUUGGACACGAUUCGGUCAUGAAACAAUUUGCAUUGGACAUGUAAAUGACCACAUUCAUUGCAAAGUUCACGAGUACGGCAAAGGAAUUUUAAAUUUUCAGCACUCACAUCUAGCCUUUCUUGCAACCAUUUAGUUUCUAAAUGCUUAUGCCUCUUGCAAUAUAUAUCUUCUCUAUUUGGUGUGUUCAUGCAAACAUGCACUCCACAAAAGUUGACAUGCUCAUAAGAGAUAUUUUCAUCAUGACUAGAGCAAUCAUCAUUAAUACUAUGGAUAUUCAAGAAGUUUAUACUAACAACAUUGCAAUCAUGCUCAUCAUUCAAAGAUUUAGUACCAAGCAUUUUAAUGCAUUCUUCUUAUAGCACUUGAGCACAAUUUUCCUUUCCAUCAUACUCACGAAAGAUAUUAAAAAGACGAAGCGUAUGAGACAAACUUAACUCCAUUUUUUUUGUAGUUUUCUUUUAUAAACUAAACUUGUGAUAAAACAAGAAACCAAAAGAUUCGAUUGCAAGAUCUAAAGAUAUACCUUCAAGCACUAACCUCCCCGGCAACGGCGCCAGAAAAGAGCUUGAUGUCUACUACACAACCUUCUUCUUGUAGACGUUGUUGGGCCUGCAAAUGCACAGGUUUGUAGGACAGUAUCAAAUUUCCCUCAAGUGGAUGACCUAAGGUUUAUCAAUCCGUAGGAGGCGUAGGAUGAAGAUGGUCUCUCUCAAGCAACCCUGCAACCAAAUAACAAAGAGUCUCUUGUGUCCCUAACACACCCAAUACAAUGGUAAAUUGUAUACAUGCACUAGUUCGGCGAAGAGAUGGUGAUACAAGUGCAAUAUGGAUAGUAGAUAUAGGUUUUUGUAAUCUGAAAUAAUAAAAAUAGCAAGGUAACUAAUGAUAAAAGUGAGCGUAAACGGUAUUGCAAUGAUAGGAAACAAGGCCUAGGGUUCAUACUUUCACUAGUGCAAGUUCUCUCAACAAUAAUAACAUAGAUAGAUCAUAUAACAAUCCCUCAACAUGAAACAAAGAGUCACUCCAAAGCCACUAAUAGCGGAGAACAAACAUAGAGAUUAUGGUAGGGUACGAAACCACCUCAAAGUUAUUCUUUCGGAUCAAUCUAUUCAAGAGUCCAUACUAUAAUAACACCUUAAGACACAAAUCAACCAAAACCCUAAUUUCACCUAGAUACUUCAUUGUCACCUCAAGUAUCCGUGGGCAUGAUUAUACGAUAUGCGUCACACAAUCUCAAAUUCAUCCAACCAACACAAAGUACUUCAAAGAGUGCCCAAAAGUUUCUACCGGAGAGUCAAGAAAACGUGUGCCAACCCCUAUGCAUAGGUUCAUGGGCGGAACCCGCAAGUUGGUCACCAAAACAUACAUCAAGUGGUACGUGAUAUCACAUUGUCACCACAGAUAAACACGACAAGACAUACAUCAAGUGUUCUCAAAGUAAAAACUCAAUCCGAUAAGAUAACUUCAAGAGGGAAACUCAAUUCAUCACAAGAGAGUAGAGGGGGAGAAACAUCAUAAGAUCCAACUAUAAUAGCAAAGCUCGUGAUACAUCAAGAUCGUGCCAUAGAGAGAACACGAGAGAGAGAGAGAGAGAGAGAUCAAACACAUAGCUACUGGUACAUACCCUUAGCCCCGAGGGUGAACUACUCCCUCCUUGCCAUGGAGAGCACCGGGAUGAUGAAUUCCCCCUCCGGCACCGGUGAUGGAUUCCCCCUUCGGCAGGGUGCCGGAACAGGCUCCUGAGAGGUUUUUGGGGGCUACAGAGGCUUGCGGCGGUGGAACUCCCGAUCUAUCUUGAUAUUCGAUGGUUUUAGGGUACGUAGGCUUAUAUAGGCGAAAGAAGUCAGUCGGGAGGUGCUCGAGGGGUCCACGAGACAGGGGGCCGCGCCCUGUAGAGGGGGCGCCCCUAUCUCCUGGGCUCCUCGAGGGUCUUCUGACUUGAUCUCCAAGCCUCUAGGAUGAUAUUCUUCCAAAAAAUCACGAUGCCGAAGGUUUCAUUCCGUUUGGACUCCAUUUGAUAUUCCUUUUCUUCGAAAUACUGAAACAGGCAAUAAAACAGUAAUAUGGGCUAGGCCUCCGAUUAAUAGGUUAGACCCAAAAAUGAUAUAAAUAUGUAAAAUAAAGCCCAUAAACAUCCAAAAGGGGUAAUAUAAUAGCAUGGAACAAUAAAAAAUUAUAGAUACGUUGGAGACGUAUCAUCGUCGCCCUCGCCGGGGUCGUCAUCUUCCCCGACCCGCCUCGCCUCGGUGCUGCGCCGUCUCCCUCGCCCUUGUCGGAGUUGUCGUCUCCCCCAACCCCGCCUUGCCUUGGUGCCGCGCCAUCUCCCCCAACCCCGCCUCGCCUCGAUGCCGCGUCGUCUCCCCUGACCUCUCUCUGCCCUCUAUAAGCCCUCUCCCCUCCCAUCUUCUCUACUAUUUAAUGCUAGUUAGUAUGGAUCCUAGGUUUCAAACUAUAGCUAUUUUUUGUUAAAGCAAUUGUUGCUAUUUAAGAAAACAGAAUUAGUAUGAUCCCUAUAGUUAAUUAGUUGGUAUGAACCCUAGUUAAAAAAUAGAAUUAGUAUGGGUUAAAUGAAUUCUAGGUAUUUUAGGUGUUUUAGGUGUAGUUAACAGAAUUCUAGGUAUUUUAGGUAUUAUGAACGUGUGCACGACGCCGGAGAUGGCGCCACGUGGAAGGUCUUUUACAAUGAGGGUCCGGAGGCCAAGAACCAGAAAAAGAAGUUUAGCCAGGCGGACAUUGACGAGAAGGUGAAGCUUGCGUUCGAGAAAAAAGUAGUCGAGGACACGAAAUAGCAGCUGAGGAGAAAAAUGAGUUGCUACAGCAAGCAGUCGCUGCAGUUGUAGAUGCCUGCAGAAAUGAUUUCGCUACUAACUUGAUCCCGGCUAUGAUCAGCUGGACGAAGGAAAAUCCAGACAAGACGGUAGAUGAUUUCCACGUGCCCAGCUUCAUCGGGAGCAACUCAGUGAACAACACCACCGCACCAUCACCUGCUUGUUGGAAUUAUGCCCUAGAGGAAAUAAUAAAAUAGUUAUUAUUAUAUUUCCUUGUUCAUGAUAAUUGUCUAUUGUUCAUGCUAUAAUUGUAUUAAUCGGAAACCGUAAUACAUGUGUGAAUACAUAGACCACAACAUGUCCCUAGUGAGCCUCUAGUUGACUAGCUCGUUGAUCAAUAGAUGGUUGUGGUUUCCUGACCAUGGACAUUGGAUGUCGUUGAUAACGGGAUCACAUCAUUAGGAGAAUGGUGUGAUGGACAAGACCCAAUCCUAAGCAUAGCACAAGAUCGUGUAGUUUGUUUGCUAGAGAUUUUCUAAUGUCAAGUAUCAUUUCCUUAGACCAUGAGAUUGUGCAACUCCCGGAUACCGUAGGAAUGAUUUGGGUGUAUCAAACGUCACAAUGUAACUAGGUGGGUAUAAAGGUGCACUACAGGUAUCUCUGAAAGUGUCUGUUGGGUUGGCAUGAAUCGAGACUGGGAUUUGUCACUCCGUAUGACGGAGAGGUAUCUCUGGGCCCACUCGGUAAUGCAUCAUCAUAAUGAGCUCAAUGUGACUAAGGAGUUAGCCACAGGAUCAUGCGUUAUGGAAUGAGUAACGAGACUUGCCGGUAACGAGAUUGAACGAGGUAUGGGGAUACCAACGAUCGAAUCUCGGGCAAGUAACAUACUGAUGGACAAAGGGAAUUGUAUACGGGAUUGAUUCCCAAAUAUUCCAAAACCCAUCGGGGUUAACUUAGAUCAAAAGUUCCGCCGCUGCAAGGCUCUGUAGCCACCAAAAACCAAUCUAGCUCCGUUCUGGCACCCUGCCGGAGGGCGUAAUCAUCUCCGGUGGCCAUCUUCAUCAUCCCGGCGGCCACCACGAUGAGGAGGGAGUAGUCCACCCUCGGGGCUGAGGGUUUGUACCAGUAGCUAUGUGUUUAACCACUCUCUCUUGUGAUCUAUAUCAUGGGCUUUGUUAAUAUUGUCGGAUCAUAUGAUGUUUCUCCCCUCUAUACUCUUGUUAUGAUGAAUUGAAUCUUUACCCUUCAAAGUUUUGUCUUGUCGGAUUGAAUAUACAUAGAUGAGAACACAUGAUUUUAUCUUGAAAUAUGAAUACUUGAAGUGACAAUUGGGGUAUCAUAUUGAUUCACUUGAUAUGUGUCUUGGCAUUCAACUCACGGAUUCCCGCGGUGAUAUUGGGGUAAUCUAUGCAUAGGGGUUGAUGCACGUUUUUCUCCGACGGAAACUUUGGGGUCUCUUUAUAGUUCUUUGUGGGGAUGGAGUAUUAUGAAUAUGAAUUUUCUUUGGUGUUAUUCUAGUACGAACUCUUGGGUAGAUCAAACGAAAAAAUAGCUCUGUGUUAUUUUAGUACGAACUCUUGAAUAGAUCGAACGGAGAGAAUAGCUUUGAGGUGGUUUCGUGCUCUACAAACAAUUCCUAUCUUUUGUCCUCCGCUAAUAGGAACUCGGGAGUGAUUCUUUACUGGACUUUGAGGGAUAAUCAUAUGAUCCAACUAUGUUAGCAUUGUUGAGAGAUUGCACUAGUGAAAGUACAGACCCUAGGCCUCAUUUUCAAGCAUUGCACUGCCGUUUUUGUGCCCGUUUACUAUUUGCUAUCUUGCUGUUUUUAUUUAUUCAGAUUAUAAAAAUAUAUUUCUACCAUCCAUAUUACACUUUUAUCUCUCUAUCUUCGCCGAACUAGUGCACCUAUACAAUUUGCUAUUGUAUUGGGUGUGUUGGGGACACAAGAGAUUUCUUGUAUUUGGUUGCAGGGUCAUUUGAGAGAGACCAUCUUCAUCCUACACCUCUCACGGAUUGAUAAACCUUAGGUCAUCCACUUGAGGGAAAAUUGCUACUAUCCUACAAAACUCUAUGCUUGGAGGCCCAACACGUGUCUACAAGAAUAAAGUUGCAUAGUAGACAUCAGCGAGCAACCAGCUUGUUGGAUAUAAUACAUAUUGAUGUAUGCGGUGCAAUGAGCAUUGAAGCUCGCGGUGGCUAUCGUUAUGUUCUCACCCUCACUAAUGACUUAAGUAGAUAUGGGUAUGUCUACUUAAUGAAACACAAGUCUGAGACCUUUGAAAAGUUCAAGGAAUUUCAGAGCAAGGUAGAGAAUCAACGUGACAGGAAAAUAAAGUUCUUACGAUCAGAUCAUGGAGGAGAAUACUUGAGUCACGAGUUUGGCAUGCACUUAAGAAAAUGUGGAAUUGUUUCACAACUCACGCCGCCUGGAACACCUCAGCGUAUUGGUGUGUCCGAACGUUGUAAUCGCACUCUAUUGGAUAUGGUGCGAUCUAUGAUGUCUCUUACGGAUCUACCGCUAUCAUUUUGCAGUUAUGCUUUAGAGACUGCAACAUUCACUUUAAAUAGGGCACCGUCUAAAUCCGUUGGGACAACAACAUAUGAAUUAUGGUUUGGAAAGAAACCUAAGCUAUCGUUUCUGAAAGUUUGGGGAUGCGAUGCUUAUGUCAAGAAACUUCAACCUGAAAAGCUCGAACCCAAAUCAGAAAAAUGCGUCUUCAUAGGAUACCCUAAGGAAACUAUUGGGUAUACCUUCUACCUCAGAUCCGAAGGCAAGAUCUUUGUUGCCAAGAAUGGAUCCUUUCUGGAUAAAGAGUUUCUCUUGAAAGAAGUAAGUGGGAGGAAAGUAGAACUUGAUGAGGUACCGCCUCUUGAACCGAAGAGUAGCGCAGCUCAGGAAGAUGUUUUUGUGGUGCCUGCACCGACUAGAGAGGAAGUUAAUGAUGAUGAUCAUGAAACUUUGAGUCAAGUUGCUACUGAACUUUGUAGGUCCAGGAGGACAUGUUCCGCACCAGAGUGGUAUGGCACCCCUGUCCUGGAAAUCAUGUUGUUAGAUAACGGUGAACCUUCAAACUAUGAAGAAGCGAUGGCGGGCCUAGAUUCCAACAAAUGGCUUGAAGCCAUGAAAUCUGAGAUAGGAUCCAUGUAUGAAAACAAAGUAUGGACUUUGACAGACUUGCCCGAUGAUCGGCAAGCCAUAGAGAAUAAGUGGAUCUUUAAGAAGAAGACUGACGCGGAUGAUAAUGUGACCGUCUAUAAGGCUCGGCUUGCCGCUAAGGGUUAUCGACAAGUUCAAGGGGUUGACUACGAUGAGACCUUCUCACCAGUAGCAAAGCUGAAGUCCGUCCGAAUCAUGUUAGAAAUUGCCGCAUUCUAUGAUUAUGAGAUCUGGCAAAUGGACAUCAAAACGGCAUUCCUUAACAGUUUCCUUAAGGAAGAAUUGUAUAUGAUGCAGCCGGAAGGUUUUGUCGAUCCUAAGAAUGCUGACAAAGUAUGCAAGCUCCAGCGCUCCAUCUAUGGGCUGGUGCAAGCAUCUCGGAGUUGGAACAUUUGCUUUGAUGAAAUGAUCAAAGUGUUUGGGCUUAUACAAACUUAUGCAGAAGCCUGUAUUUACAAGAAAGUGAGUGGGAGCUCUGUAGCAUUUCUCAUAUUAUAUGUGGAUGACAUACUGUUGAUGGGAAAUGAUAUAGAACUUUUGGAAAGCAUAAAAGCCUACUUGAAUAAGUGUUUUUCAAUGAAGGACCUUGGAAAAGCUGCUUACAUAUUAGGCAUCAAGAUCUGUAGAGAUAGAUCGAGACGCCUCAUUGGUGUUUCACAAAGCACAUACCUUGACAAGAUAUUGAAGAAGUUCAAUAUGGAUCAAUCCAAGAAGGGGUUCUUGCCUGUAUUGCAAGGUGUGAGAUUGAGCGUAGCUCAACGCCUGACCUCGGCGGAAGAAAGAGAAAAGAUGAGUGUCAUCCCCUAUGCCUCGGCCAUAGGCUCUAUUAUGUAUGCCAUGGUGUGUACCAGACCUGAUGUGAACCUUGCCAUAAGUUUGGUAGGGAGGUACCAAAGUGAUCUCGGAGUGGAACACUAGACAGCGGUCAAGAAUAUCCUGAAGUACCUGAAAAGGACUAAGGAUAUAUUUCUCGUUUUUAAGGUGACGAAGAGCUCAUUGAUACGUCUCCAACGUAUCUAUAAUUUUUUGUUGUUCCAUGCUAUUUUAUUAUCAAUCUUGGAUGUUUUAUAAUCAUUUUAUAGUCAUUUUAUAUAAUUUUUUGGUACUAACACUACAAGAAUCAGGCACUUUGCCUUCCGCCAUGGCGGCAAAGGCAUCCCUGGCGGAUGACAAAGGCCUUUGCCAUCCGUCAGCAGACGACAUCCCGCUGAAUAGGCUACAGCGAAGGGCUCUUUGCCGUUUGCUGGCCGACGGCAAAGAUGAAAUGGUCUUUGCCGUUCACCGGAAAAGGUCCUGGAUGGCACACAUGGCAGCUUAUAGCCGUUAGGGGGUUAACGGUGCACUUUGCCGUCCGCUGGCCGACGGCAAAGUAACCAAAUAGGCCAGCCCCCAGGUUGCACAGGUAGCUGCCACGUGGCAGCUUUGCCGUCUGCUGGACGACGGCAAAGCUCUUUGCCAUCUGCCAUCUGCCAACUGAUGGCAAAGAGCCUGUAUAGCCCCUGUUUUUCUGUUUUUCUUAAAUUCAUUCAAUUUCAACACACAAGUUUGCAAACACACAUUUCAACACACAAAUUUCACAGCAAACAUAUCCAACACACAAGUUUCAUCAUAUAUACAUACAUAACCAACACAUAGUUCCAUCCAUACAUAUUACAAUAGUUUCACAUUGUUCAUCCAACACCUAUCCAUCCAUCCAUAUAACAAGUUCCAUCCAUGCAAGUUCAUCGAUACAAAAUAAAAGCAGAAAGGGAAAAGAAGCACUCCAUCCAUGCAGGCUUCCAUGAAGUAAGAAGAAGAAGAAGAAGAAGAAGAAGAAGAAGAAGAAGAAGAAGAAGAAGAAGAAGAAGAAGAAGAAGAAGAAGAAGAAGAAGAAGAAGAAGAAGAAGAAGACUAGAAGAAGAAGGCUAGAAGAAGAAGAAGACUAGAACAAGAAGAAGGUUUUUACACUUUUCCUUCUAAUUCUUCUUCUUUUAUUCUUUCUUUUUCUUCUCUUUCUACUUCUAUUCUUUCUUUUUCUCCUCUUCCUUGUUUUUCUUCUUCUUAUUCCUUAUUUGUGUAAUUUUAGAGCUUACAUAGGUAAUUAUGUCAUUUUUUAGCUAACUAAGCUUAUUAUGUCAAUUUAGAGGAAAAUAAGGUAAGUAUAGGUCAUUUUUGUGCUAACACAAGUAAUUAUGCCAUUUUUGAGCUAACGUAGGUAAAAUGGAUCAUUUUGGAGCUCAGUUAGCUAAAAUGGAUCAUAUUGGAGCUAACCUAGGUAAACAUGGUCAUUUUGGAGCUAACCUAGGUAAAAUGGAUCAUAUUGGAGCUAACCUAGGUUAAAUGGGUCAUUUUGGAGCUAACUUAACUAAUUAUGCCAUUUUUAGUUAACUAAGCAUAAAUAUGACAUUUUUGACACAAGUAAGCCAAGUGUAUGUCAUUGUUGAGCAAACCUAGGUAACUAAGCAUAUUAGAGAUAACUAAGCAUACUAGAGCUAACUUAGGUCAUUUCGGAGGAAACAAAGCUAAGUAUAGAUCAUUUUGGAGAUCUAACAUACCUGACAUAGUUCGCUCCUCCUUCUUCUCCUUCUCCUUCAUCAUCCUGAUGCGCCUAGUGCAGCAAGGCAGUGGAGGCAGUGGGAUGUAGUCUUCUACCACAAUUGGCUCUGGGAUCGCCGGCACCACCACCAUCGCGAGGUCAUUGUCAGGCACCACCACCAUUGCGAGGCCAUCUUCAGGCAGCACCAUCGCUAGGUCAUACUCAGCCACCACCAUCUCUUGCCCAUCGUCAGCGACCACCAUUGCUAGGUCAUCCUCAACCACCACCAUCUCUUGCCCAUCGUCAGCCAGCACCUCCUCAUCCCCACUCUGCUCCUCUUCUUCCCCACUCCAUUCCGGAUCAUCCUCGCUGCUGCUUUUGCUGCAGCUAGAGGCACUUCUGCUUUGGUUGUAGCCAGAGUCGCUGCUGCUGCUCCCAUUGCCUGACCAAAUGCAACAAUGACCGUUAAUAAUCGAUGUGAGACAAAGCUAAAUGUAGAGGAAGAAGAGGCGAAACAUACUGGCAUCAUCGUCGUCCUGGUAGCGCAUGCGACACAUAGUCGUGUUGAACACCUUCACGGUGAGCAUGGCGUCACCGCCAUACCUGAAGACAAGGAAGUACCCGUGCCGCAGGUCGUAGGCACGGUAGAACUGCUCCCAGCCAUGACACAGGUGUCGGCAUUCUGGGAACGGGGGUCCCCAGACUUGCCUGCCUGCGGUCUGCGGCGUGCCUCAAGGGGUGGACCAGUACGGCCCAUCUUCAUCAACUCAAGCUCAAGACCCUCGCGAGGGGCCAAGCUUCACAGGGCGGACGACGCAAGGCUUCCUCAGGAACGGCCUCACCAGGUCGGCUCGCGAGGAGGCGGAGAGAUCAAGGCAAGGGUACCUCGCAAGGUGCUCGUGACGCAAGCCAUGAUGAUCGAGGCCAGGCGGGCGCCGGCCUGCGCAGUGUCCUUGUUUCCUCUUUGGUGCAAAGGGGGCAAGCACAGACGCGGAGUACCAAGGCAUCAAGCAAAGGUUACCAUUCCGGUGCAACGAGACCAAGACCAGCAGAGCGGCAGGGCGGAGGUCACCAUGGAGCCCAAGACGGCGUCAGCGCCAGCGCCUUUGGCAGCCGAAGACCAGCUUUAGUCAGGAUAACUUGUACUAGAUGUUCCCCUUCAAAAUGGCUGUUGUUGGCACCCUUCCCGCUCAAUAUUUGGGAAGAGGACCAGGGCCUCUAUAUAUAGGGAUAGCCACCACAAUAGAUGGCAUCGAGUUCUCACCUAGAGCCAACAGAGACGGAGCAAUUCCUCUCCGAGCACACCACCACAAGAACACCCCUCGCGAGGCUGUUCUCCCUUUGUACUGUUCAUCAUCAGCCCCUGAGGCAAUACACCACGCCACACACUGGAGUAGGGUAUUACACCACAACGGUGGCCCAAACCAGUAUAAACCUUGUGUCCCUUGUGUUGUUCAUCGUGCAGCUUAGAUUCUCAGCGAGGCAUUGGGACGUGGAUCGGUAGGGGGAAGAUCUUCGCACGCACCCCAGAGUUUGAACCUUAAGGGUUUUGCCGGAACCCAAUAUCCAACAUUUGGCGUGCCAGGUAGGGGUGCGUCGGAAUCUUUCUUCCGCUGUUCCGUGUUCGAUCGUUCGUCGCAUCCAUGGCUGACGCUCGCCGGGCUCGCGCCGAGCGUCGGGCUGCUCUCGCCACCCACGUCGCCCAGACGGCUCCCGUUGGUGGGCCUCCCCGUGCCGCCCAUGCCGCCACCGGCCCGGCGGGGAACGAGCAGCAGGUGUUGUUGCUCCCUUGGUGCGGCGGGAAGGCCACACCGCCACUCCGUCGCUGACCCUAGCUGGUUCGUCGUCGCACGCCUGUCGUGCUCCCACGGACGCACAUACCGUGUUGCUCCUGGCACAUGAGCUCCUGCACUAUGGCCCCAUCGACGACCUCUACAAGGAGUGGCUCGCUCGCAUCACCGAGCUCGUCAGCACCGUAGGGGGCUCUCCUGCGCUGUCCCUCUCACUGCCUCGCCCUCCGUCCUGUGUGGGUGAUGCAGCUCAGGAGGUGCCUCCGCCACCUCCUCCCCAAGAAGACGCCCUGGCUCCAAGGUGCGCGGCCCCUGGACGAGACCCGCCGCGUCCAGUGCCCGCGAGACAAGAAAGGAUCUGCCAAGAAAUCCCUCGUCCCCAAGAAUGUGCUCGCGUGCUCCCUGCACCAGCACGCCAUGACCGCAUCCCUGCGCCAGCACGUCAAGACCCCGCACAGCCUCUGGCAGCGGCGCGCGGGAAUCCCCAGAGCAAGCCCCGGGUCAGCAAAGAGCUCCGGUGGCCACCGCAGGCUGUCGCGCCUUCACCACCGAGCUGCACAGUGUCGCCUGGCCGGGCAAGUUCAAGCCGGAUCUGCCUCCUUGCUACGACGGCACUACCGACCCCGCGGAGUUCCUACAGCUCUACAAGCUGGGCAUCGAAGCGGCCAAUGGAGACGAGAAGGUCAUGGCGAAUUGGUUUCCCAUGGCGCCCAAGGACGGUGCCCGCACCUGGCUCCUGAACCUGCCUCCCAGCACGAUCUCCUCUUGGGACGAGAUGCACACCCGCUUCAUUGCCAACUUCUAGGGCACUCACAAUCGUCCUCCAGUCAUGGGCGACCUGCACCGCAUCAAGCAGCAACCUGGAGAGACCCUGCAGAAGUACAUCCGGCGCUUCAACAGCGCUCGCCUCAAGAUUCCCAAGGUGACCGAGGAGGCCAUCAUCUCAGCGUUCUCUGAUGGCAUCCGCAACGUCAAGAUGAAGGAGGAACUGGCAAUCCACAAGGAUCUGUGCACAUCUCUAGAUCUGUUCAACCUAGCGACCAAGUUCGCAAGGGCUGAGGAGGGAUGCCUCUCCCUUCUCGAGCUCCCAGCUGCUGACCCAGAAGAGAAGAAAGCCAAGGCCAAGGACGUGAAGCGCAGGAGCAGCCGUGCUCACAGCAGAGCCAGACACGAAGCGCGGCAGGGACCAGCCAGAGUUGUCCAAGGGCAGCCGGUACUGCAUGUACCACGACCUCCACACCCACAACACGAACGAAUGCCAAGAGCUCAAGGCCGUGCGAGAAGGACGUGUCGGUUGACGCCUCGAGCGCAACGAUCGGGGCUACGGCCGAGGCAGAGGAAGAGGUGGAGGAUGAUGGGACGACCGAGGCCCUCGCCAAGGGUGGCGUGACCGGCCUUGCAAGGACCGCUGGCAAGACCAGCCUCACGAGGGGGCUUGGAGGGAUCAGCCUCGUGAGGAUCGCCCGUAGGGCAACGCAAGCCUCCCUAUUCUUCCACCACCACCAAGAAGGAAUGACGACCAUCAUCAGUACGAGGGGGCUGGGGGCUUCCAGGAGCCAUGGGCUAUCGCUUGCAUCUUGGGCGGUGCCCAGGCCCCAGCCUCUCAGCACAUCUUCAAGCAAUUUGCUCGCGAGGUGAACGUAGUCCUCCCCAAGCUUGAGGCCACGCGCCUCUCAGGUGGUCCACGUGCGCCAUCACGUUCAGCUCAGCGGAUUAGCUCAAGUGUGCAGCAACAGCUGGGGUCCUCCCAAUGCUUUGUUCCCCAGUCAUCAACAACGUGCAAGUUACCAGGACCCUCAUCGAUGGAGACGCAGGACUCAACAUUUUGUCCGUCGAGACGUUCAACAAUCUCCAAGUGCCAUAUGACCAGCUUUAGCCGACCAAGCCUUUCUCAGGAGUCACUGAUGGUUCCACCAUCCCGAUAGGGCAGGUCCGCCUCCCUGUCACUUUUGGACAGCGCAAGAACUACCGUACCGAGCUCAUCGACUUCGACGUUGCCCACAUUUGCCUGCCAUACAAUGCCAUCCUCGGGUAUCCAGCCUUGGCCAAGUUCAUGGCAAUGACUCACCAUGGGUACAAUGUCCUCAAGAUGCCAGGAAGAGACGGAGUCAUCACAGUCCCCUGCGAAGAGAAGGAUGCGGUGUGCUCCCUCGAGCGCACCUUCCAAGCUGCAUGAGUUGAGGACCCAGACAGCAAGAGUGGGAACCUUCCCGAGGAAGCUCCAAAGAAGAAGAAGACAUCACCCAGCUCAAGGCCUCAAGAGGCAGGCGUCUCCGGAGGCACCGCACCAGGAUCUGCGCCCGUCCAAGGGGCGCCUCCCUUUGUCGCAUAGGAAGGCGCGCCCGGCGCCCUCCUCGGGCAAGGCUCGUGGGCUCUCUCCUGGAGGGCCUUAGACUUUGCCAAGAUCAUGAGGGAGGCGCUCGGGCACCACUUGGAGGCGUGCUUUGCGGCACGUUUCCCUCAGGAAUGCAUGAGGCAAGGAGGGCCCAACCCUCAGGAGUUCAUCACCAAGGUCACUCAGCAGCUACAGGAAUCAAGAGUCAUGCGUGGCGAUCGCCGCCUACCCGGUGUAGCUUCCCAUCCAGGCAAGGAUGGCGGGCUGUGUGUCUGCAUCGACUACUCAGGGCUCAACCGAGUCGCGUCACAGGAGCGUUUCUGGCCUUCGCGCAUGGGACGCUGCAAGGGUCCACCUCACAGCUACGUUCGCAUGCCUUUCGGUCUGCUGAACAUGACUGCUGCUCACCAGCGCAUGAUGAGGAGCAUUCUGGAAGCUCAAGAGGCCAGACACCACGCGUUCCUGGCGAAGAUGGAGAUGGACCUUGAGGAGCCGCCCGAACCUCCAAAGCCUCCAGAGGCUCAGGGCUCCGAAGGCUCAUGAGGACCGGCUUCUUCACCGCGCACUGUCAGCUACUCCAACACCCGCUCUGCAAUGAUAUCAGGUGACAUCUUUCAAGUUUCAUUUUAGCUGGGAGCGCACUCAGGGCUGCAUCAUUCCCAGGUUGUGUGGGUCCAUCCCCGCAGCAUGUAUCCGUUUUGCUAUGUCUUUAGUUUACCUUGUUGGGGGCGCCCCUCGGGCUGCAUCAUCCCCAAGCCGCUCGGGCCUGGCCCAGUGGUGUGUAUCUUUCCUGCAUCUAUCUAAGCUGGUUGCUCCUCAUGUUUAACCUGCCUGUGAUAAUCGCCUGCUCGAUUGACACCUACCUUUGGAGCGCUCGCUCUGGCACGGCGCUUGUGCAUGGGUCCGUCCCUGCAACAUUGACAAAUCUGAGUGGUUGAGCUCUGGCUGCGGCAGCCCCGCAAAGCGCUACCUCGCCAGGCCCUCAGUGCCAUCAUCACUCCCUUGGAGCAACCAAUGGCUGGCCGGCAAUCAUAAUGGCAGACCUUUCUUCCCUCGUGCUGGUUUACAAGGUUCACCUAAGGAAUAACGUGGGGGGCGUCGCGAGCUCUCUCUCUCUCUCUCUCUCUCUUACCCGUGUGAUCCGCCCGCACGUUGAAAGGGGGGCUCCUAAGCAUCGCGACUCAGGAGCUCUUACUGGCUCUCCAGCUCUCACCCCCUGGCCUUGUGCAUGGCAUCGCAACCUGGCAUACCAGCGGCGGCUGAGCUCACCCAAUGGCCGGAACCUGAGGAUGUAGAGCAUGAAGGAGAGUACGGGGAAGGGAGGAGAAGCUCACGAAGGCCUGACCCAGCGACAUCCCAGCUGCCGACACGCAGGUCCGGCACCUCGCGUAGGAACGGCUCCAAGCUCUCAAGAUAAGUCACGCUCCUGGAACGGCCAAUCGACGCGACACUGUAGGACCUUGAAGUAUGUCUAGAGGGGGGGUGAUUAGACUACUUGACCAAUUAAAACUUAGCAUUUUCCCAAUUUUAGAUCUUGGCAGAUUUUAGCUAUCUUAGGACAAGUCAAGCAAUCAUCACACAAUUCAAGCAAGCAUGCAAAGAGUAUAUGAGCAGCGGAAAUUAAAGCAUGCAACUUGCAAGAAAGUAAAGGGAAGGGUUUGGAGGAUUCAAACGCAAUUGGAGACACGGAUGUUUUUGGCGUGGUUCCGAUAGGUGGUGCUAUCGUACAUCCACGUUGAUGGAGACUUCAACCCACGAAGGGUAACGGUUGCGUGAGUCCACGGAGGGCUCCACCCACGAAGGGACCACGAAGAAGAAACCUUGUCUAUCCCACCAUGGCCGUCGCCCACGAAGGACUUGCCUCACUAGCGGUAGAUCUUCACGAAGUAGGCGAUCUCCUUGCCCUUACAAACUCCUUGGUUCAACUCCACAAUCUUGUCGGAGGCUCCCAAGUGACACCUAGCCAAUCUAGGAGACACCACUCUCCAAGAAGUAACAAAUGGUGCGUUAAUGAUGAACUCCUUGCUCUUGUGCUUCAAAUGAUAGUCUCCCCAACACUCAAAUCUCUCUCAUAGGUUUUGGAUCUGGUGGAAAGAAGAUUUGAGUGGAAAGCAACUUGGGGAAGGCUAGAGAUCAAGAUUCAUAUGGUAGGAAUGGAAUAUCUUGGCCUCAACACAUGAGUAGGUGGUUCUCUCUCAGAAAUGGUAAGUUGGAAGUGUAGGUUUGUUCUGAUGGCUCUCUCCACGAAUGAAGAGGAGGUGGAGGGGUAUAUAUAGCCUCCACACAAAAUCUAACCGUUACACACAAUUUACCAAACUCGGUGGGACCGAUUCAACAGACUCGGUCGGACCGAUUUAGUAAACCUAGUGACCGUUAGGAUUUUCGGUGGGACCAACAUGCAACUCGGUAGGACCGAUAUGGUUAGGGUUAGGGCAUAACGUAAUCUUGGUGAGACUGAUUACAGAAACUCGGUGAGACCGAUUUUGGUAAUAAGCUUUCCAGAGAGUUAGUCAGGUAAACUCGAUGGGACCGAAUCGCUCAUUUCGGUGAGACCGAAAUGUUACAAAAGGGAAACAGAGAGUUUCCAUUGCAAUCUCGGUGGGACCGAUCGCUCACUUCGGUUAGACCGGAACGUUACGAAGGGAAACAGAGAGAUUACAAUCCCAUCUCGGUGAGACCGAGAUCCCUAUCGGUAGGACCGAUUUGCCUAGGGUUUGUGGCAGUGGCUAUGACAUUUGAACUCGGUGGCGCCGGAUAGAAAGAAUCGGUGGGGCCGAGUUUGACUUUAGGUUUAGGUCAUUUGUGGAUGUGAGAAAGUAGUUGAGGGUAUUUGGAGAAUAUCACUAAGCACAUGAAGCAAGAGGCUCAUUAAGCAACACCUCAUCCCUCCUUGAUAGUAUUGGCUUUUACUAUAGACUCAAUGUGAUCUUGGAUCACUAAAAUAUAAAAUGAAGAGUCUUGAGCUUUUGAGCUUGAGCCAAUCCUUUGUCAUUAGUAUUUUGAGGGAUCCACUUUCAUCGUCCAUGCGAUGCCAUUCAUUGAGCUUUCCUGAAAUGAUAGUCUUGGAAUAGCAUUAGCUCAAUGAGCUAUAUGUUGUUAUGAAUUACCAAAACCACCUAGGGAUAGUUGCACUUUCAAUCUCCCCCUUUUUGGUAAUUGAUGACAACAUAUAGAUCAAAGCUUCGACAAAUGAUAAUAAGAUUGAAAAACAUCAUCGCUUUGAGAAGUAUGUGAUAAGCAAGAGCUCCCCCAAAAUUUGUGCAUAGUUUAAGAUUUGCUUUGGACUACAAAUGCACAAGGAAUUAGGCUCAUGGGUUACUCUUCCAUGUCACAUACAUCUUGGUGGAGUGCUCAAAAUGAUAAAGAUUGAAUACAUGCACUCAUCACCAAGCAAAGUGAAUGAUCACAUAACGAUAGGUAAGAUAAUAUCAUCAAACAUGCAUAAGUGUAGCUUAUGAUCAAACACAUGUUCAUCAAUGUCUCACAAAAAAACAGCAUAGUAUCUCAAGCAAUCAAAAGCAAACAAAGUUUAACCACCGAAGAAAGAGAGAACAAAAGCAACACUCUCUCUCUCGAAGCCUAUGAUCUAUACAUUUUUCUCCCCCUUUGGCAACAAGUUACCAAAAAGUUCAUAGAAAAUGCAUAGUGCUAGAUCGUCUCUCAGGCUUGAUCCUCAGGUGGUGGUGUAGAGAUGGCUCCUUGGACGAAGGCUUCAGUUUAAGUGGAUGGAGCUGGAGGAGUUGGUGCUGGAGCUGGUUGCACUGGAGCUGUAGGAGCUGUAGCUGGUGCAGAUGAUGUGGCUCUGGUGUCUGUCACAGGCACUGCAGCUGACCUCUGAGCUCUAGGUAUUCUGGCAAAUACAUUAGUGGUAGUCUUGCCCUUCCUCUCCUGCAUGUCAUCCUGAAGCUGCUCCACAACUGACUGAAUCUCAGUUACUUUGACAUCUAGAUCAUAGAAUUUUUGUUCCAUGAUUCUUUCCAAGCUCUCCUAAUUUUGAGUGAGGGUGGCCAAUCCCUUCUCAAUCCUCAGAGUUGAUGCUAUCAAGUAACCAAGCUGCUCUUGCUUGUUCUUCAAAAAGUACUCAGAUGCCUCCUCUUGAGUUGGCAUCUUGGCAGCCUUCUCUCUCUUUGCCUUCUCCUUUUUCUCUUGAGCUUGUACUGAUGAUGGUUCACUCUCAUUCAUGAGAACCUGAUUGUCCUCAAAGUCUGGAUAGAGAGCAAAAUGUUCCUUAUCCAACAGAUAUUUUCCUGUGCCCAUCUUUGAGUUAAUCAACUCCUGAAUCUGAGGGGCAUAUCCAUGACUUCUCUUCUGGUCUGCUGCAGUCCUCUUAAUGGUCUCAACCAUAAGGCUCAUGACCUUGAAUUUCUGUGGCACAUCAAACAAAUGCAGCAUGUUGAUAGCAUGCCCUCUAAUCAUGUUGUGGUCACCUGACUUGGGCAAUAGAGUGUGCCUUAGGAUCCAGUUGAUUGUUGGCAGCCCUGGUAGAAGAAAGUGGACUAACCCAAACUUAUGUGUCUCAAUAGCUUUGUCUGGGAUUUCCUUGUACAUGUGUGCCAUGGAAUUGUGGUCCAUCUUCUUCUUGGCAUAGACAUCCAAGUCAUCUUCACUCUCCUUUGGGGCAUUGAUCAGUUUUGCCCAUUCCUCAACGGUUGACUGGUAGCUUGUACCUUCAGACAUCCAAACUAUCCUCCCAUCUGGAUAGAAGUGUGUUGUGGAGUAGAAUUGCAUAAUGAGUUCAUCAUUCCAGUUGGUGAGCUUCUGCCCAACAAAAUCUGCAACUCCACAAGCAAAAAAACUGUCUUGCACUCCAGGAUAGUGUUCUUCAUUUUCUUUCAUGUAGGUCCAGUCGACCCACCUCAUAUCACACACUAUGGGCUUCUUGUCCAACAAGAUUGUCUCAUAGAAGUCCUGUUGUUCCUUUGUGUGGAACCUGUAGUCAACAGCAGUCCUUCUCCUUGUGGCAUAUGGAUCUGUCAUUCUCCAUAGCCUCAACCCCGAGUCUCUUCUGAUAUUCAUGUCCUCAGCCACAGGAUGAGCAUCAUUAUGGUCUGGUAUCUUGGGCUUGAGCUUCCUCAGGACUUGUCCUUCUUCAUCUUCCUCAUCAGCAACUUCAAGCACUGGAGCCUUGUUCUUUUCAGCAGCUGGAAUACUCCUGGUAUUCCUCUUUGGUGCAAGCUUGGGCUUGGGGGCAGCUUUGGGUGCUUCCUUGGGCUUUGAUGUUGCAACCCCUGACUUAAUUGCAUCACCCAUAAGCUUUUGUGCCUUGGGUGCUGGUGCAGCAACCUCUUCUUCCUCUUUAGAGUCUCUCCACAUUGAGGGAUUUCCAAGAACCUGGGCAGUAGUGGUUCUGGCUCUUUUCUUCUUCUUAUCCUGAGCAGCAGCUUCAUCUUCUAAUUCAAUGGUAAACUUCAUAGUUUCUCCAGUGGGAACUUUCUUGGGUUUGGAAGUUGUGACUCUCCUAGAAGGUGCCUCUUUGGGUUCAGUUUUUUUAGGCACUUGAGUAGAUCCUCUGACCUUCAGCAUAGGUGUCCUCUUGGCAGGAACCUUCCUAUUGAGUCCAGGUUUAGUGUUCUUUGCUGAGGCAUACUCCUUUUUGAGCACUACCUUCUUGGAGGUAGCCUCAUCUUCUUCUGCCAAAUAAUCCUCAUCCUCAGACUCUGAGGUUCUCUUCUUCCUUGUCCUGGUGACAGCUUUAGGCAGAUUGCUUGGGGUGCUCCUGUUGCCUUCAUCUGAAGUGCUAGAGGGACUAGUGCCCUCACUCAUGUGAUUGUGCUCUUCUGACUUGUUCUGACUAUCACUUUGGUCUGACAUGCUACAAAUCUCUGACUGCUGACCCUGUGAAUAGUUAUAGAUGAGAUAGAAUGGAUAAGCAUCACAAAAUGCAGAGAUUUUUGCAAAAGAAUGAUUCAAAAAUUCAGUUUUAGUUUUCCACAGAAAGCAUUUCGGAUCAACCGAUUUUCAAACUCGGUGAUACCGAAGCAGUUUUGGAAUCUAAACUAGUGAACUCGGUUGGACCGAGUCACAGUUCGGGGGCACCGAGACUGCUAGGGUUUCACAAAGUCCUAAAAUAUGUCUCACCGAUUGGCAAUUCUCGGUCAGACCGAGAGUUACUAGUGCAAUGGCGUUAGCCAAAUUAGUGGGACCGAGUUUUUCAACUCGGUGGGUCCGAGAUGGUUUCGGCGGAAACCUAACCCUAAAUUUUCAAAUCCCAUCUAAUCUAAGGAUUGUAUUGACUAGAUAGGAGUGUUUCAAUCAUGGCAAGAAUCAUUAUGGACACAAUGUGCUAGGAAUCAGACGAGGAUAGCACUGUGAUCAAGUUCAUACUGGAGCUUUGCGAUGAAUUCGCUACGGCGGCAACGGCGGGGGUGAAUUUCGUUGAUGGCGGUGGAGACCAGCGACAGGAGGCAGCUGGCGACGAGGAGACAAUCCGGAGACCCUGGUGGCAGAGCGAGCUAUUGCGCGAGUGAAGAGGUUCGGAGAAAUUUCCAAAUUUUUUGCCCGUGAGUAUAUAUAGCCCGACCCUGUCGGUGUGACUGAGUGGAACAACUCGGUGUCACCAAGAUGCAUAACUGUGUACAAUUACAGCAACUCGGUGUGACCGAAAAGUUCAAAUCGGUUGCACCGAGAUUGAAAACCUAGAUCGACUUAGUGAUCUCGGUAGGACCGAAAUGGAGGAAUCGGUCAGACCGAGAAUCACAAAGAAGUUUUGGAACUUUAAGUCUAUGACGAGUCGGCGACUCCGAGUGCUCCUCGCACAAAGUGGUUCGAAUCUGACUUGAUCAAAUUUUGUGAUGUAGAAUGAAUAGAGUUUGAGACGAGAAAAGCAUAGAUAGCUAGAGAAGGUUCUUAGGCAUUCUUGUCCAUCCACUUGGCAAAAAGAAAAAGAAGCCAAUCAAUCAAAACAACAAGUGGAUGUCCUCGAAUGAGUAAAAUAUGCACCAACAUGCUCACACAAUAAGAUGGCAAAUGAAAUAUGUGGCAAAACAUGCACAACCAGUUCUAGCAUCUAUCAAACAAUUGGCGAUGACUAGGUCAUCUAUAUAUGAGUAUAUUGACUUAGGAGUCAAAUGAGAACAUUUCAUCAUAGGUCAUACUCAUCGUUUAAGCUCAAGUGGGGUUACCACUUUUGCAUAAAGCAUUGAUGUGUUCACACCAUUAGAGUUGCUUUGACUCAAUUCUUGGAGUUAAGCUCCCCCUAGAUGUGAGAUCCCCUUUUAGAGGGAUGAACUAACCUUGGGUUUUGUUGAUGAUGACUUCAUGUAGGUGUUGAAGAUGUGGACGCUCAAUGUUGAUGCAGAUCAUUUGGAGCAAUCCUUUGAAGUGAGUUGCACUUUCAACAUACCUACAUGGGUUAGUCCCACAAGGAACAAACAAGAAUAUCCAUAGACAUAGAGUGAUGCACACACACGAUGAUGUCCAUGAACUCAUUAGGUUACCUUGUCCCUUGCCUUACCAACAUGAGGGUUUGUGACUCCUUGAACUAGUGCAAGAUGUGAAAGUUGAUUGCACUUGUCGUUGCCAAAAUGAUAUGAGUGAAGAAUGUUGCCGGAGUCACCCUCAAGAACUCUCUAGUUCUUCUUCUUCGGGAUCCACAUCAUCUUGAUGGGAAUCCUUGGAGUUGUAGUUGUACUUGAUGAAGUAGAACUUGAAGUAGUCUUGGGAACCCACUUGACCAAGGCCUUAGGUGCUUCUUCAAAUGCAUCAAUCUCUUCUUGAAGCUUGUCCUUGCCUUUGUUCUUGUGGUCUUGUGGUGGAAGAUCAUCUUGUGCUUGUGUUCCUUUGAAGGAACUAGGAUCAUACUUCUCUUGUUGAGGAACAAACUUCGUCUUGGGGUAUUGAUCUUCUUCCCACUCAACUCCAUUGGCAUUGAAAUUUCGUUCAAAACCAACACCUUGAUUCUUCCGGUGCCUUCCUUGCUUGCGUACAAUUUCCUCGAAUUGCUUACUCCCGGCAAGGCUCUUGUAAACACCUUUCUCUAUAAUUCCCUUUAAUAAGCUAUUUUCUUUCUCAAGUGUAACUUGGCUAAGAGAAUCAUUAGUGGAAUCAAGAGAACUACUAGAAGCAACAAUAUUGGAUUUGACAUUAUUAUUGUUACUACUAGAGGAAGGAUCUUUCUUGUACUUGUUACUAGACUUGACUUGAGGCAUGUAAGUAGAUAAGAGUAAACGCUUGGCAAUGUAAGAAGAACUUUUCUUACGAAGAUCAUCAUUGAUUGCCUUUAAGAACUCAUGCUCUUCUUCAAGAUUUAGCUUUUCAAAGCGCAACUUCUCAUGAGCUCUUAAAAGUUCUCGAUGAUCUUCGAAGAUAGUUUCAUGAGCUAACUUAAGAGUGUUUAGUUCUUUAGUUAGAAGCUCAAUCUUCUCCUUAUCAUUGUCAUUCGUUUUAUCUUGAUUAGCAUGAUUAAUUGAUGUUUCAUCAUAGUAUUCAUCACUAGAGUUGUCAACAAGUAAAUCAUCAUCACCUAGCAAGUCAUCUUCAUCACUAUUGAAAUCAACAUACUCGGGAUGUGUUACCUUUGGACCUUUGGCCAUGAAGCAUCUUCCAAUUCCUUCAUUUGGUGAGUCAAAUAUGUCGUAGGAGUUGGUUGACACAAGUGCUAGACCGGCAACACCUUCAUCUUGAGUAUAUUCAGAGUCGGAGUGAUAGCUUCUCUCGGAGUGAUUGUCGGAGUCGGAGCCGGAUACCCAUUCACCAACAUGAGCUUGAUGUCUUCGUUUUGUGUAGCUCCUUGAUGACUUGUCCUUCCUUUCCGAAUCCUUGCUUCUCCGUGAGGGUCUUCUUUCAUAACGAUCAUCUCUACUCCUCCUCUCUCUUGAUGGUGAUUCUUCUCUUUUGUUUCUUCUUUUUGGAGAAUAUUCUCUUCUUUUUUUAGGGUGCCGUACACUCAUUGGAAUAGUGUCCGGGUCUCCCACAAUUGUAGCAAUUUCUCUCUCGACUAGAAGAUCUUUUGGCAUUGUAGGACCUUGACUUGGAGCUUAUUUCUUUGCUUCUACUCUUGUAGAAUUUGUUGAAGUUCUUCACCAUUAAGCUCAAUUCUUCAUUGAAGGUUGGUUUCUCACUUGAUGAUGUGAGGGCUUCACUUGAGGCUUUGUAAGCACCACUUGACUUGUUGUGAAGUUCCUCCUUAUCCUUGAGUGACAUCUCAUGAGCAACAAUUCUUCCGAUGACUUCCGUUGGCUUGAGAUCUUUGUAUUUUGGCAUCAUUUGGAUCAAUGUGCACACCGUAUCAUACUUUCCAUCCAAUGCUCUUAGGAUAUUCUUGAUGAUGAAUCUGUCGGUCAUCUCUUCACUCCCUAAGCCAGCAAUCUCAUUUGUGAUAAGUGCAAGCCUAGAGUACAUUUCAGCGACACCUUCACCAUCCUUCAUUUUGAACUUGUCAAGCUGACUUUGGAGCACAUCCAACUUGGAUUCCUUGACAGAGUCGGUACCUUCAUGCAUAUCAAUCAAAGUAUCCCAAAUUUCCUUUGCAUUCUCAAGACGGCUGAUUUUGUUGAAUUCUUCGGGGCACAAUCCGUUAAAGAUGAUAUCACAAGCUUGAGCAUUGUAUUGCAGCAUCUUCAAUUCUUCUGCAUUAGCUUCACGGUUCGGCUCUCUCCCAUCAAAGAAUUCACCUUGCAAGCCAAUACAAAAAAUUGCCCAAACGGCGGGGUUAUGUCCGAGAAUAUGCAUUUUCAUCUUAUGCUUCCAACUAGCAAAAUUAGUACCAUCAAAGUAAGGACCUCUACGGUGAUAAUUUCCCUCACUAGACACCAUACUCUCCUAGGUUGUGAAACCAAGGCUAUGAUCAUCAAAAGCUAUGGAAAUCAAAGCAAAUGGAGACCAAAGCUCUGAUACCACUUGUAGGACCUUGAAGUAUGUCUAGAGGGGGGUGAUUAGACUACUUGACCAAUUAAAACUUAGCCUUUUGCCAAUUUUAGAUCUUGGUAGAUUUUAGCUAUCUUAGGACAAGUCAAGCAAUCAUCACACAAUUCAAGCAAGCAUGCAAAGAGUUUAUGAGCAGCGGAAAUUAAAGCAUGCAACUUGCAAGAAAGUAAAGGGAAGGGUUUGGAGGAUUCAAACGCAAUUGGAGACACGGAUGUUUUUGGCGUGGUUCCGAUAGGUGCUGCUAUCGUACAUCCACGUUGAUGGAGACUUCAACCCACGAAGGGUAACGGUUGCGCGAGUCCACGGAGGGCUCCACCCACGAAGGGUCCAAGAAGAAGCAACCUUGUCUAUCCCACCAUGGCCGUCGCCCACGAAGUACUUGCCUCAGUAGCGGUAGAUCUUCACAAAGUAGGUGAUCUCCUUGCCCUUACAAACUCCUUGGUUCCAAUCUUGUCAGAGGCUCCCAAGUGACACCUAGCCAAUCUAGGAGACACCACUCUCCAAGAAGUAACAAAUGGUGCGUUGAUGAUGAACUCCUUGCUCUUGUGCUUCAGAUGAUAGUCUCCCCAACACUCAACUCUCUCUCAUAGGUUUUGGAUCUGGUGGAAAGAAUAUUUGAGUGGAAAGCAACUUGGGGAAGGCUAGAUAUCAAGAUUCAUAUGGUAGGAAUGGAAUAUCUUGGCCUCAAGACAUGAGUAGGUGGUUCUCUCUCAGAAAUGGUAAGUUGGAAGUGUAGGUUUGUUCUGAUGGCUCUCUCCACGAAUGAAGAGGAGGUGGAGGGGUAUAUAUAGCCUCCACACAAAAUCUAACCGUUACACACAAUUUACCAAACUCGAUGGGACCGAUUCAAUAGACUCGGUCGGACUGAUUUAGUAAACCUAGUGACCGUUAGGAUUUUCGGUGGGACCGACAUGAAACUCGGUAGGACCGAUAUGGUUAGGGUUAGGGCAUAACGUAAUCUCGGUGAGACCGAUUACACAAACUCGGUGAGACCGAUUUUGGUAAUAAGCUUUCCAGAGAGUUAGUUUGGUAAACUCGGUGCGACCGAUUCGCUCAUUUCGGUGAGACCGAAAUGUUACAAAAGGGAAACAGAGAGUUUACAUUGCAAUCUCGGUGGGCCCAAUCGCUCACUUCGGUUAGACCGAAACGUUACAAAGGGAAACAGAGAGAUUACAAUCCCAUCUCGGUGAGACCGAGAUCCCUAUCGGUAGGACCGAUUUGCCUAGGGUUUGUGGCAGUGGCUAUGACAUCUGAACUCGGUGGCGCCGGAUAGAAAGAAUCGGUGGGGCCGAGUUUGACUUUAGGUUUAGGUCAUUUGUGGAUGUGAGAAAGUAGUUGAGGGUAUUUGGAGCAUAUCACUAAGCACAUGAAGCAAGAGGCUCAUUAAGCAACACCUCAUCCCUCCUUGAUAGUAUUGGCUUUUCCUAUAGACUCAAUGUGAUCUUGGAUCACUAAAAUAUAAAAUGAAGAGUCUUGAGCUUUUGAGGUUGAGCCAAUCCUUUGUCAUUAGUAUUUUGAGGGAUCCACUUUCAUCGUCCAUGCCAUGCCAUUCAUUGAAGCUUUCCUGAAAUAAUAGUCUUGGAAUAGCAUUAGCUCAAUGAGCUAUAUGUUGUUAUGAAUUACCAAAACCACCUAGGGAUAGUUGCACUUUCAGACACCAAACCCUCACUUAAUGUGGCUCUGUGACGGUGAUGUUGCCUUCCUUUCUCGCCCGGUGGUGGCUACUUCAGCGUUAAAGGGGACCUCCUAAGCAUCGCGCCUCAGGGGCUCUUACUAGACCUCGGGCCGCUCACUCCCUGGCCUUGACCACGGCAUCGCGACUUGGCAUACCAGUGACGGCUGAAGCCUGCCUGGAGACCGGGACCUGUCAGCGUAGAGCACCAAGCCGUCGCAGGGUUAGAAAGGAGGAACCGAGCCGAGACAGGACAGGCAUCUUGCACCACUUCACGAUAAGGAUAAUAUCAACAAAAGACACAACAGACGCUUUACAUGCCCCCACGGGGUACUUCCUUGGUUCCUCGCAGGAAACAAAAGACGCAAAUCCUAAGGAGCCCUAACUACAUGUGCCUCCACGGCCGACGCCAUCAUGAACAGUGGGCCACGACGGGCCGGCGCCAACCCCAUCCAGAUCAGCCGUGUCGGCGGCCUGAUGCAGCAGCUCUGCUCCGCGCGCAGCACGAGCUCGGGGAGAGUCGCGAGAAGCUCGGGAGAGUCGCUGGACCCUCCGGCGUCUCCGCUGCUACCAGAGGAGCUGCUAAGGAAGCGGGUGGCGGGCCUAGCCCUCGCCACGUCGAUGCCCCAGCCGCCUUCCCUCGGGAAGCACUCCAACCGUCGGCCUCCACGAUCGCAGGUAAUCAUGACUCUUUUUGCAUGAAGCGGGGACUCGUCAAAUCGGGCAGUUGCCGAGGCAGCGUGGGGAAGCGGAGACACCCACGUCCAAUCAACCGCCACGCGGCGACCAAGGCCGCAAGCUGUUGGGGCCCGCGAUGCUCCGCACUUUCCCCUUCGCUUCGCUGCUAAGCCAAGUCCGAGCGCGCCUUGGGCCCGGGGGCUACUGUCGGCGUCCUGGCAACGGGGAUCCCCAGACUUUCCUGCCUGCGGCCUGCGGCGUGGCUCAAGGGGUGGCCCAGUAUGUCCCAUCUUCAUCAACUCACACUACAAGGAAAAGGGCUAUAGAUGGGAUGGACACUAAUGGUGCACCUGUCAGGUCGUGCGCCAUUAGUAUAUACUAAUGGCGCACCAUGUUUUGGUACGCCAUUAGUGUGGAAGACACUAAUAGCGCACCAGGAACAUGGUGCGCCACUAGAAACAAUUUUUUCAUUUUUUCCAAACAUUCUAAUGGCGCAUCGUGGCACAGUGCGCCAUUACUAGUGCUAACUAGUAAUGGCGCACUGGCCACACCGUGCGCCAUUAGAAUAUAUACUUUUUUUUUAUUUUUUGCAAAACUUCUAAUGGCGCACCAGAAGCUGGUGCGCCAUUAGUAACCAGGGUCGACCCCCCGCUCCACCGGCCGCCGCAGCCGACCCCCGCACCCCCCCCCACUCCACCGCCGCUGACGUCCCACCGCACCCUCCCCCANNNNNNNNNNNNNNNNNNNNNNNNNNNNNNNNNNNNNNNNNNNNNNNNNNNNNNNNNNNNNNNNNNNNNNNNNNNNNNNNNNNNNNNNNNNNNNNNNNNNNNNNNNNNNNNNNNNNNNNNNNNNNNNNNNNNNNNNNNNNNNNNNNNNNNNNNNNNNNNNNNNNNNNNNNNNNNNNNNNNNNNNNNNNNNNNNNNNNNNNNNNNNNNNNNNNNNNNNNNNNNNNNNNNNNNNNNNNNNNNNNNNNNNNNNNNNNNNNNNNNNNNNNNNNNNNNNNNNNNNNNNNNNNNNNNNNNNNNNNNNNNNNNNNNNNNNNNNNNNNNNNNNNNNNNNNNNNNNNNNNNNNNNNNNNNNNNNNNNNNNNNNNNNNNNNNNNNNNNNNNNNNNNNNNNNNNNNNNNNNNNNNNNNNNNNNNNNNNNNNNNNNNNNNNNNNNNNNNNNNNNNNNNNNNNNNNNNNNNNNNNNNNNNNNNNNNNNNNNNNNNNNNNNNNNNNNNNNNNNNNNNNNNNNNNNNNNNNNNNNNNNNNNNNNNNNNNNNNNNNNNNNNNNNNNNNNNNNNNNNNNNNNNNNNNNNNNNNNNNNNNNNNNNNNNNNNNNNNNNNNNNNNNNNNNNNNNNNNNNNNNNNNNNNNNNNNNNNNNNNNNNNNNNNNNNNNNNNNNNNNNNNNNNNNNNNNNNNNNNNNNNNNNNNNNNNNNNNNNNNNNNNNNNNNNNNNNNNNNNNNNNNNNNNNNNNNNNNNNNNNNNNNNNNNNNNNNNNNNNNNNNNNNNNNNNNNNNNNNNNNNNNNNNNNNNNNNNNNNNNNNNNNNNNNNNNNNNNNNNNNNNNNNNNNNNNNNNNNNNNNNNNNNNNNNNNNNNNNNNNNNNNNNNNCCUCCCCUGCUCCACCAGCCGCCGCCGCCGACCCCCGGCCCGCACCGUCCCCCACUCCACCACCGCCGACGACCACCCGCACCCUCUCCCCCGCACCCUCCCCGGCCCGCUCCACCGUCACAAAUGAAUGCAACUAAAAUUGCAAAAAAACAAAUUUGAUUAUAUUUUGAAAUAACAAAUUUGAUGAUAUUUUCAAAUAAUAAAUUUGAUGAUAUUUUUUCAUAUUCAUAAAUAUUUUCAAAUAACAAAUUUGAUGAUAUUUUUUAAAAAAUUAUUACUACUUUUAUAAAAAAUAUUACUGUUAUGGUUUAAACAAGUUUGAACAUAUUUAAACACAAAUAAAUAUCAAACAACAUUUUAAAUGCAUAAAUACAAAAAAUGGGGAGCCUGGGAAUCGAACCCAGGACCUCCUGGUGUGUGUGCUGCGUGCUGACCAGUCGGGCUAGUGGGCUUGUUCUGAUGGAGUAGGGGUUAUGUGGAAUAUAACCUGACCAGUCGGGCUAGUAAAUUCUAAUGGCGCACCGGGGCGGGGUGCGCCAUUAGAAUGGUUGUACUUAUGGCGCACUAGGGGUGCGGUGCGCCAUUAGAUCCCUCCCCCCAGUUCACCUGUUCCCCUCUCACUGUUGCAUCCCUCCCUCCCUCGCCAGAUCCACUCGACCCAACCGUACGCUGCCGCCCCCUUGCUCUGCCCCCUCCGUCCACCGCGCCUGCACGCCGUCGGCGAUGCUGCCGCCGCUGUGGUCUUGCGCUGCCCCGACGCCGCCGCCCCGACCCCCGCGGGACUCCACCCCCGCCGCCCCCGCGCCCCCCGAACGGNNNNNNNNNNNNNNNNNNNNNNNNNNNNNNNNNNNNNNNNNNNNNNNNNNNNNNNNNNNNNNNNNNNNNNNNNNNNNNNNNNNNNNNNNNNNNNNNNNNNNNNNNNNNNNNNNNNNNNNNNNNNNNNNNNNNNNNNNNNNNNNNNNNNNNNNNNNNNNNNNNNNNNNNNNNNNNNNNNNNNNNNNNNNNNNNNNNNNNNNNNNNNNNNNNNNNNGGGAUCGGCCAAGCGCGCGCCGCCCGCUACUCUCCUCUCCUCCUCCCUCCGACAAGCGAGGGCCUCCUCCGGCCCCUGCAGCAGCCGGCGAGCGCGGCCCCGAUGCGCCCACCCCGCCUGCCCCUGCCAUCCUCCACCACCGGCCCCUGCUCUCCUUCGACCGCGGCGAGCAAGGACCUGGACGAGCUCGGACCCCGACCCUGACCCCUUCGCCGACCAGGUACCUCUCCUCCUUCCUCCUUCCUCCCUCUCUCCACCAUUCCCCAUUCCUUCCAACCGAUGCUCCAAAAGGAAUUUCAAGACAGAAAUCACAUGCUCCAAAAGUUAGGGUUCACGAUUCAAAUUGCAAUAGAUUAUCUGCAGUAGAUCAAACUACAGUAUAUUACUCAAUAUUCUUGCCAUUUGUUGAUAGGUUAUAAAUAUUGACCAUAAAUAAGAAUGAAUAUUGACCAUUUGUUGUUGUUAGCACAUGUUGAAGUGUACCUAAUGAUGCUUCUGUAGAAAAUUCAAUCUUCCUCCUCAGGCAUGUGUUGUGUGACCUGAAAAAAUAUAAAUGUGUUGUGUGCCAUGUGUUGGUAAUUCAGUAAAGUCAAACAAGCACUGGAUUUAGGCAUGUUGCUUGCUGAAUUUUCGCACUGCAUUUUUUAACUAGGGUUUAUCUUGGGUAGGACCAGGAGAUGUCUAGGGACAAUAUUUUGGCCAUAUGGUUAACACACUAAAUUUUUGUUUUUGUCUUCUGAGAUAGCUAACGGUUCAUUCCAGUCUUUUGAGAUAGCUAACAAAAAGAAGAAUACAACAGUGAGGCAAAACCUGGUUACACCAGAACUAUACUGGAGUAGUAUUUCUUAAUGAUACAAGUUGAUGAAUAAUGUAGCAACGUGAGUGUAUGACGUAUUGCCAUCCAUUCACUGAAACUUUUUUACAGUGUGUUAACUGAAUUUUUUUUGACAGUGUGUUAACUGAAUUUUUUGGACAGUGUGUUAACUGAAUUUUUUUGACAGUGUGUUAACUGCCCACUUAUCUUCAUUUCAAAGCCCAAGUUGCAGCCCUUUAGAUUGAUAGCUGGACAGAAGGUAUCUUCUACUACAUUUUGAGUAUGGUUCUGGCUCACACUGUAGUUGUAAUUCUACUAUAAAUUUGAACUAUAAAUCUAUUGAAAUUAUACUGUUAAUACACUGCAAUUACAUGUCUACUGUAUUUACCUCCUCUUCUAUACCUUGUACUACAAGUCAGCAAAAGAAUAUCAGUUCUACUUUGCCCCCUAGUAGAUCUGGUAGAGUAAGAAACUCCCCUUAUAAUGAUGCUUUUCUCUAGAAAAAAUGAUCCUGGAUUUUUUUAUGUAAUUCUUUGUGGUAUUAAGAUGGAAACCUGGGAUACUAUUUUUGUUAGGAGAUGGUGUUAUAUUAAGAUGCAUAUAUUGUUAUGUUACGCAAAUUGUAUCAUCUUGCCACUUAAGUCAGCCUUCCCUUUAAGCAGAAAAUUCAGUUAGGAGCUACUGUUAGGAGCUACUGUCAAAAACUUGAGCUACUGUCAAAAAAUUCAGUUAUGGUAUCUAGAAUUAUGUCAGUUUUGUUUUGUAACUAGAAGACCAAAGUGUUAGGAAUUCUGUCCAAACUGUAAUUUUCAGUAUUCUGUCCAAACUGAAAACUAUUAAAAAGCAUGAUGUUUCUUGGAUUUCUGUAAUGAUGAUGAUGAUGGAACACAUGGUCUUGGAUUUCUGUAAUGAUGAUGGAACAUUAAAGCAUUGUAAUCCAGUGUGUAUGAAGGAUACAAAAAAUUUAGCAACUUCUCUGAUUUUAUAAAGUUGUUCUUAUAUGGGUGAAACUUCACUUGUUUUUAGGCUAGUGCAGGGUGUUGCUUUAUUGUGAUGCCUCUGAAUUACUUGUGAUCACAUUGAGAAAGACUUGCAAAGAUGAUGAUCAUCUUUUACAGAAAACAAUUUCUAUAAACACGUCAGUAACUUUGCUAGUUUGCUGGGUUUUGUCUCCGACCAUUGUGUUGUGAUGAAUUUGCAGGUACCCCGAGCGGCCCUUGAUUUUGCCGGAAUGUCGAUUAACUUCCGUUCCGGAAAAUUCGGGCACUCCAUAUGUCCUAUUUUCAGCAAAAGGUCAUGCUGAAAUUUUCCGUGAAUUUUAGCAUGACUUUGCUAAAAAUAGGACAUAUGGGGUACUUGCGUCUAAUGCAUGUUUUAUGAUCUGUUGUAAGGGUACUAAUUGGUCUCUUCUGCUGCUUAUCAGAGAUGGGGGGAAGCAGCCACCGCCGCUCUGCCACACCGCAGUACGAGUGGGAUGCUUCCGAGUUCUUUAGUAUCAUACUUGGGACUUCAGUAUCAUCCAUGAUGCAGGUAUAUAAAAUGAGAGAUCUCCCCUUCACCCAUCUCAUUAUGAUAUCUGUUGUUUGCUACAUCACUCAUUGUCCCAAACUGCAGAGGCUGCCUGACAGUUUUAUGAACAUGCUGGGUGAAGAUCCGCCAAAUAAUGUGAAGCUGUGACAGGCCGGCAGCGGGUUUCACAGGCAGUGGGAUGUGGAGUUGGUGAUCAAGGAGGGACACAUGUACUUGUCUCAUGGGUGGGAGAAGUUCUACCAUGCCUAUGACCUGUGGCUGGGGUACUUCCUUCUCUUCAGGUACGACGACGACGCCACCAUGCUCAUCGUGAAGGUGUUCAACGCGACUAUGUGUCGCAUGCGCUACACUGACGAUGAUGAUGCCAGUACGUUCUGCCUCUUCUUAUUCCUCUACAUUUGGCUUUGUCUCACAUUGAUUGUUAACGGUUAUUGUUGCAUUUGGACAGGUAAUGGGAGUAGUAGCAGCGACAUUGGCUACAGCCAAAGCAGCAGCGACUAUGGCUGUAGCAAAAGCAACACCGAUUCUGGCUUUAGCGAAAGCAGCAGCGAUUCUGGCAGCAGCAUAGACAACAAGAAGGAUGAUCCGGACUGGAGUGCGGGAGAAGAGGAGCAGAGUGGGGAUGAGGAGCUGCAGGAUGACGAUGGGCAUCAGGCUGAGGAUGACCUAGCGCUGGUGGUGGUUGACCAAGGGCAAGAGAUGGUAGUGGCUGACCAUGGGCAAGAGAUGGUUGUGGCUGACCAUGGGCAAGAGAUGGAGGUGGCUGAGGAUGACCUAGUGAUGGUCGUGCCCGUCUUGCCUGAAGGUGGCCUCGCGAUGGUGGUGGUGCCUGACAAUGACCACGCGCCGGUGGUGGCGCCGGCGAUCCCACAGCUGGGUGACAUGACCACGCCAAUUGUGGUAGAAGACUACAUCCCACUGCCUCUACCGCCUCGCCGCUCUUGGUGCAUCAGACUGAGGAAGGAGAAGGAGAAGAACAAUGAGAACUGAACUAUGUCAGGUAUGUCAGAUCUCCAAAAUGAUAUAUAUAUACUUAGUUACCUAUGUUAUCUCUAAUAUGCUUAGUUUCCUAUAGGUUAGCUUCAUUUUACCUCAGUUGGCUCUAAUAUGCUAACUUAGAGCUUAUAUGCUUAGUUUCCUAUAGGUUAGCUCCAAAAUAACUUAUGUUAGCACAAAAUGAUCAAGUUUACAUAAUAAGCUUAUAGUCUUUUUCUUAUUCUUCUUCUUUUCCAAAAUGACAUAGGUUAGCUUCAUUUUACCUAAGUUGGCUCUAAUAUGCUAACUUAGAGCUUAUAUGCUUAGUUUCCUAUAGGUUAGCUCCAAAAUUACUUAUGUUAGCACAAAAUGAUCAAGUUUACAUAAUAAUCUUAUAAUCUUCUUCUUAUUCUUCUUCUUUUCCAAAAUGACAUAGGUUAGCUUCAUUUUACCUAAGUUGUCUCUAAUAUGCUAACUUAGAGCUUAUAUGCUUAGUUUCCUAUAGGUUAGCUCCAAAAUUACUUAUGUUAGCACAAAAUGAUCAAGUUUACAUAAUAAGCUUAUAGUCUUCUUCUUAUUCUUCUUCUUUUCCAAAAUGACAUAUCUUAGCUUCAUUUUACCUAAGUUGGCUCUAAUAUGCUAACUUAAAGCUUAUAUGCUUAGUUUCCUAUAGGUUAGCUCCAAAAUUACUUAUGUUAGCACAAAAUGAUCAAGUUUACAUAAUAAGCUUAUAGUCUUCUUCUUAUUCUUCUUAUUCUUCUUCUUAUUCUUCUUCUAGUGUUCUUCUUCUUCUAGUAUUCUUCUAGUCUUCUUCUUCUUCUUCUUCUUCUAACUUCUUGUUUAUCAUUUUGCAGAUUUGAUUUAAUUCACGGAAGCUUGCAUGGAUGGACUGCUCCUUUUCCAUUUGUGUUUUUAUUUUGUAUCAAUGUGAAACUUUUGUGAAUUGAUGGAUAACGGUGUUGGAUGAACAAUGUGAAACUUUUGUAAUAUGUAACGAUGGAACUAUGUGUUGGCUAUGUAUGUAUAUAUGUUGGAACUUGUGUGUUGGCUAUGAUUGUUAUAUGGAUGCUUGUUGUAUAUAUAUGUGUUGGAUAUCUCAUAUGUGAACUAGUGACCUGAGAUUAAGGAAAAACAAAAAACAUAAAAAAAUUGUUACUAAUGGCGCACUACCAUGUGGUGCGCCAUUAGUAUAGCAGACACUAGUGGCGCACUGUGGGAAAAAAUAAUGGCGCACUGCAUGGUGCGCCAUUAGUAUACCAGAUACUAAUGGCGCACCAGUGGUGCGCCAUUAGUAAAAAAUACUGGUGGCGUGAUACUAAUGGUGCACCAGUAGUGCGCCAUUAGUAGGCAAAACCGGUGCGCCAUUAGUAGGCCUUUUCCUAGUAGUGUCAAGGUCAAGACCCUCGCGAGGGGCCAAGGCUCGUGGGACGGACGAUGCAAGGCUUCCUCAGGAAUGGCCUCACCAGGUCGGCUCGCAAGGAGGCGGAGAGAUCAAGGCAAGGGGGACUCGCGAGGUGCUCGUGACGCAAGCCAUGACGAUCGAGGCCAGGUGGGCGCCAGGCGGGCGUCGGCCUGCGCAGUGUCCUUGUUUCCUCUUUGGUGCAAAGGGGGCAAGCACAGACACGGAGUACCGAGGCAUCAAGCAAAGGUUACCAUUCCAGUGCAACGAUACCAAGACCAGCAGAGCGGUAGGACGGAGGUCACCGUGGAGCCCAAGAGGGCGUCUGAUAACCCACAAGUGUAGGGGAUAGCACCAGCUUUCGACGGUAAAGUAUUCAACCCAAAUUUAUUGAUUCGACACAAGGGGAGCCAAAGAAUAUUCUUGAGUAUUAGCAGUUGAGUUGUCAAUUCAACCACACCUGGAUAACUUAGUAUCUGCAGCAAGGUGUUUAGUAGCAAAAGUGGUAUGAUAAUAAAGGUAACUGUAGCAAAAGUAAAGAUAAAUGUUUUUGCGUUUUUGUAGUAGUUGUAACAGUAGCAACGGAAAAGUAAAUAAGGGAAGAACAAUAUGUGAAAAGCUCGUAGGCAAUGGAUCAGUGAUGGAUAAUUAUGCCGGAUGUGAUUCCUCAUGUAAUAGCUAUAACAUAGGGUGACACAGAACUAGCUCCAGUUCAUCAAUGUAAUGUAGGCAUGUAUUCCGUAAAUAGUCAUACGUGCUUAUGGAAAAGACCUUGCAUGACAUCUUUUGUCCUACCCUCCCGUGGAAGCAGGGUCCUAGCGGAAACUAAGGGAUAUUAAGGCCUCCUUUUAAUAGAGAACCGGAACAAAGCAUUAGCACAUAGUGAAUACAUGAACUCCUCAAACUAGGGUCAUCACCGGGAAGUAUCCCGAUUAUUGUCACUUCGGGGUUGUCGGAUCAUAACACAUAAUAGGUGACUAUAGACUUGCAAGAUAGGAUCAAGAACACACAUAUAUUCAUGAAAACAUAAUAGGUUCAGAUCUGAAAUCAUGGCACUCGGGCCUUAGUGACAAGCAUUAAGCAUAGCAAAGUCAUAACAACAUCAAUCUCAGAACAUAGUGGAUACUAGGGAUCAAACCCUAACAAAACUAACUUGAUUACAUGAUAAAUAUCAUCCAACCCAUCACCGUCCGGCAAGCCUACGAUGGAAUUAAUCACGCACGGCAGUGAGCAUCAUGAAAUUGGUGAUGGAGGAUGGUUGAUGAUGACGACGGCGACGAAUCCCCCUCUCCGGAGCCCCGAACGGACUCCAGAUCAGCCCUCCAGAGAGAGAUUAGGGCUUGGCAGUGGCUCCAUGUCGUAAAACGCGAUGAAACUUUCUCUCUGAUUUUUUCUCCCCGAACGUGAAUAUAUGGAGUUGGAGUUGAGGUCGGUGGAGGCCCAGGGGGGCCACGAAAUAGGAGGGCGCAACCUACAGGGGGGCACGCCCCCUGUCUCAUGGAGAGGCCCCGGGCCCCUGGUCUUGAUUCUUUCACCAAAAAUUCUUAUUAAUUCCAAAAAGUGCCUCCAUGGAUUUUCAGGACAUUCCGAGAACUUUUCUUUUCUACACAUAAAACAACAUCAUGGCAGUUCUGCUGAAAACAGCGUCAGUCCGGGUUAGUUUCAUUCAAAUCAUGCAAGUUAGAGUCCAAAACAAGGGCAAAAGUGUUUGGAAAAGUAGAUACGUUGGAGACGUAUCAACUCCCCUAAGCUUAAACCUUUGCUUGUCCUCAAGCAAUUCAGUUGAUAAACUGAAAGUGAUAAAGAAAAACUUUUACAAACUCUAUUGCUCUUGUUGUUGUAACAUGAAAAGCCAGCAUUCAAGUUUCAGCAAAUAUGAUGAACUAACCAUACUCACAAUGACACCUAGGUCUCACAAUUACUCAUAUCAAUAGCAUAAUCAGCUAGCAAGCCAUAAUAAUAGAACUCAGAUGACAACACUUUCUCAAAAUAAUCAUAACAUGAUAUAACAAAAUGGUAUCUCGCUAGCCCUUUCUGAGACCGCAAAACAUAAAUGCAGAGCACCUUUAAAGAUAAAGGACUGACUAAACAUUGUAAUUCAUGGUAAAAGAGAUCCAGUCAAGUCAUACCCAAUAUAAACCAAUAGUAAUGAAUGCAAAUGACAGUGUGCUCUCCAGCGGGUGCUUUUAAUAAGAAGGGUGAUGACUCAACAUCAAAGUAAAUAGAUAGGCCCUUCGCAGAGGGGAGCAGGGAAUUGUAGAGGUGCCAUAGCUCGAUUUUAAAAUAGAGAUUGAAUAACAUUUUGAUCAGCAUACUUUUGUUGUCAAUGCAACAACUAUGAGAUGGCUAUAUCUUCCAUACUAAAUGCAUUAUAGGCAGUUCCCAAACAGAAUAGUAAAGGUUUAUACUCCCCCAACCACCAACAAGCAUCAAUCCAUGGCUUGCUCGAAACAAUGAGUGCCUCCAACAUACAAUAGCCCUGGGGGGUUUUGUUUAAUUAUUUUGAUUUGUUUUGAUCUUUUUGGAUGAUGGGACUGGGCAUCCCGGAUACCGGCCCUUUCUCGUGAAUGAGGAGCGGAGUCCACUCCUCUUGAGAAUAACCCACCUAGCAUGGAAGAUACAGGCAGCCCUAGUUGUAACAUGAGCUGCUCGAGCAUACAAAACAUAAUUUCAUUUGAAGGUUUAGAGUUUGGCACAUACAAAUUUACUUGGAAUGGCAGGUAAAUACCGCAUAUAGGAAGGUAUAGUGGACUCAUAUGGAACAACUUUGGGGUUUAAGGAGUUUGGAUACACAAGAAGUAUUCCCGCUUAGUACAGGUGAAGGCUAGCAAAAGACUGGGAAGCGACCAACUGAGAGAGUGACAUCAAUCAUAAACAUGCAUUAAAAUUAAUUCACACCGAAUACAAGCAUGAGUAGGAUAUAACCCACCAUGAACAUAAAUAUCAUGAAAGCUAUGUUGAUUUGAUUCAACUACAUGCGUGAACAUGUGCCAAGUCGAGUCACUCAAUUCAUUCAAAGGAGGAUACAAUCCCAUCAUAUCACAUCAUAAUCAUUCUAAUAGCAUGUUGGCACGCAAGGUAAACCAUUAUAACUCAUAGCUAACCAAGCAUGGCACAAGCAACUAUAAUCUCUAAAUGUCAUUGCAAAUAUGUUUACUUCAUAAUAGCUGACUCAGAAACGAUGAACUCAUCAUAUUUACAAAAACAAGAGAGGUUGAGUUCAUACCAGCUUUUCUCAUCCCAAUAAGUCCAUCAUAUGUCGUUAUUAUUGCCUUUCACUUGCACGACCGAACAAUGUGUAUAAUAAUAAGAGUGCACGUGCAUUGGACUAAGCUGGAAUCUGCAAGCAUUCAACUCAAGAGAGAAGACAAGUAAUAUGGGCUCUAAGUUAAAUAAACAAUUAUGCAUAUAAGAGCCACUAAGCAUUUUCAAUAUAGUCUUCUCGACCCCAAAAGAAAGAAAAUAAAAUAAAACUAUUUACACGGGAAAGCUCCUAACAAGUAAGAAGAAGAACUAGAAAUCUUUUUGGGUUUUCAUUUUAAUUGCUACUACAAGCAAGGAAAUCAAACUAACUAUUUUUUUUUUGGUUUUUCUUAAGGUUUAUCAAACACACAAGAAGAAAACUAGAAAAAGAAAUUUAAACUAGCAUGGAUGACACAAUGAAAGAGUAUGAGCACCGACGGCUAGUGUGUGAACAUGAAUGUAAAGUCGGUGAGAAAUACGUACUCCCCCAAGCUUAGGCUUUUGGCCUAAGUUGGUCUAAUACCAAGGACCACCUGGCUGAUAUCCAUAAGUGAAACUAGGGUUGUACUGAGAUGCAGAGGCAACCGCCUCCUGAGCAGAAGCGUGUUGGUGAGCUGCCUCCAUUCCCCUCUCAUAUUCAGCUGCUUCUUCCCUGGUGACAACAUAUCUUCCUUUUGCCUGAUAAUCAAAAAGGUAGGGAGCAGGAAGAGUAACAGGGACGAUGUUGCGUCUGUCAUAGAUUAGUCAAUAAUGGAGGAAUUGUUCAUUCCUCUCAAGAAAAUGAUGAUUGAACAUAGCUUCUUUAUCCAAAUAAAUAGGAGGUAAAAUCAUAUCCCCCUCUCGUGGGGCUAUAUUAAGAUAAUUAGCCACACGGGUUGCAUAAAUUCCUCCAAAUAAGUCUCCCUUUCUACUAUUAUUCUUCAACCUACGUGCAACUAUUGCCCCCAAGUUAUAACCUUUAUAACCUGAAACAGCACUCUUGAGGACACAAAGAUCAGGGACACACAUGUGACAUGCUUCGUCUUUACCGUUAAUGCAUCUACCAAUAAAGAGAGCAAAAUAAUGUAUAGCAGGAAAAUGAAUGCUCCCUAUGGUAGCUUGUGCUAUAUCCCUAGACUCUCCCACAGUAAUACUAGCAAAAAAAUCUCUAAAUUCAGAUUUGUGAGGAUCAUUAAUAUUACCCCACUGCGGGAGUUUGCAAGCAGUUGUGAAAUCCUCUAAAUCCAUGGUAUAAGAUGUAUCAUAAAUAUCAAACAUGACACUAGGAGAAUUACGCGCACAGAUAUACUGGAACCUCCGCACAAAGGAAUCAGUCAAUUGAUAGUACUGAGGACACUUAUCUUGUUAGAAGUCCUCCAGCUCGGCAUUACACACAUAUGCGUCAAAUUCCUCCUUGAAGCCUGCUUCGACCAUAAAAUCAUUGGAUGGACACUCACAAGCCCGUACAAUUGCGUCCCUCGGCAAUUCAACAUCUUGCUCACAUAUAGCAAUCCUUGGCCCUUUUUUUGCCGAGGAACCACCUUGGUACAUUCUCCUAAGCAUAAUUCUUUUUCUGAAAAUUUCUGAAAUUUUAGUAACUUCAAAAUAAAAGUGAAUAAAACUAAACAAGAUUGAUAGCAACUACUCCUACAAGUGCCUAGAGCCUAUAUCAUGCAUUGGAAUUGCUUGGGACCUCAAAAAUUUAACAUGCUAGCUCAAGAACAUGGUCACCUAUGCAGCAAAAAUUUGCAAUGAAUAAAGCACUAGAACAAAAACUAAUUGGACCAAUGGAGGAGUCACAUACCAAGCAACAAUCUCCCAAAGCAGUUUUGUGAAUGGAGCUUUGAGCUAAGAGAUCAAAAAUUGCAGCAAAAUGAGCUAGAACUCGUGCUUGAGCUGGAUGGGGAUUUUUUUGGGUAGAAGAUGAAGUGUGUGGGUGUUGGCAUAAGUGGAGGGGGCCACCAGGGGCCCAUGAGACAGGGGGGCGUGCCCUAUAGGGGGGGCACGCCCUUCACUCUCGUGGCCUGGUGCCUUCCCCUCCUGCAGUGAUUUCAGUGCCUAAAAUCCUCAAAUAUUCUAGAAAAAAACAUACUAAAUUUGCAGGGCAUUUGGAGCACUUUUAUUUUCGGACUAUUUUUUAAUGCACGGAUAAUUCAGAAAACAGACAGAUAAUACUAUUUUUGCUUUAUUUAUUCUAAAUAAUAGAAAGUAAAAAGAGGGUACAGAAGGUUGUGCCUUCUAGUUUCAUCCAUCUCGUGAUCAUCAAAAUGAAUCCACUAACAAGGUUGAUCAAGUCUUGUUAACAAACUCAUUCCGAAUAACACAGAACCGGAGAAAUUUCGAAUAACACUAAGUUACCUCAACGGGGAUAUGGAAAUCCCCAACAAUAAGAAUAUCAUACUUUUUCUUGACAGUAGGGAGAGGAAAUUCAAAAUCUCCAAUAAUAAUAGUUGGAACUUGUCCAAUAGAAUUGAUGCUAUGAACUUGAGAUUGUUUCCUCGGAAAGUGUACCAUAUGCUCAUUACCAUUAACAUGAAAAGUGACAUUGCCUUUGUUGCAAUCAAUAACAGCCCCAGCAGUAUUAAGAAAAGGUCUACCAAGGAUAAUAGACAUACUAUCGUCCUCGGGAAUAUCAAGAAUAACAAAGUCCGUUAAGAUAGUGACAUUUGCAACCACAACAGGCACAUCCUCACAAAUACCGACAGGUAUAGCAGUUGAUUUAUCAGCCAUUUGCAAAGAUAUUUCAGUAGGUGUCAACUUAUUCAAUUCCAGUCUAUGAUAUGAAGAGAGAGGCAUAACACUAACACCGGCUCCAAGAUCACAUAAAGCAGUUCUAACGUAAUUUCUUUUAAUGGAGCAUGGUAUAGUUGGCACACCCGGAUCUCCAAGUUUCUUUGGUAUUCCACCCUUAAAAGUGUAAUUAGCAAGCAUGGUAGAAAUUCCACCCUUAAAAGUGUAAUUAACAAGUGUAGGGGAUCGCAACAGCUUUUGAGGGUAAAGUAUUCAACCCAAAUUUAUUGAUUCGACACAAGGGGAGCCAAAGAAUAUUCUUGAGUAUUAGCAGUUGAGUUGUCAAUUCAACCACACCUGGAUAACUUAGUAUCUGCAGCAAGGUGUUUAGUAGCAAAAUUGGUAUGAUAAUAAAGGUAACGGUAGCAAAAGUAAAGAUAAAUGUUUUUGGGUUUUUGUAGUAGUUGUAACAGUAGCAACGGAAAAGUAAAUAAGGGAAGACCAAUAUGUGAAAAGCUCAUAGGCAAUGGAUCAGUGAUGGAUAAUUAUGCCGGAUGCGAUUCCUCAUGUAUUAGCUAUAACAUAGGGUGACACAAAACUAGCUCCAGUUCAUAAAUGCAAUGUAGGCAUGUAUUCCGUAAAUAGUCAUACGUGCUUAUGGAAAAGACCUUGCAUGACAUAUUUUGUCCUACCCUCCCGUGGAAGCGGGGUCCUAGCGGAAACUAAGGGAUAUUAACGCCUCCUUUUAAUAGAGAAUCGGAACAAAGCAUUAGCACAUAGUGAAUACAUGAACUCCUCAAACUACGGUCAUCACCGAGAAGUAUCCCGAUUAUUGUCACUUUGGGGUUGUCGGAUCAUAACACAUAAUAGAUGACUAUAGACUUGCAAGAUAGGAUCAAGAACACACAUAUAUUCAUGAAAACAUAACAGGUUCAGAUCUGAAAUCAUGGCACUCGGGCCCUAGUGACAAGCAUUAAGCAUAGCAAAGUCAUAACAACAUCAAUCUCAGAACAUAGUGGAUACUAGGGAUCAAACCCUAACAAAACUAACUUGAUUACAUGGUAAAUCUCUUCCAACCCAUCACCGUCCAGCAAGCCUACGAUGGAAUUACUCACACACGGCAGUGAGCAUCAUGAAAUUGGUGAUGGAGGAUGGUUGAUGAUGACGACGGCGACGAAUCCCCCUCUCCGGAGCCCCGAACGGACUCCAGAUCAGCCCUCCCGAGAGAGAUUAGGGCUUGGCGGCGGCUCUGUGUCGCAAAACGUGAUGAAACUUUCUCUCUGAUUUUUUUCUCCCUGAACGUGAAUAUAUGGAGUUGGAGUUGAGGUCGGUGGAGGUCCAGGGGGCCCACGAGAUAGGAGGGCGCGCCCCCUGUCUCGUGGAGAGGCCCUAGGCCCCCUAGUCUUGAUUCUUUCACCAAAAAUUCUUAUUAAUUCCAAAAAGUGCCUCCGUGGAUUUUUAGGACAUUCCGAGAACUUUUCUUUUCUACACAUAAAACAACAUCAUGGCAGUUCUGCUGAAAACAACGUUAGUCCGGGUUAGUUUCAUUCAAAUCAUGCAAGUUAGAGUCCAAAACAAGGGCAAAAGUGUUUGGAAAAGUAGAUACGUUGGAGAUGUAUCAGCGUCAUCGCCAGCGCCUUUGGCAGCCGAAGACCAACUUUAGUCAGGAUAACUUGUACUAGAUGUUCCCCUUCAAAAUGGCCGUUGUUGGCACCCUUCCCGCUCAAUAUUUGGGAAGAGGACCAGGGCCUCUAUAUAUAAGGAUAGCCACCACAGUAGAAGGCAUCGAGUUCUCACCUAGAGCCAACAAAGACGGAGCAAUUCCUCUCUGAGCACACCACCACAAGAACACCCCUCGCGAGUUUGUUCUUCCUUUGUACUAUUCAUCAUCAGCCCCUGAGGCAAUCCACCACACCACACACUGGAGUAGGGUAUUACACCACAACGGUGGCCCGAACUAGUAUAAACCUUGUGUCCCUUGUGUUGUUCAUCUUGAAGCUUAGAUUCUCAGCGAGGCGUUGGGAUGUGGAUCGGUAGGGGGAAGAUCCGCACGUGCACCCCAGAGUUUGAACCUUAAGGGUUUUGCCGGAACCCAAUAUCCGACAACAGGUACAUGUGGCCAUACCUGAUCACCACCUCCACAUCCCAAUGCAUGCGAAGCCCGCUGCCGGCCUGUCGCAGCUUCACAUUCUUCGGCCGACGGCCGUCCAGCAUCUUCAUAAAAGUGCCAGGCAGCCUCUGCAGUUUGGGACAAGGAGUGAUGUAGUAAACGGUAGAGUUAUCAUAAUGAGAUGGGUGAAGGGGAGAUCUCUCCUUUUAUAUACCUGCCGCCUGGAGGAAUUCCCAAGUAUGAUACUGAAGAACUCGAAAGCAUCCAACUCGUACUCCGGUGUGGCAGAGCGGAGCCUACGGUGGCGGCCUCCCCCCAUCUCUGAUAAGCAGUAGAAGAGACCAAUUACUUUAGACAUGAAAGAAAACUAAAAAUGUUGAAAAAAAUAGCAUAGUAACUAAGUAGUUCCUUAUGGUGUGCUAGUGAGAAAGCGGCCUCUUGUUUAGAUUGAGAUUAUGCUUUCAUGCCUAUGCUAGUGAGAAAGACACUCUAGACUUUCCUUCGGCUUGCUGAAUGUAUAGUUUGCCUUUCCGCAAAAAAGAAAAGAAAAAGACGGGUAUAGUUUCCCUCUUAUGACAGAUUCCAUAAGCAAUAUGCAUGCCUUGUUGUUUUCUCAGAUUAAACUAAUUUGAGUGUUGCUGAUUACUUCAAUAGGUUCAUGCUUAAUUAUUUCAAUAUUUUUUAAAAUGCUUUACUAUGUGUUGUUUUUGUAGGGAGCAGAAUUAUCAUAAUCGAAUGUGGUGACACAAAGGAAAUUAUCAUGAAGUUGUACCACCCUACAUAAUAAUUGAGAUAAAGCAGCAAGGAAAGAACUGUAAGUAGCAAAUCAUGCUCCAUGAUUGACUGAACAUUCAAUACAAACCUAAACUAAAGUUUGGAUGAGCUAUGGUAAUCAAUUCUUGCACUGCAAUAUAAGGCUAUCUGCUCUAAACCUAAACUAAACCAAACCUAAAGUAAACCUAAACUAAACUUAAAAUACAGAAUCAAAAACAUAAAAAAAUACAAGAGGUCUCACAGGAGUGGAGGAGAGGGGCGUCGGGCGGCCGGGUGGAGGAGGGGGCGCUGGGGCUGCCAGGUGGAGGAGGGGGCGUCGUGGUGGUCGUGGUGGUGGAGGAGAGGGGCCCCGGGGCUGCCNNNNNNNNNNNNNNNNNNNNNNNNNNNNNNNNNNNNNNNNNNNNNNNNNNNNNNNNNNNNNNNNNNNNNNNNNNNNNNNNNNNNNNNNNNNNNNNNNNNNNNNNNNNNNNNNNNNNNNNNNNNNNNNNNNNNNNNNNNNNNNNNNNNNNNNNNNNNNNNNNNNNNNNNNNNNNNNNNNNNNNNNNNNNNNNNNNNNNNNNNNNNNNNNNNNNNNNNNNNNNNNNNNNNNNNNNNNNNNNNNNNNNNNNNNNNNNNNNNNNNNNNNNNNNNNNNNNNNNNNNNNNNNNNNNNNNNNNNNNNNNNNNNNACGGGGCGGCGGCGGCUCGGGGGCGGGGUGGCACGGGGCGGCGGCGGCUCGGGGGCAGGGUGGCGCGAGGCGGCAGCGGCUCUAGCGCGGGCAGAGAGAGAGAGGGGACAGAGAGAUGGGGCGCGGGCGGGCGUUAUUGAAUUUUAGUUAAGGCACGGUUCUUUGCCGUCUACUAGCGGACGACAAAGAGCCUAGCUAACAGACGUUAGUUUGGUCACUUUCUUUGCCGUCUACUAGUGAACGGCAAAGAAAGUGUCUGUUAGGUCAUUGGAUUUUAGUUAGGGCACGGUUCUUUGCCGUCUGCUAGCCGACGGCAAAGAUGCUAUGACGUCAGCUAGCGGACGACAAAGAGAGGACUGACAGUAAACAUGGUCUUUGCCGUCAGCUCUUUCUUUGCCGUCAGCUGCUUUCUAGCUGAGGGCAAAGACCUUCUUCGACGUCAGUUAGCGGAAGGCAAAGAUCAGGCUGACGGCAAAGAUCGUUAUUCCAGUAGUGUAACCUAUUGACAUAGUGCCAAGUGUCAGUUGCUGUUUUCUGCAUGUUUUUUACAUCGCAGGAAAUCAAUAUCAGACGGAGUCCAAAUGCCAUGAAACUUUAUGAUGAUUUUUUAUGGACCAAAAGGAAGAGGUUGGGCCUGGUUGCACCUGGGGGGAGUCCCGAGGAGGGGACAACCAACCAGGGCGCGCCAGGAGGCACAGGCGCGCCCUGGUGGGUUGUGUCCACCUCGGGUGCCCCCGGACUGCCUCUUUGCUCUAUAAAUACCACAAAAAUCCAGAAACCCUAGGGGAGUCGACGAAAUAUUCAUCCAGCCGCCGCAGAGUCCAGAACCACCAGAUCCAAUCUAGAUGCCAUCACAGAGGGGUUCAUCACUUCCAUUGGUGCCUCUCCAAUGAUGUGUGAGUAGUUCUAUGUAGACCUUCAGGUCUGUAGUUAGUAGCUAGAUGGCUUUCUCUCUCUAGCUGAAUUCUCAAUACAAUGGUCUCUUGGAGAUCCAUAUGAUGUAACUCUUUUUGCGGUGUGUUUGUUGGGAUCCGAUGAACUUCGAGUUUAUGAUUAGUUCUAUCUUUUUAUAUCCAUGAAAGUUAUUUGAGUUUCUUUGAUCUCUUAUAGCCUCGUAUUUCUUCUCUAAUAUUUGAGUUUUGUUUGGCCAACUUGAUCUAUUUAUCUUGCAAUGGGAAGAGGUGCCCGGUAGUGGGUUCGAUCUUACGGUGCUUGAUCCCAGUGACAGAAAGGGAACCGACACGUAUGUAUCGUUGCUACUAAGGAUAAAAAGAUGGGAUCUAUAUCUACGCAAUAGAUAAAUGGAUCUUGUCUACAUCAUGUCAUCAUUCUUAUUGCAUUACUCCGUUUUUCCAUGAACUUAAUACACUAGAUGCAUGCUGGAUAGCGGUUGAUGUGUGGAGUAAUAGUAGUAGAUGCAGGCAGGAGUCGGUCUACUAAUCUUGGACGUGAUGCCUUUGUAAUGAUCAUUGCCUGGAUAUCAUCAUAAUUAUUUGAAGUUCUAUCAAUUGCCCAACAGUAAUUUGUUUACCCACCAUUUGCUAUCUUUCUCGAGAGAAGCCACUAGUGAAACCUACAGCCCCCGGGUCUUCUUUCUCAUAUAUUUGCCUUGCGAUCUACUUUUUCCUUGCGUUUAUUUUCAGAUAUAUUAAACCAAAAAAUACAAAAAUACCUUGCUGCAAUUUAUUCUUACUUAUUUUAUUUGGCAUUCGAUCUAUCAACCUACUACAAAUUUACCUCAUGUCCUUUGCCAAUCUUGAGGCGCUGUACCCCGAAAGGGAUUGACAACCCCUUUAACACGUCGGGUUGCGAGGUGUUGUUAUUUGUGUGCAGGGGCUGUUUACGUUGUGUUGCUUGGUUCUCCUACUGGUUUGAUAACCUUGGUUUCAUAUCUGAGGGAAAUACCUACCAUCAUUGUGCUGCAUCAUCCCUUCCUAUUUGGGGAAAUACCAACGUAGCUUCAAGCGACAUCACUCAUCAUAAAGGGUUACGUUGAUGCUAGCUUCGACACGGAUCUGGAUGACUCCAAGUCACAAACCGGAUACGUGUAUAUUUUGAAUGGUGGGGCAACAACUGGUGCAGUUGCAAGCAAAGCAUCAUGGUGGGAUCUACAAGUGAAGCGGAAUACAUAGAUGCUUCGGAAGCAGCACAGGAAGGAGUCUGGAUGAAGGAGUUUAUCACAGACCUAGGAGUGAUUCCCAAUGUGUCGGGCCCGAUGACUCUCUUCUGUGACAACACUGGAGCUAUUUCCAUUGCCAAGGAGCCUAGGUUUCACAAGAAGACCAAGCACAUCAAGCGCCGCUUCAACUCCAUUCAUGAAUAUAUUCAAGAUGGAGACAUAGAUAUUUGUAAAGUACAUACGGAUCUGAAUGUCGCAGAUCUGUUGACUAAAUCUCUUUCACGAGCAAAACAUAAUCAGCAUCAGAACUCUAUGGGUGUUUGAUUCAACACAAUGUAACUAGAUUCUUGACUCUAGUGCAAGUGGGAGACUGUUGGAAAUAUGCCCUAGAGGCAAUAAUAAAAUAGUUAUUAUUAUAUUUCCUUGUUCAUGAUAAUUGUCUAUUGUUCAUGCUACAAUUGUAUUAACCGGAAACCGUAAUACAUGUGUGAAUACAUAGACCACAACAUGUCCUUAUUGCGCCUCUAGUUGACUAGCUCGUUGAUCAAUAGAUGGUUGUGGUUUCCUGACCAUGGACAUUGGAUGUCCUUGAUAAUGGGAUCACAUCAUUAGGAGAAUGGUGUGAUGGACAAGACCCAAUCCUAAGCAUAGCACAAGAUCGUGUAGUUCGUUUGCUAGAGCUUUUCUAAUGUCAAGUAACAUUUUCUUAGACCAUGAGAUCGUGCAACUCCCGGAUACCGUAGGAAUGCUUUGGGUGUAUCAAACGUCACAACGUAACUGGGUGGCUAUAAAGGUGCACUACAGGUAUCUCCGGAAGUGUCUGUUGGGUUGGCACAAAUCGAGACUGGGAUUUGUCACUCCGUAUGACAGAGAGGUAUCUCUGGGCCCACUGUAACGCCCCGGAUCCGAUGCGCCAGGUGUCUGCCAGUUAUUUGCCGUAGUUGCCAUGUCAUUUGCUUGCGUGUUGCAUUUUAUCAUGUCAUCAUGUGCAUUGCAUUGCAUACGUGUUCGUCUCAUGCAUCCGAGCUUUUUCCCCGUUGUCCGUUUUGCAAUCCGGCGCUCCUAUGCCCUCCGGCGUUCCCCUUUUGUCUCUUGUUGUGAGUGGGUGUUAGACUUUCUCGGAAUGGCCCGAGGUUUGCCAAGCGGCCUUGGUAUAGCACCAGUAGACCGCCUGUCAAGUUUCGUGCCAUUUGGAGGUCGUUUGGUACCCCAACGGUUAACCGCGUAGCCCGGAAGCCUCCUUAAUUUUGCAGCCCAACACCCCUUCCAAACUGGCCCAAAACCCAUCUAACUCCCCUCCAUGCUCUCUGCCGUUCGAUCACGAUCGCGUGGCCGAAAACCGCUCCUCAUUUGGACUCUCCUAGCUCCCUCUACCUAUAAAUAUGUGUCCCUCCCGGAAUUUUCGCGCAGAUGAACCCUAGCCCCUUCUCCACCGCGCCGCCGGACAUGUCCAUCCGCGCCAGACAUGUCCGCCGGCCACGUCGCUUCGACCAAUGGCGUCGCGCCACGUCACCCCGCCGCCGCCCGCAGCCAACCGGCCGCCGCCACCUUAGCGCCUCCUCCUUCUCUCUUCUCCCGCGCCCGCCGCCGGCCCGCGGAGCCCAGGCGGGGCACGCGCAGGCCCAGAUCCCGUCCGCCGCCCCGCGAUCGCGNNNNNNNNNNNNNNNNNNNNNNNNNNNNNNNNNNNNNNNNNNNNNNNNNNNNNNNNNNNNNNNNNNNNNNNNNNNNNNNNNNNNNNNNNNNNNNNNNNNNNNNNNNNNNNNNNNNNNNNNNNNNNNNNNNNNNNNNNNNNNNNNNNNNNNNNNNNNNNNNNNNNNNNNNNNNNNNNNNNNNNNNNNNNNNNNNNNNNNNNNNNNNNNNNNNNNNNNNNNNNNNNNNNNNNNNNNNNNNNNNNNNNNNNNNNNNNNNNNNNNNNNNNNNNNNNNNNNNNNNNNNNNNNNNNNNNNNNNNNNNNNNNNNNNNNNNNNNNNNNNNNNNNNNNNNNNNNNNNNNNNNNNNNNNNNNNNNNGAGCUCCUGCUCUAGCUCCGGCCCUCCCACCUCCUCCGGCUUUCUCCACGUCGCAGGACCCCGCCUCCGGUCAGAUCCGGGCAGGAGCCGCCCGGAUCCGCCCUCUCCCUCGUCCUUUGCCGUCGUCCCCAUCUUCUCCGGCGAGAUCUGUUUGAGGUUGACUUUUUCCCCUCCAAAAUUCGUCCAAGUCCCCGAUUCUGCAAUAAUUUUCAUGCCAUGUUUGACAUGUUGUAUCUCUGCAUCCGUAGCUCCAUUUUGGGUGUGUAAUAUGUCAAAUUGUUCGCCCCGAUGAGUACAUCAUUUAAUUCCAUUGCAUCAUAUUCAUUUAAGGUCAUUUAGAUGCCUGAAUCUUCGUUGCUAGAGUGCUUCAUGAUGUUUUCUGCUGUCUGUUAACAGAACGAGCUCUUUUGUCAUUUUUGCCAUGAUUGAUGUGUGCAUCCUAUGAGGUUGAUGUCUACAUGUGUUUUGAUCUAUGCCAUGUCUACUUUACAGAGGUGCUUACCAUAUAUUGUUGUGAUCAAUAUGGUGACUAGCACAAGCAUGCAAACUAGGCAUCGUGAUGUUGCUGAUUUUAGUCCAUGUUCUGCUGUUAUUUUGAUGCCAUAUAAACUUGAUGCUACAGAGAGAUCCAUGCAUAUUUUGAGAUACUUCAGUAAGGGUGUUUUGAACAUAUGAUUAUUGUCUAUCCAUUAAUUCCCUUUUUUGCAAUUAUGUAGUCUAGCAUGUCAUUUUCGUGCUCUACUUUUGCUUCAAAAUGUUUCCUGGCACAUUGUUUACAUGUUAUUCAAUUUAGCCAAGGUUGCUAUAGUUGAUCCUUGCAUGCUAUGGACUUGCUCUUAACUUGGUUUGUUUCACAAACAUGUCUUCUUGAUGAUGCUAUGCUUAUCUUGUCAUGCAAUUACUUGUGAUGAGUGAAUCGAGCUUGUUAAGUAGGGUACAUGAUGUUGCUGUUUUGCUAGGCUGAAUCUGUUAUUUCGUGAUGCUAUAUAAACAUGUUGCUACUAACCAUUCUAUGCAUAAUCUGGAGAUGUCCACUAAACAUGUUUUGUUCUACAUGUCAUGCUCUAUCCAUCCAUGCUCCUGGUUGCAUUUAUAGCUUGUUGUAGCUUGUCCAUAUCUUGCUCCAAAGUUGCUUCAUAAUGUUGUUGUCAGCCUGUUAACAUUAAGUUCAGUUGUUGCCAUGUGUUUUCCUAGUGUUCCAUGCACCCUAUGACCUUGCUCUUGCCAUGCUUAGCUUCACAAACAUGUCUUCUUACUGUUGGUUGCCUUGCCAUGCCAUGUUUUGCUCUGUAGUGAGUUGCACAAGCUCAUCUACAUGCCUUCAUAAUUCUGUUUCUGCCAUGUUUGAAUCUGUAUUAUAACUUGCCAUGUUUACAUGGGUGCCAUCAUAUUUUCUGAUCCUUUUUGGCUUAUGGUCAGUAAGGGUCUUUUGAUCUAUGCAAUUAGUAGAUUCAUGCCAUGCCUUUGUUUGCCAUGAUAAGUUCCUGUAACAUGUUGUUUGAUAGCUCUGAACAUUGCAUCGUGACGUUAUUUUCUGCAAAGUCUGAAUUGUUAUUACUUGCAAUCUUACCAUGUGUGUUUGAGUAUGUUCUAGUGAUUUCUGGAGAUAGCUCAGUGUUCAUGUUUUGUUGUGCUUUACCUGUACAUCAUGCCCAUGCCUUUUGUUAUUAUGUUGAGGUGCUGUAGCAUGUUGUUUUGAUGCUUGCAAUAUGCCUAGUUGCUGUUUUGGACAACUUGUCCUUUAGACUUGUUUCAUGUGUGUGUGUUGAACCGUUGCUCCGUUUUGAGUGUGCUUUAUAUGAAACUUGCUUAGAAUUGCAUGUAGCUUCGUAUUAUCAUGUUGCAUCCUUGUUUUGAGGUGUUUGCUUGAUGUUUGAGUGCAUUUUGCAUCAAUGCCAUGUUUAUCUUGCUUUGCUCAUAUCUUCUAGGCGGUAGCUCCGAACUAAAUGAACUUUAUAUGUAACUUGACUAGAAUCUCGUGUAGAUCAUCUUGGUGCAUCUUAACUUGCUGUUUAACAACUUGAACAUAAGGUUUAUUCAGAUCUGGACCAAUUUCGAAAUAUGCAUAUGAGGACUUACCGGAAUUGUUAUAUGUUGUUCCCGGCCUCAUUUAAACUUGCCUUGAUGUGUUGCUCUUGUUUGCAUCAUCUCUUGCCAUGAGUAGCUUCAUGUAGCUUUGCCAUGCAUCAUGCUCGUUGUGCAUCAUGUCUUGUUCCAGUGUGGUGGGUUUACUUUGUUGUGUGCUUCUUCUUGUUAGUUCCUAUUUCGUUGCGAUCCUGAGGAUUCGUUCGUCUAUGCUUGGUUCGUCUUCGUGGCUUCAUCUUCUUCAUGGACUCGUUCUUCUUCCUUGCGGGAUUUCAGGCAAGAUGACCGCUACCCUGGAUCUCACUACUAUCUUUGCUAUGCUAGUUGCUUCGUUCUAUCGCUUUGCUGCGCUACCUAUCACCUGUUUAUCCAGCCAUCCCAAAUUGCCAUGAACCUCUAACCUUUGACAUCUUUCCUAUGCAAACCCUUGUUUGGCUAUGUUACCACUUUUGCUCAUCCCCUCUUAUAGCGUUGCUAGUUGCAGGUGAAGUUGAAGAUUUCUCCAUGGUGGACAGGAUUUUGGUUGGGAUAUCACAAUAUCUCUUAUAUUAUUAAUGCAUCUAUAUAUUUGGUAAAGGGUGGAAGGCUCGGCCUUUUGCCUGGUGUUUUGUUCCACUCUUACCGCCCUAGUUUACGUCAUACCGGUGUUAUGUUCCCGGAUUUUGCGUUCCUUACGCGGUCGGGUGAUUUAUGGGACCCCCUUGACAGUUCGCUUUGAAUAAAAGUCCUCCAGCAAGGUCCAACCUUGGUUUUACAUUUGCCUCACCUAGCCCUUUUUCCCUUGGGAGUCGCGCUCUCGAGGGUCAUCUUUAUUACAGCCCCCCCCCCCCGGGCCAAUGCUUGUCUAAGUGUUGGUCCAAACUAGAGCACCGUGCGGGACCAUCCCUUGGCAACUUGGGUUACGUCGGUACCAGUACGCUUAGCUUAUCUGGUGUUGCCCUGAGAACAAGAUAUGUGCAGCUCCUAUCGGGAUUGUCGGCGCAUCGGGCGGUCUUGCUGGUCUUGUUUUACCAUUGUCGAAAUGUCUUAUAAUCCGGGAUUCCGAGUCUGAUCGGGUCUUCCUGGGAGAAGGUCUAUUCCUUCAUUGAUCGUGAGAGCUUGUCAUGGGCUAAGUUGGGACACCCCUGCAUGGUAUAAUCUUUCGAAGGUCGUGCCUGUGGUUAUAGGAAGAUGGGGAUUUGUUAAUGUCUGGUUGUAGAUAACUUGACACCAGAUCCGAAUUAAAACGCAUCAACCGUGUGUGUAGCCGUGAUGGUCUCUUCUUGGCGGAGUCCGAGAAGUGAACACGGUCUUUGGAUUAUGUUUGAUGUAAGUAGGAGUUCAGGAUCACUUCUUGAUCAUUGCUAGCUUCACGACCGUUCCUUUGCUUCUCUUCUCGCUCUUAUUUGCGUAUGUUGGCCACCAUAUAUGCUUAGUCGCUGCUGCAACCUCACCACUUUACCCCUUCCUUUCCUUUUAAGCUUUGCUAGUCUUGAUACCCAUGGUAAUGGGAUUGCUGAGUCCUCGUGGCUCACAGAUUACUACAACAACAGUUGCAGGUACAGGUUUUGCGAUGAUCAUGACGCGAGAGCGAUGCUUGCUUGUAUUGAGUUCUUCGUCUGCUUCUUCUUCGAUCAGGGGAUAGGUUCCAGGUUGGCAGCCUGGGCUAGCAGGGUGGAUGUCGUUUGAGUUUCUAUUUGUGUUCAUCCGUAGUCGGAUGUUGCUCUUAUGUAUGAUGAUGUUGUAUUCAUGUGGCAGUGUAUGCCUUAUGUAUGUAUCCCCAUCUAUUAUGUAAUGUUGAUGUAAUGAUAUCCACCUUGCAAAAGCGUUCCAAUAUGCGGGUCUCUCCUUGGUGGGACCUUCGAGUUCCUUUUGGAUAGGGUCGCAUAUUGGGCGUGACACCCACUCGGUAAUGCAUCAUCAUAAUGAGCUCAAUGUGACUAAGGAGUUAGCCACGGGAUCAUGCAUUACAGAACGAGUAAAGAGACUUUCUGGUAACGAGAUUGAAUGAGGUAUGGGGAUACCGACGAUCGAAUCUCGGGCAAGUAACAUGCCGAUGGACAAAGGGAAUUGUAUACGUGGUUGAUUGAAUCCCCGACAUCGUGGUUCAUCCGAUGAGAUCAUCAUGGAAUAUGUGGGAGCCAAUAUGGGUAUCCAGAUCCCGCUAUUGGUUAUUUGCCAAAGAGGUAAAUCGGUCAUGUCUGCAUGGUUCCCGAACCCGUAGGGUCUACACACUUAAGGUUGGUGACGCUAGAGUUGUAAUGGGAAUUGUAUGUGGUUACCGGAAGUUGUUCGGAGUCUUGGAUGAGAUUCCGGACGUCAUGAGGAGUUCCGGAAUGGUCCGGAGGUAAAGAUUUAUAUAUGGGAAGUCCUAUUUUGGCCACCGGAAAAUGUUCAGAAUUUUUUGGUAUUGUAUCGGGAAGGUUCUAGAAGGUUCUGGAGUGGGGCCCACCUGGAUGGGGGGGCCCAAAUGAACAUGGGUAGUGGGGGCAAGGCCCCACACCCCUGGUCAAGGCGCACCAAGAUCCCCCCUUAGAAGGAAUAAGAUUAUAUCCUGAAGGGAUAAGAUCAAGAUCCCUAAAAAGGGGGGAUAACAAUCGGUGGGGAAGGGAAAGGAUGGGAUUUCUUUCCUCCCACCUUUGCCAACGCCCCAAUGGACUUGGAGGGCAAGAAACCAGCCCCCUCCACCCCUAUAUAUAGUGGGGAGGUGUAUGGGAGGCGCACCCGUUGCCCCUGGCGCAGCCCUCCCUCCUCCUACACCUACUCCUCCUCCGUGGUGCUUGGCGAAGCCCUGCCAGAGAACCACGAGCUCCACCACCACGCCAUUGUGCUGCCGGAGUUCACCCUCAACUUCUCCUCUCCCCUUGCUAGAUCAAGAAGGAGGAGAUGUCCCAGGGAUGUACGUGUGUUAAACACAAAGGCGCUGUUCAUUCGGCGCUUGGAUCAGAUCUUCCAUGAUUUGAAUCGCCGCGAGUACGACUCCAUCAACCGCGUUCUAGUAACGCUUCUGCUUAGCGCUCUUCAAGGGUAUGAAGAUCCACUCCCUCCCUCUCUUUGCUAGAAUCUCCUAGAUUGAUCUUGGUGACACGUAGGAAUUUUUUUGAAUUUAUUACUACGUUCCCCAACACUGUUCACGCACCCGCUCCUGCUCCCGCACCAGCACCCGCACCCGCACCCGCUCAUAGCAGCCCAUCCUCAGUCUCUGGCACGCUAGGCGGACCUUUGUCUUUGGCUGAGCUCGACGCCCUCACGGUAAUUACAUGUCGCACCAACAUACAUCUAGAAUAUUCUGUUUACAUUGCGUUUCGGAUGUUUUACGCCGCAGACAUGUGUUUGCAGGCCGACGAAACCCCGUGCACCGUACUCUACUUGAUCAAAGGUCAAAAGGUGGACGUGGGAAAGGCGAUGAUAACGAAUCCUUUGGAACUCACAUUCCAUGACCAGCUGAUGCCCGGUGGGCACUUCAGGGUUACCUUGUCGAGUGUGAAAUCGGGGCACGAGGAUUUGCCUCCUCCGGUAUGGCUAGGGGGAGAGGACGACGAGACCCCGCCGCCGCUUGGAAACUGCAAGGGUUGGGUGCUGCUAUGGAAGAAGAAUCUUCUUCGUUUGGAGCCGGUCGAGAGCACACCAAUAACCACACAUCAACCCCACCUACACAAUUACCAGCGCAUGUAGUAUCGGGUGAGAGCGGUGGACGGCGUGAUGAAGGGGGUCCAAUAGUGGCUGAUGUAAUCGCCCCCGUAGAACAAAGAAUGGAUGAUGAGAUGAACGAGGAUGACCCUCUUCGGUUCCUCAAUACAGUCGCCUAGGACGGUGACUUAGAUAUGAUGAGUCAGCCAUAUGAUGACUCGGGCUAUCAGCUUGCUGAUGAGAUAUGGAUGAUCUGCCGGGCAGGAACGUCCUAGCAGAGGUGAUUGCAGGAAGUCUCUCUUCAUGCAAUCCUCACAGGACACGUGUGAAGAUGCCGCCACAACACAGGCUCAACUAGCCGAGAGUCGUACAGUGCUUAGCUCGACAACAGUAGGGUAGGGGUUAAGGAAGGGUCUGAAAGGCCAUCCCAAGAAAAAGGAGAGGAGGAGACCAGCGAAGAAAGGCUUUGCUGCCUACAAACAAGCAAAAGCACAUAGUAGCCAGACGGCGGAUUUUGAAGAGCGUGUACCCAUCAAAGGUGCCGCCAUGUUCCAUGUCACACGUGAGUCGAUGCUACCGCCGAAACCGCUGGAGGCAAUAUCAGGGGAUCUCAGGAGACUGCAUGAACAUGUGUUGUCGACUGAGAAAAGCCUACUAGCCUCGAAGGAUCCAGGAUAUCCGACAUACGCGGCUCGUGUGCUUGAGGGGAAGUGCUACAUCAACACACGGCCCUCGGAGGUGUUCUUCCUGUGGUUUGAGCAUAUCUUUGAGAUGUUUCUAACAAGGCGGCUUGAUUUUACAAUCGUCCACCUUUUUGCGCUACAUAUGAGCUUCGUCAUGAAGAGAGAAGAAGUCUCGCAAAUCUGUGUGGCGGAUUCAAACUACAUGCAUGAGUCCUUCUUGAGUCUCGGCGACUUUGAGCGUAGAACUGCUAGGGAGUACCUCGAAAACUUCAUGUUACAGAAUAAGGACCACGAAAUUGUCCUCCUGCCUUAUCAUCCAAUGUAAGUCACUGCGAGACAACCCUUUCAUACAUUUCAAUCAUUCCUUCUCUCUCAUAUGGAGACUAAUUUGAGGUGUUUUUUUUCUCGUAGCAAUGGGCGCGCCAUGCUUAUCGUUCUUUACCCGCGAGUCUCCCAUGCCGUGUAUUUCGAUCCUACCAGAAACAACGAGAAGAAGGACUACACCCACGUAAUAAAUAUUCUAGAUGAUGCUCUCCACGGCUUCAGCUUGAGGGGUGGCCACCUGCAUAUCAGGAAACAAAGGAACCGCAAGCCGGUUUUCUCGCAUAAAACUAACUUCUGCUGCAUCCAUGUAUCGGAACCAAGCAGGAACGAUGGAUUGUACCUCCUCCAUCUCAUGAUGGAGUUUAGAAGGGAUCCCCAGAAGCUUCGCAUGACAACCAGAAACGAUGAUCAAAUCCACAAGUGGAUAGAAUCUCAAGGACAAGCGGAUUAUAAACUUAGAGAUGAGUUCUUCUGCAUCUAGAGGGACAUUGCGACGAUCAUCAUGAAAGAAGUCGUCGAAGAGAAGGGAUGUUCCACCAUAGCCCUAUAUCGCCAACUGACGUCCGAACUCACAUAGGCAUGCAACGUCAGGACCUCACGCCAUUCAAGAAGCUAGGGUGCAUCCUCGAUGAUACGGAAGGAUGGAAGUUCUAGUGAUUUACAAUGCCGAUGAUGAUGAUAUGUGUCGGUUGAACUUGUAUACUUUCUGUAGCGAUGAAACUUUGUGAUGCCCACGGUCCCUGCCGAACUUGCGUAAUGCUACUUUGUUAGUUUGGGUGCGAUGACCUGCGCACCUCUAGUUAAUUAGUUUGAGUAGGGUGAAACUGUGUUGAUUAUUUAUGUUUACUAUAUGUUGCAUCUAGUUGCUAACCCUUUCUUUUUCGUGUUGCUCAAGUAUAUUUUGUUGCAUAUGAUUGUACAUUCUCUUGAUGAACAUGCAUAUCGAACAGGUACCUAGAUUCUUGAUGGUGAAGAAGGAGUGAUAUGUCGUGUACAAAGGGAAGGUUUCGGGAGUGUACGACAAAUGGCCUAAGUGUCAGGCGCAAGUGGAGUGGAUCUUGGACGCCAGCCAUAAAGGCUUCAAAAGCAGACAAGAAGCAGAAGCUAGUUACUUGAGAUUCAUGCUAGCAUGAGAGAGGACUCAUAACAGCCGCCUCAUGUACUGCAUAGUUCGGCUCUCACUCAUAGUGAUAGCUCUUCUCGUGUAUAUCAUUGUUUAGAUGGAUGACGAUGUAGUUGCAAGUAUUCGAGACUUGUAUCGCUAUUUUUGAGAUGAUGACGAGAGAUCACUUUGUGUUGGAUGAUGAUUAUGAUGAUGACAUGAUUUGAUGAGACUAUUUGUAUGUGUAUCCUAUGAUUACAUUUGUAUAUAUGUGUAUGAUAUGCUAGCGAUUAUUGUAUGAAGCAUGUACAAAUACAAAACAAAUAUGCAAGAAAAAAAUCAGAAACUAAUAAAACUAGUAGUAGCGACGGGAAUAAAUUUAGCAGCAGCGCACACUUAGUAGUAGCGCGCUUUAACUAGGGCGCUACAGCUAUUAGCAGCAGCGCAUUCCGGUUAAGCUCGCUAACACUACCCAUGUAUAGCAUUAGCGUGGGUGGGCACGCGCUACUGGUAUAUGUUAGCUGCAGCACCGUAUCAGUAGCGCGGUUCCCCGCGCUACGGAUACACCUAAAACCAGCGCUACUGCUAGGCUUUUCCCUAGUAGUGAAACCCCAUAAUUUUACCCUUAGUAGUAACAAUACCCUUCAGUCACGAGGUAAGGACACCACAAGAUUGAACCUACUACUAUGCACAGAAGAUCUAAUCAUCAACUUGGUCAAAAAAAACUCAUAGAUCGGAAAGCAUUAUAUAGCUAUAACAAUCACACAUAAUGAAGUUCAGAAAAGACUUAAUUACUUUAUAUGAAUAAUCUCAUCACAAACCCACAAUUCAUCGGAUCCCAACAAACACACCACAAAAGUAUACAUCGAAUCGAUCUCCGAAGAGAAUAUCGUAUUGAAUCAAAGAGACAUAGAGAGAGCAAUCUAGCUACUGCCAUGGACCCAUAGGUCCUGUGAGGAACUACUCACGCAUCAUUGGAGAGGCAGCAAGGUUGAUGUAGAGGCCCUCCGUGAUUGAUUCCCCCUCCGGCAGAGUACCGACGGAGGCCUCCAGAUGGGAUCACGAAAGAACAAAGGCUUGCGGCGGCAGAAUAUUUAUUCGGGUCUCGCUCUGGGGCUUUUGAAAUAUUUGAGAAUUUAUAGCGCUGGAAUUAGGUCAGACGGAGCCACGAGGGGCACACAAGGGAGAACGACGCACCUACCCCCAGGGCACGCUGUGCUGCCUUGCCGUCUCCUCGUGUGACUUCUGGACCUUCCCCAAAGCUUCCUGGGUCUCUUUUGGUCCAGAAAAAAAUGAUGCUUAGGCCGUUCAUAGGGCUACUAGAAUAUGUCCAUCGCUAGAGUGCAUACGACUGGUAUCCCUACUAAAUAUGUUGAUUGCUCCGAGCAAUGGUUCUGAUCAAUGAAUCAAACCACGUAUGGCUGUGGGAGUACAUUAAUAAUAUUAAAAUAAUAAUCACGACUCCUUAGAGUUCCUCCUCUCCUCUAAUGUCUCAGCAGCUAGGGCAGUCAUUCCCCCUAUCUUCAUCGGCAAGCCCGUGGAUCUAGCUCCCCUCUGUUUGGCUCUCAAACAACCGGUGACGGAGAGGGGGAUGUCGGUGCCUUGGCCCUGGCUAGUUGUAUAUGUUAGGUUUUUUCUCGCUGCGAUGGUGUUUCACUGGAUGUCGACAUUUUAUCUUCGAGUUAUCUUAUGGGUUUCGAUCCUCCUUCAGCUCGUCCAUCGGAAUGGAGCCGACAGAGCUAUGACGUAGACUCUUGUUGUCUCCUUGGGACAGCGAGGUUAGGAUUUCUCAUUGUGCGUUCGUGCCAACGAGAUUUAGUGGCAGCCGCAUCCGAUCAAUUCGAGGGUUCAAUGGUGAUGAUUGCUGCUCUUGGACGAUGGUCCUUAGGGGCACGUGCAUGAAGACUUUUCGGUUGUCAACGAUAAGGUCAAUCUAGCUCCGGUAUGGGAGAGGUGAUAACGACGUGUCGGCGGUGGGAGGGGACAGGGCGGAGACGGAAGGGGAGAGUACGAGAGUGUGUCUAGGGUCUAAAUGGGACCUCCUAUUUAGCUCAAUGCGCGCUCGCGUACAAGCCAGCGCGCACCCCCUUCCCCCGCACACCCGUUUGGGUCGACCCAUGAGCGGGAUGGGAUGCCCCAUGUUUUUCUGUUUUAUUUCUAUUUUUUUAAUUAUUACUCCAUAAAAUGUGGAUUUUGGGAAAAAUGUUCAAGAAAUCAUAAAAUUCCCGCGGAUUCAAAAAAUUCUUGUGUUUUUGACAAAACAUAUUUGAAACUUGUUCACAAUUUCAGAAAAAAGUUCAGAAAAUAAAAAAAAUGUUCCUGUAUUCAUAAAAAAAUUGGACAAAUAUUUUGGAAUUCAAAAAAAUUCAUGAAUAUUUGCAAAAUGUUUGUGAAUGAAAAAAAUCAUCAACACAAAAAAUCAUGAAUUCAAAGAAAAUUCAUGCAUUUCAAAAAAUACUCGUAAAUUAAAAAUAUGUUCACGACUUAAAAAAGCUUUGCAAAUUUGUAAAUAAUGUUAGCAUAUUCAAGAAAUGUUCAAACCUUCAUGAAAAUGUACGGGAAAUAGAAAAAAUACUUGAAUUUGAAAAAAUAUUCGUGAAUUCGAAAAGUGGUCAUAUAUUUUUUAAAUGCUCGUGUAGUUCAAAAAUAGUUUCCAAAUUCAAAAAAGUUCAUCCACUCAAAAAAUGCCCACUGAUUAAAAAUGUUCAUGAAUACCCAAAUGGUUUAUUUUUAAAAAAGUUUGUUAAUUUAUAAAGUUGUUUCCAAAUGUAAAAAUAAUGUUAUUUAAUUUAUAUAAAUGUUCAUAAGUUUCAUAAAAAUGUUUGCCAAUUUGGAAAAAAAGAUUCGAAUUGGGAAAACAUUCGUGAUUUCAAAAAAUGUUCGUGAAUAUGAAAACAAUCAUUUUUUUUAAAUGUACAUGAUUUCAAAAGUAGUUUUAAUUCAAACUGUUUUCAUGAUUUCCAAAAAGUUCAAUGUUUUCAACAAAUAUUGAUGAAUUCAAAAUAUGUUAUGCAAGUUAAGAAGAAGAAAAUGAAAGAAAAAGGGAAAAGGACAAAAAAAAUUAAUGAAAAGAAAAGAAAAGAAAAACAAGCAUGGAAACAAGAAAAAUAAAUGAAUAAAAUAACAAAAAAAGGAAAAACCGAAGAAGGGAAAGGAAAGAAAAAACUACUUCCUUUUAAUCUGUACUAGCAAAAGGGCCCGUGCGUUGCAACGGGAGAAAACACCAAUUACCGUACAAACCCAGGGUGACGUUUAGUUCACACAUCUUCUUCCUCACCCAAUCUAAAUUUGCCACUACCAUUGAUGGAUCGACUGGCUCAAACCAAUAUUUUAAAUAGUGGGCUAUGGAAAAAUAGCUAUGGGCCUCCAAACCAACUAUAGCGGGCUAUUUGUAAAGGCUGCCAUUUUGCGGCACCCUGCUGAAAAGGCUAUAUAGCAGGCUAUAGCGGAGCUACAGCUGGCUAUUUAAAACUAUGGCUCAAACACAUGGCACUCUAAAUUUUUGCAACAACAUUGAUACGGGUUUGUAAGGUAAUUGGUGUUUUCUCCCGUUGCAACGCACGGGCCGUUUUGCUAGUUGAUACUCAAAUGUCUUGAGACAGCUUCAAUCUAGACGAACUAUUUUAGUGAGUUUAAUUUUGCGUCCAGUGAGCAGUAACAACUAUGCGAAAAGUGUCUUAUUGGGCCUUGGCGGCUAGGUGCUACGCUCGAAAUCCACAUCCUUGAUCCAUCGUUUGUUGGGCAUGCCUCGACGUAGGUUUAGAACUUGUGUAUUCGAGAAUUUAGAGAAACCACAUCUAGUUCCCACUUACUAAACUUAAGAAUACAGUCUUUAAUUAGACCAUACCACAUGGCACGUAUUGCAUCAUGCAUGUCACAUCUUUUUAAUUAGCCCACCACUUAGCACGUACUGUAUAUGCAACAUGCAUGCAUGAUGUGUCAUGAAUCCAUUCUCUGAUCGGUCGGGAAAGAAUCCAUUCAGAAGCCAGCUUCCACGUAGGAGCAAGUGCAUCUAGCUCAGCUUGUUGCAGCCUUUACACAUAGCAAGUUCGAGAUACAACAGGGUAGCAUUUUUUAUCUAUUUUUGUUGGCCCAGCGGGGGACGUCACAUGGGCCGGCUUCAUUGGCGGUUGAGGCCCAAGUGGGCUGUUUGCGGACGAAUUUUAGACGCCAAUUGUUUUUCACCUGGGCUACGGGUAAUUAGUACCACCUCGUGUAUAUAUAAGACAUUUAACGUAGGAUUAGAUGCAGGACGAAACCAAGAAUAUCACCUUGCUUUAUUAGUAGGUAUAGAAUAGAUAUAGAUAUAGAUAUAGAUAUAGAUAUAGAUAUAGAUAUAGAGGUAUAGAUAUAGAUAUAGAUAUAGAGGUAUAGAUAUAGAUAUAGAUAUAGAAUAGAUAUAGAUAUAGAUAUAGAGGUAUAGAUAUAGAUAUAGAUAUGUACUGGUCGACCAUGAUUCAGUCGGGGAAGGGAGUCCGACAAGAUCUCCGUGCGGCCAGAGUCAUAUAAAAUUGCACACAGAGGCGUUUGGUUUUGUGUUACAACAAAUCGUAGGCUACUACGACGUCUUGAUCGAUGUCAAGCUCAAUUUCAUCCGAGGAGCAGCGGAAGGCGAUGAUGGCUGAUCCGGCCGUAAUUGACGAUGAUGCAGCCAGCGCGGUGCAGCAGAAGGAGGUGAUAAAGAAGAAGACGAAGAAGAAGACUUUUCGGCUGCCAGACGACGAGUUGGAGCUAAUCUUGGCUUUCAAGCCAUCCGUACAUUACCCUGAUCCCAUCUUCUCCCCGGUGCUAGAGGAGAAGCUGCCCGACACCGUUCGGGGAGUGCGGGCCACCAUGGCGAAGGCUGAUGCGCUGUUGGAAAAGAACCAUGAUUCAAUAAGCUCUGAGCAUGCGAGGAUUCAGGCGGAGUACCAGGCUAAAGGGUAUGCUGCUUACCAAGCCGAGGUCACCGACGACGAGGAAGAAAUCAUUCAAGUUCCUAGACGUGGACGGAGAAGACACCGGCCUGGAGUAGUGAAGCGUAAAGGAGAGAUCAAGAAGAUAAAUUAAGGUAAGGUGUACAAACAUCAUGUUAAUUGGUCGUUUUUUUCUUGCAUAAAACAUCGGUUUCUCAUUAGGUGCUCUGCAAAAUAAAAAACGGCCAUAGAACAUAGCUUUUUUAUUCUGAAAUCUACAUUAGGUUUGUGGACUGCUGUCACUAGAAAGUUCGUCUGGCCAACCAUGCUGGUGUGAUUUUCGGAGGGAUUGUCAUUAUAAACUAUGCGUGAUAUUGUCUCAUCGCUUAUUCAUGGUUAAUAUGUGUUGUAGGGCACCAGGCUAAUUGGUGUACUGCUGGAGCUAAGUUCGGUGUACUGCUAAUCGCUUAUAUUGGUGUUGAAUCAAUGAGGCUUAAUAAUUAAGUUCAGUGUACUUUUUGAUACUCAGCCAUGUUUGGAAAGAUAUUGAAUGUUUCUUAUCACUAUAAAAGGUAUUAUGUAUUCCUUGUGAGUUGCAGCAGAAAUUAGUAGCAAUCAAGCAGUUUUACGUAUUUCCCACCAAAAAGAACUUUGUGCACAUGAAAAGCUUCCUAACAAAUGACAUGAAGUACAUUGUGUAAGUACACAAGUAUUAGCCAGUGCUGAGUCAUUGAGUUUUUGUUCUGUAUUUACCCUGCAUCUCCUGUAGCUGCAAUCUUAUGGACCCAUCCAAUUCAAUCCCUGCCAACGUCUUGGCUAUGAUUCUCAACGGGCAUGGUUGAUCUGCAUUAGCUUCAAUAGGACUAGAGUUUUCUGCCAUAGCUUCAUCCAUGGAGUAGAUAUUAAAUGGAACAGGAAUCAUACCCUUUAAUCUUAUAAUACAUAUGCGGCCAUGCGGGCGCAACCGUUGGACAUCAACGACAGAGAUACAAUGGCAUGUAAGCAUUGAACUAUGGUGGAAACUUAGAAGCAAAGGCGCGCUUUGCGGCACUGUUUGUUUUCUGCCGGUUGAUGAUGGAGCUCUUUUGCAUGUUUGACAUGAAUUGUUUUCUACUAAAUGCAGAAUACUUGUAACCUCACAUCUAAUAAAACGAAAACCGUGAGACAUCCCCAUCAACAUCAUGAUCCCAUAAAACCAUAGUUUCUUUCUUCCAACCAACCCCCAAAAAUUCAACAUGUAUGCUGCAUAUGCACUGAAGAAAAAAUUGAACAGAUAAAAGAUCAUUCUUGUUGACAUCAGGUGUUUUUUUUUUUGAAUAGUUUGGAUAGCUUAGUACAUGUGUCACGUGGUUGUUUGAAAUCAGAUCUUUGGUAAUGCCCUAAACAGCUUUGAUUCUGCACAAUGCUCCUAAAUAGUAAAACGUUGGUGUACAAAUGCCAUCUAAACUUAGCAACAGGAAGGUCCAGGUAAUAUAGCAUAAAGCACAACAAUUUAGUAAAUCUUUACAGCUUCAUUUAUGGUUUGCACUAAAUUGUUUUAGCAAAUGUUCACAGUUAAUUCAUUUAGGGAUCCAACCUAUAAAACUUCUCAACCAUCCUCUCACUACCACGUGUCCUGAUAAGGAAGAGGAGUAGAAGAAUUCAAUAUGGACUACAUACGGAGCAAAAUGAGUGAAUCUACACUCUAAACUACGUCUAUUAUACAUCUGUAUGUAGUCUAUAUUAAAAUCUCUAAAAAAAAGACUUAUAUUUAGGAACGGAGAGAGUAUGAGUCAUCCAGUGAGCAAUUCAGUAUGAGUCAUCCAGUGAGCAAUUCAGAGCAUUGUCUCUGCUAAAAUAAGCUGUAAAUCACACUGAACUAAUUUUAUGUAAAGAUGGCAUCUUAAAUGCAAAAUAGUAGGGCUAUAUACUCACUCAGAGACUUCCUUGCAAACAUUCAGUACCACCUAAUUUAGAUUGUAUUGUUCCUUCAGUUCCAGAGAAACAUCAACUCAUUUCCUCAACUGUAGAGCAUAUGCUAUGGAUAUAUCACAAAACUACAUAUUUGUAUGCACCAGAAUCCCCAUCUAGUAUGACCACCCAAGCAAGCCAACAUGAAUUACUGGGUUUAUCCAGCACCACAAAACUUUGUUUGGCAAUAUUAAAAUAGACUAGCUGGGCAAAGGCGCGGUGCCACCGCGCCCGUGAAAUGCCCGUUAGUGGGUAGGGUAUUGGCGGGUAUGGGUAGGGCAUGAGGGUGCCCCUUAUUGGCUUAGUUAUGAUUCAUACGAUUGCCCCCUUCUCUGCUUCGAUAAAAGGUAAUGUCCUACCUGACUGAACCAAAAGAUGGUUGUCUGCAUUUCAUUCUCCUCUUUACAAUGGUCUCAAAGUUCCUAAUUGAUUUUAAUUUAUAUUAUGAGUGUCUCAUUCCAAAAUGCGGAAACUCUGCAAUUUAUAUUUAUGUAAGUUCUGAAAGUUUCUGUAAUCCUGUGCAUCAAUGGGCUAGCAAAGCCGAAGAAAAUGCUUAAAAAAGAUCAGCAAGCAUAUGCAUGCAACAAAGUAACACUAAAGCCUGAAAUAAAUAAAUAAAGGAAGCAAAGGCUAAUUAGGAGCACCUAGCAAAGAAACACAUAUUGCUGCUUCUUAGUAUGAUUCAGAAGUCUGAAAAAAUGUUUUACUAACAUGACAUGGCACAAUUGGAAAGAAAAAAACUUUAAAGCGCAAAUUACUAAUACAUCAUGCAAUAAUCCAAGUAAACUCCUAGUAGCAUUGCUUGUUACAGAAACAAACAGAUCAUGUGUACUUGAAACAUUCAAGAUCUAGCAUCAGGAACGUGUCUUUAGCAGUAAAUUGCUCCUAACAUACAGUUGUUUCUACAGCUCCUCAACAUGAGAAUUUUGUGAUGCGACUUCCCUUGUUCUCAUAGCCAAGCAUCUUUCAGUAUUGCGGUUGCAGGCUUCCGUAUUGAACAGUAAUACUACUAUAUGCAAGUAUGAGGCAUAUCGCUGCUUCCUUUAUGAUUUAACUAGCAAAAGGGCCCAUGAGUUGCAACGGGUAGAAAAGAGAAAAUGCAAACACCCAUGCCUGCUAAAACAACUAUAUACAAGGUCACUAAAGACAACUAUUUUUCCAUGAUAUAAAUGUAAAGUGGAGCAUAAGUUGGUGAAGAAGUAAUCCAAAAGAUGAAUGUUGAGUGGAACAUAGGUUGAUGAAGAAGUAAUCCAACCGGUAGAUCAUUUUAUUCAUUAUAUCCAGAAGCAUGAUGCAACGAAAGCUAAUUAAUUGUCCAAAUCUGUGAUGGAAAGAAAUAUAAGAACUAAGUGGUUGAUAACUCGCAUCUUGCCAGACAGCAUAUAUGACCAUCGAUGUGAAUGAAAACAUUAAAAGGCGAUAAAACUACUUUUUCCAGAAUAAUAGACCACCACAAUCAUGGGAGUCCAGUUAACAAUUUUCAUUGAAACUAAAAGCAUUAUUGAAUAGAACAAAUAAACUGCAACUUUAUGAAUUCUAUUGACCAGUUUGUUUUGUCAUGAUGGUUCUACUCAUAAGGAUCACGUGAUGUCGCCAUGGCUACUGAAAACUAUGUCACCGGUAGCUGUUACGACAAUACCACGAUCUUGUAAAUUAUCCUUGUAAGAACAUAAAGUUUUCUGAAGAAAGUGUGCGAGCGGAAAACGUCUUGCCCUAGUCGAGGGCGACGUGAUGUUUAUAUAUAGCAGGGGAGCUGAUCGGCUUGUACAUGCGGUCAAGAAAGAGGAAGAGAUAAGAGAGAUCUAAGAUACAUCUUGGGAGACAAGAAAGGAAGAUGGUUACAAGAAGAUCUCUAUGCAAACUACCUCCUGGACUUAUCUCUAGUAUGCACCGAAUCAUAUAUCCCCUGUCGCAUAUUAACAUAACACAUAAUGAUGUUUAACACUCCCCCUUAAUCACAACUUCAUGAGGUUGAGAUUAUGCUUGAAUUCUUCAAAGCUCCGCAUAGGCAGGGCCUUAGUAAACCCAUCUGCAACUUGAUCUCUGGAAUGAAUGAACCGAAUAUCAAGCUAUUUCCGUGCAACUCUUUCUCUGACAAAGUGAAAGUCUAUCUCUAUGUGCUUUGUUCUGACAUGAAAGACUGGAUUUGCAGACAAGUAGGUGGCACCAAGAUUAUCACACCACACACAUGGAGCUUGUGAACUUCUUAUACCAAGUUCCUUUAACAUUGAUUGAACCCAUAUGAUUUCAGCUGUGGCAUUCGCUAAUGCCUUAUACUCUGCCUCUGUGCUGGAUCGAGACACUGUGGCCUGCUUCCUUGCACACCACGAAAUCAAGUUUGGUCCAAAAAAUAUUGCAAAUCCACCAGUAGAGCGUCUGUCAUCCAGACAGCCUGCCCAAUCAGAGUCAGAAAAGGCACUAACAAGAGUUGAGGAUGACUUGCUGAAACUAAGACCAAUGCUCAAGGUAUGUUUGACAUAUCUGACAAUGCGUUUUGCAGCAGUCCAAUGCACAGUGGUAGGAGCAUGCAAAAACUGACAUACCUUGUUAACAGCAAAAGAAAUAUCAGGCCUUGUUAAAGUCAAGUACUGAAGUGCACCUACUAAGCUCCUGUACUUUGUACUGUCCUCUUGAUUCAAGAGUUGCCCUUCUGUGAGAGAUAAUUUUUCUGAGCUGGACAAUGGAGUGAAGGAUGGUUUACAACCUUGCAGGCCUGCCUUUCUUACCGCAUCAGUUGCAUAUUUCUCUUGAGAGAGAUGAAGUCCAUCCUUGUGUUUCUUCACUUCAAUCCCAAGAAAGAAAUGCAAAUCUCCAAGAUCCUUGAGAGCAAAUUCUGCACUUAAAUCCUUCAACAAUGAUGCAAUGGCCUCACUAGAUGAACUUGUAACAAUAAUGUCAUCAACGUAGAUGAGAACAAAUAUGCAUGUGUUGAGCUUAUUGUAAAUAAAUAGUGAGGUAUCUGACUUGGAAGGAACAAAACCAAGUGAUUGCAUCUUGUGACUAAGACGUGAGUACCAUGCUCUUGGUGCUUGCUUCAAGCCAUAGAGUGCUUUAUCAAGUUUGCACACAAACGAGGGAUUAGACUUACUCUCAAACCUAGGAGGCUGUUUCAUGUACACCUCUUCUUCCAGAACACCAUGAAGGAACGCAUUCUGUACAUCUAGCUGCCUGAGACUCCAUCCCCUAGAGACAGCAAUAGACAAAACAAGACGAAUAGUAGCACCUUUUACAACCGGACUGAAUGUAUCCUCAUAAUCAAUCCCAUAUCUCUGUUUAAAGCCUUUGGCAACAAGCCUUGCCUUGUAUCUGUCAACAGUUCCAUCAGAUUUUCUCUUAACUCUGAACGCCCACUUGCAGUCUAUGAGAUUUUUACCUUGUCGUGGGGGAACUAGAUGCCAUGUUUUAUUCUUCCUCGGUGCCACAUAUUCUUCCAUCAUUGCUUUUCUCCACUUUUCAUCUCCAAAUGCCUCAUCCAAAGUUCCUGGUUCAGCUUGUGCAUCUGUAGAACAAACGAGACCAUAUUUGCUCAUAUGUUUAUAAUUAAGGGGUUGAGUUACACCUUUUUGCAACCGUGUGAGCCGCCGAGACUGUGCUGCAGAGUUAGAUGGUGCAGAAGAUUCGGAGUCGCGCACAGGAGUUCCAGCGAGCGAUCCCGAGACAGAUUCGCCCGCCAGCCGCACCGGAUCCUCUGUGGCUUCAGUAGUUGAUGGAGAGGUUGCAGCAGCCGCAGAAGAUCCAGGCGCACCGGUCGGCUCAUCAUGAGCCCAUGAUUGCGCGGGGCCAUGUGGAUCUGCAUCGGAUCCCGCACGCUCCUAGCUGGAUGGGUCCGCGCUGGAGUCCGCGCCGGUCGGCCGCAGCUGGGCGCUGGAAUCCGCGUCGGUCGGCCGCACCUGGGCCUGCCUCUUGAAGCACUGCGGUUGGUCGUGAAAACGCGCCCCGCCUGGGCCAUCAGGGCGCCGCCACAUGGCGUCUGGUGAUUGGCGCGUGGCUGGCGCGGGGCUGCCGCCACCUGCAAGCUGGCGCGUGGCAGGCGCGGGGCCACGGGAACCUGCACGCGUGAUAGAUUCCGCUGCGGGCGAAUCUGGCGCGUCUGCUGGCGUUGAUCCCGGCGCAGAUUUCCUGGUCUUCACCUGAUCGGGUGCUGAUCCCAAGGAAGAUUUGCUCCCCGAUUCCUGACACAGCAAAUAUGGCGCCUGAAGACCGAGUUGCUCGUCAUUUUUGUUGCUGAUUUUUCCUGCAUCAUCACCAGAAAACUCGUCUGGACCAUUAGGAGGGUUAGUCAGCAUUGAAUCAUCACAAGAAUUUCCCCCAUGAUCAAGGCCGGUGAGAUGAGAUGGCAAGAGGAGAAUCUCUUUGCGAAGCAAGGCACCUGCGUUGGGAUGAAGAUCAGCAAACGGGAAUUUUGUUUCGUCAAAAACAACGUCACGGGAGACAUAAACCCGUCCCGUAGACACAUCAAGGCAUUUUACACCUUUGUGUUGAACACUAUAUCCAAGAAACACACACUGUUUUGACCGAAACAUGAGUUUGCGUUGAUUAUAUGGACGAAGAUUGGGCCAACAUGCACACCCAAAAACACGAAGAGAUGUAUAAUCAGGUUUGGUGUGGAGGAGUCGUUCUACUGGAGUUUCGUUAUUAAUAACACGACUGGGAAGCAUGUUGAUGAUAUGAACGGCAGUGAGAAAAGCUUCAUCCCAGAAUUUAAGAGGCAUGGAGGCGCCAGCUAAGAGAGCUAAGCCGACCUCAACGAUGUGCCUGUGCUUGCAUUCAGCUGAGCUGUUUUGUUGGUGAGCAUGGGGGCACGACACAUGAUGGGAGAUGCCGAGAGUUUGAAAGGAGUUUAAUUUCUCAUAUUCUCCGCCCCAGUCUGAUUGGACAGCAAGUAUCUUGCUGUCAAACUUGCGUUCAACAAGUGCUUGGAAAUUUUUAAAGACUUGAAAGACAUCAGAUCUUUUCUUAAGUAGAUAAAUCCAAGAAAAUUUGCUAUAGUCAUCAAUGAAACUCACAUAGUACGUUUGUCUACCAACUGAGUUGGGGGCAGGACCCCAAACAUCUGAAAAAAUUAAUUGCAGUGGUUUGGUAGACACACUAGUGGAUAUAGGAUAGGGUAGCUGAUGACUCUUAGCUCGUUGACAGGAAUCACAAAUAGUUUCAAUAUUGCGCUCACCAACAAAUGGGAGCUUAUUCUUUCUAAGUAAUUUUUCAACUAAGGAAAAAGAAGCAUGUCCUAAACGAUCAUGCCAUCGUGUGGAUGAAAGCUUGAUAGCACCACAAGCUUGUUUAUUUAGUCUCCUAAGCUCCGGAAUCAACGGGUAGAGCCCACGAACGCAUCUACCUCGAUAGAGAAUGUUCUUCGUCGCCUGAUCCUUGAUCAAAAAGAAAUAGGGAUGAAAUUCAAGGAAGACAUGAUUGUCAAGAGCAAUUCUAUGGAUAGAAGGAAGACUUUUGUCGGCAUUAGGAACAUGCAAAAAUUUCCUAAGAUGGAUUCUACGAGAAGGGGUACUAAAACUUGAAUGACCAAUGUGACGGAUCUCCAUACCUUCACCACUAGCUGUGUGGAUUUGGUCCUUGCCGCGAUAUUUCUCCUUCAUGGUCACCUUCUCGAGCUCAUUGGUGAUGUGGUUGGUGGCGCCACUGUCGACGUACCAGUUGGUGUCGAUUCCGUAGGAGCCAUCUGCAGCCGCCACCACCUUGUCAUCAUCUGGAGAGGAGUCAUCGUCCUCUUCGUAGCGGUACCAGCAAUCUUUUGCUGUGUGCCCCACCUUGCCACAUAUCUGGCACCGCGGGGCAUCAGGACGUGCACGAAGAUUGCCACCGCCGUGGCGAGUUUUGUUGACGGGAGCGCGCCCGCCGUUGCGGGAGUUGGAGCCACCACCGUUGCCUCCUCCACUGGACCUCCCCCUGCCACGGGAGAAGCCACCACCGCGCCGAGAGGAACCACCAUGACCACGAGACGCCGAGUUUGCGGAGGACUUGAAGCCGCCGCCGCCGUUGCCGUGGAAGUGCGCCAUCCGCUGGUCAAAGUUUGACAGCAUGGCGAAGAGCUCGUCGAUGGUGACGGGCGUGACGCGAGCAUCCAGUGCAGAGAUCAGCGGCUGGUAGUCAGCGUCGAGCCCGUGGAUGAUGUAGGAGAUGAGCUCGUCGUCGAGGAUGGCCUUGCCCGCCGCAGCCAGCUCAUCGGCGUAGCCGCGCAUGGUGGCGAAGUAGGUGGCGACGGAGAGGUUGCCCUUCUGCGCAUUGAUGAGAGAAGUACGGAUGUUGUUGAUUCGACUCACCGAUUGCGACGAGUACAUGCCAGCAAGCAUCGUCCAGAGCGCGCCCGCGGUGGUGACCGUGGUCACCGUGAGGAGCACCUCCUUGGUGAGGUUGCUCAACAAGUAGCCGAGGACCGGCUGGUCCUCUCGGACCCAGAUGGGGUGGAGAGGGUUGGGCGUUGAAGUCUCCUUGCCUUCCUUGGUGGUGACGAGGAGCUGCGUCGGCUCCGGAUGGGUGCCGUCGACGUAGCCGAAGACCCCGGCGCCACGUAGCUGCGGUAUGAUCUGCGUGCGCCAUAGCACGUAGUUCAUGCAGGAUAGCUUCUCGGUGAGUCGAAUUUAUGCUCCAGCCAACUCAUCCAAAAGUCCGAACUGAUGAAGGGAGGCGUGCAAUAUAUUUCAACACUCCCCCUCACGUCUAGGCUAUUUUAGUCCUUAGACGUGGGAUCGAUGUAGGCCGCAGAAUCAUUUUAUUUAAUACUACGUUGGCAGGGUCUUGAACUCAAGACCUCUUGGCUCUGAUACCAUAUUGAAUUUAUGCUCCAGCCAACUCAUCCAAAAGCCCGAACUAAUGAAGGAAGGCGGGCAAUAUAUUUGAACAGAAAGAUGUCCCAUUGGGAAAUGCAUCAUUCUCACCGCAUACUGAGGUGCACGCCGACGCGUGUAAGAUGGCGGCCGAGGUUCUGGUUUCCUCGCCCGAUGAGGCAGAUCCCGCGUCACACAGGGGACAUGGCAUGGGUGGCGGAGGAUGCUUGAGGUGGCUGCACGGGCUACCGCCCGGGUGGUGGGGACAUUGCAUAAAUGGGAGGGCUGAUGUUGCAGCAGGCACGGAGUGGCGGCGACACCCGAGCACGGAGUGGCGGCGACACUCGAGCACGUAUUGGGCAUUGAAAUGUCACACAAAAGUUUCACACGACUGAUUCAACACUUGCGUGAGGGAGAGAGACGUGCUAGUUUUUUCUGUAAAAGGAAAAGAAACGGAGGUGAGAGACGUACGUAAAAAAGUAGAGGGGGAGAAGGACAACAUAUGAAGCGGGCUGGAGCAGAUGGUAGACGGCCAACCUGGCGUCCUGGCCGUUGUCGACAGCCACCGGCAUGAACUGUCGUCUCUGACCUCACUGAUGUCAGGCCUCAAGUCAACCCGAUGCUUGAAAUCAAGUUUUGUGCAUGCUUCAAAAUUCAGUUCAGAAGCUGCAAGUGUUCAAAAUUCAAUUCAGAAGGUACCUGCAAGUAUUCAAAAUUAAGAAUAUUCACAUCAUAGCAAAACAGAGAAGGGAGAAAGGAACGACCAGGAUGUAAGCUUAAUGCUAGCACUCAAUUUGAUGGUUGACCAUCUUGCUUACUCAACAUGCAGAUUAAUUGUAGUUUAUUAAUCAUAAUAUGUGCUAUUCUACCAUAGGUAUUAACACAAGCACUGUCCUGCUAGAAAGAACAAUGCACUGGAAUCAGAAUAGACACCAGAGAAACUCGCUGCAAAUCAUGCCAAAUAGAGAUGAACAUACAUGAAGCCUUACAUCCAUUACCCAGAACCAAGAAUACCAUGGUAUGAGGGGGAAUGAGUGCCAUAGCAUGGAGCUACCGCAGGUUCAGUCAGAAAGACACAAUUGGUAGUAAUAGAAAUCAAGUGCUUGAUCAAUUGAUAUACUAACGAUAGGAAAGUGUAGUACCAGUUCAAGUUUGUAGUACACAAUGGGAAUGUCACCUCUAUAUCAAAAAGAUGAUACCUUGAAUAACUCCAUGAACUAUGACACAAAUAUAAGACUGAUGAGUAAAAUCGGCAUUGACAUAUCACAGUACAGGAAAACAAUUAGCAUACACACGAUACAUGGAGGAAAUUGUAAGUAUAUAUAAUGCAGAAGAUCAAGCCAGGUCACAACACCAUUAUAGAAGAUACUACCAGGCGGGUGGUCAGAACACAGUACAAGCGUUGGACCUGUAUGACAAUUAACAAAAGAAAUUCACCUGCUUCCCGUUCGGUACCACCUCAAGCUUUUUAAAAUCCCCGUCAACAACAUAUUUUCUGCCUAAUAGAAAACAAAUCAAUUAAGUGUAGUUCUUGUAAUCGACCACAAUAUGAUAAGAGUUCUCUUUUAUGGAAAGAAGACAUGAGCAUUCAUUUGAAGUUUGUGCUUUUACCAUGUGUCAUUUUCCCCCAGCAUAUCCCCUGUUUCUCAGUUGUAAAGGUACACAAUUGACUGUACUACUUUUUUAUACCAUAGUAAGCGGCUUUGUUAUAUAGUUCCCUAAAACAUAGUACAAUUUAUUGCUACCGUAAUUUUCUGAUAUGAGUCUGGUUAGCUUUUGUUAUCUGUUCGCCAACACUUUUCUCACUCUUGGGUUUAUUUAUAGGCAUCAGAACACAAAGAGAAAAAUUGGCAUGCCUUCUUCGGCAGGUUUGACACUUCACAUAUAGUAGUAACAACAUCAAAUCCUCUUCUUUCUUCAACUCUUGUAGCACUGCCGACGCCUUUGAUGCGGAACAUCUUGACCCUUCCUGGUGAUGAAUGUGAUCUCUAUAUAAAAUGAUAAUAGGUUCAACGCUAGAAUUGGUCUAAAGUCAUUUGACACUUCCAGGGAACACUAAAAGGAUUUGUACCAGGCAUUUCACAUCAAAGUGUGACAUCUUCACUGGGUGCCUGUAUAUUGGUGGUUAUGAUUCACUUAUUGGAGUAGAUUCCCCAAAAAAUUGGGAGGCCGGAGGCACAUUGGAAACCCAUCCAGAGUUGGCCUGCAGAGUUGGGAGUAUAUAGUCAAUGUUAUCAGGACAUUGCAGGUUCAACUUCUCAAGCAAAAUCAUAGUAAAAUUGAAUCGUUUUACACAUUAUGAACAUUCAGAAGCAGCGAACAAACCUAUUAGGCGUCUAUUGAUGUUGCUAAAUUGUGUCUGACCAUUAGGUGAGGAAGUCAUCAGAGAAGCUGUUGUGUGUAUUGAACAUGUACACAACGCCCAUGGGUGCUGCCCCCACUCAAAAAAAUCUUGCAUAUAAAUCAACCAGUGGAGAGCAUGCGCAUGCCACCGAACGCUGACACGGCCUGGAGGUUGUUGUUGGCCACGGCCACGGGCGUGUGAUGGCCGGGCACGGCUCAUGCACCUCCUCCGGAGGUAGGAGGAGCUGGCCCAGUGAGGUUGCCGCUAAUGCUCGGGAUGCUGGAGGCGCGCGCCGUCGAGGUUGCUGGGCGGCCGUCGUUGGCAGGGGUUGGGUGCACUGGAUGGACGCCGAUGAGCAGCUCGUCCGUGCUCCCGCAUGGCCGACGAGCAGCUAAUCCAUGCUCCACCCCGCCAUGCGUUCCGCAAGGUGAUGCAGCCGGGGGACUCUCACCAACUGGAUCCCAUGGCCUUGAUCUGUUUCUUUGGUUGGGGAACAAUAAACAAUAAAACAAAAUAGCGUGUUACAGAAAAAUAGCGCUGCCCCUGAAAAUAUGCUAUUAGCAUGCUAUAGCGCGCUACAACUUGCUAUUAACAAGACAUUGUACAUGAAUUAAUUUAACAAGACAAUUAUCUACAUACUAUAGCGUGCUAUUAGCGGCGCUAUAGCGCGCUAUUUUUUUCCAAUGAGAACAACUCGACAUCGGCAGGGAUGGAAAAGGCAUGGGAAUUUGGUGCGUGCUCGUCCUCGGCGACGAAGGGAACCGGAAGGAGGCCAACUACAGGCGGAAGGCAUGGAAAUUUGGUGCGUGCUCAUCCUCGGCGACGAAGGGAACUGAGGCCGGCGGCAGGUGGAGCACAGCGGCCGGGCGCUGCGCAAGAUGCGACGAAUCCUGCCGAUCUUUACCGGAUUUGGCGACGGCAGAACGAGGACGGACACUGUAGAGAGGAUGGAUGUGGGUGUGGCGGCGACGGAGGAACCCUCAUGUUCUGGGGUCUUUGAUUUUUUGCCCCUUCUUACUUUGUACUUUGACAAUCUACCACCGGUUACUUUGUAAUUGAUAUUUUGCCACACGAUUACUUCACACCUUGAUCCUUUGCCCUGUCAAGUGGGACCUAAGAUGAAAUCCCCAAUUUGCCCUUUGCAUCGACUGACCACGCCAUGGGACAGCAUUGAUCCCCGAGUUAAUUGCAAGGAACUACCACAGUUCAGCACGUUGUAACGGAUCAGUCCCACUAGUCGCUUCUAUUGCAAAUCAGUACCAUCUCAGAGCCUAAUUGUUGCAAAACGGUCUAAACCACCAUAUCAUACUGUAUUGACGCUGUUUCUGACCAGGAGGGCCCGCCUGUCAGGUGAUACGUGCCAUAUGUUUUUGCAGAAAGCCCCCUUGCAUUAUAUUUAAUCAUGCACAUGCACUUUGCGGAAGUCCCGCUUGUGCGCGCGCGACGCUGUCACCACACCAGCCAAGCUCAGUUAUUCAGACUAGGAUACUAAUGCUUUAUAUCUUUUACUGUUAACAAAUAAAACAAAAAGAAAAAUAACGAUGCCACCAGGAUUCAAACCUGCGCCAGCGACGGACGGCGUGCGCACACUAACCAACACCAACACCUCACACACAUGCUCGCGUACAAAAUGAGACAUAGUGUUUUUAUCUAGUUUAGACACGUCCCGACAUUUUCCUUUUUUUUGUAUGUUCUUUUUGCUUUCGAUUUAUUUUAUCUUUUUACAGAUCUUCGCUAUUCUUUGGGUUUUCAUUUUUUUUUACAUUUCUAUUGUAUAUAUUAUAGGUUUAGUAUGCAAUAUUUUUUGCAAAUACACACUGAACAUUAUUGUAUAAAUACAAAAUUUUGUUAUAUACAUUGAACAAUUUUUAAAUAUACAAUGAACUUUUUAAAAAUAUAUAAGUUCCAUUUCUUUGUGCGUGUUUUUUAUUUUGGAUUUCUUUUAUGUUUUUCAGAUCUUCGUUAUUCUUUGGGUUUUCAUUAUUUUACAUUUCUUUUUUACAUAGGUUUAGUAUGCACUAUUUUUUCGGAAAAACACAAUGUUUAAUAUAUGAUGAAUAGUUCUGUUAUAUACAUUGAGCAUUUUUUAAAAUAUAUAAAUUCAAUUUUUUAUGUGUUUUUUUGUUUCGGAUUUCUUUUAUCACUUUUCAGUUCUUCGGUAUUCUGAUUUUUAGAAAAAUAUUUACAUUGCAAAUGGGCCCUGUCGCAUGUUUAAUAAUGUAAUAAUUUGAAGAUAUUUUAUCCAAAUUGUACAACAAUUUCGAGCCGGUGGCUGUAGGCGCAUGCACCUAUGUAAUUAAUUUUUUUGAAGUAACCUAUGUAAUUAAUUAGUAUUCGCAUUUGUCUAAAAAAACCUGGCUGUGCAAAUUGUCCUGCAGCCCGUUUAACAAGAGAGCUAUGCACCUGUGUGUUGUAGUGGUUACCGCGCGCAUGAGGUCCGGUUCAGCGCUGGUUCAGAUCCUGACGACCACCUUAUUUUUGGGUUCUUUUAUUUGUUUAUUAAGGGCGAAAGAAUAUAAAAUGUAAUAUCGAGUUGAGUUAUGUUUCGCCUUAUUUUAUUGAUGCCCUAGUCAUGAAUGAAAAUAUUGUACAAUGGCGGUUCACGGGCUUUUAUGGUCGUCCGAACUGGAACGAUCGCAGUUUAUCUUGGGAAGACAUUCGUAAUCUGCAUCACAAGGGGAACCAUCCUUGGGUAAUUUUGGGGGAUUUCAAUGAAAUAUUAUAUACUUCGAAGAAAGAGGGUGGUAAUAUGAGACCAAAUGGCAUGAUGAGGGAAUUCCGUGAAUGUCUUAUGGACUGUGGGUUGGAGGAUUUAGGAUAUAUCGGCGAUCCCUUUACUUGGAGUAGAGGUGACACUCGAGAGUGUCUUGACCGUGCAGUGUGCAAUCUAGGGUGGGCUCAUAAAUUUUCUCGUGCGGCUGUGAUUAACGAAGAACAUGUUCACUCUGACCACCUUCCGCUGGUCCUGGAUAUGAACUAUCUGGGUGAUAGUAUUUUUAGACGAUCGACGGGGUGUGUAAAACAAUUUGAAGCCAAAUGGCUAAAAGAAGAGACUGUUAAUGAAAUCGUGAAGGCAUCUUGGGAAAAAACAAAGUUAACAGGCGUUGGUCCUUCCCUUGCUGACCGUACGAAAGCCAUCCAUGCCGAUUUGCACCAUUGGGACCGUGAGAUUCUUAAGGGUCCUAAGCGGAGAAUUCAAAAAUUGAAAAAAAGAGUUAGAGAGAUUGAGACGUGGUCCAAUGAAUACUGAAUCCCGGUGCCGUCAGAAGGAGAUUAUCCUAGUAAUUGAGAAUCUUUUGGACCAAGAGGAAAUCCUUUGGCUACAAAGAGGGCGUGCGAAUUGGUUGAUGCACGGGGAUCGAAAUACGUCGUUUUUCCAUAACGCAGCCAUGGCCAGGAAGAAAAGGAAUAAUAUUAAAAAAAUACUAGAUGAUUCGGGAGUUUGGAGGGAAGAUAAGGAGUUGAAGGACCAUAUCACUGAUUAUUUUUCAAAACUCUUCACGUCAGAAGUACAACAACCAAACCAAGAGGUUUUGCCCCUUGUUCGUAGGAGAGUUUCUACUGAGAUGAACAACGCUCUCCUAGCCCCGUAUACGGCCGAAGACGUUCGUAAGGCAUUGUUUGAUAUUGGGGAUCUAAAAGCCCCAGGCCCAGAUGGAUUACAUGCUAUCUUCUAUAAAAGAUUUUGGCCCAUGCUAAGGGAUGAUCUGGUUGAGGAGGUCCUACAAGCAAUCAAUACAUGUACCAUACCAGACGGCUGGAAUGAUACUGCAAUUGUGAUGAUCCCAAAGAUCAACUCGUCGGAAAAGGUAACCCAAUUUAGGCCAAUAAGCUUAUGUAAUGUGCUAUAUAAAAUAAUUACAAAAAUGGUGGCUUCUCAUUUGAAGAUCCUUUUGUCUGAUAUUAUCAGCCCUACUCAGAGUGCUUUCGUGCCUGGCAGAUUGAUAACUGAUAAUAUUCUUGUUGCUUACGAAUGCUUUCACACAAUAAAAAAUAAGAGAGAUGGCAGGGAAGGUUUGUGCGCUAUUAAACUUGAUAUGCACAAGGCUUAUGACAAAGUAGAGUGGCCCUUCCUGAAAGAAAUUAUGUUGAUAUUGGGCUUCCAUCAAGAAUGCAUAAAUUUUAUUAUGCGGUGCAUUUCAACAGUCGAAUAUAGAGUUAGAAUUAAUACGGAGGAAAGUGAGAGCUUCAAGCCUACAAGGGGAUUAAGACAGGGUGACCCGUUGUCACCAUACCUUUUCUUGUUGUGCACUGAAGGUUUGAAUGCCCUAUUGUCACAUGUGGAGGAAAAUGGAAAAAUCUAGGUGUAAGAGUUUGUAGAGACGCCCCAUCGAUAACUAAUCUUCUCUUUGCGGAUGAUUCCUUAAUUCUUACGAAAGCUCACAAACAAAGUGGAGAAGCUCUGAAAGCUGCACUUGAUCUAUAUUGUGAGGCAUCGGGACAAUUAGUUAGCGUUGAAAAAUCCAGCAUUUUUUCAGUCCUAACACGAAGGUAGAGAUUAGAGCACAACUUUGCGCAACAUUGAAUAUAAUGACGGAGGCCCUUAGUGAUAAAUAUCUAGGUUUGCCAGCAAAUGUUGGGUUAGAUAAAACAGAUUGUUUCCAAUUUUUAAUUCAACGUAUUGUCAAAAGAAUUAGUGGCUGGAAGGAAAAAUUACUGCCUCCUGGGGGAAAGGAAAUCCUGCUCAAGGCUGUGAUCCAAGCCGUACCCACCUAUGCAAUGUCGGUCUUUAAAAUUCCUAAAAAAUAUUGUAAAGUAAUCAUCAACGCGAUAGCGCAUUUCUAGUGGGGAGACGAGGAGAAUCGGAGGAGAAUGCACUGGAUGCCCUGGUGGAAAUUAUGUGUACCAAAAAAUCAAGGAAGGAUGGGAUUUCGUGAUAUUCACUAUUUAAAUUUGGCAUUGUUAGCCAAACAAGCAUGUCGUCUUUUGAAUAAUCCUGAUUCUUUGUGUGCUUCUAUCCUAAGGGCAAAAUAUUACCCCCAUGGCGACCUGUUAAAUGCUAAGCUCAAGAAAGGUUCUUCCUUUACAUUGCAAAGCAUCAUGGCAGGCGUAAAUACUCUAAAACGUGGUUAUAUUUUGCGUGUGGGGAACGGACAUAACAUUAAUAUUUGAGAAGAUGCCUGGAUCCCAAACUAUGCCACUAGGAAAAUUGUAACGCCUAAGGGAGGUAACCUGUUAACUAAGGUAGGUGAUCUCAUUGAUCCUGUCUAUUAUACUUGGGAUGGAGACCUGAUUAGGCAAACUAUGUGGCCGAUCGAUGUACAAAGGAUUCUCUCAAUUCCCCUGCCGCAAUAUGAUAUGCAAGACUUCGUUGCCUGGAAUUAUACGUAAAAUGGAAUAUUCUCAGUUAGGUCAGCCUACUAUGUGGAGUGGAAUCACCAGUAUGGAAUCAAAUUGAAACACUCUAAUGGUAUGGGGCGAACCACGGUUAAUCCUAUUUGGAGUAAGAUAUGGAAAUUAGCAUGUCUGAAAAAAGUUAAAAUAUUCUUAUGGCGAAUGCUACAUGGUACUAUCCCGUGCAGAGUUACGCUAGCUAAUAGACAUAUGAAGGUUUCACCCAUCUGCCCAAUUUGCUCUGAGGGCUUAGAAGAUACAAAACAUAUGUUGUUCCGGUGUACUAAAGCAAAGGAGGUUUGGAAAAGACUGGGACUGGAUGAUAUCAUUGAAGAAGCUUGCGAGAUUGAUCGUGCAGGAGGGGCGGUGCUGGAGUACCUACUACUCCUACCAGAUCAAGAUUUGUGUAUAUUGGGUUGCCACAAUGUGCGUGAGAUGAUUGCUAUCUCAGCAUGGUACCUAUGAUGGGACAGACGAAAGUUGGUUCACAAUGAGAAAAUACAAAAUGUAAUGCAGAUUUCAAUGGGAAUCCUUGCCCUUACCACAUUUUUUAAUGCAUUAUCCCCCCAAGGCGUCUGUGAAGGAGAGUUGGUCUUUCCCUCCAAGAGGUUUUGUUAAGCUCAAGGUUGAUGCUUCCUUUGAUCAUGACCUUAUUAGGGGGGACAAUGGGACCAAUGCUUAGAGAUGACAGAGGCAGGUGUAUUGCUGGAGGGAAUGAGAGAAUAGAUUUUUGCACGGAUGUGCUGAUGGCAGAGGCUAGAGCUCUCAAAUUUGGUCUAACAUUGGCGCAAAGGGCGGGAUGCACUCACAUUAUCGUAAAUUCGGAUAAUAUGGAGGUGAUUGACUCUAUGAAUAAUGGAGGGCAGUCGGCGGGUGUGGCGGCAGCAAUCUUCAAAGACUGUUUUCAUUAUGCAUGUGAUUUCGUUACUGCUAGAUUUGAGCACUGUAAUAGGGAAGCAAAUAAAAUAGCUCAUGAGCUUGCUAGAUUAGCUAGAUUCUCUUUGACUUCGGAUUGGUUUGAGGAGCCUUUAAGUGAAAUUGUAAUGUUCCUCACAAACGAUGUACUACUUAUUACAAAUGAAUAAAGUUGGAGUUUGUUUCAAAAAAACUAAGCGCGUGUAGUGUAGAGGCAGCGCCAUGCCAUGUGAUGCGGGGGCUCGCCGGUUCGAAUCCCGCCUGUGGCAAUGUUUUUUAGAUUUCUGUGAAGGACAUCUACGUGAUUACGUAUAAUCCAAGGGGGCUUUCUGCAAAAAUAUGUGCCAUGUGUCACCUGACAGGCGGGCCCUGCUGGUCAGAUACAGCGUCAAUACGAUGGUCAUUCUGUUUUGCAACAAUUAGGCUCUAAGAUGGUACUGAUUUGUAACAGAAGCGACUAGUGGUACUGAUCCGUUACAAUGUGCUGAAGUGUGGUAGUUCCUUGCAAUUAACUCUCGAUCCCCAUCUCUCGUUCGUCGUUCCUCUCUCUGCUUUGCGGAUGCGCACAAGCUAGGGAGGCGGCAGCGCUCCGGUAGCCUUCGACGCCUGCAGCUACCUACCGACGACGACAUCAGACCGCCCCACCAACCCUAGCUCCGCACCUCGCCGCAGCCAUGGCGGACCGAGCGCCCCCGCUGCUCCUCAGUGGCCACCACGAGCAGCCAUGGCGGCGCAUAUAAGGACGUCCAUGGAAAAUUUCUCUGUUCCUCUGCUCGCCGCCGCCCCUUCCAACCAUGCGCCGCUAUUCGCCCCACCGCCCCUUCCAGCCAUGCGCCGCUGUUCGCGACACCGGGUCCAGCUGCUGUUCGUCGGGGGCCAUCAGCCAGCCUGCAUGUGUGUUGACUCUAUGCACUAGAUGGAUGCCAGUAGGUGCUUCUCUCCGUCUAGCUGCUGUUCGCCAGUAGGUGCUUCUCCCCGCCACCCCGUGGUAUUGUUGCCCGCCGCCGCCACCGCCGGCUACUGUUGCUGCUUCUCAUUGGCACCACAUACUGCUGAUGAUGAUGCUCGUCAGCGCCUUGUGCAGCGGUCGGCGGCACCUAGUCACGACUCAGCGUGGUCACUGGGAGGUAGUCGGCGAUCGCCGAGGACCACCAUAUGCUACGAGAUAGCCGCAACCUUCUCCUUUGUCCUGGCGAGCGUCGGCGUCAAACAAGCACACAAGGGCAUAUGUGCCCAUCGUUUGCAAGUAUUGUUUUUGUGUGAAAAAGUGGCAAAAGAUCAAAUGGCAAACUAAGGAGUGGCAAAAGAUCAAUUACAAUCUAAGCAGUGGCAAAAUGUCAAAGUCCAAAGUAAGUAGUGGCUAGAAAAAAAUCCCCCUCGUGUUCUUGUGUAGGGCAGUGAUACGUCUCCAACGUAUCUAUAAUUUUUAUUGUUCGAUGCUAUUAUAUAUUCUGUUUUGGAUGUUUAAAGGGCUUUAUUAUACACUUUUAUAUUAUUUUUGGGACUAACCUAUUAAUCGGAGGCCUAGGCCAAAUUGCUGUUUUUUUGCCUAUUUCAGUGUUUCAAAGGAAAAGGAUAUCAAACGGAGUCCAAACAGAAUGAAACCUUCGGGAACGUGAUUUUCAGAACAAACUUGAUCCAGAGGACUUGGAGUGGACGUCAAGAAAUCAAUGAGGAGGCCACGAGGCAGGGAGGCGCGCCGCCCCCCUGGGCGCGCCCCCACCCUCGUGGGCCCCUCGUAGCUCUCCUGACCGACCUCCUUCGCCUAUAUAUACUCAUAUACCCUGCAAACAUCAUAUACGGAGCCAAAACCCUAUUUCCACCGCCGCAACCUUCUGUACCCGUGAGAUCCCAUCUUGGGGCCUUUUUCGGCGCUCCGCCGGAGGGGGCAUCAAUCACGGAGGGCUUCUACAUCAACACCAUAGCCUCUCCGAUGAUGUAUGAGUAAUUUACCUCAGACCUUCGGGUCCAUAGUUAUUAGCUAGAUGGCUUCUUCUCUCUCUUUGGAUCUCAAUACAAAGUUCUCCUCGAUUCUCUUGGAGAUCUAUUCGAUGUAACUCUUCUUUUGCGGUGUGUUUGUCGAGAUCCGAUGAAUUGUGGGUUUAUGAUCAAGAUUAUCUAUGAACAAUAUUUGAAUCUCCUCUGAAUUUUUUUAUGUAUGAUUGGUUAUCUUUGCAAUUCUCUUCGAAUUAUCAGUUUGGUUUGGCCUACUAGAUUGAUCUUUCUUGCAAUGGGAGAAGUGCUUAGCUUUGGGUUCAAUCUUGCGGUGCUCGAUCCCAGUGACAGUAGGGGAAACGACACGUAUUGUAUUGUUGUCAUCGAGGAUAAAAGGAUGGGUUUUAUAUCAUAUUGCAUGAGUAUAUCCCUCUACAUCAUGUCAUCUUGCUUAAAGCGUUACUCCGUUCUUAUGAACUUAAUACUCUAGAUGCAUGCUGGAUAGUGGUCGAUGUGUGGAGUAAUAGUAGUAGAUGCAGGCAGGAGUCGAUCUACUUGUCACGGACGUGAUGCCUAUAUACAUGAUCAUACCUAGAUAUUCUCAUAACUAUGCUCAAUUCUAUCAAUUGCUCGACAGUAAUUUGUUCACCCACCGUAAUACUUAUGCUCUUGAGAGAAGCCACUAGUGAAAUCUACGGCCCCCGGGUCUAUUUUCCAUCAUAUUAAUCUCUCAUUAUUUCUAUCACCGUUUAUUUUGCUUUCUUUACUUUUACUCUUUAUCAUAAAAAUACCAAAAAUAUUAUCUUAUCAUCUCUAUCAUAUCUCACUUUUGCAAGUGGCCGUGAAGGGAUUGACAACCCCUUUAUCGCGUUCGUUGCAAGGUUCUUAUUUGUUUGUGUAGGUGCGUGGGACUUGAGCGUGGUCUCCUACUGGAUUGAUACCUUGGUUCUCAAAAACUGAGGGAAAUACUUACACUAGUUUACUGCAUCACCCUUUCCUCUUCAAGGGAAAACCAACGCAAUGCUCAAGAGGUAGCAGGCAUCGAUGUCAAUGGCGGGCGAGUUAGGCUGCGUAUGAAACCUUUUUUUUUCACUUACGCUCAGGCUAUUGUGGACUACAGGUUAAUUUCUAUAAACUAAAGGGACUUUUAUGCAAAAAUUUCAUGACGGUGAACCCGGCAGAAGCAAUGUGUGACUUAUAAUUAAUUAAGUACUAGCACAAAUGCCCGUGCGUUGUAACGCGAGAAAAGUUGAUGUGUAUUCGAUUAGGCUAGUCAUAGGGAGAGUAACUUAGACUAGUAACAUACACAUAUUACUAGUCCAUGUUACUACCUUCAUAGUGGAAAGUGUCAUAGGUGUAGUAACAUACAUAUCUUCAUUUAUUGCUUUGUAGACUCAUUUUGUAUUGAGAACCACUAUGUGAUGGUAACAUAUUAUGUUACUCUAUUUGUCUCUCCUCUUUAAUUACAUGACACAUCAUCUUUUUUGCUUAUGUGGCAUUUAUGUUACUACUUAUGUUACUCCCACUAUGACUAGCCUUAUGUGCAGAACUCAUCCGUUGUUCAUGAAAAUUGUGCAUGCAAAAGAUCCCUUGUGUUGCAAUGGAUAUUAUAAAAAAAGUUGAGAGUUUGUGUGGUACUCGAUAGUUUACCUCGUCGUGCACAGUCCGCUUCUGUCUCCCUUAUCUUUCCUUUGGUGUGAAACUGCUGGCAUGCAAUGUCGAUCCUUAAAAAUAUAGAAAAUUAUAAGAUUUAGAUAUACAUGUGGCAUUGCCCUAUAAAGUUUUCACCAGAUUAUCGAUCAAAUAUAUGCCACUUUGAAAGCACAAGUGCUCCCUGGGUGAUUUUGGUAAUUAAUGUCAACAUAUCUCUUGUUGGACUAAUGCUUUUAUCUAGUGUAUUUCAGACAAGUUCAACAAUGGCAUGGUAAGGACAAGAGGACGUGGAACCCCUUCAAAAUACUAAGGACACAUAUUGGCAAAAGCUCAAGACUCUUCAUUUCUAUUUUAGUGAUCCAAGAUCACAUUGAUUCCAUAGAAAAGCCAAUACUAUUAAAAGGGGAUGAGGUGUUGCUUAAUGGUUUACUUGCUCAAAAUGCUUAGUGAUAUUGCUCCAAAGCCCUCGACCACUUUCUCAUUCCAAAUAUGUCCAAAACCCAACAUCAAACUCGGCCCCAUCGGUUCUUCCUAUCCAGCCCCACCGAGUUCAUUUGACAUAGCCACUGCCAUAAACCCUAACACCUGGGUCACAUCGAUACAAAUCUCGGUCUCACCGAGAUGGCCCUGUAAACUCUCUGUUUCCCUUUUGUAACAUUAUGGUCUCACCGAAAUGAGCGAUUGGUCACAACGAGUUUACUUGACCAACUCUUUGUUUGCUCUUUGUUGAAAUCGGUCUCACCAAGUUCACGCAAUCGGCGCCACCAAGAUGAGGUUUUGCUCUGGCCCUAGCACAUUGGUCCCACCGAGUUGUUACAGUCGGUUCCAUCGAGAUUCCUAACGUUCACAUUUUGAACUGAAUCAGUCUCACUGAGUUCUUCUAUUCGGUCUGACCAAGUUGAGUCAAAUGUGUGUAACGGUUGGAUUUUGUGUGGAGGCUAUAUAUACCCCUCCACCCUCUUCUCCAUACAUGAGAGAGCCAUCAGAACGCGCCUACACCUUCAACUUACAUUUUCCGAGAGAGAACCACCUACUCAUGUGUUGAGAUCAAGAUAUUCCAAUCCUACCACAAGAUUCUUGAUUUCUAGCCUUCCCCAAGUUGCUUUCCACUCAAAUCAUCUUUUCACCAUAUCCAAAUCUAUGAGAGAGAGAGUUGAGUGUUGGGGAGACUAUCAUUUGAAGCACAAGAGCAAGGUGUUCAUCAUCAACACAACAUCUAUUACCUUUUGGAGAGUGGUGUCUCCUAGAUUGGUUAGGUGUCGCCUGGGAGCCUCCGACAAGAUUGUGUAAUUGAACCAAGAAGUUUGUAAGAGCAAGGAGAUCGCCUACUUCGUGAAGAUCUACCUGAGUGAGGCAAGUCCUUCAUGGGCGAUGGCCAUGGUGGGAUAGACAAGGUUGCUUCUUCGUGGAUCCUGUUGGGGAACGUAGUAAUUUCAAAAAAAAUCCUACGCACACACAAUAUCAUGGUGAUGCAUAUCAACGAGAGAGGAGAGUGUGUCCAUGUACCCUCAUAGACCAAAAGCGGAAGUGUUAGAACAACGUGGUUGAUGUAGUCGAAUGUCUUCACGAUCCAACCGAUCCAAGUACCGAACGCAUGGCACCUCCGAGUUCAGCACACGUUCAGCUCGAUGACGUCCCAUGAACUCCGAUCCAGCAGAGCUUCACGGGAGAUUUCUAUCAGCACGACGGCGUGAUGACGGUGAUGAUGUUGCUACCGACGCAGGGCUUCGCCUAAGCACCGCUACGAUAUGACCGAGGUGGAUUAUGGUGGAGGGGGGCACCGCACAAGGCUUGUAACAAUCAACUUGUGUGUCCUAGGGUGCCCCCUGCCCCCGUAUAUAAAGGAGCAAAGGGGGAGGCCAGCCGGCCCUUGCAGGGCGCGCCAGGAGGAGUCCUCCUCCUAGUAGGAGUAGGACUCCCCUUUCCUACUCCUACUAGGAGGGGGAAAGGAAGGAGGAGAGGGAGAAGGAAGGGGGGAGCCGCCCCCCCUUUCUUAGUCCAAUUCGGACCAGAGGGGGAGGGGCACGCGGCCUACCCUGGCCGGCCCUCUCUCUCUCUCUACUAAGGCCCAUGUGGCCCAUUAGUUCUCCCGAGGAGGUUUCGGUAACCCUCCAACACUCCGGUUUUCUCUGAAAUCACCCAGAACACUUCCGGUGUCCAAAUAUAGUCGUCCAAUAUAUCAAUCUUUAUGUCUCAACUAUUUCGAGACUCCUCAUCAUGUCCAUGAUCACAUCCGGGACUCCGAACUAUCUUCGGUACAUCAAAUCACAUGAACUCAUAAUACCAAUCGUCACCGAACGUUAAGCGUGCGAACCCUACGGGUUCGAGAACUAUGUAGACAUGACCGAGACACGUCUCUGGUCAAUAACCAAUAGCAUAACUUGGAUGCUCAUAUUGGUUCCUACAUAUUCUACGAAGAUCUUUAUCGGUCAAACCGCAUAACAACAUAUGUUGUUCCCUUUGUCAUCGGUAUGUUACUUGCCCGAGAUUCGAUCGUCGGUAUCUCAAUACCUAGCUCAAUCUUGUUACCGGCAAGUCUCUUUACUCGUUCCAUAAUGCAUCAUCCCGCAACUAACUCAUUAGUUGUAUUGCUUGCAAGGCUUAUAGUGAUUUGCAUUACCGAGAGGGCCCAGAAAUACCUCUCCGACAAUCGGAGUGACAAAUCCUAGUCUCGAUUUAUGCCAACUCAACAAGUACCAUCGGAGACACCUGUAGAGCACCUUUAUAAUCACCCAGUUACGUUGUGAUGUUUGGUAGCACACAAAGUGUUCCUCCGGUAAUCGGGAGUUGCAUAAUCUCAUAGUCAUAGGAACAUGUAUAUAUAAGUCAUGAAGUAAGCAAUAGCAGCAAACUAAAAUGAUCAAGUGCUAAGCUAACGAAAUGGGUCAAGUCAAUCACAUCAUUCUCAUAAUAAUGUGAUCCCGUUUAUCAAAUCACAACUCAUGUCUAUGGUUAGGAAACUUAACCAUCUUUGAUAAACGAGCUAGUCAAGUAGAGGCAUACUAGUGACACUCUGUUUGUCUACGUAUUCGCACAUGUAUUAUGUUUCCGGUUAAUACAAUUCUAGCAUGAAUAAUAAACAUUUAUCAUGAAAUAAGGAAAUAUUAAUAACAACUUUCUUAUUGCCUCUAGGGCAUAUUUCCAUCAGUCUCCCACUUGCACUAGAGUCAAUAAUCAAGAUCACAUUGCCAUGUGAUUUAACAUCAAUAGUUCACAUCACCAUGUGAUUAACACCCAUAGUUCACAUCAUCAUGUGACCAACACCCAAAGGUUUUACUAGAGUCAAUAAUCUAGUUCACAUCGCUAUGUGAUUAACACUCAAAGAGUACUAAGGUGUGAUCAUGUUUUGCUUGUGAGAGAAAUUUAGUCAACGGGUCUGCCACAUUCAGAUCCGUAUGUAUUUUGCAAAUUUCUAUGUCUACAAUGCUUUGCACGGAGCUACUCUAGGUAAUUGCUCCCACUUUCAAUAUGUAUCCAGAUUGAGACUUAGAGUCAUCUGGAUCAGUGUCAAAACUUGCAUUUACGUAACCCUUUACGAUGAACCUUUUGUCACCUCCAUAAUCGAGAAACAUAUCCUUAUUCCACUAAGGAUAAUUUUGACCCUUGUCCAGUGAUCUACUCCUAGAUCACUAUUGUACUCCCUUGCCAAAAAUCAGGGCAGGGUAUACAAUGGGUCUGGUACACAGCAUGGCAUACUUUAUAGAACCUAUGGUUGAGGCAUAGGGAAUGACUUUCAUUCUCUCUCUAUCUUCUGCUGUGGUCGGGCUUUGAGUCUUACUCAACUUCACACCUUGGAACACAGGCAAGAACUCUUUCUUUGACUGUUCCAUUUUGAACUACUUCAAAAACUUGUCAAGGUAUGUACUCACUGAAAAAAAGUUAUCAAUCGUCUUGAUCUAUCUCUAUAGAUCUUGAUGCUCAAUAUGUAAGCAGCCUCACUGAGGUCUUUCUUUUAAAAACUCCUUUCAAAUACUCUUUUAUGCUUUCCAGAAAUUUCUACAUCAUUUCCGAUUGAUAAUAUGUCAUUCACAUAUACUUAUCAGAAAAGUUGUAGUGCUUCCACUCACUUUAUUGUAAAUACAGGCUUCACCACAAGUCUAUAUAAAACUAUAUGCUUUGAUCACACUAUCAAAGCGUACAUUCCAACUCCGAGAUGCUUGCACCAGUCCAUAAAUGGAUCGCUGGAGUUUGCACACUUUGUUAGCAUCCUUUGGAUCGAUAAAACCUUCAGGUUGCAUCAUAUACAACUCUUCUUCCAGAAAUCUUCAGGAAUGCAGUCUUUACAUCCAUUUGCCAAAUUUCAUAAUCAUAAAAUGCGGAAAUUGCUAACAUGAUUCGGACGGACUUAAGCAUCGCUACGGGUGAGAAAGUCUCAUCGUAGUCAACUCCUUGAACUUGUCGAAAACCUUUCGCAACAAGCCGAGCUUUGUCGGGUCAUAGGUGCGACAUAUGCCGACGGGUGGCUUAUCAUUGUGGGAGCCAGUAAGACAUCGCCGGUGCCUGGAAACGGGAUAAGGCGAAGACAUGCACGCCGAUGAAUCUUACCUAUGUUUGGGGCUCUCCGUGGAGAUAACACCCCUAGUCCUGCUCUACGGGGUCUCCGCAUGAUCACUAGAUCAACAAGUAGCUACAAGAGGCUCCUUGAGCUGUUUGGCUAGAGGAAGAAGAAGGGCAAGGCCAGCUCUCCUCUUCUCUCUAUGUGGUGUUUAAACCUCUGAGAGAUCAACCAUUUGCAUGGGUGCCCUAGGGGGUUUAUAUAGGCCUACCCCCAGGGGUACAACGAUAAUCUGGUUGGACAUGGGUCCAGGCCGUCAGUGUUUGUAGUCCCCGGCUUCUCCGUCGGCCGCUGGGGCCCGCCGACUGGUGGGCCCCGUCGGCUGCCGGCCUCUUGGCCAACAGGCUGGGCCCUGCUACUUCUUGAGCUUGCGUUGGUUUUCUUUGAAGAGGAAAGGGUGAUGCAGCAAUAGUAGCGUAAGCAUUUCCCUCAGUUUUUGAGAACCAAGGUAUCAAUCGAGUAGGAGGCUCCUCAAAAGUCCCACGCACCUACACAAACAAACCAAGAACUCACAACCAACGCCAUAAAGGGGUUGUCAAUCCCUUCACGGCCACUUGCGAAAGUGAGAUCUGAUAGAGAUAGUAUGAUAAGAUAAAUAUAUUUUUGGUAUUUUGUAAUAUAGAUGCAAAAAGUAAAGAUGCAAAUAAAAGUAGAUUGAAAGCUUAUAUAAUAAAAGAUAGACCCGGGGGGCAUAGGUUUCACUAGAGGCUUCUCUCAAGAUAGCAUAAGUAUUACGGUGGGUGAACAAAUUACUGUCGAGCAAUUGAUAGAAAAGCGAAUAAUUAUGAGAUUAUCUAGGCAUGAUCAUGUAUAUAGGCAUCACGUCCGCAACAAGUAGACCGACUCCUGCCUGCAUCUACUACUUUUACUCCACACAUCGACUGACUCCUGCCUGCAUCUAGAGUAUUAAGUUCAUAAAGAACAGAGUAACGCAUUAAGCAACAUGACAUGAUGUAGAGGGAUAAACUCAUGCAAUAUGAUAUAAACCCCAUCUUUUUAUCCUUGAUGGCAACAAUACAAUACGUGCCUUGCUGCCCCUGCUGUCACUGGGAAAGGACACUGCAAGAUUGAACCCAAAGCUAAGCACUUCUCCCAUUGCAAGAAAGAUCAAUCUAGUAGGCCAAACCAAUCUGAUAAUUCGAAGAGACUUGCAAAGAUAACUCAAUCAUACAUAAAAGAAUUCAAAGGAGAUUCAAAUAUUUCUCAUAGAUAAACUUGAUCAUAAACCCACAAUUCAUCGGAUCUCGACAAACACACCGCAAAAAGAGUUUACAUCGAAUAGAUCUCCACAAGAGAGGGGGAGAACAUUGUAUUGAGAUCCAAAAAGAGAGAAGAAUCCAUCUAGCUAAUAACUAUGGACCCAAAGGUCUAUGGUAAACUACUCACAACUCAUCGGAGGGGCUAUGGUGUUGAUGUAGAAGCCCUCCGUGGUCGAUUCCCCCUCCAGCGGAGCACCGGCGAAGGCUCCAAGAUGGGAUCUCACGGAUACGGAAGGUUACGGUGGUGCAAAUUGUGCUUCGUUGGCUCCCUGGAUGUUUUCAGGGUACGUAGGCUUAUAUAGGAGGAAGAAGUACGUCGGUGGCCGCCCGAGGGGCCCACGAGAUAGGGAGGCGCGCCCAGAGGGGGUGGGUGCGCCCUCCUGUCUUGUGGCCGCCUCGGCUGCUUCUUGACUUGCACUCCAAGUCCUCUGGAUCAUGUUCGUUCCAAAAAUGACGCUCCCGAAGGUUUCAUUCUGUUUGGACUCCAUUUGAUAUUCCUUUUCUUUGAAAUACUGAAAUAGGCAAAAAAACAACAAUACGGGCUGGGCCUCCAGUUAGUAGGUUAGUCUCAAAAAUGAUAUAGAUGUAUAAAAUAAAGCCCAUAAACAUCCAAAAGGGGUAAUAUAAUAGCAUGGAACAAUCAAAAAUUAUAGAUACGUUGGAGACGUAUCAGACCCACCACCGGGGGUCUUGUCGGCUGCUGGUUGCUGUAGCCUUACUCUUGGUGACGAUGGCUUCAUCGGGGUAAGCAUGGCUACAGUGCCGCCGCCUGGCGGGCGUUCACUGUAGCCUUACCCCAUCUUGUCUGCUUAAUGGUGCACAGACUUCUAGGAUGGGGGGCUGGCCGCCUGCUAGGAGCCAGCCUCCCCUCAGGCCGACUGGUCAAGCUCGACCGCCUUCUGGUGUCUCUCUGGCAGGAGGGGCCUGCCGCCUGCGCGCCGUACUGACAGCCCGUCGUGGAUGGUGUCAGUGGCGAAUCUAGAGAAAAAACGGAGGGUGGGCUCAAAGUUUAAGCCGAGAAAAUCGAAUGCUCUUUUGAAGAAAAAGCUGCUUAUCUCCUAGUCCUUUUGUACAAAUAAACUGAAACUUUCCCAGAUUAAUACUGGAAACACAUACUAUUUACUAGAAUUUUUUGGAUUUUUUAGAAAAUAUCAAAUUUUGAACCAAAUUUUGAAUCAGGUGACUAAAAUGGCCAUUAUCUCAUAAUCCUCUUGGCCAAAUAAGCUCAAAAUUUCCCAGCCUACUACUGGAAGCAUUUAGUAUUUACUAAUUUUUUUCUGGAAUUUUGAAAGAAAAAUGGUUUUACCAAUUUAUAGAGACAAUAUGUGCCAAACAGUGCUCAAAUGGACAUGAUUCUCAAGACAAAUACUAGUAGCAUGAUUGAACAACAGCAAAGUUUCAUACAAUCUGCACACCAAUACAUCAAGUACUAGAGAAUCAACCAUAAUAAGGCAAAGACAAGAUACCGGUGUUGCUUCUUACUAGCAAUAUUGUAGUUGUAGAACUCCUCCACACCAAAAUGCAAGUGACAAACUACAAGCCAUCUGUCCAAAUUGGCACAAAUGUUAGUGAUAUGGUAAAGUACCCUCAACUAACUAUCGACACUAGUACUAAAACAGAGAUAUACCUCUAAGAAAUAACAUCAUACUCAAGAGGCAAAUGUCCUUUGUGAUUUUUCUUUUUCUGAAAUCAUAUCAUAAUUUGAUCAUCUGGAAUACUUUUGAAUAUCCUUUUCUCACAGUAGCAUACCAUUAAAUCAUUGUGCCAAUCAUCGGAUAUCUUAUUGUGUAAAUCGGUUUUGAUGACCUUCAUUGCUGAAAAUAUUCGCUCGACCGACGAAGUUGCCACUGGAAGAAUCAAUGUCAACUGGAUAAGGCGAUAUACCAAUUGGAAAGUUCUAUGUUUCAUUGUUUGAACCAUCAAACGAGCAAGAGUAGAAAUAGCCGGACAUCCAUUAAAUUCCUCACUUCUCCUAAUAUUUGUAAGGAAUGUUGGAAGCUCGUAUCUUAGCAACAACCGUUCAGCUUGUGUAAAAUCUUCAACAUAAAUUUCAGCAAGCCGAAUAAGUUUCUCAUCAUUAAACUUUGAGAAGUUGUUAGCUGGAUUAAGACAAUACAUGCAAUCCACUAACUCGGUGUUAACUUCAUUGAAUCAGCGGUUCAUCUCAGUGAGAGUUGCAUCAAUCGCAACAUUGAAUAUGCUCACCCUGAAAUAAUGAUCUCGAGUCACCUUAUUCUUGCUUCGAGCAGAUUGCCCCAUAGCUCCAACAAGAUCAUCCAUAUUUGGCACGUCAAUGCCAUGUUCCUCACAAAAGUGUUUUGCUUGUUUGCAUAAUGGCUCAUACCCAUUGUCCCUCAUAGUUUGCAAAGCUUCUUUCACAUCCAAGAUCAAACGCAUGGCUUCAACAACAUCUUGAUUCUUCCUUUGCAAAGCUUGUGAUAGCAUAUUUGUGAUGUUCAACAAGUUUAUUAAGAAUAUCAUGAUGAACACAAAUUGGAAGCACUCCAUCUGUACCAACAAACCUGAAGCUCCACCUUGAGAAGUGUGUUCCCGGGCAUCCUCAAUCACAAUUGCAAGCACAUCCACCACUGCAUUCCACAUUGUGUAAACACGAAGCAAGGUUCUAAGAUGUGAGCCCCAACGAGUAGCUCCUGGUCUAGCUAGGUUAGUUUCUUGAUGUAAACCAGUUCCAGAUGAUAUCUUACAAUUCUCCAUCAUCUCUAUCAAGUCAUCUUGAUGCUUUGCAAGUAAUACAUCUUUUCUUUUGCAGGAUGAACCCACCUGAGUCACUAUCAAGGGAAGAAAGUUGAAAAAAUCAGCAAUAACCGGACAACAUUGAGCCACUGUGACAACCACUAGUUGCAACUGAUGGGCAAAACAGUGAACAUAGAAAGCAUAUGGACUCUCAUCACGAAUUAGCUUCUGCAAACCAUUGAAUUCUCCUCUCAUGUUUGAAGCCCCAUCAUAACCCUGUCCAUGUAGCCUAUUAAUAGACAAGCCAUGGUACUUUAAGACAUGAAACAAUGCUUCUUUAAUUCCGGCAGAUGUGCAAUCUGUGAUGUGCUUAAUAGCAAGAAAUCUCUCCUGAAGCUCCCCAUUAUCAUCCAAAAAUCUGCACAUUUGGAGAGCUACAAGUUAUAAGAAAAGAAACAAAUAACAACAUAAAAUAAAAGAAUUAGCCUUUGUAAACCAUUGAACUACCUCAAAAUUAUUGCCAUUUGCUCCUUUAUUGAGCAAUCUCUAGCCUCAUCAACAAGUAUCGCAAAAUUCUUAUCUCCAAGCUCAUUCUUGAUGACUUUGGUUACCUCCAAAGCACAACAUGUAGCAAGGUCCUUUUGAAUCUAUGAACAUAUCAUAAGAGCAUUACCUUGACCAUUGUCAAAUGCAUCUUUCACAUCUUUAUUCCUGUCUUUGUACCAAUCCAAGAACUCCCUGAAAUUGCCUUUGUUUACGGAAUCGGAGGACUCAUCAUGUCCACGAAAAGCUUCCCCUUGAGCUAUGAGAUACCUUGCACAAUCUAAUGAUGCGGUCAAACGGAUUUUAUAUUUUAUUUCAGAUUCUUUAGUAUGUGCUCCGAAUUUGGUAGCCACAUUGGCCCUUUGAUUCUUGAAAUCAUCACACAAGCCUCUAGCAAUGUUGUGGUAACUAGAUGGACCACCAACAUGUUUUUGAAAACUUGCCAAAGCUGUUUUCCAGCGUUUGUAACCAUCUAUGGUAAAUACAUCAUUCCAAAUGUAGCAGCCUGUGAUGGUUUCUUGAAAAGAAAACAAGGGAAGCAAAAGGCAACCUCCUUUGCGACACUAUAUUCCAACCAAUCAAACCUAUCUAGCCAUUGUGGUUGAAAAAAUCUCCAAAUUUUACCGUCCAAUGUGACUUCAAAUUUAUGCCCACUUGCUUUGUUUUGCUCUUUCAACAAAUAAGCUCUUCUCACUUCACUUCGAAUUUCAGGGGCGUAAUCUUCUAUUGGUAUUCGAUCCGCCGGAUCACCAAAAAUCUGACUUGGAUGAAAUUCUAAUAUAUAUUGUGUUGGUGGUGCUGGUUGGUUUGUGCUCUCAUCGGUUGGGGGAUUGGUUCUCUCAUUUGAAGUGGGAUUGGUGCUCUCAUCAACCGGGGGAUUAGUGCUCUCAUUUGUUGGAUCAUCCGAGAUUAUGUUCUCUAUGAGGGUAGGCUGAACAAUAACAUUAAUUGGGGCAACACUGGAUUCAGGAACAAUAGGAAGUGUAUUUGAACUACUUGCAAACCAACUAUGCAGAGUCCUCUUUCUCUUCAUUUCUAUAAAAAAAUAUACAAGGAAAUAAAUUAGUUCAUGAAUUAAUUGUUACUACAACCAGUACUGACUAGAUCCAAACUACGUACUGACUAGAAUUAACUAAACUAGCAACUGCUAUCAACUAAACUAAGAAGAAUCAAACAAAGUCAGACAGAGACAACAGACAACCUAUUUCGAAUUGCUCUGGACCGGGAUUCUGGUGUCCGGCGUCCGGCAACCUGUAGAGAGGCGUCCGGCGUCCAGUGGGGAGUCGGCGGAUCCGGCGACCUGCAGAAAGCCCUGGGCGUCGUGGGCGACGAGCUCCCCGGCAGGUGCAGCCCGGUUCCCCCCGUGGCCCCGUCCCUUGUGCAGGCUCGGGCGCUCGGCUGAUAACGGCGUCCGGCGGGGAGGCGGCGCUCGGCGAGGAUGCAGCGAGGGCGAGGAGGCGGGGAGGCGGCGCCGGACUAGGAGGUGGCGUCUAGGGGCCGGCGGCUAGGUUAUUGGGUGGCUGCUGCUCGUGCGCCUGAUGUGCUUCGUGCGCGUGCGAGCGUGCGGGAGGCUGGGUUAGUCACCGAUUCUUAGAUGGGAUGCCUGCUGGACCGUUUUUUCUGGGCUGGGCCUAAGAAAUAUUUUGAAGCGUAGUAGUAAAAAAAAUCCGCGAAUUUGGAGGGUAGGCUCAAGCCUAUCGAAGCCUGCCUGGUGAACUCGCCACUGGAUGGUGUCAUGGUCAACGUGGCAAUAGUGUCGUGCCAGACGGGGAGUGGCGGCCCCGUACGGUGCACUGUGGCCACACUUGCUCUGGGAUUCGGGGGUGGCAGACUUCACUCUAGCCAUGCCCCGUCUCAUCGCUGUUAUGUGGGUGCAAACUUUGAGGGUAUGAACCAGGCCACCUGCUAGGAGCCGGCCCUCUAGUGGCCGGCUGCUAGGAAUUGGCCCUCUUCGAGAGAGAUCUUAGAGCCUUUCCACCUUCCAGCAGCCGGCCGGUGGGACAGCCGGCCUGGAGAAGGCGGCUCUGCAUCUUGGACGUUUGAGGGCUCAGUCGGCCCGAUAUUUUUUGAAGUGCCAAGGGGAGCUGGUUGGGCUACCCGUGGUCAUUUACUUCGACAGUAGUCCCCGGAGCUGGUCGGGCUUCGCGGCUAAAACAGGGACGAGAAGCCCAAGCAGCUUCCUAUCUUGAAGAGCCGGCGUCUAGGAGCCGGCCUUGAACAGUCACGCCGUCUGGAAAGAUUUGGGGUCUGAAGGCGGGAACCAGCUGGCGCGCAUGCCGGGGAGUGGGAGAUCUCGUCGGCGCUUGUCGGGGAUAUACCCCGCGGCGUAAACCGGUCGGAAGUAUAACCGGACUAGACUUGGCGGUUUACUUGACACCCAGCUGAUACUUGGCGAUUCACUAGGCGACCCGCCCUGACCUGGCAGUUUACAAGCAACCCGCCUGGUCAUUAUGACUCACUGGUGACCCGGCGGGCGGGUCAGACGGAUGACAAGGCCCAAGGCCCAGAAGGCCGGUUCAUCUUAAUGGUUGUCUGUUUAAGAGGAAGACAUAAGGAAUAUUCUCCUGAGGAAGCAAGUCUAGGAUUCCACUUGUAAUAGAGUAAUCUUAAUCCUAAUAGGACUCCACAUGUAACCCGCCCCUUCAACUUAUAUAAGGAGGGGCAGGGCACCCCAAAGAGGGACAAGAAAGAAGAAACAAUCUCUAGGGCUAGACACAAAGAGCCGGUUUACGGCGACUCCCUCGUGAUGAUAAUGAGACCUAGCCAUAAACAGCAUGUAGGGCUAUUACUGGAUGAUGUUUUCCGGGGCCCGAAGCUGUCUAAAUCCUUGUCUUGUGUUGCGUCUCUGGAUUCCGCUCAACCCCUCUCAAGCUACCACAUAGAUGCGUUGACCUCACGACUAAGUCCUCACACUAAGGACAUGUGACGUGUUAAUUCCACGACAGUUGGCACCCACCGUGGGGCUCGCGCACGAUGGUGUUGAGUUCUUGGAGGACGCUAUCCCAGGUAUCGAGAAGCUCCGCCCAGCUUAUUAUAGAAGUUUCGGUCGGCUUGUCGGAGAGUUCCAGCUGGCUCACCGAAAAAGUUCCGACCGCCUCGAUGAAAGGUUCCGUCUAAAUCGCCGAAAGAGUUCCGACCGCCUUGACAAAAGGUUCCGUCUGAAUCGGCGAAAAGUUCCGACCGCCUCGACGAAAAGUUUCAUCUGAAUCGGCAAAAAAGUUUCGACCGCCUCGAUGAAAGGAUCCGUCUAAAUCGCCGAAAGAGUUCCGACCGCCUCGACGAAAGGUUCCGUUUGAAUCGGCGAAAAGUUCCGGCCGCCUCGACGAAAGGUUCUGUCUGAAUCAGCAAAAAAGUUCCGACCGCCUCGAUAGAAGGUUCCGUCCGAAUCGCCCAAGAGUUCCAGCCGAAUCACCAAAAGGUUCCGUCCGAGUCGCCAAAGGGUUCCGACUUAGGUUGAAAAAAAAGUUCCGGACGGAUUAUCAAAAAGUUCCGGGUCCAGAAGUUCCGGCUCAAAAAAUUUCGGCCGGGUUAUCAAGAGGUUCUGGUUCAUAAGUUCUGGAUUAUCAAAAAGUCCCGGCCGGAUUAUCCAGAGGUUCCGGAUCAAAAAGUUCCGGAUUAACAAAAAGUUUCGGUUCAGGGUCAUCUAUUGUUACUGGCAGUAAUAAUAUGCCCAUCCAUGACUGGCGUUCAGAUGCAUCAGGUGAUAUUUGUCUAACUUUAUUUUAUUAACAUAUAUUAUUUUUUUGUCAAAGAACAGUUUAUCUUUGUCUUGGUGUGCAACAUUGUUGAUGCAGGACAAUUGUUCACUACAUCAAAACGACGUGGUUAACUCGCCCGUCCACGCUGGUUUACAACACCGCGGCCGGUUCAUCUGUUUGAGCCACCUUUGAUGCGGAGGUCAUCUUUUCCGUCCGCCUCUCUCGGCCCGGUCUACAUCAACACACCGGGCCACACCUGUCUGCAUGAGGUGUUUAUUGAGUAUGAGCAAGUCACAGCUUGGGUAGCCUGGUUUUUCUUUCAACAAAAUGGAGGCAAAUUAUCAUAUACUAUCAGCCGCCGUCUAUGCUGGGUGGCUCAAUGGGCAGGCACACAAGUCGCCGCCACUACAGUUUGGUUAACUUCAAAUCGUCAGUUGGAAGGAACCAUUGGCCGAGUUGCUAACACGGCUCAUACGGGAUCAUUUAUAACCCGCCGCAGUCACCUCAACCUUCUGUGGAUUCACAUCGUGCUAUCAAUACCAAAUGAUAUACAAGUUAUGCCGAUUUAUAUCACGGUCAAAUAUGGAAGAGUCUCAAGCCAACUCCUAGAGUCACCUUUGAGACUCGGGGGCUAUGAUGACAUGACUCAGCAAAUCUUGCCAGUUUCAGCAAAUUUAAGAACCCUAGAACGAUGGAGGAAAAGAUAACCCGGUCCCGGAGGUUUCUGUUAUAUUGAUGGAAAUUUAAAGGCCGUCAGAAAAUUUCCGGCUUAGAAAGUAUAUGACAGUUACAAAAUUCUGGCUCAAUGAAGAAGUUCCGGGUCAUCAGAAAUGACUCCGGUUUAAAAUCCGGCUCAAGGGAAGUCAGUCUCACUGAAGCUCUCAAUAUCCGGUUUACCAUCCGGUUCAAGAGAAAUCUAUUCUCCCACAAAGCUCUGAAGCUCUCAAAUCCGGUUUAAAAAUGUCCGGUUCAAAACGGAAUUAACUUCUCGCAAAUUCGAGUUUAAAGGCCGUCAGAAAAUUUUCGGCUGAAAAUGAAGAUUCUGGUUUAAAAUCCGGUUCAAGGGAAAGAUGUCUCCCACAAAGCUUUGAAGCUCUCAAUAUCCGGUUCAAAAUCCCGCUUCAAGAAGAAUUUAUCUGUUGCAAAAAGUUAAAAGGUUGCUGAAGAGGACCUGUUGCCAUGAUGCGCGGUUCAAACAUGGGUAUCCUUCCUUAUUGGCUUAUCAUAUUAUUUAUCAUGUGGGGGCUUCUGCUUACAAAGCGACGUCCUGUUUUAUCCAUUAAACCGGCUACCAUGCCACAAUACAGCUUGGGAGCUUCACACCCAAGGGGCCAAAGAGAGUAUUGUUGCUAAAAGCACAACUCAAACAUAGGCACCCAUUGAGCACAGCUCACAAAGUUACUUGGGGGCUCUUUGUGCAACACAACAAAGAGUUUGAAAGGACCCUUGUAAUUGGGUAUCGACCCACAGCUUGGAAGCCUGAUGUAUUCACCUAAAACCCCAGGUUAACCUGCCUUCAUCAAGUAAGCCACUCCUAUCCAGGUAAUCCUGUCAUGACCCGCUGAACGUUUGACAAGUUACUCUUAUACAGACCCUGAACUUGUCAAAGUUAAAACGACGAUUGGUUAGUUGGAGGCCCAUCUUAAAAGGCUUUGUCAAAUGGUUUAACUCAGCGGCCUGGCAGCCCAUGAAAAGCCUCGAAUUUGGGCCUGACAGCCCUUGAAAAGCCUCGACUACAUGGUUUUAUUUGCCUUUGUCAAGAUUUUUCUCUUUUGAUAAAUUCUAUGUUGAACCGGUGUCUAUUGACCCAGCAUGACUAUCAGUCAUCAAAUUAACCCGGUGUUCAUUAACUCGUCUCGACUUUCAACUACAAGUUGUCAGUACAUAAUCAUUUAUAAUCCGGUGUUUGUUAACCCGACCUGGCUUUGGACUAUAAGUCGCUAGUAUAUAUUUGGAUUUCACCAUUGGAAUCAUGCGCUUAUAAAUCAUUGGGUAUAUUAUUCAAGUCUUUAAUAGCCAACAUGGCUGGAUUUUUAUUAUGGUUAUCAAUAACCAGUAUUAUGAUUAAGGUUUUCAAAGACGCUUUAGCGCAAUGGCUAUCAUAUUAUCAAUGGAUAUGAUUUAUUCUACAAUUGAAGGAAUAGUCCCGAGUCGCUGCAGGCUUACGACCCGGCACUUGGGGGCUACAUUAUUUCAGUUGAGAUUACAUCAAAUAUACAAGUCUCAUGUCGCUGCAAGCAUGCACCAUGACACUUGGGGGCUAAUGCAAAGUCAUUUUUUGCUCAUCUUAUUGAAGACCCGAUUCAUCACAUUAUAAUGAGCCAGCCCUUGGGGGCUAACAAUUGCUCCUAUCAAUGAUUCAAGGUACAUAAGUUUUAAUCUAUUAUAUUCAAGGGUCCACUGCUCAGUUGGUAAAGCACAAAGCUCUUAACUUUGUGGACGUGGAUUUAAGCCCCAUGGUGGAGUUACACCAUAUGACUUUAUUAUUCAAUGAAGCAUGAUCAUAUUUAUAAAGUCCCUGCUCAUUAUUGCAUAAUGACCCGGCCCUUGGGGGCUACACUGGUUGAAGUUUUUAUGAGUAUAAGACAAUUACAAGUCCCAGGUUGCGGCAAGCAUGACAACCCGGCACUUGGGGGCUACAUAAUAUGGAGUAUUCAGUUUUUACUAAGUGACUGGGAUGAACAACAUGGAUUUCUUCUUAAGUGGCAGUAUUUAUAUUGAAGCAAGUCUUAAGCCAUCACUUUGUUCUGCUCAAGACUUGGGGGCUACAUGUAAUAUAAAUAUAAGGGAGAAAGAUCUUCAAAUUCUCAGUUUUGAAUAAACCAGAUUGACCCGGUGUCUGCAACAAUCAUAACCCGGCGUCAUGAACCGGCGUUGGCAACAAUCAUGGCCCGGAAUUAUCAGUUUUUGUAACCCGACAAUGGUGGUAAUCAUAAACCGGCAAGUUUUACUUCUUCAAGCCGGCUGGAUAUCAGUUGAAUAUUCAGAGACUAAUAUUUUUGUCAAAUCAGAGCAUUGAAGGCCGGUUCAAAUGGAUUCUUUAUUUACAAAAUAUCUUCUGCAAGCAAAUUGAUUAUGAAGCUGGUCUAUUGACUCGGAUUUUUCAGAAGGAAGAAAUGACAAAGAUUUCAGGAUGAUCAAGUGCUGGUUUAUAAGAGUAUUUAAACCGGAGCACAACCCGACAAAUUUGUUCUUGUGUUUAUGUUGCAGAUCAGUUUAACAUGGAUGAAUCCAAAUUAAACUAGGGGCUAAUGUCGGGGAUAUACCCCGCGGCAUAAACCGGUCGGAAGUAUAACCUGGCCGGACUUGGCGGUUUACUUGAGACCCAGCUGAUACUUGGCGAUUCACUAGGCGACCCGCCCUGACCUGGCGGUUUACAAGCAACCCGCUUGGUCAUUAUGACUCACUGGUGACCCGGCGGGCGGGUCAGACGGAUGACAAGGCCCAAGGCCAAGAAGGCCGGUUCAUGUUAAUGGUUGUCCGGUUUAAGAGGAAGACAUAAGGAAUAUUCUCCUAAGGAAGCAAGUCUAGGAUUCCACUUGUAAUAGAGUAAUCUUAAUCCUAAUAGGACUCCACAUGUAACCCGCCCCUUCAACUUAUAUAAGGAGGGGCAGGGCACCCCAAAGAGGGACAAGAAAGAAGAAACAACCUCUAGGGCUAGACACAAAGAGCCGGUUUAUGGCGACUCCCUCAUGAUGAUAAUGAGACCUAGCCACAAACAACAUGUAGGGCUAUUACCGGAUGAUGUUUCCCGGGGCCCGAAGCUGUCUAAACCCUUGUCUUCUGUUGCGUCUCUCGAUUCCGCUCAACCCCUCUCAAGCUACCACAUAGAUGCGUUGGCCUCGCGACUAAGUCCUCACACUAAGGACAUCUGACGUGUUAAUUCCACGACAGCGCUAGAGGAGGGCGAGAGGGUCACCUUAUGAUUGCACUGCUUGCACGGCCUCGGCCUGCCGGCGAGCGGCUUCUUCCGGGCCUUCCUCGAGUUCUACAACCUCCAGCCGCACCACCUCACCCCGAACACGGGGGUGAUGUUGUCCGCCUUCGUCACUCUGUGCAAAGGCUUCCUCGGCGUCCUCCCCACCAUCAAGCUCUGGGGGGAAUUCUUCUACUCCAAGCUCGGCACCGUCGUCAAGAGCGUGUAGGCUCAAUGUGGCGCCUUCGUCGUGGUGCGGAGGCCAGCGGCCGACAAUCCAUUUCCUCCCAUCGCGCUGAUCCAGUCGGUGAAGAUGUGGCAGUAGUCGUACUUCUAUGUGAAGAGCGACUUCGCGGAGGGCGACUGGGUCAACCUGCCGGCUUACAUAGCUGGCCCACCGGCUGGGAAGCGGCCCAACUGGUCGUAUCGGGCCAGGACGCUGUCGCCUUCUGGAGCCGACGUCAUCACGCGGCUCCGAGUGUUGAUAAAGUCAGAGGGCUAACCGGGCCCGACUUGCUGACAGCCUUCAUGGCGCGCUGGGUGCUCCCGCUCCAGGGCCGCCCUCACAUGAUCUGUCAGAUGAGCGGGCAUCAAGAGCCAAGACGGCUGUGCACCAAGGAGAUGCCUCACACAGAGGUAGCUCAUAUGAUGAACUACCUUUCGAACUGCAAGCUCACGGAGGAGUGGCGGUUCGUCAAGGAGCUGUAUUCACGCGCUGACCCCCCGCCUAUGGUAAGUUUCCUUUUCUUCUCUUUUUUCUUCUGUUGCCGAGUUCCACUUGGCCGACUCGACCAAUCGGCUUAUGGAACAGAGCCACCUCCUCCAGCCGGCAGACGGUGCCACGGGGCUAGAGCGUCAAUUUCUCUCCGACCGGGCGGAGAGCGAUGUGGACAACCCCGACUUGGGGGCGGGCGCCUUGGACGAUGACGCCGUGGGAGGAGGCAGCGACGCAGGCGGCUCAGGGCUCGGAGCCGGCCUCGAGGACUGGCCAGACGACGACUCGGGAGAAGUCUCCCCAUGCCGCCAGCGGGCGUCCAACCAGCAGGGCGCGAGCUCGUCUGCCACGCCGGCUGCCCGAGGCGGCGCGCAGAAGCGCCGGGCCGCGCCAAUCCUGUUCGGCAGCCGGCCGAAGAAGCCCAAGGGCUCAACUGCGGUGACCAAGCGGGAUGAAGCGGCCGCGAAGGCCACCCGCUUCCGCAAGGUGGUGAAGGAGCCACAAAUGGUUUCCGCGUAAGUACCAACUCCCUCACGCAUUUUUUCUUCCUUCAUGCCAAUAUUCUUCUGAUUUUCCUUUGUCUUGUAUAACGCAGAGCUCCGCUUUCUCUCGAGCGGUCUAUCGCCGCGUCCGUGGCUGGGGAGGAGGGAGGCUCCACUAGCGCCCACCGCGUGGACCCUCGCGCCGAGCUUCAGGCGGCGACGGAGCAGAACGCGCGCGAGGAGUAGGAGGCGGAGCAGCAGAGGGCGGCUGCCGCCAAGGCAGCGCAGGAGGAGGCAGAGGAGACGGCGAGGGUGCCGGCUGACGCGGCGGCCAAGGCCCGGGCGGACGCUGCAGCCACGGCGCAGGCGGAGGAAACCUUGCGCAACCAGCCUGCACAGCUCGUCAUCCCCCUCCGCUCCGUGCCGCUGGAGAUCCUGGUGGUGCCACCAGAGGGAGCCGGCGGUGACCAGCCGGCAAUGGAGAGGGAGGAGGGCGACGUCGUCGCCCCGGAGAAGGAGGCGGCCCCAUCAGUGCCGACUGCAGCGGAGCAAGGCAGGCAACCCAGCGCACCUCCUAUGCCGUCGGCUAGAGGCAAGCCGGCUGCGAGGGAGGACCUCGUGGUCCAAUCUCUGGCAUGCCAGCGCGCACGGAAGGCAACUUAUGCGCCGGAUCCGUAGAAGGCCGAGGGCUCAAGCUCGUCGGCCCAUCAGCUGGAGACGGCGAGCGUCAGCUCGCUGAGGUGGACGCCGGGUGGCGGGACUGCCGUGCUGAACGCGGCGGCGCAAGACGUCCGGAAUCGGCUUUAGUCUCAGGACGCCUUCCUGAAGAACUACAAUCAGGAGUUCCUGGCGACGCGGUCAGCCAUCCGGGUAAGCUUCUCGCUUUUUUGCUUUUCAUUCUUGCAUUCUUCCGUGGGGGCGCGUCAACACACCCACUGGGUGUAGUUCCCGAGUUCCGUGUUGGCUGCUGAGCAGGCGGCUUGGAACUUCUUAGAACUUGUCAUUAUUUGUUCGCCUGUCCCUUUUGCAGGACUAUCAUAACCUCCGUGCGGCCGCCUUCAACUCCUAGGUCUGGGAGCUGACUCAGAAGACCGCCGACUUGUCCGAGAGCCAGAGUAAGUGUUCUAUCUUCUAUCUCUCGUGGGGGUGCAUCAGCGCACCCACUGAGUGUAGUCCCCGAGAUUCAGGCCGACUGCUGAGCAGUCGGGCCGGAUCUUCUCUAGCGACUUCUUUCUCAAUGUUGAUUCUUCUUUGCCGUCUUUGCAGAGGCCAAUGCCAACCUGCGGCGGCAACUUGGGGAGGCCCAGACCACCCUGUGUGCCAAGGAGGCCGAGUACAGCGUUGCGGUUCAGGAGCGCGACCGCCUGGCCGAGAAGUUGGCCGACCAGGAGGAGAGCUACAAGGCGGCCCUGAAGGCAAUGAAGGAUAGCGAGGCCGCCCUCCAAGUCGAGUAUGAAACCGAAGCGGGGAGCUGGGCCGGGUCAAAGCAGGUGCUGAAUGAUGGCUAUAGUCAUAUUGAAGACAUGGUUGACGGUAAGCCGCCUUCCCCUUCGUCCCUUUGUUUGUCGCUUGCUGCUUGGUCCAAUUUCUGACUUUGCAUUUUUCUUUUCUUUUCUUUUCUUCUUCGUGUAGAGUACUUCCCCGGCUACUCCGUUGCCGCCAGCCAAGUCAUCGAGGCCCACCGCGACGUGCAGAGGCAGGCUGGUGCAGAGAUCACGCCGGACGCUCGAGGAGCAGCUUUUGGCCAUCCAGGCCCGUCUUCAGCCGGCUCACCGCAUGAUCUGCCGCCUUCAGCGCGUUGGAGCCCAGGUGCUUUCCGCCCUCUGGCCUGGCGAAGUGAUUCCCCGCACCCCCAGUCGGACUGCUGACUGGCUGGAGGUGGUGGCUAGCCGCCUUAAGGCUUGGAAGGCUUCUGGAGCCCGGGCAGGCGCCAGGCGGGCGGUGGAGUUCGUCCAAGCAUGGUAUCCCGGGCUGGACUUGUCCCAGCUGACCACGUUUCGGCAGGAGGCCAAUGAAGAGCUGGAGGCGGUGCGGACGGCUAUCAUCCAGCGUGCCUCGGCGAUCGCCGAGUACACCGACACCAGCGUCUUCGUCCCCGAACUGAACGAUGAUGGCGCUGCUCUGCGGGAGGAGUGGUUUGGGCUGAACCCGACGGAUGGUGAAGACUCAGCGGAGGAGAUCGACUCCAGCGACGAGGGUGAAGAGGAGGAGGAAGAGGACAGUGAAGACGCCGCGCCGGAUGGUGGAGCAGCCAACCAGCCUCAGCCUGAUCGUGCCUCCAGCAAUGAGGCACGUGCGACCAUGCAGCCUGCCACUGGUGAUGAUCAAGCCGAGACUCGCCAGCCGGCCACUCCUCCAGCCAGCACCGCCGUCUCCACAGACUUGCCUAGCUCGCCCGUUGCACCCUUGGCCUGAGCCGCCAUCUUUAUCUUUGUCUUCCUGCUCGUUAAGUCUUUUGAACAAUACUUGUUAAAUUCGCAUAGUUCCACCCACUGGGGGUGUAUUCAGACUAAGUUGAAUGCCGGCCCUCGAAGGCCUUUUGUGUAAAUAUAAUCUUGCAUGUGUUUGACUUCCGACUGAGCUUGCUUUACAUCUUUUUGUGGCUGUUUCCUUUGCCGCCCUCCCUUGGUCGCCGCCUUCCCAGCCGGACAGCUGCUCUGUAGUCUGUGGCUGGGAAAGUUGGCCGUGUGGGAGGGCAAGUACUUUAUCUCUCUUAGAUUGCCGCAAGGUGAGUGGGAAGCCGUCCAGCCGGCUGCUUAACAGCCGGUUGGCAGGGUGGGAAGCCGGCUUGUGUUAUGUAAGCCCAUUGGUCCUUAGCCGUUUUUCAUUGGGCAUCUUUUCCUGCCUUUAACUCUUGCAAGUCAAACAGUCGAUUCUGCGAGCUGCGACUUUUGGCAAGAGAGGGCUUAGGUACAGGCACACUACUUGUGUGACUGCAGGUGGUACUUAACAUAAUUCAAGGCAGCAAGUCCCAGGGCCGACUGGUCGAACCCGGUGCCGGACAGAAGAACAAAUGUAGUAAUACAUUCAUAGGCAUGAUACUCAUCAUAUAGAUAAAAGAGGGUAGUCCCCGACUGCUCCUCAGAGGGCCCGAUGUCUUGUACUUAAUAUAAAAGAUAGCAUGGUACAUACUACAUUUUAACUGUAAAAUCUUCAGAGGAGAUCGGUGUUCCAUGGUCGUUCCGACUCCUUUCCGGAAUCAACUCUCUUGCGUGCCUUGGGAUUCUGUGCAUCGAUCAGGUAGUAGGAGUCGUUGCCCAAAGCCUUGCUGAUGAUGAAGGGGCCUUCCCAAGGGGUCGAGAGCUUGUGCUGGCCGGCUGUUCGCUGGACCAGCCAGAGCACAAGGUCGCCCUCUUGGAAGGAUCUUGGCUUGACCUUCCGGUUGUGGUAACGACGCAAGCCCUGCUGGUAGAUGGCAGACCGGCUGAGUGCUAACAGUCGGCCCUCUUCCAGCAGGUCAACACCGUCUUCUCGCGCUUCCUUUGCCUCCGCUUCCGUGUACACGGUGACUCGAGGUGAGUUGAACUCGAUGUCAGUUGGGAUGAUAGCCUCGGUACCAUACACAAGGAAGAAUGGAGUGAAACCGAUUGACUUGUUCGGGGUGGUACGCAAGCUCCAGAGGACGACUGGCAGCUCCUCGAGCCAGUAGCCGGCCAAGCACUCCAAUGGCUCGACCAGUCGGGGCUUGAUGCCGGACAUGAUGAGGCCGUUUGCUCGCUCGACUUGGCCAUUUGACUGCGGAUGGGCAACGGACGCUAAGUCCAGUCGGAUGCCCUAUGUCGCGCAGAAACGUGCCAAUGCUCCUUUGGCAAAAUUCGUGCCGUUGUCGGUGAUGAUGUUGUGUGGUAUGCCAUACCGGGUGGUGAUGUCUGCGAUGAAUGUCACAGCAGUCGGCCCAUUCAACUUAUUGAUUGGCUUCGCUUCAAUCCACUUGGUGAACUUGUCUAUGGCAACAAGCAGGUGUGUCAUGCCACCUCAUGCUAUCUUGAAUGGGCCCACCAUAUCCAACUCCCAGACGGCGAAAGGCCAGGUGAGGGGGAUGGUCUUGAGUGCAGAAGCCGGUAGGUGUUGCUUUGAGCUGAAAACUUGGCACCCUUUGCAGUGUUUGACCAACUCUUUGGCGUCUUCCAAAGCAGUCGGCCAGAACAAACCAUGACGGAAGGCUUUGGCGACGAUUGAUAUUGAGGCCGCGUGGUGGCCGCACUCGCCUUGAUGGGUGUCUUUGAGGAUUGCAAUGCCCUUCUCUGGCUCGAUGCAGCGCUGGAAGACUCCAGUGACACUACGCCUCAUGAGCUCUCUGUUCACUAUUGUGUAUGCUCCGGCUCGGCGUUGAACUUGUCUUGCCAAGAUCUCGUUAGUCGGCAGCUCUUUGUUCACCAGAAAGUUGAGGAUGGGCUGGGCCCAUGAUGGAGAUGCGACCUCUUCUAUUGCCAACACAGCUACUGUGACCAGGGUGGGUGGGUUGGGUGGUGAAGAGUUGGAGUUGGCCACCGCCUGCUGUGUCAUUGUAGUCCCCGGGCCGACUGUUGCAGUCCCCGGGCCGGGUUCUAAAGUCCCCGAGCCGGGUGCGGCUACAGUAGUCCCUGAGCCGCCUGCCGAAGUCCCCGAGCCGCCUGCUGAGUUCCCCAAGUCGGAUCCGACUACGUCAGGGUCAGGCGGCAUGAAGAUGGAGUCUGAUUCUGGAGAUGGCUUGACAAACGGCUUGAGGAGGCAUUGGAGGGAUACGCCGGUUGGUUUAGCUUGCCGGGUGGAGCCGAUUCGUGCCAGGGCAUCUACUUGCUCGUUGUCGGCCCGUGGCACAUGGAGAAACUCACACCCUUCAAAGUAUCCACUGAGUUGCUGAACGAGGAAGCGGUAGCUCACCAUGUUUGCAUCCUUGGCGUCCCAAUCGCCAGAUGAUUGCUGGAGCACCAAGUCCGAGUCGCCAUAGCACAUGAUCCGGCGGAUGCCGAGUUCUUUGGUCAGCCGGAGCCCAUGUAUGAGCGCCUCGUACUCGGCUACGUUGUUGGAGGUGGAAAAAUGAAUUUGCAACGUGUAUCUGAGCUUGUCGCCCUUGGGAGAGGUGAGGACGAUGCCGGCUCCCAAGCCAGUGCGCAUCUUGGAUCCGUCAAAGUGCAUCCGCCAAUGGGUGGAGUCGGGUGCUGGUGGCAGGUACUGGGUUUCGGCCCAGCCGACAAGGAAGUUGGCCAGCACUUGGGACUUGAUGGCGGGGCGAGGCUGGUAGAAUAUGGUGUAAGGAGCGAGCGCAAUGGCCCACUUGGCCACCCGGCCAGACGCAUCCCGGCUGCCUAUGAUCUCGGCAAGCGGGGCAGUGCAAACGACCGUGAUGGGGUGUUCUUGAAAGUAGGGCUUGAGCUUCUUGGCGGCAAAGUAUACGCCAUAGCACAUCUUCUGGUAGUGGGGGUAAUUUUGCUUUGAGGCUGACAGUACUUCACUCAGGUAAUACACCGGCCUCUGGACCAGCUGAGCUCUGCCUUCUUCCGGGCGCUGAACCACGGUGACAGUGCUGACCACCCGGCUUGUUGUGACAAUGUAAAGGAGCAUGGGCUCUUUCUCAGUCGGUGCCGCCAGGACAGGAGGCGUGAUCAACAUCUUCUUCAACUUGUGAAAAGCUUCGUCCACCUGAUCGUUCCACUCGAAGUGAGUGGAUUUCCUCAUGAGCUGGUACAGGGGGAGAGCCUUCUCCCCUAGCCGACUGAUGAAGCGGUUAACUCGAAGCUUGGUGGGAAUCUCCAUCCUUUCUAUGGCCUUGAUCUUCACUGGGUUGCACUUGAUGCCGCGUUCAGAGACCAGGAAGCCUAGGAGCUGGCCGGCUGGUACUCCGAACACGCACUUCUCAGGGUUGAGCUUGAUCUGAAAUCAGUGCAAGUUGUCAAAUGUUUCCUUGAGAUCUUCCAGCAGGGUACCGCGCUUCUCCGUCUUCACCACAAUAUCGUCUACGUAGACGUGGGCAUUUCUGUCAAGUUGCUUGAGGAGGCAUUUCUGCAUGCAACGCUGAAAAGUGGCACCGACAUUUCUCAAGCCGAAUGUCAUAGUCAGGUAGUAGAAAGCUCUGAAUGGUGUGAUGAAGGCGGUCUUCAGGCAGUCGGCUGGAUCCAACUUGAUCUGAUGGUAACCUGAGUAGGCAUCAAGAAAACUCAAUAGCUCACAUCCGGCUGUGCAGUCUAUUACUUGGUCAAUCCGAGGCAAGGCGAACGGAUCCUUGGGGCAAGAUUUGUUGAGGCUGGUAUAAUCUAUACACAUGCGCCAUUUCUUGUUUUUCUUCAGUACGAGGACUGGGUUGGCUAGGCAUUCUGGAAAGAACACCUCCAUAAUGAAGCUGGCUGCCAGAAGUCGGGCUAUCUCUUCACCAACGAUUCUUCUCUUCUCCUCCGAUAGUCGGCGGAGGGGCUGCUUGACUGGUUUUGCAUCUGCUCAGACAUGUAGCUUGUGCUCGGCGAAAUCCGUCGGAACACCCGACAUGUCCUUGGGGGACCAUGCGAAUAUGUCCCAAUUCUCACGAAGGAAAUCAACGAGCUCACUUUCCUAUUUGUUGUCCAGGUUUGCUCCUAGAACAGCAAACCUCUCCAGAUGCUCUGGGUCCAGAGGUAUCUUCUUUGUUUCCUUGGCCGGCUGGAAGGGGCCCUGAGUUUCUGACUCCUUGGGAUCAGGUGAUAGGUCCGGCUGCUUGCCGACCAUGGCCACAACCCGGUCAAGGAUCUUCUUCUCAGCAGUGAUCAUGAGGGACUCGGCCAGCCGGCUGCUGGCUGCGGCACAGGCAGAGGAUUUCUUGUAGUCUCCGACUAUGGUGAUGAUGCCCUUGGAGCUCGGCAUCUUCAUCUUUGAGGUAAGCAUAGUGGGGCACAACGAUGAACUUGACCAGGGCAGGUCGGCCAAGCAAAGUGUGGUAAGGGCUCUCUAGAUCUAGCACUUCAAACCAGACUGCUUCACGGAGGAAGUGAUCCUUGUCUCCGAAGAGGACAUCUAUCUUGACCUUGCUGAUUGGGGAGCAUGGCAGGCCGGGUACAAUGCCAUGGAACACGGUCCGACUGGGCAAAAGUUGCUUCGUCUUGAUGUUCAGCUUCUCCAUGGUGUCACGGUACAGGAUGUUGAUGCUGCUCCCGCCAUCAAUCAGAACUCGGGAAAACUAGCAGCUCGCCUUUCUGUUGCGAAGGUGGCAUCUAACACCAAUGCAUAGGAGCCCGGAGACAACAUCACCUCUGGGUGAUUGGCUUGGCUCCAGCUGAUAGGCUUUUCAGACCAAUGCAUGAACUUUGGAUCUUUGGAGGCGACUGCGUUGACUUCUUGGUGUUGUCGGCGCCGGCUGCGCUUGUCCUCAGCUUGGCUCGUGAAGCUGGCGUAGGUUGCAUGCUCGUCUGGGAACUCAUCUUGAACGGCUCCGACUACUGGGCGGGCGGGCGGCUGCUGAGGAGCCGGAGGCAGCUGACCAGCAGGCGGAGGGGGCAGCAGUCCUUCGCCCUUGGAGAUUCGGGUGAGCCAAUGGCACUUCCGGGUCAUGUGGUUGGACGGCUUCGCGCCGCUGUGAAACUUGCAGGGGGCAUCAAGGGUUUGCUCAUAGGAGAAAGCCGGCUGCCAAGCCGGCCUGCCGCCAUUCGGUCGCUUGGGUAUAGGCUGCCCUUCAGGCUGCUCGUCUUUGACCGUGGCCACCUGCCAACUGGUGGAAGGAGGCAUGGGAGCCUUGCGCUUGUUGUUGUUCUGGUGUGGGCGUCGAUUGGAGUCGCCAGCCGACGUUUUUGGAGCCGGAGGAAGCACCUUUCCAGAGGCGUCCACUCGGAGCUCGGUCUUCAUUGAGGAGUCAGCCAUGGUGUACUUGUAUGCUAUGAUCAGCAGCUCGUCGAGUGUAGCCGGCUCAUCGCAGAGAAAUUGGUGCUUGAGGAGGGUGCCCUCUCGGCACCCGGCGGUGAAGAACUCUAUCGCUUGCACCUCGUGCACCCCUUCGCGGGAAUUGCGGUGCUCGGCCCAGCGCGUCAGGUAGUCGCGGCUGGACUCAGUCGGGCCUUGAACACAAAGGGAGAGCUGACGGGGCUUGGGGGCUCGCUUGUACGUGCUGGUGAAGUUGCGGAUGAAGACUUUCGUGAAAUCUAGCCAGUUGUUGACGCUGUAGGGCUUGAGGCUGUUCAGCCAGGUGCGUGUCGUACCUUCAAGCAUGAGAGGGAUGUACUUCACGGCAACGCACUCGUUGUCGUUUGCUAUGCUGACUGCAGUGGAGUAAUCUAUCAACCAGUCUUCCGGCUUCACCGAGCCGUUGUAUUUUGGCGUGUCUCUUGGGAGCGAGAACCCUUUGGGGAAAGGCUUGUCGCGGAUGCGAGGGCCGAAACAGGGUGGGCCGACAUUGUCUUCUUCUUCUAGCGCCAGGGAUCGCACCAGGCGGUCGAUCCGAUGGCGGGCAUUAUUCUCGCUGAUUCCUUCACGGUAGCCUAGUUGGCCGCUAAGCGUCGGGUGCGCGACAGGCGGCGGGGUGGGGUAUCUCUCCCCGCGGGGUGGAGGAGGAGGCAGGUUGCCUCGUCACUCCACGGACCGGGGGCGGCCUUCUGUGUCAUGCUCGAUGGUGAGGCGAGUCCGGCUGUGGCUAGCAGUCGACUCCUUGUCUUUUCGCUCGCGGGCGCCGCCUACAGUCAGCGUUCGAGAUGUUGCGCCGUGCUCUCGGCGUGGGGGAGGACUCUCAGCGCGGGCGCCGGCUUCGUGCCGCCCUGUGGCCGCGUCGAUCAACUGUUGGAUGCGUCUGGUCAUGCAGUGAAGCUCGUCGCCUUCCAACCCAUCCAGCUCAUCUACGGCCUCUUGGGCGGCACGCAGGUUCUCGAGUGGCGUGGCGUAGACGGGGCGGUCAGCACCCAGCAUGUUGGCGAUGGCCGCGCCACGUUUAUUGAUAACGCCAAUUCGGCUGGGUUUGCCAGCAGGCGGCGUGCCGGUGGCGGCACGAUCAACCUCGCGCUCGUAGGCUUCGGUGAGGCGUCUCAUGGAGGCUAUCUUCUUGCCGUUCUCGAUGAGGGCAAGGCGGUGGGCCUCCAACGCGUCAGCGUCGGCGUCGGCCGGGAUGGGGCGGACAGGUCGUGCAGCACCGUCUGCAGGGUGUCGCGGAUGUUUCCGCCGGAGGUGGCGCCGUGACUGAUGACCAGCACCUCCGUGAUGAUGCUGCUGCUGCUGUCGGCUCAGGGAAGAGGGUCGUUGAUGACCACCACAUUGGUGGGGAAGGCGUCAAGCAAUGCCGUGUCGGAGUCGACAAGCAUCGGGUCGGUGGAGCCGAUCGACUCCAGAUCGGAGGUGCGCUCCUUGGCGAUGUCAAUCUUGCCAAGGAAGUCGACGAGGCAGCUCUCGGAGCUGGUGGCACCCGCGCCUGGCGCAGGCUCGUCGGACAGGCGGGCCUCACCGAGAAGAUCGGCGAGGCAGCUUGCUGCACAGGCAUCAUCGACGCCAUGCAGCACGUCGGGGCAAGCGCCAUCGGGCAUGCCUGGUUGGCUACGCUCGCUAGGGAGGAAGAGGGUUCCCGUCCAGAGCAGGUCUACGGACGACGGUGCACCUGGCCCCAUAGUGGGCGCCAAAUGUCGGGUAGUAGGUGCAACAUAUGCCAACGGGUGGCUUAUCAUUGUGGGAGCCAGUAAGACAUCGUCGGUGCCUGGAAACGGGAUAAGGCGAAGACAUGCACUCCGGCGAAUCUUACCCAGGUUUGGGGCUCUCCGUGGAGAUAACACCCCUAGUCCUGCUCUGCGGGGUCUGCACGCGAUCACUAGAUCAACAAGUAGCUACAAGAGGCUCCUUGAGCUGUUUGGCUAGAGGAAGAAGAAGGGCAAGGCCAGCUCUCCUCUUUUCUCUAUGUGGUGUCUAAACCUCUGAGAGAUCAACCCUUUGCAUGGGUGCCCUGGGGGUUUAUAUAGGCCUACCCCCCAGGGGUACAAUGGUAAUCCGGCUGGACGUGGGUCCAGGCCGUCAGUGUCUGUAGUUGCCGGCUUCUCCGCCGGCCGCUGGGGCCGCCGACUGGUGGGCCCCGCCGGCUGCCGGCCUCUUGGCCAAUAGGCUGGGCCCACUGUCGGGGGUCUUGUCGGCUGCUGGUUGUUGUAGCCUUACUCUUGGUGACGAUGGCUUCAUCGGGGUAAGCAUGGCUACAGUGCUACUGCCUGGCGGGCAUUCACUGUAGCCUUACCCCAUCUUGUCUGCUUAAUGGUGCACAGACUUCCAGGACGGGGGGCUGGCCGCCUGCUGGGAGCCGGCAUCCCCUCAGGCCGACUGGUCAAGCUCGACCGCCUUCUGGUGUCUCUCUGGCAGGAGGAGCCCACCGCCUGCUGGCCGUACUGACAGCCCGUCGUGGAUGGUGUCAUGGUCAACGUGGCAACAGUGUCACGCCGGACGGGGAGUGGCGGCCCCGUACGGCGCACUGUGGCCACACUUGCUCCGGGAUUUGGGGGUGGCAGGCUUUACUGUAGCCACGCCCCGUCUCAUCGCCGUUAUGUGGGUGCAAACUUCGAGGGUAUGAGCCAGGCUGCCUGCUAGGAGCCGGCCCUCUAGUGGCCGGCUGCUAGGAGUCAGCCCUCUUCGAGAGAGCUCUUAGAGCCUUGCCGCCUUCCAGUAGGCCGCCGGUGGGACAGUCGGCCUGGCGAAGGCGGCCCUGCAUCUUGGACGUUUGAGGGCUCAGUCGGCCCGAUAGUUUUUGAAGUGCCAGGGGGAGCCGAUUGGGCUACCUGUGGUCAUUUACUCUGACAAGCUUUGCAGACAGUAACAUUACCGUCAGCGUCAAUCUUCUUCUUGAAGAUCCAUUUAUUCUCGAUUGCCUUCCGAUCAUCGGGCAAGUCAACCAAAGUCCAGACUUUGUUCUCAUACAUGGAUCCCAUCUCAGAUUUCAUGGCCUCUAGCCAUUUCACGGAAUCUGGGCUCAUCAUUGCUUCCUCAUAGUUCGUAGGUUCGUCAUGGUCUAGUAACAUGACCUCCAGAACAGGAUUACCGUACCACUCUGGUGCGGACCUUACUCUGGUUGACCUACGAGGUUUGGUAGUAACUUGAUCUGAAGUUACAUGAUCAUCAUCAUUAGCUUCCUCACUAAUAGGUGUAGGAGUCACAGGAACAAAUUUCUAUGAUGAACUACUUUCCAAUAAGGGAGCAGGUAUAGUUACCUCAUCAAGUUCUACUUUCCUCCCACUGACUUCUUUCGAGAAAAACUCCUUCUCUAGAAAGGAUCCAUUCUUAGCAAUGAAUGUCUUGCCUUCGGAUCUGUGAUAGAAGGUAUACCCAAUUGUCUCCUUUGGGUAUCCUAUGAAGACACAUUUCUCCGGUUUGGGUUUGAGCUUAUCAGUAUGAAACUUUUUCACAUAAGCAUUGCAACCCCAAACUUUAAGAAACGACAACUUUGGUUUCUUGCCAAACCACAGUUCAUAUGGUGUCGUCUCAACGGAUUUAGAUGGUGCCCUAUUUAACGUGAAUGCAGCUGUCUCUAAUGCAUAUCCCCAAAACGAUAGUGGUAAAUCGGUAAGAGACAUCAUAGAUUGCACCAUAUCUAAUAAAGUACGGUUACGAUGUUCGGACACACCAUUACGAUGUGGUGUUCCAGGUGGCGUGAGUUGCGAAACUAUUCUGCAUUGUUUCAAAUGAAGAGCAAACUCGUAACUCAAAUAUUCUCCUCCACGAUCAGAUCGUAGAAACUUUAUUUUCUUGUUACGAUGAUUUUCCACUUCACUCUAAAAUUAUAUGAACUUUUCAAAUGUUUCAGACUUAUGUUUCAUCAAGUAGAUAUACCCAUAUCUGCUCAAAUCAUUUGUGAAGGUCAGAAAAUAACGAUACCGGCCGCGAGCCUUAACACUCUGUAACGCCCCGGUUUUGAUGCGCCAGAUGUCAGCCAGUUAUUCAUUGUUGUUGCCAUGUCAUUUGCUUGCGUGUUGAAUUUUAUCAUGUCAUCAUGUACAUUCCAUUUUGCAUACGUGUUCGUCUCAUGCAUCCGAGCAUUUUCCCCGUUGUCCGUUUUGCAAUCCGGCACUCCUCUGUCCUCCGGCGUCCCCCUUUUGUCUCUUGUUGUGAGUGGGUGUUAAACUUUCUCGGAAUGGCCCGAGGUUUGCUAAGCGGCCUUGGUAUAGCACCGGUAGACCGCCUGUCAAGUUUCGUGCCAUUUGGAGGUCGUUUGGUACUCCAACGGUUAACCGGGUAACCGUAAAAGCCUCUUUUGUUUGCAGCCCAACACCCUUUCCAAAGUGGCCCAAAACCCAUCUAACUCCCCUCCAUGCUCUCGGUCAUUCGAUCACGAUCGCGUGGCCGAAAACCAUGCUCCAUUUGGACUCUCCUAGCUCCCUCUACCUAUAAAUAUGUGCUCCUCGUCCAAUUUCGCGGAUGAAUUCCCCAAACCCUAGAUCUUUUCCUCUCUCGCCCGCCGGACAUGUCCGUCCCGGACCGGACGAAGCCCGCGCCGCCGCCCGCAACCAAUCCCCACGCGCCNNNNNNNNNNNNNNNNNNNNNNNNNNNNNNNNNNNNNNNNNNNNNNNNNNNNNNNNNNNNNNNNNNNNNNNNNNNNNNNNNNNNNNNNNNNNNNNNNNNNNNNNNNNNNNNNNNNNNNNNNNNNNNNNNNNNNNNNNNNNNNNNNNNNNNNNNNNNNNNNNNNNNNNNNNNNNNNNNNNNNNNNNNNNNNNNNNNNNNNNNNNNNNNNNNNNNNNNNNNNNNNNNNNNNNNNNNNNNNNNNNNNNNNNNNNNNNNNNNNNNNNNNNNNNNNNNNNNNNNNNNNNNNNNNNNNNNNNNNNNNNNNNNNNNNNNNNNNNNNNNNNNNNNNNNNNNNNNNNNNNNNNNNNNNNNNNNNNNNNNNNNNNNNNNNNNNNNNNNNNNNNNNNNNNNNNNNNNNNNNNNNNNNNNNNNNNNNNNNNNNNNNNNNNNNNNNNNNNNNNNNNNNNCCCGGCCCUACCGAGCGCCGCCGCCGGCUCGCCCUUGCCGUCCACGCCUCCUCCUCCCCGACCGGAUCUAGCCACGGGAGGGCUAGAUCCGCCUCCGUCGGCCAUUCUCUGGCCAUUCCCCGUGCUCCGGCGAGUUCUCCGGCGCCUCGAAGUCCGUGCCCGAUCUGGAUCAUGAGGUUGACUUCUCCCCUUCCCCGAUUUUGCCUAAGUCCCAUAAUCAUUUACAUUAUCAUGCCAUGUUCAACGCUUCAUAUCUCUGCAUCCGUAGCUCCGUUUCGUGCGUGUAAUAUGUCAAAUUGUUCAUCUCAACGAGUACAUCAUUUCAUUCCACUGCAUCAUAUUCAUUUGAGGUCAUCUUGAUGCCUGAAUCAUCGUUGUAAGAGUGCUUCAUGAUGUUUUCUGUUGUCUGUUAACAGAACAUGCUCUUUUGUCAUUUUUGCCAUGAUUGAUGUGUGCAUCCUAUGAGGUUGAUGCCUACAUGUGUUUUGAACUAUGACAUGCCUUCUUUACAGAGGUGCUUACCAUGUAUUUUUGUGAUCAAUGUGGUGACUAGCACAAGCAUGCAAACUAGGCUUCGUAAUGUUGCUAUUUUAGUCCCUGUUUUGUUGUUAUUUUGAUGCCAUGUAAACAUGAUGCUACAGAGAGAUCCAUGCAUAAUUUGAGAUACUUCAGUAAGGAUGUUUUGAAUAUAUGGUUGUUCUCUAUCCAUUCAUGCCCUUGGUUGCAAUUAUGGAGUAGUCUAGCAUGUCAUUAGCGUGCUCUACUUUUGCUUCAAAAUGUUUCUUGGCAGAUUGUUUACAUGUUAUUCAAUUUUGCCAAGGUUGUUGUAGUUGAUCCUUGCAUGCUAUGAACUUGCUCUUGACAUUCUUAGCUUCACAAAUAUGUCUUCUUACUGUUGGUUGCCAUGCCAUGCCAUUUAUUGCUCUGUGAUGAGUGGUACAAGCUCACCAACAUGCCUUCAUGAUUCUGUUUCUGCCAUGUUUGAAUCUGUAAUAUAACUUGCUAUGUUUACAUGGGUGCCAUCAUAUUUUCUGAUCCUUUUUGGCUCAUGGUCAGUAAGGGACUUUUGAUCUAUGCAAUUAGUACAUUCAUGCCAUGCCUUUGUUUGCCAUGUUAAGUUCCUGUAACAUGUUGUUUGAUAGCUCUGAACAUUGCAACCUGAUGUUAUUUUCUGCAAAGUCUGAAACUGAUAUUAUUUGCAAUCUUACCAUGUGUGUUUGAGCAUGUUCUAUUGAUUUAUGGAGAUAGCUCAGUGUUCAUGUUUUGUUAUGCUUUACCUGUACAUCAUGCCCAUGCCUUCUGUUUUCUUGUUGAGGUCCUGUAGCAUGUUGUUUUGAUGCUUGCAAUAUGCCUAGUUGCUGUUUUGGACAGAUUGUUGCUAUAACUUGUAUAGUGUGUGUAUGUUGAACCGUUGCUCCGUUUUGAGUGUGCUCUAUAUGAAACUUGAUUGAUUUUGCAUGUAGUUUCAUAUUAUCAUGUUGCAUCCAUGUUUUGAGGUGUUUGCUUGAUGUUUGGGUGCAUUUCGCAUUAAUGCCAUGUUUUACUUGUUUUGCUCAUAUCUUCUAGGCCGUAGCUUCGAACUAAAUGAACUUUAUAUGUAACUUGACUAGAAUCUCGUGUAGAUCAUCUUGGUGCAUCUUAACUUGCUGUUUAACAACUUGAACAUAAGUUUUAUUCAGAUCUGGACCAACUUCGAAAUUUGCAUAUGAGGACUUACCGGAAUUGUUAUAUGUUGUUCCCGGCCUCAUUUAAACUUGCCUUGAUGUGUUGCUCUUGUUUGCAUCAUCUCUUGCCAUGAGUAGCUUCAUGUAGUCUUGACUUGCAUCAUGCUUGUUUGUGCAUCAUGUCUUGUUCAUGUGUGGUGUGUUUACUAUGUUGUGUGCUUCUUCUCGAUAGUUCCGUUUCGUUGCGAUCGUGAGGAUUCGUUCGUCUACGCUUGGUUCGGCUUCAUUCGUUCGUCUUCUUCAUGGACUCAUUCUUCUUCCUUGCGGGAUUUCAGGCAAGAUGACCGCUAACCUGGAUCUCAAUACUAUCAUUGCUAUGCUAGUUGCUUCGUUCUAUCGCUAUGCUGCGUUACCUAUCUUUUACUCUUCAAGCCUCCCAGAUUGCCAUGAACCUCUAACCUUUGACACCCUUCCUAGCAAACCGUUGCUUGGCUAUGUUACCGCUUUGCUCAGCCCCUCUUAUAGUGUUGCUAGUUGUAGGUGAAGUUGAAGAUUGCUCCAUGGUGGACAGGAUUUUGGUUGGGAUAUCACAAUAUCUCUUAUAUUAUUAUUAAUGCAUCUAUAUACUUGGUAAAGGGUGGAAGGCUCGGCCUUUUGCCUGGUGUUUUGUUCCACUCUUGCCGCCCUAGUUUCCGUCAUACCGGUGUUAUGUUCCCGGAUUUUGCGUUCCUUACGCGGUCGGGUGAUUUAUGGGACCCCCUUGACAGUUCGCUUUGAAUAAAACUCCUCCAGCAAGGCCCAACAUUGGUUUUACCAUUUGCCUCACCACCACCUACCUUUUCCCUUGGGAGUCGCCCUCUCGAGGGUCAUCUUUAUUACAGCCCCCCCGGGCCAAUGCUUGUCUAAGUGUUGGUCCGAACCAGAGCCACUUGCAGCGCCACCUCGGGGAAACUCGAGGUCUGGUUUUAGUUGUACGUAGUGUUCAUCCGGUGUUGCCCUGAGAACGAGAUAUGUGCAGCUCCUAUCGGGAUUGUCGGCGCAUCGGGCGGUCUUGCUGGUCUUGUUUUACCAUUGUCAAAAUGUCUUGUAAAACGGGAUUCCGAGUCUGAUCGGGUCUUCCUGGGAGAAGGUAUAUCCUUCGUUGAUCGCGAGAGCUUAUCAUGGGCUAAGUUGGGACGCCCCUGUAGGGUAUAAUCUUUCGAAAGCCGUGCCUGCGGUUAUAGGCAGAUGGGAAUUUGUUAAUGUCCGAUUGUAGAUAACUUGACACCAGAUCCGAAUUAAAACGCAUCAACCGUGUGUGUAGCCGUGAUGGUCUCUUUUCGGCAGAGUCCGGGAAGUGAACACGGUUUAUGGGUUAUGUUUGACAUAACUAGGAGUUCAGGAUCACUUCUUGAUCAUUGCUAGCUUCGCGACCGUUCCUUUUGCUCUCUUCUCGCUCUUAUUUGCGUAUGUUAGCCACCAUAUCAUGCUUAGUCGCUGCUGCAGCCUCACCACUUUACCCCUUCUUUUCCCUUUAAGCUUUGCUAGUCUUGAUACCCAUGGUAAUGGGAUUGCUGAGUCCUCGUGGCUCACAGAUUACUACAACAACAGUUGCAGGUACAGGUUAUGUGAUGAUCAUGACGCGAGAGCGAUGCUUGCUUGCGUUGAGUUCUUCUUCUGCUUCUUCGUUCAGGGGAUAGGUUCCAGGUCGGCAGCCUGGGCUAGCAGGGUGGAUGUCGUUUGAGUUUCUGUUUGUGUUUCAUCCGUAGUCGGAUGAUGCCCUAAUGUAAUGUGAUGUUGUAUUCAUGUGGCAUUGUAUGCCUCUUGUAUGUAUCCCCAUCUAUUAUGUAAUGUUGAUGUAAUGAUAUCCACCUUGCAAAAGCGUUUCAAUAUGCGGGUCUAUCCUUGGUGGGACCUUCGAGUUCCUUUUGGUUAGGGUCGCAUAUUGGGCGUGACAAGUUGGUAUCAGAGCCUCGACCGACCCUAGGAGCCCCCUUGAUUGAUCGUGUAGUUUGGCCGUUGUUGAGUCUAGAAGAAAACCAUUUUCGGAGUCUAGUUAUAUCGGAGAGUAGGAAUUCUUUUUACUCCUCAGCCCCUUUGUCGCUCUGGUGAGGAAUCUCGACGUAGGUGUUUUGAAUUACUUCUCUUCCCUUUCAAAUUUUUCUUUAGGAUCACGCAGUUGGUUUUCCGAUCGUUGGUUCUCAGCUCUUUUCAUCCGGUGCAUUUCUCGUCAAGUUGACUCGAGCCUCUUCAUCGUUGCCAAGUUCAAUCCUUAGUUGUUUUCUUUCCCACCUGCCCACCCUUCUUCUUCUUGGAACCGAGUCCAUAAUCGAGUAUCCAUCCUACUCAUGCGAAGUCGUUGCUUUCUUUCCUCAAUGAUGUCAACCGGUGUUUCUCUUCAAGAUAUUCGUUGGUUCCCCUACCAAGUUGCCUUUGUUUUCCCGCCCUCCCACCCUUUUCUUCCUGGAGCCUCUUCAGUCUUUCGUCAAUUAUUUCAACCGGUGAAUUCUCGUCUCGUUUGAUAUUCAUCAUCUCUUUUUCUUUUCCGGUGGAUUCAAUUCAAGUUUUUCGGUAGUGAUUAUAUUCUUUCCCUUAGCUCAAGUGUUUUCCCUACUCGUUCUCCUCUCGCCAGUUUAUCCUUCCGGAGUGUUCAAGACAUCUCAGGAGAUUCGUCUGUGUUCCAAUUAAUUCGAGGUUGUCACCUCAUUCAAAUAUUUCAAUUGUUCAGGUGCAUCAUCUAUCUGUUCAACAAUCCUUUUCAACGGUGUUAUCUCUCCAGUGGGCCCUAACCCACAGGUCUUUUCCCAGGAUCUUACCUGACUCUUCUAAUUCCCUCGGAGUUAUUCUCAAUUCUUUUCAAAGUGUGACGUAAGAAUGGAUUCCAUCAGUCACAUGCCUUCUUCGAGAUCGAUUUCAAAUCAUUUCAUUGUUGGCUCAACCUCUCUGCCUUUCAUUCUCCCGGAGUACCUCAGUAAUUUUGAUGGUGUUUCUCAUCGUCAUUUGAAGACAGAAGAAGAGUUUUUCCUCUAAAUCUUGCCCGAUUCUCUCGAAGAUUCGUGGUUCUAGCUUCAUGGUAUCCUCUCGAUUUAUUCCAUUUGUCAGAUAAUUCUUUUCAUCCAUCCGGAGUAUUUCAGUAGUUGUUUUCUUUUUUGUUUCACCGGAGGCCAUCAUUCCAGCUACCGUUAUCCAUUUAUCUUGGUGCUUCAUUCAAGUGUUCUUUAAUCAGCUCAUUAUCUCUUUGUUCUUUUGCAUAUAAAUCCCCUCAAGCAUAUUUGUUCUUCUAAUUCUUCCCGGUGAUUCAGCCCCUUUCAUCAGUCAUUUUCGAAUUCUUCCCGGUGAUUCAUUCUCUUUCGUCAGUCAUUUCUGAAUUCUUACGGUGGUUCAGUCAAGAUUCUUUUUCCUUGAUCAUCAUUUUUAUACAUUCGAUCUUUCCAGUCCUACCGGUGGUUCAUGAAGACUUUCUCAAUUUUUGUGCUAUCCCCCCUUAAUCCUUUCAAGAAGAAUAAGUAGUAUGAAGAAUCCUUCGCUUGUCAUAAAUUUAAUUUGAUGAAGGAUAAGCAUACAAUAAAUCUUAUUCUUACAUCAUCCAAGUGAUUAAUCCCUUCCUUCUGAGUUUGUUCGUGAGGAAUAAAUUCUAGUUCCAAGUGUUUUCAUUUUUUUCUUUUCCGAAGUUCAAUUUCCUCGGUCAUUUCGUCAGAACCUCCAUCUAAAUCAUCGCAAGGCUUUAAUCUUAUUCUUUCAUUCUUCAUUCUAUCUCAUCAUCCUUUUUGUCAACGGAGUUCUUCACGGCGGUCCGCCAGUAUUUAAUUCAUUCUUCAAGUGUUCAUCAAGAUUCUUAUCGAAGGAGCUCAAGUAUCUUUCCUUCUUGAUUUUCGAAGUGCAAUUAAUUCUCCGUAUUUCUUUCGAAGUGGAGUUUUGCAUUUCUUCGUUCUUCUCAGCUAUUCAAUCUUUUCAGCUUGUGGUCGGAGAUCACCUCAUAAUUUUGAGAUGCUAUCCAUAAGUCCACAACAAGCUUAUUCUUUUCGUUGUUGAUUUUUCUCAACAACUCCGUUCAAUCCUUCCUUCUUAAUUCUUUUCAUUCCAUUCUUUUAAUUCUUCCGGAGGCAUUGCGUUGUUUAUCUCAUCAAGUGUCAUUCCAUCUGUGAAGUUCGUGUUCUAUUCCUCCAUGUUUCAGCCGGAGUGCUGCCUAAAUCCUUUCAGUCUUAUUCGUUUCUUAUCUCAUUUUAACCGGAGUGUUUUCUUAGUCUAUAUGAUUCCGUGAGCUUUCGAUUCUCGUCAUUCUCGUCGUUCCUCUCUUUUUCUCGAGUGCUAUCGAUUCUUUGAUUCUUCUCUGGAGUUCUUGCUUCACCUCUUCCCUUUUUCCUUCCGUCUCGGUCCUAAGAUCUCGGGACGAGAUCUCUUGUUAGUGGAGGAGUGUUGUAACGCCCCGGUUUCGAUGCGCCAGAUGUCAGCCAGUUAUUCAUCGUUGUUGCCAUGUCAUUUGCUUGCGUGUUGCAUUUUAUCAUGUCAUCAUGUGCAUUCCAUUUUGCAUACGUGUUCGUCUCAUGCAUCCGAGCAUUUUCCCCGUUGUCCGUUUUGCAAUCCGGCACUCCUCUGUCCUCCGGCGUCCCCCUUUUGUCUCUUGUUGUGAGUGGGUGUUAAACUUUCUCGGCAUGGCCCGAGGUUUGCCAAGCGGCCUUGGUAUAGCACCGGUAGACCGCCUGUCAAGUUUCGUGCCAUUUGGAGGUCGUUUGGUACUCCAACGGUUAACCGGGUAACCGUAAAAGCCUCUUUUGUUUGCAGCCCAACACCCUUUCCAAAGUGGCCCAAAACCUAUCUAACUCCCCUCCAUGCUCUCCGUCGUUCGAUCACGAUCGCGUGGCCGAAAACCGUGCUCCAUUUGGACUCUCCUAGCUCCCUCUACCUAUAAAUAUGUGCUCCUCGUCCAAUUUCGCGGAUGAAUUCCCCAAACCCUAGAUCUUUUCCUCUCUCGCCCGCCGGACAUGUCCGUCCCGGACCGGACGAAGCCCGCGCCGCCGCCCGCAACCAAUCCCCNNNNNNNNNNNNNNNNNNNNNNNNNNNNNNNNNNNNNNNNNNNNNNNNNNNNNNNNNNNNNNNNNNNNNNNNNNNNNNNNNNNNNNNNNNNNNNNNNNNNNNNNNNNNNNNNNNNNNNNNNNNNNNNNNNNNNNNNNNNNNNNNNNNNNNNNNNNNNNNNNNNNNNNNNNNNNNNNNNNNNNNNNNNNNNNNNNNNNNNNNNNNNNNNNNNNNNNNNNNNNNNNNNNNNNNNNNNNNNNNNNNNNNNNNNNNNNNNNNNNNNNNNNNNNNNNNNNNNNNNNNNNNNNNNNNNNNNNNNNNNNNNNNNNNNNNNNNNNNNNNNNNNNNNNNNNNNNNNNNNNNNNNNNNNNNNNNNNNNNNNNNNNNNNNNNNNNNNNNNNNNNNNNNNNNNNNNNNNNNNNNNNNNNNNNNNNNNNNNNNNNNNNNNNNNNNNNNNNNNNNNNNNNNNNNNNNNNNNNNNNNNNNNNNNNNNNNNNNNNNNNNNNNNNNNNNNNNNNNNNNNNNNNNNNNNNNNNNNNNNNNNNNNNNNNNNNNNNNNNNNNNNNNNNNNNNNNNNNNNNNNNNNNNNNNNNNNNNNNNNNNNNNNNNNNNNNNNNNNNNNNNNNNNNNNNNNNNNNNNNNNNNNNNNNNNNNNNNNNNNNNNNNNNNNNNNNNNNNNNNNNNNNNNNNNNNNNNNNNNNNNNNNNNNGCCUCCCGCACCGUCUCCUGCCGCGGCCGCGCCGCCCGGCCUGACCGAGCGUCGCCGCCGGCUCGCCCUUGCCGUCCGCGCCUCCUCCUCCCCGACCGAAUCCAGCCGCGGGAGGGCUCGAUCCGCCUCCGUCGGCCAUUCCCCGUGCUCCGGCGAGUUCUCCGGCGCCUCGAAGUCCGUGCCCGAUCUGGAUCACGAGGUUGACUUCUCCCCUUCCCCGAUUUUGCCCGUCCCGUAAUCAUUUACAUUAUCAUGCCAUGUUCAACGCAUCAUAUCUCUGCAUUCGUAGCUCCGUUUUGUGCAUGUAAUAUGUCAAAUUGUUCGUCUCAACGAGUACAUCAUUUCAUUCCACUGCAUCAUAUUCAUUUGAGGUCAUAUUGAUGCCUGAAUCAUCAUUGUAAGAGUGCUUCAUGAUGUUUUCUGCUGUCUGUUAACAGAACAUGCUCUUUUGUCAUUUUUGCCAUGAUUGAUGUGUGCAUCCUAUGAGGUUGAUGCCUACAUGUGUUUUGAACUAUGCCAUGCCUUCUUUACAGAGGUGCUUACCAUGUAUUUUUGUGAUCAAUGUGGUGACUAGCACAAGCAUGCAAACUAGGCUUCGUAAUGUUGCUGUUUUAGUCCCUGUUUUGUUGUUAUUUUGAUGCCACGUAAACAUGAUGGUACAGAGAGAUCCAUGCAUAACUUGAGAUACGUCAGUAAGGAUGUUUUGAACAUAUGGUUGUUCUCUAUCCAUUCAUGCCCUUGGUUACAAUUAUGGAGUAGUCUAGCAUGUCAUUAUCGUGCUCUACUUUUGCUUCAAAAUGUUUCCUGGCAGAUUGUUUACAUGUUAUUCAAUUUUGCCAAGGUUGUUGUAGUUGAUCCUUGCAUGCUAUGAACUUGCUCUUGACAUUCUUAGCUUCACAAAUAUGUCUUCUUACUGUUGGUUGCCUUGCCAUGCCAUUUAUUGCUCUAUGGUGAGUGGUACAAGCUCACCAACAUGCCUUCAUAAUUCUGUUUCUACCAUGUUUGAAUCUGUAAUAUAACUUGCUAUGUUUACGUGGGUGCCAUCAUAUUUUCUGAUCCUUUUUGGCUCAUGGUCAGUAAGGGACUUUUGAUCUAUGAAAUUAGUAGAUUCAUGACAUGCCUUUGUUUGCCAUGUUAAGUUCCUGUAACAUGUUGUUUGAUAGCUCUGAACAUUGCAACCUGAUGUUAUUUUCUGCAAAGUCUGAAACUGAUAUUAUUUGCAAUCUUACCAUGUGUGUUUGAGCAUGUUCUAGUGAUUUAUGGAGAUAGCUCAGUGUUCAUGUUUUGUUAUGCUUUACCUGUACAUCAUGCCCAUGCCUUUUGUUUUCUGGUUGAGGUCCUGUAGCAUGUUGUUUUGAUGCUUGCAAUAUGCCUAGUUGCUGUUUUGGACAGAUUGUUGCUAUAACUUGUAUAGUGUGUGUAUGUUGAACCGUUGCUCCGUUUUGAGUGUGCUAUAUAUGAAAGAUUUUGCAUGUAGUUUCAUAUUAUCAUGUUGCAUCCAUGUUUUGAGGUGUUUGCUUGAUGUUUGGGUGCAUUUCGCAUCAAUGCCAUGUUUUACUUGUUUUGCUCAUAUCUUCUAGGUCGUAGCUCCGAACUAAAUAAACUUUAUAUGUAACUUGACUAGAAUCUCGUGUAGAUCAUCUUGGUGCAUCUUAACUUGGUGUUUAACAACUUGAACAUAAGGUUUAUUCAGAUCUGUACCAACUUCGAAAUUUGCAUAUGAGGACUUACCGGAAUUGUUAUAUGUUGUUCCCGGCCUCAUUUAAACUUGCCUUGAUGUGUUGCUCUUGUUUGCAUCAUCUCUUGCCAUGAGUAGCUUCAUGUAGUCUUGACUUGCAUCAUGCUUGUUUGUGCAUCAUGUCUUGUUCAUGUGUGGUGUGUUUACUAUGUUGUGUGCUUCUUCUCGAUAGUUCCGUUUCGUUGCGAUCGUGAGGAUUCGUUCGUCUACGCUUGGUUCGGCUUCAUCCAUUCGUCUUCUUCAUGGACUCAUUCUUCUUCCUUGCGGGAUUUCAGGCAAGAUGGCCGCUACCCUGGAUAUCACUACUAUCAUUGCUAUGCUAGUUGCUUCGUUCUAUCGCUAUGCUACAUUACCUAUCUUUUACUCUUCAAGCCUCCCAGAUUGCCAUGAACCUCUAACCUUUGACACCCUUCCUAGCAAACCAUUGCUUGGCUAUGUUACCGCUUUGAUCAGCCCCUCUUAUAGCAUGGCUAGUUGCAGGUGAAGUUGAAGAUUGCUCCAUGGUGGACAGGAUUUUGGUUGAGAUAUCACAAUAUCUCUUAUAUUAUUAUUAAUGCAUCUAUAUACUUGGUAAAGGGUGGAAGGCUCGGCCUUUUGCCUGGUGUUUUGUUCCACUCUUGCCGCCCUAGUUUCCGUCAUACCGGUGUUAUGUUCCCGGAUUUUGCGUUCCUUACGCAGUCGGAUGAUUUAUGGGACCCCCUUGACAGUUCGCUUUGAAUAAAACUCCUCCAGCAAGGCCCAACAUUGGUUUUACCAUUUGCCUCACCACCACCUACCUUUUCCCUUGGGAGUCGCCCUCUCGAGGGUCAUCUUUAUUACAGCCCCCCCGGGCCAAUGCUUGUCUAAGUGUUGGUCCGAACCAGAGCCACUUGCAGCGCCACCUCGGGGAAACUCGAGGUCUGGUUUUAGUUGUACGUAGUGUUCAUCCGGUGUUGCCCUGAGAACGAGAUAUGUGCAGCUCCUAUCGGGAUUGUCGGUGCAUCGGGAGGUCUUGCUGGUCUUGUUUUACCAUUGUCGAAAUGUCUUGUAAACCGGGAUUCCGAGUCUGAUCGGGUCUUCCUAGGAGAAGGUAUAUCCUUCGUUGAUCGCGAGAGCUUAUCAUGGGCUAAGUUGGGACACCCCUGCAGGGUAUAAUCUUUUGAAAGCUGUGCCUGGGGUUAUAGUCAGAUGGGAAUUUGUUAAUGUCCGGUGGUAGAUAACUUGAUACCAGAUCCGAAUUAAAACGCAUCAACCGUGUGUGUAGCCGUGAUGGUCUCUUUUCGGCAGAGUCCGGGAAGUGAACACGGUUUCUGGGUUAUGUUUGACAUGAGUAGGAGUUCAGGAUCACUUCUUGAUCAUUGCUAGCUUCGCGACCGUUCCUUUUGCUCUCUUCUUGCUCUUAUUUGUGUAUGUUAGCCACCAUAUCAUGCUUAGUCGCUGCUGCAGCCUCACCACUUUACCCCUUCUUUUCCCUUUAAUCUUUGCUAGUGUUGAUACCCAUGGUAAUGGGAUUGCUGAGUCCUCGUGGCUCACAGAUUACUACAACAACAGUUGCAGGUACAGGUUAUGCGAUGAUCAUGACGCGAGAGCGAUGCUUACUUGCGUUAAGUUCUUCUUCUGCUUCUUCGUUCAGGGGAUAGGUUCCAGGUCGGCAGCCUGGGCUAGCAGGGUGGAUGUCGUUUGAGUUUCGUUUGUGUUUCAUCCGUAGUCGGAUGAUGCCCUAAUAUAAUGUGAUGUUGUAUUCGUGUGGCAUUGUAUGCCUCUUGUAUGUAUCCCCAUCUAUUAUGUAAUGUUGAUGUAAUGGUAUCCACCUUGCAAAAGCGUUUCAAUAUGCGGGUCUAUCCUUGGUGGGACCUUCGAGUUCCUUUUGGUUAGGGUCGCAUAUUGGGCGUGACACACUCAUCAGAUCACAUACAUCAGUAUGUAUUAUUUCCAAUAAUUCAGUUGCUCGCUCAAUUGUUCCGGAGAACGAUGUCUUAGUCAUCUUGCCCAUAAUGCAUGGUUCGCAAGCAUCAAGUGAUUCCAAAAUCCCAUCAGCAUGGAGUUUCUUCAUGUGGUUUACACUAAUAUGACAUAAACGGCAGUGCCACAAAUAAGGUGCACUAUCAUUAUUAACUUUGCAUCUUUUGGCUUCAAUAUUAUGAAUAUGUGUAUCACUACGAUCGAGAACCAACAAACCAUUUUUCAUUGGGUGUAUGACCAUAGAAGGUUUUAUUCAUGUAAAUAGAACAACAAUUAUUCUCUAACUUAAAUGAAUAACCGUAUUGCAAUAAACAUGAUCAAAUCAUAUUCAUGCUCAACGCAAACACCAAAUAACACUUAUUUAGGUUCAACACUAAUCCCGAAAGUAUAGGGAGUGUGCGAUGAUGAUCAUAUCAAUCUUGGAACUAUUUCCAACACACAUCGUCACCUCGCCCUUAACUAGUUUCUGUUCAUUCUGCAACUCCCGUUUCGAGUUACUAAUCUUAGCAACUGAACUACUAUCAAAUAUUAAGGGGUUGCUAUAAACACUAGUAAAGUACACAUCAAUAACAUGUAUAUCAAAUAUACCUUUGUUCACUUUGCCAUCCCUCUUAUCCGCCAAAUACUUGGGGCAAUUGUGCUUCCAGUGACCAGUCCUUUUGCAGUAGAAGCACUUAGUCUCAGGGUUAGGUCCAGACUUGGGCUUCUUCACUUGAGCAGUAACUUGCUUGCCGUUCUUCUUGAAGUUCCCCCUCUUCCCUUUGCCCUUUUCUUAAAACUAGUGGUCUUGUCAACCAUCAACACUUGAUGCUUUUCUUGAUUUCUACCUUCGUCGAUUUUCAGCAUCACGAAGAGCUUGGGAAUCAUUUCCGUUAUCCCUUGCAUAUUAUAGUUCAUCACGAAGUUCUAGUAACUUGGUGAUAGUGACUAGAGAACUCUAUCAAUCACUAUAUUAGCUGGAAGAUUAACUCCCACUUGAUUCAAGUGAUUGUAGUACUCAGACAUUCUGAGCACAUGCUCACUAGCUGAGCUAUUCUCCUCCAUCUUGUAGGCAAAGUAUUUGUCAAGAGUCUCAUACCUUUCGACAUGGGCAUGAGUCUGAAAUACUAAUUUCAACUCUUGGAACAUCUCAUAUGCUCUGUGGCAGUCAAAACGUCUUUGGAGCCCCGAUUCUAAGCCGUAAAGCAUGGUGCACUAAACUAUCAAGUAGUCAUCAUAUCGAGCUUGCCAAACAUUCAUAACAUUUGCAUCUGCUCCUGCAAUCGGUCUGUCACCUAGCGGUGCAUCAAGGACAUAAUUUUUCUGUGCAGCAAUGAGGAUAAUCCUCAUAUCACGGAUCCAAUCCACAUCAUUGCUACUAACAUCUUUCAACUUAGUUUUCUCUAGGAACAUAUCAAAAAUGAAACAGGGGAGCUAAACGCGAGCUAUUGAUCUACAACAUAGAUAUGCAAAAUACUAUCAGGUACUAAGUUCAUGAUAAAUUAAAGUUCAGUUAAUCAAAUUACUUAAGAACUCCCACUUAGAUAGACAUUCCUCUAAUCAUCUAAGUGAUCACGUGAUCCAUAUCAACUAAACCAUGACCGAUCAUCACGUGAGAUGGAGUAGUUUUCAAUGGUGAAUAUCACUAUAUUGAUCAUAUCUAAUAUAUGAUUCACGCUCGACCUUUCGGUCUCAGUGUUCCGAGGCCAUAUCUGCAUAUGCUAUGCUCGUCAAGUUUAACCCGAGUAUUUCUGCGUGUGCAAAACUGACUUGCGCCCGUUGUAUAUGAACGUAGAGCUUAUCACACCCGAUCAUCACGUGGUGUCUCGGCACGACGAACUUUGGCAACGGUGCAUACUCAGGGAGAACACUUAUACCUUGAAAUCUAGUGAGAGAUCAUCUUAUAAUGCUACCAUCAAUCAAAGCAGAAUAAGAUGCAUAAAGGAUAAACAUCACAUGCAAUCAAUAUAAGUGAUAUGAUAUGGCCAUCAUCAUCUUGUGCCUUUAAUCUCCAUCUCCAAAGCACCGUCAUGAUCACCAUCGUUACCGGCGCGACACCUUGAUCUCCAUCGUAGCAUCGUUGUCGUCUCGCCAACUAUUGCUUCUACAACUAUCGCUACCGCUUAGUGAUAAAGUAAAGCAAUUACAGGGCGAUUGCAUUGCAUACAAUAAAGCGACAACCAUACGGCUCCUGCCAGUUGCCGAUAACUCCGUUACAAAACAUGAUCAUCUCAUACAAUAAAAUAUAGCAUCAUGUCUUGACCAUAUCACAUCACAACAUGUCCUGGAAAAACAAGUUAGACGUCCUCUACUUUGUUGUUGCAAGUUUUACGUGGCUGCUACGGGCUGAGCAAGAACCGUUCUUACCUACACAUCAAAACUAGAACGAUAUUUCGUCAAGUUAGUGCUGUUUUAACCUUCAACAAGGACCGCUGCCGACCCCGCCAUUGUCUUCCUUCCUGGUGGGCAGAGCGAGGAGGAGGCAACCCUGAACCUGAACGCCAUGAACAAGCUCCAGACCAAGAAGCCUUGGAACAUGUCCUUCUCCUUCGGGCGUGCCCUCCAGCAGAGCACCCUCAAGGCCUGGUCUGGCAAGAGGGAGAACGAGGAGAAGGCCAGGGCGACAUUCCUGGUGAGGUGCAAGGCCAACUCUGAGGCCACCCUCGGCACCUACAAGGGCGAUGCCACCCUCGGCGAGGGCGCCUCCGAGCGCCUCCACUUCAAGGACUACAAGUACUGAUCUAUCUGCCUCCGGCGUUGUGGCCCGUUUGGGCGUCCCGCUUACCAGUAUCAUUGUUUGGUUUUCUGAUUCCUGAUAUAUCCUCGGAUAUCGAACAUCGUUUUUAAUAAUAUGGAACUUGUGUCUUCAUAAUACCAUAGUAGUUUCUUUUUGGAGUUGAAGUACCCUGGAAAUCGGGUGCUGCGUAUCGUAUAUUGGAGCAGGUUUUUGUUCCAUGGUCCUGUAAUUUACCUGCUCAUACAAUGUUAAAACCUGUCAUAUGCUGAGUACACAUGUGUUCCGUCACUUUUUCUUUCUUUGUUCCUCAUGGUUUAAACUGUCAAAUGGCUAUCGAUAAGUUUCAUUCAUGAAAAGUGUUUGCGCUGAGCCAUCUGGAAUUUCCUUCCUCGGUUUGAUGCACGACUUUCAAAGAUUACGAUUCAGCUACUAAACAAGUUUCUCCUAGCAUCGACUCUUUGAUAAUGAAGGCAAAAAUACUGCCACUUCCUUCUUCUCCGUUCCUAAAUAUAAGUCUAGAAAUUCCACUUAUAUUUAGGAACAGAUUUGAAGGCGGUAUCGACACAGCAGCAGAUUCCAAUCGACGUCCUCAUCCAGCAAAUCCAUCGAUCAGUUGAAUCUUGACCUGAAAGGCCUGUAAAUUACAGAGGAAAACACUCGGGCACAACAUCUACAGGUUUGACAGUGCCAUGAAGUAAUAAACGCAAUUCAAAUCUAUGGUACAUGAACCGGACCUGCCUUUUGGCAGGGCUAAUCUAAAAGAGACAUACAUGACCUUCAGACACCAGCUGCUGAAAUUUGGAAAGUAAGCCCUUGGGCACGAGACUGUGUAUUCACUCUGCAGCUUUGUACCAAAGACAAAUUUGAAACGAAUGGAAAGUUAUUCAAAAACACUAAAUUAAAGGCUAGCAGAUGAUGCCAGACCCCAUGUAAGAAUAUUUUGUCAGUACAUAACGCAAAACAUGAUAAUCCGUUCCUGGUGGAAAAUUGUCUACAUAUAUAUAGCGAAUAACUCAAACACGAACGUCUUACUGAAAGCAUAAGUUCUUCUGAAUCAUCUUGCUCGAUGACUAAUAAUAGAAUUGGGACAGUGACACCACCAAUAGUCCAAUACUAAUGCAAACAAAGAUCUCUUUCUCUAUCGGACCAACACCACGAGAGGAAACCCCUUCAUCUGAUCAUCUAAAAAACAGAGCACCCGAGCCUACAACAUAGGAAUCACAUGCAUGAAAGGAAAAGAGUGAACCAAUCAACCCCCAAACAAAACAGUAAGCUCACCACAAUCAUAUAGUAUAUACAUGUACCUUUUCAUCCACAAGGGAACAUAAACCUACCUGCGAAUUCCUCCUAAAACCAUCUUGAUCCAACUAAAAAAUUUCACAGGAGAGAACUCGAAACCGGUAUGACCUUUCCAGAAAGAAAAAAAAAACCCCAUAAGCAAGAUAGAUGUUUUGCACAAAAACAACAACAGAACAAAAAAGUACUCCAUCCGUCCUAAAAUAAGUGUCUCAACUACAACGGAGUGAGUAAUUGUAUGACUUUAGAUCACAGGACUAUGAUUUUACGCCAUGAACAAAUAGGAGAAAAGGAUGAAUAGGCUAAUAAAUAUACACACCUUUGCAUCGACACUAUGUUUGGUUGAGAUAACAUUCAAAGAGAACAACAGUGGCAUAAAAAGCCCAACUUCACUCUCACAAAUUAUUAGAUCCAGUUAGGGCACACAAUGUUUUUGAAAUGAGCACCUCUCAACCCCAACCUGGCGGCUACACCGCAGCGGCGGCGGCCACUGUGGCCCCGUCGCACACCACCCCACCGGCCACCUGAUGGUGUCCUGGACUAGGGGGUGCUUGACACGUCUGCUCCCGACCAUAUGGGACGAGCCGACGACCCCAAUAAUGAUCAACCAGUGGGCCACGUUCGUCGGGCCCAGAAUCGCCAAAAUGGUAUCUUUUGAAGACUUGGCGCAUACUCCGAGAACUAGAGGUUGUCUUCGUCACUAUUACCCCUAGAUGUAACUGGCCUAUGUGUAAACCUUAGCCAUCCCCGGUAACUAUAUAAACUGAGAGGUGAAGAACCAUAGAGAACAAUCUCAUACGCAUAUGACCUCGUGGUAGAUAGAUCAACGUGUAACUUGUACUCCCCCGAAACCGAUACAAUCAAGCAUGACGUAGGGUAUUAUCUCUUCGAGAGAGCCCGAACCUGGAUAAAUCCUCAUGUCACCUGUUACCAUCAUACCAAGGCUACUAGCUUGGGACCCCCUACAUGAGAUCCAUUGGAUUUGACUCCAUCAUUGGUGGCCCCAUGCAGGUCCCUCUGAGUAGUCGCAACGGUGCAAUGGCAUUUGCGGCCAAAGAUCAGAUCGACAUCGGCGUCGUUCUGCGCCAGAACACCCCUGCUCCGUCUCGACCGGCCAGUUGGGGCGAAUUGAAGUUUUGACCCCUCGUCAACAUGUCGCGACGAAUCAUGACCCGCUGCUCCUUCCUCACCCAUGAUGUUAGAUCAUACCGAGGAGAAGCAUGCCAUACUUUUCCAAGCACCAGUGCCAAGUCUAGUUUGGGCGAAAAACAUGUCACAGAGGAUCAAGUCUAGACCUCGAAUCCGGCGAAUUAGUGCAAAAGCCAGCCAAUUUUUUUGUCCAAAAGCUAAGAAAGACCGAUGAAAAACCGAAAAUCCAAAAAACCCAAAAAAAAACAUUUAAAAAGAAGGAAAAACAAAAACAGAGGGAGCGCCCAGAGCAUGACACGUGGCGGCGGCUGAGAGCGCGCCAUAUUCGAAAUUCACAAACGGGCGCCCACUACUGCUCCCCUCUGGGCCGACCAUUCUCCUUUUUUUCUCCCGUCAACUUUUUGAAAAGAAAGGUGUUGCGACGGGAUCGAACUCGUGACCUCAUCCGUCCAAAUGAAGCGCAGCAACCACCGGGGCUUAUCACGCUCUUCUGCAAACUUACUUCGUUAUUUUCUUUUGUUUCGUUUUAAAGUUUCGUUUGUUCUUUUCCUUUUUCUUUUCUUUUUUCUUUCCUUUUUCUUUUUCCUUGUUUUCUUAAAAGUGCGGUUUUACAUAAAAAUUGUGAACUUUUUUUCACAAAUUGAUGAACCUUUUAAAAAUUAGAUGAACUAUUCCUCAUUUCGGAUGAACUUUUUUUAAAUUUGAUGAACCUUUUGAAAUCCGAUGAAAAUUUUUAAAAUUCAAUGAACCUUUUCUAGUUUGAUAUACUUUUUAAAAUUUAUUGAACUUUUUUUUUCAAAUUUGAUGAAUUUUUUCAAUUCGAUGAACUUUUUUUCAAAUUUGAUGUCCUUUUUUAAAACUUUGAUGAACUUUUCUAAACAGAUAAACUUCUUUUCAAGUUCAUGAUUUGUUUUCUUGGAUUCAUGAUGUUUUGAUUUUUUUGCGAAUUCGUUGUUUUUUUUUGUUUUUUUCCCCAAAUGUGAUCGAGCGAACCAGGGAAAAAAAGAGAAAUCUAAAUGGGCCGGCACACUUGCAUGAACGCGUGGGCUCUAACGUAGCUCCCCGUUUCCUGAAGCGCCAAAUAGGAGGUCCCAUAAGGGCCUUCACUAGAGGUAUGGGCUAAUUCUAUCGGAUUUUUAUGUACUCGACCACGUAUCAGAACAAAAUCUUCUAAAAAAAACGUAUCAGAACAAAAUUUGCUGGAAUAUCCUAUUUGCCGCUCGCUGCGGCAAGUUGUCGGCCGGACCCACAGGAAGAUCGAUCGAGGGUUCGCGCCUGGGCCGGCACGUAAAAUGUGUCGAAGAUUCCGGUUUUAGGAACCUUCUCGCUUGUACCCAGCCGGUUUUCUCCAGUUUUGGGAACCUUCUAGGAGCUUCGUAACACUUUUUUUUCUGUUUUUUUUUCGUUUUUCGUUUUUAUUUUUCGUUUUUCCUGUUUAUUUUUUCUUCUCUAUCUUUUCCUUUUCAUUCCUUUUCUAUUUUUUCAAGUUUUCUUUUCACCUUUUUUCUUUCAGUUUCUUUUCUUUAUUUUUCCUCAUCUUCACUUUUUCAUUUUUCAUAAUUUUAAAAAGGUUCAAACUAUUCAAAUUUUGUUUGCAUGUCAAAAAUAUUCGAAAUUUUAAAAAAGUCUUCGCUUAUUGAAUUUUUUUCUAACUUUUUAAAAAUAUGUUCCGGUUUUUAUAAAUAUUGUUCAUGUAUUGAAAAAAUGUUUAAAUUUCCAAACUUGUUGAGAUUUCUAAAAAGGUUCUAAAUUUUAAAUCCUUUCUUUCAAAAAUUUAUUCUAGUUCUCAAAUUUUGUUCACAAAUACAAAAUAUUCAUAGUUCUCAAAUUUUGUUCACAAAAUUUAAAAAAUGUUCAUCUUUUCAAAAAAAAUAGGAGUUUUAAAAAACGUUCCUCUUUCAAAAUUCAUUCGCAAAUUUAAGAAAAAUGUUCGUGUUUUCCAGUUUUGUUCGGUAGCUUCAAAAAAAUUUCUAUUUCAAAUUUUGUUCGCCAUUUUCAAGAAUGUGUCUGUUUCUAACUUUGUUUGGGAGUUUAAAAAAAUGGUUGAAUUUCUUUAAAAAUGCUAACGAAUUAUAACAGUUCUAAAAAAUGUUCUUGAUUUGAUAAAACUCUUCAUAUUUCUCAAAAAAUGUUUGAAAAUUAAAUAAUGCUUUCAUUUUCAAAUUUUGUUCUGAGUUUGAAAAAAAUGUUCUUGUUUCAAAAACUGUUGACGGAUUCCAAAACUAUUCGGAUUUCCGAAUUAUUGUUCAGAGUUUCAAAAAAUGUUGCCUUUAACUAAAAUUUGUUCACAUAUUCAAUAAUGUUUGUGAUUUUCAAAAAAGUGUUCAGUUUAUCAAAAGAUUGUUCGGAUAUUCAAGAGAUGUUCGUGCUUUUUUUUCUUCUUCUCAAAGUUGAAAAGUGUUCGCUUUAAAAAAAUAUUUACAAAAUAAUGUUCGCGUUCAGAAUUUGACAAAAUGCUCGGGUCUAUAUUUCCUUUAGCUUAGCGCGCCAUUGAGAACAAAGAAGCUCAUCUAACCUGUUGGCUAGGCUCGCGCAUAAGCAACAAGAGGUCGCUCGUUCGAUCCCUCCCUGAUUUUUCACUGUGUUACACUAAUGGGCCGGCCCAGCUGGAGUCGCGCCUGUGCGUCCGCUCGGCAAUUUGCCGCAACGAGCGGUGCAUAGGAAUUCUGAAAAAACCUUAUCUGAACAAAAUCGGGAAUCAUCUACUGUAUUUGGGCUUCCAGUGUCAAAGAAGAUUCAAACAUUUCCUUUUAUAUUUUUUUUGUGUUAUUACAUUUAUUUACGUUUCUGAAAAAAAGUAUUAUAUAUUUUUUAAAUGUUCAUUGCGCAUUAGCGAAAUCGUGCAGUGCAAUAUAAGUUUGCUUUAAUAAAUAAAAAUUGAUAGCGUUCAAAAACGAUUUUUCUGAAAUUUAUAAAAAUAUUUACACAUUUUUAGUAUGUUUUUGCGACAUUUAAACGUUUUUAUACAAGCAAAAUAAAUUCUCACGUAAUUCAAAAAAAGCGUGUUGUAUCAUUUAAGAAAUUUUUCAUGAAAUUUCAAAACAAAAUGUUCAAUAAAUGGAUGUGCAUUUCAUCAAAAUUUCAUGCAUUUACAAAAUAUGUUCAUGACCAAAUAUGUUUGAUAUGAUGUAAAAAAUGGUGCACACAGUAUAAACAGUGUUUGUAAUAUUGAAAAAGAUUUACGGGUUACAAAGUAUGUUUUUUAAAUUCUGAAGGAAUGCUUAUAUAAUGUAAAAAAAUGUUCACAUAGUUUUAUAAAAAACAUUAAUGCCACUAAAAUAGUUUAACAUGUGUUUUGGGUAUGUUUUAACAAGUAUUCAAUAAGUGUUUCAUCACAUACAUUUAAAAAAAAAC